AGAUAUCUAGACAAAACAUCAAACAGGUCACGAAGGACUCUCGGCGAGACCCAUUUUUUAACUUCAACCAAUCGAGAUCAAUAAAAUCCCAAGGAUUUUCCCUUCGACUGAAACGAAACUCGCGAACCUACUUCAGACAGCUUCACUCUCCUAUAUCUCGGUUCAAAGGUGGAUGGACACAGAUCCCGAACGAUGGAGCAGAGCGAUGAGGAGACUCUGAACACGUAAUCGACUCUAAAGGUCGAUCGGAAUAGAAACGACCUGGCAGGGGUAGUGCCGAUUCCUAUCCUCCUUGGUUCCCUUCAGCCGAGCUCUUCGAUGGCCAAAUCCUUUUUCAAGCGAGCGUCCAGCAUCCUCUCCUUCUCGCUCUCGGCUGACUCUCUUUCUCCCCCGUGAAUGUCUCUUCAGCCUAUCUCUCUCCAACUUGCCUCUUCAACGGCCGCCCUCUCCGAAGACCGGCGGCAUCUCUCCUCCUCCUGUUAUGCGAACAGGAUCCUCUUGAGGCAAGCAUCCUUUCCGGCGAGCAGCUCCUAUCUCAUCUUUUCCUCCCGGAUCAGCACAAUCCCCUCGCCUCACCGAUCGAAUCUUUCUGUUAUUUCUCUCGCACGACAGCUAGCACGGCUCUAGAAGGUGCUGGCUCAGCUCUCGUCACGGCUUGUCGCGCCUCCUUCGCUCACAGACGCACGCACGCUUGGCCUGUCUUUCUUCCUUGCGUCACGGACGCUGUGCUCGCUGGGGAAGUUGAGGGGGAAGCGCGUGAGGGAAGAGAGAGGAUGGGGCUGGGCUUUCUUUUUGUUUGGUUCUACGACGGGCCAAGAAAAUACAAAAGGAGGUGGGCCGAACGAAUUAAAAGAAAUGGGUUGGACUAAUGGAGGGAGGGGGCUUAGAAGGCUCAAAACUUUGCCAAGGGGCCGGCCCACAUGACUUCAUUUCGAUUUUUUUUAUAUCUUUUUUAUUUUUUUCUUAUUAUCUUUUUCAUAAAUUUUCAGAUUUUUGUAAAAUAAAUGGAUUCCUAAAAUGUCAACAAAAUUUGGGUGUCAACAAUCUUGACCAGAGUCGAUAAUGACGAUGUUGCCUAUAGUGGUAUCAAAAGUCAAGGUGGCGAUGUUGGGUUUCAGAUAUUUAACUGUUCCCAUAUUGCCUAAAUAUGGGCUGUUUUUGUAGAUAAAUCUCACACAACUUUAAGAGUGGGGAUGUUGGUUUUUAUUUACGUCUCCGAUCCCAUAUUACCUAACUAGACUUAUAGCACUUAAAGUAAGCACGGGUGAGUUGUGACCAAAGCAGGCAGUAUUGCGCUCAAGUUUGGACGGGGAUGUCUACGACAAUAAGGUGAAACUUCAAAGAGUAAGACAAUGGUCAAGUCGAGCUUGAUGCAAUGAGACCACUCGUUGAAGAAUAGUCGUUAGAGAGCUUACACAUCUCGUAUGCUAGUUUCAAGAAGGGGUUUUAACCCUUGCAACCGCUGAACUAGGUAAACUACUUAAUCAUCUCAUCUAUUGUCGACAACUUGUCCAAAUUCCAUAGAUACAAAAAGAUGAUUUGAAAUGUAGACACUCACCCAUUGAGAUGCAAUAGUUAUUUCCAAGUAAUUAAUCAUCUUAUUUCUUCCCUUGAUUUUUUCCUCUUAAGCUUACAGAGCCAAACACAUUAAUUCCAAAAGUGGUUAAUUUCUUAGAACCGAUCCAUCGAUAAGAACAUCUCAAAAUUCAGUAAGAAAAAAAAGAUAUCCAAGGAAUUAGCCCUCUUAUUUCUCCUCUCUCUCUCUCUCUCUCUCUCUAAAACUCUAUAUAAACAGUACAAGUUGCCUUCCUAUGGCAGCAAUUUAGCUUCAACAAUUCCAUAGCUAUCAUUAUUUCCUGAUCUCCUCCCAGUUGACUUUACCGCAAGUAGCAUCAUCAAAUUUCAGAAGGUUCAACAAUCCUCUCCCAAGUCUUCUCUUUCGUGAUCGAUCUUCAAGAUUCAAGCGCCGAGAAACUCAUGGGGUACGUGGUCAUCAUGUCGCUCCCAAUGGCGAUCUUCCUCCUCGUCAUGAGCUUCGACUGCUGCUACAUGGGGAAGCAAAAGGGCGGAGAGGAGGCACAAGCCCUCGUCACGCAGGAGCUCGUGGCAGUCAACGGCAUCCCACCCCUGCCUCUGCCAACCAGGUUGGCCAUGCCGCCUUCGCCACCAGGAGUCGCUAUGGCACCGCCUCAGUUCUUCCCUUCUCCAUCUCCUUAUAAUCCAAAUCCUGCCUGUGUCAAGCAAGAAAGUGCUCGUUGAUUUUUUUUUUUAAGCAUCGUGAGUGCCACUUGUUUCAUGCUAUCAAUGAGUUCCAUGAAGUUCUUCCAAGACAUGUAUAAUUUCUUCUUUGCCCGAACAUGUAAAAAGUAAUAGUAUGUAACAAAUAACACAAUUUUCAUUUGCUAUAUAUUUUGCAUUUACCAAUAAUAUUUGAAACUUGAAGAGUGAAAUUGAGAAACAUAAGAAGAAUAAAUCCUCGCAACUGUACUUCAAGAUAUGACCCACCAAUCCACACACGACAUAUCUCCCGGCUUCACCUUCAAGUCCCAAACCGGAUCUCUUGUUACUACAGUUCGAUUGCCGGACUUCAAGAGAAGCUGAAGUUGUGUUGCCUCGGAUGUUUCUAGCUCAACAUUUUCCUCAAUGCACUUCUUUUAAGUGAUUUCUGAGAUAGCUAGUAUAAGCAACUAGAGGGGGGUGAAUAGGUGUAAAAAUAAUUUAUCGUGAUAAGUGAGCAAUACUAAACAGACAAUAGAAAGGAAGUUCUCAUUUUGUUAACAAAACGAAUUAUGAUCAAAGUAAAGGAGAGUAGGGAAGAGAAAAUGAACACAAAAAUUAUAGUGGUUCGGCUUAUUCCAAGCCUACAUCCACUCUUCCACACUGACAUUCCACCGGCUGGAUUUCACUAUGAACAAAAGAGUUGUUAUAGGAAAGCUCUCCUUUGAUUCCACAGUAUAGAUACUCUACCACACUUCCUCAAGGUUUCUCAAAGAUAUAGACUCUCUUUUGCGUACAAGAUUUCGCUCAGUAAAUGAAUUGACUAAGAACAAAGAGCUUCAGACUUUGGAAUUCUUCUAUCGCGCACACACUCGAACAACUGGAACGUCUUCCUUAUAUACUCCUUUAUGCCAUCAUACCCGUUGGCACUUACCAAAGGAAUUCUUCCAAUCUUCCCAUUGGACAUAAUCAAUGAGGAAGAUCAUUCGAGCUAUUUAAGGAACAUGACGAUAGCCCAUCAAUCAUGCUCGCCCAUACAAUCAGGAUCUCGGUUUCCAUAAGUAGAACCUUCUAAGUAUACUUCGCCAAUCAUCGGAUCCUCAAUCUCUGAAUCAAUCUUGAUUCGAAUAAAGGAUUCCAUUAUGUCAUAUCUAGCCAAGAGAUCUUCUCCAGUCGAUAAGGUCAAAUCCUUAACGAAACAUCCAGUCCUGGAUAGGCCUUCUUCAACAAACUAGAAACUGUCAAUGAUAAUAGACUUUGAGUCUUGAGUUUGGCAGUCCGGAGGUCUUCAGGCUUUAAAUAGUAGAGUCUGCAAAUCUUCAGACUAGACUGAUGGAAACGUUUUGUCAGCUUCAAAACACUCCAGGAAGAUUUCUCCAACAAUCUCUCCCUUUUUGAUGGUGACAAAACUUUUCUACAGAUUUGGAUAACUUUGACCUGCAAAACAAUACUCAAGCAAAUAUGGAUAUCUCAUAAAGAUAAAUGGCUUAGUGAUAACACUAGAAUCUGCAACCACAGAAAAUAGGUUAGUCUUUUAGAUGAGUAAAGCCAUAAGAUAUCAAUAGUACUUAAGAUAAACAAAUGUUCAAACAGUCAAACCCAAAAUCCAAUCCACAGCCAGACACAAAAGUCAAGUGAAAACAAACAUCAAAACAAAUCAAGAGUUCAAAAAGUUCAAAGUUCAAAUCUGCAUCACAUCUCUCCUCCUUUUUUGUCAUCAUUAAAAAGGUAGAGAUGGAAAGAGAAUGGAAUUAAGAUUGCUUGGGAACACGAACAAGCUGGAAAUCUCCCAUUGACUGGACAAUGCCUUCCAGCUUUUUCAAUUCCUCCUUCAGUUGAGCCACAUCUUCACCCUUAGCAUUUGCUUAAACCUGAAUAGUAAGGGCUUGCAUUUGAUCAUUCAAAGAAAUUGAAGAAGCUUGACCUGCAGUCUACAAAUUCUGUACUUCGCAUCCCAGAGCAUAUAUUUGACCCCGCAUCUCUAAAAGAACAUCAAGAAUUCUGCGAAAAUCUGCUGAAUUAUCAGUCUGCGUACUGGCUUCUACACGAUCAGAUGGAGUAAAGGCGGACGAUGGCAAAUCAGCAUAGUCACGCAGAUUGGGCGAUGAAACAUCAUGUCCCUCCUCAGGAAAUUGAGAGGCAUAGAUGUCCUCUAGAUCUGCUGGAGAGCGGCUUACUCCUUCACUGGUGGCAGGGUAUGAGGACAUUCCUCUUUUCUCAUGAUCUCCCCCUGUUUCCAUGCCUUCAGGUGGAGAAGAGUGUUCCUCAUGCUCUGCUUCCACUUGAUCUCCUCUCUCCUCCUCUUCUUCUUCUUCUUCAAAAUUUUCUCUUUCUCCAGUCCUCUGUUCUGUUUCAUCUGUGUCUUUCUCUUGUCGUUUCGUUGAUUCUAGAACAGAACGACUCAGGUUCUUCAAUGCCAUUGCAGAAAUGGUGAUGUUAUCCUCAUCUUCUUUAUCCUCAACGAUGAGAGCUCUUCUUUUCUUGGAUGGAACAACCAUGGGCUCCUUCCCUUUUCUUUUUGCUGCCGAAGAGAUUUGAUGAGUCUUAACAGGGGUUUUCUCCUUGAAUUUCUCCAACGCCUUGUUGAGUUCCUUCAAACGCAUUUUAGACACCAUUUUCAGUCCCACUACCAUUUGAUCACAAGUUCUAACACAGAGAAUUCAGGGAGGCUGAACAUUCAAAUGUCUGAAUAACUUGGUCACAAGAGCUGGAUAAGGAAGUUGACCCUUGUCCUUCACCACUGCUCUGUACAUGUGGAACAUAAUAGUGUGAGGAAGAGAGAACUUUUUCCCAGCAUUGAUGGCAUACAUCAGCUUUGCCUAUGAGUUUGAAACAUCAGUCUUUGAAGUAGAUUUUGGUCUGAGGCAAAUAAUCACAAUCUUGUGAAGUAGAAUGUUGAACACACUCAUCCUCAAGUAGGAAAUCUUUCCCUCUGUCCUUUUAUCCUUAACAAGUUCCAACGUAGCACAAGCAAUAGACACAUUGAUAGGUUAAUAUCUCCCUCUUUCAACCCCAAUCAGCCACAAAGUCCUGAUCUUGGACACUAAAAGAGAAUCUAUUCGCAUCCAAGAAACUUAGAUUCGAAUAGAAAUAAGCAGUGAGUUCAGCAUAGGCUUUUGUAGAUUCAGAACAAAACUGUUCAAGUUGAAAAAGACUGAAUUUUUCCCGCAAAUUAACGUUCACAGAGUCAAGAAAAUCAAAAUCCACACUUCUAGAGUUUAUCACCCCACGCUUCAACAACUUAGAGUAUAGAUGCUUAUGUUCCUCUGAUCGAAACAAGUCUGUCCUUUUGCUCCGAAUUUGACCCAUUCUCGGUUUAAACUGACUGUACAACUUGUCAUCAUCAUUCCCAUCUAGCUGAUUCAGCCCUCCAACACGUGGAUCGCUUGGGAUAUUUGCCAUUGCCUCUUCCGCCAACCCAGCAUGGGCAAUUCCCAACCGUUCCAUUGUGCGUAAAAAGAAUAUUUCAUUUUUAUACCCUUUGUCUUUUAGAAAUUCAUCAAUAUAGUUCAAAGGAGUUCCACCCAUUUUCAAAGCACGAUAAAGCUUGUAGGUAAAAGAGGGCUUAAAAGUUCUUACGGGUUAUGCAUCUUUGAUUAUUUCUUCCUCUUCUGGAUGAGCAACAUCCUGUGGUCUAGAUGGAGGAGAUGGACGCUGCUGAGAAUGUUGUGGGCUCUGCUGCUGACUAGGAGACUCUUCUUCCUCGGUGAGAUCAAAGUGCAUAGGCCCCUCACGCAUUUGCUACGGUCCCCUGUUCACGAUCCUCGAAGACUUCCUUUGAGACGACAUCUUUCACAGUCUUUGAAAGAUUCCAAACUUGUUUUUCCCAAGAAAGAUGACAACUUUUCGAAGAUUAAACAAGAGAAGAAGACAGAAGUGGAAGAUCGAUGCUUUUUAGGAUUUUUGGAGUAAAUUGAAGAGGAACCAACAGUAUAUAGGAUAGUCGAAGAGAGGCAUACAAAACAUCGUAAAGGAAAGUACAAAGAUGCCUUUAAAAAAAUAACUGCCUUUUUCAAAAAUUAGAUAACUGUCAUUUAAAAAUAACUCAAUUUUCGAAAAAGAAAGAUUGCAAUAAUCAUGGAAAUUGAAAAUAGCAAAAAUCAAUUAUGGAUAGAUGAUCGUACCUUUUCGAGAUUUAAUCUGAGAGAGAAAAAAAUAACUUACAGUCAAAAAUCUUGAUUGUCUGAGUCUGAGAAUCUCUAGACUUUUACUUCUUCAAACCUCAAGAUGUUGAGUCUGGAACGAAUAACUUCAAAUUGAUUUUUCUCCAAAGGCUUUGUAAAUAUAUCCGCCAGUUGAUUCUUUGAGUCAACAAACUGAAUCGAAACUUCUCCAUUUUGAACAUGAUCUCUAAUGAAGUGAUGUUGAAUCUCUAUAUUUUUUGCUCUUGAGUGAAGAAUUGGAUUCUUGGUGAGAUUGAUUGCACUGGUGUUGUCACACUUAAUCUCCGUGCAUGAAUCUUCAAUUCCAAAGUCUCUUAGUUGUUGUUUUAUCCAUAGAAUUUGUGAACAACAACUUCCAAGAGUUACAUACUCUGCUUCUGCUGUAGAAAGAGCUAUUGUAUUUUGUUUCCUUGAAAACCAAGACACUGUCCUGCUUCCAAGUAGUUGACAGGUACCCGAGGUGCUCUUUCUAUCAACUCUGCAUCCGGCUAGGUCUGCGUCUGAGUAUCCAAGAAGAGUAAAGUCUCCCUUUUUAGGAUACCAAAGUCCAAAGUUUGAAGUUGAUGCUAUGUAUUUGAUAAUAUGCUUUGCAGCACUUAGAUGAGAUUCUUUAGGGUCUGCUUGAAAUCUGGCACAAAUGCAAACACUAAACAAAAUGUCAGGUCUAGAAGCAGUAAGAUAAAGAAGUGAACCAAUGAUACUCCUGUAUAGCUUCUGGUUAACUUUCUUUCCUCCUUCAUCUUUGUCUAUCUUCAAGGAACUUGACAUUGGUAUAUCAGUCUUUUUGCAAUUUUCCAGUCCAAACUUUUUGACAAGAUCAUUAGCAUAUUUUUCUUGAUGAAUAAAAGUUCAUUCCUUCAAUUGUUUCACUUGAAGCCCGAGAAAGAAGGUUAGUUCACCCAUCAUGCUCAUUUCAAAUUCAUCAUGCAUAGACUUAGAGAAUUUCUUGCACGGACUUUCAUUAGAGGAUCCAAAAAUAAUAUCAUCAACAUAUAUUUGAACAAGGAGAAAAAUUUUGCUUUAACUUUUGAUAAACAGUGUAGUGUCUACUUUACCUUUAACAAAGCUGUUUUGAAUUAAAAAUUUACUCAACCUGUCGUACCAAGCUCGAGGUGCUUGCUUUAAACCAUAUAAAGCCUUUUUCAGUCUGAAUACUAAGUCUGGUUUCCUUGGGUCUUCAAACCCAGGUGGUUGUUCCACAUAGACUUCCUCAUGGAUAAAUCCAUUCAGGAAAGCACUUUUGACGUCCAUUUGGAAUAACCUGAAAUUCUUAUAACAAGCAAAAGCAAGUAAUAAUCUAAUUACUUCUAACCUCUCUACUGGUGCGUAAGUCUCAUCAUAGUCUAUCCCUUCUUCUUGCGUAUAUCCCUUGGCCACGAGUCUUGCUUUGUUUCUUACGACCUUUCCUUUCUCAUUCAUCUUGUUCCUGCUUUCCCAAUACACAUGGUGUACAUAGAUUAGUCUUUUGGUAUGACAGAUUGGGUAGAUCACAAAUAAGCUUCUUUGCUAAAAUUUUGGCUAUUUGCUUCAUAUUGAUGUGCCCAAGUUUUCUGUGCCAUAAGUUUGUUUCAUCUUGAAUUGAGAUUAGACAUUGGGUUUCAUCAGGUUUAACAUCCAAGAGGUAGAUGUUUCCAUGUCUUCGACCCAUGAAUGACUGAGUGGAAUCUUUACUGGUUCCUGAACAUAUUCUCUCUUGAAAGUUGAUUUUGAAACCGGUAUCGCACAGCUGACUGAUACUAAGCAAAUUGUAGUUGAGUCCUUCCACUAAGGAAACAUUACUGAUUGUGAGGUUUCCAAUCUUUACAGUUCCGAAUCCCACAAUUCUUCCUUUGCUGUUUCCUCUAAAUGAAACUUUUCCACCAUUUACUUGAACAAGCUUUAUGAAGCAAUUUGAAUCUCCUGUCAUAUGUCUUGAGCAUCCACUAUCAAAAUACCAUUUUACCUUCUUCUUGAUAGUGACCUGCAUUUAAAAAAGAGACUCAAACUUUCUUUGGUACCCAUAUUUUCUUGGGUCCAUUGGUGUUAGUAUGAUAUGCGGUUUUUGCCCAUACUUUCUUAACAGGUUUCCAAACCAUAUGACAUUCUUUCUCAAAAUGAUCUGAACUAUUGCACUUAGAACAUCUGAGAGCAUUUCGACCUACUGGUUUUACAAAAACUUUUUGGAAAUGAUUUUUAUAAGCAUCUCUUGUGGGUCUUUGCUUAAUUCUUUCAUUCACUUUAGGAAAAUCAAUUAAAGAAAUGGUUUCCACAGUCAUUCUCAAACCAGAUUUAUUGAAAUAAGGUCUUUGUGCUGAAAGAAUUUUCUCAAGUUUCUCAGAUCCUAUAGAAAAUCUUUUGGAAAUAUUUGCUAUGUCAUUUUUUAAAAAUGCAUUUUCUUUCGAAAAGUUGUCUUCAUUUACUUUUAGAGUAGAAACAUUCAUGUCUAAACAUUUAACCUUUUCUUUCAAAAUAUUUUCUUGUUGUUUUAGUGCAGAAUUUUCUUUUUUAAGUUUGGAAAUCCUUUUAAGAGAAGUCUUGAGACUAAAACACAACUCAUCAAUGUAUUUAGAAACUUUAGUAGGGAUUUUAAAGUUACUCACAUCAAGUUCACUGUCUGAAUCUGAGUCUGUCUCGGAGUUUGAAUCUGAAUCCGAUUGUGCCAUUAGACAUAUAUUGGCAUAAUCAUCAUCACUUUCUUCACAUUCUGUAUCACUCCAGGUUUCUGCUUUGAGAGCCUUUCGAUAUUUUUCAGCUUUUCCUUUCUUCUUCCUUAGAAGGGGACAGUUGGGUCUGAUGUGUCUCUUUUUCUUACAUUCAAAGCAGACUACAUCUCUAUUAGAUUCAUCAUCCUCAACGGACUUAGUCUGUUGCUUUUGAAAACUCUGUUUCUUUGGAUUGAAUCUUCUUCCUUUUCUAUUCAGCUUUCUGAAUCUUCUUAUCAUGAGAGCAAGUUCCUCAUCAUCCAUAUCGUCUUCAGAAUCUGUAACAUCAGAAUCAUCAUUGGAUUUUAAUGCAAUGGAUUUCUUACCUUUAGGAUCUUCGUCUUCAUUGAUUCGCUCCACUUCAUAAGACUGAAGAGUCCUAACCAACUCAUCGACAGAUAGUGGCAUAAUUCUUUGUGUCUCCCUUAUUGAGGUCUUUAUGUGAUUCCAAUCCUUGGAGAGUCCACGCAAUAGCUUGUUUACUUUCAUGAGAUCAGAAAUUGGUUGACCUUGAUUUUCAAGACCAUUCACGAUUUUUGUAAAACAACUAAACAUGUCAGUUAUAGAUUCUCCUGAUUUCAUUUUGAAGGCUUCGUAUUGACCUAGGAAAAUGUUGAUUCUGGUUUCUUUCACUCGAUCAGUUCCUUCAUAGGUGAUAUGUAAUCUAUCCCAAACUUCUUUGGCUGUAACACAAGAAGAUAUUCUGUUAUAUUCAGUAGGUGAUAAAGCGCAAUAUAAAGAAUAAAUUGCUUUUGCAUCAAGAACUUGUCUCUUGGUUAUCUCUUCCUGAGUCAUUUCACUAGACUCAACAACUUCUUUUCCUCUCUCUGAUGGUCACUCUGUCAAUGACGGGAGUGACGGUCAGCUAAGGACCGCACAUCUAAGAUGGAAACCGGUUGACUUUUUUGACAGGUUUCCAUCUUUUACCCAAUUUCUUCUUUUUCUAAUUUUUAUGUUUUCUAAAUCACUCUGUCAAAGAUGGAGUCACAAUCAGCUAAGCCACACUCAAACUAAAACUUUGCCCAAGCUUUACGCGGACAUAUAUUGAUAAAUGUACUUUAAUUAUGUUUGUUUUCAUUUUUAUUUGUAUUAAUGUCAUUAAUUUGGGAUUGUUUAUGUUUGUUAUCCAUUAGGUAUAAAAUUACCAAGUAAAGCCAUAUGUCAUAUCAAACAUGAAAAAUUGAAAGUUUAUAGUCCAAUUUAACUUUUAACGAAGGCAUGAUGAAAAUUUAAAAAAUAAAUUUGAAAAUCGCUACUUCCUAUACAAAUUGGAUCCUACUUUUCAUUUUAUGAUAUGAGGAUUUCUUUUUUCAGUAUCAUAUCUUCAAAGGAUGUUUUAAUUCAACCUCAAUGGUUGAAUUAAACCUUUAGACCAUCUCAGCUUCUUCCUAGUGUAAAAAUUCCUAUGUGACGUCCAAGAUGAAGGAAAACCCUUUAGAAUAAGUCAAUUUUGGACGGUUGAUCCUUAUGACCAAAAAGCAUCCAGCAUCGAGUCUCUAUCCCGUGCUUGCAAUCACUUGCAUAUGUUGCCCACUAUUAAGUGCUUGUUUUAUCCCAAAAAAAAAAAAAAAAGUCACCAAAAAUCCUAAAUUAUGUUCACUGUGACACAUUGACACCAAUUUUUCUUUUCUUUUUACACUAAGAAUCCCAAAUUUGUAUUUAUGUGACAUAUUUACUCCCAAAUUUAUAUAGUGGGACAUAUCUAUCCUAAACUUCUUCUUAUGAUAUAAAAAAUCAUAAAUUUGUAUCCGUAUGACACAUUCAUCCUUAAAAUUUAGUGUCACAGAAAAAAGUUUGAGAAUUUUGAUAUUACAAAAAAAAAAGUUUGAGGUAAAUAUGUCAUAGAAAUAUAAGUUUAAGAUUUUUGAAGUCACAAAAAAAGUUUGGGUAAAUACAUCACAUGGGUGAAGUUUGGGGUUUUUGUGGAUUUUUCUCCUUUAUUUAUUCUUUCUUCUCUAUAUGGGCUAAAGAACGUAGAUGUUCAUGCUUUGACAAGUAGUGAUUCACCCUUGCUCUCACCAUGACGAAGAGGUAUCCUUUCAUUUGCUUAGCCACGACUAAUAUGGAGCACAAGCUCCUGGUUCAAACUUGUCUUACACACUCUAAUCAAUGUUUCUUAAACAUAUUAUGAUUUUCACCAGCGUUUUUCCUAAGCUGUAGAAAAUCACCAGGAUGGAGACCAAGGAUUUAGAGUGACGAUUCUCGUUCUUUGAUUUUGGAUGCCUCCAUCAUUCCAAGGACAUUAAAUGUGAGAAGUGAUGAGCUAAUGUCGCAAUUUUAUAGCAUCAACAACCCUUUUCCCCACUAAAACACUACUGAUUGAGACAUUUGAUGAUCGAGGGGCGUGAUUACGCUAUUUCCACCCUUUGUCUCCAGAAAAUGACUGAAUAGCUAUAGAAAUUUGCGAUCCUUGCCAUGAUAUUUCUCUCUAAGCAAGGCAGGUAUAGGGAUUUUUCUUUUGAUCAUCAGGUACAUAGACUCUAAUGAGAUUGUGGUUUAAAUUCGUUUUCUUUCACGUGGGGUCUGGUUGUUCCAGUAAAUUCGAAAUGCUGAUAAGAUGAAUUUUGCUGAUAUCGAGAAAGAAAUCAACAGUCUUGUAAAGAAGGCAAAUGCAAUGGAAUGGGAAGCAGCUGAUCUUUCUGUUGAUCGGAUCAUAUUUAUAUUUUGUUCCAAUGUCCCAUCAUCUAUCAUCAAUUCACCGCAUUACACGGAUCGAAAUCAGGUGGAAUUGUUAUUAAAUUCCUUAAGAAUGCAAUUUGCUAGCCAAAUUAAGAUCCGAAUAUUCCAUCCAAAUGUCCGGUGGGUACUGCUGUAGAAAGUCAAUAUCUUGCCUGUACACAACCCGAAAUCUAGCCUAAAUUACUUACUUUAUAUGCACCAUCCAAAAACUUUAAUUCGUAAAUAAAAUACGAGGAACCUUUUCUAUGUCCACCAUAAGUAAAUUUUCCUGAUAGGGAUGGACGUCGGGAAAAAGCUGAUAUUUUUCUGGAUUGGAUCAUAUUCAUAUGUUUGUUCAAAUGUCCCAUCAUUUAUGGUCAAUUCCCCGCAUUACUCGGAUCAAAAUUAGGUGGAAUCCUUAUUAAAUUACUUAAGAUUGCAAUUAAUUAGCCAAAUCAAGAUCCAAACAUCCUUAGAACACGGGGUUAAUUAGACAAUUUCGAGUGACAUUAUUGUUACAUUGAAUUUUAACUUUCCAGGAAUGUGGUGUGAUGUUGUUGUCAUGAGCGUGCUCCAACUACAUUAAAUUAGAAGACGAGGAGAUAUCUUUGGCCACCAUCACGGAAAGUCAAAUAAAAGCGUGGUCUAACAUAUAUAUAUACCAUUCAAAUGUGCGAUGGGUGCUGAUGUAGAAAGUCAACGUCUUGCCUGUACACAGCCCAAAUCUAGCCUAAAUUACUAACAUUAUUGAAUGAUUGUCUAAUUCAAAGGGAAUGAAUAAUGAACGUAAAGUUUGAAAUUCUAGAACUGUGACCCUUAGAUAUUGACUUUUAAUAAUUAAGUAAAGCAAUUUCCGAAUAUGAAAAGUAAAGAAACAACUUAAACUUAGACUUUUUUAUUAGUACGAUAUGCAUACAUGUCACACUACUUUACUUUGAUGGAGAAAAUGUACAUUGUAGCAUUUUAUGUCGGUUAUCGCUAGAUUAAACACUCAAGUUAUAAUUACUUUAGGGCCUUGUUGGCCGUAUUGCCCAAAUCCAUUGUGAGCGUAGGUCGAAUCAAGCCCAUGGGCCCUAAUUGGCCGACUGUGGCCCGACAAACAUUUGAUGGACUGGUUGGCCCCAGCCUUGAGGACUUUUGGUGCUUCAGAAAUAUAGUCAUUGGACAGUCGAUCCGUGUUUUAUUAUUUUUCUGCAAUUACUUUGUUUAUUAUUAAUAAUAUUUUUGUACUUUUUUCUUUAAAAAUUUGAGUUGCAUAGCUCGAGCAGAACUCCGAGCAUCGAAUAUCUAAUAGGAGUUGAGCUUGAGCUUGGCCUUAUUGUAUUGGCUUGACUCGAAAGGUAGUUAUAAAAAUAAUAGUUAUUUAUUUAGUAAUUAUACUAUUGUUUAAUAAUUAGUUCAUUUAUUUUUUUAGUAAUUAUAUUAUGGUUUAAUUAUAUCAAUUAAUAAAAUAAUGGUUACUUACAUUAGAAAUUCAAAUAUUGCAAUUAUUUAGAAAUUAUAGUAGGCUUUCAUUUAUGUCCUAUGAAAAUAUGAUAAUAAAAGAAAUUAGAGUUUGAUAUAUAUCAUCAAAGGGUAUUUUGGGUAUUCUUCACUAUUCCAAACAUAUUCUCCCUACUAUCAUGGCAAAACAAACCAAAUAAUUUUUUGAAUCCAUUAUACAAACCAAACUACAAUUUAGCUAUUCCAUUCCUAGUCCUACUCUCUUCCAAUUUUAUGGAAUAACUUUUCCAUUCCUAUCUUAUUAUAUCCCACAAUCAAAACAUCACAUGACACAUUUGAAAUAGCUUUUUUUAGUGAAGUCACAUUAUCAUGAGGUUAGAUCUCUCACCAUCAUUCAUAAAGAAACGUAGAAAUGUAAUCUCAACCGUCUAACUUUUUCACUUGAUAUAUAGGUUACUAAUUCUUGCAAUAAAAAUAUCUUAUCCUUGGAAUAAAUAUCUUCUACAUGGUAAAUGUCAUUUCUUUGAGGUAAAAAGAUUCAUUUGCGAUAAGGGAGCCCGUGAGUGGUCUCUCCAUGCCACAUUUCCUCAUUUUGUAGUCGAUCACCUAUGAUCUUCUGCCUUGAUAUAUUCAUGAUUUAUUUGAAUUACCCCAAUUAGACAACAGUUCCAAAGAGAUUCUUUCAAGCCAAGAGCAAAAGAAAAAAGCAUAUUCACCAAAAAAGUCACUAUGACUAUACUGAUGAAUUGUGCCAUGAAAUGUCAUAGCACAGUUCAUCGAACCCUUUUAAACAAGACAACAAAUAAGGUGAACAGCAUAGAAUCUUGGGCCCACGAUUUGUAUCCUCACUCAGAAUGCGGUGCUCUAAGCCAAAGAAGCUGUGGAAAUAGCGGCAGCUGCUAAAAUGUCGUGACUGCUCCAAAUUUGUGACUGGAAAUUGCAAACGUACCUGAUGAAUUAUUCUAUAAAUGCUGCGCCCCCAUACGAGAAUGAGAUUGUUGCAAGGAUUAACUACAACAGAUGCAUAAUAAGCCACCAUCAAAAUCUGCAGUUGAAAUUCUGAUAGGGGAUGCAGUUCUAGUUUUGGGGAGAGACGAUAGAAUUUGAUGAACGAAAAGAAUUUGUAUGGAGCCUUUCUCUUUUCAGCAUCUGAGACUGACGGCCUUGCCUUUGAAGCAACAGACUUCAAAAGAGUCGGUUAUAAUUGGCUUUUUCCCAUGCUGAUUGUUCUCGCCCCUGUCAAGAAGAUCAUGAACAGCUUGAAGCUGUGCAUCCGAAAACAGAGCUUCAAGAUCCGCUCCACUAAAUCCUUCUGUCAUAUGAGCUGUAGCAUCCAAGUCCACAUCACUGGCCAAAGGAACUGCACAGGGGCAUUAGAGCAUACACACAGCAAAACUUCAGCAUUGCCCAAUGGUUGCCAAUUUUACUGACUGAUUUGACAGAAUCGGAUUAAUAUAAUUAAAUCUACCAAAGGUAAAGUCUUAGUCCCAUCUCAUGGAGUCAGAUGUCAAGGCCUUUCUCAUUUUUCUUUUCUGAGCAACAUCAGUAUAUGUUAAAUCCACUAGUCUCAAGGUCCGAGGUUGAAAGUGAUUUACUAUUGGACAUUUAGACUUACCUGAGCCCCACCUUAGCAGGUUGCAGAUCCAACCCACGAAUGCCUUUUACAAUCUUCUCUUGUAAUUCACAAUGUUUAGGGUGAUUUGUAGCAGGACUUUUGGAGAACUCCAUGGGAGAAGGGGUUUUAACUUUUAACUUAACAUGUUUCACCAAAUGUACUCUAUCAGAUGCCACAAGUUCUAAACAGGAUCUUUAGCCGCUCAAUUGACUCUGUUUCUAACUCUUUUUGUUAAUUUUUAAGGAAUUUUCUAUUCAUAUGUAAUCUUUCUGAUGAUUUUUCUUGAAAAAGUAGGAUUGCAGUUAUAAAGUUCUUUUAACAAAUAGAACCUGUUUCAGACCAUGUCAAAGAUGAAAUGCUAAAAGAAAAGGCAUUGGUAGAUGGAUGUGAGCUAAGUUUCUACCUUCCUGGAUAAAAGUUUAACAAUAUCUAGCCUCUCCUGUAUAGAAGGAAAAUCACAGAAUUUAUGUUGAGCCAGCCAGGACUCAGAAGUGCAGCAUCAAGUGAGUGCGUUCUACAGCUUCACAUCAAAUGCAACUCAGUUAGCACAAAAAGCCCAUAACCUGACAAUUAUUAAAUAAAGAAAGAGCAUUCUUAGAAAGAAAAGUGAAUUAGAAUUACUAGGAAAUAGAUGAACCCGUGAAUUAGAAUUACUAGGAAAUAGAUGAACCCAUGAACCUUGAGCAAAACAAAAGAGCACCUCACGCAGCAAAGAUGUUAUGAUGACUAAGAAAUUGCAUAUGCUCGCUGUCACUAGACCCAAAUGAUCAACAUCAGUUGAUGCCGUUGUGGAGGCUCAAUACCAGCAUAUACACUUCUUUUAAGCUACUUCAGCAACGAAAAAGUAAUCCAUGCAAUCCCAUCUUUUAUCACCUUCUUUUUUAUACAUAUGUAGUCUAUCCAAUACUGUGCAUCGUAGUUCAUAAUCCUAGUUUAUGGUGAUCUUUGGUUGUGCAGUGUGACAUCCUGAAUUUUUUCAACUUGUUUUCUACUAAAUUUAUCGGGCAUUUCAUUGACGUGUUUCUAGGGCUAUUCUCAAAGCCGAUCACUCUUGAAAAAACUAGACUGUCAGGGUAAGCCAUUAAGAAUUUUAAGGCAAUAGACUCGAAAAUUCAAUCAGGAAUCGGCUUCUCAACCGUGCUUAUCAUUAGAGGCCGUUACGGCACAGUUAAAAAUCGAUUUGAAAUCAAAGAUAGGUCUGUUUGACUGAGAUGUGUGGCCGAUUGUGGGUGACUCCAGUAAAUUGGAAAAUUCUCGUCGAUUGAUACUAAUAUGAUUUUACAGUCAUUUUGGUAUCCUGUGUCCGUAAUUGAAUCCUCGAGAUUUUCAAGACAAUUGAGAGUCGCCGUUGAGUCGAGUGGGUUCAUUGUGGUUCAAAGAAAAUCGACCACGAGUCAUUUGCCUUAAAAAAUUCUGAAAACUACCCGGUAGUCUAGGUCACGCUAAAAACACGCCAAACAGAAAUUAACUGCGAAAUUCGAGGCCGAUUUCAGAAAUUGAAGUUUCUGUCAUGUCACAAUAAAUUUUAGGAGUGUCGACUUAGUCUUUGAAGAUUUUUUAGAGAUUCCGAGAUUUUUAUGGAAAAUUGGUUCGGACGCCGUGGAAAAUCAGCGGAAAUUCGGAUAGGCCAAAUUAAAGGAAAUUUCGACUUCCGAGCCGAGUAUUGAGUGUCAUGGACUUACAGAAAAUUGUUUGGGAUUUUUCUCCAUUGGAAUUGGACCUCAAUUUGGGAAAUUAAGUAAGAAGAUUUAAUUUAGUUGGGCAAAUUCGAAAUUGGAAAAAGGGCAGAAAUUUGAGGCUUCAAAUUGGAUAAUUUGGUGAAGAUUAAUCAGGAAAGAAAUUGGGAACCAUAGAAGAUAAGAUUGAAGAUUGGUGGGGCCAAACAUUCAAUCUAAUGGCUAAGGAUUAUUGACUUUCACCCCCCUCUUUGGCUUCUCCCUCACGCUCGGCACCCCCCAUCCGCUCAUUGUUCCUGCUUUUGUUUUCAUUUUCUCUACCGUGCGAAGCAGUCCCCACCCGGCCUCUCUACAGCUUCGUUGCUUCUCUUCCCCAACCAAAGUUCACAAGCCCCCGCUCACGCCAACCUCGAGAUCUUCAAUCAAGCUGCUCCUCUCCACUAGUUGCUGUCCCCCGCCAGUCAACUCUCCUCACUGAAGCCUGAUCGAAGCCCCGUCUACGGUUUGCUUCUCUCUCGCGCUGCCACCGAAGACCCAAAGUCCAGCAUCUUCGUUCGUGCCUUGCCAACAGCCACGAAGACUUGCAGCCACGCCAAGUAGCUGCUUCCUCGUCCGCGUGAAUUUCCCCGACGCCACGAAGACAGGAGCUGCUACCGCGCCAGCUCUCAAACGAAGCAGCACUGCUCGAAGCCGAGCGAAGCCACCCCCCAUCUUCGGUUUGGCUCCACGAAGCUGCCCCUUCGUCCUCAGUCUCCAACAGCAGCAACCCACGUGUUUCUUCCCUCGUUCCAGCCCGAUUUCCUGCCACCGUUUGAAGCCAGCGAGAUCUGCAAGCUUCGGUCAGCCCAGCAAGCCCAACUUCAAUUUCAGUCUUCAAGCCCAGUCAAAUUGCUUCAGCUGCAGCCCAGUCCAGUCCACGUGAGUUAAUUGGCCAAGCCCAAUUUCCAGCAAAGCAAUUAAAGUCCAGCCCAUAUCUUGAAGCCCAUCUUCAGCAGGUCCAACCCAACUUGGGUCCAGCCCAAAAGCAAAAACAAAUCUCAAUUGGGCUGAGAUUUGUUGGGCCCAAGUUUAAGGCCCGGUCCAAGCCCGCCGGUAUCGUCGAAAGCCUGAUUUCGGCUGCCGUCGCGUCGCCGUCGUGGUAUCCUGAUACCCGCUUUUAAUCAAGUGAGUAAUCUCACUAAUCCUUGCUUAGUAUACUAAUUAUGCUUAAGGAUUGAUUAGAUUUAAUUAAGUGUAAUUAGGUGGUUAAAUUAGAAUGGAUUAGUGAUUAUUAGUUAAUUGCAUUGCAUAUUAGUUAGGUGAUUAGUGUACUUAGCUAGAGAAUUGCCUAUACUAUUUAUUGAAUGCAUCUCGGGAUUUUUCCCGACCCUUAUCGGGCUUCAAUUAGGCAUUACGGGCCUAAAUUGGAUUUUUAAUAUUUAUUGAUUUAAUUUCGAAAUUAAUUAUUUAAUUAUUUAUUUUUCCGGAAAUUCAACCGGGAUGGCUGGUGACCGGAAUUUCAUGUUGAUUGUCGUGGUGCAGUCCAUUUAUUUAUUUGAGCUCUACAUUGUUCUAAAUUGAAUUAAUUGCGUGAAUUAAGGAAUUAUUCCUAAAUUGAUUGAAAUUAAGUGAAAUUGAAUGAUUGGUUGGUAGAUGGCCGAGUAUAGUUAUUGAGCAUUGUUAAUGCCUUAAUGAGUAAUGAGGUGGAGAGAAUCGUGAGAUUUAAUUGGGAAUACUUUUGGCUGAGACCAAUCAGAUACAAGGUAUAGACAGGCGUGGUUCCGUGAUUAAGGAUAUCACUGUGUGAAAAUGGCACAUUAAAGAAUGCACGUAGACUGUCUGUGACUUGUGGCAAGCAUGGUUCGAUGAUUAAUGAUAUCACUGUGCAAAAACGGCGCCUUAAAGAACGCACGUAGACUGUCUGUGAUCUGUGACCUAUGACAGGCGUGGUUCGGUGAUGAAGGACAUCACUGUGCGAAAACAGCGCCUUAAAGAACACAUGUAGACUGUUUGUUACUUACGUCACCUUGGCGAAAACGAUGGCCGAGAGUAUUAAUGGAGCUCUUUGACUAUGUGUACUAUUGGAGGUUAUAUAGUGGGUUGUGAAUGACCUAGAAGAGGUUUGACUGAUGUGUAAUCGACUAAGUCGAUUAAGAAAUGAUUUGAUCUGAUGUCGUAAUUUGAUUGACUGUUCGAUGUGAUAUAUGAAGCAUCUGUAUAUAACCUUAAAUUGCAGGUUGGAACUGAUGCCAAGGUAAGUCUUCUGACUCGUGCUGUGCUUAGGCAACCAUGUGGUGUAUUGGUUUCCUAAUCGAGUCUUAGUGGGGUAGAAUUUGCUGAGACGUAGUCUCAUCCCAGUUGUGGGACAACAUUUCAGGACCCUGAUGAGGAGCCUAAGGAGAAAGAAACUGAAGAGGAGUAUCUGGAGGAGAAUCUAGAGGAUGAUCCUGAGUACGACCAGGAUGAGGAUUGAGAGCCUAUCCGCUUUUUGUAAACCCUGUUUAUGUGUAGAUAGAGUGAGGCUUUAAAUUUGUGAACAGUUGUGAAGUACUCUGUAUUGUGUUAUGUAUAAGAGUUUGGUUAUGAGUUUCAAUAUGAAAAAUAUGGCAUUACUUUUCUAUCCCAUCGUUUUAUUGUCUGGGGAUUUAUAACUGCUUCCGCAUAUGCUAGAAAAAAAAAGAAAAUGUUGGUGAUACAUAGUCCUAGGAUAUUGCAUUAUAAAAUCAAUAAAGUAGAAGGAUGUGUGUGUGCCCGAGGAUUUGGGCGUGACAUCCCUUUUUGUGGUAUCAAAGCAAAGUUCAAGAUUGGAGUGAUAAGGAGCGAUGAGUCUUGGGAUAGUAAUAAGAAUGGCCUUUAAAUUCAUGCCGGUGCAUGUCUGUGUUAGCUAAAUGCUAGAAUUGCUUGUUGUUUGGAUCACUCUGUUUCUAAUUUGGUGUUGAAUUGGAAGUAGGUAUCAGUAGAUUAAAGUGACACCAUGAGCGAUUAGGAGCCUAGAACUCCUGCAAAGAGGACCAGUAAGGUCGUUGUUUGAGGGUAAAGCUCUGACUCGUGUCGGGACUCGAGGCGGAUGUGGUCGAGCGCGAGUGGAGUGAUUCCAUCUGUUGUAGGUGCCGGGGUAGCAGCCCCUAAUGAUCCUAGGUUGGAUGGGAUCUUGCGUGUUCUGGAAGCGAUGGGUACGAGAAUGGAUCAGCAAGCCGCUACAGUUGAAGCCGCCGCUUAGGUCGCCGCCACUGCCGCAGCUGCUGCUACUGCUCAAGCCGCCCUUGUCGCAGCACCUGCAGUUCCACCUGCCGUCGCCCCUACUGAAAUACUACCAGGAGUUGUUGUCACUGGGAGGCCGAUUCACCAGUUAGUGGAAUAGUUCUUAAAGAUGAAUUCGCCGAAAUUCAUUGGUACCGGAGACCUUGAGGCUGCGUCUCUAUGGGUACAGGAUUUGGAGAAGGCAUUUGCACUUCUGAUGUGCAAUGAGGAGGAAAAGGUGUUACUAGCUAUGUACCAACUUCAAGGUAACACCAAUAUAUGGUGGAGAGCCGCCAAGGAUACAGUGUUCCUGGAAGGUGUGGUCCAGGUAUGGGACACCUUCCUCAGAGCCUUUAAUGAUUAGUACUUUUCGAGUACUGCUCGGGAACAAAAGAUAGAGGAGUUCCACCAUCUCCUCCAAGGGAGCAUGACAGUUGACCAAUAUGGGGUCAAGUUUGCAGAACUAUCCCAGUAUGCUCCUAAACUGAUAGAAGACCCUAAAGGGAAAGCUCGGAAGUUCAAAAUCGGUUUUCGUGCUGAAUUGAAACAACCUCUACUACCAUGGGACUUGAAAGAUUAUAGAGAGGUUUAUCGUCGACCCCAGAUGAUAGAGCGAGGAUUGAAUGAACAAGCUGCCUCAUUUGGAUCGAGGUUUACCUCCCAUCGAUAGAAUAUCCGUCACGGGAAGAGACCCAUGUCUGGAGGUAGGCCUAAUGCUCCACCCUUCAAGAGAAGCGGGUUCAAUAGACCGAUGCCCAAUAGGGUUGAUUCUUUUCGCUCAUGUGGAAGACGACACGGGACAGCUCCCUGCCCAGCCAGGAUAGGAGCAUGUUACGAAUGUGGCCAACAGGGCCACAUCGUAAGGUAUUGUCCAAAGAAGCAGAGAGGACAACCUCAAUUGCCACCGCCACCACUAAUUAGACAGAUUAGAUGGUAUGCCCCUCAGAAUGCACCUUAGGGCGGACAGCAGAGACCUCCAGUUCAAGGCACCAUGUAUGCAAUUACGCAAGGCCAGGCAGAAGCUACGCCUGACGUGAUCACAGGUACAGUCUCGCUCAACAACCAACCUGCUUAUGCUUUGUUUAAUUCAGGAGCAACCCAUUCCUUCAUUACCGAGCAAUAUGUUAGGAUGCUAGGGUUGAGUCAUGUAUUAUUGGAGUCGGCAAUUUGCAUAUCUACACCCUUGAAAGAUAAAGUUAUUGUUGCUUUGGGAUGUUCGGGGUGCAAGUUAGAGAUUGGUGAGUGAGUGGGGAAAAUUGACUUGUUAGUCCUAGCCAUGUAUGAUUUUGAUUUAAUAAUUGGCAUGGACUGGCUCACCAAGCACCGAGCUAAAAUGGACUGCUAUCAUAAAGUGAUUCAGUUUGACCCGUUAGGGGGUAAGAGUUUCGAGUUUGUCGGGAAUCGAGGAGGACCCUCGAUUGUCCUGAUCUCGUCGCAAGAGACAACUCGUCUAUUAGACGAGGGUUGUUGAGGGUACCUGGCAACUGUCGUGGAUACGACAGUUGAGGAGCUGAAAAUGGAAGAUAUUUCAGUGGUACAAGAGUUUCCAGAUGUCUUUUCAAAGGAAUUGCCAGGGUUACCGCUAGAAAGAGAGAUUGAAUUUGUAAUUGAAUUAGCACAAGGGACAGAACCGAUUUCAAAGGCACCUUACCGAAUGGCGUUAUUUGAGUUGAAGGAACUGAAGGUGUAGAUGCAAGAGUUACUGGAUAAGGGAUUUAUUCGCCCUAGUGCAUCACCUUGGGGAGCACUAGUUCUGUUUGUAAAGAAGAAAGAUGGUUCGCUACGUCUGUGCAUCGACUAUCGGUAACUCAAUCAGGUAACGAUCAAGAACAAGUAUCCACUGCCAAGAAUUGAUGACUUAUUUGAUCAGUUGCAAGGGGCGUCGAUUUCCUCAAAGAUUGACUUGAGGACAGGGCAUCAUCAACUGAGAAUUAGGAAGGAGGAUAUUCCUAAGUCAGCAUUUCGUACUUAGUAUGGUCACUACGAGUUUACAAUGAUGCCAUUUGGGCUGACGAAUGCUCCAACUGCCUUCAUGGAUAUGAUGAACAGAGUGUUCAAGGAAUACCUGGAUCAGUUUGUAAUCAUAUUCAUUGAUGAUAUCUUGGUGUAUUCGAGAAGUGAUGGAGAGCACGAGAAUCAUUUAAGAUUAGUGCUUCAGACCUUAAGGACUCACCGGCUGUGUGCUAAGUUUAGCAAAUGCGAGUUUUGGUUGACUCGUGUUGCGUUCUUAGGUCAUGUGAUUUCCGGAGAAGGAAUUUCCGUAGAUCCGAGCAAGAUAGAAGCCGUAAUCAAGUGGCGAAGACCGACAACAGUGAUAGAGAUCAGAAGUUUUCUGGGUUUGGCAGGGUAUUACAGACGGUUUGUGGAAGGUUUCUCAUCGUUAGCCUCGUCUCUGACAAAGCUCACGAAGAAAAACGAGAAGUUCAUAUGGAUAGACAAGUGUGAGCGUAGUUUUCAAGAGCUGAAGGAAAAGUUGACUACCACACCGGUACUGACGAUUCCAUCUGGUCCUGGAGGAUUCGAGAUCUAUAGUGAUGCGUUUUUUAGAGGAUUGGGUUGUGUGUUGAUGCAACAUGGUAGAGUGGUUGCAUACGCGUCCUGUCAGUUGAGGCCCCAUGAGCAGAAUUAUCCAACGCAUGACUUAGAGCUCGCAGCGAUUAUCUUUGCCCUGACGAUUUGGAGACAUUAUCUAUGCGGGGAAAAGUUCCAAAUCUUCACGGACCAUCAGAGUCUCAAGUAUCUAUUCUCUCAGAAGGAGUUGAACAUGAGACAGCGCCGAUGGAUGGAGUUAUUGAAGGAUUACGAUCGUGAUAUUCUAUAUCAUCCGAGGAAGGCGAAAAAAGUCGCCGAUGCUUUGAGUCGAAAGUCUUUAGUAGCUCACCUACUAAUCAAGGAGUGGAACUUAAUCGAGAGAGCACGAGAUUUGGUGUUCAAAUUUGAGAUAGGCAACCUUUCGAGUUUUAUGGCCACCCUUAUAAUUAAACCGGAUGUUUAGGUUAGAAUCAAGCUACUUCAACCGACAGAUUCAGAUGUACAGAAGAUAAUUCAAGAGGACCCCAAUAAAAGAAAGGCUAAUUUUCAGGUUUAUGAUGAUGGAGUACUGAGGUUCCAUGGGCGGUUGGUUAUACUUGACGAUGUAGAGCUUAGAGAGGAUAUUUUAUUUGAAGCACAUCGUUCAUCCUGGAAGUACCAAGAUGUAUCAGAACCUGCGUCAACACUAUUGGUGGUUAGGUAUGAAGGCGAACAUCACCAAGCAUGUCGCCAAGUGAAAAUCACAAGCCCCCGCUCACGCCAACCUCGAGAUCUUCAAUCAAGCUACUCCUCUCCACUAAUUGUUGUCCCCCGCCAGUGAACUCUCCUCAUUGAAGACUGACCAAAGCCCCAUCUACUGUUUGCUUCUCUCUCACGCUGCCACUGAAGACCCAAAGUCCAGCAUCUUCGUUCCUGCCUUGCCAACAGCCACGAAGACCUAGAGCCACGCCAAGCAGCUGCUUCCUCAUCCGCGUGAAUUUCCCCGACGCCACGAAGACAGGAGCUGCUGCCGCGCCAACUCUUAAACGAAGCAGCACCGUUUGAAGCCGAGCGAAGCCACCCCGCAUCUUCGGUUUGGCUCCAAGAAGCUGCCCCUUCGUCCUCAGUCUCCAGGAGUAGCAACCCACAUGUUUCUUCCCUCAUUCCAGCCCGAUUUCCUGCCACUGUUUGAAGCCAGCGAGAUCUGCAAGCUUCAGUCAGCCCAGCAAGCCCAACUUCAAUUUCAGUCUUCAAGCCCAGUCGAAUUACUUUAGCUGCAGCCCAGUCCGGUCCACGUGAGUUAAUUGGCCAAGCCCAAUUUCCAGCAAAGCAAUUGAAGUCUAGCCCAUAUCUUGAAGCCCAUCUUUAGUAGGCCCAACCCAACUUGGGUCCAGCCCAAAAGCAAAAACAAAUCUCAAUUGGGCUGAGAUUUGUUGGGCCCAUGUUUAAGGCCCUGUCCAAGCCCGCCGGUGUCGUCGAAAGCCCGAUUUCAGCCGCCGUCGCGUCGCCGUCGUGGUGUCCCGAUACCCGCUUUUAAUCAAGUGAGUAAUCUCACUAAUCCUUGCUUAGUAGACUAAUUAUGCUUAAGGAUUGAUUAGAUUUAAUUAAGUGUAAUUAGGUGGUUAGAUUAGAAUGGAUUAGUGAUUAUUAGUUAAUUGCAUUGCAUAUUAGUUAGGUGGUUAGUGUACUUAGCUAGAGAAUUGCCUAUACUAUUUAUUAAAUGCAUCUCGGGAUUUUUCCCGACCCUUAUCGGGCUUCAAUUAGGCAUUACGAGCCUAAAUUGGAUUUUUAAUAUUUAUUGAUUUAAUUUCGAAAUUAAUUAUUUAAUUAUUUAUUUUUCUGGAAAUUCAACCGGGAUGGCCGGUGACCGAAAUUUUAUGCUGAUUGUCAUAGUGCAGUCCGUUUAUUUAUUUGGGCUCUACAUUGUUCUGAAUUGAAUUAAUUGCGUGAAUUAAGGAAUUAUUCCUAAAUUGAUUGAAAUUGAGUGAAAUUGAAUGAUUGAUUGGUAGACGGCCGAGUAUAGUUAUUGAGCAUUGUUAAUGCCUUAAUGAGUAAUGAGGUGGAGAGAAUCGUGAGAUUUAACUGAGAAUACUUUUGGCUAAGACCGAUCAGAUACAAGGUAUAAACAGGCGUGGUUCGGUGAUUAAGGAUAUCACUGUGCGAAAACGGUGCCUUAAAGAACGCACAUAGACUGUUUAUGACUUGUGGCAGGCGUGGUUCAGUGAUUAAGGAUAUCACUGUGUGAAAAUGACGCCUUAAAGAAUGCACGUAGACUGUCUGUGAUUUGUGAUGUAUGACAGGUGUGGUUCGGUGACGAAGGAUAUCACUGUGCGAAAUCGGCGCCUUAAAGAACACGCGUAGACUGUCUGUUACUUACGUCACCUUGGCGAAAACGACGCCCGAGAGUAUUAAUGGAGCUCUGUGACUAUGUGUACUAUUGGAGGUUAUACAGUGGGAUAUGAAUGACCUAGAAGAGGUUUGACUGACGUGUAAUUGACUAAGUCGAUUGAGAAAUGAUUUGAUCUAAUGUCGUAAUUUGAUUGACUGUUCGAUGUGAUAUAUGAAACAUCUGCAUAUAACCUUAAAUUGCAAGUUGGAACUAAUGCCAAGGUAAGUCUUCUGACUCGUGCUGUGGUUAGACAACCAUGUGGUGUAUUGGUUUCUUAAUCGAGUCUUAGUGGGGUAGAACUUGCUGAGAUGUAGUCUCAUCCCGGUUGUGGAACAACAUUUCAGGACCCUGAUGAGGAGCCUGAGGAGAAAGAAACCGAAGAGGAGUAUCUGGAGGAGAGCCCAGAGGAUGAUCCUGAGUACGACCAAAAUGAGGAUUGAGAGCCUAUCUGCUUUUUGUAAACCCUAUCUAUGUGUAGAUAGAGUGAGGCUUUAAAUUUUUGAACAGUUGCGAAGUACUCUGGAUUGUGUUAUGUAUAAGAGUUUGGUUAUAAGUUUCAAUAUGAAAAAUAUGAUCUUGCUUUUCUAUCCCAUCGCUUUAUUGUCCAGGGAUUUAUAACUGCUUCCGCAUGUGCUAGAAAAAAGAGUAAGGGUCGGCGAUAGAUAGUCCUGGGAUAUCGCAUUAUAAAAUCGACCAAGUAGAAGGAUGUGUGCGUGCCCGAGGAUCGGGGCGUGACAUGCAGCAUCAGAUAAUCCUAGUUCAAUCUCUGGAACCACAGGAAACAAAGAUUAUACAAAAGGGGGCAACCCAGGUUGUUGCAUUUGCCUAAUUGAAUUCAACUAUGAAUGACAAUCAUCAAAUUCCUAGACCUAGCUAACAGCAAAGGAAAAAGAAAAAUACAUAUAAUCUGCACAACAAAUAAGAAUUCAAGGAUGUAAAUGCCUUAUUGGGCGAAAAUACAUCUCUCCAUGUUUUUCCCCAAAUUCAAUUUUAGAUUGGUCCUUUCUAACACGCAUGACCAAGGUGAAAUGAGACAAAACAGAUGGACUAUAUAUCAACUCAAAACUAGCGCACAACAUAAAAAGUGAAAAGUCAAGCCCAAGAGGUUCUCAAUCAAAAUCGUUUUAUAUGGCAAGCUUGCUGUAAUGCAGUAAAUCUUAUGAAACCUAACCGAAAUCACUUGUCAAAAUGGGGAGAACAAAGUCUCUUGAAGUACACAUUGUGCUACCAUGAUUCGAGUUGCAAAACUAAAGAAUACGGUCCUACAACAACUUUUGAAUUUUUCAAGUUCACGUAAGUGCGACAUUACUCCACUCUUGGUUGUCACAAAUUAACAUGUCUUCCCAAUAUAUAGGCUCACGCCAGUUACAAAAAUCACGGCAACAGUAGUUCAACAACAAUAGACCUACCCCCAAACUGAAAUAGUAAACUGCUUGAAACAAACAGGGACCUUCAAGUUCCCAAAAAAUUCUGACGUACCUGUGUGAUCAUCACUUGGUCCCUCAAGAAUUGUAGAUCAGCAACAUGAACUUCUAAACUUGCUUUAGCAAUUUCUAGGUUCUUUUGUAGAAGAGUUGCCGCCUGUAACAUGAAUUAAUGCAAUAAAUAAGAUACUUGACAUCAUUAUUGGAGAUAAAGGGACAUUGCUUCAACUCAAGUACCUCUUCGCAUGAAUACUCCAACAUAACAUUUGCUCUCUGCCAAAAACAUACCGAAUCGGUAUGUUAGAUGUGAGCACAUGAAUAAAAUGCCUUUAGAGACUUCAAAAUCAGCAAGUGCCUGCAUCCACAAUAAAGAGCCAUAAAGGCCGGUCAGUUUGGCACCUAUUAUUAUAUUUUGCGUCUUAGAAGUUUUGAUGGUCUUAGGUUUUAAAGCCCAAUACAGUAAUCCCACCCCAUUUUGCUUUCUAAUAGGACCUUCAGACAUCAAAGCAUAACAUUAUUGGCGAUAUAUUUAGGUGUCCAAAUCUAAAACCACCGCACAAUUAUUGAGAUUAACAUGGGUUCUUUAAAGAACUAACCCAUAUUCUUAGGAACAUUGCUUCUGGAAGUGCAUUUGCGAAGGAAAAAAGAUAGUUGAAUAUUCCAUAUUUAGUCAAGUGCACCAAAAGUAGUUCCUAGUAUGGCAAGAAUAAGGCCACUAUAUCAUCUACCUGCUUUGUUAAGAUAAAAAGGACCGAUAUGAUCAACUAAGAGAACAUCGAGGAGCAAGAAGAUAUUUUAACAUGCAAAUUUUCUAGCAUGAUAAGAUUAUGCAAAAAUUUUAGUUCACAUCACACAUGAAAGAUGAUUGAUAGACUGUCAAGCAUUCCAGAUGAAAAGGAGAAACUGUGAACUAAAAAAUUGGUGUUUCAAUGACAGUACGAAGAACUUCAGGGGAUAAAAUGAGAAAGAACUCUGCAUUGGAAAAAUACUUAGUUAAAAUACAUGCACUGAGAAGCAUUCAGCUUGAAUUUCAAUCUUAAAAUCCAGAUCUGAGGCUAUGGUUCAAUAUUUCAGUAGUAUAGACACAUGCUUGUUGCACACACACAAUGACAUGCAUGCUCGAUCACAAGUCACUUUGCUAUAGCACAUCUAACCAUUCCUCUAGGGCUCAAAGAAAAUUUGGGAUCCAACCAGCGAGCUAUCUAAGUACAGACUUGUAGGUUGGAAAAGUGAAUGUCGAAAAAUGGGAGGGUCACUUUGGUAUAAGGCACCCUUUUCAAUUGGCCAGUUUGCUUCAGUCAUUAUGCAGGUUCCUAGUUGAGUGUCAAUUAAACUAGAGCCUAAAUAAGAGGAUAUCUUUGUGGCCAAAUGGAGUGGUGAGGUGAAGUAAUGGCCCAAUUUGAAAUGAUUGAUCAAUUCAAAUCCUGAAUUUUUCGUAUUGAGAAAGAUAGCACACCUUAUUUAUAUGAUAUCAGAGAGUUGAAGGUUGAAAACUAUUUGAGGUAGAAAACCUUAGUGCAGAGACAGAUGGCGGCAGGGCAUAGUACAACUUCUGCGCUCUGUCUGUGUUUGGCAGAGAGGCAGAGAUGCCCGGCUACCUCAUAGUUGAUUUUUUUAAGGACUAAUGGUGCAAAACAAAUCUAGCAGAUUCUUGUGCACUACAGAGAUAUCCAAAAUAAUAGCACGCGAGCAGGAUACUUCGUUGACGGCAGAAAGUACUGGAAUGUACAAUUUACCACUUGCAAAGAGACUGGUGACCAGAUGAGAACAAGAUUGUCAAACUCUGGUUCUCGCACACAAGUUAGCUGGUGUGAAAGAGAUGGGGAAGGACUUUAUUCAAAGAAGGCAAGGGCUGUUAACUACUUACAAGAUGAAAACCACAUGGACUUUAUUCGAAUGGUUAUCUGGCACCACAGGUUUUCCACAUGAGUCAUUGCCUUGGGAGUGUUUAAAAGUAGCCGAUAUACAAAAAGAAAAAAAGAAGGAUGCAUACAGAUCGUACUAGCUAUAGCAAAGUCGAUGAGAAUCCUCAGGUCACCCAUCUAUUAUGUUGCCGUUGGAUUGAAUCUCCUCAGGACAUGGAUCUGUCAAAGAGCCGAAGAUAAGAUGGUGACCAUGGAAUUGAGUCAUAUCCAAUGCAAACCUUGAGAUUAUGGUUUACUCUUUGUACAAUUAAUUUCUUACUUCCACUUUGUUAGAUUCACUUUGGUUUAAAUAACUCUAUUAAAAGGUUUGCUCCCCUUGGUGUGUUAGCAAGUAAACUAUUGCUUUAUGAAGAAUAUUACAAUAACACAGAAGCAUUGUCCUAUCCGAAUGAAGGGACACAUGAAAGAUAGUACUAGUAGCUCUGAGCUCCCUCAAGUGUUCAGUGAAAAAUUGAAAACAACCAACUAUGAAACAGUUUUAAGAAAGAGAAAACAAAAAAACUCCUGAAUUAGAUACAUCUCCACCUUUCUUUUGUCACUUUUUUGAAACAGUCUUAAAAAAGAGACAACAAAAGAACUCCUGAAUUAGAUUCAUCUCCACCUUUCUUUUGUCACUUUUUUGAAACAGUUUUAAAACACACAAAAAAAUAGAACUCCUGGAUUAGAUACAUCUCCACCUUUCUUUUAUUACUUUUUUGCAAUACUAUUAACUAGGCUCCGAAAUAGAAUAACAAGCAAAAUAAUACCUCGUCCUAUACUCUUGCAUUUUCUCAAAGGACAAGAGAAAGAUCCACAGCAGUGAUUAAUUUUUAAAUAGAACCUAAAUGCAGAUAAGUCCUAACCAUUUUAAGAUAACCGAUUGAAAGCAUCUAAUGCGUGACCGUCAAACACGGGAGGUAAUAUCAACAUUUUUCCAUGACAAAACCGAUGAAUAAGGUAUACCGUGCAAGAUGCAACACCUAAUCAGCAUGUUCCUCAUGCCAUUAAAUGAGAAAAUUUCCUGACGUGGGGAGCAUAAACAAGGCUUACUAUUUAGUGAUAUGCACCAAUAGUUUUUCAAUUCCAUAAUUUGGCUAAGCAAGCAUAUUAGAAGGAAAUUCACUUUCUUAUUCUAUUUCUAUGUGAAUGUUGACGUAAUUUGCUCUGUGGCAACUGCAAUGAUUUUCAAGAUUCAAGAACCUCGCACUUUCAGCACAAGGUUGUCCAUCAAGGUACCCCCAACCAUAUUAUUGGAGUCCAUAGAAAGGGCAGCUUGUCAUAUGAAAAGCAAACAACCACCACUUUCCCAUCAACUUGGGGAAAGAAAAGGAGAUUCCCCCAUAAUCUAGUUUACACAGUCAGAAGUAAGAGUCGCAUGACACAAUAAACCUCACCAAAACCCUUCUUGGCCUGCUGUGUAGCGACUAUGUCUAAACAACGAACCUCACUGAGGGCCAUAGUGGGAAAAAAGAACCAAGUGGACUCAGAUCUACCAAGUGCUGUAGCUGCUGCCUUCGAGAAUAUCCAGAACUUGUAAUUUUCUAAUUGCCGUUACUCUCAAAUAUUCAAAUUUCUCUAGUUAGCUGACAAAAUCAACCCCAUCAAUGUGUAGAAUAGAAAAUUCAGUCGACAUUUGUUCACUAAUUUCAAAUUUCUAGAAGAGAAAUCUUUCUCUUCAUCAAAUGGUCAUAGAAGAUCCUCUCAUUCACACGCAAGGAAACUCAUCGGUCUUUUCGUCUUGGCCACUUCAGUAGUUAUGGUAGGAUCGUCGUAGCUAUUGUAAAAAAUUAAGCCAUUGAAUGCAUAAGUGGAAUAGGACUAUUAGCCAUAUAUAGUUUGGCCGGCAAACAACUUUAAGUUGCUCAUAUAGAUCCCCACCGUUACACCGAAAGACAUUUCAGCGGGAAUAGUUGACUGCAUUCCAGGACUUCGCAUAAAUAGAUGAAAAAAAUUAAUAAUUAUGGCUAGAGAAGUAGAACUUCUACUUUAAGAAUGGGAAUGCUUGAAAAUUGCAACUAUAACCAUUGGCAUCAAAUGUGGAGCAAAGCUAACAGUGAUCUUUGAUUGUGCAGCAUUAGACAAUCCCAAUUCAAUCUAUGGAACUGUAGGAAACAAAAAUUAUACAAAAGGGAGCAACCAAGAUUAUUGCAUAUCACGUCCUGAUCCUCUGAGCAUGUGUCCAUCCCUCCAUGGUCGAUUAAAUAGUGACGUCCCAGGACGCGUGCUGACCCAUCANNNNNNNNNNNNNNNNNNNNNNNNNNNNNNNNNNNNNNNNNNNNNNNNNNNNNNNNNNNNNNNNNNNNNNNNNNNNNNNNNNNNNNNNNNNNNNNNNNNNUGUUAUCCCCACACGAGGUGAGACAAUGUCUCAGCAAAUUCACCUCCUAAGCCCCGACUUGGAAGAAAAUACGCCCCAAGGGCUGCCUAAGUACAAAAACGAGUCAGAGGACUUACCUUUGCCUCAGUUCCUUCCUACAAGUCAAUACAAUUCAUAAUCUCAUUGUGGCACCCCGAACCCUUCGUAGGUCGCCACAAGCGCCAAUGCUACACCUUAAUACCUUUCUUCUUGGAAGAGGCGUUGUAGUUCAUAGACAUAUAUUAUUUUUUUUUUAAAAACGGUCCCAGCGCGACUCAUUAGCGGGAGCAAAAUAAAACAUCACCAUCUCUUCCCCUACCAAACCAUGAUACAAAUACACACCACUAAUCACCAUAAUUAAUAGACAAGCCACGACAUUUUAUUUACAUAUAUUUUCAAGAUGGGACUUCUUUGGGUCGAUACAUCAAAAAGGAAAAGCCAGGACUCAGCCAUGUCCAGCCUAAAACCCCAAAAAGAACCCUCGACCCGCUACAACUCGCGUGCAUAAUCCCCAUCAUCAGUGUCGGCUAAACUAUCCCCAAAAAAAAUCCAGCUCCUACUCGUCACGCACGAGCCUCACACCCAAUCCGGUGCAUCAGGCGGUGGCGGUGGCAACAUCCCUCUCAUCACCCCAUCGCGACGAACGUGGACAGAGACGAACUCCUGGACAACCGGGCCCCCAGCCAGGCCUAUGUCGUACAUGACAAAAUAACGCACUCGUAUAUACGUUAAUCUAGGCACAGAAGGACAGCCAAACUCCUCGCACUCAACCUCUACAUCGGAUGGUAGACCGUAAAAUGCACCCCGCAUGACGGCAGGGAACGGCAUGCUGCUAAUCUAAAAUGUUGGUCCCCAAAAGGGGUGAGUACAACAACUUAGCAGGUAAAGGAAUCCAAUAACCACUCAAUGCAUCAUACAAGUCAUACAUGCAUUGCAGGCGUUACUUACCUAGAAGCCAUGCAUAUACUAUCAUGCAUCAUCACCAAAAUCAUAACACAUACAUGUGUAUCAUCAUGUCAUACUCAUAUCAUCGUCAUCAUGACAUUAUUAUAUCACACAUAUGUCAUCCUCAUCAUAUACGUGACACCAUCAUACCAUACACAUGUCAUCAUCAUCAUGGCAUCAUCAUAUCACACAUGUCAUCAUCAUCAUGACAUCGUCAUAUCACACAUGUCAUCAUCAUCAUGGCAUCAUCAUAUCACACAUGUCAUCAUCAUCACGACAUCAUCAUAUCACACAUGUCAUCAUCAUCAUGACAUCGUCAUAUCACACAUGUCAUCAUCAUCAUGGCAUCAUCAUCUCACAUAUCAUCAUAUCACAACAUAUAUGCAUGUCAUCAUGCCAUAUCAUAUAUCAUCAUCAUAUCAUGCAUAUCAUCAUGCCAUAUCAUAUAUCAUCAUCAUAUCAUGCAUAUCCUCAUAUCAUGCAUGUCUCAAUUUCCAUUUUUUUUAACAUUCAAUUUGAUCACCACAUCACCCUUCCUCGGAUCAUCAAUUUCAUCUCAUGUUUUACACUCGCAUCCCAUGCGAGAAAAACCUCCGGCAUUCAGCCCUUCAAGGCCACCGGGCAUCUGGCCCCCCACAUUCCGGGCAUCUAGCAUCCCAACUGGCAUCACGAGGCAUUCCCCUCGGGCAAAGACCUCCAACAGGGCUUCCGGCAUUUACACUCCCUGGCCGGGCAUCCCGCACCCCAAUCCUGGCAUCGCGAGGCAUUCCCCUCGGGCAAAGACCUUCGACAGGGCUUCCGGCCCCCCACAUUCCGGGCAUCCUGAAACUCCCAGGGCCAUCCGGCAAUGUAUCUCUAUACAUUCCGGGCAUUAUCCUCCGCCACAACAAUCUCCUCAUUUAACAUUAUCCAUGUUCACCAAUUUCGGUCUUAAUUUAGCAUGGCAUAUGAUGUAUUGGCAAUCAACACUCAUGUUCAGCAUUGAAUUCACACAUGCAUCUCAAUGCAUACAUCAAGACCUCACCACACAUACUACAUGGUGCAAUUAUUUAUAAAAUAAAAUUCAUGGAAUUUAUGCCAAUUAAAAUAAUCCAUUUAACAUGACCUUUUUACAUUUAUUUAAAUUCCAGCUUAUGCCAUUUUCAAAAAUAUUAAAUUUAAUUAUUUAUAUAAUCUCAAAAAUCAUAAAAUUAAGCAAGUAAUAAAUAAGACAAUCGGAUAAUGAUUUCAUGCAAAAUACACGGCCAAUAAAAAUUCCACACAAUUUCAUAAUUCACACAAAACAGCACAUAAUUUUCGGAUGAAACCAGAAUGCACAGUCUCCGAAGAAAUUCGAUUAAAAUAUCCAUACGACCUCCAAAAAUUACGAAAUUUUACCAUGUUAUAGCCAAGACAGUUUCGUACAUCUUUCAUGAAGAAUUACAAGCCAGAUUCUUUCUAGAUUAGUUUCUACAGUCUCACGAAGCUUCUGGAUCCAUCACCGAAUCGUCCAGUGCAUGCUUCUCCGAAAUACUGAGUUUUCACCUACCUAUUAUUUUUCGUUUCCUCUGAAAUUUAGAUAUGUUUUACAUCAAGAUGUUCUCUACAAGUUUCAUGAAGAUAUAUAAGUCAAAUAACCAGAGUAUAGUCGUCAUUUAGGUCCAUGAUGUCUCGGGUGUCCUGUAAUACAUCUCCAGAAUUUACCGUCUUCAAGAUCUAGUCGAUUUACUAGGUUAUACUUGUUCAUUUUGCUUCAAAUUUGAGUAUGUCGUAGUUUAAGAUGUCCCCUACAACUUUCAUGAAGAAAUCGAAAAGAUAUUAUUAGCACAAAUCAACAUGCAACCACAAAUCCAACAAGAAGUCAGCAAAAUCGUUCCAGAUCUGAGGUCUCCGUAGGAUGAGAGUUUAACCCCUUAAAUCUCCAUCAUUUUCCACCAAAUUUUAGUAUGUUGUAGUUUAAGAUGUUAGCUACAUUUUCAUGAAGAAAUAGAAGCCAAAAUCGGACUCUAAACAUGCAUGCAAGCUCUCACAACAUUCUGACUCGGGCGGGUUCAAACAAAACAACAACCUUACUCAAGAACAAGCCAUUCCAAGCUUCGGUUUUCCUCACCUAGUCACCUAAAAUUCGACAUACAUGUAACACACACACAUGCAAGAGCAGCUAGAGGACUCCAACUUGCCUCUAGACCGGACGGACGACGGCACACAGCGGUGAGCACGGCGGACGGACCGCGACGACUCCUCCUCGGCUCCUCCUCCCUCUCGGCCACUCUCCCUCUCUCUCUCGCGAAAUCUCUCUCUCUCUCUCUCCCUUUCUCUCUUGGCCGAAUCAACCGGCCAUUCUCUCUCCUCUCUUCCCUUUUUAUCUCCCCCAAACCUCAUCAUUUGCAAUCAUGAGAUUGCCUUUCAAUUGGCCAAUGCAUGGCAUUUCCCUUUGUGCCACUUGUCACUACACAUGCAUGGGCUUUGGGCUUGGGCUUGGGCUUGGGCCGGCCACUCUUGGUCGACAGCAGCCCACUUGUGGGCUUCAAUGGGCCGGCCAACUUGGCCCAUUAAAGAUCCACUCUUGGGCUUAAGGCCCAACCAAUUUUUUUUUAUAAUUUAUUCUAUAAAUUUUUAAAUUUUAAUUUUCCACAUGGCCAAAGUCUUGCGACAUUUUAUUUAUAGAAAUUUAGUCUAUAAAGUGCAUGGCCAAGCAUAGAUUAUCAUCAUUAAUCUAUCUAAUUUAAAAUCUCAUAAACACAAGCACAAAUCACCUAAUCUUAAAAAGACUAAUGGCUAAAGCAUUUAAACCAUAGGUAAUUUCAUUACCUAGUUAGAGGCUUUAACACACCUUAUAACUUGACUUUGAAUUUUGGGAUGCCACACUCAUAGAAUCACCUCAUCACAUCAAAUUAUCACAAUAGAUGAAUCAUCGAUCAAUCGACUUAGUUGAUUCCAUGUCAUCAUGACCAUUUCUUAGUCAAACAACUCAAUAUUAUCUAUCAAGUUCGACUUAGUCUAGAACUGCUCACCCUAAGCUAAAGAUAUAUAAUAUAGCCCACCCAAAGCUGAUAAUAUAGUAUACCGCUCACCCAAAGCUGAUAUAUCAGAGCCUUUAGGCCGAUAUAGUAUACUAAUAAUGCUCACCAGAAACUGACAAGGUAUACUGCUCACCCAAAGUUGACAUAUCAAGGCCCGUAGGCAGAUAUAACAUGUAUACCGCUUACCCAAAGCUGAUAUAUCAAGGCCUGUAGGCUGAUAUAGUAUAUCUAUGAUGCUCACCCUAAGCUGAUGAAGUAUACUGCUCACCCAAAGCUGAUAGAUGUAGUAUACCUAUUCUCACCAAUUGAGUAUGUCACCAUUUUUAUCAUUCAUAAUAAAAAUACUCGUGUGUGGGUACACAGUCGGCCUUAGCUAAAAUAUAAUAAUUUCUUUUCUACAAAUCCCACCAUUUAAUAAUGUCCACCAAAAUAUUUUUGGCUUUAUAAACCGACGCUCGGUUAUUUUCCAAUCAAUUACAGAAAAUAAUAAAUUUUGGGAUAAAUACUCCACAAUCACAAUCAACUCUCAAAUUGCACAAAAUAGUAGUCAAUUAAAUAAACCAAUCACACCACUACAAUCAGUACAAAAUUCCGGUCACCGGUUAUUCCGGUCUAAUUUUCGAUAAAUAAAUAAAUAAAUAAAUACGGAAAAUAAUUAUUAAAUGCUAAAAUGCAUACUUAGGCCCGUAAUGCCUAAUUAAAUGCCGAGACGGGUUCAGAAAAUUCUCGAACCUAUCUAAAUAAAUACUAGAGCAUAAUUACUCACUAUUUACACUAAUCUAACCACCUAACAUGCAUCAAGGAUUAACUAAUUCACUAAUCUAUUCUAACUAACCACCUAAUCCUAGCUUAACUUAAACUAAUCAACCCUUAAAUGUCAUUAAUUUACUAAGCAGGGAUUAAUGAGUUAAACUCGCUUGAUUCGUGAACCACUCGGACCAAAACGACGGGGAUGCGACGAGGAUUGACAAACUCCAAAGCAGCUGUGCCGUCGGGGGCCCGAAACGGGCCGAAAAUGGGCCACAGAAGGCCCACGGUUGUUGGACUGACUUCGAGAGGCUAUUGGUCAAAGCUCGACGGGCUGGUUCCUGCUUGUUUCGAAGUGGGAUCACGAUUGAUUGGGGCUAGAACGGACGACUACUAGGCUUCGGUGGUUCCGCUGGUGAUCGAUGGGCCUGCAACUUAAAGAUGGAGCUGGAUUGCAGGCUAAAAAUGGAGCUAUUAUGUGGGCCUCUACCUGAUCGAAAGGCCAAGAAGAAGCUACUGGUGUUGACGUCUGUUUGCUAGAGGAAAAAGGCUGACUUGGUGGGCUUGAUGAAGAAGCAGUGGGCGGGCUGCACGUGAGAUGGUGUGUCGGUGGUGUUUAGGUGAAGAAGAGACGGACGAAGGUAGGGGCGUCGGUGGGGCAGAGAACAUGCGAGGGAAGUUGAUAGCGAAGGAGAAGUAGAAGCAGACAGGGCAUCGACGAAGCGGGCAAGGCCAACGAGAAAGGGAUUGAAGGAGAGAGAGAGAAAGGAUAAGGUAGCAGGGGCUUGUCGGCUUAGAGGGAGAAGGGAGAAAGAAACGUGCGACUAAGGGAGAGAGAAAGAGAGGGAUUGAAGAGAAAGCCAGCUGGUUCAAAAGUCAAAGGAAUAUAAAAAGCAAAUAAAGACUGAAAUAGAGGGGGACGAUCGAACGAAGGAGGGGGUAAAAUAAAAAUAAAACGUCUUAUUUUUAUCCAAUCUUGGUUCCACAAAUUUCCAUGUAAAAUGCUUGUCCUCACUUGUUUUCCUGCACCAAAUUUCCUCCAAAUAACAAGUCUUGGGUAGCAACAAAGGCCAUUUCUCUCAAUUCCGAAUCCUAUUUCAUUUUUCUCGAAAUCCGAUUUCUUAACGAACUUCUUCGAUUCAAGCCCAAUUUUGUUGAAGAAAAAACCCCCAUGAUUUCCUUUCAUCAAGUAACUCACACCGGAGGCCAAAAAUCCCUUCAAAUUGGCCAAUCCAAAUUUCCGUUUGUUUUUCGAAUCGUCCGAAUUGAUUUUCUGCAAAAAAUCCCGAACUCGCCAAAAAUUCCUCAAAAGAUGAGUCGACAUUCCUAAAAUGACUCGUGACACGACAAAACUUUCAAUUUCUGAAAUUGGGUUCAAAUUCGCGGUUAAUUUCAAUUUGACGCGAUUUUAGCGUAAGCUAACCUACUGGGUAGCUUUUAGAAAUUUUUGGUGCAAUUGACCCAUGGUCGAUUUUCUUCGAGCCACACGUACCUAUUCGACACAUUGGCGACUCUCGGUGGUCAUGAAAAUCUCGAGGUUUCAAAUACGGAUACAGGGUACCCAAAAUGACAGAAAAUUGGUGUAGUGCCAAUCGACAAGAAUUUUGCAAUCAGGUGGAAUCACCCACACUUGAAUCACACAUCUCAGUCGAACCGACCUAUCUCUGGUCUCUGAUCAAUUUUUAAUUGUGCCGUAAUAACCCUUGUAGACUAACACGGUCGAGCAGUCGAUUCUAGGUUGAAUUGUCAAGUCUAUUAUAUUAAAAUCUCUUAAUGGCUUCACCGGAUAAGCUAGUUAUCUCGUGAGUGGCCAUUUCAAAGAAAAACACUAUAGUCACGUCGAUGAAAGGCCUAACUUAUCCAAUCGAAAUCAGAACUUGAAAAUCAGGAUGUCACAUUGCAUUUGCCUUAUUUAAUUUGUCAAUGAGUCAGAGUUAUCAAAUUCCCAGACCCAGCUCAAAACAGCAAAGGAUUCAGAAGUCAUUGGCACAACAAAUAAGAAUUCAAGAACAUAAAUGCCUUAUUGGGCGAAUUGCAACAUCUUCCUCAAUUGUGUUUGGUAAUUUAAGAUGGGAGGGAAUGAAUGAAUAGCAAACAAACAAACAAAUAAACAAAAUAUAAGUUUAGAAGUAACUAGAAAAGCACCUUCAAUUCUUCAUGAAGGAAGUAACUAAAUCACUCCUACUGCAUAAAGUGUAUCAACAAUUCACUCUUUCGCUAACUAGGCAUUAAUUCUUUUAUUUCAUUCCUCACAAAUCAUGAUUGUACUGUAUUGAAAUUGAAAAAACAUUCCACAAGGUAUGACCGAUUCUCAACUACCUAUGCCUUUCAACAAAACCUAGCAUUUGUUAGCAUCUUUAGUGUGCUUACUAUCUAAGCAAGUUACAUGCUGCCAAGCAUGUCAACCCUAACAUUAUGCUGAUGCGCAACAUAAACCAGCUAAGCAUCACCACAGUGGAGGCAAGUGAAAGUACCGCAUAUUCAUGACAUACAAUAAAGGAAUUUUGCUCAGAGAUAAGAGGACGAACAAAUACAAGCGGUGGUUCUAGAACUAAGAUGAAAGCUUAGUUGAAAGAAAACUCACAAGACAGGACGCAGCAAAAAACAAACUCUAGUUCUAUGGACUUACCAUCAUCGACUAUCUUUGCCAAUCAAAUGAUACAUACCUUAUCCAUCUCUAUUGAGCUUCGAGCAGUCAAUGAUGAUGAGUUCACAAGAUUUUGGCACACCCAAAACUGAAAGGAUCGACAUCUGCUGAUGCUGUUGAAGAGGCUAAAGACUAGUUAAAUACACUUCUAGUAAGCUACUUUAGCAACUAAAAAGUAAUUCAAGCGAUCUUGCCGUUUGUUACCUUCUUUGAUACAUAUGUAGUUUAUCCAAUACUAUGAACAAUUCUAAAUCAAAGGAAAGUCAUGUCUAGCAUUUAAUAGCCUGCCUUGAAGGUUAUUAUGUAGUCUCCAUAUUAAAUGCUUCAUAUUAAUUUUUUUGGCAAAGCAUUCAUAAUGGCCAUGCAAUUUCCAACAGCAGUUUACAGUUAGUGUGCUAUGGAAAGAGAGUACUUUUUGUUACCAUGUAAGACGGAAUUAUUACCUUGUCCCUGCUGACACAAACACACCACUUAAAACUUCAACACCAUCUGAAUCAAUAAAAACUGCACCAAUGAAUAACAUACCAUUAGUGAGUCAUACCAUCAACUAUAUUUCACAUGACCACUUUAUAAGUGCCACUGAAUGCAAGAAACUAAUUGAUUGAUGACAUGGUCAGUGAUCCCUGUAUUAUCAUACCCCCUCUUCAACACAAUGGAAUUAAAUUCAUGAAAAAAGAGAAGGCAAGGUGCUACAGCUGCUGCCUUUGAGAAUAUAUCCAAACCUGUAAUUUUAAAAUUGCCAUUACUCUCUAAUAUUCAAAAUUUCUCUAGUUUGUUCACAAAAUUAAUGCCGUCAAUGUGCAGAACAGAUGAUCCAGUAGACAUUUGAUCACAAAUUUCAAAUUUCUAGUAGAGAAAAACUUCAAAUAUCUUACAUCUUAAUCUUUCUCUUAAUCUUCAUAGAGGAUUCUCUCAUUCAUGCGUGAGAAAACUCAAGAACUGUUUUAACUUGGCCUCUUCAUUGAUUAUGGGAGAAUCCUAAUUGCUGUUGUUUAAAAUAAUAUAAUUAGAACAUCUUGGUUGCAAUGGUAGGAUCCUCAUUGCUGUUGCUAGUUAUCCUAUUUCGACUGCUGGCAUAGAUGAAGGGACCUCUAUUAAAUGCAUACAGAAGCAAAAGAAGAAAGCACAAAAUUGUGAAAUGUAUGGAAAUAACAAAGUUCAAUAGAAGAUUGCAUAGUAGAACUCAAUAAACAUCCGUGUAGUUGAAAAGAAGCCUCUUACAGCUUACUAAAAAGUACCAAUGUACCGAUCCACAACUCGCCCUUUUACUAAUAUGGAUUGAAGAGAACAAGUCGUUGCUAUAGCACCAACAAUAUGUCUUGCCAAAGCCUAGACAUCCAUGUAAAAGAACAUUUCACCAUGGUCUUGGAGGAGCUUGUGCAAAAGCAUUUUAUCAGCAAAUGUAAAAAUGAUAGACACAAAGAUCAACGGGUUUAUUUAACAAGUUAACAGUAACCACAUUAUUAGCAAAGACAGAGAGAGAUGAGGAAAGGUGCAAUAAAUCGGCUAAAAGAAAAAACAAAAUCUAGUCUUCAACAACACAAAGGUGCUCUUUCCUAACACUAGAAAUAGCAGAAUGCACAAUUUGAUGCAGCUAAACCUACUCUUCAACGAAAUAAUGGCUUGACCAUAUCGACAAGUUUACUCCAAUAUCAAUUGUCUCCCAGCACGAAUUUCACGCAUAAAUGGCUAAAUACUAGAAUGAAGAAAGAUAGUUCACAAAUCACACCAUGACUCAAGACUUUAAGCUUUUGCACUUCGGUUCAAAAGUAACUAGAAAAACACCUCCAAUUUUUCGUGAAGGAAAUAACUAAAUCACUCAUAUUGCAUAAUAGGUAUCAACGAUUCACUCUUCCGCUACCCAAGCAUUAAUUCUUUUAUUUCAGUCCUCACAAAUUAUGAUUGCUCUCUACUGAUAUUAAAAGCACUGCAUAAGGUGAGACUAGUACUCUCAAGUCUCAACCAACUUAGCCUUACAACAAAAACCUAGCAUUUGUUAGCAUCUUUAGUGUGCUUACUAUCUAAAAGUUGUUGGAGAAAACUCCUUUACUAUUUUGAAGUUGACAAAAAUUUUCCAAAAGUCUAGUCUGAAGACUUCCAGACUCUAGCGUCAAAGUUUGAAGACCGCCAGACUUUAGAUUCAAAGUUUGCCCACACUGACAAUUUCUAGACUGAAGAAUGAAGACUUAUCCAGAUGGAAGAUUAUCUUUAUUUCUUCAAGGAUUCGAUUCAUAUGGUUUAUGGAUAACCUUAUGGAUGGAUAUAACACGUACAUGAUUGAUUAUCUUUAUUGGAAUCAAUUCUGAUAUUCAAAUCUUUUGGAAGGCAAGCAAACUUGGAAGGUUCUACUUAUGGAAACCAAGAUCUUGAUUGUAUGGGCGAAUAGAAUUGACGGGCUUUCAUCACAAAUCGUCUAACGACUCGAGAUCUCUUUGAUUGAUUCUAUCCAACGAGUAGAUUGGAAGAAUUCCUUUGGAAAGUGCCAACGGUCGUGAAGGCAUGAAGGAGUAUUUAAGAUGGACUCUCCAGUUGUUCGAUAGUGAGCGUGAAAGAAAAAAUUCAAAAUUUGAAGCUUCUUAGUUCCUUGUUAUUCAUUGAGCUCAAAGUUGUAUACAAAAGAGAGAAACUCCUAGUGAGACUUUGUGAGAGACCAGUAGAGACUCUUCACUGAGAAGUCGAGAUCACAAGUUGUAAAAUCUCUUCUCAUUCUUAGUGAAAUCCAACCAAUGGAUAGUUAGCACGGGAGAGUUGACGUAGGCUUGAUCUAAGCCGAACCACUAGAAACCUUAUGUUCUUAUUCUCAUCCCUUAACUCCUUUAUUUUAUUUCGUAGCUUUAUUUAACUAUUCAAAACUGAAUUCUUUCAUAGUCUAUUAUCUUCUAUAAACAAAUUACUUCUACCGAAUCUUGCGAAAAUUUUUAUUCACACCUAUUCACACCUCUCUAGGUGUUGUUACUUGUCAUGUCCCAAUCCUUCGAGCCCGUGCCCAUCCUGCUUGGUCGAUAUAAUAGCGAUGUCCUAGGACGCAUUGCCGAUCCAUUUGUUUUAAUAUACGCAUGCGAAAGUAGAUAUAAAUCCCCAGACAAUAAAACAACGGGAUAGGAAAGUAGGGCCAACUUUUUGAAACCAUCACAACCACACUUAUAUAUACAUACAUAGCAAACCAUGUCAUAUAUCAUACAAGCUGGUCUAGGUAUGUAAACAUAUACAUAAAAGUGAGUCCUUAAACAGGGGGGUCUAGCCACCACGGCUACUCGUCCUCGUCAAACUCCUCUUGCUCCACAUCCUCAUCCUCAUUGGAGUCUUUUGCUAAGUACACCGAGGACUCUAACUCUUCCAGCUCCGGGUCCUUCGCGUCCUCCGCCGAACCAUCCUUAGGGUAUGCUGUACCCUUUCCAAAAGCAACCUCUAAAACGUAUAAAGGUACCUCAUUUUCCGGUACAAGGCCCACCCUUUGGCCAUGUGGCAUCUAGGAAUUUCAACCCGAAAUAUUGGUUUUGAGGGAAACGAUAUUUGACUUUGAAUGGCCAUAGGGACAAUUACAUCAUUGGCCACGGUAUUUUAUCUCUUGGACCGAACCCCUUAUGAAAACGUUAAUUGAUUAUGAGAAUGUUAAUUGAUUUCUAUAAAUAAAAAUCAAAAUCAAAUGCCCUAAAGUGGUGUAGGAAUUAUGGGCUAUUUAAAUUGGACAUAGGACGAUUUGAUAAAGAAGACUUUGUUCUUGACUAUACACUUUGUAGAUUUGAUGGAUUAAUGUCACAAAGUCUUUUGGCCAUUUUAUUAUGCAAUUAGAUAUUUAUUUAAAUGAGAAUUAAGAUGUAUUAUAAAAAAAUAAACUUGGGCCAUUUAAGUUUGGGCUUUAGGCCCAAGUGAGAUGGGCCUAAAGUGGGCCAUAAGCCCGGCCCAUGUCGUCGCAUGGAGGGGGAGGAGGAGGAGCCGCAUGGCCUCCAAGUGUCUUCAACAAAGGAGACACUUGUCUCCUUCUUAGGGACAAGUGUCCCCCAUGCAAAAUAAGAGUGCAUGCAAAUAUAUAUACAACCAAAAGAAAGAGAGAGAGGGAGUGGUCGGUCUAGGUGCCGAGAGAAAGGAGAGAAAGAGAGAAAGAGAGGAAGAGAGGAAGAGAGAAAGGAAGGAGGAGGUUCGUCGCCGCCAUGCCCCGCCGUCGAGCCCGCCUAGUCCCGCCGUCGUUCUUGCUGUGUUUUCCUUUGAAUUAAGGCAAGUUGCGAAUGAUUUCCACUUUUGCAUGUGUGCCUUGCAUGUGUGAUUUGUUGGUGGUAGGUUUCGGAUCAUAGGGUAGGCAAAACCGAAGCUAGAAUGUGACUUGUUCUUUUGUUUGCAUGCUGAUUUCGUGUGAACCGCCUGGACCAGAAUCUUGUGAGAGCUUGCAUGCAUGUUUUGAGUUGGAUUUUGACCUUUAUUUCUUCAUGAAAGUUGUAGCCAACAUCUUAAAAUAAAAAAUACUAAAAUUUGAGAUAAAAUGGUGGAGAUUUAAGGUGUCAAACCCUCAUCCUACGAAGACACUAGAUCUGGAACGAUUUCGCUGACCUUCUGGUAGAUUUGUGGUUGGAUGUCGAUUUUUAUCAAGAAUCUCUCUUCAACUUCUUCAUGAAAAUUGUAUAGAACAUCUUAAAUACUAACAUACUCAAAUUUGAAGUAAAAUGAGCAAGUGUAGCCUAGUGAAUCGACUUACUCUUGAAGACGGUAAAUCUGAAGACGCGGUACAGGACACCCGAGAUUUCAUGGACCCAUAUGGUGACUAUUCUUUGGAAAUUUGACUUAGAUCCCUUAAUGAAAGUUGUAGGGGACCUCUUGAAGUAAACCAUAUCCAAAUUUAAUAGGAAAUGAAAAAGAAUAAAUGGGUGAAAACUCGAUAUUUCGGAGACACCUACACUGGACGUUUCGGUGCGAGAACCAGAAGCUUCGUACGACUAUAGAAAAUGAUCUAAAACGAAUAUGGCCUAGAAGUCUUCACAAAAAUCUACUUUAGUGUCUUAGCUACAUCCUGGUAAAAUUUCAUAAUUUUCGGAGACCGUUCGGAUAUUUUAAUCGAAUUAUUUCGAAAACUGCACAUUCUGUUUCUAUCCGAAAUUGCAUGCUGUAUUUGUGUGGAUUAUAUCUUUUGUGUGGAACUCUAUUGGGCAUGUAUUUUUCAUGAAAUUAUUGUCUUAUUGCCUUGUCUAUCCCAUGUCCUGAUUUCAUGAUUUUUGAGAAUCAUAUGGAUAUUUAAUUUAAAUGUUUUCUAAAAUGGUACAAGCUGGAAUUUAGUAAACUUCAAAAAGGCAUGAUAAAUGGACUAUUCUAAAUUGUAUGGACUCCAUGAAUUGUAUUGUUAUGAAUGAUUGUGUCUUGCUGCAUAUAUGAUGAUGAUUGGAGAUGCAUGUAUGAAUCAAAUGAUGAAAAUGAUCUUGAUUGCCAUCACAUCACAUGCCAUGUUGAAAUUGAGCCAUAAUUGUGAAUGUGAAAUUGAAAAUGAGAUGUAUGAGAAUAUGCAUCGUGGUGAUGAGAAGACGGUUGGAGGUGUGAGCCGACGAUGCUUCGGGAGUGUCGAGAUGUCCGGUGGUAUACGGUACGUAAUUUCAGGGGAGGCCUGGUGGUAUGUCGGUACGUAAUUCCGGAGGGCAGGGGAAACCAUUUUCAUGGCGAGCCCCGGAGAUUCCCCGGGAGUGUCGGGAUGCCUGGUGGUAUACGGUACGUAAUUCCAGGGGAGGUUUGGUGGUAUCUCGGUACAUAAUUCCGGAAGCUCAGCAGGUAUUGUGCCGAGGGAUACCUCGCGAUGCUAAAUGGGAUGCGAGAUGCCUGGCUAGAAGGGUACGGCCGAUUGCCCAGUAGGUAUUGUGCUGGAGGGUCCUCGUGAUGCUAGUUGGGAUACGAGAUGCCCAGAGCGUGGAGGUGCCGGAUGCCCUGUAGCACCCCGAACCCUUCGGCGGUCGCCACAAGCAUCGAUGUUACGCCUUAUUACCUUUUUCUAUCUUGUACUUAGAACAAGCGUCGUUAAUCACAGGCUUUUUUUUUUUUUAAAGCGGUCCCAGCGCGACUCAUAGCGGAAGCAAAUUAAACAUCACCAUCUAUCCCCCUACCAAUCCAUGAUACCAAUACACACCAGCUAAACAUCAGGAUUUUAUAACCAAGCUUCGACACUUUACUUACAUACAUAUAUGACAAGAUGGGAUUCCCUUCGGGUCGGUAUAACAAAAGGAAAAGCUAGGACUUAGCCACGUCUAGCCUAAAACCUGAAAAAGAAACCCUCGACCCUCAACAUCAUACGAGUACAGACCCCCAUCGAAAGUGUCGACUAUCUACAUCAAAAAGAUCCAGCUCCUACUCAUCGCGCGCAGGUCUCACACCCAACCCGGUGCAUCAGGCGGUGGCGGCGGCAACAUCCCUCGCAUCGCUCCAUCCCGACGAACGUGCACAGAAAUGAACUCCUGAAUGACAGGGCCCCCAGCCAGGCCUAUGUCGUACAUCACUAGACAGCGUACUCGAAUAAAAGUCAGUCCGGGAACAGAGGGAUAGUCUAUCUCGGCACACUCGACCUCUACAUCGGAUGGUAGACCAUAAAACACCCCCCGCGUGACGGCAGGAAGCGGCAUACUGCUAAUCUGAAAUGUUAUUCCCCAAAAGGGGUGAGUACAACCACUCAGCAAAUAGAGAAAUCCAAUAACAACUCAAUGCACCAUGCACAUCAUCAUACGUUGCAGGCAUUACUUACCUUGAAGUCAUGCGCAUACUAUCAUGUAUCAUCAUAUCAAUUCAUAACACAUUCACAUGUAUUAUCAUUGUAACAUGCAUGUCAUGAUCAUCAUGACAUCAUUACANNNNNNNNNNNNNNNNNNNNNNNNNNNNNNNNNNNNNNNNNNNNNNNNNNNNNNNNNNNNNNNNNNNNNNNNNNNNNNNNNNNNNNNNNNNNNNNNNNNNNNNNNNNNNNNNNNNNNNNNNNNNNNNNNNNNNNNNNNNNNNNNNNNNNNNNNNNNNNNNNNNNNNNNNNNNNNUAUAAUAUCAUGGGUGAUCAUCAUUAUUUCACAUCACAUACCAUCAUCAUCAUCAUCAUCAUCAUGCAUAUCAUCAUGCAUAUAAUAUCAUGCGUAUCAGGUCAUGAUUUAAAUUUUUCAUCUUUAUCUUUAAAUUUGAUCACCACAUCACCCAUUUCUCAAUUCAUCAAUUUCAUCAUCCCUUCGAGCAAAGACCUCCGACAGGGUUCCCAGCAUUCAGCCUCCCAGGCCACCUGGCUUCCGGUCCCCCACAUUCCGGGCAUCUCGCAUCUCAACUAGCAUCACGAGGCAUUCCCUUCGGGCAGAAACCUCCGACAGGGCUUCCGGCCUUUACCCUUCUAGCCAGGCAUCUCACACUCCAAUCCUGGCAUCGCGAGGCAUUCCCUUCAGGCAGAAACCUCCGACAGGGCUUCCGGCCCCCCACAUUCCGGGCAUCCUGAAUCUCCCAGGGAAUUUCGGCAAUGCAUCUCUAUACAUUCCGGCCUCAUCCUCCACCACAACCACUUACUCACUUAUCAUUAUCCACAUUCAUCAUUUUGAUUUCAUUAUUACAUGACAUACGAUUCACACAUGCAUCACAACUCAUGGUCAUACAUACACCAAUGUCGUAUCAUACAUGUAACAAUGCAUAAUUAUUUAUUAAUAAAUUCAAUGGAAUUUAUGGCCAAUAAAAUAAUCCCCCUUUUAUUUUAUUAUUAUUAAUUUAAUUUAAUUUAAUUAUCAUAUUUAUUUAUUUUCAUAAAUAAAUAUUAAAUUCAAUAUCUAUAAUUUCCCAAAAUCAUGAAAUUCAAUUUAAUCAUUAAAAAAACCAAUAGGAUGACAUUUUCAUGCAAAAUUCAUGGCCAAAUUGAAUUUCACACAAUUUCACAAUUUCCACAAAAUAGCACAUAAUAUUCGGAUAAUAACCAGAAUGCACAGUUUCUAAAUAAAUUCGAUUAAAAUAUUCAUACGGCCUCCAAAAAUUACGAAAUUUUACAGGAUGAUAGCCAAGACAUUUUCGUACCACUUUCAUGAAGAACGCCAAGUCAGAUUCCUUAUAGAUUAUUUUAUUCAACCUCACGAAGCUUCUGGAACCCUUACCGCAUUGUCCAGAAUACACAUCUCCGAAAUAUUAAGAUUUCACCCAUCUAUUCUCUUUCGUUUCCUCUGAAAUUUGGAUAUGUUAUGUAUCGAGGUGUCCUUUACAAGUUUCAUGAAGAGAUUUAGGUCAAAUAACCAAAGUAUGGUCACCAUUUGGGUCCAUGAAGUCUCGGGUGUCUCGGAACACAUCACCAGAAUCAUCGUCUCCAAGAUCUAGCCGAUUUACUAGGCUAUACUGGUUCAUUUCUCUUAAAAUUUGAGUAUGUUGUAUUUUAAGGUGUUACAUACAACUUUCAUAAAGACAUCGAAGUCAAAUCUUCAACAAAAAUCAACAUGCAAUCAAGAAUCCAACAAGAGGUCAGUGAAAACUUCACAGAUCUGGGGUCUCCGUAGAAUAGGACUUUGACCCCUCAUAUCUCCAUCAUUUUCCACGAAAGUUCAGUAUGUUGUAGUACAAGAUGUUAAAUACAACUUCCAUGAAGACAUCGAAGCCAAAAUUGGACUCCAAACACACAUGCAAGCUCAAACAAGUUACUGACUCCCACAACCCGAGCAAGAACAGUCACCCGACUUAAGAACAAGCCAACCUUACCUCGGUUUUUCUCACUAAAAACACCCAAAAUCUAACAUGCAAACAAUAUACAAGCAUGCAAGAGAAGUUAGAGGACUCCACUUGCCUCUAGGAUGGACAAACGACGGCGUACGGUGGUCGGACACGGCGGUGACGGCGACUCUCUCCUUCCUUUCUCUCUCGGCCGCUCCUCCUCUCUCGCACACCUCUCUCUCUCGCACGGUGUCUCUCUCUCUCUCUCUCUCUCUCUCUCUCUCGGCCAAAUGGAGUAAACCGGCCACUCUCCUCUCUCUCUCUCUUUUUAUUUCCCCAUCUUCUCAUGAUUAGCAAUCAUGAGAUUGCCUACAAACCCACCAAUGCAUGGCCUUCCCCUUUGCCACUUGUCUUGAUCCAUGCAUGGGCCGGCCACCUCUUCCUUUGGGCCUUAAUGGGCCGGUCGAAUUCCCUCUUGGGCCGACUAGCUUGGCCCACCAAGCUUAGGCCAAUGGGUCCAAGGCCCAUUCGAAAAUUAACCUCCUUUUUCCUUUUUUUUUUUUGAAUUCCUUUCUAUAAUUAUUUUUAAAUUUCAAUCUUCAUCUUGGCCAAAGUCUUAGGGCAUCUUGGUUAUUGAAAUUUAAUUUAUAAAGUACAUGGCCAAGCAUAAAUUAUUAAUCCAUCAAAUAUAAAUUCUCACAACCAUAAGCACAAAUCAUCUAAUUAAAAGACUAAUGGCUAAAGCAUAAGCCAUGGAAAUUCUAUCACCUAAUUAAAGACUUUAACACACCUUAUGGCUUGGCUUUGAAUUCUUGGGAUGCCACAUGCCCGGUGGAAAUUGUGCCGGAGGGUUCUCGCAAUGCCAGGAUUGGGCACGAGUGAUGAAUGUGGGAUGCAAACAUUGGUCCCGGGAAAGAGAAAUGUGGCGGUCCAAUAUGAAAAGAUAAAAUUGAGAAAUUGAAAUUGAAAUAUGCAUGAUGAUAUAUGCAUGACAUGAUGAUAUGUGCAUGGAUGCAUGGUAAUGAUGAUGGCACGUGUGAUAUGAUGAUGAUAUGUGCAUGGAUGCAUGGUAAUGAUGAUGGCACGUGUGAUAUGAUGAUGAUAUGUGCAUGGAUGCAUGGUAAUGAUGAUGGCACGUGUGACAUGAUGAUGAUAUGUGCAUGGAUGCAUGGUAAUGAUGAUGGCACGUGUGACAUGAUGAUGAUAUGUGCAUGGAUGCAUGGUAAUGAUGAUGGCACAUGAUGAUGAUGAGUGCAUGGAUGCAUGGUAAUGAUGAUGGUACAUGUGACAUGAUGAUGGUAAGUAUAUGGCAUGAUGGUGAUGACUAUAUGAUGAUGUAUGUACAUGAGGUGUGAUGACAUGUGCAUGAUAUCAAGGUAAAUUGUGCAUGGAUGCUUUAAUGACAUGUAAUGCUAUGAUUGUGAUGAUUGUGGGGCAUGAUGCAUUGAGUGGUUUAUUGAUCCUUUACCUGCGGAGUGGCUGUACUCACCCCUUUUGGGGACCAACAUUUCAGAUUAGUAGAUGGAUUAAGCGGUUGGAUAUGACCGCCAGGAGAAGGAUAGCAAAUGAGGGAACUUUUGGACGCCGACACUGGUUGAUGGACCUUAAGCAUACGAUUGUGGGAGGAGAUGUCGGUCAUCUUGAAGUAUAGCCUAGUAUAGAAAACUAUGGCAUUUUGAUGUACCGAUGAAUGAUGUCCAUAUGGUUUAAAUGAAUAAAAGUGUACGGCUUUUACCUAUAAAUGUUUAGUUGGUGUGCAUCGUUUUCUGAACAUAGGGAGUUGAUGGAUGUGCUUCCGCUAUAUGAAUUGCGCAAGGGACCGAUGAAAAAAAAAAUGUGUAAACCCCCAGGUUGUAUGGACCCACUGCAAUAGAAAUGGUAUCAAAGUGACAUAUGAUUAGGGAAAGUGAAAGGUAAGCAAACUGUGGCGACCCUAUCGGAUCGGGAGCCGUCGAGGGGUGCCACAGGCCAUUAUGGUAAUGGCGAUACCAUGAUCGAUAUCGAUGGGGCACCUUAUGGGGUAAUCCCGCAUCGACCCAAACGGUGGAUUUCACCAACACAUAUUCAAGACCCUUAGGGUGUCUGUGUAUAGGAAUGUGGUAACUCAUUUCAGUGAACUUUUUAGGUUGUCCAAAAUGAUUCGGCGGAGCUACCAUCUACGGGCUUGAAAUGUUGUCCCACAACGGGGUGAGAUGACGUCUCAGCGAGUUCUACCCGCUAAGACCCGAUUAGGAAGAAAAUAUGCCUUAAGGGCUGCCUAAGCACAACCACAAGUCAGAGGACUUACCUUAGCCUUAGUUCCUCCCUUCAAGUUAGUUCAAUUCAUAAAUACUGACAAACAAAACACCCAAUCAAUUCAGAUCGAAUCAUCGAUCAAUCGAUUCAGUCGAUUGCAUGUCAACAAGACCACUCCCCGGUCAUCACAAGUAUUCCAUCUCAAUUCUCAAUCACAGCUCAACGAGUAGGGUCUAUCAAAUUCUCAACUAUAAAUCACAGUCCAAGGGAUACAACUUAUCUUAGGUGGUAAUCACGGCCCAAUGGGCACAACCUUUAAUAGGUGGUAGAUCAUGGCCCGAUUGGGCACAACCUCUAACAUAUGACAAAUCACGGCUUGAUUGGGCACAACCUCUAAUAGGUGUUAAAUCACAGCCCGAUUGGGCAUAACCUCUAAAAUGUGGCAAAUCACGGCUUGAUUGGGCACAACCGAUCCUAAUUCGGUGGCGAAUCUCGGCCCAAUUGGCACAGCCAUACUUCGACAGUUUUCUAGGUUCAACUCACAAUCUCUCAUGGUUCUUUUCCAUCCAAGUACCGACAAUCUACAAUUUUGGGAUAAAUUCCCAUAAUCCUCAAUUUCACUCAAUUUUCACAAACUUGUACUCAAUUAAAUAAACGGAAAGCACCAUUGCAAUCAGCACAAAAUUUCGGUCAUCGGCCUCCCGGUUGAAUUUCGGGAAAAUAAAUAAAUAAAUAAUUAAUUACAAAAAAUUAAUAAAUAAAUACAAUAAAUAGCAUAAAUGCUAACUUACACUCGAUAAAGCCUAAUUGGAAGUCGAGACGAGCCCGGAAAAUUUCCUAACCACUAUAGUUAAAUACUAGAGCUUGUCUAGGCUCUAAUUGCACUAACUAUCCACCUAACAUGCCAUCACAAUUAAUUAAAUUCAUUAAUCUAAUCUAAUCACACCACCUAAUCCAUCUUAGCCUAAAUUAAUCAAAAUCCCUAAGCAUAAUUAACUUACUAAGCGAUGAUUAGUGAGUUAAACUCACUUGUUUCGCGAUCCGUUCGGCUCAAUUGACGGGGAUGCCGCGGGGGACAACUUUCUCCAAAGCGGGCCUAACUUUUGGAGUCGAGAACAACCUCAAAACGGACCAAGAUUCUUGCUGGAAACCCAUUGAUUUGCUCUCUAUUUGGGGCUGAACUUAGCUUAAAAAGGGGCUCGGUUGGCCGGUUGAGGCGGAGACCGGUGAAGGCGAGGCAGACAGUUCGGCGAGGGCAAGUAGAGGCCGAACGGGAGCCCACAACGGCUCAGGCAGCGGGGCAACUUGUAAUCGGGUCAAGGCUCCUCCUAGGUACAUGGCGGAGCUAGAAUAGCGGUCCGAGAUGGUGGGGAUGCAUGCAUGGGUAGGCGAGGCGAGACAGGCUCUCGCGAGUAGUUCGGCGGGCUUCAACGGUGGCGUACGACGGUCUAAGCGGCUGCUGGCUUCUCCUCUGGAGUUCUGGAUUUCAAGCAGCAGAAAUGGAGAUGGGAAAGGGGGUUGCUCGACUGCUUGAAGGGGGGAGUGGACUGGUUCAGCAAGUGGGAUUGGUUUUGGUCCCCUUGACCGGUUUGUCCCCAUCCUUUUGGUCUCCCACCACCAGUUGGUGUCCACCCAUGAUUUUCAGAGCCAAUUGCCCUCUUCUAGAAGCUUGGGAUGGUCCAAAAUGUUGGCUCCAUGGGGUGUUACGAAUUUCAUGGGUUUUAGCUACAAUUGGACACUAAUUGCUUCUCAAUUCUAUCCAAUUUGGCUCUCAAAAAUUCAAUUAGCACCUCAUUGAUCAAGUUGGUAUUUUUCCUCACCAAUUGAUCCCACUUGCUUCCCAAUCGUGCAUUCAAAAACAGUUCUAACUUUUUCUGGACAUAAACGGCCCUAGGACGACUUUUUCCCAAAAAGUCUCGGUUUGCAGAAAAAUCUUCGCAGGCUAAGUCGACGUUCCUAAAAUGACCUAUGACAUGAUAGAAUUUUCAAUUUUUGAAAUUGGAUUCAAAUUUGCGGUUAAUUUUACUCUGGUGCGAUUUUAGCGUGACCUAACCCACCGGAUAGCUUUCAAAACUUUUUAGUGCAAAUGAUCCGUGGUCGAUUUUCUUCGAGCCAUAAUGAACCUCUUCGACACAUUGGCGACUCUCGAUGGUCGUGAAAAUCUCAAGAUUUUGAAUACGAACACAGGGUAUCAAAACGAUAGAAAAAUCAAACUUGUGCCAAUCGAUGAGAAUUUUUGCAAUUUAGUGGGAUCACCUACGUUUAACCACUCAUCUCAGUCGAACCGACCUAUCUCUGAUCUCUAAUCGAUUUACAUCUAUGCUGUAAUGUUCUCGACAGAUGAGCACGGUUGAGCAGCCGAUUCCUAGUCGAAUUCUCAAGUUUAUUUGCCUUAAAAUCCUUUAAUAACUUCCCCAGAUAGUCUAGUUAUCUCACGAAUGAUCAGCUUUGAGAAUAGCACUAUAGACACGUCGAUGAAAUGCCUAAUUUAUUCAUUUGAAAACAAGAUCGAAAAUCUAGGAUGUCACAACUUUUCCCCUCUUAUAAAAAUUUCGUCCUAGAAAUUUAAACCUUACAAUACUUAAGCAAAAAGGUGGGGGUACAAACGUCUCAUCGACUCUUCAAUCUCCCAGGUUGCUCCUUUAGUACCGUGGUGUUGCAAGACCACUUUGACCAUCGGGAUGGUCUUUGUACGCAGAACUUGCUCUUUUAUGUCCACGAUCCGAACUAGGCUUUCGACCUAUGACACUCGGUCAUCCACGUCCAAUUCUUCAAAAUUAAGCACAUAGAUUGGGUCAAGCUCGUACUUCCUCAAAAUCGACACAUGAAAGACGUCGUGCACUUGCACCAAUGUUGGCGGCAACACAAGACGAUACACCAAAGUCUCGAUUCUCUCAAGAAUCUCAAAUGGACCUACGUACCUCGGACUCAGUUUUCUUUCUUGCCAAAGUGCGAAGUUCCCCUCAUUAGUGACACCUUCAGAAAAACGUGAUCACCAACUUGGAAUUCCAAAAGCUUUCAACGCUUAUCUGCGUAGUUUUUCUGACGACUCUGAGCAGUCUUUAAUCUGCCUCUAAUAACUGCCACGGCAUCCACUGAUUACUGAACUAACUUUGGGCUUGUAAUCUUUCUUUCCCCAGCUCCAUCCCAACACACCGGUGUUCUACAUGCUCGGCCAUACAAUGCUUCAAAUGGAGCCAUCUGGAUGCUCUGCUGAUAACUAUUGUUUUAGGCGAAUUCCACAAGAUGAAGUUGUUCCUUCCAACUUCGUUUAAAGUCCAAUACACAAGCUCGCAGCAUAUCUUCUAGGGUCUGAAUUAUCCUCUCAGAUUGGCCAUCCGUCUAUGGAUGAUAUGCUGUACUAUACUGAAGCUUUGUACCUAGAGCACUCUACAAGCUCUUUCAAAAAACGGUAGUAAAUCUUAGGUCUCGAUCCGAUGUUAUCGUAAUUGGUACUCCAUGCAAUCGAACUAUCUGACGCACAUAUAAUUCAGCGUGCCUAUCCAAGUCAAGAUCCUUUCGCAUUGCAAUAAAGUGAGCCGACUUUGUCAACCUGUCGACUAUUACCCAAAUCGAAUCAUUACCCCUUUGACUCAUUGGUAACCUGGUCAUGAAAUCCAUCGUGAUAUGCUCCCACUUCCACUCUAGGAUCUCAAGAGGUUGCAAGAGUCCUCCUAGCUUGCAAUGUUGAGUUUUGAUCUGCUGAUACGUCAAACACUUGGUGACAUACCUGGCGAUGUCUGCCUUCAUACCUGACCACCAAUAGUGCUGGCGCAGAUUUUGAUACAUCUUGGUACUUUUGGGAUGAAUGCUAUAACUACUCCGAUGAGCUUCUGAUAAAAUAUCAUCUCUAAGCUUCGCAUCGUUAGGUAUAACCAAUCGUCCCUGGAACUUCAGUGUUCCAUCAUCAUAAACCCGGAAAUCAACUUUCCUCUCCUCGAUAUCCUUUUGUAAAAUUUUCUGAACAUUUGGGUCUGUCGGCUGGAGUAGCUUAAUCCUGAUCUGCACAUCCGGCUCAAUUAUGAGGGUAGCCAUAAGAUUAGAAAGGUGGCCUACCUCAAAUUUGAACAUCGAAUCUCGAGGUUGCUUGAUUAGAUCCCACUCCUUAACCAACAAAUGAGCAAUUGACGACUUUUGGCUUAAAGCAUUGGCAACCUUAUUCGCCUUUCCUUGGUGAUAUAAAAUAUCACAAUCGUAGUCCUUCAGUAAUUUCAUCCAUCGAUGUUGUCUCAUAUUCAGUUCAUUAUGAGAGAAUAAGUACUUGAGAGUCUGAUGGUCCAUGAAGAUCUGAAAUUUUUCUCCACAGAAGUAAUGUCUCCAAAUAUUCAACGCAAAUAUGAUAGCUGCGAGUUCCAAGUCAUGCGUAGGGUAAUUCAAUUCAUGAGGCCUCAAUUGGCGGGAGGCGUAUGCAACAACCUUACCAUAUUGCAUCAACACGCAACCUAGUCCUCUAAACGACGCAUCACUAUAGAUCUCGUACCUUCCAGGACCUGAUGGAAUCGUCAGCAUAGGUGCGGUAGUUAGCUUUUGCUUCAGUUCUUGAAAACUAUCCUCACACUUGUCUGUCCAUACAAACUUCUCGUCUUUCUUCAGGAGUCUUGUCAAAGGAGACGCCAAAGCUGAAAAUCCUUCCACAAACCUUCUCUAAUAACCUGCCAAACCCAGAAAACUUCAGAUUUCUAUCACGGUAGUCGGUCUCGGCCAGUUGAUCAUUGCUUCAAUCUUGCUUGGGUCCAUAGAGAUUCCUUCGCUUGAAAUCACGUGCCCUAAAAUCGCAAUACGAGUCAACCAAAACUCGCAUUUGCUAAACUUAACAUACAGUUGGUGGAUCCUUAAGGUUUGGAGCACUAAUCUCAAAUGGUCCUCAUGCUCCUCAGCACUUCUCAAAUACACCAGAAUAUCAUCGAUGAACACGAUCAUAAACUGAUCCAUAUAUUAUUUGAAUACUCGAUUCAUCAAAUCCAUGAAAGCAGCUGGAGCAUUCGUCAACCCGAAUGGCAUCAUAGUGAACUCGCAAUGACCAUACCGAGUACGAAAUGCUGACUUUGGAAUGUCUUCUUUUCUGAUCCUUAGCUAAUGAUAUCCUGUCCUCAAGUCGAUUUUCGAAAAUAUCGAUGCUCAUUGUAACUGAUCAAACAAGUCAUCGAUCCUCGGCAAUUGAUACUUGUUCUUGAUCGUCACCUGAUUGAAUUGCUGAUAGUCGAUGCAUAAGCGGAACGAACCAUCUUUCUUAUUUACAAAGAGAACUGGUGCUCCCUAAGGUGAUGCACUGGGACGUAUGAAUCCCUUAUCCAACAAUUCCUGCAUCUGCACCUUCAGUUCCUUCAACUCUGAUAGUGCCAUCCGGUAAGGAGCCUGAAAGAUUGGCUUAGUCCCAGGUGCUAACUCAAUCACGAACUCAAUUUCUCUCUCUGGCGGUAAUCCUAGCAAUUCCUUCAGGAAUACAUUUGGAAAUUCUUGUACAACGGAAAUAUCUUCAAUCUAACCACCUGUGGCGGCAGCGUAGUAGUUGAGCGUAGGUUCCUUUCGGGAGAGGUCCUGAUUUCGAAUCACUAUGUCGUCUGCCUUGCGAGAAAGGAACCCAUGACUUACCCGGGGCAGCAAGGGUGGUGGUGACUCUACUGCUCCUCCAUGGUUUACUCCGCCGCGAAGCGGCGCACGGAGGUUCCUUGGGUACCAAAAAAAAAAAAUAUAUCUUCAAUCUUCAGCUCCUUAACUGUUGUAUCCACAACAGUCGCCAGGUAACCUUGACAACCUUCGUCUAACAAACGGGUUGCCUCUUGCGACGAGAUUAGGAAAAUUGAGGGUCCUCCUCAAUUCCCUACAAACUUGAAGCUCUCACCCUUUAAUGGGUUAAAUUAAAUUGACUUGCGAUAGCAGUCUAUUUUUGCCCGUUGCUUGGUGAGUCAGUCCAUGCUAAUUAUCAAAUCAAAGUCAUACAUGGCUAGGACUAAUAGAUCUAUUUUCCCCUCUUACUCACCAAUCUCUAACUUGCAACCAGAACAACCCAAAGCAGCUAACACCUUAUCCUUUAAUGGUGUAGAUAUGCUAACAACAGAUUCUAGCAAUUCAGGAUUUAAUCCUAUCAACUUAACAAAUUGCUUAGCAAUAAAGGAAUGGGUUGCUCCUGGAUUGAAUAAAGCAUAAGCAGGAUGGUUAUUCUGCGAAACCAUACCUGUGAUCACGUUAGGCGCAGCCUCUGCCUGACCUUGAGUGAUGGCAUACACCGUGCCUUGAACUGGGGGUCGAAGCUGUCCUUCUUGCAGUGCAUUUUGAGGCACAUACCCUCUGAUCUGACCUAACGGUGGUGGCAACGGCAACUGUUGAGGUCUCCCCUGUCUCCAGGGACAAUUCUGGGCUAUGUGACCCUGCUGGUGACAUUCAAAAUAGGCGCCCGUCCUUCGGGGGCACUGGUUCGCUCCAUGUCACCUUCCACAAGCGUGACAUAACUCAAAUCGGUUUGACCCCGACUUAUCAAUUCCACCCUUCCUAUUGGGCAGAAUCUAAAUCUACCCCCAGUCAUGGGCUUCUUUCCCUAACAAAUUCCUUCUCUAAGAGAACUAAACCUCGACCUAGACGAGGCAACUUGCUCAUUCAAUCCUCUCUUUAUCAUUUGAGCUCAACGGUAGACUUCUUGAAAAUCAGUCAAAUCCAACGGCAGCAACGGUUGCUUUAGUUCAGAACGAAGGCCGUUCGUGAACCUUCUAGCUUUUUCCUUAGGGUCUUCAAUCAACCUCGGAGCAUACUGAGAAAGCUCUACGAACUUGGCCCCAUAUUGGUCAAUAGUCAUACUCCCUUGGUGGAGACGUUGGAACUCCUCCAUCUUUUGUUCUCAAGCACUACCCGAGAAGUACUGAUCGUUGAAGCUUUGAGGAAGGUGUCCCACACCGAGACCACACCUUCCGGGAAUACCGUAUCCUUGGCAACUCUCCACCAAAUGUUUGCACUGCCUUGAAGUUGGUACACAGCCAGUACCACCUUCUCCUUUUCAUUACACAUCAGAAGUGCAAAUGCUUUCUCGAGAUCCUGAAUCUAGAGUGACACGACUUCAGGGUCUCCCUUGCCAAUGAACCUCGGAGGGUUCAGCUUAAAGAAUUAUUCCACUAACUUAUGAAUCGGCCUUCCAGCGGCCACAUUCCCAAGUGGAACUUCAGUAGGGGUGACGAUAGGUGCAGCAAUAGGUGUGGCAGUGGGGGCGGCCUCAGUAGUGGCAGCAACAGCAGCAGUAGAGGCAGCUUGAGCGGCAGCUGCAAUAGCGGCGAUAAAGGUGGCAGCUUGAUCCCGGGCCUACUACCCCAUCAACUCUCUCAUGGCAUCCAAGGUCUGAUUGAUCCCGAUAAUUCCUUGCUCACCUGGGGUUGCUACCCCAGCACCCAUGGGAGGUGGUGCUACUCCACUGGCACUGGCCUGUGUCGGUGUCCUACCUCUGCCUCCUUGGGUACCGACCCUAGUCAGUGUCCUAACUCGAGUCGCAGGCCCGACAGAUCUUUUACUCGGAGUUCUCUGCUCCUGCUCGCUCAUGGUUCAGUUUUUCUACUGAAACCUGUUUCCUAAUUCGGUCACGAAUCUUGGCCUAAUUGGCACAGCCAUACUUCGGCAAUUUUCUAGGUUCAACUCACAAUUUCUCAUGGUUCUUUUCCAUCAAAGUAAUGACAAUCUACAAUUUUAGGAUAAAUUCCCAUAAUCCCCAAUUUCACUCAAUUUUCACAAGCAUGUACUCAAUUAAAUAAACGGAAAGCACCACUACAAUCCACACGAAAUUCCGAUCACCGGCCAUCUCGGUUGAAUUUUGGGAAAAUAAUUAUAUAAUUAAAUAAUUAAUAAAAUUAAUUAAUAAAUACAAUAAAUAGCAUAAAUGCUAACUUAGGCCCGAUAAAGCCUAAUUGGAAGUCAAGACGAGUCCAGAAAAUUUCCGAACCAGAACUAGAGUUUGUCUAGGCUCUAAUUGUACUAACUAUCUACCUAACAUGCCAUCACAAUUAAUUAAAUUCACUAGUUUAAUUUAAUGUAACCACCUAAUUCAUCUUAGCCAAAAUUAGUCAACUCCUAAGCAUAAUUAACCUACUAAGCAAGGAUUAGUGAGUUAAACUCACUUGUUUCGCGAUCUGGUUGGCUCAAAUCGACGAGAACGCUGCGAGGGACAACUUUCUCUAAAGCGAGCCUAACUUUUGGGGAGAACAACCUCAAAACGGACCAAGACUCUUGCUGGAAACCCACUGAUUUGCUCUCUGUUUGGUGGCUGAACUUGGCUGAAAAAGGGGCUCGGUUGGUUGGCUGAGGUGGAGAUCGGCGAAGGCUAGGCAGAUGGUUUUGCGAGGGCAAGUGGCGACUGAAUGGGAGCCCACGGCGGCUCAAGCAACAGGGUAACUUGCAAUCGGGUCGAGGCUCCUCCUGGGUACAUGGCGGCCGGAACAGUGGUGCGAGACGGUUGGGACGCAUGCGUGGGUAGGCGAGGAGCGACGGGCUCUCGUGGGCGGUCCGGCGGGCUUCAACGGCGGCGUACGACGGUCUAGGCAGUUGCUAGCUUCUCCUCUAGAGUUCUGGACUUCAAGCAGCAGAAAUGGAGAUGGGAAAGGGGGUUGCUCGACUACUUGAAGGGGGGAGGGGACCAGUUCAACAAGUGGGACUGGUUUUGGUCCACUUGACUGGUUUGUCCCCAUCCUUUUGGUCUCCCACCACCAGCUGGUGUCCACCCAUGAUUUUCAGUCCCAAUUGCCCACUUCUAGAAGCUUGGGAUGGUCUAAAAUGUUGGCUUCAUGGGGUGUUACGAAUUUCAUGGGUUUUGACUACAAUUUGACACAAAUUGCUUCUCAAUUCAAUCCAAUUUGGCUCUCAAAAAUUCAAUUAGCACCUCACUGAUCAAAUUGAUAUUUUUCCUCAUCAAUUGAUCCCACUUGCUUCCUAAUUGUGCAAUCAAAAUCGGUCCUUGAUUUUUUCGGGACAAAAACGGCCCUAGGAUGACUUUUUCCCAAAAAGUCUCGGUUUGCAGAAAAAUCUUCGAAGGCUGAGUUGAUGUUCUUAAAAUGACCUAUGACAUGACAGAACUUUCAAUUUUUGAAAUCAGAUUCAAAUUCGUGGUUAAUUUUACUCUGGCGCGAUUUUAGCGUGACCUAGGCCACCGAGUAGCUUUCAAAAUUUUUUAAUGCAAAUAACCCGUGAUCGAUUUUCUUCGAGCCAUAAUGAACCUCUUCAACACAUUGGUGACCUUCGGUGGUUGUGAAAAUCUCGAGGUUUCAAGUACGAACACAGGGUACGAAAAUGAUAGAAAAAUCAAACUUGUGCCGAUCGAUGAGAAUUGUUGCAAUUUAGUAGGAUCACCCACAUUUAACCACUCAUCUCCCUCGAACCAACCUAUCUCUGAUCUCUAAUCAAUUUAUAUAUGUGCCGUAAUGAUCUCAGCAGAUGAGUACGAUCAAGCAGCCGAUUCCUGGUCGAAUUCUUAAGUCUAUUUGCCUUAAAAUCCUUUAAUAGCUUCCCUAGAUAAUCUAGUUAUCUCACGAGUGAUCAGCUCUAAGAACAGCAAAAUAGGCGCGUCGAUGAAAUGCCCGAUUUAUUCAAUUGAAAAUAGAAUCGAAAAUCUAGGAUGUCACAUUACUAGCCAUUUCAAUUGGUAUCAGAGCCUACGUGCUUAUUUAUUGAAGUGUUUUUACUUCUUAAGCUAAAGAUCUAUGGCUAGUAUUUUGGCUCCAGGUUUGGUUGAAGGCCAAAGCAACACCAGACCUCCUUACUUUGAUGGGAAGGAGUACAAUGUGUGGAAGAACAAGGUGAAGGCAUUCAUGAGGUCGAAGGAUCCCCUAGAAUGGGAUAUGGUAGAAAAAGGGAUCAAUCCUAAAGCUACAUCAACCUCAGAAAGAAGAAAGGAAGUUGUAGAUGCUGGCGAAUUGACACAAGCAGAAUUAACCAAGAGACAAGCUCUUAAUGCUAAAGCAAUCUACUCCUUAUAUUAUGCUUUAUCUCCUACAAAGUAUAACCAAAUUUCUUCUUGUGAAAUAGCAAAAGAAGUUUGAGACAAGUUGCAUGUUACCUAUUAAGGAACUGAUCAAGUUAAAGAAACGAAGAUCAAUAUCCUACUCGGACAGUAUGAUGCCUUCAAGAUGAAGCCUAGAGAAUCCAUCACCGAUAUGUUCAAUCGCUUCACAGAGAUUGUAAACGGCAUAGCAUAUCAAGGAUAGCAAAUCUCAUGAUCAAUGAAGGUUAAUAAACUGCUCCGUGGACUCUCCAAAGAUUUGAAUCAUGUGAAGACAUCAAUUAGAGAAACCUAGAGGAUCAUGCCUCUUUCAGUUGACGAACUAGUUGGCACAGAUGAUGAAGAGCUAGCGCUCAUGAUUAGGAAGUUCAGAAAGCUGAACAGGAAAGGAAGAAAAUUAAACUGGAAAAAGCAGAGCACUCAAAAAUUCCAGAAGAAACCAACUACGGACAAUGAAACUAACAAAGAUGUGAUAUGCUUCGAAUGCAAGAAAAAAAGGGCACAUCAGACCCAACUGUCCUCUGUUGAAGAAAAAGAAAGGAAGAACAAAGAAAUACAAAAAGGCUCUCAAAAUAGAGACAUGGAGUGAUACCGAAUGCGAGGAAAGUGAUAAAGAAUAUACCAACAUAUGUCUAAUGGCCAAUUCAGAAUUAGACUUAGACUUUGAAACAGAUUCUGAUUCAGACUCAGACAAAAAAGUUGAGGUUAGCAAUUUCAAAAUUCCUAUUAAAGUCUCGAAAUAUAGAGAUGAACUCAGUCUCAGUCUCAAAACAUCUCUUAAAAGGAUUUUCGAGCUAAAGAGGGAAAAUUCUAAAUUGAGGUAACAAGAAACUUCUUGGAAAGAAAAGUUUGAAAAUUUGGAUAAAGUUUUGUUGAUUUGAAAGAAAAUUUAGAUUCUCUUUCGAAGGAAAAUGCCUUUUUGAAAUAAGAUAUUUCAAAUAUCACAAAAAGAUUUUCAAAAGGAUCUGAGAAGUUGGAGAAAAUUCUUUCUAUACAUAGACCUUAUUUUAACAAAUCUGGUUUGGGUAUGACUCAAGAAACUAUUCCUUUAAUUGAUUUUCCCAAAGUUAAAGAGAGAAUCAAAUAAAGACCUACAAAAACAUUUUACAAAAAUCAUUUUCAAAAGGUUUUUGUAAAACCUGUUGGCAGAAGUGCUCUCAAAUGUUCAAAGUGUAACAGUUCAUAACAUUUUGAGAAGAAAUGUCCCAAGGUUUAGAGACUUGUUAAGAGGGAUUGGGCAAAGAUUGUUUUCAAUACUAACUCCUCUGGAUCCAAGAAAGUAUGGGUUCCAAAGAAAGCUUGAGUUCUUUUCAUGAUUACAGGUCACUAUCAAGAAGAAAAUCAAAUGGUAUUUGGAUAGUGGCUGUUCGAGACACAUGAUAGGAGAUUUGAGUUGCUUUAUAAAGCUUGUUCAAAUAAAUGGUGGAAAAGUUUCUUUUGGUGGGAACUGCAAAGGAAGAAUUGGUGGAUGUAGAACCGUGAAUAUUGAAAGCCUCACUAUCAACAAUGUCUCCUUGGUGGAAUGUUUGAAUUACAAUCUACUCAACAUAAGUCAGCUGUGCAAUACCGGAUUCAGAAUUAAAUUCCAAGAAGGCAUCUAUUUGGGAACAAGUAAAUACCUCUCUCAAUCUUUUACUGGACAAAGACAUGGAAACAUUUACCUUCUGGAUAUAAAACCAGAAAGUUCUUAGUAUCUUAUAUCCAUUCAAGAUGAAGCAAAUCUUUUGCAUCGACAGCUUAGUCAUGUUAACAUGAAGUAGAUUGCCAAGAUUUCAUCCAAGAAGCUUGUUCGUGGUCUUCCCAACAUGAAUUAUCAAAAAAUUGAAUUAUGCACGCCAUGUGUUUUGGGAAAAUAGGUUAGAAGUUCUUUUAAACCUAUACAUUAAGUUUCUACUAAUCGAGUUUUGUAGCUUCUUCAUAUGGACCUCUUUGGACCAACAAGAACUCAAAGUAUUGGUGGAAAAAGAUAUUGCGUAGUAAUCGUGGAUGAUUACUCUCGUUUUACUUGGGUUUAUUUUCUAGCAAAUAAGUUUGAGGCUUUCUCUUACUUCUCUAAGUUUGCUAAGAAGGUUCAGAAUGAGAAAGGAUAUGCUAUUUCGAGCAUACAAACAGACCAUGGAGGUGAGUUUGAAUAUCAAGAUUUUGCAAAGUUCUGUGAUGAAUCUGGUUUCCAACAUAUUUUCUCUUCUCCAUACACUCCAGAACAAAAUGAGGUUGUGGAAAGAAAGAAUAUAUCCUUGUAGGCGAUGACAAGAACCCUCUUAAUUGAGAGCAAAAUUUCCUCUCGAUUUUGGGCUGAAGUAGUUUCUACAGCUUGCUACAUCAUCAACAGAGUGUUCUUGAGGCCUAUUCUAGAGAAAACUCCUUAUGAAAUGUAUAAAAGGAAGAAGCCAAAUGUUUCUUACUUUCAUGUGUUUGGUUGUAAGUGUUAUGUUUUGAAAAAUGAUCGAACUGGGAAGUUUGAAGAAAAAUCAGACGAAGGAAUUUUCCUUGGCUACUCAAUCUCAAGCAAAGCAUACAAAGUAUUCAAUAGGAAGACUUAGUAUGUGGAAGAAUCUAUAAACGUCAAGUUUCAAGACUCUAUGCAUAAUUAACUAGACCAGACUCAACUUGAAGAAUCUGAACUUGCUCCAGACUUUAUAAAGUCUACUUCCCCCGAAGUGGUUCAAACUUCUAAAGAUCAACAAUAAGCAGAACUAGAGAAUUCAACUGAAGCAUAAGAUCAGCAGACUCUUAGACCAACCAACAACUGGAAGCAUAAGUCAAGUCAUCCUAAAUAACUCAUCAUUAGCAAUAUUGAGGAAGGAGUUCGUACCAUAUCUAAAAGGCGAGAAGAGUCUAGUGCUUUGGCACUUGUUUAUGAGAUUGAACCUAAAAAUGUAGAAGAAGCCUUGACUGAUGAAAGCUGGAUUGAAGCUAUGCAAAAAUAGCUUAGACAGUUCAGCAUCAACGAUGUUUGGGAGCUAAUUCCUAAACCUAAAGGUAAGUCUAUUAUUAGAACUAAAUGGAUUUUCAAGAACAAGGUGGACGAGAAAGAAAAAGUGGUUAGGAACAAAGCAAGACUCGUGGCCAAAUGAUCUACGCAAGAAAAAAUGAAAGACUAUGACGAGACCUAUGCACCAGUAGCGAGGUUAGAAGCAAUUAGAUUAUUACUUGCUUUUGCUUGUUAUAAAAAUUUCAGGUUAUUCUAGAUGGAUGUACAAAGUGCAUUCCUAAAUGGAUUUAUCGAAGAAGAAGUCUGUGGAACAACCACCUAGUUUUGAAGAUCCAAGAAAGCUAGACUCAGUUUACAGACUGAAAAAGGCCUUGUAUGGAUUGAAGCAAGCACCUCAAGCCUGGUAUGAAAGGUUAAGUAAAUUCCUAACCCAAAAUGGUUUUGUUAAAGGAAAAGUAGAUACUACUUUGUUCAUAAAAAGAGAGGUAAUGAUUUUCUACUGGUUCAAAUUUAUGUUGAUGAUAUUAUUUUUGGAUCUCCUAAUAAAAAUCUAUGCAAGAAGGUCUCUAGAUGUAUGCAGGAUGAAUUCGAGAUGAGUAUGAUGGGUGAGUUAACUUUCUUUAUGGGAUUGCAAGUUAAACAAUCAAAGAAAGGUAUUUUUAUUCACCAAGAGAAAUAUGCGAAAGACCUCAUCAAGAAAUUUGAAUUGGAGAAUUGCAAAAAGACAGAGACACCAAUGUCAAGUUCUUCAAAGUUGGAUAAAGAUGAAGGAGGGAAGAAUGUUGACCAGAAGCUUUACAGGAGCAUUAUUGGUUCGCUUCUUUACCUUACUACAUCUAGACCUGACAUUUUGUUUAGUGUUUGUAUCUGUGCUAGAUUCCAAUCAGAUCCCAAAGAAUCUCACUUAAGUGUUGUAAAAUGCAUCAUCAAAUAUGUUGCAACUACUCCAAAGCUAGGUCUAUGAUAUCCUAAAGAAUGAGACUUUACUCUCUUUAGAUAUUCAGAUGCAGAUUUAGCAGGUUGUAAAGUUGAUAGAAAAAGUACUUCUGGUGCUCGUCAACUGCUGGCAACAAGCUGGUGUCUUGGUUCUCAGUGAAGCAGAGAACUGUAGCUCUUUCAACAGUUGAAGCUGAGUAUGUGGCUCUUGGGAGUUGUUGUUCUCAAAUUUUGUGGAUAAGGCAACAACUAAGAGACUUUGGAAUUGAAGAAUUGUGUAUCGAGAUCAAAUGCGACAACACCAGUGCUAUCAAUCUCACGAAGAACCCAAUUCUUCAUUUAAGGCAAAACAUAUAGAGAUUCGACACAAUUUCAUAAGAGAUCAUGUUCAGAAUGGAUAAGUUAUGAUUCAGUUUAUUGACUCGAAAAAUCAAUUGGCAUACAUAUUUACAAAGCCAUUGGAGAAAAGUCUAUUUGAGUCUAUUCGUACCAGACUUAAUAUCAUAUCUUCUACUCAUUAAAGUUUGAAGCUGAUCAGACUUAGAAUAUCAAUAAACUACUUCAGUAAGUUAAUUUCUCUUCAUUGCAGGUAAUUUAAUUUUAGCAUGAAAUUUUUUGAAAAGGUACGUUGAUUUUUGAAUCGUUACUUGCCUAUUUUAUUUUUAGAAAUUAUCUUUUUUGAAUUUUUGAAUUUUAGUAGUUUUUAUUUUUGAAAAAGGCAGUUUAUUUUUUCCUUUGUGACGGUUCGUAUACCCCGUUUCACUUGCUUUAUAUACUGUCGAAGUUCUUUUUCUCCAUUUACAUUUUCACAAACCCUAGAAUACAGAAUUCCAACUCUCGAACUUUUACUCUCAAGUUUACUCUCUAAGUUUUCACCUUUUUUCAACCGAACGAGUUCAAGAAAUCCUCCUCGACCGUGGAGAUGUCUUUCUAGAGGUAAUUGUCUCAGAUCACAAAUAGGGGACCACAGAAUAUGCUAGAGGGUACUACUCACUUUGACUUAACCGAGGAAAAAGAUUAUCCUCAACAACAAUAUUCUCAACAGUGUCAGCGUGCGACUCAAGAUCCUUCACGCCAUCAAGCAGAAGAAGAGACCAUAACCCGUAAGAAUGUUAAUACCCCAAUUUCUCUUUAAACUCUACAUUCAGUUAAAGGAGGGUGGUACUGCAAUGACAUUUAUUGAUGAGUUUCUACAAGAGAGAGGUUAUAAGAAUGAAACUUUGUUUCUACGAUCAAGGGAAAGGUUAGGCNNNNNNNNNNNNNNNNNNNNNNNNNNNNNNNNNNNNNNNNNNNNNNNNNNNNNNNNNNNNNNNNNNNNNNNNNNNNNNNNNNNNNNNNNNNNNNNNNNNNNNNNNNNNNNNNNNNNNNNNNNNNNNNNNNNNNNNNNNNNNNNNNNNNNNNNNNNNNNNNNNNNNNNNNNNNNNNNNNNNNNNNNNNNNNNNNNNNNNNNNNNNNNNNNNNNNNNNNNNNNNNNNNNNNNNNNNNNNNNNNNNNNNNNNNNNNNNNNNNNNNNNNNNNNNNNNNNNNNNNNNNNNNNNNNNNNNNNNNNNNNNNNNNNNNNNNNNNNNNNNNNNNNNNNNNNNNNNNNNNNNNNNNNNNNNNNNNNNNNNNNNNNNNNNNNNNNNNNNNAUUUUACUUAUGGAAACCCAAGAUCCUGAUUGUAUGGGCGAACAUGAUUGACGGGCUUUCAUCACAAAUCAUCUAACGACUUGAGAUCUCCUUGAUUGAUUCUGUUUAACGAGUAGAUUGGAAGAAUUCCUUUGGAAAGUGCCAACGAUCGUGAAGGCAUGAAGGAGUAUUUAAGGUGGACUUUCCGGUUGUCUGAUAGUGUGCAUGAAAGAAUAAUUUCAAAGUUUGAAGCUUCUAAAGAGACUCCUAAAGAGACUUUUUGAGAGACCAGUAGAGAUUCUUCACUGAGAAGUCGAGAUUACAAGUUGUAAAAUCUCUUUUGAUUCUUAGUGAAAUCCAGCAAAUGGGCUGUCAACGCGGGAGAGUGGAUGUAGGCUUGAUUUAAGCUGAAUCACUAUAAACCUUGUGUUCUUAUUCUCUUCCCUUAACUCCUUUAUUUUGUUUCGUAGCUUUAUUUAACUAUUUAAAACAAAAUUCAUUCGUAGUGUAUUAUCUUCUAUAAGCAAAUUACUUCUACCGAAUCUUACGAAAAUUUUUGUUCACACCUAUUCAACCCCCUCUAAGUGUUGUUACUAGCCCUUUCAAAAGUUCCCUUCCAUUUUAUCCAUUUUUUUCUAAGCAAAAUAGGUGCCAUGAAGCACGUCAAUCCCGACAUUAUGCUGGUGCGCAACAUAAACUAGCUAGGUAUCACCAUCGUCAAGUAGGCAAGUCAAAGUAUCACACGUUUAUGAUACAUGAAAUAGGAUUUUCCCUCAGAGACAACAGGAUGAACGAAUGCAAGAGGUGGUUCCAGAACCAAGAUGAAAGGUGUGACGUCUUGAAUUUCAAGUUCUACUUUCGAUUGAAUAAGUUGGGCUUUUCAUCGACACACCUAUAGUUCUUUUCUUUGAGUAGGCCACUCACGAGAUAAUUAACCUAUCAGGUGAAGCCGUUAAGGAAUCUAAACGCAAUAGACUUGAGAAUUCGACCAGGAAUUGACUGCUCGACCGUGCUAGUCUGCAAGAAUCAUUACGGCACAGUUAAAAAUUAAUUAGAGACUGGAGAUAGGUUGAUUCGACAGAACCAUGAGAUUAAGUGUGGGUGAUUCCACCUAAUUGCAAAAUUCUUGUCGAUUGGCACUAGACCGAUUUUUUUGUCAUUUUGGUACCUUAUAUCUGUAUUUAAAACCUCGAGAUUUCCAUGAUAACCGAGAGUCGCCAAUAUAUCGAAGAUGUACUUAUGGCUUGAAAAUAAUCAACCACAGGUGAAUUGUACUAAAAAUUCCUAAAAGCUACCUGGUAGAUUAUGACACGCUAAAAUCGCGCUAGAUUGAAAUUAACUGCGAAAUUGAACCCGAUUUCAAAAAUUGGAAGCUCCGUCAUGUCACAAGCCAAUUUAGGAAUGUUGACUCAUCCUCCGAAGAUUUAUCUGCAAACCAAAAUUUUCGGCAAGAAAUCCAAAGUAAGGGUAUUUUGGAUCGGGAAAUUCGUAGGCCUGCUUUUGGGUGCAUUUUUUGGAUUAAGUUGGUUCAAUUGAUGAGGAAAAAUCAUGGAUUAAGUAUGAACACCAUGGCUGAUUUGUUUGGACUUCAAUUCAACCAUGUCGGGAAGCUUCCUAAGGAAGAUUGAGGAUAGAGAAGUGGCUGAGGAUAAGGGCUGACAUGGUAGGGGCAUGUGAUGAGUGAAUGUGGAUGAGAUUGAAGGCUUUUGUGGCCAAAUGGUGGGUCCUCUUUAGCCAGCUGCUUCUUCUCCUUCCUUGGCUUCACUUUCUCCAUUGUUGAAGUGUUGAGAGCUCUAGAAAAUCAAAGGAACCAGCCAAGACUAGCAGAAAGCCAACCAAGCCUCACCUGAAGUCGUCCAAGCUCCCCCACGCCAGCCGCUGCCGUCGCGCGUCCCAGCCGUCCAGUUGCUGUUCCGUGUGCAUCUAGUUGUCCUCCUAUGUAAUCCAGCUCCCUCAGGCCGCCUGGAAGUCAACUAGCCUAGCCCCACAUGCCGCCUAGCCACGUAGCCAUUCGUCUCCGCCGUUUCCAGCCGUUCCAGUCGUUGGAGUUGCUCGAUUCUACUCCCUCAACCAACAAGUAGAAGCUGAAGUCCAAGCAAGAUCUGGAACUUCGUGGCAUGUUUCCAAGCCCUUCCCGACCUCGCGUGGUGUCACCACAAGCUUGUUUGUCACUCACCUUGGCAUUGGCGUCACGAUGUACUCAUCAGAUCGCAAAAUCGGUGAGUUUACUCACUAAACCUUGCUUAGGAGGUUAAUUAUGCUUAAGGGUUGUUUAGAUUAGCUUAAGAAUAGAUUAGUGACAUUCUAGAAUGGUUAUAUUAGCCUUAGAAUUGAUUAAUGUUAAUCUAAUUAGUGAGAUUAGUACCAUUGUGGAUGGAUUAAUCCCAUUUAGUGGACUUUCUGCAGUUCGGAUGUCUGGACCCUCACCAUUUGCUAUUGUUAUAGAUCAACAUGGGUUGUGAAUUUGAGGUUGAUUCCUUCUUGAGAAAAGUUUAAGAUUUCUUCAAAUAUAACAUAUAUCUGUCCCAAGAUUUUUGGGGAUUUAAAAGAAGGAGAUAUCAGCUCCAUCAUUUGCAAACAGAAACUCGAACAGUGCUGGAAUUUAUGACCUUUUAGGAUUCUAGGAGUUUUUAUCAACUCUUAGAGUUCGAAUUUCAAAAAGGUUUAUCACAAAAGUUAUUUACCACCUCUUCUAGUUUAAUAUAGUCAAAUUUCAGAUCAAAUGAACAAGUUUUGGAUCUCAAACCAAACCAAUUUUGGAAAAUAGACUUUCUAGAAAUGGACCCAGUUUUUGGUACUAGAUUGAGCGAUUUACUGGGCCGAAUCUAGAAAUAUCUGGGUUAAGGUGUCUUCAUAAAAAAAAAUUGUUCUUUUAUGUGUCCUUUACAACAUAUUCAAAUUUGGGAAUUUUUUGAACUCGUUUGGUUAGGUUUCUGGAUUUAAACUUGGAGACGUAAUAGUGGCCCAGUUUUUGCCAAUUAGGGCCGGUUAUGGUUUUGUGGUUGUUCUUGAUGUUGUGCUUGCUAAAAAGGUAUAUUUAGUGAUGUCGUGGACUUGUGGCAUGCUGAGAACUUAAGUGUGAGGUCAUGAGAGGGAUUGCUAUAUAUUAGUUGUUUACUGUUAUUGUAAAAAGGUGACCUCUUGGACUAUUAAAUAAAAAAUAAAUGAGGUGUCGGGUUUGGACGCCAAGUUUUAUAUGCUCAAUAAAAUGAGGAGGUUUUGUAUGAGGUGCGUGCAAAUUUUAGCGGGUUAAUUUCAAAUACGGGACCCUGUACGAAUUUACUUCGUUGAGUUUGAAAAAAAAAAGGGUGCCAAGUUUAUUUUAUAAAUGGAGUUUUGGUGUUUUGGCUAUAUGAAGGAGGCUAAGGUCAACCUGAUUGAUCAAGUGCCUACACAGUUAGGUUAAUUAAGUAGUUUAGUUUAAUUAAUCGUAAUUUAUUUAUUUAUUUACAUUUAUUUAAUUAUUAAUUAUUUUCCGGAAAUUAGACCGGGAUAGUUGGUGACCAGAAUUGAGUACUGAUUGCAAUGGUGUGGUUAAUUUCUGCAAUUGAGUGAUAAUUUGUGCAAAUUGAGUGCUGAUUGGAUUUUUGAUCAUUUAUUCCAAAAAUUGUGAAUUUCAAUAUUUAUUCAGAAAAUCCCGAGUAUCGGGUUUUAACACCGAAAAUAGUUUUAUAUACUAUACAAAACGGUGGGAUUUUAAAUUAAAGAAUAUCAACUUUUCGAGCUCGAUUCGACCACACGAUAUUUUCAUCGAAUGUUUUUAAUAAGAAGAAAACAGGCCAAGGUUGUUAUCUUAGUUGAGGCAUGUGAGUGCAAAGCACAAUGUCCUUGGCCGAAAUUGAAUGAUCGUGUGCCGGUUAAGAGAAUCCUUCCCCGGCGUGUGUCGGUGAAAAUUAUCUAUCCCCGGUGUGUGUCGGUUGAUAUUACCUAUCCCUAACGUAUGUCAAUGGAUAUUGAAAGGACUAGUAUGAACAUCUAGAUGGGAUGAAUAGGUGUGAAGAAAAAUUUUCGCAAGACUUAAUAAAAGUAAAUUGCCUUUAGAAGAUAAUAGACUAAGGACAUAAUUGGCUUUAAACAAUUAUAUAAAGCUAUGAAUAAAAGUAAGGAGUUCAAGGAAAGAGAAUUAGGACACAAGGUUUAUAGUGGUUCAGCUUAGAUCAAGCUUACGUCCACUCUCUCGCGUUGACAGCCCACUGGCUGGAUUCCACUAUGAAUCAAAAGAGAUUUUGCAACUUGUGAUCUUGGACUUUCUCAGUGGAGAGUCUCUACUGGUCUCUCACAAAGUCUCACUAUGUGUUUCUCUCUUUUGCAUACAACACUGAGCUUGAUGAAUGAAAGAGCAAGGAACUAGAAAACUUCAGACUUUGAAAUUCUUCUUUCACGCACUCUUUCGAACAACUGGAAAGUCAUCCUCAAAUACUCCUUUAUGCCUUCAUGACCGUUAGCGCUUUCCAAAGAAAUUCUUCCAAUCUACUCGUUGGACAGAAUGAAUUAAGGUGAUCUCGAGUCGUUAGAUGAUUUGUGAUUAAGGCUCGUCAAUCAUGUUCGCCCAUACAAUCGGGAUCUUUGGUUUCCAUAAAUAGAACCUUCCAAGUUUGCUGGUCUUUCAAAAGAUCUUCAUAUCGGAGUAGAUUGCAAUAAGAAUAAUCAAUCAUGUUGAUGCUAUAUCUAGCCAUAAGAUCUUCCAAAACCAUACUAGUUGAAUCCUUGAAGAUAUCCGGCAUCUGGAUAAGUCUUCAUUCUUCGGUCUGGAAACUGUCAGUGAGGGCAAACUUUGAAUCUUAAGUCCAGUGGUCUUCAGACUUUGACGGUAGAGUAUGGAGUUUUUCAAACUAGACUUUUGGAAACGUUUUGUCAACUUUAAAAUAGUAAAUGAGUUUUCUCCAACAAUCUCCCCCUUUUUGAUGUGACAAAACUUUUCUAUAGAUUUGAAAACUUUUGACCUGCAAAACAACACUUAAGCAAUACUCGAUAUCUUAUAAAAGUAAGCUGAUUAGGACCUGGAUAUCAUCAAUUAUGUAAUCACAGAAAACAAGUUAAUCCUGUAAGAUAAGAUAACUAUCCAUCCACAAUCAGUAUCAUAAGCUUAGUUUCUGCAGGCGUCAAAAUGAUUCAAAGUCAAACAUCAGUAAAAAGUCCAAAAUAUACCAAUCAAAAACCAAACGAAAACGUUAUCCAAAUCAAAUCAAGCAAAAAGUACCCAAAAGAUAAAGUUAGGUCAAAUCUGCCACAAAACUCUCCCUCUUUUUGUUAGGCAGAAGAUCGCUUCAAGUGCCAUAACUUACGAAAGUGAUACUUAAGUGUCACAUUUGAAGAAAAGUGGGACACUUGAGUGCCACCUCUGGCGAAGCCAGCCGAAAAUCAUAUGUGGCAAUUAAAUAUUAAUAUUUCUCGCUGAGGUGGCUCGCCGGAGAGCUGACUCAGCUCUAAUUCACCCACAAUGACGUUGUUUCAGCCAAAACAACGUCGUCUCCCCAAUUGCCCUAAAUCUAAAACCCUAUGUGACAUCCUGAAAUUCGACCACAUUUCAAUAAAGUGAAAUGGACAUUUCGUCGACGUGCCUAUAGUCCGUUUUCUCUGAGCUGAUCACUCAUAACCUAUUGGAUGAAGCCGUUAAGGGAUGUAUCCGCGGCAAAAUCCCUAAAAGCUACUUAAUUGGUUGGAUUGGACUUAAAUCACGUCUGAUCGAUUCUAACCACGAAAUUGAAUUCAAUUUCGAAAAUCGAAUAUUCGAGCAUGUCACGAUUCAUUUUUAGGACCUUGUCUCAUCAUCCGUCGAAUUAUCGAUGAUUCCGAAAUUUCUGAAAAGAAAUUAUUGGAGGAAAAAUCGGAGAUUGGAAGAAAAUUAAUAAGGGAAAGAGAAAAGAUAAAUAAUAAGAAUAAUAAGGAUAUUAUUAUUUUAUCAUUUUCUCUCUCUCCCUUUUUCUUUCUCUCUCUCUUUCUUUCUUCCCUCUCAAUUCUCACGCCACCUCUGCCACCUUUGCUUUUUCCCCUUAAUUUAUUCUUUCUUUUUCUUCUCUCUCUCUCUCUCUCCUCCGUUCGAAACCCCCUCCCCACGCCGACACUCCCUCUUUUUUCCCUUGCCGUUUUCUACUUUGCUUUCUCUUCCCCAUUUGACUUUUCAAACCAUAUCCUUCUCUCUCGACACUCUCUCUCUCUCUCGUUACUCUCUCUUGCUCCUCUGGUUCGAGCAAGCCAGCGAAACAGAAGAAGAAAAAGAAGCGAAGACAGCAGCCACCGAGAGAAGAAGACCGGAGCAGCUCGCCGUCGCUGCUCGCGCUCCGCCACCCGCGCAUCGCCUGCGCGCCCCUUCGCUCACCCCUCACGUCCUCGCCGCCCAGCCGUGCCAUCCAGCUCCUGUUAGGUCUCGGCUCAGCCUUGUGAGCGACUGAGGAAGCUGCCGAACCGUCGCCCAGCUCCGUCGGACCAUCGUUCGGCCCCACUGGAGCUUCCCUCACCCUCCACCGGCCUCGCUCCGCCUUUUCAGCCCCCGGAGCAACUUCGUUUGGCCAAGAACAGCAGCUGGAAAAUGGGUUUCCAGCAGCGGUUCUAGGCCCGUUUUGAGAUUUUCGAUCCCCGAACUCGGGACUUGUUUGUCUCACUAAGCCCUUAUUAGUAAGUUAAUGACGUUUAAGGGUUGAUUAGAUUUAAUUAAGUGUAAUUAGGUGGUUAGAUUAGAGUAGAUUAGUGAUUAUUAGAUAAUUGUGAUGCAUGUUAGGCAAUUUGAUUGUGCAAUUAACGAAUUGACAUGUGCUAAUAUUUAUUGAAUGCAUCUCGGGAUUUUUCCCGACCCUUAUCGGCUUCCAAUUAGGCAUUCCGGGCCUAAAUUGGAUUUAUUGUAUUCAUUUAAUAAUUUUCGGAAUCAUUUAAUUAAUUAAUUAUUUUUCGAAAAUUAAGCAGGGAUAGCCGACGAUCGGAAUUUGAUGCUGAUUGUUGUGGUGCAGUCCGUUUAUUUAAUUGAGCUUUAUUUUGUGCUAAAAUGAAUUAUUUGUGAUUAUAAGAUUAUUUUCCUGAAUUAAUUAAUUUGGAUAAUUAAUUGGAAAAUAACCGGGUGUCGGUUGACAGCACCAAAAGUGUUGGUGGACUACAGAUAAUGGUGGGAUUUGUGGAAAAGAAAUUAUAAUAUUUUGACUCAAACCGAUCAUGUACCCACAUGAAUAUUUUAUCGGGAAUGAUAAAAAGGGUGAUUUGAUAAAUAUUAUUUUCAGCAUACUAUAAAAGUAUGGCUAGCAACUUUUGGUGAGCAUAAUAAACAUAUUAGAUCAAUGAAUCUGGCAGCUUCUAGUGGGCAUAUUAUUAUUAUAUCGGAUCAGUGGAUCUGGCAGCUUCUGGUGAGCUAUACUAUCUAUAUAUCGGCUAGAGUGAAUAGUCCUAGACUAUGGUCGGACUCAUAGAUAGUAUUAAUUGAGGAGACCGGGGAAUGGUCAUGUUGAUAUGUAAUCAAUUACGUCGAUUGAUCAAUGAUUCGAUCUGAUUGAAUGAUUUGACGUGGUGAAUUAAUUCGAUGAAUUAUAAAUUGUAUUGACCUGUAGGAAGGAACUGAGGCAAAGGUAAGCCCUCCGACUCAUGAUUGUGCUUAGGCAGCCCUUAUAGCAUAUUUUAUUCCUAAUCGAGUCUUAGGGGGCUUGAACUUGCUGAGACGUCGUCUCACCCCGUUGUGGGAUAAACAUUUCAGGUCUCUAGAUGAUGGUCGUGGAAGAUCGAGAUCCCUGGAGUUUGGAAGAUGAAGGCUGAAGAAUUGGCAAUCGGGUCUAACUAGUGGGUGGUAGGACAGUCCCCUUUUUGUUAAGCCAACAUUUUUGUAAACAGCCUAAUUUUGUAAUUAACCCGUUUUUCUAUAAAAGACUUGUCUUGGUUUGAAAAUUUUAGUUCUGCUCUUCUAUCCCAAUUGUUUGUUGUCUGGGGAUUUUAUAUCUGUUUCCGCAUGCAUAUUAAAUAAAAGGGUUAGCGACGCGUCCUGGGACAUCGCUAUUAUUUGACCAAGGAGGGAUGGGCGCGCGCUCGGAGGAUCAGGGUGUGAAAUACCCGUUUAAUGGUAUCAGAGCAUGCUUUAGGAUUUGAGUGAUAAGGUGAGAUGGUAUUUGGGAUAGUUAGUAGGAUUGGUCUUUAAAUUCACGCUGGUGCAUGUCUGUCGAUAGCUAAUUGGUAGAAUUAUUUGUUGUACUCACUCGACUUCUAAUUCGAUGUUGAAUUGGAAGGCAGGUCUUUGUAGAAACCCUGUAAGAUGAGUGAUCAGGAGCCAAGGACUCCUAGGCAGAGGACUUUAUCUUCUGUGAGUCGGGCUAGAACGCCGACAAGAGUCGGUGCCUGAGGUGGCCGAGGUAGAGCGCAAGCUGAGGCUAGCGCAACUGGAGUAGCACCACCUCCCAUUGGUGCUGGGGUAACAGCCUCAGUUGAUCAGGGAACAGUUGGGAUCACGCAAGCGUUGGAUGCUAUGCGUGAGACGAUGGAGCAGUAGGCCCAGGAUCAAACAGCCGCCUUUACUGCUCCCGUUGUAGCUGCCGCUACUACUGCUGCCAAUGCUAUUGCUACAACCGCACCUGCCAUCGUACCUGCUGAAAUCCCGCCUAGGAGACCGAUUCAUAACUUAGUGGAAUCGUUUUUGAAAUUGAAGCCAUCGAAGUUCACUAGGGCAAGAGACCCCGAAGCUGCUGCUUUGUGGAUCUAUGGACUAGAGAAAACCUUUGCCCUAUUGAUGUGCUCUGAGACUGAGAAAGUGGUCCUCGCAGUCUACCAGUUAGAGGGAGUUGCGAGUACUUGGGUGGAGAACCACCCAAGGAGCGAUAUUUCUCGAAGGUGUAGCCAUAGAAUGGAAUGCCUUUGUUGAGGCCUUCAACAGGAAAUACUUUUCAGAAACUACUAGAGAGAUGAAGAUGGCUAAGUUCCAAUGCCUUCGCCAAGGCUCUAUGACUGUGGAACAAUAUGAGGCGAAGUUUGCUGAACUGUCGCAAUACGCUCCUAAAUUAAUUGAGAAUCCAACAAACCGAGUGAGAAGAUUCAAAGAUGGACCUGGGCCGGAGUUGAGGAGUCCACUAAUUUUACUGAAUCUAAGAAAUUACAAUGAACUAUAUGAGCGGGUCCAGAUGAUCGAAAGAGACCAAAAUGAGAGAGCCGCCGCAUCUGGAUCGUAGUUUGGAUCGAGUAGGGAAGGAAUCCGACAUGGGAAGAGGCCCAUGAUUGGAGGAAGAUUUCAAAUUCCGUCCAUCCGGAAGGGUGGAAUUGGGAAGACAGGGCCUGGUCAUAAUGGUCUGUGUCACUUCUACGGAAGGCAGCACGGUACAACCACAUGCCCUCAAAGGAUGGGUGCUUGUUUCGAGUGUGGCCAACGGGGUCACAUGGCCAGGGAUUGUCCUAGGCGACUAAGGGGACAACCACAAUUACCGCCACUGCCGCAAAGAGGACAGAUAAGAGGGUAUGCACCUCAGAAUGCACCGCAAGGAGGACUGCUUAGGCCCCCAGUUCAAGGAAUGGUGUAUGCCAUCACUCAAGGCCAGGCAGAGGCUGCAUCUGACGUGAUCACAGGUAUGCUUUCGCUAAACAACCAUCCUGCUUAUGCUUUAUUCGAUCUAGGAGCAACCCAUUAUUUUAUUGCCGAGCAAUAUGUUAAGCUAAUAAGAUUGAAUCCUGUAUUAUUGGAGUCGGCAAUUUGCAUAUCUACACCCUUGAUAGAUAAAGUUAUUGCUGCUUUGGGAUGUUCGGGGUGCAAGUUAGAGAUUGGUGAGCGAGUGGGGAAAAUUGACUUGUUAGUCCUAGCCAUGUAUGAUUUUGAUUCGAUAAUUGGCAUGGACUGGCUCACCAAUCAACGAGCUAAAAUGAACUGCUAUCGCAAGUUGAUUCAGUUUAACCCGUUAGAGGGUAAGAGCUUCGAGUUCGUAGGGAAUCGAGGAGGACCCUCGAUUUCCUUAAUCUCGUCACCAGAAGCAGCUCGUUUGUUAGACGAGGGUUGUCGAGGGUACUUAGCAACUGUUGUGGAUACAACAGUUGAGGAAUUGAAAAUGGAAGACAUUUCAAUGGUAUAGGAGUUUCCAGAUGUCUUUCCAAAGGAGUUGCCAAGGUUACCGCCAAAAAGAGAAAUUGAAUUUGUAAUUGAACUAGCACCAGGGACAGAAUCGAUCUCAAAGGCACCUUACCGGAUGGUAUUAUUUGAGUUGAAGGAACUGAAGGCGCGGAUGCAAGAGUUACUGGAUAAGAGAUUUAUUCGUCCUAGUGCAUCACCUUGGGGAGCACCACUUAUGUUUGUUAAGAAGAAAGAUUGUUCGUUGCGUCUAUGCAUCGACUAUCAGCAACUCAAUCAGGUUACGAUCAAGAACAAGUAUCCAUUGCCGAGGAUAGAUGAUUUGUUCAAUCCGUUGCAAGGAGCAUCGAUUUUCUCGAAGAUCGACUUGAGGAUAGGAUAUCAUCAGCUGAGGAUUAGGAAUGAGGAUAUUCCUAAGUCGGCAUUUCGUACCCGGUAUGGUCAUUACGAGUUCACAGUGAUGCCGUUCAGGUUGACGAAUGCUCCAGCGGCCUUUAUGGAUUUGAUGAAUAGAGUGUUUAAGGAAUAUCUGGAUCAAUUUGUGAUCGUGUUCAUCGAUGAUAUCUUGGUCUAUUCAAGAAAUAAUGAAGAGCACGAGAAUCAUUUGAGAUUAGUGCUUCAGACCUUAAGAACUCACCAGAUGUAUGUUAAGUUUACCAAAUGCGAGUUUUGGUUAACUCGUGUUGCGUUCUUAGGUCAUGUGAUUUCCGGAGAAUGAAUCUCUGUCGACUCGAGCAAAAUAGAAGCCGUGAUCAAGUGGCCGAGACCGACAACAGUGACAGAGAUCAGAAGUUUUCUAGGUUUGGCAGGGUAUUACAAACAGUUUGUGGAAGGAUUCUCAUCAUUCGGAUCGCCUCUAACAAAGCUUACUAAGAAAGAAGACAAAUUUAUAUGGACAGACAAAUGCGAGCGUAGUUUCCAAGAGCUUAAAGAAAAACUAACUACCGCACCGGUACUGACGAUUCCAUUUGGUCCUGGAGGAUUCGAGAUUUAUAGUGAUGCGUCAUUUAGAGGAUUGGGUUGCGUGUUGAUGCAACAUGGUAGAGUGGUUGCAUACGCAUCCUGUCAGUUGAGGCCUCAUGAGCAUAAUUAUCCGACGCAUGACUUAGAGCUCGCGGCGAUUAUCUUUGCCCUGAAGAUUUGGAGACAUUAUCUAUGCAGGGAAAAGUUCCAGAUCUUCAUGAACCAUCAAGGUCUCAAGUAUCUGUUCUCUCAGAAGGAGUUGAACAUGAGACAACGCCAAUGGAUGGAAUUGCUGAAGGACUACGAUUGUGAUAUUCUAUAUCACCCAGGGAAGGCAAAUAAGGUCGCCGAUGCUUUGAUCGAAAGUCUUCAGUUGCUCAAAUAUUGAUUAAGGAGUGGAACUUAAUUGAAAGAGCGUGAGAUUCGAUGUUCAAAUUUGAGGUAAGCCACCUCUCGAGUCUUAUGGCCACCCUCAGAAUUGAACUAGAUGUUCAGGUCAGAAUCAAGCUACUCCAACCAACAAAUUCAGAUGUACAGAAGAUAAUUCAAGCGGACCCCGAUAGAAGAAAGGCUGAUUUUUAGGUUUCUGAUGAUGGAGUGCUGAGGUUCCGUGAGCAUUUGGUUGUACCUAACGAUGUAGAGCUUAGAGAUGUUAUUUUAUCUGAAGCGCAUCAUAGCAGCUAUAGCGUUCAUCUUGGAAGUACCAAGAUGUAUCAGAACCCGCGUCAAUACUAUUGGUGGUCAGGUAUGAAGGUGGACAUCGCCAAGCAUGUCGCCAAGUGUUUGACGUGUCAGCAAGUAAAGGCCCAGCAUUGCAAGCCGGGAGGACUUCUGCAACUUCUCGCAAUCCUAUAUGAAAUGGUAGCAUAUCACGAUGGAUUUCAUGACUGGAANNNNNNNNNNNNNNNNNNNNNNNNNNNNNNNNNNNNNNNNNNNNNNNNNNNNNNNNNNNNNNNNNNNNNNNNNNNNNNNNNNNNNNNNNNNNNNNNNNNNNNNNNNNNNNNNNNNNNNNNNNNNNNNNNNNNNNNNNNNNNNNNNNNNNNNNNNNNNNNNNNNNNNNNNNNNNNNNNNNNNNNNNNNNNNNNNNNNNNNNNNNNNNNNNNNNNNNNNNNNNNNNNNNNNNNNNNNNNNNNNNNNNNNNNNNNNNNNNNNNNNNNNNNNNNNNNNNNNNNNNNNNNNNNNNNNNNNNNNNNNNNNNNNNNNNNNNNNNNNNNNNNNNNNNNNNNNNNNNNNNNNNNNNNNNNNNNNNNNNNNNNNNNNNNNNNNNNNNNNNNNNNNNNNNNNNNNNNNNNNNNNNNNNNNNNNNNNNNNNNNNNNNNNNNNNNNNNNNNNNNNNNNNNNNNNNNNNNNNNNNNNNNNNNNNNNNNNNNNNNNNNNNNNNNNNNNNNNNNNNNNNNNNNNNNNNNNNNNNNNNNNNNNNNNNNNNNNNNNNNNNNNNNNNNNNNNNNNNNNNNNNNNNNNNNNNNNNNNNNNNNNNNNNNNNNNNNNNNNNNNNNNNNNNNNNNNNNNNNNNNNNNNNNNNNNNNNNNNNNNNNNNNNNNNNNNNNNNNNNNNNNNNNNNNNNNNNNNNNNNNNNNNNNNNNNNNNNNNNNNNNNNNNNNNNNNNNNNNNNNNNNNNNNNNNNNNNNNNNNNNNNNNNNNNNNNNNNNNNNNNNNNNNNNNNNNNNNNNNNNNNNNNNNNNNNNNNNNNNNNNNNNNNNNNNNNNNNNNNNNNNNNNNNNNNNNNNNNNNNNNNNNNNNNNNNNNNNNNNNNNNNNNNNNNNNNNNNNNNNNNNNNNNNNNNNNNNNNNNNNNNNNNNNNNNNNNNNNNNNNNNNNNNNNNNNNNNNNNNNNNNNNNNNNNNNNNNNNNNNNNNNNNNNNNNNNNNNNNNNNNNNNNNNNNNNNNNNNNNNNNNNNNNNNNNNNNNNNNNNNNNNNNNNNNNNNNNNNNNNNNNNNNNNNNNNNNNNNNNNNNNNNNNNNNNNNNNNNNNNNNNNNNNNNNNNNNNNNNNNNNNNNNNNNNNNNNNNNNNNNNNNNNNNNNNNNNNNNNNNNNNNNNNNNNNNNNNNNNNNNNNNNNNNNNNNNNNNNNNNNNNNNNNNNNNNNNNNNNNNNNNNNNNNNNNNNNNNNNNNNNNNNNNNNNNNNNNNNNNNNNNNNNNNNNNNNNNNNNNNNNNNNNNNNNNNNNNNNNNNNNNNNNNNNNNNNNNNNNNNNNNNNNNNNNNNNNNNNNNNNNNNNNNNNNNNNNNNNNNNNNNNNNNNNNNNNNNNNNNNNNNNNNNNNNNNNNNNNNNNNNNNNNNNNNNNNNNNNNNNNNNNNNNNNNNNNNNNNNNNNNNNNNNNNNNNNNNNNNNNNNNNNNNNNNNNNNNNNNNNNNNNNNNNNNNNNNNNNNNNNNNNNNNNNNNNNNNNNNNNNNNNNNNNNNNNNNNNNNNNNNNNNNNNNNNNNNNNNNNNNNNNNNNNNNNNNNNNNNNNNNNNNNNNNNNNNNNNNNNNNNNNNNNNNNNNNNNNNNNNNNNNNNNNNNNNNNNNNNNNNNNNNNNNNNNNNNNNNNNNNNNNNNNNNNNNNNNNNNNNNNNNNNNNNNNNNNNNNNNNNNNNNNNNNNNNNNNNNNNNNNNNNNNNNNNNNNNNNNNNNNNNNNNNNNNNNNNNNNNNNNNNNNNNNNNNNNNNNNNNNNNNNNNNNNNNNNNNNNNNNNNNNNNNNNNNNNNNNNNNNNNNNNNNNNNNNNNNNNNNNNNNNNNNNNNNNNNNNNNNNNNNNNNNNNNNNNNNNNNNNNNNNNNNNNNNNNNNNNNNNNNNNNNNNNNNNNNNNNNNNNNNNNNNNNNNNNNNNNNNNNNNNNNNNNNNNNNNNNNNNNNNNNNNNNNNNNNNNNNNNNNNNNNNNNNNNNNNNNNNNNNNNNNNNNNNNNNNNNNNNNNNNNNNNNNNNNNNNNNNNNNNNNNNNNNNNNNNNNNNNNNNNNNNNNNNNNNNNNNNNNNNNNNNNNNNNNNNNNNNNNNNNNNNNNNNNNNNNNNNNNNNNNNNNNNNNNNNNNNNNNNNNNNNNNNNNNNNNNNNNNNNNNNNNNNNNNNNNNNNNNNNNNNNNNNNNNNNNNUACAAAGUCAGCUCACUUUAUUACAGUACGAAAAGACCUAAGUUUGAAUAGACACGCGGACCUGUAUGUGCGCCAGGUGGUUCGAAUGCAUGGAGUGCCAGUUACGAUAACGUCCGAUAGAGACCCGAGGUUUACUGCUACUUUUUGGAAGAGCUUGCAGAGUGGUUUAGGUGCAAAGCUUCAGUACAGUACGGCAUAUCAUCCUCAGACGGAUGGCUAGUCUGAAAGGGUAAUUCAGACUCUCGAAGACAAGUUAAGAGCUUAUGUAAUAGACUUCAAAGGAAGUUGGGAAGAUCAGCUUCAUCUGGUGGAAUUUGCCUACAACAACAGUUAUCAGCAGAGCAUCCAAAUGGCUCCAUUCGAAGCGUUGUAUGGCCGAGUGUGCAGAACACCGGUGUGUUGGGAUGAUGUUGGGGAAAGAAAGAUAACAGGCCCAGAGUUGAUGCAAUAGUCAGUAGAUGCCGUGGCAAUGAUUAGAGGCAAAUUAAAGACAGCACAGAGUAGGCAGAAAAGUUAUGCAGAUAAGCGUCGAAAGUCUUUGGAAUUCCAAGUUGGUGAUCACGUUUUUCUGAAAGCGUCACCAAUGAGGGGAACUUUGCGCUUUGGUAAGAAAGGCAAACUGAGUCCGAGGUACGUAGGUCCGUUUGAAAUUCUUGAAAGGAACGGGAACCUAGCGUAUCGUCUUGCAUUGCCGCCAAAAUUGGCACAAUUACAUGACGUCUUUCACGUGUCAAUGUUGAGGAAGUAUGAACCUAACCCGACCCACGUGCUCAAUUUCGAGGAAUUGGACGUGGAUGACCGAGUGUCAUACGUUAAAAGCCCGGUCCAGAUCGUCGAUCGUAAAGAGAAAGUUCUGCGUACAAAAACCAUUCCGUUGGUCAAAGUGGUCUGGCAACACCACGGCACUGAAGGAGCAACUUGGGAGACUGAAGAGUCGAUGAGACAAUUGUACCCCCACCUUUUUGAUCAAAGUGUGUAAUGGUUUAAAUUUCGAGGACAAAAUUUUUAUAAGAGGGGAAGAGUUGUGACAUCCUGAAAUUCGACCCCGUUUCGAUAAAGUGAAAUGGGCAUUUCGUCGAUGUGCUUAUGGUCCUGUUUUUUUGAACUGAUCACUCAUGAGUUAACUAACCUAUUGAGUGAAGCCGUUAAGAGAUGUAUCCGCGGUAAAAUCCCUAAAAGCUACUUAAUUGGUUGGAUUGGACUAAAAUCGCGUCUGAUCGAUUCUAACCACGAAAUUAAAUUCGAUUUCGAGAAUCGAAUAUUCAAGCGUGUCACGAAUCAUUUUUAGGACCUUGUCUCAUCGUCCGUCAAAUUAUCGACAAUUCCGAAAUUUCGAAAAAGAAAUUGUCGGAGGAAAAAUCGGAGACCAAAAGAAAAUUAAUAAGGGAAAGAGAAAAGACAAAUAAUAAGAAUAAUAAGGAUAUUAUUAUUUUAUUAUUUUCUCUCUCUCCUCCUCUCCCUUGUGACCCAUCCCUUCUUUUUCAACCGUUCAUCCAUUUUUUUCCCCUUUGCCAAUUCUCACACCACCUCUGCCACCUUUUCUUUUUCCCCUUAAUUUAUUCUUUCUUUUUCUUCUCUCUCUCUCUCUCUCUCUCUCUCUCACUCUCUCUCUCUCUCUCUCUCUCUCUCUCUCUCUCUCUCUCUCUCUCUCUCUCUCUCCUCCGUUCGAAACCCCCUCCCCACGCCGACACUCCCUCCUUUUUCUCUUGCCGUUUUCUACUUUGCUUUCUCUUCCCCAUUUGACUUUUCAAACCUUAUCCUUCUCUCUCCUCUCUCCUUCUCUCUCGACACUCUCUCUCGCUCCUCUGGUUCGAGCAAGCCAGCGAAACAGAAGUAGAAAAAUAAGCGAAGACAUCAGCCACCAAGAGAAGUAGACCGGAGCAACUCGCCGUCACUGCCCGUGCUCCGCCACCCGCGUGUCACCCGCGCGCCCCUCCGCUCACCCCUCACGUCCUCGCUGCCUAGCUGUGCCAUCCAGCUCCUGUUAGGUCUCAGCUCAGCCUUGUGAGUGAUUGAGGAAGCUACCGGACCGUUGCCCAGCUCCGUCCGGCCACCGUUCGGCCUCACAGAGCUUCCCUUGCCCUCCACCGGCCUUGCUCCGCCUUUUCAGCCCCCGGAGCAGCUUCGUUUGGCCAAGAAUAGCAGCUGGAAAAAGGGUUUCCAGCAGUGGUUCUAGGCCCCUUUUGAGAUUUCCGAGCCCCGAACCUGGGACUUGCUUUGGGAGGAAUCGAUCCUUGUAUCAUCCAUGUUGGAUUGAUACGUUUUGCGCAAAAAUCCGGUGAGUUUAUCUCACUAAGCCCUUAUUAGUAAGUUAAUGACAUUUAAGGGUUGAUUAUAUUUAAUUAAGUGCAAUUAGAUGGUUAGAUUAGAGUAGAUUGGUGAUUAUUAGAUAAUUGUGAUGCAUGUUAGGCAAUUUGAUUGUGCAAUUAACGAAUUGAUAUGUGCUAAUAUUUAUUGAAUGCAUCUCAAGAUUUUUCCCGACCCUUAUCAACUUCCAAUUAGGCAUUACGGGCCUAAAUUGGAUUUAUUGUAUUUAUUUAAUAAUUUUCGGAAUUAUUUGAUUAAUUAUUUAUUUUCCGAAAAUUAAGCAUGGAUAGCCGACGACCGGAAUUUUAUGCUGAUUGUCGUGAUGCACUCCAUUUAUUUAAUUCAGCUUUAUUUUGUGUUGAAAUGAAUUAUUUGUGAUUAUAAGAUUAUUUUCUUGAAUUAAUUAAUUUGGAUAAUUAAUUGAAAAAUAACCGGGUGUCGGUUGACAACACCAAAAGUGUUGGUGGACUACAGAUAAUGGUGGGAUUUGUGGAAAAGAAAUUAUAAUAUUUUGGCUAAGGCCGACUGUGUACCCACACGAAUAUUUUAUCGGGAAUGAUAAAAAGGGUAAUUUGAUAAAUAUUAUUUUCGGCAUACUAUAAAAGUAUGGCUGGCAGCUUUUGGUGAGCAUAAUAAACAUAUCAGAUCAAUGAAUCUGGCAGCUUCUGGUGGGCAUAUUAUUAUUAUAUCAGAUCAGUGGAUCUGACAGCUUCUGGUGAGCUAUACUAUCUAUAUAUCGGCUAGAGUGAAUAGUCCUAGACUAUGGUCGGACUCAUAGAUAGUAUUAAUUGAGGAGACCAGGGAAUGGUCAUGUUGAUAUGUAAUUAACUAGGUCGAUUGAUCAAUGAUUCGAUUUGAUUGAAUGAUUUGACGUGGUGAAUUAAUUCGAUGAAUUAUAAAUUGUAUUGACUUGCAGGAAGGAAUUGAGGCAAAGGUAAGCCCUCCGACUCAUGAUUGUGCUUAGGCAGCCCUUAAGGCGUAUUUUCUUCUUAAUCGGGUCUUAGGGGGAUUGAACUUGCUGAGACGUCGUCUCACCCCGUUGUGGGAUAAACAUUUCAAGUCUCUAGAUGACAGUCGUGGAAGACCAAGAGCCCUGGAGUUUGGAAGAUGGAGGCUGAAGAAUCGGAAAUCGGGUCUAACUAGUGGGUGCUAGGACAGUCCCCUUUUUGUUAAGCCGAUAUUUUUGUAAACAGCCUGAUUUUGUAAUUAACCUGUUUGUUUGUAAAAGACUUGUCUUGGUUUGAAAAUUUUAGUCCUGCUCUUCUAUCCCAAUUGUUUGUUGUCUGGGGAUUUUAUAUCUGUUUUCGCAUGCAUAUUAAAUAAAAGGGUCAGCGACGUGUCCUGAGACGUCGCUAUUAUUCGACCAAGGAGGGAUGGGCGCGCGCUCGGAGGAUUGGGGCGUGACACCCUAAAUCGGACAAAAUGCCAUUGAAGCACUGAAGCCCUAAUCUCAAACCCUUAUUCGAUUUGCCCCAAAUUUUACAAUCAAAUAUUGGAAAUGGAGAGCAAGACUUUCAGCAACGGCUCAAAUUUCUCUUGCCGAAGUGAGGAAGAAGGCGAGCGUUUCUGUUUUUGUGGGAUACCAAGUCCAACAAGAACAUGGUUACAAAAAAAAGUCCAACAAGAACAUCAUGGACUCGAAUGAAUUCCAAGAGAAGAUUCUAUGGAUGUGCCCAAUAUAGAGAAGGGUCGAAGUGCAAAUAUUUCAAAUGGAUCGAUGCGAAAUUCUCUCACUGAGCCACAGAGGUGAUAUUGGACCUACUUGAUGGAUGUCAUCAACCUCCAUCUACGCUUGUGGACAACUUGGACGAUGUUGACUCAAUACAAGCUCAAGCGUCUUCUGCUAACCAUUUGAAGAAUGAAGUUUCAAGAAUGAAAAUUGAACGGAAGUGUUACCAAGCGUUUAUUGUGUUGCUGUUUUUUUAUCUAUCCUACUUUAUGAUGAAAUGUAAAGUACUGGAAGAAGAGAAGGAGUUUCUCCAACUACCAUAGUUGUAAAUGAGUGGAGAAAUGCACUUGUUUUGAAUGAAAUGUAACUCAUUGUUUUGGAAGAUAAGAAGAAGUUUUGUGUUGUCUACAAGAUCGUUGUGGUGUAUUUUUUUUUUUUUUUUGGAGCUGUCAUAUGUAUUAUGUGUUAUUUAUUGUGCUUGUGGGGAGGUCAAGAAAAGGGAAUGAAUUAAUGAGAUACUGUUUGUACUAUGUUUUUGCUUAUUCUCAAAUAUAAAUUGGUGAUGAUGAAAUGUAUAUUGGGUCGAUGUGUUAUGGUGACUUCUUUACUUAAACUGAAUGUAAACCAAUAGCAAACAUUGGAUUGAAUGAAGUUGCCAUAAGUUGAACGUAUAUAUAAACCAACAGCUUCUCUGGUUUGCUGCAAAUCACUAUAUACAUAAAACAGACACGAGUGAUUACUCGAGUGCUAUAAGUUGUAUCUAGUGAAUACUCAAGUGCCAGUUGUAAUAAAAAAAAAAGAGUCAUUUAAGUGUCAAGUUAUUAUUAAAAGUGAUCACUUAAGUGCAACUUGUGUUUAAAAGUGAACACUUAAGUGCUAGAUUUUUUAGAAUGUGAUCAGUUAAGUGCCUUUUUUUUUUUGUACAUUUUCCUCUAUAAAUUGCACUAGCCAUCAGCUACUACCAGCCACCAUCACCGCCCACCACUAGCCACCAUUGGCCUCCAGCCACACCAAGCAUCUCAGGCAUCCAUUUGAGUCACCACCAGCCACCACUAUGCUGGUGGUAUGCUGUUGCAGAAGUUGCUAGUGCAAGGUGCUUUACACCAGCUUGCACCAGCACUACCUAGUGUAAGAUGUGCAUAUUGCAAACUUAUAUCUUGCACCAGGUGCAUCAAAAACCCUAACCCAACCCAUAUAAUAGACCCACCAUAAGUAGGCAUCAGCAAUCACCACUGGCCACCACCACUAGCAACACUAACAUCCUAGCUACCACACCAAAAUGUAGCCACCACCAUAAACCCACCAUUAGCAGCCACUGUUAGUGGUGAGUCGUGGGUUUGUUGCAAAAGGGGUUCGUGUAAGCUAGGCUAUGCACACUACACUCUUGCACCAGUACUAGCUGCAGCAAGAGGCCCCAACCCAACCCCCACAACGGACCCACCACCAUCAAGCUUCACCAGCCGCCACCACCAACCACACGAGCACCCUAAUCACCACCACAGAUCCACCACCAAAAGCAAUAAGUACAAGUAAAAACAAAAUCAAAAAAAUAAAAAAGACAAAAAUGACAAGCAACAAGAUUGUUCCAUUGAUAUUAAAUUUAAGUCUCACAAACUCAAUGACAAACUAUUAUAAUAAAAUAAAAUAAAAACAUCCAUACUAAAACAACUGACUCCUCAACCCUACAAACCAUAUCACAUCCCAUUUCAUCAAUCAAUAUGCACAAUGCCUCUCGUUCGUGCUCCUUUUGAUGGACCUUGCACUCGAUUCAUAAUCCUUGCACUUUUUCUAACUGGAUGUGAGACUUCUUUUUCAACUAUCUCGAGAUGCGUUGAUUCUGAUGAAGCUGCAAUUGUCCUAGGCUGAACUGAUUCAGAUGGACCUGCAAUUGGGUUCUUCUUACUCUUCUUUCUUGUUGGUGCAGCAAAUGUCUUCUUUUUUGUUGAUGCAGCCGUUGAUUCUUGAGUUGAGCCUUGAGAGAUAAGAACCUUUGAACUUCUCCCAAGCUUAAAAAAGAAAACUCAAUUAUCAACAAAAGUUUGCACUAUAAAUUAAAUUAAAUGCAGCCUAUAAAACUUACAUUAAGAAUAAUUGUUCCAGAACACUCAUCUGUAUAAAGGCCAUACUCAUAUUGUUUUAGCCUCUUCCCAAGAGCCCCUCUUGUUCGAAGGGGAACGUCACUUUUAGGUAUUUGUGAUUAGUUGGCUCUUCUUCUUGCAUGUGAUUUCUUCGGCUUUUGUUGUGGCUAUUCAGCUACAGUGGGGGCUUCUUCGGCCAAUUCUUCAGCUAGGCGUCUUCUAAAUGGCCUUCUUGUAAGUGGCUCUUGAUUUGGCUUUCUUCUGGUUGUUUUUCUAAUUAGCUCUUUAGCUUCAGUGACACCUUUUGUUGGCUUUUGUGGUGGCCUUUGUGAUAACCCUUUUAGUGGCCUUUGUGGUGACCUUGGUGAUGGAUCUUGUGGUGGCCCUUCGGUUGGGCCCUCUAUUGGUAGCUAAGCUCUAGCUUGCCUUCUUUGAAUCUGAGAAAAAGGCAAAGGCCAUCAUAAAUAUAACAUCAGACCAUAUAAAAACAUAAAUGAAAACUAAACACAAAUUAUUGAACUCACCGGGUAUUUUUUUCUCUCUGCUGCUGAACAACAGUCGACUUAACAGGCCCUCCAGUUGCUUCGGCCAAUCCUCAACUGGCUGUCUUCUACCUUGCCUUCUUUAAACAAGCCCUUCAAUUUCAGGUACAGCAGAGGCUUCAGCCAAUUCUUCACGUGUCAUUCUCGUAACUUGACAAAGACAAAAACAUUACAUACAUGUCACUUAUAUCUAUGUACAUAUUUGUAAUAAAACAUAAAGCAACAUAAACACAAUUGUCGUGACUUACUGGGUUUAUUGUUGUCGAUUGAAGAACAAUCGACUCACUUUGCCUUUUUGUUUGUCAUUCUCCAACUGUCCUUUCACUAACCCCUUUGGUUGGCCUCAACUUUUCCUGCUGCUUCCUUAAUUGACAACCUUUAGUAUUGUGCCUUGCUAUGUGACAAAAAGAGCACUUUAUCGGUACACUUUUCCUAUUCAUCCUACACCGACAUGAGACCUCUCCCUCCGUCAUUCUUCGUUUUCACUUUGGUCUUCCCAUUUUCUUCUUUAGUGGCAAAGGUUGAGGUGUUUCGCGAUCUGUUGGCUCCCAGAACUUGCUACUUCUGAUUGGCUGCAACAUGAAUUGGUACUAAGCAAGAUAUUUCGGUUUCUUGUACCAUUCAUCAAUGUAGUCUUUUAUGUUGUGGCCCUUCAAUUGAAUGGCACAUGUUGCAUGUGCACAAGGAAUUCCACUUAGUUGCCAUGCUCGACAUGAACAAUUCCUCGUACCUAAAUGGACAACAUACUUAUCGGAACCCUUCAUUAUCUCAUAUCCUUCAUCCCCAUUCCAAAUGAGAUGGCAAUACCUACUUGCAGCUAAGUUGUCAUCCAAUUUCUUAGCAAUUCUAGGACCACAUUGCCUAGUCCAUUUUGCAGCCUCAUCUCUUUGUCUGUGCAACCGAGUCAUGACCAUAACCCGUAUGUCUUCAAGCAUCAAGAUAAUGGGUUUGCAUAUGGCACUUAUUUAUCCUCCCAUUGAAUGCUUCGCAGAUGUUGUUAUCGAUGUUAUCGCACUUGAAUUCCUCACUAAAGAACGCCCUACACCAAUACUUCAGUUCUAUUUGGAAUAGUGCAUCAUAACCUUCCUUCAAUUGAAGUAGUUCUUCUUUGGCCAUCCUAAAGUCAGCCAUAUUCGUACUCUUUGCUAGCUGCCAAAAUUGCGACUGCCACUUGUCCCAUUUAUAGUUGUUUGCCCAAUUUGCGUAUAUGUGCCAUGCAUACAUUCGAUGUUCAGCAUAAGGCAACAACUCAGCUAUUGGUGGAACUAGUCCUUGCAAUAAUUCAAAAUAAGAAAUGUAAGCAAAUGACAUGUUGAUAUCAAAAAGCAAACGAUUAACCAAAUUUUUUAAAAAAACAAACAUUACCUUUUGUUGGUCACUCAUGAAUGCCCACCCUACCCCGUUUGUUAUCUCCAAAUCAGUCAUCAAAUUUUUUAGAAACCAGGACCAAUUGUCCUUGUUCUCUACCUUCACAACAGCCUAAGCCAAUGGAAACAUUUGGUUAUUUGCAUCUCUUCCAAUUGCAGUCAACAAUUCUUUCUUGCACAAGCCUUUCAAAAAACACCCAUCUAAUCCUAUAAUCCGUCUACGACCAGAUAAAAAUCCUCGUUUGCAUGCAUCGAAGCAAACAUAGAACUUAUCGAACUUGGUCCCAAUAUCAGGAAGUGGUCUUUCCACGACCUCUACAUACACUCUACUUGAAGGAUUUUGCAGCCUACACUCUCAAGCAUAAUCCCACAAUUGUCCAUAUUCGCUAUUGUACUGACGAAUGAGUAUCUUCAUCACAAUUUGCUUCGAUAUUUUGCAUUGAUUCCUGGAUAUAUUGAUGCCUACCUUCUCCUUCACUAGCAUCAUGAACUCAAUACUAUUCAUCUAAGGCAUCAGCCUAAUCAAAUCAAAGAAGUGUUUGGACAAUCAUGCACUUGUUACCCUUUUAUUUUCAAAAUUAAUGAAACAAAUAUGUUCCUCUUGAUAGGCUCUAAUCUGGAAUGAUCCACUUCUCCUAACAAAUGCGCCAUAGAUCUUCCAUGGACAAUUUUGCUAUGAACACCUAGCUCUUACAAACGUCGUAGUGUUUCUAAUGACGUCAAUAUUCCUCUGUGCAGCAAUGGAGUUCUUCAGUAUAGCUUCCCUAAAUUGUUUCGCAUCUUGAAAUUUCAUACCUAUGACAAUGUAGGAGAGGCAAUGGAUGGAUCAUAAGAAUGAAACUUACUUUUCCUUCUAUGCACAACUCCUUCAUCUUCUUCAAGCUCAUCUUGGGAAGUAGCAUUCUUGACGCUUUCUUCAUAAUCAAUCUCCUCGCCAGCAGCACCGGCAUCUGCAGGGCCUUCAACCCUAUUUGGAACUUCAUCAGCUACCUGCAAAGCUGCAAACUUAUCUAUAAAAAAAAUCCCUUAGCUUUUUUCUUGACUGUACAAUCUUCUUGUUGUCAUUAUCACUUAUGAAAUUUUCAGCAGGCAACCCUUCAUCAUCAUCAUCACUUGAUUUAGCUACUUCACAAUCUAAUCCAGUGAUUGUGACAUCACCUAUGUCAUAAUCACUUUGGUGAACUACAUCUGCACUCCUCUCCUCUCCAUCAUGUCUAUCCUGCCCUCAUUUAACCCAAACGUCAGUACUACCUUGAAUACCAUCUCCAUCUUGUCUUACUUGGGCCCUCUCUCCAUCAUCAUCUUCGUCCUCACUUUCACUAUUGUACUCAACAUAUAUUUUUACCUCUUCACCAUGAAGAUAAUGGUAUAGAACAUCUCUAAAAUCAUUAUCAUCUUCUAAGCUUCUCAAACCAUCUCUUAAGCCUUUCCCAGGAAUACAAUAUAACAACUUUUGAACUUUACAAGGCAAAUAAGUCACUAUAUCCCUAACAAAUCCUAUAUAAGAUGCUUUCUUUAUCUUGACAAAGAUAAUGCCCUCAUUUCUACCCUCAUCCUCCCCAAUCACAAAAUCCCCACCGUAGCAAACUAUGACAAUGACAUAAUCCUUGUUAUAAGCCAUUUAUGCACCAAGAACAAAAAAAAAAAAAAAUUAGUUUUUGGGACCACAUCCACAAAGAACAAUAGACAAUUGCACAUGGGAGUCCCCCCACUCUCAUGGACUUUAUUAAACAGAGGUCCCCACAUUGACAAUAUGCCCCUACAUGGCAGCCAAAAAAGAGGUCGUCACUUUAAUUAUUUGCCUUCCUUUCCCUUAAUAUAUUAACCAAAAACAAAGGUCCCCACAACAAGCACAACCCAAGCAAUUUUGUCUACUAUCUUUUGCUGAACUAAACUUGCGAUGUGAGAAUGUACAUCAACUUAAUCAAAUCAAAUCAAUUUUUCCUGUGAAAACACAUAUAGAAAAUAAAGGAAAGCUCGAUGUAAAAAUAUAGGGUGAAAGUUCUAUUUCUCAUCCAACCAAGAGAAAUCAUACCCGACUCUAUGAUGUUUGGCCAUUAAUAUAUUGUGUCAAUAGGUCGUUACACUGCCCAAGAGAAAUUCAGAGGAAAAUCAAGCCCUGAAUUUAUCCAUUGCACAGUAGAUUGAUACUGCAUGUCAAAAGAGCUAAUAGUUUAUAAACUUUAAAAUGAGGUACUUACAUGUGGUUUCAAAUAUGUCCCUUGCAGGUAACAAACUUAUAUAAAGUAUCAAAACAAAUUUUACACUCCUCAAUGAUCCCUGCAUAUAUGUUGACUAUUUGAUUAGAAANNNNNNNNNNNNNNNNNNNNNNNNNNNNNNNNNNNNNNNNNNNNNNNNNNNNNNNNNNNNNNNNNNNNNNNNNNNNNNNNNNNNNNNNNNNNNNNNNNNNUCUAGGCAUGAAUAGCGACGGAGAGAAGGGCCUGAGAUCUAGUGUGAACGCGGACAAGGAGGAACGGCAAUGGCUAGGUUUGCUUAAGCCAAAAUAACCUAAACGACGUCAUUUAACACCAAGGAAAAACGACAUCAUUUAGGUCAGCUUAGUCGAUGUGGAUAGACGACGUCGUUUUUAUCAUCCGUGUAGGCUUUUUUUUUUAAAUGUUUGCCACCUCAGUAAAAGAAGUCGCCAGAAAAUGCCACAUAUGCAAUUUGGCCGGAUUUUCCUGUCAAGUGAUCCAUUUUGCUCCGAUUUUGGCACUUAAGUGUCACUUUUGUAAGUUAUGGCACUUAAGUGUCCUUUUGUGCCAAGUUAUGGCACUCCAGGGGUUUGCGCGUCCUUUUUGUCAAUAGCAAAAAGUGGAGAAUGACUAUAAAAGGAGUUGCGUAAAAAUCAUAGCUGUUUGGGGAUGCGAAUGAGUUGGAAAUCCCCCAUAGACUUGACAGUCUCCUCUAGCUUCCUUAGAGUCUCCUUCAGUUGGUCCAAAUCUUCACCCUUUGCAGUGUCUUGCAUUUGAAUCUUCAGGGCUUGUAGCUGUUCUUGCAAAGAAACUGAAGUGGACUAGAAAGCUUUCUUAAGGUCCUUUAACUCAAACUCCAAGCCAUAUUGAUGUCUUCAAAUCCCAAAGGAUAUCCAGCAGUCUUGGAAAGUCUGCUGUUGGUUCUGGAGUAACACUAGGUCUAGCCAAAUUAGUUCCAGGAGUCUUAAGAUGUAAGGGAAUAUCCGCAGUUUGAUCACCGGGACUAGGAAUGGAUGCCUCAACGUCUGCUUCAAGGUAGUGAGAGGCAUAGACAUCCUCUGGAUCUGCUGGAGAUUUACUAACAUCACUUAUAAGAGCAAGUGAAGAAGUACCUCUUUUGUUAGUAGCUCCCCCUGUUUCUGUGCUUUCAGGUGGAGAAAAGAAUUCUUCUUCCUGUUCUUGCUCUACUUCAGCACAUGAGUGAUGUUUUUCUCUUUCUUUUCUGGCAGUUCCACUCCUUGUUUUCUCCGAGUCAUCUGACAAGGAUACAGCAAAAGUAGGCUCAAAAGAGUCAUCUUGACCCUCUUCUUCCUCUUCCUCUCUUCCUCUUUCUUCUUUCUUCUCUUUCUUCACCUCUCUUCUAUGUUUCUUCUCUUUCUCUAUUAUCUCUGUCCUAUGGCUCCUGAAGACUAACAAAACUUUGUAAAUUUCCUAAGGCAAAAGCGGAGAGAGUGAUGUCAUCCUCAUCUUCUUCGUCCUGCAAGAUAAUGGCUCUCCUCUUCUUGAUAGGUCCGCUCAUGGGCUCCUUGCCUUUUCUUUUCCUUGUUGCAGAGUCUUGUUUUGCCUUGAUAGGGGACUUCUCCUUCAUAUGCUCCAAAACCCUAUUCAACUCCUUCAUAUGCAUCUUUGAAACCAUUUUCAGUCCAGUCACCAUUGGAGCAAUGGUUCUAACACAUAAAGUAGCAGGAAGAUGAAUUUUGAAGUGUGGUAGACGGGAUCGAUAAGCGCAGAGUAAGGGAGUUGCCCCUUGUCCUUCACAACUGUCCUAUACAUGUGCAUGAGGAUAGUGUGAGGCAGUGAGAACUUAAAGCCAAUGUUGAUUGCAUACAUCAACUUUGCUUCAGAAUGAGAGACAUCAGUCUUUGACGUGGAUUUAGGUCUGAUGCAGUUGAUCAUGAUAUUGUGAAAUAAGAUAUUGGAUGCAGUCAUUCUAGAGUAAGAAAUCCUGCCCUUAGCAAAUCUGUCCUAAACAAAUUCCAAUGUAGCAUGACCAACUGACAUACCGAUUGGUUGGAAACUCCCUCUUUCCACACCAAUCAAAUCCGCCAAUGUGUCCACAUCGACCACAAAUUCUUUGUCCCUAACCGUAAAAUAAAAUCUAUUCGCAUCUAAGGAAGAUAGAUUUGAAUAGAAAUAAGCUGUUAGUUCUGGGUAGGCGACAGUUGUCUCAGAGCAAAAACUUUCAAGUUGAAGGAGUGCAAACUUCUCCCUUAGUUUCACUUUCAACGAAUCAAGAAAAUUGAAAUCCACAUUUCUAGGGUUCAUAACCCCUCUCUUCAGCAGUUUCGAGUAAGUCUUCCUGUGGUCUUUGGAAUGGAAUAAACUCGCUCCCUCACCAUGAACACUUGCAGCAACGUCCAUCCUAGGCUGAAAAUUUGUGAACAUCCUUUCAUCAUCAUCCUUACCUCCAGGCUGAUUAAAAGUGUUGAACCGUGGAUCACUUUGAAAGUUGGCAAAGGUCCUUGCUGCCAAACCUUUAGGAGCAAUCCCAUCCUUUCCAUGGAUUGUAAGAACCAAGUUUCGUUCUUGUAACCCCUCUCUCUCAUGAACUCAUCGAUGAAUGUCAUCACAGUACCACCCUCUUUCAACGUAGAAUAAAGUUUAAACAGAAAUUCGGGUUUUAGCGUUCUUACGGGUUCCACAUCUUCCACAAUUUCUUCUUCUACUUGUUGCUGUGGAGGAUCUUGAGUCCUGUGCUGAGAAGAGUGACGUGGUUGAGAAUGUUGUUGUCGUUGCUGCUGCUGAGGAGAAUCUUCUUCCUCGGUUACAUCAAAGUGCGUAGGACCCUCACGCAUAUGCUGUGGUCCCCUGCUCCUGAUUCUAUAGGACUUUCUUUGGGAAGACAUUGUCACUUUCUUGGAGGAUUUCUCGAACUUGCUAUUGAAAAAGGUGAAAGCUUUUUGGAUUAAACUAGAGGGAAAGUGAGAGAAAGUAGGAUUUUUGUAUUCUAGGAUUUGUAAGCGUAAACGGUGAAGAAGAAAAUCGAUGGUAUAUAAAGCAAGUGAAACGGGGUAUAUGAAUCAUCACAAAGGAAAAAACAAAAACUACCUUUUUCAAAAAUGAAAAACUGCCAUAAAUUUAAAACUCAAAAAAGAUAAAUUCUAAAAAUAAAGUAGGCAAGUAGCAAUUCGAAAAAUCAACGUACCUUUUCAAAAAAUUAUUCUAAAAUAAAAACACAUGCAUUUAGAAAGCAUUAACUUACAGUCGUAACUUCUGGAUAUUCUGAGUCUGAACACCUUUAGACUUUGCCCAGUAAAAGAUAUGAUGUUCAGUCUGGUGCGAAUAGACUGAAAUAAGCUUUUCUCCAGUGGCAUUGUAAAUAUAUAUGUCAACUGUUUCUUCGAGUCAAUGAACGGAAUCAUAAUUUCUUAAUUCUGAACAUGAUCUCUAAUGAAGUGAUGUCGAAUCUCUAUAUGUUUUGCGCUUGAAUGAAGAAGUCACAUUUGAUCUCGGUGCACGACUCUUCAAUACCAAAGUCUCUUAGUUGUUGCCUUAUCCAUAAGAUUUGAGAGCAACAAUUUCCAAGAGCCACAUAUUCUGCUUCAGCUGUUCAAAGAGCUACGGUGCUCUAUUUUCUUGAAAACCAAGAUACCAGCUUGUUGCCUAGCAGUUACAUAUACCAGAAGUACUCUUUCUAUCAACUUUGCAUCCUGCUAAAUCUGUGUCUGAAUAUCCAUGAGAGUAAAGUCUCCUUCUUUGAGAUACCACAAACCUAGCCUUGGAGUAGUUGCAAUGUAUUUGAUGAUGCGCUUUGCGGCACCUAAAUGAGAUUCUUUGGGAUUUAAUUGGAAUCUAGCAUAGAUACAAACACUAAACAAAAUGUUAGGUCUAGAUGCAGUAAGGUAAAGAAGCGAACCAAUAAUGCUCCUGUAAAGUUUCUGGUCUACACUCUUUCCUCCUUCAUCUUUGUCCAGCUUUGAAGAACUUGACAUAUGUGUCUGUCUUUUUGCAAUUCUCUAAUCCAAACUUCUUGAUGAGAUCUUUUGCAUACUUCUCUUGGUGAAUGAAAAUACCUUCCUUUGAUUGUUUAACUUGUAAUCCCAAAAAGAAAGUCAGCUCACCCAUCAUGCUCAUCUCGAAUUCAUCCUACAUGCAUCUAGAGAAUUUCUUGCAUAGAUUUUCAUUAGGUGAUCCAAAUAUAAUAUUAUCAACAUAAAUCUGAACAAGUAGAAAAUCUUUACCUUAUCUUUUAAUGAACAAAGUAGUGUCUACCUUUUCUUUAACAAAACCAUUUUGAGUUAGGAAUUUACUUAACUUUUCAUACCAGGCUUGAGGUGCUUGCUUCAAUCCAUAUAGGGCCUUUUCCAGUCUGUAGACUGAGUCUGGCUUUCUUGAAGCUUCAAAACUAGGUGGUUGUUCCACAUAGACUUCUUUUUGGAUAAAUUUAUUUAGGAAUACACUUUUUAUAUCCAUUUGGAAUAAUAUGAAAUUUUUAUAGCAAACAAAAACAAGUAAUAAUCUAAUUGCUUCUAACCUUACUACUGGCGCAUAGGUCUCGUCAUAGUCUAUCCCUUCUUCUUGCGUAUAUCCUUUGAUAACGCGUCUUGCUUUGUUUCUAACAACUUUUCUUUUUUUCGUCUACCUUGUUCCUAAAAACCUAUUUAGUUCCAAUAAUAUAUUUACCUUCAGGUUUAGGAAUGAGUUCCCAAACAUCGUUUAUGUUGAACUAUCUGAGCUAUUCUUACAUAGCUUCAAUCCAACUUUCAUCAGCCAAGGCUUCUUUUAUACUUUUGGGUUCAAUCUCAGAAACGAGUGCUAAAGCACUAGACUCUUCUCAUCUUUUGGAUCUGGUGCGAAUUCCUUCAUCAAUAUUGCCAAUGAUGAGUUCUUUGGGAUGACUUGACUUAUGCUUCCAGUUGCUAGUUGGUUUGUGAGUCUGGUGAUCUUCUGCUUCUGUUGAAUCUUCUAGUUUAUCUUAUUGUUGAUCUUCAGAAGUCUGAACCACUUCGAGGGAAGUAUAUUUUAUAACGUCUAAAACAAGUUCAGAUUCUUCAACCUGAGUCUGAUCCAAUUGAUUCUACAUACAGUCUUGAAACUUGACGUUCAUAGAUUCUUCCACAGACUGAGUCUUCUUGUUGAAUACUCUGUAGGCUUUGCUUGAGGUUGAGUAGCCAAGAAAAAUUCCUUCGUCUAAUUUUUCUUUAAACUUACCGAUUCGAUCAUUUGCAUUUUUCAAAACAAAAUACUUACAACCAAACACAUGAAAAUAAGAAACAUUUGGUUUCUUCCCUUUAAAUACCUCAUAAGAAGUUUUCUCUAGAAUAGGCCUCAAGAAUACUUUGUUAAUAAUAUAGCAAGCUGUAGAGACCGCUUCAGUCCAAAAUCGAGAGGAAAUAUUACUCUUAAUUAAGAGGGUUCUUGCCAUCUCCUACAAAGAUCUAUUCUUUAUUUCCACAACCCCAUUUUGCUCUGGAGUAUAUGGAGAAGAGAAAACAUGCUGAAAACCAAAUUCAUCACGGAAUUUUGCAAAGUCUUGAUUUUCAAACUCACCUCCAUGGUCUAUCCGUAUGCUUGAAAUAAUAUAUCAUUUUUCAUUCUGAACCUUCUUGGCAAAUUUUGAAAAGUAAGAGAAUACUUCAGACUUACUUGCUAGGAAGUAUACCCAAGUAAAGCAAGAGUAAUCAUCCACGAUUACUAGGCGGUAUCUUUUUCUACCAAUGCUUUGAGUUCUGGUUGGUCCAAAGAGAUCCAUAUGCAGAAGUUGCAAAACUCGAUUAGUAGAAACUUGAUUUAUAGGUUUAAAAGAACUUAUGACCGGUUUUCCCAAAACACUUGGUGUGCAUAAAUCAGACUUUUGAUAAGUCAGGUUGGGCAGUUCACGAACAAGCUUCUUGGAGGAAAUCUUAGAAAUCUACUUCAUGUUAACAUGGCCAAGUUUUUGAUGCCAAAGGUUUGCUUCAUCUUGAAUGGAUAUUAAACACUAAGAACUUUCUGGUUUUAUAUCCAAAAGAUAAAUAUUCCCAUGUCUUCGUCCAGUGAAAGAUUGAGAGAAAUCUUUACUAGUUCCUAAACAAAUGCCUUCUUGGAAAUUAAUUUUGAAUCCAGUAUCACACAGUUGACUAAUGCUGAGUAGAUUGUAAUUCAAACCUUCCACCAAGGAAACAUUGUUGAUUGUGAGACUUUCAAUCUUCACAGUUCCACAUCUAACAAUUCUUCCUUUGCUGUUUCCACAAAAAGAAACAUUUCCACCAUUUAUUUGCAUGAGCUUUAUAAAACAACUUGAAUCUUCUGUCAUGUGUCUCGAGCAGCCACUAUCCAAAUACCAUUUAAUAUUUUUCUUGAUAGUGACCUCGACUUCUUCAUCUGAGUCUGAGUUUGAGUCUAAGUCCGUCUCUGUUUCAAAGUCUGAGUUUGAAUUGGCCAUUAGACAUAUAUCCGUGUAUUCUUCAUUACUCUCCUCACAUUCAGUAUCGCUCCAUGUCUCUACUUUGAGAACCUUUUUGAAUUUCUCUAUUUUUCCUUUCUUUUUCUUCAACAAAUGACAGUUGGGUCUGAUGUGCCCCAUUUUCUUGCAUUCGAAGCAAAUCACAUCUUUGCUGGUCUCAUUAUCCAUAGUUAAUUUCUUAUGAAAUCUUUAAGUGUCCUGCUUCUUCCAAUUAAACCUUUUUCCUUUCUUGUUCAACUUCCUAAACUUCCUUAUCAUGAGUGCUAGCUCUUCAUCGUCCAAGUCAGAAUCAUCCUUAGAUUUUAAGGCAAUUGACUUCUUACCUUUGGAAUCUUCUUCCUCAUUGAUUUGCUCUACUUCAUAUGAUUGAAGUGUGCCAACCAAUUUCUCUACAGAAAGAGGCAUGAUCCUUUGGGUUUCUCUUAUUGAAGUCUUCACGUGAUUCCAGUCUUUGGAGAGUCCACGCAGCAAUUUAUUGACCUUCAUUGGUCCUGAGAUUAGUUGUCCUUGAUAUGCUAGACCGUUUACAAUCUCUGUGAAGCAACAGAACAUGUCAGUGAUGGAUUCUCCUGGCUUCAUCUUGAAGGCUUCAUACUGUCCGAGUAGGAUAUUGAUUUUUGUUUCUUUAACUUGAUCAGUUCCUUCAUAGGUAAGGUGCAACCUAUGCUAGACUUCUUUGGCUAUUUCACAAGAUGAAAUUCCGUUAUACUCAAUAGGAAAUAAAGCACAAUUUAAUGAAUAGAUGGCUUUAGCAUCAAAAGCUUGUCUAUUGGUUAUUUUCGCUUGUGUCAAUUCUCCAGCAUCUGCAACUUCCUUUCCUGAGGUUGAUAUAGCUUUGGGAAUAAUCCCUUUUUCUACCACAUCCCAUUCCAGGGGAUCUUUCGAUCUCAGGAAUGCCUUCAUCUUGUUUUUCCAAACAUUGUAUUCAUUCCCAUCAAAGUAGGAAGGUCUGGUGUUGCUUUGGCAUUCAACCAAAUCUGGAGUCAAAAUACUGCCCAUAGAUCUUUAGCUUAAAAAGUAAAAACACUUCAAUAAAUAAGCACACAAGCUCUAAUACCAAUUGAAAGGGCUAGUAUGAACACCUAGAGGGGGGUGAAUAGGUGUGAAGAAAAUUUUUAGCAAGACUUAGUAAAAGUAAAUUGCCUUUAGAAGAUAAUAGACUAAGGACGUAAUUAGCUUUAAAAAAUUAUAUAAAGCUACGAAUAAAAGUAAGGAGUUCAAGGAAAGAGAAUUAGGACACAAGGUUUAUAGUGGUUCGGCUUAGAUCAAGCCUACGUCCACUCUCCCACGCUAACAGCCCACUAGCUGGAUUCCACUAUGAAUCAAAAGAGAUUUUACAACUUAUGAUCUUCAACUUUCUCAGUGGAGAGUCUCUACUAGUCUCUCACCAAGUCUCACUAUGUGUUUCUCUCUUUUGUAUAGAACUUUGAGCUCAAUGAAUGAAAGAGCAAGGAACUAGAAAGCUUCAGACUUUGAGAUUCUUCUUUCACGCACUCUUUCGAACAAUCAUCCUUAAAUACUCCUUCAUGCCUUCACGACCAUUGGCACUCUCCAAAGGAAUUCUUCCAAUCUACCUGUUGGACAGAAUGAAUUAAGGCGAUCUCGAGUCGUUAGAUGAUUUGUGAUGAAGGCCCGUCAAUCAUGUUCACCCAUACAAUCAGGAUCUUUGGUUUCCAUAAGUAGAACCUUCCAAGUUUGCUCGUCUUUCAAAAGAUCUUCAUAUCGGAGUAGAUUGCAAUAAGAAUAAUCAAUCAUGUAGAUGCUAUAUCCAACCAUAAGAUCUUCCAAAACCAUACAAAUCGAAUCCUUGAAGAUAAUCUGACAUCUAGAUAAAUCUUCAUUCUUCGGUUUGGAAACUGUCAGUGAGGGCAAACUUUGAAUCUUAAGUCUGGCAGUCUUCAGACUUAGAUGGUAGAGUCUGGAGUUCUUUAAACUAGACUUUUGAAAACGUUUUGUCAACUUCAAAAUAGCAAAUGAGUUUUCUCCAACAAAUAUUACCUAUCCCCGACGUGUGUCGAUGGAUAUUACCUAUCCCCGACGUGUGUCAAUGGAAAUUAUCUAUCCCCGGUGUGUGUCGGUGGAUAUUACCGUCCCCGGUGUGUGUCAGUGGGCAUCACCUAUCCCGGGUGUGUGUCAGUGGAUAGAGGACCGAUGUGUGUUGGGUAAAACUACCCAUGCAGGUACUAAUAAUUAAUUAAAACGCAUGUUGAGUGAAAUUGAUUAACCGAUAUGUGUUGGUAAUUCUUGCUUGUGUGGGCAGUGAUUAAAUUGUAAUUCUUGCUCGUGUGAGCAGUGAUUGAUUUAGACGUUCCAAAUGGUGUGUGAAUUUGCUAUAUACACAUGAUUGUGAUAUGAACUAUGCUGACCUGCAGGGAGGAUCUAAGACAAGGUAAGUCUCUGUGGUUGUAUGACUGUGUGGUUAGAACACCCUAGGCAUAUUACCCUCCUAAUCGGGAUUUAGAAUGGGAACUUGCUGAGAUUUAUAUCUCAUCCCGUCGUGAGCUUAAAUUUUCAGGACCGUAGAGCGGAGAAUCUGAAGCCGAGCUGAGGUGAUCUAAAGUGUUGGUCAAAUAGGACAGUUUCUUUUUUAGAGUCAAUCAUUUGAAGUCUUGCGACUAUAGAUUUUUGUACUUGACUCGGUGUGUAUUUAAAAGCAUGUUUUGUUUGAAAAUAUGUUGUCCUGCUUUUCUAUCCCAAGAUGGUUACUAUCAGGGGAUUUGUUAUUCGCUUCUGCAUGUGCAAUAAAAAGAAAGGGUCGGCGACUCGUCUUGGGAAGUCACAAAAUUUUAUCGACCAUCGAGGGAUGGGCACGCGCUCGAGGAUAGGGCGUGACAUCCCCAUUUAGUGGUAUCAAAGCAGAUCGAUAGUUGGAGUGAUAAGGUACGAUGGGUUCUUGGGAUAGUUAGUAGGAAAGACUUUUAAUAUACUAAUGCAUGUGAGUGAUAACUGAUUGGUAGCUUGUUUGUGUGGUCACUCAGUUUCUAAUUUAGUGAGGAAUUGGAAAACAUGUUUCUAUAAAGAUCCUGUGGCAUAAGUGACUAGGAGCAAAGAACUCCUUGGAAGAGAUCGGUAGGACCUGUAUCUUAGGGUAGGAUGUCAACAAGAGUCGGUACCAGAGACAGAACACAGGCUCAGGCCAGCGUGAGUGUGAGAGUACUGCCGUAAGCCGGUACCAAGAAUGUAGUAGCACCGAGUGAUCCUAGGUUUGAUGGGAUUGUUCAAGCGCUAGUCACCUUUGGGAACUUGUUGCAUCAGUAAGCUCAGGAUCGAGCCAUCGCUGUUGCCCCCAUAUCUACCGUUGCUAGUGCUGUAACCGCUGAUGUUGCUGCACCUGUUGAGACCUAACCUGGAAUUGUGAUCGGGGAGCAAGCUACCGCAUCUGAAUCAAGAUUCAGUUCCAAUAGAGAUGAUAACCAACUAAGGAAGAGACCGAUGUCAGAAGAAAGGUAUUCCAUCCCUCUCAAUAAGAAUGGUAAGAUAGGAAAGUCAGCGUCAUGCCAAAAUGUCGUGUGUCGCUUUUGUCGAAGACGGCAUGGACCAACCUCGUGCCAUUUUAGGACUAGUGCUUUUUUUAUGUGUGACUAGCAGGAUCACCUGGCCAGAAACUAUCCACGCAAGCAAAUGGGAUCACAUAGCUGCCGCCACCACCAUCGAUGGAAUGGAAUAGAGAGAGUGCGUCGCAAGACACACAGUGGGGUACUUGGAACAGGCCUCCAGUGCAAGGAAGGGUGCAGGCUGUCACCCGAUAGGAGACAGAGGACUCAUCAAAUGUGUGCCAAGUUUGUGCAAGGAAGCAUGGGUCAGCCUAAUGUCCAAGUAUAUCGGGAGCAUGAUUUGAAUGUGGCCAGCACGACCAUCAAGCGAGGAACUGUCCGCGUAGGUCCAGGAGAGCAUAAGCACCAUUACUGCAGAUAGGGCACCACUAGGAUGGCUAAAGGAACGAGAAUGGACUGACCAUGCAUCGAUAAGGGGAAGAAUGUUUUUGGGGUGAUUUUAUUAGAGUAGCGUAGCAAAGUUGUGAUUAAGGUUGUAGAACUUUAGUUUGUUGUAAUAAAGUAGAAGGAAGAAUCACUGGCUAGAAUUGUAUUUGACUAGUUUACUUAUGUAUAACUUUGACGUCAUGUAUAAAAAGGUUUGGCUCGAUGAGCUUUUUGUUGUAAUAAAUUGUUGUUGCAAGGUAAUGUAGUCUAACCCGUUGGCGGAUGAAAGUUUCAAAUUUAUCGAAAGUCGAGAAGGACCCUCGAUCCCUUUAAAUCUCAUCGCUUGAGACAACCCGUUUGUUAGACAUGGGUUGCCAAGGUUAUUUGUUAACCUUAGUGGAUACGUUAGUUGAGGAGCCGAAGAUGGAGGACAUCACUGUACGAAAGGACUUUGCAUUGGACAGAUGUGCUGAAUUGUACAUGUGACAAAUAGUUUGUCUUCGGGAGUACUAGGGACAGAUAAAAGACUGCUCAGAAUCGCUAGAAAAGUUACGCAGAUAAGCACCAAAGACCAUUGGAAUUCCAAGUUGGUGAUCACAUUUUUCUAAAGGUGUCACCAAUGAGAGGUACUUUGCGCUUUAGUAAGAAAGGAAAGCUGAGUCCGAGGUACAUAGGUCUAUUUGAGAUUCUUGAAAGAAUCGAGAUCCUAGCAUAUCGUCUUGCAUUGCCAUCGAGGAUUGGCGCAAGUGCAUGACGUCUUUCACGUGUCGGUGUUGAAGACGUAUGAGCCUAACCCGACCCAUGUACUAAAUUUUGAAGAGUUAGGCGUGGACGACAAAGCGUCGUACGUGGGAAGCCCGAUUCAGAUUGUGAAUCGCAAGGAAUAGAUUCUGCAUACUAAGACGAUCUCGUUGGUCAAAAUGGUCUAGUAACACCACGGUACUGAAGGAGCAACUUGGGAAAGUGAAGAGUCAAUGAUACGACUGUACCCCCACCUUUUUGUUGAAAGGUUUGUAAAAGUUUAAAUUUCGAGAACGAAAUUUUUAUAGAAGGGGAAGAGUUGUGACAUCCUAAAUUUUAGGUUCUACUUUCGAUUGAAUAAGUUGGGCUUUUCAUCGACGCGCCUAUAGUUCUUUUCUCUGAGUAGGCCACUCAUGAGAUAACUAACCUAUCAGGUGAAGUCGUUAAGGAAUCUAAACGCAAUAGACUUGAGAAUUCGACUAGGAAUUGACUGUUCGAUCAUACUAGUCUGCAAGGAUUAUUACGGCACAAUUAAAAAUCAAUUAGAGACUAGAGAUAGGUCGAUUCGACAGAACCAUGUGAUUAAGUGUGGGUGAUUCCACCUAAUUGCAAAAUUCUUGUCGAUUGGCACUAGACCGAUUUUUCUGUCGUUUUCGUACCUUGUGUCCAUAUUUGAAACCUCGAGAUUUCCACGAUAACCGGGAGUCACCAAUGUGUCGAAGAUGUACUUGUGGCUUGAAAAUAAUCAACCACGGGUCAAUUGCACGAAAAAUUCCUAAAAACUACCCAAUAGAUUGGGACACGCUAAAAUCGCGCCAGAUUGAAAUUAAUCACAAAAUUGAACUCGAUUUCAGAAAUUGGAAGUUCCUUCAUGUCACAAGUCAUUUAGGAACGUCAACUCAUCUCUAAAAAAUUUCUACAAACCAAAAUUUUCAGUGAGAAAUCCAAAGUAAGGGUAUUUAGAUCGGGAAAUUCGUAGGCCCGCUUUUGGGUGGAUUUUUUGGAUUCAAGUUGAUUCAAUUGAUGAGGAAAAAUCAUGGAUUAAGUGUGGACACCUUGGCUGAUUUGUUUGGACUUCGAUUGGAUUGAUUUGAGUAAGAAUUGAAUGGAAUUUAAGAAGAAAUGUACAAAAUUCGUAGCCUUAGAGGGGUGCAACAAUUCAGCCAUGUUGGGAAGCUUCCUAAGGAAGAUUGAGGAGAGAGAAAUGGCUAAGGAUAAGGGCUGACAUGGUGGGGGCAUGUGAUGAGUGAACGGGGAUAAGAUUAAAGACUUGUGGCCAAAUGGUGGGUCCUUUUCAGCCAGCUGCUUCUUCUCCUUCCUUGGCUUCACUUUCUUCAUUGUUGAAGUGUUGAGAGCUCUAGAAAACCAAAGGAACUAGCCAAGACCAGCAGCAAGCCAGCUAAGCCCCACCUGAAGUUGUCCGAGCUCCCCCACGCCAGCCGCUGCUGUCGCGCAUCCCAGCCGUCCAGCUGAUGUUCCAUGUGCGUCUGGCCAUCCUACUAUGUCAUCGAGCUCCCUCAAGCUACCUGGAAGUCAGCUAGCCCAGCCUUGCAUGUCGCCUAGCCCCGUAGCCACCCGUCUCUGCUGUUUCCAGCCGUUCCAACUGCUGGAGUUGCUCGGUUCUGCUCCCUCAACCAGCAAGCAAAAGCUGAAGUCCCAGCAAGAUCUGGAACUUCGUGGCCUGUUUUCGAGCCUUUCCCAACCUCGUUUGGUGUCGCCACAAGCUUGUUUGUCGCUCACCUUGGUGUUGCCGUUGUCGUGGACUCAUCGAAUCGUAAAAUCAGUGAGUUUACUCACUAAACCUUGCUUAGGAGGUUAGUGACAUUCUAUAAUGGUUAUAUUAGUCUUGAAUGGAUUAGUGUUAAUCUAAUUAGUGAGAUUAGCACCAUUGUGGAUGGAUUAGUCCAGUUCAGUGGACUUUUUGCAGUUCGGAUUUCUGGACCCUCGCCGUUUGUCAUUUUUGUAGAUAGAAAUGGGUUGCGAAUUUGAGAUUGAUUCUUUCUUGUGAAAUGUUUUAGACAUCUUCAGAUAUAACAUAUAUUUUUCCCAAGAUUUUUGGGGAUUUAAAAGAAGGAGAUAUCAGCUCCGUCAUUUGCAAACAAAGACUCAGACGGUGCUGGAAAUUAUGACUUUUUCAGAUUCUAUGGGUUUUUAUCAACUCUUAGAGUUCUAAUUUCAAAAUGAUUUCUUCACAAAAUUUGUUCUCCAUAUCUUCUAGUUUAACAUGGUUAAAUUUCAGAUCAAAUGGACAAAUUUUGUAUCUCAAACCAAACUGAUUUUGGAAAAUAGACUUUUUAGAAACGGACCCAGUUUUUGGUACUGGAUCGAGCGAUUUACUGGGCCGAAUCUAAAAGGAUCUAGGUUAAGGUGUAUACAUAAAAAAUAUUUUUUUAUGUGUCAUUUACAACAUAUUCAAAUUUGGAAAUUUUUCAAACUCGUUUAAUUAGGUUUCUUGUUUUUAACUUGGAGACGCACGAAUGGCCCAGUUUCUGCCAAUUAGGACCGGUUAUGGUUUUGUGAUUGUUCUUGAUGUUGUGCUUGCUAAAUAAGGUGUAUUUAGUGAUGUGGUGGACUUGUAGUAUGCUGAUAACUUAAGUGUGAGGUCAUGAGAGGGAUUGCUCUAUGUUGGUUGUUUACUAUUAUUGCAAAAAGGUGACCUCUUGGACUAUUAAAUAGAAAAUAAAUGAGGUGUCGGGUUUAGACACCAAGUUUUAUGUGAUCAAUAAAAUGAUGAGGUUUUGUAUGAGGUGCGUGCAAAUUUUGGCGGGUUAAUUUCAAAUAUGGGACCCCGUACAAAUUUACUUCGUAAAGUUUGAAAAAAAAAAGGGUGCCAAGUUUAUUUUAUAAAGGGAGUUUUUGUGUUUUGGCUAUAUGAAAGAGGCUAAGAUUAACCUGAUUGAUUAGGUACCUACAAUGUUAGGUUAAUUAAUUAGUUCAGUUUAAUUAAUCAUAAUUUAUUUAUUUAUUUAAUUGCAUUUAUUUUAUUAUUUUGUAAAUUAUUUAAUUAUUAAUUAUUUUUUGGAAAUUAGACCGGGAUAGCUGGUGACCAGAAUUACGUGCUGAUUGCAAUGGUGUGGUUAUUUUCUACAAUUGAGUGGUAAUUUGUGCAAAUUGAGUGCUGAUUGGAUUUUUGGUAAUUUAUUCCAAAAAUUGUGAAUUUCAAUAUUUAUUUAGAAAAUCCCGGGUGUCGAGUUUUAACACCGAAAAUAGUUUUAUAUACUAUAUAAAAUAGUGGGAUUUUAAAUUGGAGGAUAUCAAUUUUUCAGGCUUGAUCCGACCGUGUACCCGCUCAAGAUAUUUUCACCGGAUGUUUUUAAUAAGAAGAAAACAUGCCAAGGUCGUUAUCUUAAUUGAGGCAUGUGACUGCAAAGCACAAUGUCCUUGACCGGAAUUGAAUGAUCGUGUGCUAGUUAAGAGAACCCUUCCUCAGUGUGUGUCGGUGAAAAUUAUCUAUACCCAGUGUGUGUAGGUGGAUAUUACCUAUCCCCAGCGUGUGUCGGUGGAUAUUACCUAUCCCCGAAGUGUGUCGGUGGAAAUUAUCUAUCCCCGGCGUGUGUCGGUGGAAAUUAUCUAUCCCCGGUGUGUGUCGGUGUAUAUUGCCAUCCCCGGUGUGUGUCGGUGGGCGUCACCUAUCCCCUGUGUGUGUCAGUGGAUAGAGGACCAGCGUGUGUCGAGGAAAACUGCCUGUGCGGGUACUAAUAAUUAAUUAGAAUGCAUGUUGAGUGAAAUUGAUGGACCAAUAUGUGUCGGUAAUCUUGCUUGUGUGAGCAGUGAUUAAAUUGUAAUCCUUGCUCGUGUGAGCAGUGAUUGAUUUAGACGUUCCAAAUGGUGUGUGAAUUUGCUAUAUAAACAUAAUUGUGAUAUGAACCGUGCUGACCUGUAGAGAGGAUAUGAGACAAGGUAAGUUUCUGUGGUUGUAUGAUUGUGUGGUUAAGACGCCCUAGGCGUAUUACCAUCCUAAUCGGGGGUUAGAGCGUGAACUCGGUGAGAUUUAUAUCUUACCCCGUCGUGAGCUUAAAUUUUCAGGAUCGUAGAGUGGAGAAUCUGGAGCCAAGCUGAGGUGAUCUGAAGUGUAGGUCAGAUAUGACAGUUUCUUUUUUAGAGUCAAUCAUUUGAAGUCUUGUGACUGUAGACUUUUGUACUUGACUCGGUGUGUAUUUAAAAGCAUGUUUUGUUUGAAAAUCUGUUAUCCUGCUUUUCUAUCCCAAGAUGAUUAAUGUCAAGGGAUUUGUUAUUCACUUUCACAUGUGCAAUAAAAAGAAAGGGUCGGUGACUCAUCCUGAGAAGUUGCAAAAUUUUAUUGACCACCGAGGGAUGGGCACACGCUCAAGGAUCGAGGUGUGACAAAAGGUUAGCUAAAGGAAAACUCACAAAACUGGACACAACAAAAAAAACGAACUCUAGUUCCAUGGACUUACCAUCAUCGACUAUCUUUGCCAAUCAAAUGAUACAUAUCUUAUCCAUCUCUCUUGAACCUCGGGCAAUCCUCAACCAUGAGUCGACAAGAUUUUGGCACACCCAGCACCCUCUCCAAUGAUUCACAUCUCCAGAAUCUCAAAUGUUUCAAAUUCUGUAGAUUAGAAAGAUCAAAUCCAUUUAAUCUUUUGAUUGAAUUGCAGGACCAGAUAGACAAAUCCUGCAAUGAUUUCAAUUCUCCCAAACCCCGAAUCUCAAUUAGCUGAGGCAAUAGGUGCGGGAACAAACACUGGAUCUCCUUCAAACAAGGCAGAACGGGCAGCGUCUUCAGCAAUGGACAGUCUAUCAUCCGUAAUUCAUUGAAUUUCCCUAGCUCUCCAAGCACCUCGAAUCGAAUCUCUCUCAACGAAUAUCUAUAAAUAGACAGCUCCAACAAAUUCUCUAAGUUGGAAAAGACUGACCAAUCUAUCGGUGACUGGACAUCCCAUAACGACAAUUUUUUAAGGCUGGAUGGGAGCCCAAUAAGAGAUUGGGGCUCGACACAACUUAUGUCGAGGUGUUGUAGCUGAGAGAGGGAACUGAAAUCGGUUGGAGGCAAGGCCAUUUUUCCAACGUGGAGGGUCAUUCGUUCCAGAGCAAGUAGUCUCACGAUCCCCUCUGUGUUAAGUUCUUCAAUUGAAUAUCCAAUUAUCGUAAGGUCAACUAAAUUGGUUAGGUUUGAGCAGUCAGGGAUUGUGGUCAUCGAAUUCAAUGUAAGCCAUAAAAAAGUUAGACUCUUGGGAAGCUCCGGCAACUGUUGGAUUGAAUCACAGGACAUUAACCAAAGAUGUUGAAGAUUUGUAAGCUGAUUGAUCGUUGUGGGCAAUCCACUAAAGCGACCUUUGGAUAAGUCUAGAUAUCUCAAUGAGGAUAGUGCCCCGAUUUCACUUGGAAUUUCCUCCACCAGAUGUUCAGAGCAAGCAUAUAAAUGUUCCAGAUUUUCCAACAUUCCUAUGGUUUUCGGAAGUUCACUUAUGCAACUAUCAUCGAGAUUUAGUACCUUCAACUUUAUGAGAUUUCCAAUACAAUCAGGUGAGCUCCUGAUUCUUGAAUAGCUCAGAUCCAACUCAACCAAUGAUUGGAGCCUCCCAAUUGAGUCUGGUAGCUUUUCUAGAUAGGAAUUCGUGAUGCGUAAAACUUUUAACCUUUCAAGAUUUCCAAUAGAAUGAGGUAAUUCACUAAUUUUUAAAUAUUGGACAUCUAGCUCAAGUAGUGACUCCAAUUGUCCGAUAGAGUCGGGAAGCUUUUGAAGUUCCUUGCAUGGCAAGAUUAGAGACUUCACCUUUGCUAAAUUGCCAAUCGAGUGAGGCUUCCUUGAGGGUGUCCGUUCUAUUCUUAGCACUGUCAAAGAUUUUAGACCGCCGAUGGACUCCGGUGGCGACUCAAUAGCUUCACUCCUUAUCUCUAGGUAAUCAAGAUGUUGUAAAUUGCCGAUGGACUUGUCAAUCUUUCUUAGUUGAAUGCAUCUAAGAAUCAAUUUCUCCAGCUGCGAGAUUGUGGAGAACUUGGGCAUCUUUCUAAGGAAUGGACAGUCCUCGAGCUGUAGGAUUUUCAAUUGUUUUGCUACCUAUAAAGCAAUUGAGUAGACACUCAGAAAAGAGGAAGAGUGAAUAUAAUGCAAAAGGAUGUCAUGAGAUCAUACCAUGAUUUGACACCAUCCUCCCCAAUCUUCAGUAACGUUAUUCCCAGAUAACAUGAGAAUCGUUAAGUUCUUCAAUCCAAAGUUGCUAGCUCGGAAUUUUGAAGGGCAAUUGCUCCAAGAGAGCCAUCUCAGAUUAAAGAAAACAUUCUUAAAGUCUCCUUCAAAAUUUCCAUGGUCCAAUUGAAGGAACCUAAGGUUGACCAAGCCCAUAAAUUGCUUGCGCUUAAAUCUAUACGUCUUAUUCGGGCUUGGUGUACCAAGAUUGAGUGCCACUAUGUCUUUGGUUCCCUAGAAAACAAAAGUAGCAACCAAUGAGUACAUAUGUCACUUUGACUCGAAAUUAGAUAAUAAAAAAGGUGGCGACGCUAAUGGAUGCAUUGGAAAACAUUUAGAGGUCAAGAUUACCAUUUCUGUCUGCACUACAUGGAAGGCAUCCUUGGGAGACCACAAUCUGCUACCCUUCAUAUGGAUUUCGCCACUUUCUAGAUGGACGAUACUCCUUCCAAGGUGUCUAAGUUGGUCGUGCAUCAAUAGUUUAUUAUCGUUGGAUAUUUUUAUCAAAGACAUGCGUUUGAGGAUAUUGACCUCGAUUUCGGUCGAAUACCCAAAAAUCGCAUCCCAAUAUUUAACUACAGUUGUUUUCUCUUUGUUGAAGCAAAAACAUGCGAUAUCAAGAUAAAUUUGUUGUUGGUUAGAAUCCAAUGCUUCGUAGCUUAUCAUCAACUUCUUCUUGACAUCCUCAUUCAUCACCUUCUUUAACUUACAUAGGGCAACUUCCCAUGUUCUUCGGCAUUUUCCACGGAGCGUGGAACCCACAACAUCGAGAGCUAACGGAAGUCCUCCUAGUGCAUUGACUAGCUUUUCUGUGAUAUCCAUGUAACUAGGCGGAGGCUUGGCACAUCCCAAGGCACGCUCACAGAAAAGUUGAAGAGCAUCAUGUGAAUUCAUCUCCAACAUAUCGUAGAAUGAAAAAUGUCCACUAUUAGAGAUUGGGAGAUUGUCAUCCUCACCUUCCUUAACCAGGAAUUCAAUAUUUCUUGUUGUUAUGAUGAUUCUACUACCCCCACCAAACCAGUUGGGCUCACCUGCAAGCCUCAUGAUUUGGUCCCGGUUGUUGAUGUCAUCAAGAACAACAAGGACCUUCUUGCCAAGAAACCUUGUCUUGAUCACUUCAUCAAUGAAGAAGGGGUUUGUGCAACUAAGAUUGAGAACGUCAAACAACAAUUUCUUUUGUAAGCCUAUUAUAUCAUGAGUUCGAACAUCUUUAAGAAAACAGCAAUGAUCUCGAAAUUGAGGGUAGAUUUCCCGGAAGACGGCCUCAGCUAGUGUCGUUUUUCCGAUGCCACCCAUACCAUGAAUCACAAUAAACCGUACAUCAAAAGAUCCUACAUCUAAUAGCUUCAUAAUGUGAUCCAUUCGAUCCUUAAUUCCCACCAAAUGAUUAGACAUGUCCAUCUGUCUUGUCCAUAGCAAAUUUGAAACCUCUUCCACCAUGAGGUUUGUAAGUUUAUAUAGGCUGCCACAUACAUAACAUACAAUCAUCUCAGAUAAAAAAAAAAAUCACAUAUGGGAAUCUAUGCCAGCAUAACGUGUCACUGGAAGGUUAUCAUCAAAUUCAAAGUAAUUGACUUUGAAAGCAACCAGCAUGAAAUGAGUGGUCAUUCAUGCUGCGAGCCGUUUGCCACAAAAAAGGAAAAAAGAAAAAAAUGAAAAAUGAAAGCUGCUACUGUCGGGAUUCUUUGGUCCGGUAAAUGGUAGGAAAAAAGUUAUUUCAUGACGAAGGUCUAAUUGGGCUUUGACUAGAAUUCCUCGGUGAAUCCGGUCUUUUUUAUCUCUUCAGCCACUAAGGAUGAGUUUGAAGAUUGACAUAAAAGAAAAAGAUUUUCUCACCAGGUAGUUACCUGGAAUUUAGGAAACAAGAAUAAAAGCUCAAAAGCGUUUUUCUUAAUGUACCCGAGUAAUGGGGUAGUAACCGAAAAUGAGGAACACUUUCAGAGUAUUUAUCAGCCUUCAUUUGAGUUGCCAACAAUCAUUUUUCCGAAUAAGCUACCAAUUGUUUAACUUAGCAAUUUCAUCGGUCACAUUAAAUUUGUUGGUAAUUUAAUUGGAAUAAGUUGGUAAGUAACUCAAAUUAUGCUUGGUAUUUUGAUAAUUGAGUUCCUAACCUCAGAAUAUUUGUGAACUAUGCUAAUCAAAGCGGGUCCGUUGAUAACAAAAGUUUGUUACAAAAGGUGGGAAUUUUCAACAAAUAAAUAAACAUUGAUAAGUGGCUCACAUAGGAAUGGGUGACUUAAAUUAGUCAGUAACUUAAUCAGAGGUUAGCUAGUAGGAAACUCAUAUUUGAGUCAGUAAUUUGUUUCACGUAUUGGUAAUUUUGAAAUGUGAAGUAAACAAUUCAAAUAAGAGAUGGCAGGUUUUAUAAAAUUUGUAAAUCGGCAAACGAUCAAAAAAAAUUUAGUAAAUGACUCAAAUAAACACCGGUCACCUUAAAUUAGUUUGUAAAAUAAUCAAAAAGUAGUUGGUAAGACACAAACUAAGGUUGGUAGCUUCAUAUAAAAAUUGACAACUUUAAAACUAGGAUGGUCACGAAGCUGAGGAAAUCCGCACCCUGUGGUACCCAAUCUGGGGCCGUGAAUAGGUCAAAGCAAGAGAAACGACCAAAGUUUUUUAAAAGCAUUUUGCUAGCUGAAAAGUGAGCUGCGAAGUUAAGAGAUUUAAAUUUUUACUUUUCACACAUAUGUUGUCUUACUAUUUCAUCAACUCUUAGAUUUUCGUAAAGAUAUUUUUUUGCAUUAUUGAUUAAUUAAUUAAUUAAGUUGAUAUAGCUUGAGACUAUUGUUGCCAAAACUUGGGAUAAAAAGUGAAAAGUCAAUUUGUGCAAGAAACCUUGCUCCCUGAGCAAAAUUCCUGCCUCCCUCACUCCGGCCGAUCCAACCAUACAUCACAUAAGAUUGGACAGCGCCAAACUGAAAGUUCUUAUUUUGGAAAAAGUAUCAUAAAAUAUAAUCUCGAAAUUGAUGAAAUGAAAAUAAACUUAAUGGAAGAAGCUAAUAAUACCGUAAUCUUUUAGAUUCCAUCCUUUAAUUCUGACAACCUCUCUUAAAGCCUCCUCCCACUACUUUGCCAUAUCCUUCCCAGAGUCACUGGGUCAAUCCCAAAGGGGUCAGCUCUAUCAUUUCUUCCUCUUCGCUGUUAAGUUUUAGAAAAGUAUCCCAAAGACUUCCUCUAUGUUUCCUGCGCAUUUUUUCGUCUCCCUCGGGUACAUCAUACACUAACAAGUAUGAACUAACUAUAACCAUUAUUAGCUCGGACGCAUAAAGAAGCUCCUUACUAAGCUCUCCUAUUUUGGGCCAAUUCUUCCUCAGCUUUCAUUAGUAUAACAAAAGGAAAGGAUAUAAUAUUAAACUCGAUCUAAUUUUUCAGGCAAACAUCAUAGGCAUAAGGUCAAGAAAAAUGUAACACGUCUUUAACUUUAUGUACAGAAUGCAAUUGAAGUUAAGAAACUUAAAUAUUUUUAUUUUUUGCACAUAUAUAGUCAUACUAUAUUAACACAUCUUAGAUGUUUAUGGAUAUCUUGGUUUUUUUCCAUUAUAUAUUAAUCAAUCAAGUUGAUAUACCUUAACAUUAAUUGUUAUCAAAACUUGGUUUUAAAAAUGAAAAGUCAAUUUGUGCAAGAAACCUCGCCCUCUGAGCAAACUUGGUUUAAAAAAUGACAGAUCAUUGCGUCAAAUCCAACCAAACAUUACAUAAGUUUGGACAGCAGCAAACUGAAUCUAACUAUUCUCUGAAGGAAUAAGAAAUCGAAAUUGUCAAUAAGAAAAUAAAGUCAAUGGAGAAGCAAACAAUACCCGUAAUCUUUUAGUUUCUUUCCACUAAUUCUGGUAACAUCUCUUAAAGCCUCCUCCCACUGCUUUGUUAAAUCCUCCCCAGAGUCAUUCUUGUGCUUUUGGAAGGCAUCCUUAUAUAAAUCGGUCUUAAGCUUGACAUCGUCCACGUCCACAUCGUAGAAGAUAGGGAGGAUCACUUUCUCAUCAUUAUCUCUCGAUAAUUCCACUAUGAGUGCCAGCUCACGGAGGCACCACUUACUUGAAGCAUAAUCUUUGGAGAAAAUCGGGAUGUAAAUUCUGGAGUCAUUGAUUGCUUGCAAGAGGCCGCCUUGAAUCUCUUUGCCAAAUCGGAGCUCUUCAUCAUCUUUAAAAGCGCGGAUCCCCGCAUGGAUCAAGUCAUUGUAAAGACAAUCAACGAUGGUUAAGCGGGUGUCAGGUCCUCUGAAGUUCAAGAACACCUCAUAAACCUUCCUUGAUCCAUCAUCACGGCUACUACUUGCUGAAGCUGUCAGAGCGGCCUCUUCUCCCUCCCGCUUUCCCUUCAUUCUGAGAGGACGAUGGAGUGAUUGAUCCCUGAAUUGAGUCCGCCCGGUAACUCGGGAAGUUUGAGCCUGAUCCUUGCAACAACUUGACGAAGCAACGGAGUGAAAUCGCUCACUUCCACUGCGUUUCCUGGGAAAUCACCUGCGGUUUUCCGUUAUAAGCAAACAAAAGCAUUCAGGCUAAGUUGAGUAAAUAAUUGAUAGAAGUGGUCGAAGAGGAGGAGGUGGUCUUGGAAGUAUAAGUUGUGUGUUAAUGAAUGGUUAAAUGGUGGAUGUAGCUGGACAACUUAAAAUGAGUUUCUCUUGCCAUUGCUUUGGUACUACGCGUCGUUUGCCUGGAAGCCACCUGCAUCCUUCCUUUGUAAAUAAAAGAAUCCAAAAAGCCAUUCAUACUCGUAAUUAGUCGCUUUUGCAAUAAAGUUACAUGAACUUGAAUAUAGACCAUUAUUACAAGUUAUGAUUGCACUUCGAUGUUAGAUUGAGCGGUAACAAAAUAAAAUUGCUCGCGGAUUGAAAUUGUACACCAAAUAAAAUUGCACGCUGAUAUUUAAAUAAUGUUGAUUCUGUCGGGAUUUGAUUCGUCUCUAUCAUUUGUUUUUGGUUGAUUUAGCAUUGGACUCAUAUCGCUUAAUUGGACGUUGAUCUCUUAUGGAAAUUUCCAAGAAAAUGUGGUCCCUCCUUCACAAUAAUUCCAAUAAAGUUGAGAUUCUUCAAACAUUUUAUUCUCGAAAGUUUGACUUUUAUGAUUUUUUGAUAAUAUCAACCGUAGUUUCCCAGUAUUUUUCAGGGCCUGAAAUUUCAAAAUGCUCUUUGCCGAUCUUCCAAGUGGGUUGCCAAUCUCCAAACGGAACUUGUAAGUAUUGACAUCUUUCUUUUAUGCAAUUUGAGUUUCACUUUGCAAACUACUUGUACAAAAUAGAUCCCUUUCGUCAAGCUAAAAGGGAUCUAAGCAGGAGACUUUAGCUGAUUCUUUUGUGGUAAUUGCGAAGAAGAUACAGUUCCUCCUCCACAAGGAGAUCAACAAAGUUGAGAUUUUCCAAACAUUUUUAAUCUUGAAUGAGGGUCUUUAUGCUUUUUGAUGAUAUCACCUGAGUUUCUAGGUAUUUUCCAGGUCCUGGUCCUGAAAUUGCAAAACACGCCGUGAGUGUGUGAACACAUGAACAAACAAGUCUAUUUGAUGUGGAAUUUGGCUAUGUACAAACGAAUUGACUAGACAAACAUGCUUAAGUGCUUUUUCUUUUGCUUUUGCUUUUGCUUUCACCAGAGGGUCGGACAAAGACUUGAGGAAAGACUUGCGUCUAUCUUAAGCAAAGAGAACUAAAGUUCAUCUUUGUUUCUUAAGGAAAUUCACUCUCUCUCCUAACUCAUGUAGACUUCAUUGGGUUAGACUUGCCAAUACUCGGAUCUAUUAAUCGGGUCCAUCAAAAAUCGUUAAUCACAUAAAUAAUACAUGGAUUACCUACAAAUUAAUGGAUGUGAUCACAGUUGGUCUGCAGACCAUGAUCCAUGCAACUAUUUCUAUUCCAUGAUUAGUUGAACCAUCAAUACCUGUCAUAAUGUAAACUGCAGUAAUUUGUAAAAACUUGAAAAGCUUUGUUUUCACAAUUGAGAUCCAUUAUUUUGCGAUUUAACAAUUGCAGGCCCUCGUAGGUUGCUUUUUGGAAAGAUAGUAGAUGUUGGAAAUUUGUUUGUUAAAACAAAAAGAGUGCAUUUUCCUUUUCCUACAUAGGAAAAGUAGGAGGAAGUGGGCUAAUUAAUAAGUGUGGGCCUUCCUUUGUGUACUUAAAGGAAUGAUUGAGUGGGGCUAGACUCCACCAUACCUGCGUGAAGGUGCGCGAUUUUGGUGCACUUAGCACUUGGCGCGCCCGCGGUUUAAUUAGCACUAACCCCUUUAUGUUAUUAAUUUUUAAUAAAUUCAAAGGUUGCCUUUUAUUUUUGAGAAUUUCAGAAAUAAAAUAUAAAAAUGAAAAUUCGAAAUUUUAUCUAUUUAAAAAAAACUAUUAUUCAGAAUUUUUUAUUUGUGUUUUUUCGAGACAACCUUUGGAAAAGGUACUUAUUCAGUUUGCAAUUUUCUCGAAUGAUUGCAAUUGUUCGUUUUUCAACUUCUUCUGAAUGGACGCAUUUGUUCAAUUGGACAAUUUCCGAAAGGACGCGUUUGUUCAAUUUUUCACAAUUUUUCACGAAGAGUUGCAUGUGUUUUGAGACUGUUUUAUAUAUAUACUCGUCAUUUUUCGGAAGAACGAGAGUGAUCAUUUUCAUCUUUUCGAGCUUUCUGUCUAAAGAAAACUACGGCCAUUUUUUCAAUUGUUUCCUAGAGAUCCUAGAGAAAUACUAGAGUUGCUAUCUAGUAUUCUCAUCCGAGACUUUGUUGUAUCCUGGAGGAUUUUUGCCGGUGACCAUUAGCAACGUUGUGGGGCAAAUAAAUCCUUAAAAAAUGUGAUAUCACGCCUCAAAGUCCGAUCUGAGUACUCUAAAUAUCCGUCUUCAUUGUUCAACCAAAUUCGAAGCCAUAUUUUCCCAACAAUUCUAAGGAUUUAUUUUGCUACAAUGGAGUUGGAGACAAUCAAAGUCAUGAAUCAAGAUAUGGUUAAACUGGACCGGUUCGAUGGGAACAAUUUUGCUCGCUGGAAGGACAAGAUGAUGUUCUUGCUCACUACUCUGAAGAUUUCCUACAUACUGGAUCCUAACUUGGCGCCUAUAGAAGAUCCUAAGCCUACUGUUAAAGGAGGACAACCAAGUGCGGAAGCCAUUGAGAGGAUUAAUAAGGAAAAGAAGAAACGCGCAGAGGAUGAAUUACUUUGUUGAUGACACAUUCUGAAUACACUCUCUGAUUGUCUGUACAACUUAUUCACUGAAAUGAAGUUGGCUAGAGAAAUUUGGAAUGCAUUGGAAUUCAAGUACAAAGUGGAGGAGCAAGGUACCAACAAAUAUCUAAUUGCAAAGUAAUUUGAUUUCAAGUUUAUUGAUACUAAACCCUUACUAGAACAAGUCCAUGAAUUGCAAGUGCUUGUGAAUAAGAUUCGUGCCCUCAAGAUUGUUAUUCCAGAAGCUUUUCAAGUUGGAGCAAUUAUUGCGAAAUUGCCUCCAAGUUGAAAAGACUAUGGAAAAAGGCUGAUUCACAAGUCAGAGGACUUUACUUUGGAGCAAAUACAGAAACAUCUUCGCAUUAAGGAAGAGUCACGUUUACGUGAUAAUCUGUUUUGUACAAUUCCAAGGUGAAUGCUCUAGAUAAAAAAAGGGAAAAUCGGCCAGAACUUCAAAGUAAAAAGCGGGCAUAAAUUUAAGAGAACACAAAAGAAGAAAAAGGGUUGCUGUUUUGUUUGUGGCAAACAAGGACACUACGCCAAGGAAUGCAUUCACCGCAAGAGCAUUUCAAAGGACAAGUAUGUUCCAACAGUGAAGGCAGAUGCAAAUCUGGUUGAAGAAAAUUAUGUAGCCAUGAUUUCAACCAUGUUUUCGAACAUAAAAAUUUCUGAAAUUAAUGAUGCGAUAGCUAUGGUUUCUGAAAUCAAUUCUACCACUGUCUAAUCUGGUUGGUGGUUAUAUUCUGGAGCAACAGUCCAUGUGUGCAAGGACAAGUACAUGUUCAAGCAAUUUGAAGAGAUUGUUGACUCAAAUAUUCAAGAGAUCCUAAUGGCGAAUAAUGCUCUUGCAAAGGUUGCUGGAAAAGGUACAGUGGAGAUAGACUUCACUUCUGGAAAGAAAAUAACUCUUCUUAAUGUGUUAUUUAUACCCAAAAUUAGGAAGAACCUAGUUUCUAUUGAUUUACUUUGUAAGAGGGGGUUUCGGGUUUUGUUUGAAUCCGACAAGGUUAUCCUAUCGAAGAAUGGGCUGUUUGUUGGAAAGGGUUAUGCCAAUGAUGGCAUGUAUCAACUGAGUAUCAAUAAUAAUGUUGCUAGUUCUGCUUAUAUUGUAAUUAGAGGUGCUUGUCAAAAGCUUUCUAAAAUACCCAAUUUGCCCAAUUCAGAUAGCCAGAUCUCAAUAUAUCAAGUUUUUCUAAGCACGGCUGUACGAUCUUGAGGUGUCGGAAACUUUAUGAUUUUAUCUGAUAGAUUAGUUCAACCAUAAAGAUUAUAUCAUAAGCUUUCCAACACCAUCAAAAUCACAAAGAUCGGAAUUUUUAUGACAAAAACAUCAGAACUUUUUGCCAAUUUCAAACUGGCCUGACCGCCCAAAAUCCGCAAUCUGAGGUGAACCGCAUUUUAGCUAAAUUGAAGUCACCAGCUUUCCAUGGGGGAAAAAUCGGUUCAAUUGUACCUUAUACGAAAAAGUCAUGCUUGACCAAAUUCGGUCAAAUUUAGGUAGAAUAUGGGUAACAUUAUUUUUCGAGUUUUUCGAAGAAAAAAUGUCGACGCUUCGUGGAAGAAGACAAUUACUGCAAUAUGUACUACUUAUUUAUAAGACGCAUUUCUAUACUGUUUGUUGUUUAAUUCAAUUAUUUCGGCUAAGUUUAAAUUAAUUGUUUUGCCUAAGCCUACCUCUAGAUAAAAUCAUUUUUUUUUUCGUAUUUGAAGAUGUUAAAUUUGGACUUUAUCUAUAAAUAGCACUGGAAAAUAACACAUUGCACAGGAUGAUAUGUAAAUAAUUUGUAAGGUCAUUGGGCCACAUGGCAACACAAUGCCAAAUUUCAUGUCACGUCAUAAGUAUAGAGCUAUAGAGAAGUGUCUCGUGAACAGUAUAGGAGCAACCGCUCUCUCAACUUUGGUUUAACUCUACAUAAUAGAUUGGGCAAUUUUAGUUGGCUAACCUUCUUCAAAGUCUAUGUACUUUGAUUUCACCUAAUGGUUCAGAAAAUUGAAAGAUAUUGGUUAAAGUUUUCUAUGUUCUUUAAUUUUAGGUCCAUGCUAAUGUUAAUCUUUUAUGCAAUUUGAGUUUCACUUUGCAAACUACGUGUACAAAAUAGAUCCCUUUCGUCAAGCUAAAAGGGAUCUAAGCGGGAGACUUUAGCUGAUUCUUUUGUGGAAAUUGCGAAGAAGAUACAGUUCCUCCUCCACAAGGAGAUCAACAAAGUUGAGAUUUUCCAAACAUUUUUAAUCUUGAAUGAGGGUCUUUAUGCUUUUUGAUGAUGUCAACCUGAGUUUCUUGGUAUUUUCCAGGUCCUGGUCCUGAAAUUGCAAAACACGUCGUGAGUGUGUGAACAAACGAACAAACAAGUCUAUUUGAUGUGGAAUUUGGCUAUGUGCAAACGAAUUGACUAGACAAACAUGCUUCAGUGCUUUUGCUUUUGCUUUUUCUUUCACCAGAGGGUCGGACAAAGACUUGAGGAAAGACUUGCGUCUAUCUUAAGCAAAGAGAACUUAAGUUCAUCUUUGUUUCUUAAGGAAGUUCACUCUCUCUCCUAACUCAUGUAGACUUCAUUGGGUUAGACUUGCCAAUAGUCGGAUCUAUAAAUCGGGUCCAUCACAAAAUCGUUAAUCGCAUAAGUAAUACAUGGAUUACCUAAAAAUUAAUGGAUGUGAUCACAAUUGGUCUGCAGACCAUGAUCCGUGCAACUAUUUCUAUUAUAUGAUUAGUUGAACCAUCGAUACCUGUCAUAAUGUAAACUGUAGUAAUUUGUAAAAUCUUGAAAACCUUUGUUUUCACAGUUGAGAUCUAUUAUUUUGCGAUUUAACAAUUGCAGGCCCUCCUAGGUUGCUUUUUGGAAAGAUCGUAGAAACAUCCAUGUAACCACCGAAGGGCUUUAUUUCUUUUUUCUUCUUUUUGUGAGGAAAAUUUUCUUUCUUAUAAGUGCCAAGCCCAAAAUUUCAACUUUGUCAUGGUUAAAUUGACUACAUUUUGCUAAUGAAUUGAUGAUGACAUCUCUAAUUAAUCGAAGUCACUGAACCUUUCUCUAUCUCCAUUGAAUGUGGUCUAGAUUUACUCUCCAUUUCUGAAGAUUAUUCACACAUGCACAUACACAAAAUGUGAUCAUGUCCUGAACAUGUUAUUAUGUCCUUUUAAAGGUGGGCACCAAGUUUGAAAUCUAAUAUUAUGCAAUUGUACAGAGACUCACUUCACACACGUGCAUACAGAAAUUUAAAAUGUUUUAUUGAUAUUGACGAUUAAUUUCUUGUAAAAAUUAAGCUUCUAAUACAGACGCCUAAAUUUGAGGGAAAAAAAAAAAGUGAGAGGGAAGAGGCUUGCAAAUCAAUUAGAAUUGCAUCCAAUUUUUCACUAUCUCAGAUUUGUAUUUUAAUUGAAGUUAUGCAAUCCAAUCAUUGCACGAACCACGGAAUCCCAAUCUAGACGCCUGUCUUAAUGCCUUUUUCCUUCUAGAUAUAUAUAGAAUUAUAAUAACAUAAGAUGAUGUAAGCAGUCUGCUCCACAAGCAGACGAUUUGGCGUCACCUCUAAGGAAGCAUAAUGUAUCCCCUUCAAUCUUUUUAUCCGUAUUGUUUCUGGUGAAAAAUCUCUUCCUUGAUUUCUAGUCUAGAAAACAGCAGGCCGUUAUUGCUUUUGUUCUGCUCAUUAAAGGGUUGGCUUUUCUCAGCCAGGGCUAGGCUUCCACUCUGCUUUUGCUAAGCCAAACAAAACAGAUCUUCUCAUAUUUUAUCCAGAUAAUUGGCAUGAUCAAUGUUGCCUUUGUUCCACCUACUACUCUUUUUCCUUUGUCAUGGCAAAAUCGUCAAAUGUGAAAUUGGUGCAAAGUCGCCUUUUGCGCCCGAGAGAUAUAGAUCAACCAUGACGCAUGGUGCACUGUUAAAAGCCAAAUGUUGGUGCAAUCACACGGAAUUUUUCUAAAUCUACUAAUGACGUCAGCACUUAUCAUCUUGGUAUAUUAUGAAUAAAUAUCGUGAAUAGGAGCUAACAUUCUUUUUACAUGGAAAAGAAAAUAUUAUCUCAUCGUGACUAUAAUUUCCCCAUUAAAUUUUGGGCGGCAUCAUUUCCACCCUAUAUGACUGAAUCCAUCACAACUAGAAAGGCUAAAUUGCUUUCAAUCAUUCAAUUACAAUUUAAAGUGACAGCCACAUUCUUUCUUUUUCCUGUUUUUCUAUUUCAAUUAAGGAUCUAGUUGCCAUUACCAUGCAUUUCACGUGUUUUAUUUUUCUUAGUGUAUUAAAGAAUUUUUUUAGUGUAUCCUUAAAUAUUAUUAUAAUGUAUUACAUGCUCUAUGUAAAAGUCCCUAGUAAAAAAAAGUUAAUUAUUUAAUAUAGAAACUUGAAAGUCUCUUGUCAUCAUUGCUCUAAUAAGAACUCAUUUAGUUUUUCUUCCUCUUAUCUCAAAGCUAACUUUCUUGGUGAAUUAUUUUCUUUUAAGUUCAUUAAUCUAAACUAUAUGUCAAGUUUUUUUAUUUAUUUACUAUAUUAAAGAACUUAUCUUUUAUCCUCACUAUUGGUGAGAUGCUUUUACAUAGAGGUAAGGCAUUAUGGUAAUAUCUAGGAAUAUACUAAAAACAUUGUGCAUAAUGAAACAUCUUGAUAUUUUUUUCGUACACACUUUGUAGAUGAUAUUAAUUUCUGUCAAUUGAAAAAAUGAUAUUUUAUCAACAUUUUUAAAAAAUUUCUUAUUUUAUGCAAUUUUUCAAUUUAAUCAAAUUUUAUCUUUAAAGUUUUCCAUUGGAGAAUGUAAUUGUGAUUCUAUUUGGGAAAAUCUUUAAAGGAUAUAUUUUUUUUAUGUGAUUAACCUUAUAUAUAGAACAUAACUGAUAAGAAAUAAUUUUUUUUUUUAAUUUAACGAUAAGACGGAGUUUGAUGGGGAUAUGCACAACAAAAUUGAAGAUCUGUAAACAAGUGAUUGUGUUAAAAAAAAAUUAGCUAUAUAAUAUUUUUUUUUCUAGAUUCUAUUGGACAACUUAUCCUUAAAUUUGCUCGACAACUUGGAAAAGAACUGGGUUUCUUGGAAAUUAUUUUUUCAACAAAACUAAUUUUUAUGGUAGAAAAAUCUAACGGUGAAAAACUAGACAUUUGAAAUUCUUAAUUCUAGUAACUGAAUCCUACAUUGACAUACCAAAACUAAUAAAAAAUAAGAAAGUUCAUGAAUUUGGGGCUACCAAUUAAAUUGCAAUUGAAUGAUUUGAAGUAAUUUUGUCUUUUUAGUGAAAAUUGGGUAAAUUUAAUUAUACAUGGGAUGGAUUUAUCCAUCAACCUUUUGUUGUGGCCAGGUGAGAUUUGGUCAUCACUCAUCAAUAAAAUGUGUGCAACUUGUGAAAUAAAUGCAGGGAUUAUGGUAAGAAUGCAUAAAUUGCUGGUGUGGGGAUAAACUUUGCUAUAUUUGCUCUUUGAAGAUACAAACUUCUGAAGAAUCAAUCCAUAAUUGGUUAAACAACCAAAACGUCCAAAUCACCACUAGAUCACAAACAACAUUAGCCGGAUCAUCAAAUGCAUCAUUCUUGCAACAAAAAUCUCUUGCAAUAGCCCCACCUUGCUACUGCACAAUCAUCACAUAAAUAUGUUGCUGUAAUGGAGAAAAUCAUGGAGUCCACCAACAGUGAAAAGCUCCUACCAAUCAUACUAUAGCGGAGGUACAAAAGAUGAUGGCUGGUAUCGGGUCAGUCGAUCUGUUAGAAGAAGAACAAAAUCACAAAGAGAAUAUAGCAGCCAGAAACUAUGGAAACAUGUGCAUUAAUAUUGUUCCCCGUCUAAUCACUAUAGCAGAACUAUUGCUUACUUUGACUUACUUUGACUGUGCCGGCAGGCUCUAGUAUUGGCAUACAAGAUGUUGUUCACCAUCAAAUCAUUGCAACAAAAUUAUUACUUACUUUCAUAGUACAAUCACGUGCAAUUACUUUUGUUUUGCUCAUUAUAUUCAAAAGAUUUUCUUUUGUCAGUUGGAGUCCAUUCCGCUUUUGCUAAGCCCAACAAAGCAAAUUCCCUUAUAUUUAAUCCAAUGUCACAUGAAGUGGCAUGAUCAAUUGAUCUUUGAUCAGACAAGAGAGUAAUUAUAUUUGUAAUAAGUAAUGCAUUGAAAUGUAAUGCACUAUUAAAAUAUUUGCUAGUUCUUAUUGAUUUAUAACAAUAAUUUAAAGACCCUUUGAUAAACUAUCUAAAUUUGUCUAAUAAAUUCAAGAUUUUGAUCUAACACUCCAAAUCUUUAUCUUCAAUAGGGAAAAAGCCACGAAAAACUCUUAACUUUGCCUAAAGUGAUAUAUUUAUCUCAAAUUAUUUUUUGGAACACUAAAAAUCCCAAAUGUUGCCUAUUAUGACACAUUUACUCCAAACUUUGUUUUUAUGUGAUAUCAAAAACCUUUAACUUUUACCUGUAUGACAUAUUUAUCCCAAAUUUUUUUUAUAACACAAAUUUUUGGGAUAAAUGUCUCACACGGGUAAAAGUGUACGGUUUUUUGGUGUCACUGAAAAAAAAAAUUGGGAUUUUUGGUGUCACAAAAAAUAAAUGUGAGGUAAAUAUGUCACACUAUAUAAAUUUGGGAUAAAUGUGUUAUAUGAAUAUAAGUUUUGGGUUUUUUGUGUAAAAAAAAGAGGAUAAAUGUGACAUAGUAGGCAAAUUUAGGGUUUUUUUUUUUUAUGACUUUUACCAUUGAUUUAAAGAAGAAUAACAAUUGUGCAACACGCCUAUCAUGUCCUCAACAUGUCAUUAUGUCAUUUCAAGAGGACACUAUGUUUGAGAUCUAAUAUCCUAGUAUUUUAUAGAUAUAAAUAUAAAAUUUUAUAGAUUACUGCCAACUAUUCUAAAAGUUUAAGCUAUUAGAUAAAAGCUUGUUUAAUAUUUGAAUAUUCUAACAAUAACUUAAAUAUAAAUGUUAAAUAUUUUAUCAAUAUCGGAUAACUUCACAAAAAAAUUAGGCUUCUCAUACACGCACCUCAAUUUUGGAAACAAGAAGUGAGACAGACAAGGCUCACAAAUCAAAUGAAAUCGUGUAUAACUUUUUUGGUGUAAAUCAAGGGAUCCCAAUCGAGAUACUUUUUCUAGUGCUUUUGCUUUUAGACAAAAUUGAACUAUAAUAACAUUAUAAAAAAGAUGAUUUUAAUUGGCCACUUAGCUCCCCUCAAAUCUCGCGUGACCACAAAGGAAGCAUAAUGGAUCCCCUUUAAUCUCUUUCUUUGUUUUGUUUUUGGGGAGGAAUCUCUUCCUUCAUUUCUAGGCUAGAAAAGCAGAUUUUUAUUGCUUUUGUUUUGCUCAUUAAAUUAAGAAGGAUGAGCUUUUCUCAGCUGGAGCUAGAAUUCCAUUCUACUUUAGCUAAGCCAAAAUAUGAUAUAGAUGUAAACAUAAAAUUUUAUGGACUAUUGCAAACUAUUAUGAAAGUUUAAGCUAUUAGAUAAAAACUUGUAUAGUAUUUGAAUAUUCUAAUAAUAAAUUAAAUAUAUAUGUUAAAUAUUUUAUCAAUAUCGGCAACUAACUUCACAAAAAAAAAAUGAGGCUUCUCGUACACACGCCUCAAUUUUGGAAACAAGAAGUGAGACGGAUGAGGCUCACAAAUCAAAUGAGCUCAUAUAUGACUUUUUCAGCGUGAAUCAAGGGAUCCCAAUAGAGAUGCUUUUUCUAGUGCUUUUGCUUUUAGACAAAAUUACAUUAUAAUAACAUUAUAAUGGAUCCCAUUAUAAAAAAGAUGAUUUUAAUUGGCCACUUAGCUCCACUCAAAUCUCGAGUGACCACAAAGGAAGCAUAAUUGAUCCCCUUUAAUCUCUUUCUUUGUUUUGUUUUUGGGGAGGAAUCUCUUCCUUCAUUUCUAGGCUAGAAAAGCAGAUUUUGAUUGCUUUUGUUUUGCUAAUUAAAUUAAGAAGGAUUAGCUUUUCUCAGCUAGAGUCCGAAUUCUGUUUUGCUUUUGCUAAGCCAAAGAAAGCAAUCCCAAUUCGCACUAAUUGGUAUGGUCAAUUGAUACUUGCCUUUAUUCCACUUACUAAUAUAUUUUUCUUUUGCCAUGAAAAAGUUGUGAAAUGUGAAUUCGACUCUAGGUCGCCUUCCACUUUGAAGAGUCGUAGAUUGAUUGUAAUGCAUGAAGUACCAUUUAUAGAUUAUUUUAAGAAAAUAUACAAAUUUUCCCAAAUUUAUUGAUGGCCUUCUACAUUCAAUCAUCUUGGUAUAUUCAUAAUUGUAGGAAUAAUUAGCAUGCGUAGUAAAUAUACAUUCCUUCUACACAAAAACAAAAAUAUUAUCACAUUGUGACUUUUAAUUGUCGCAUUGAAUUUUGAUCAUAUACUUUUUUCCAUCAACUUCUCUAGAAAUUUGCAUUUAUUUAGAAGUUAUAACACAUCGGGUAAAUGUGCAUGACCCUCCUACCAAGGAAGAGCUUACAUCACAUAACAUGGAGUUCAAUGUCAGAGAUACUAUUGGCCCAUAGAAGUCCUCAUGGAUAUAUCAGACUUUGCGGGCCUAGCACUAGGGGUGAAGUUGAAUCCAACUUAGGAUUAAUUCAAGCUUGACUUAAUAAUUAGUUGUAAUCGUUUGGUCUCGAGUCGGGCUUACACUGGAGCUACACCAAGUAUUUCAUCGAGUCAAGAUCGAGCUUACUAAGACUUUGCUUGAGAGACUCGCAAUUCUGAUCCAAUUUCUAUCACUUUGUCCAGAAAAUAAUUGAUAGUUACGAAAAUCGAGGGGAAGAUAUUUGAAAAUUGUAGUAUACCUAAAGACAUAAAUGUAGAGGAUAAUAUUUGAAGUUAUUGAGCUCAAGCACAAGCCCAUAUUUUAAUUUGAUUAUAUUGAAUCAACUUGAUCUUGAAUAUCUCUAUUCUGUUUAGGUGAAGCUCGAACCAAAAAUUCACUACUCAAUGAUUUGAGGGGAGUUUUGAGCAUCGAAUAUCUAAUGGGAGUUGACCUUGAGCUUAGCACUGCUGUAUUGGCUUGAAUCGAAAAUUUGAUUUAGUAUUGUACUUAUGUUAAAUACUUAAAAGUUGCAAAAAGUUGAUUUUAGUAAUAUAUAUACAUAUUGUCAUGGAACGGACUUUGUCACCAGACUAUACCUGCAUUGCUCUAAUAUAAUAGGAAUCUCUAAGAUCUGACAACAGGAGACCCACCAUAUUACAGCACCAAGUCACUUGAUCCAAAAACACUCUUGCUGACAUGUAUUCCACAGUGGACCUCAGGUAGGCCCAUGUUUUUCCCCCGAAUUCAAAUUUAAAUUUGGUCCUUACUAAACAUACAGUCAAGGUGAAACGACACCAAAUAGAUGGACCUAACAUUAACCCAAAACUAGCGCACCGAACACCAAAAGUGAAAACUCAAGCCCAAGAGGUUCUCAAUCAAAAUCGUUUACAUGACAAGCUUUGUGUAAUGCAGUAAAUCUAAGUAAACCUAACCAAAAUCACUCUGUGGUGGGUCAUAACCAUUGCGAUCGCAGAGCGGCGCAUAAUUCAUUCACCUAAUUGAAAAUGGGGAGAUCAAAGUCGUACUCUCAUCCAGGAGUACACAUUCUGCUACCAAGAUGUGAGCUGAAAAGAUUCCUUUAAGAGUCUUUGGCAGGAGCACCAACUUGACGGAUUCUCUUUUGGGAACAUCCCAAUUAUACACACGAGCAAACGUAACCUGCCAAAUAAAAAUUCACCUCUCAAGGGCUGUUUCACCCCCCCAAAACAGAAAAAUUUCCCAGGGCCACCAUCCUAAUUGCCAUGAUAAACUAAAGGAUAUGGUCCUACAACAAGCUUUGAAUUUUUUCAAGUUCACAUUCGUGCAAACAUACCACACUCCAGUUUAUCACCAAUGAACAUGUCUUCCCAAUUUAUAUCCUCAUGACAGUAACAAAAUUCAGAGCAACAUUAGUUCGACCCUAAUAGACCGACCCAAAACUGACACAGUAAACAGCUUGAAACAAACAUGGACCUCCAAGUUCCAAAUCAUUCUGACUUACCUGCAUGAUUGUUACUUGGUCCCUUAUGAAUUGUAGAUCAGCAACAAGAACUUCUAAACUUGCUUUAGCAUUUUCUAAGUUCUUUUGUAGAAGGGUUGUGGCCUGCAACAUAAAUUUUUGCAAUAAAUAAGAUACUUGACAUCAUUAUUGGAGAGAGGGACAUUGCUUAAACACGAGUACAACCUCUUCACAUGAACACUCCAACAUAACAUUUGCUCCCAGCCAUAAACAUACUGAAUCAGUAUCUUCAAUACGAGCUUGUGAAUAUAUGCCUUCAGAGACUUCAAAAUCAGCAAGGAGUGCCUGUAUGCAAUAUAAAGAGUCAUUAAAACCAGUCAGCUUGGUGCCUAUAAUCUUUUGCGCCAUACAAGUUUUGAUAGUCUUAGGUCUUAAAGCCCAAUAAAGUAAUCCCACCCCAUGUUGGUUUCUAAUCAGAACUUCAGACAUCAAAGCAACUAGCUAAACAUUACUGGUGAUAUUCAGGUGUUCAAAUCUAAAACCACCUCAUUAUUGAGAUCAGCAUGGGCUCUUCAAAGCACUAACCUAGAUUAUUAGGAAUGUUGCUUCCAGAAGUGCAUUCGCAAAGGAGAAAAGACCAUUGGAUAUUUCACAUCAUGUCAACCACACCAAAAUUAGUCCUAGUAUGGCAAGAAUUAAACUAGGCUAUCCUCCAUUUGCUUUAUAAAGAUAGAAAGGGAUGAUAUGAUCAAAGAGAGCAAUGAGGAGCAAGAAGAUUUUUGUAAGAUAAUAUUUUUUAGCAUAACAAGUUUAUGAUAAAAAUUUAGUUGCCAUGAUAUAUAAAAGAUCACUGAUCGACUGUUGAGGAUUCCAGAUGAAAAACAGAAACUGCGAAGGAAAAAAAUUGGUGGAUUCUAAGACAAUACAAAGAACUCCGGAUUGAAAAAAUAAUGAUCUGGUUACGUGAUAACAAGUUUACUUUGUGAAAAGCCUCAACGGUCAACAGCAUGAGUCUGACAGAUACAAAUUAAGUAUCCUCAGUCAAAAUACAUGCAUUGAAAAUUGUUCAGCUCGAGUUUCAAACUUAAAUUCCAGUUCUGAGGCCAUGAUUCAAUCUUACUGUAAUAGAAACACAUGUUCAUUAUGCACGCAUAUAAUGGCAUCCUCAAUCACAGGUCACUUUGCUAUAGCAAAUAAGCCAGUUUGCUUCAGUCAUUAUGCAGGUUUACAUAUCAAAUAAAUAAUAGACGAAACAAGAGAAAAUUGUUGUGGUGGAAUGGUGUGGUGAAGUAAUUGUUGCACGAAGGUGCCCCAAUUUGAAAUGAUUGAUAAAUUCAAAUCCUGGAUUUUUGUAUUGAGAGAAAUAUCAUAGCUUUGUUUAUGUACUGUCCGAGGGUUAAUGGUCAUAGCCUAUUUAACAAAGUAAACCUCAGUGCAAAGAAAGAUGGAGGCAGCACAUACUAGUACUUGUGUUUCUGUGUGUUUGCAUGUGUUUGCAUGUGUCUGUUGAGAGAAAGAAAGAGAGAGAGAGAUAGAGAGAGAGGGAGGGAGGGAGGGAUGGAUUUUGGUGGAGGGGCUAAGAAGCCUGGCGACCUCAUAGUCGAUGUUUUGGAAGGACUAAUUGUGCGGGAUAAAUCUCACAGAUUCUUGUCCACUGCAGAGAUAUGGAUUUACAGCACAUGAGAAGGAAACUUUGUUGAUGCAAGAAGGUAUUGUCAGGAUUCACCAUUUAUGCAGAGCCUGGUAACCAGAAGAGAAUGAGAUGGCCAAAUUUUUAGUUUUCUUACACGAGAUAGCUGGUAAUAAAGAAAUGGGGAAGAAUUCUAUCCAAAGAAGGCGAGGGGGUAUUAGCUGCUUAGAUGAAAACAAUAUGGCACUAUUCGGCAUCACAGGUUUUCCGCAUGUGUGAUUGCCUGGGGAGUGUUUGCCAAUAGCCAACAUACAAAAAGAAACCAAAAACAAGAAGAAGGGUGCAUACAAACAGAUACUAGCCUACGCAAAAUCAAUGAGAAUCCUCAGAUCACCAACUGAUAUGUUGCCCUUGGACAAGAUCUCCUUGGCACAUAAAUAUGCAGGAAAAGAUGCAGAUAGAUAUGGUGACCAUGGAAUUGAAUCAUACCAAAUCCAAAUAUUGACCUUUUUGUUAGUCUAGAGAAAGAAAUAAGAGAGCCUUUACAUGUUGCAUUAAGGAAAAGGAUGGCUUUAGACUUCACAUAUGGUUAACAAUUUCUAAGGCUAACUUCUUACCCCCAGUUUGUUAGAUUCACUCUGAUGUAAAUUAGUCUGUUAAAAGGUUUGCUUGAUAAAGCUAUUGCUUUCUGAAGUAUAUUCAAUCAGCAAGAAAGCAUUCUCCCAUUUAAAUGAAGGGAUGCAUGAAAUAAAUGAAAUGCUUAUUUCGUUCUAUACACAAGAUACUGAUACCAGCUCUGAGCUCCCUCAAGGGUUCAGUGAAAAAAAGAAUAACAGCGAAUGAGAAACAGUUUUAAAAAAACAAAAAAGAAAAAAAAAACUCCUGAAUUAGAUAUAUAUCCACCUUUCUUUUUAAGAUUUUCGCAAUACCAUUAACCAGGCUCUGAACUAGAAUAACAAGCAAAACAAUAUCUCUUCCUAUACUCUUGCGCUUUCUCAAAGGAUGAGAAAUAUCCACCGAAGUGAUUUCCUUUUCUAAAUAGAACCUAAAUGCAAAUAAUUCCUACUCAUUUUAAGAUAAGCGAUUGUAAGCCUCUAAUGCACGACCACCAAACAUGGAAGAUAAUACUGAUGUUUUUCAAUGACAAAACCAUUUGAUGUGAUAAAGUGUAAGGAAGAUUUAUAAGUAUAACAAGCAGGAUGCAACACCUAAUAAGCAUGUUCCCCGUACCUUUAAAUGAGAAAAAUUCCUAAAGUGGAGAAAAUAAACAAGGCUUAAUAUUUAGUGAUGUGCAUCAACAUUUUUCAUUUCCAUAAAUGGGCCAAGCAAGCAUUUUAUAAGGAAAGUCUCUUUCUCAUUCUAAUUACCCGUAAACAUCUUGACCUAAUUUACCCAAAGGUAAGUAACUGCAAUCAUCUCAAGAUUCAAAGCCUCGCAAUUUCAACACAAGGUCGUCAAUCAAUUGGGCACCCCUCAACUAAAUUACUGAAAUCCACAGCUUGUUGUUAAAAAGCAAAUAACCACCAUUUCCCUAUCAACUUGUGGAAAUAAAUGAUAAUUCCCCCAAAAUCUUGUUCAUGUAGUCAAAAGUAUGAGUUGUGUGAGACAACAAACCUCACCAGAACCCUUCUUGGCCUGUAGAGUGGCAACUAUGUCUAAAAACUUUUCAAUAUCAGGAAUUUUUGCCUGGCAUUUAAUAUAGACAUUGAAUUAACAACCCAGUAAAAAGCAAAUGAACAAGUAUCAUGCUGACAUAGUAACAAUAACAUACUAGCAAAGUGAUCAAGUUCUGUGGGAACAAAGCACAAAGUGCACUUGGAUCUAUCAGGUCAAUGUAAAGAGAAAUUCAUCGUGAGACGUCAAAGAGGUGCUAACCAUCUGGAUUUGUUUUAACUUGUUAUUCUAGAUUAGAUAAAAAUAAUUGCAGCAGUGAGCCAAUUUCUCAUUCUUUUUUAGGGGAAAAGUGAAACUCACUUGAAUUUGUGAAGAGUUUUAAGUUGAAUAGAAAAACAGAACUCAGAACCGACAAGCAUCCUUCAUAAUUGAGGAUAUGCCCAUUCCAUUAAUGAAAAAUGUAAAAUAUUGAAUAAACAAUGCACUACAAAAGACAGAACUCAGAACCGACAAGCAUCUUGUUGUGUUACUUGUCCUAGUACAUUUCUUUUUCCUGAAACUAAAUAUUCAUCGUGAUUAAGCCUUUGGUAUCAAUAUCUCUAGUCAUGUCUUUACACCUCUUAAGAAUCAAGGAAAAAGUAGCACACUUAAAUGCUUCAAAGUUCUUUACCCACACAUGCACGUCCGCCCACCUCCAUGUUAACCAUUGCGCAACAUUUCAACACUGCAUUGGUUAUACUAUACCCAAAAAACCAAAGAAAAAGAAGAGAAAUAAACAAGGUCCGGUGCUAGCACAAGGGCCGACAGGAGGGAUGGUGUCUACGGUAUUCAGCAGAACAUUUGAAUAUGGAUCUUUGUCUGUGAUCACUUGAAGAAAAUGAACAACGAAAUGUAACUCAACAGCGAAUUCAAUAGCAGAUAUAACGAUACAAAAGAAUCAGUCGAUGAGAAAUUAUACACAAACAUCUAUAGGGAUGUCGAUAAUAACAAAUCCCAAAACUAGCAUCGAUAGAGUCAGGAAACCUUUGCCAGCAAAAAUACGAAUUAGAGAAAGGCAGCGAUUACGCCAAACUGACAUAGCAGAAUACAACAACACACCUGAAGAUCCCUCUGUUGAGCUAGGAGUUUCAUCUCAACCGGCUUGUAUUGCUGCAGCCUGCAAGCAUCAUCCCACCAAUCGCCACAAGUACUCUUAAGACCCCCCCCCCCCCCCCCCCCCCCCCCAAAAAAAAAAAGAAAAAUCCAAAAUUUCAACAAACAUCUCCUUCACCAGCACCUUCAGCCUAGCGGAAGCAAAAGCCCCAAACUCAGGAACACCUCGUAACCCCUCCCCGAUCCGCCAUCACGGCUGCUGCCUGUCCCAGCUGCCGUCGCCGUCUCUUCUCCCUCCCUCUUUCUCUUCAUUCUGGAAGGACGACGCAGAGAUGGAUCUCCGAAUUGGGUCUGCCCGGUGACUUGGGAAGUCCGAGUCUGAUCCUCGUAGCAACUUGACAAAGCCACGGAGAGAGAUCUCUCUCACUUUCGCUGCGUUUGCCUGGAAGUUACAUGCGGCCUUCCUUCGUAAGUGAAAAAGCCAUUCAGAUUGACAAAUUAAUUGCUUCGAAGAGGAAACACGGCGGAAGAGAGAGAGAUGGUGGCUUGGCCGAGACGGGACGCGAAACGAUUGGCGCAGGCGAUGGCCGGGGGCGGCUCGACGACGAGGGGUGAUGGCACGGGAAGGGGUUACGACGGCGACGGCGACGUGGCGGAGGCUUGCGGUUACCGAUUGGUGGAGGGAAGAGACCGAGGGAAGAAUAGGGGAUUUUUCGUAGUCCGGAUAUUUUUUUAAGGAAAUUCGUCAAAAAAGUGAGGGCAGUUGGGUCAUUUAGGAGGGUAGCCGCACCAUAUACACACGGCGGGUGAACAGAUAUACCAGAGUCGCGUGUUUGGAGUGCUUUGCGAUAAGAAAGGAUUAAAACUAAAACUAGGUACUUUGCCCAAUCUUUACGAGAUAUCAUAAUAAAUGUACUUUAAAUAUGUUUAUUUUCAUUUUUAUUUUAUUAUUGUCGAUAAUUUUGGAUUGUGUAUAACACUCUGUUUGCUAUCCAUUAGGUAUAAAAUUACCAAAUAAAACCAUUUGUCAAAUCAAACAUGAAAGUUUUAAGUCAAAUUUAACUUUUCAUAAAGGUAUAAUAAAAAAUUAAAAAAAUUGAAUAUUGCUACUUUCUAUACCAACUAUUUGUGGAUUUUUUUUUUAUCCGAUACAAUAUCUCCAAAGGACAUCUUAAUUCAACCUCAAUGGUUGAGUUAAACCUCAAGGCCAUCUCAACUUGUUCCUUGUAUAAAAAUUCCUAUGUGACAUCCAAGAUGGAAAGGAGAACAUGUUAGAAUAAGUCAAUCUUGGACGGUUGAUUGCCAGGACUAAAAAGCAUUCAGCAUCGGGUCUCUAUCCCACGCUUGCAAUCACAUUACAUCUAUUACCUGCUAUUAAGUGCUUGUCUUGUAAAAAAGAAAAAAGAAAGGGUAAAAGUCAUCUAAAAACCUAAAUAAUAUUUACAAUGAUACAUUUACCCAAACUUUUUUUUUGUAACACCAGGAACUCUAAAUUUGUAUCUAUGUAACAUAUUUAUCCCAAAAUUGUACGGUGAGACACAUUUAUCCCAAAAAAAAAAAUCUAAUAUAAAAAAUCCUAAAUUUGUAUUCAUAUGACACAUUUACAUUUGAAAUUUGGCAUCACAGAAAAGAUUUUGGGGACUUUGAUGUUACAGAAAGAAAAAAAAAAUUGAGGUAAAUAUGUUAUAUAGAUAUAAGUUUGGGAUUUUUUGUGUAAAAAAAAAAAGUUAGUGGCAAAUGUAUCACACGGGUAAAGUUUGGGAUUUUUUUAUGACUUUCUACCUUUUAUUUAUUCUUUCUUCUCUACAUGGGCUAAAGAACGUAGAUCUUCAUACGUUGACAAGUAGUGAUUCACCUUUGCUCUCACCAGGACGGAAGGGGUUUCUUUCAUUUGCUUAGCACCGACUUAUAUGGAGCACACGCUCCUGGUUCAAUCCUGUCUUACACACUUUAAUCAAUGUUUCUUAAGCAUAUUAUGAUUUCCGCUGGCGUUGUUCUUAAGCUGUAGAAAAUCGCCAGGAUGGAGACCAAGGAUUUAGAGCGACGAUUCUCGUUCUUUGACUUUGGAUGCCUCCAUCAUUCCAAGGACAUUAAACAUGAGAAGUGAUGAGAUAAUGUCGCGAUUUUCUAGCAUCAGCAGCCCUUCUUCCCCACCCCAAGAAAACACUACCGGCAGCCCUUCGUCUCCAGAAAAUGACUGAUUAACUACAUAAAUUCCCAGUCAUUUCCAUGAUAUUUCUCUCUAACCGUGGCGUAGGUAUAGGGAUUUGUCUUUUGAUCAUCAAGUAAAUAGAUUCUAAUGAGAAAUUGUUGUUUAAGUUAAUUCGUUUUCUUUCACUUGGGGUCUGCUCCCGUAAUUCAGAAUGCUGAUAAGAUGAAUUUUGCUGAUAUCGAAAAAGAAAUCAACGGUGUUGUGACGAAGGCAAAUGAAUGAUGGUUCCAUCUCCUAUCAUCCACCCUCGUCAAGUUUGCGACCUUAUCAUCUCAAGUUGAAAUCCCGUAAUGUAACUUUUUCUCUCCAAUUUUUGCGAUUGGGUUUGCUUUGUAAUCGGUGCAUGUCUUAAAGCAUAACUUCCUCUUUUUUUAACUUGAAGUCUUCUGGCAUUUUGUUGAAAUCUGACAUAAAUUUUCCUUUUGAACAGCCUGCGAUAUUAGGCAUACCCUGAGAAAACCAGUAUCACGAAUUCAUUCUUAUUCCUGACUUAGAACAAUAUUCAUUUCCUGGUAUACUUGAGAAAACCAUGGAAUGAUAAAGCAGUUGAUGUUCCAUUUCAUUUCUUCUAAUUCGGCGAGUCCUUCUAGUUGCGGCCAUUGCAGAUUGCCAUUGAACUGACAUUUUAUUGGAAUAUGAACUUAAAGUCUAUCUCGAGGGGAUCGAGUUGCAUAUUGUUAUAUAGCCAUACAUGUGCUGAUAACAUUCUAUACUAGCGAAGACUAGUAGCUGUCUCAUUCUUAUGCUGAAUUACAUCCCCUACAUGUAGUUAUCACAUGAUUGUGAGAGGAGUUGCAAUAAAUCACACUCAUCUUUCGGUGCAAGUUUCACGAGCCCACUCUAAGGAUACUAGUUUUGGGUAUUCAACACGACUUAUGGUAGCUUAAUUUCAGAGUCAAUGCUUCAAAGAUAAUGUGGUAAGAUGUUGUCAUGACUUAUCUAAAAGAAGAAAGAGCAUGUCCACUGUAUAUCUUUUCAUAUGUUGUCUCUAUUGAUUCUCAAGCCAAUUGAACUGAGAAUUCCUUCAAUAAGUAAGCAAUUCCAUGAAUUGCAGACUGGGCUUCAUUUCAUAAUGAGCCGCGCUUUUCACUCCAAACCACGUUACAGGGUAGAAGUGGAUAUUUUCCUUGAUCAAACAUAAAUUAAAUUUGAGAGAGGUAUUAUAUUAAAAUGAAAUGCUCUAUUAAAAUUUUUGAAUUCUUUUUAUUAACUGUCUAAAUCUGCCAGGUAUACUCAAGAUUUUGAUCUUGCACUCUAAAUUCGUGCAACACACGUGUUUAUCUUCACAGACACACAAAAUUUAUGACGUUAUUAUGUCCCAAACAAAACUUUAUAGAAUUAUUACGUCACUGCUGAGGUGGGCACCAUGUUUGAAAUCCAACAUUAUGGGAUUAUCUAGGUAUAGAUCAGACAACAUAUGCAUUUUAACUUUUUUGACCAGAGCGUUGUAUUUAAUCCAAAAUAUGACAUUCAAUCAUCGGGUGAAUUCAAGGAUCCAAACGAGAUGCUUUUCUAGUGCGUUUCCACUUAGAAAUAUGAAAUUCUAUAGUAAAAGCCCAAGCGGACUCAAUUUCAAUUGGAUUUCCCACCUUCCGUGGAAAUAAAUGUAGGCUUUUACAAUGAGAAUGCAUAGAUGGGACAAACUUCCUAAUUACUUGGCCUAUUUUUGCUCCUUGAAGAUGCAUGCACUACAAAAAUCCACAGUUCUCAUACUAAUUUUGCAAAGCGAUUAACUUCUCAGAAGCUGUAAAAUGAGUCUAUAUAAUCAUGUCAAAGCACGUAGAUACCAUUUUUAUGACAGCCCGCAUGAUUUAUGAGGUAGCUAUUCCUUGAGUUCACUUUUGUCGUGUUUUUAGGUGAUAUUCUGUUUAAUUUAAAAUAUACUAAGUUCAUUUCGCUUUCUGAUAUAUAUAUGCUACCCUCCUAGAAUUAGGAGAUAUGUACAUAUGCAAUGAUAAUCUUAUUUAGAGUUGCAUCCUGAAAUUAUGUCAAGACAUAAAUAAUUGUAUCUUUGGGCCAUUUCAUGACACAAAAAUGUUUACUGUUGGUGCUUUGAAAUUUUUUCAUGCAUUCCGAUCUAAUUAUUUUAUUUUUCAGAGUAUUCGGAAUCUCCACGUAUGAUUCUAGGAAAAGCAUUCAAUUCCUCUAAGUUCUUUUAUAUAUAGAUCUAGGCUCAGUGCAAUAUCUCAUAGAAAUUGCCCAACAUCUGGCGUAACCAAGCGUAAUGGAUCCCCUUUUACCUUUUUGUCUGUUUUGUUUUUUUUUUUUUUUGUGAGAAAUCUCUUCCUUUAUCUUUAGGCUAGAAAUAUUAGAUAUUAAAUGCUUUUGUUUUGCUCAUCAUAUUAAAAAAGAUUAGCUUUUCUAAUUAGCCUAUUAAUAACUGAUAAGUGGCAACUUCUGAAUAAAUAAGAUUUUGCAUGUUAAAAUAAUUAACCUCCAAAAUUGCGAUGGAUGGAGUUUCGGAGAGUUGACAUUAAGUUUUCGAACUUAGUAAUCCACUUACUACCUACCGAGGGAAGGUCGCAACAACUUUGGUUUAUGAGAUUAGCUUCUGUACAAAUAUGGGUAUUAUCUACUAUUCCUAACUUAUUCUCCUUGCUAUCAUGGUAAAACAAACAAGAGAAUAGUCUUGAAUCCACUCUACAAACCAAACUACAAAUUAGCUAUUCCGUUCCUAGUCCUACUCUCUUCCAAUUUUAUGAAAUAUCUAUUCCAUUCCUAUCUUAUUAUAUCUUGCAAUCGAAACAUCACGACACAUCUAAGAUAGCUUUUUCCAGUGAGUCACCUCACCAUGAGAUUAGAUCUCUCACUAUCAUACAUGAAGAAACGUAGAAAUGUAAUCUCAACCAUCUAACUUUUUCACUUGAUAUAUAAGUUACUCAUUCUUGUAGUAAAAAGAUCUUAUGUUUGGAACAAAUAUCUUCUACACGGUGAAUGUCAUUUAUGUCAUUUCUUAGAGGUAAAAAGAUUCAUUUGCUAUAAGGGAGCCGCAAGUGGUCUCUCCAUGCCACAUUUCCUAAUUUUUAGGCCGAUCACCUAUGAUCUCGUGUCUUGAUGUAUUCAUAAUUUAUUUGAAUUACAUCAAUUAGAAAACAGUUCCAAAGAGAAUCUUUCAAGCCAAGAACAAAAGCAAAAAGCAUAUUCACAAACAAGAGUCACUAUGACUGUACUGAUGAAUUACGCCAUCAUCAAACCCUUUUACACAAAGACAAAAUGACAACAAAUAACAUGAACAACAUAGUGCAAACGACUUCAUCUGAAUUACUCAAGCUCAUAAUUUUCCAUUGUCCUUCAUAGCCAAAUCUUGAGCCCACGAUUUGUCUCAUCACUUUGAAUGCGGUGCUCUAAGCCAAAGAAGUUGCGAAAAUAGCAGCUCUUACCAAAAUGUCGCGACUACUCGAAAUUUAUGACUGGAAGUUGCAAAUUCACCUGAUGAACUGUUCUAGAGAUGUCGUGUUCCCAUACAAGAAUGAGAUUAGUGCGGGGAUUAACUCCAACAUAUGCAUAAUAAGCCACUAUCAGAAUCUGCAGUUGAAAUUCGGAUUGGAGAUGCACAAUUCUUGUUGUGGGGACAAAUGAUAGAAUUCAACGAAUGAAAAGAAUUUCUACGGAGUCUUCUCUUCUCGGAAUCUGAGACUGACGGCCUUGCCUUUGAAAUAACGGACUUCAGAAGAUAGUCGGUUAUAAUUGGCCUUUUCCCAUGCUGAUCGCCCUCACUACUGUCAAGAAGAUCGUAAACAGCUUGAGGUUGUGCAUCUGAAAGCAGAGCUUGAAGAUCCGCUCCGGUGAAUCCUUCUGUCAUGGGAGUAUAGCAUCUAAGUACACAUCACUGGCCAAAGGAAGUUGCACGAGGGCAUUAAAGCAUACACUUAGCAAAACUUUAGCGUUGCCGAAUGGUUGCCACUUUACUGAUUGAUUUUAUAGAAUCGGAUUAAUAUAAUUAAUUGAAUACACCCAAUAUCUUCCUAAUUAGUGAACAGAAAAGAAAAGGAGAGGAUAAAGAUGUCUUAGAAAGGUUAUACUAAAUGAUAACCAAAGGCAAGUCUUAGUCCCGUUUCUCAUUUUUCUUUCUGAGCAACAUCAGUAGAUUUUAGAUCCGAGUUUAAAAGUGAUUUACUAUUGGACAUCUAAACUUAAUUGAGCCUCACCUAAGCGUGUUGCAGAUCCACCCCACAACAUCUUUUACAAUGUUCUCUUGUAAUUUACAAUGUUUAGGGUGAUUUGGGGUGCAAGGACUGAGAACUCCAUGGGAGAAGGAGUUUAGCUUUUAACUUAACAUGUAUCACCAAAUGCACUCCCUCAGAUGACAUAAGUUCAAAAUAGGAUCUUUAGCAGCACAAAUCGACUCUGCUUCUAACUCUUCUUGUUUGUUUUUAAGCAAUUUUCUGUUCAUACGUAAUCUUUCGGAUGCAUCUUUUUGGAAAAUGUAGGAUUGCGGUUAUAUAUUUCUUUAACAAGUAAUCCCAUAAAUUUCAAUAUGUACAACCUGUUUCGGACCACGUCAAAAAUGAAAUGCUCAAAGCAAAAGCACUGGCAGAUCGAUGGAAGCUAACUUUCUACCUUCCUGGAUAUAAGUCUAAGAAUAUCCAGCCUCUCCUUUAUAGAAGGAAAAUCACAGAACAUAAGUUGAGCCAGCCAAGUCUCAGAAGUGCAGUGUCAAGUAAGCGUAGUCUACUGCUUCACAUGGAAUGUAACUCAGGUAGCACUCAAAGCACAUGAAUAGACAAUGAUAAAAAGAAAAAGCAUCCUCAGAAAGAAAAGUGAAUUAGAAUUAUUAGUAGAUGGAUGAACCCUGAGCAAAACAAAAGAGCACCUCACAUGGCAAAGAUAUCAUGACAAUUGAGAAAUUGCGUAUACUCGAUGUCACAAGACUCAAAUGAUCAACAUCAGUUGAUGCCGUUGUAGAGGCUCAUGACUAGCAUAACACUUCUUGUAAGCUACUUCAGCAACUGGAAAGUAAUUCGUGUUGUGACAUCCUGGAAUUUCAAUUAUGUUUUCAAUUAAAUAAAUCGGAUCUUUCAUCGACGCACCUAUAGUGCUAUUCUCAGAGCUGAUCACUUCUGAGAUAACUAGAUUAUCUGGGAAAGUCAUUAAGGAAUUUUAACGUAUUAGACUUGAGAAUUCAACUCGGAAUCGACUACUCGACCGUGCUCAUCUGUAGAGAUCAUUUCGACACAGUAAAGAUCGAUUAGAAAUUAGAGAUAGGUCAAUUCGACUGAGAUGUGUGGUUAAACGUAGGUGAUUCCACCAAAUUGAAAAAUUCUCAUCGAUUGACACUAAACUUAUUUUUCUGUCGUUUUAAUACCUUGUGUCCGUAUUUGAAAUCUCGAGAUUUUCACGACAACCGAGAGUAGCAAAUGUGUCGAAGAGGUUUAUUGUGGCUUGAAGAAAAUCGACCACGGGUCAUUUGCGCUAAAAUUUUUUGAAAGCUACCCUGUAGCUUAUGUCACGCUAAAAUCACGUCAAAUUAAAAUUAACGGCAAAUUUGAAUCCGAUUUUAGAAAUUGAAAGUUUUGUCAUAUCAUGAGUCAUUUUAGGAACGUCGACUCAGUCUUUGAAAAUUUUUCUGCAAACUGAGAUUUUGGUGGAAAAAGUCAACAUAAGGCCGUUUUCGAUCGGGAAAUUUCGAUGACCCUUUUUUAUUGCAAAAUUGGGAUGCAAGUAGGUUCUAUUGGUGAGGAAAAAUACCAACUUGAUUGAGGACUUGAAGGUUGAAUUUUUAGAGGACAAAUUGCAUCGAUUCAAGGAGGAAUUGAAGUUGAAUUUGAGGAGAAGACUUCCAAAAUUCGUAGCCCCCUUUCCUCAACCUUUGGACCCUCUCAUUUGGCUUCCAAGACAAGUUUUGUGGCUGCUUUUGGGCUAGGAAUCUAGAUAGCAAUGGUGGGCCUCACCAAGAGGACAAGAAGAUAGAGAGAAGACCUUGGUGGCCCCCUCCAAAGCCCAACCGGUCCCCCUCCUUCUCCUUCCUCCUCAUCCGUCGACCCCCUUCUUGUUUAGUAGCUUGAAGCUUCUAGCAACCUAGAAAAUCGACCAAACCGGCUCCCUCCUCAGUCACAUGCCCGCCAGAGCUCGAGUGCCACUCGUCCGCCCAUCGCAAGCCGCAUCGUCGCUGCUCGCAUCUUGUUGCUUGCCGUGCAUCCCCAACCGCUGCCCCGCCUAGCUCUCAUGUCCAACAAGUCGCCAAGCUAUUAUCCGUCACCACCGUGGUCACCGGAGCCACCGCUUGCCCCCACCUGGACUCGCUUCAGCCCCUCUGCCCAUCCUUGCUCGUUUCCACCUCAACCAGUCGCCAGUUCCAGCUCUCUUGGCCAAGAGCAGAAGCCGAAGCUAGUGCAUUUUCAAUCACUGUUUGGCCCUUUUUGUGGCCUUCCAGACCUUGAAAAGCGCACCCGCUUUGGUGUUUAUCGAUCCUCUCCACGUUCUCGUCGUUGUGGUCCAAGCAGAUCGUUAAUCAAGUGAGUUUAACUCACUAAUCUCCGCUUAGUAAGUUAAUGACGCUUAAGGAUUGAUUAGUUUAAGUUAAGUAUGGUUUAGGUAGAUAGUUAGAAUAGAUUAGCAAUUUAAUCAUUCGAUAUUGCAUGUUAGGUGGUUAGAGUAGUGUAAUUAGAGCCUAGAUAAGCUCUAGUAUUUAGCUAGAGAGGUUCAAAAAAUUUCUAGGCCCGUCUCGGCUUUUAAUUAGGCUUUUCCGGCCUAAGUUGCAUUUUUGGGUAUUUAAUAAUUAAUUUUCGGAAUUAUUUAAUUAAUUAUUAUUUUCCAAAAAUUGAAUCGGGAUAACCAGUGACUAAAAUUUUAUGCUAAUCACAAUGGUGUGAUUUGUUUAAUUAUUUGAGUGUUAUUUUGUGCACAUUGAGUGUAAUUUGUGAUUUUGGGUAUUUAUCCCGAAAUUUAUUAAUUUCAGUAUUAAAUUAGAAAAUUACCGAGCAUCGGUUUAUAACGCUAAAAAUAUGUUGAUAGACUAUAUAAUUAGUGGGAUUUUAUGAAAUAAAAAUAUUAUAUUUUUAGCUCAGGCCGAUCGUGUACUUACACACGAUUAUUUUUAUCGGGUAUUUUUAACACGAAGAAAAUAGACCAGGACAUUAUUUUAAUUGAGGAAUUCAUGUGGGAAGCUCAAUGUCCUUGGCCAUGGGUGAAUAAUCAUGUGGUGGUUUAUAGUCGCGGUAAGAUGACUAUUGAAGGAUGAGGUAACGUAUGUUGUGCAUGACAAUAUGGGAUGGGCCAAGAAAACCACCGAAAUAUGGAUGUGCCCAUUGGGUCGUGAUUAAUCGCUGAAGUAUGGUUGUACCUAUAGGGUCGUGAUUAACUGCCGAAGUAGGCUGUGCCUAUAGGGCUGUGAUUUAUUGCCGAAUUUGGAAUAAGUCGUGCCCAUCGGGUCAUGAUUUACCGCAACAUUUAGUAGGGCGUGCCCAUGGGGCCAUGAGUAGUAGUUGGAAUGAGUGAUUGAUUGAGAUAUAGUACGAUGCGUUCCAAUUGUUGAGUGAUGAUUGGACUUAUAUGAGAUAUAAAUUGUACAGACUUGUAGGAGGAAACUGAGGUAAAUGUAAGUCCUUUGACCUGUGCUUGUGCUUAGGUAGCCCUUGGGGCAUAUUUUUUUCCUAGUCGGGUCUUAAGGGGGUGAACUUACUGAGAUGUCGUUUCACCUUGUUGUAGGAUAUCAUUUGUAGGUCCCUAGAUGGCAGCUCCUCCCGAGCCGUUUGGACAGCCAAAGAAGGUCACAGAGCGAUAUCUUUCAUCUCGCUUCAUGGGAGCCCAAGAGGAUGGGUCUAUGAGCUCAUAAGGUCAGUGGUUUGGGUUGAUGAGGCUUUACCCCACAAGGUACCCCAUCAAUACAAAUCAUAGUACCAACGUGCGCAGGAUAGACAAAGAGAGGGUCCUAUACCGAAAUGUAAGAUACCUGUGUAUGUGCUAAAGGUUACUUUUGGGAAAGGCACAUCAUAUCCUCUCAGUGGUUCAGUGGUAGACUUGUAUUUGUUGGAUCCAGGAACUCCGGUAUAUUCAACUGAAGGCUCUAAUGAGGAUGAGGAUUUGUAGUUUUAUUAAACCCCCCUAUUUUACAGACCCUGUUUUUAUAAACUGGUAUUGUAAUGACAUAGCUUGAUAUAUAUAUAAACGUGUUGUGAUUUUCAGUUCGAAAAAUUAUGGCCUUACUUUUCUAUCCCAUUGUGUUGUUGUCUAGGGAUUAUUUAUUUGCUUUCGCAUGCAUAUUAAAAUGAAUGGGUCAGCGAUGCAUCUUGGGACGUCGCUAUUUAAUCAACCAAAGAGGGAUGGGCACGCGCUCGGAUGAUCGGGCCGUGACAUGUGCAAUCCCAUCUUUUGAUACUGUGUAUCCGAAGUAAAAUAGUUCUAAAUCAAGGCAAAGUCAUGUCUAGCAUUUUAUAGUCUGCCUCGAAUGUUAUUAUAUAAUCUCCAUACUAAAUGCUUUGUAGAAAAUGUUCGUUGAACCAUUCACAGUAGCAGUGCAAUUUCCAAUAGCAGUUGAUAGUUAGUGUGCUAUUGGAAGAGAGUACUUUUUGUUAUCAUUUAAUAUGAACUUAUUGCCUUGUUUCGGCAAACACAAACACACCUGUUAAAACUACAACACCCUGUAAUUCAGUAACAAACUGCACCAAUCAAUAACACAUCAGUAAUGAGUCAAACGAUUAAUUAGAUUUCAUAUGACCACCUUAUAAGUGCUAUAGAAUGUAAUAAAAUAACUUGAUUCUCGACAUGGUUACUAACCCCAUAUUAUCAUGCCCCCUCUUUGCAACAAUAGGGAGAAGUACACUAUCAAUGCCAUAAGUUGUAUACGGUGCUCACUUUGAUGUCAAAAAUUUCCGUCAAAUCAUUUAAGUGCCAAAUCGGAGGAAAAACGAUCACUUUGGUGCCACCGGCGAGAGAUUCCUGCCAAAAUGAUUACGUGGCUUUUAUAUUUUAAAAAAAAUUGAGAAGCCUUUUAAAUGACAUCAUUUUUUGUCCUCUUUAAGAAAACGACGUCGUUUUGCCGUCAAAUGUGGAUGGCCUCACAAAAACGACGCCGCAUAGCUCAUUUGGGAUUGAAAUUAGGGUUUUUUUUUCUCAAUCCUUGCCGAUCUAGCUUACUCAGCCACCGUGCUCGACCACCGUCGCUCGGCCUCUGUCGUAGUUGCUCGACUAGGUGAGCAAGGAGAGUCUGAGGUUGUUUUUCGAGCAAGAAGUGAUGGGAAAAUAGGAGGCGAGGGCGGAGGAGGAGGAGGAAGAAGGGGGGUCGAAGGUGCAGAGAGAGAGAGAGAGAGAAGACGAGGAGUGUAAGGGAAACAAUGAGGGCGCAGAUCGAGAUGGUGGAUUGGGCUCUGUUCAAAGAGUGGCUGGUGCUGGUGUUGUUCUUCGGAGAAGACAACGUUGCCAUGCCUUCUCUCUCUCUCUCUCUCUCUCUCUCUCUCUCUCUCUCUCUCUCUCUCUCUCUCUCUCUCUCUCUCUCUCUCUCUCUCUCUCUCGAUUUGGGGAUUUAAGGUUUCAACUUAGGGAAAAGACACCAAACGAUGUCGUUUUGUGAUUUACAUGUUGACUGUGCUCUCCAACGAGCCACAUCAGAUUUUCGGCCAAUUAGAUCGACAUUGACACUAAAAUGAUCGUUUUUCAAAAAUUUUGGCACUUAAGUGAUCUGACGGAAAUUUUUGGCACCAAAAUGAGUACCGUACACAACUUAUGAUAUUGAUAGUGUACUUCUCCCUGCAACAAUGUAAUCAAAUUCAUCGAAAAAGAGAAGGCAAACUGUUGUAGCUACUGCCUUUGAGAAUAUAUCGAAACCACUUUUAACCUAAAAGGAAAUCUAAUGGAAAAGACAAAAAAAAACCCCUAAAAACAAAUAUUUUGCUUCAUCUAUAACAAUCGAAAAUCUAGUAGACAUUUGAUCACCGAUUUCAAAUUUCAAAUAGAGAAAAGUUUAAAAUAUUUUACAUGGUAAUCUCUCUCUUAACCAAAUGGUCAUGGAGGAUCCUCUCAUUCAUGCAUGAGGAAACUCAUCAACCGUUUUAAUUUGGCCACUUCAAUAGUUAUGGGAGCUGUUGUUGACAAUAAUUUAGUUAGAAAACCUUGGCUACAGCAGGAGCAUCCUCAUUGCUGCUGCUAGUUAUCCGAUUUUGAGUGCUAGUAUACAUGAAGGGGCCUCUAUUAAAUGCAUACAAAAGCAAUAAAAGAAAGCACAAAAUUGUGAAAUGUCUGAAAUAUCAAAGUUUAGAACAAGAUUGCACAAUGGAAUUCGAUCAACAUUGGUGAAGUUGAAAAGAAGCCUCUUACAGCUUGCUCAAAAGUACAGUGUACUUAUUCAACGUCUCAGCCCUUUCACUUAUAUGGAUUGAAAAGAACAAGCUGCUACUGCAGAACCAAUAAUGUGUGUCUUGCCAAAGCCCAGACAUCCAUGUAAAUGAACAUUUGACCAUUCCUUAUAGGAGGUUGGCCCAAAAACAUUUUACAUCAGCAAAUGUAAGAAUGAUAAGACACGAAGAAGAAAUAGGUUUAUUUAACAAGUUAACAAUAACCACAUUUUAGAGAGAGUUAGAGGGAGAGCAAGAUGAGGAAAGGUGUUAUGAGUCACUAGAAAGAAUAAACAAAAGCUACAUCUUAGACACAACCCAUGCAAUUAUAGAAGCUUUCUUGAACAAAUCCAUGCAUAAUCUAGCUCACUCACAAGAAUGUAGAAUGCAUCAGGGAAACAAUAAUAGGUAGUUAAGCCCCACAAUCUUAGGUAAACCUAUCAUCUCAUUGAAGAUUCUGCAGAACAUGACAACAAGCUCCCUUCACUAGAUUGUCAAUCUGCAAAAGAAGGUUUAGACAGCUUAUCAUAAAAAGACAACUUUGACGUUAAACGAAAAGUAAAGCACUUAAUGGAGAACAGACACUUGGGAACCUACUACAUAGAUAAGUAUUGCUUGUCCAAAUACUUGAUCAGGAAAGACAAUUAUAAAAUAAUAAUAGGAUCCUCGCACAUUUUGAGUAUGAGGAACAACUCCUUUUUUUAACAGCAUAACAAAUCCCUCAUCCAACAAGAUAAAGUGAAUUAAGUGAUCAGAUAGCAUGAAGUAUGUGGGAAGCACACUCAAAAAUAUGACAGGAAGUUGCGGAUCUUUCAAGUUUCAGUUCUCGAACACGUCUAUUACUUGACUGACUCAAUUAAGAUCUAUGAAAUAAAUGAUGUACUUUGAUUAAGCUAAUCAUGAGUACUAAAAAUAAGUACUUCUGGAAACAAAAGCUAAGGUUAAUACUUAGUACAUUAAGCCAUUGAAUGCCUAAGCAAAAUAGGACUAUUUGUUAGAAAAAGUUUGCCCAGUUAGCAACUUCAUAUAGAUCCCUAGCCGUUACACCUGAAGACAUUUUAGCAUGAAUAGUUUAUUGCAUUCUAGGACUCUACAGAAAUAGAAGAAAGCUUACAGCUAUUAGUGGGGAAGCAUAAUUUUAAGAAUGGGAAUACUACAAAAUUGCAACUAUAACCAUGGGCAUCAAAUGUGGAGUAAACCUCACAAUAAUUGAUGACAUGGUUAGUGACCCUCGUAUUAUCGUGACCCCUCUUUAGCAGAAUGGAAUCAAAUUCAUGAAAAAAGAGAAGGCAAGGUGCUACAGCUGUUGCCUUUGAGAAUAUAUCCAAACCUGUAAUUUUAAAAUUGCCAUUACUCUCAAAUAUUCAGAAUUUCUCUAGUUUGUUCACAAAAUCAAUGCCAUCAAUGUGCAAAACAGAUGAUCUAGUAGACAUUUGAUCACAAAUUUCAAAUUUCUAGUAGAGAAAAACUUCAAAUAUCUUACAUCUUAAUAUUUCUCUUAAUCUUCAUAGAGGAUUCUCUCAUUCAUGUGUGAGAAAACUCAAGAACCAUUUUAACUUGGCCUCUUCCUUGGUUAUUGGAGAAUCCUCAUUGCUGUUGUUUAAAAUAAUACAAUUAGAACAUCUUGGUUGCAGUGGUAGGACCCUCAUUGCUGCUGCUAGUUAUUCCAUAUUUUGACUGCUGGCAUAGACAAAGGGACCUCUAUUAAAUGCAUACAAAAGCAAAAGAAGAAAGCACAAAAUUGUGAAAUGUAUGAAAAUAACAAUGUUCAAUAUAAUAUUGCAUAAUGGAACUCAAUAAACAUCCAUGUAUUGAAAAGAGGCCUCUUACAGCUUGCUAAAAGUACCAAUGUACUUAUCCACAGCUUGCCCUUUUAUUGAUAUGGAUUGAAGAGAACAAGUCAUUGCUGUAGCACCAACAAUAUGUCUUGCGUCAUUGCUGUAGCACCAACAAUAUGUCUUGCCAAAGCCUGGACAUCCAUGUAAAAGAACAUUUUGCCAUGGUCUUGGAGGAGCUUGUGCAAAAACGUUUUAUCAGCAAAUGUAAAAAUGAUAGACACAAAGAUCAAACGGGUUUAUUUAACAAGUUAACAGUAACCACAUUAUUAGCAGAGAGAGAGAGAGAGAGAGAGAGAGAGAGAGAAGAGGAAACGCACAAUAAGUCAGCUGAAAGAAUAAACAAAAUCUAGUCUUGAAUGACACAAAGGUGCUCUUUGCUAACACCACAAAUUGCAUAAUGCACAACUCUAUGCAGCUAAACCUAGUCUUCAAUGAAAUAUUUGACCAUAUCGACAAGUUUACUCCAAUAUCAAUUGUCCUGCAGCACAAAUUUCACGCAUAAAUGGCUAACUACUAGAAUGAAGAAAGAUAGUUCGUAGAUCACACUUGACUCAAGACGUGAAGCUUCUCCACUUCAGUUCAAAAGUAACCUGAAAAACACCUCCAAUUCUUCGUGAAGGAAAUAACUAAAUCACUCAUAUUGCAUAAUAGGUAGCAAUGAUUCACUCUUCCGUUAACCAAGCGUUAAUUCCUUUAUUUCAGUCCUCACAAAUCAUGAUUGUUCUCUAUUGGUAUUAAAAACACUCCAUAAAGUGAGACCACUACUCUUAAGUCCCAACCACCUCCGCCUUAUAAGAAAACCUAGCAUUUGCCAGCAUCUUUAGUGUGCUUACUAUCUAAAAGUUCCCUUCCACUUUAUCCUUUUUUUUUUCUGAGCAACAGGUGCCGCGAAGCACGUCAAUCCCAACGUUAAGCUGGUGCACAACAUAAACCAGCUAAGUAUCACCAUCGUCAAGUCGAGGCAAGUCAAAGUAUCACACGUUCAUGAUACAUGAAAGAGGAUUUUCCCUUAGAGACAACAGGAUGAACGAAUGCAAGAGGUGGUUCCAGAACCAAGAUGAAAGGUUAGCUAAAGGAAAACUCACAAAACAGGACACAACAAAAAACGAACUCUAGUUCUAUGGACUUACCAUCAUCGAUUAUCUUUGCCAAUCAAAUGAUACAUAUCUUAUCCAUCUCUAUUGAACCUCGGGCAAUCAAAGACCUUGAGUCGACAAGAUUUUGGCACACCCAGCACCCUCUCCAAUGAUUCACAAUGAUAAAACCACAAACUUUUCAGAUUCUGUAGAUUAGAAAGAUCAGAUUCGUUUAAGCUUUUGAUGGAAUUGCAUCCCCAAAUAGUCAAAUCCCGCAAUGAUUUCAGUUGUCCCAAACCCUGUAUCUCAGUUAGCAAAGGCAAUUGAUAUAGGGACAAACGCUGGAUCUCCUUCAAAUCAGGCAGAACAAGCAACGUCUUGAGCAAUGGACACUUGUACAUACACAAUUCAUUGAAUUUUCGUAGCUCUCCAAGCACCUCAAAUCGAAUCUCUUCCAACGAACAUGCAAGAAUAUACAACCUCGACAAAUUCUCCAAGUUGGAAAAGAUUGAUCAAUCUAUCAGUGACUGCACAUCCCAUAACCCCAAGUCUCGAAGGCAAGAUGGGAGCCCGAUUAGAGAUUGGGGCUCAGGACAACUUAUGUGGAGGCUUUGUAGCUGAGAGAGGGAACUGAAAUCGGUUGGAGGCAAGGCCAUUUUUCCAACGUACAAGAUCAUUUCCCUCAGAGCAUGUAGUCUCACGAUCCCCUCUGUGUUGGGUUCUUGCAUUGAAUUGCCGAUUAUCUCAAGGUAAACUAAAUUGGUUAGGUUUGAGUAGUCAGUGAUCAUGGUCAGCAAAUCCGAUGAAAGGGCUAAAGAUGCUAAACUCUUGGGAAGCUCAGGCAGCCAUUGGAUUGAAUUACAACCCUUUAAAUUAAUUUUUUGGAGAUUUGUAAGCUGAUUGAUGGUUGCCGGCAAUCCACUAAAGCGACCUUUAGAUAAGUCUAGAAUUUUCAACGAGGAUAAUGCCCCAAUUUCACUUGGAAUUUCCCCCACCAAAUGUUCAGAUUCAAACCAUAACUCUUCUAGAUUUUCCAACAUCCCUAUGGUUUUCGGAAGUUCACUUAUGCGGCUGAAAUUGAGAAUUAGUACCUUCAACUUUUUUAAAUUUCCAAUACAAUCAGGUAAGAUCUUGAUACUUGACCAAGUCAAAUCCAAAUUGACCAAUGAUUGGAGCCUCCCAAUCGAGUAUGGUAGCUUUUCUAGGGGGCAAUGUGAGAUGCGUAAAACUUUCAACCUUUCAAGAUUUUCAAUAGAAUGAGGUAAUUCAUUGAUAUUUAAAUUUUGGACAUCUAGCUCAAGUAGUGACUCCAAUUGUCCGAUAGAGUCGGGAAGCUUUUGAAGUUCCCUGCAUGGCAAAAUUAGAGACUUCACAUAUACCAAAUUAUCAAUCAAGAGAGGCAUCAUUGAGGGUGUCCGAUUUAUUCUUAGCACUAUCAAAGAUUUUAGACUACCGGCGGACUCCACUAGUGACUCAAUAGCUUCACUCUUUAUCUCAAGGUAAUCAAGAUGUUUUAGAUUGCCAAUGGAUUUGUCAAUCUUUCUUAGUCGAAUGCAUCUAAGAAUCAAUUUCUCCAGUUGCGAGAUUGCAAAGAACUUGGGCGUCCUUCUAAGGAAUGGACAAUCCUCGAGCUAUAGGAUUUUCAGUUGUUUUGCUACCUAUAAAGUAAUUGAGUAGACACUCAGAAAAGAGGAGUAAAUAUAAUGCAAAAGGAAGUCAUGAGAUCAUACCAUGAUUUGACACCAUCCUCCCCAAUCUUCAGUGACGUUAUUCCCGGAUAGCAUGAGAAUCGUUAAGUUCUUCAACCCAAGGUUGGUAGCUCGGAAUUUUGAAGGGCAAUUGCUCCAAGAGAGCCAUCUCAAAUUAAAGAAAACAUUCUUAAAGUCUCCUUCAAAGUUUCCGUGGUCCAAUUGAAGGAACCUAAGGUUGACCAAGCGCACAAAUUGCUUGUGCUUAAAUCUGUACAUCUUAUUGGGGUCAGGUGUACCAAGAUUGAGCAUCACUAUGUCUCUGGUUCCCUGGAAAAUAAAAGUAGCAACCAAUGAGUACAUAUGUAAGUUUGACUUGAAAUUAGAUAAAAAGGUGAUGACGCUAAUGGAUGCACUGGAAAACAUGUAGAGGUAAAGAUUACCGUUUCUAUCUGGACUACAUGAAAGGCAUCCUCGGGAGACCACAAUCUGGUACCUUUCAUAUGGAUUUCGCCACUUUCUGGAUGGACGAUACUCCUUCCAAGGUCUCUAAGUUGGUCGUGCAUCCAUAGUUUAUUAUCGUUGGAUAUUUUUAUUAGAGACAUGUGUAUGAGGAUAUUCAACUCGAUUUUUGUCGAAUACCUAAAAAUCGCAUCCCAAUAUUUAACUGCAGUUGUUUUCUCUUUGUUGAAGCAAAAACAUGCGAUAUCAAGAUAAAUUUGUUGUUGAUUAGGCUCCAAUGCUUCGUAGCUUAUCAUUAGCUUCUUCUUGACAUCCUCAUUCAUCACAUUCUUUAACUUACGUAGGGUGUCUUCCCAUGUUCUACGGCAUUUUCCACGAAGGAUGGAACCUACGACAUUGAGAGCCAAUGGAAGUCCUCCUAGCACAUUGAUUAGCUUAUAUGCAAUAUCCAUGUAAUCAGUUGGAGGCUCGGCACAUCCCAAGGCACGCUCACAGAAAAGUUGAAAAGCAUCAUGCAAAUUCAUCACCGGCAUAUUGUAGAAUGAAAAUUGUUCGCUAAUAGAGGCUAGGAAAUUGUCAUCCUCACCUUCCUUUACUAGGAAUUCAAUAUUCCUAGUUGUUAUGAUGAUUCUACUACCCCCACCAAACCAGUUGGGCUCACCGACAAGUCUCAUGAUUUGGUCUCGAUUGUCAAUGUCAUCCAGAACAAUGAGAACUUUCUUGUCAUGAAAUCUCGUCUGGAUCAUGUCAACCCCUUCAUCAAUGAAGGAUAGUUUUGUGCAACUCAAAUGGAAAAUGUCUGACAACAAUUUCUUUUGUAAGUUUAUUAUAUCAUGAGUCCGAACAUCCUUAAGAAAGCAGCAAUGUCUCUGAAACUGAGGGGAGAUUUGUCUGAAGAUAGCCUCACCCAAUGUUGUCUUUCCGAUGCCACCCAUACCAUAAAUCACGAUAAAUCGUACAUCAAAGGCUUCUAGAUCUAACCGCUUCAUAAUCUCAUCUGUUCGAUCUUUAAUUCCCACCAAAUGAUCAGGCACAUCUGUCCUUCUUGUCCGUAACAAACUAGAAACCUCUUUGACUGUGAGAUUCAUAAGUUCAUAUAGGCUGCCACAUGCAUGACAUGCAAUCAUCUCAGAUUGAAAAACCAUAUAUAUGGAAACUGUGCACACAUUACAUGGCACUAGAAGGUUAUCAUCAAGUUCAGAAUAAUUUUCUUUAAAAGAAACCAAUACAUAAAAGCUAUCUUUCAAGCUGUGAGCCAUUUGAAAACAAAAAUCCAUAAAAAAAAAAAAAAGAUGUUAUUCAAGAGAGGAGGAGGAGAGGGGACUUUAUUCAUGGUUGAAAGCUAAUGCUAUCAAAGGUUCUUUGGUUUAGUCAAUGAUGGGAAAAGGUUAUUUUGUGACAAGGGUCUAAUUGGGCUUCGACUAGAAGUCACUCUGGCAAAUUGUGACUAACUAGUGCUAUGAGCCGUUGUGUUGGAAUAGGUUGUGGGCCUUUGUUCCAUUUUAUGGCAAAAUUAUGCAAUCAAUCUUAAAUUUAUUAUACAACUGUCAAUUCAGUCAUAAACUUUUAAAUUUCAAUAAUAUUAUCCUAAAACUUUAUACAAAAUUUCAAUGUAGUCCUUGCAGUCAAUAUCCACCGAAAAUUGCUGAAGUGGCAUCUAUGCAUGAUUUCAACUAGCCACAUAGGACAAUGGCGAUGAAUGGAUGUCAUGUUAGUAAUUUCUCGCAGCAAUUGAGCAGAAAGAUUACAUUAAAAUUUCACGCAAAUAUUUAUGACCACAUUGACAAAAUUAAAAUGUCUAGUACUCAAAUGCCAUGCACAAUAAAUUUAGAACUAAUUUGAUAAUUAUGCCUCCACUUCAUUUUAUACUUUUUCACAAUGGUUGGUUUCUUCUUGUUGCACACAGCUAAUAGCGAGACCUCUAGAAGUUUGGUUGAAUAUCAAGUCCUCGGUAAACUUAGUAUUGAUAAUCUCUUCAAGCAAUAGGGAUGAGUUUAAAGGUUAACGGAAAAUAAAAAAUCUCACUCGUAGUUGCCUUGAAUAUCGGAAACAAGAAUACUAUCUCAAAAACAUUUUUCUUAAUGUACCGAUGGAUAGAAUACUACCCGAAAAUGAGGAAGAUUUUCUAGAAUAUAUAUCAACCUUGAUUUGAGUUGCCAACAAACAUUUCUCCAAAUAAGUUAGAAAUAUUUAUGCUACCCAUUCUUUUUAUAAUAUUGGUAACAGCAAACUAGUCGGUACCUUAAUCGGAAUAAAUUGGUGAGUAACUCAACUUAGGAUUGGUAAUUUAACAACAGAUUUCGUUGCCUAAUAAUGUUUGUAACCAGUGCAAAUAAAAGUUUAUGCGUUAUUAACAAAUUUUUUUAUGAAGGCUUGUAGUUUUGAAACAGAUAAUAAAUACUAAUAAGUAGCUCAAAUAAGAAUGGGUAGAUUAAACUAGUUAUUAACUUAAUUAGAGAUUAGUUAAUAUGACAAUCAUAUUAGAGUUAGUAAUUCGGUACAAUAUUUGGUAAUUUUGAAAUGUGGAGUAAACAAUACGGUAAGUUGUACAUAAGUUGUAAAUCGGCAAACAAUCUAAUAAACUUGGUAAAUGAUUCACACAAAAGCCGGUAAGCUAAAACUAGUUUGUAAAACAAUGGAAAAAGAAGUUGGUAAGACACAAAUUAAAGUUGAUAAUUUCAUAUAAAAACCGAUAACUUUAAAAUUAUGGAUGGGCAUGGAGCAUGGGAAAUCUGCGCCCCGCAGUGGCCUACCUUGGAUGAGGCAAUUCUUUUGAGGAAAAAUUUUCUCAAAACAAUUGCCUCCUUGGGAAUGUUGCACGACACAAGUUGGGCAUGGGCAGUAAUAGGCUAGCCCUUCCUGUUCUUGAGGAUUGAAACUAUUAAUGCGUUUAACGAAAGAUAGAAACGGUAAGGUUUAAUGAAGAAGGAUGUAACUAAGCAGAGAGUAAUGGCUAGGGUUCAUAGAAAAACUAUCACAAACUAGGAUAGAGGAUAGCUCCAUAUCUCAAGGUAAUUUACAAUUGUUAAAGUACUUAUCUAUUUUCUAGAGGCUUUUAGAUUUCUCCAACCAUAACUACAACUACAUGGAAGUCCCUUAGGUGAAUUUUUGGUUAAUCAAGAUAUGAGGCCAUGAAUAGGUCCAUGUUUAAAGCAACAACAAGAACCAAUUUUUAUGUUUUAACAUUCUACUAUAAAUCACUAUAGAAGAAUAUUCAGUUUAGGGUUGCAGAUCUUGUCUGUGCACAGCUGGCCACUAGAGGAGCCUAUGACCCCUGCCCCACCACAAUGAAAACAAAAGCCCAAGAUUGAUAACACACCUGAACCUAAGUCAGUCCUUUGCAAACUAAUCAAGAAUUACUAUAAUAAAAAUAUACUGGAAGAUUGAACCUCUAACACUUACAGAGAUCCUUUUUUUUUUUUUUGGUUCUUUUGAAUAAUGGCAUACAAAGAUCUUUGCAAUGUUCGGUCUUGUAUACUCAAACCAAAUAGAAAAACCAUGACCUCUAGUAUCCUUUAAAGGGGUUAUAAAACUAUCAUCAUAAAAAUAUCCGUUAUUUUUGUGUAACUUGGUGGUGCGACCGUAAUUAGCCGGUUAUUUCAAGCAAAACAGCAGCAAAGCAUAUGAAUUCCCUUGGGCUGAAACCAAAACCACAAGGAUCGGUUUUUUCCUCUUGGCCGUAAGUUUUUGGAUAUCGUAUAGACUGCGAUAGACUAAAUAUAUGCUAUAAUAUCUCUAUGUUUCCUUAAUGUAACAAAAACAGAAAGAUCUGACAUCAAACUCAAUCUAAUUUUUCAGGAAAACAUUAUAGGCAUAGGGUCAAGGAAAAUUACACCAAAAGUCCUUAAAUUCAUAUACGCAAUGCAAUUGAAGUUAAAAACUUAGAUUUUUUAUUUUUCACAAAUAUAUGGUCUUACUAUUUUGUCACAUCUUAGAUCUUCAUGGAUUUCUUGGUUUUUUGGCAUUAUAGAUUAAUUAAUUUUUCUAUGCCCUAACUUUAAUUGUUAUAAAAACCUGAUAUUAAAAGUGAAAAGUCAAUUUGUGAAAGAAGCGUCGCCCUCUGAGCCAAAUUUCUAGCUGCCUCAUUGCGUCAAAUCCAACCAUAUGUUGCAUAAGGUGGACAGCAGCAAUCGAAGAACUAUUCUUUAAAGGACGAGAAAUCGAAAUUUCACAAAGAAAAUAAAGUCAAUGGAUAAACAAAUAGUACCCGUGAUCUUUUAGAUUCCUUCCUCUAAUUCUGGCAACCUCUCUUAAAGCCUUUUUCCACUUUUUUGCUAAAUCUUUCCCAUAUUCGCUCUUGUGCUUUCGAAGGGCUUUCCGAUAUAACUUAGUCUUAAGCUUGACAUCAUCCACGUCCACCUCGUAAAAUAUAGGGAGAAUCACUCUCUCAUCAUUACCUCUUGAUAGCUCUACUAUGCGUGCCAGCUCACGGAGGCACCACUUACUUGAAGCAUAGUUUUCGGAGAAUAUCGGGAUGUAAAUUCUAGAGUCAUUGAUCGCUUGCAAGAGGCCACCUUCGAUCUCUUCACCAAAUCGGAGCUCUUCGUUGUCUUUGAAAACGCGGAUCCCCGCAUGGAUCAGGUCAUUGUAGAGACAAUCAGCCAUGGUUAAGCGGGUGUCGGGCCCUCUGAAACUCAGGAACACCUCGUAACCCCUCCCCGAUCCACCAUCACGGCUACUGCCUGUCCCAGCUGCCAUCGCCGUCUCUUCUCCCUCCCUCUUUCUCUUCAUUCUAGUAGCAAGACGGAGUGACGGAUCCCCGAAUCGAGUCUGCCCAGUGACUUGGGAAGUCUUGAGUUUGAUUCUUGUAACAACUUGAUGACGCAACGGAGAGAGAUCUCUCACUUUCGCUGCGUUCGCCUGGAAGUUACCUGCGGCCGGCCUUCGCAAGUGAAAAAACCAUUCAGAUCGACAAAAUAAUUGCUUCGAAGAGAAAACACGGAAGGAGAGAGAGAGAGAGAGCUGUGCAUCAGUUUUCACCUUCAAGCAAUAAGUGUGUUGCCCACAGCCGCGAAUAGACGGAGUGAGGCUGCCUCGAGGAGAGAGAGUCGGAGACAGAGAUGGUGGCUUGGCUGAGACGGGACGCGAAACGAUCAGCGCAGGCUAUGGCCGAGGGGCUCGACGGCCAGGGGUGAUGGCACGAGAAGGGGAUACGACGUCGACGGCGACGCAGCAGCGAGGUGGCGGAGGCUUGCGGUGACCGACAGGUGGAGGCGAGAGACUGAUGGAAGAGUACUGGAUUUUUCAGAGUCCGGGUAUUUUUUCUUUUUUCUUUUUUUUAUAGAAAUUCGUCAAGAAGAGAGGGCAGUUUGGUCAUUUAGGAGGGGUAACCGCACCAUGGGGGAAAAGAGACUCCCGGAGUCGCGCGUUUGAAGUACUCCGUCAAUGACGGAGUGACGGUCAGCUAAGGACCGCACAUCUAAGAUGGAAACCGGUUGACUUUUUUGACAGGUUUCCAUCUUUUAUCCAAUUUCUUCUUUUUCUAAUUUUUACGUUUUCUAAAUCACUCUGUCAAAGAUGGAGUGACGAUCAGCUAAGCCGCGCUCAAACUAAAACUAGGUACUUUGCCCAAGCUUUACGUGGACAUAUAUUGAUAAAUGUACUUUAAUUAUGUUUGUUUUAAUUUUUAUUUUUAUUAAUGUCAUUAAUUUGGGAUUGUUAUAACACUCCGUUUGUUAUCCAUUAGGUAUAAAAUUACCAAGUAAAACCAUUUGUCAAAUCAAACAUGGAAAAUACGACCCGAAAGUUUAAAGUCCAAUUUAACUUUUAACAAAGGCAUGGUAAAAAAUUAAAAACUAAAUUUGAAUAUUACUACUUCCUAUACAAAUUGGAUUCUACUUUUCAUUUUAUAAUAUGCGGUUUCUUUUUCCAGUAUCAUAUUUUCAAAGGACGUUUUAAUUCAACCUCAAUGGCUGAGUUAAACCUUGAGACCAUCUUAGCUUCUUCCUAGUGUAAAAAUUCCUAUGUGACAUCCAAGAUUGAAAGGAAAACCCUUUAUAAUAAGUCAAUUUUGGACGGUUGAUCCUUAUGACCAAAAAGCAUCCAGCAUCGAGUCUCUAUCCCAUGCUUGCAAUCACAUUGCAUAUGUUGCCCACUAUUAAGUGCUUGUUUUAUUAAAAAACAAAAGUCACCAAAAAUUCUAAAUUAUGUUCCCUAUGAUACAUUUACCCCAAACUUUUUUUAGACACUAGGAAUCUCAAAUUUGUAUAUAUGUGACACAAUUAUCCCAAAUUUAUACAGUGAGACAAAUUUAUCCCAAACUUCUUCUUAUGAUAUAAAAAAUCCUAAAUUUGUAUCUGUAUGCCACAUUCACCCUUAAAAUUUGGUGUCACGGAAAAUUUUUUGGGGAUUUUGGUAUCACAAAAAAAGUUUAAGGUAAAUAUAUCACAUAGAUAAAAGUUUAAGAUUUUUAGGGUUACCAAAAAAGUUUGGGUAAAUGCAUCACACAGGUGAAGUUUGGGGUUUUUGUGGAUUUUUCCCUUUUAUUUAUUCUUUCUUCUCUACAUGGGCUAAAGAAUGUAGAUCUUCAUGCUUUGACAACUAGUGAUUCACCCUUGCUCUCACCAUGAUGGAAUAGGUUUCCUUUAAUUUGCUUAGCACCGACUAAUAUGGAAACUGCUGGUUCAAACCUGUCCUACACACUCUAAUCAAUGUUUCUUAAACAUAUUAUGAUUUCUGCCGGCGUUUUUCCUAAGUUGUAGAAAAUCACCAGGAUGGAGGCCAAGGAUUUAGAGCGACAAUUCUCGUUCCUUGAUUUUGGAUGCCCCCAUCAUUCCAAUGACAUUAAAUGUGAGAAGUGACGAGCUAAUGUCGCGAUUUUCUAGCAUCAACAGCCCUUUUCCCCCUAAAACACUACCGGUCGAGAUAUUUGACGAUCGACGGGCACGAUUGCGCUAUUUCCGCCCUUUGUCUCCAGAAAAUGACUGAAUAGCUACAGAAAUUUCCGGUUCUUGCCAUGAUUUUUCUCUCUAAGCGAGGCAGGUAUAGGGAUUUUUCUUUUGAUGAUCAGGUACAUAGACAAUAAUGAGAUUGUGGUUUAAGUUAAUUCGUUUUCUUUCAUGUGGGGCCUAGUUGUUCUAGUAAAUUGGAAAUGCUGAUAAGAUGAAUUUUGCUGAUAUCGAGAAAAAAAUCAACAGUCUUGUAAAGAAGGCAAAUGAAUGAUGGUCCCAUCUCCUAUCAUCCUAUCAUCCACCCUCCUUAGGUUUGUGACGUUACCAUCUCAAGUUGAAAUGCCAUGAUGCAACUUUUUCUCUCCAAUUUUUGUGACUGGGUUUGCUUUGUAAUCGGUGCAUGUCUAGAAGUAUAAUUCCUCUUUUCUUUUACAUGGAGUCUUCUAGCAUUUUGUUGAAAUCUGACAUAAAAUUUCCUUUUCAACGGCCCAAGAUAUUAGGUAUACCGUAAGAAAACCAGUAUCACGAAUUCAUUAUUAUUCCUAACUUAGAACAGUAUAUGCAGAUCAACACAUACCAAACGGAUUGACUAGACAAACGUACUUUAGUGCUUUUUCUUUGUCUUCACAAGAGGGUCAGACAAGCACUUGAUGAUGGACUUGCGUGUGUUCUAAGCAAAGAAGAAAGGCCACAGAUUUAUUUCUAAUUGAAACUAUUCAAUUCAAUCGUGGCGUGAAUCAUGGAAUGCUAAUUAAGAUGCUUUUCUUAGUGCAUUUCCAGUUAGACAUUCAUAAGAUUGUAAUAAUAUAAAAUGAAUUAUGUAGCAUGAUUCUUAAAAUGGUUAAUACAUUGAAAAACCCCCCAAACUGGUAUACCUGUGACAAAUUUACCUCAAAUUAUUUUUUCGACCACCAAAAACCCGAAACUGGUAUAGCUUUGACAAAUUUAUCCUAAAUUGGUACAUUUGUGACAAAUUUACCCAUUCGUUAAAUUUUACUAUCAAAUUAUUAAGUUAAAUGACACAUGAAAGUUGAUUGGUAUACCAAUUUGGGAUUUUACGCUCUGCUUGUUACAGUUUACAAUUUUUCUCUCUGUUAGUUUUCGAAGAUGAGGAGGUCGUUUCGGAAAUAUAUCAUAUGAUUGCAUAUUCUUUAGAUGUUGGACGUAUUGGGCAACCUGACAUCUGUUCCACUUUCCAUUACCUUGUUAUCAUGUUCCAUUUGCCUGGAAGUAGCCUGCGGCCUUCCUUCAUAAGUUAUUAAAAAAAAAACCUUAAAGAAAAACCUUUAAAAAAAAAAUUUGGACUCGCACCAAAUGGGAGGCUAAGGCUGCGCAUGGUAAAAUUUCUGUUUCUCAAUUUCUCAAUUUCUCUAUUCCCCGGAACAGGUUUGGAACAGAAAUCCGUUUGGUAAUGCAAAUUGAUUUCUCUAUUUUUGUUUCAAAUUUCUAUUUCAGAAAUUGUUUUGGGUAAGAAAUGAGAAGCUAAAAAUUUUAGCUUCUCUAUUUCCUGAAGUAGAAAUAGAAAUUGUUUCUAUCCAUCCCCUUCUUCCUUCAGCAAAUAUCGACUCUUCUCUCCUCACUAUCGUAGCUUUCCCAUUCCUUCUCCUCACCUCAAACCAGAAACCCUAACGACUCCGAAGCUGUUCAUCAUCACCGUCGCCGCUCAUCUCGCCGUCGCCGUCGCCCUCGCCGCUCAUCUCCACUGGCCAAUUUGCUCCGGUCGUCCCGUCCGACCUGCCUCGUCCGUCCACGUCCCCAGUCGCCAUCGCCCAGUAGCGGUCGUCGUCGCCCAACUCCAGUCGCCGUCGCCGUCGCCCAACUCUAGUCGCCGCGCCCAUCUCCAACCGUCGCCCAUCUUCGUCCGCGGAUCCAGUCGCCCAACUCCAGUCGCCGUCGUCGUCGCCCAACUCCAGUCGCCGCGCCCAUCUCCAGUCGUCGCCCAUCUUCGUCCGCGGAUCCAGUCGCCCAACUUUAGUCGCCGUCGCCGUCGCCCAUCUCUGUCGCCCAUCUUCGUCCGAGUCCCCUUCCGCUCUCGAUUCCGCGGAUCCAGUCGCCGUUGCCCAUUUCUGCUUUCGAUUCCUCACAAGGUUCGAUCGAUCCUUCCCUUUUCGCCUCUUUCUUGGUUGUGUUGUCUCUGUUCUUGUUCAUUUGUUCGGUUUUGGGGGUACUUGGCUUCAACCCUAGAGUUUUGGCUUGCGGAGUUACUGUGAUUACUGGGGAGUGCUUAGUUCCGGGGCUCGCCUGCGUUUGUCCACGGGCAUUUUUUGGCGAGGGGAGCUGGGCCGGUCAUUCUGGAUUGGGCGGUUUCGUGGAAUAGGAGGUAGGGAGUGCUGGAUUUGUGUGGACGGAUUGUGGUAGGUGAUCAAGACGGGAUUUUGGGAGGUUUCUUGGGAGCCGUUCGCCACUAGGAAAUAUGGAGCCCUUAUGCGUGAGGAAGGGGGGGAUUCCUGCCACCGGAAUUCCUAGGAUAGUUUCCUGAAAUAGCUGUGAUGGUUGAUUGUGGCGGAGUAGAUGGUGGUUCAUGGCUGCAUCUCGAGUUCUGUUAAUUUUUUGGCCCUUGACUUGUGUUGGAUAUCGAAGUUUUUCACAAAAGAAUCGAAACCUUGCUUAGCGUGCAUAAAGACGCAUGGAGUUGUUAGACCAGUUAAAUUCUGUUAAUUCCAUGUUCUACCUCUAUCCAUUCCUUACCUUUUGAACAUGUGAAUGGAAAGAUCGAAUUCAUAUCAAUGCUGCAUCGCUUCUUUUUACAGCUAACAGAAGAGGUGUGAUACUCUUUCUAUUUAUAUCCAAUUCAAUGUGGUCCUAUGUAGCACUCACUUUGAGGCUCCUUUUCAUACCAAGAUUAACCUUACAACUUCAAUUACUCUUUAUUUUUUGGUUGGGACCUGCACUGGUGGACUAGAUUUGGUAGUUUAUGCAGUCAAUUAAAAAUGAUGACUGAAAGGUUUAGAAAAGGGAAUUUCUAGCUCAUGAUGUUUUUGUUUGAGAAAAUUUAUUCAGAAAUAAAAGAAGUGACAAUAUCCUUAAAAAAAAUGAGGAUAAAUGGUGUACUUUUCCCCGGUUGACAUUGCUUAGUAGAAGUCUUAUAUUAUUGUAUAAAUUUCUUGCUGGUGCAAACUCUAAAGCCGGGAGUGACUUGCUUUUGGAUUCCAUGCAUUUUGUGCAAUCAAGCAUUCACUGUUGUAUCAUAAAUUUCACCAUUUAGCUUCUAUUAAUCUUAUGUAACUGUUUUUCUUGUUAUUUGUGAUUCUUUAACUUCUAAUUUCAGCUUAUCCUACAUGAUGUGCUUGUUAAUCACAAGCUUUUGUUCUUGAAUUGGUGCAUCAUCUGAUCGCUUUCAUUGAAUACUGAUUCAGUUAAGGUUAAAUGGCACCCCACAAAGAAGCAUUUAUAGCAAAGUGGACUGAGUCUUUGACCAAUGUGCUUAUAAGUUUGUUGGUGGAAGAGGUGAAAAAGGGAAAUCGCCCCACCUGCACCUACAAUAAAGUAGGGUGGAAUAACAUACAUGCCGAGUUCAAUAAACAAACAGAACUCCACUAUAAUGUAAUUCAAUUGAAAAAUAAGGUAAACAAACUAAAGAAGCAAUAUAGUAGUUUUAAGAAGCUUCUUUCACAAUCUGGAUUUGGAUGGGAUAAUGUCAACAAAACAGUUACUGUGGGGGAUUCAAGUGUAUGGGAUUCUCACAUCAAGGUAUCACUUUACUUGGGUCCAUUUUCUCUUAUUGAGGCUUCAAUUAUAUUGUUAAUGUAUGUCAUUUCAAUGAAAUUUGCAGGAUAAUACUGAAUGGGCUAAAUUCAAGAAUGAGGGGUUUCCUCAGUAUCCAGACCUUUGUAUUGUGUUUGGUGAUACAUAUGCUACUGGGGCGUAUACAGCAGGAAAUGCAGAAGAAAAUGCAGAAGAGUAUGUGGUGUCGGAUGAAGAAGACAAUGGUGUUAGUGGCGACAAUGGUGGUGGUGCUACCAUAGGUGAUGCGGAGGAAUCUAAUGAAAACUAUGUUGAUACGGGAGUCCUUGCAUCUGACGCGACUCCCACCUCAGUUCGUGAGAAACACAAGUUGAAUAGGACCCCAAAUUCCAAGAGGAGAAGAAAGAGUAACAACCAUGAACUCGGUGUCACCAUGAAAGCCAUUCAAGAAAUGAUCAAAUUAAGGACCGCCAAAUCAACAAGUGACUCCAUAACCUCAGAGGCCCCACCUCCUGUAGCCCCACCUCCUGUAGACCCCCACUCCAUAGCAGUUGUGGUCGCCGUUCUAAAUGGCAUGUCUGAUUUGGAGCAAAAUCUUUACAAUAAGGCUGUGAAUCAGGCAUGCCUUAAUGCCACUUGGAGAAAGGCUUUCAUGGUUGCUCUACCUGAAAGGAGGCAUGGACUUAUUGAAUCUCUUGAGUAGUUGUUAAGAAACAUGCUAUAGAUUUCUAUUUUGUUUAAUUUCAUUCCAUGACUUAUGUAUUUGAGACUUUGUUUGUUUAUGUUUUUAUGUUGCACUUAUGAUGACAUUAUUGCUAUCGUUGAUUAAUAUUGGAGUCCUUAUCUAAUGGGUUUAUAUUCUUAUUUUGUGUGAUGAUAUAGGUAAUAUGGAUGAGGGUGAAAGUAGCAUGUCUAAUGGUCAAGUAGCAUCAGUUGAAUCAAUUGGACAGGAUUUUGAUGAUUUUGAUCUUGAUAUACCGAUAGCAUGGUUGGCCACUGUUGCAGUGGAUCUGUCUAUGCAUAUGAAAAAACCUAUUAGGGAUAGCUUAUUAUCGGGAGCGCAAUGGAUAAGCGAGGUUCUUCAUGGGCAUUCCGAUAGAGUAUAUGAAGCUUUUAGAAUGGAGAGACAUGUCUUUCUCAACCUUUGUGGUCUAAUGAAGGAAAAAGGUUGGUUGGAAGAUACUCGAUAUAUUGGGGUAGAUGAACAAAUCGGGAUUUUCUUAUCUAUGAUUUGUCACAAGAACUCAAAUAGAAAAUUAUGUGAGAGAUUCCAGCAUUCUGGACAAACUAUAAGCAAAUACUUCACGAAAGUAUUGCAAGCAGUUCUCAAAUUGGCAAAAGAGAUUAUCAUACCACCUUCCUUUGAUGUUGUUCCACAAGAGAUUCUUAUGGAUCCUAAGCAUAAACGUUACUUCAAGGUAGAAUUCUCAUAUAUUCCUUUACACCAUUAAUUUUAUUUGGUUGAUAAUUUUGUAUAAUACUAGUCUUUGAUAAAAUGACAGGGCUGUAUAUGUGCUAUUGAUGGCACCCACAUUCAUGCUUCUAUACCUGUGUCGAAGCAAAUCCCAUUUAGAGGUAGGAAAAGCACCACCACUCAGUAUGUGCUGUGCGUUUGUUCGUUUGAUAUGAAAUUUACUUUUGUAUAUGCUGGUUGGGAAGGCUCUGCCAACGAUUGUUGAGUGCUUGCAGUAGCAUUGGAGACUCCUCACUUGGAAUUUCCUCGGCCGCCACCAGGUAUUUGUUUGUCCUUUAAGGAGUAAUUUUCUUUAUGAUCAUAUUUAUAGUUACAAAUUAUAACCAAUGUAUAAAUACAUUAUUGUAGGCAAAUACUAUGUCAUGGAUUCUAGUUAUGCAGCUACUCCGGGAUUUUUAACUCCUUUUAGAGGUGACCGAUAUCAUUUAAAUGAGUAUAGGGGUAGAGCGAGACGGCCAACAACUGCAAGAGAAUUGUUCAACUAUAGGCAUUCUUCUUUAAGGAAUGUCAUUGAAAGAUCAUUUGGGGCAUUGAAGAAUCGCUUUUUCAUUUUGAGGCACAUGCCCUCAUUUGCACUUCGAAAGCAAGCACAUAUCGUAAUUGCAUGUUGUGCCAUCCAUAGUUACAUCCGUGAUCAAGACAAGAUGGAUAUGAACUUUUCCCUAUAUGGAGAUCCGAUGUACUUGGCUAAACCUACACAGGAUGACCUUGCAAACAUUCAGUUGACCGAGGAGGGAAACCAAAUAAAUACGCUUAGGAAAACCAUUGCCAAUAAAAUGGCAAGGGAUAAUAAUAUGCCGGAAAUUCCAUGAAAUUGUAUUUUCAACUUUUGUAAUGCGUUAGUGUUAUUUCGACUAUUAUUUUGUAUUUGAGGAUUUUCUAUGUUGUUAUCUAAUCAAUUUCUAUUUCUAGCACAAUUUCCAUUUUAUCAAUUUUGAAUCUCUCGCAAAUUGCGCGUACCUCUAUGUCAACUAGUACCUACCAUAAAAUCACUUCGUGGUCUCAAAAGAAUGCAAAAAAAUGUAGUGACUUAAACCCGAAUCUUGAAUGAGGAGAAUAAAUACAUUAACUAUUUGCAUAUUAGCAUUUGAAACUACCAAAUCUUUUAUAGUUUGCAUAUUAGCAUUUUUUAUACUAAUUACUAGAUUUUAUUUACAUAAAUUGCUAAUGUUUUGAAGUUCUUAACUACUUUAUCGAAUUACCAAUAUAAAUUAAAGUGAUUUACCAACUUUUAUCAAAUUAAAUUACCAUCACAAGCACCAAGAAGAGUGAGAUAAAAGGAAGGGGACAACAUGAUUCAUAGAAAUAGAAAUUUUUUUUCUGUUAUCAAACGGAUUUUUGUUUCAGAAAUAGAAAUUUUGAGUCGUUAUCAAACGGAUUUCUUUGCUCAGAAACUUGUCCGGGGAAUAGAAAUUGAGAAAUUGAUUUCUGGCCAGAAAUCAAUUUCUGUUUCAGAAAUUUUACCAUGCGCACCCUAAAUUGAGGAAAUAAUUGACAAAAGUCUUCAAAGAGCAGGAGGUUGUCUCGGAAAUAUUUUAUUACUGCAUGUUGGUCAGAUGUUGGACAUUUUGGACUGUUGCAUUAUAUUAUUGUAUGUCAGUUAGAUGUUGGACUUAUUGGAGAACUGAAUAUAUUAUAUUAAAAUUUAGUUAGAUAUAUGUUGGACGUAUUGGACAAGUUAAUACAUGUUCCACUUGCCAUUACUCUGUUGUUAUGUUCCAUUUGCCUGGAAGUCACCUGCGGCCUUCCUUCAUAAAUUCAAAAAAUUAAUUGAGAUUCACACCAAUUGGGCAGCUAAGGGUAAUGGCGGAUAAGUAGAGUCUUCAAGUGUCUUUAGUUCAUGAACUUAUGCUCCGUGUAUGAUACUGUAAAAAAACAUAGACUUUUUCGAAUGUUGAUAUGCAAUAUGAAAUUUUAUAAUUACAUGUCUAUACAUUAUGAAUGAAAAAUUACAUUUGAACUACAUCAAUAUGCACAUUACCAUGAUCUUGCCAAGAUGAACUUUGAAAGAAUUUAAUGAAUCGUUAGGCGGAGACAUAUAACUCUCUUACAAUGUGGUGCUUACGCAAUGUACAAUUCUUCCAAAUCCCGCCAACCACAACUUGAUUUCUCUUUUAUUAAAUAGUUGAAUUUUAAUCAGAGUUGCCACUAACCUAUUAUAGGCUAGUUGUGAGCCAAGUAAGGCAUAGGAGCUCGCCCCACUUUGGUGAACUAGAGGCUUUGGAUGCAAGAACUUGGUUAAGCUAGUUUUGCCUAGCACCUAUCACUAGUAACUUUUUUCUUUUAAUAAAAAUGAUUUCUUCCAAUAUAUUUUCAUUUUUUAUUUCUUAAACAUGUAAAUCUAUAUUAUCAUACAUAGAUACUCAUACAAUAAAUUUGACCAAUCAAUGAUAAAUAUAAAGACGGAACAGAAUAAAAGCAAUUUCAGCCGUAUCAAACCAAAUUAAUACAACGCUUUGUUAUAAAUUCCUAAAACAGGACCUGUGAGCUAUUCAUAAGAAGAGACAUGCACUAGUCUAAUAAAUGAAAAUUUUUUAAUCUUUGUAAUCAGAAAUUAAUCCUAAAUGCAUUAUGAUGCAACUAACAAUAGUCAAUAUUAAUCUCAUCCUAUAUUGUACUGCGAAAAAGCCGAUACGCAUUAAAAAUGCUUCUUUUAUACUUUAUAUAUGUGUGUAUAUUAAUACGAAGGGAUUAUCUAUAUAUGAGAAAAAAAAUAAAACUAAAUUUAAAUGUUGGACUAUAAUAAGAAAGAGACGUCAUCUAAACUCUGAGUCGGAAGAUGGCAUUGGCUAGACUGAUACCUAUUCGACAUCUCCAUUUUCAUCUGUGUAUGAAAAAGACACAUUCGGCCUAUCCCCGAGCUUAAAAAGAGGACCCAAAGCAUGCCUCGACAAUCCUAGAGUGAUCACAAAGCAAAGGGACCAUGGAGGACCGACCCGGAGAGUCUCAAAUAGACCAAAAGUGGGAUGGAUGCCCACGGCCUGAACAAUGGGCAUCCGAUCCAUUCCCGAUCGUCGACACCUAAUUUUGGCUAAUGGAUUAGUCAUUCAUUAAACGGGAAAUUAGGGAUCAAAUCAGACUUUAAACAAAUAUAUCAAUGUUGCAUAAUUUGCAUUAGCAUUAUAUUUGCAUUUUUAUUACACUUCAGUACUGACAAAUAUACAGGGAACUAGAGGUGACCUCGAGAAGUGACUUGGCAUGAGAUAGAACUUCAAAAUCCAACUUGCCAUGAGAGAAGUGAGCUUAAAUGGGCAAUCAUGGUGAAGAAAUGUGCUUAAAUUGACAUUCACAUGAUUUUUGUAGCUCAAGCAUAGAAAUUAAGCUAGAACGUAAAUUUCCCACCUUUUUAGUGCUCAAACCCGAGUUCGAGAGGCAAUGUGGGCCUAGAAUCAAAUUGCUAACGGCUGCAAGGUCAAGUUUAGUCAAUGAGCCAUGGAACAUCCUCUCCAAGAUUGUUGAAAUUUUAGGGUCCAAACAGUGAGUUAAACGAUAAUCCCAAAGUUUUGAGAAAUCAGCCAUAAUUCCAAAUUGUGAGAAAUCAUCCAAAUUUAGAUCGAGCCGAUAACGUAGCAUUUUGUUUCAAUAGCUGUUAUCGCAUCAAACACUUCCCGCUUAAUCCAACUGCCAACCACCCCUCUUCAUCUCUCCUCACCCCAUCUACGUCCUCCAUUUUGAAGUCAUUUUAGUCUCGUUAUUUAACCGAUUGUAAGCUCCAUCCCGUCUAGUCCUAAUGCUAACCCAAUUAGGACCUGUAAAGGCUUCAUAAACCUCCUAUGGCCAGCCAAAAUGAAGACACAACUCAUUCAGGAUAUCUCAAAUUGCAAGCCUCUCUAGGCUCUUCUUGGCCUUGCUCAGCGGUGUCCUCUCCUCUUGGUGUCCAACCGGUGGCUCCUCCAUCCUUAGGCAUUCUUCACCGGCAUUCAAGGUUCGGUAGCCACCACUUCUAGCUGUUUUGAUCCUCUUUAUAUAGGCGUUCCCCCUCCAAUCCAACCUUUGAAGAUGCUUCUGAAGAGUUAAAGAGGCGUUGGGAGUUGGUUGUAGCAAAUGUCAACGUUUAGGCUGCCCAUAUAGUUCGCUCCUGCCGGCAAAAAAAAAGGUUUCUUGAAAUGAAGUUUGUUAUACUAUUCCAUCAAAUAUAUAGUCUAACACACUGACCAAAAGUGCCAAAGAUGUCCUCACUUGUUUUUUGUCCUUCGGCCAUGGAUUCCCGACUUGUUAACAACAAUUUUCUUCCAAUUCAACGGUCAACCUAGGAUGGAUUAUUGAACAAUCCCUUCUAGGAAUUGAUAUUUGCACCAUCAAUUGCUCGUCAUCACUUGUUUGUUAAUAUUCUGUUGAUGAUAUCGAUUGUAUUCUUUGUGGAACAACUUGCAAUUCAUUAUCCAAUGGUCUUCCUGAGCAUACCAGUAUCCAAGGGCUUAAUCACCUUAUCUUGGUCCCUCCAAGUCCUCAUGAACCGCUCAUCAUAUCUAACUUGUUCUCCUUUUGUCAAGGCCUACAUCUUUGUGCAUGUCCAUCACUAAGCUUUACAGACACCAUUGAUAUAAUCAAUUCGUCCUAAAAUUAUCAUCAAUUUAUCAUGACAAACAUCUACAAUCAUGUAGUAGAUAUUAAACCAAUGAUAGUUUUGAAAUCAUCAAACUAUCAUUGGAAGUUUUCCCAACACUUAUCAUUGUACACUAUCGNNNNNNNNNNNNNNNNNNNNNNNNNNNNNNNNNNNNNNNNNNNNNNNNNNNNNNNNNNNNNNNNNNNNNNNNNNNNNNNNNNNNNNNNNNNNNNNNNNNNGUCCACCAAAGAAUGGAUGAUCUUCACACUCGUUGAAAGACAUCGAUGUAGUUUGUUGAUCUUGAGGUUGAGUUAGGGGUUUGCGCGACAUGAAUUUGAAUCAUCCGGUUUUUCUAUCAUGCCGUCAGUGUCCUGCAUUUGUUGCUGUUUCUUGGGUGACCCAGGCACAUAGGGAGUGUGUAGCAUCUCGGGAUUAGUGUAGGAAUUGAAGUGCCACCUCAAGCUCGAAGAUUCUUAAUUGCCAUUUGAGAAGCGGUUGGGAUCCAUUACGAGAUUGAAUGAAGUAAAUCAUAUAUAGAAAGUGCAAAUUUGCAAGAAAUUACAGAUUUGUAAAAGAAUGAGAAUUUGGGAGAGAGUGAUGAAUGGUGAAAAUGAGAGAAUGGGGCUCUAGUUUAUAGAGAAUUUGUGAAUUUUUUUUUUCCAGUGGAGGCCCACUGUUGGGCUGAAAGCAGUCACUAAUUAAAUUUGUCAAAUGGGUGGAUCGGGUCAUGUCAGGUCAGGUCAGAUUUGGGUCAAGCCGAGUCAAAAAUGGUCCUAUGUAAAUUGAUCAAUUUAACCCUUUUAGCUCAUUUUCAUACAACACAAAUAUAGUGAUCUAUACCCAACCCAUAAUGUUAAAAUACUUAUAUAUUUAACUCAAAUUAGGAAAAUUAAUACCCAAACUAAAGUGAAAGCAUAGAAUAAAUGAACGUGAAAGAGAGUGAAGAGAGAGUUGUAGAAGUAAGUUUAGUCUAAGUAAAUUGCGAACUCAUUUAACACCCACAUUAAACCCAUUUAUGAUCCAUAGAGUUAGGUCUAAACCCAUUUACUGAACAUAAAUAUAACUAACACAUAUAAUAACUUUGUCCAUCAAGAAUGGGUUGAGAAAUUAGUUGAAGACCUAUUUAGAUAGAUCUAUCACUGACCAAUGAACCCUUUUGAGAAAUGGAUUGGCCACGUGUGGCCCAAAAGCCCACUGAGCCCAACCAAAUGCCAACUUCAUUCAAAAGAACUAGGCCUAGGCCACUCCACUAGGUCCAAUGCAUGGCACGAGCCCAGGGUGAGCUGAUAUAUUGAGAUACUGAUGACAUAAUCACCGGAGCAUGCAACUAUUGAUGCAUGUUAGACAAAUUGAAUGUACAGGUCAAAAUUAAAAAACAGACAUCGAGGAAGAAUAGGCAACCUUGCCUUUUUAAAUAGUCAUGGGAUGGUAUAUCUCGAGAUACUUGUACAUAAUUAUCUUAAAUUCGAGUAGUUACAAUUAAAAUCCCUAACACUAGGUGAGGUAGCUAGCAUCUUUUUUGCAUUGAAUCUGCGUGCAUCUAAGUUAUGCUAAAAGUAUGUUCAGUUCCUGAAAUUGUCAAAAUUCAAACUUGCUAUGCUUUAGACGUUUAUAGAACAUCCAUUUGAUCUCAUCCGUAGUCUUGUUUAAGGUGCUUUCAUAUAUUUUUUAAACGGUUGAAUUUUCUGUUUAACUUAAUCUUUCCGUUUCUUAUGACUCUCUUGGAUAUGUGUGAAUAUGGAAUUAAGUAAAUCCAAAGAACAAAAACAUCAUAAGAGGUCAGCCAUGCUUGCGACAAGCCGAGGGGAAACAAAUAUAACAAUUCAACUAAAAUUUGCAAAAUAAUGUAUUGAUGAUAUAGUUCAUAAAUUGUUAUUGUUUCUGUAGUUGCUUUCUGCAAAUUGCUUUUUAUUUCGUGUUAGCUCAAUCAGAAAAGAAAUGCUCCAAAAAACAAAAAUCUUCUACCAAUCCUUUUAUUUACUUGUAUAAUAAUUGUUCAAAAAAAUUAAAUUAACAUAUUCUUUAUGUAAAUAUAGUAAAAUAGUUCAAAAUACAAUACGGAAUAUGUCCUAUUUAAAUUUAGUUGUAUUUUACUUUUUAGUGUUGAAGAUAUAACUUGCAAUAAAUUAAUCAAGUUAGAAUUAAAACACACGAAUGUCCCUUAAAUAGAAUUUUACUUUUGCUCGCGUUCUCGUCAUUAAAUGUCAAUUUUUUGAACCAAUACAUAUUUCAUGCAUAAAAUCUAAUAUAUCUCAUUCAUAAACUACUAGAGCUGUUAACGGUUUGAAUUUUUCCUUUUUGCAGAAAUGACCAAGGAGAUUAAAAUUAUUGUCAAAAAAAUUUCUCCAGAUAAUUAUCAAAAAAUUCAACAUGCCACAGCUUUUGUAGUCAGUAUUAACAUUAAUUUGUUGUGCAAUUUGAAGUUUGCAAACAUAUAUACAAAACAGAUGAUCUAUCUUUGGCCAUAUGUAUUGUGGGUUAGAAUCUAUGGAUUUGUGAUUUCAAGUGUAUAAUUAUUUAAUUUAUACACUAUAGUACUUUGGUUCAAUAAGGAUUUAAUUAGUAUUUAAAAAGGGGUUGAAAUUUGAUUUAAUUAGGCUUGGGCCUUAGGCCCAAGAGUGUAGACCUUUGAUGGGCCAAAAGGCCGGCCCAUGAAGCCCAUGGAGAGGGCUGCCGUCGACCAAGGAGAGGGGGAGUGGCCGGCCCACUUCCAAGUCCAUUAUGCAUGGGUCUUGCCAAGUGGCAAAAAGGGGACUCCAUCCAUUGGCCAUUGUGGGAGGCAUCUCAUGAUGACUAAUGAUUGUGAUUAAGGGGGAAUAAAAGGGAGAGAGUGGCCGGUUUAGGGGGCUGUCGCCCAAGCCAAGUGAGAGAGAGAGAGGGGGUUGCGAGAGAGUGAGGAACCGAGAGAGAAAGGGAGAAGCCACGCAAAGGGGAGGUCCGCUCGUCCGUUGCCCAUCCAUCCGCUCGUCCGUCGCCGUCCGUGUGCUGUUGUUUACUCGAUUUGAAGGCAAGUUGGGAUCCAUAUUCUGCUCUUGCAUGUUGUCUCUUGCAUGUGUGUUUGAGUGGUGGUAAAUCUUGGAUGUUUAGGGUAUGAGAAACCGAAGCUAGGGUGUGUUGUUUUUGAGAUAGCAUGCUGUUUUCGAGUGUGCCGCCUGACCCUAAACGUUGUAAAGGCUUGCAUACGUGGUUUGAGUCAGAUUUUGGAUUCGAAUUCUUCACUAAAAUUUGUAGACAACAUCUCAAAGUAUAACAUACUAAAAUUUGAGACAAAAUGGCUGCGUUUUAAGGGGUGAAACCCUUCCUCUACGAAAACGCUAGAUCUGAAACUGUUUUGUUGACCUCUUGGUGGUUUUGUGUGUUGCAUGUCACUUUUUACCGCGAAUCUCACUUCGACUUCUCAUGAAAGUUGUAGAGAAAAUCCUGAAGAUUAACAUAAUCAAAUUUUAGGUAAAACGAGCAAGUGUAGCCUAGUGAAACGAUUUUCUUUUGAAGACGGCAGAUCUGGAAGUAUGGUAGUGGACUCCCGAGACUUCGUGGACUAUAUGGUGACUAUCCUUUGAGAAUCUCACUAAGAUCCCUUAAUGAAAAUUGUAGGGGACCUCUUGAGGCAAAAAAAUAUCAAAAUUUCAGAGGAAAUGAAGAAAGAUAAGUAGGCGAAACCUCGAUUUUUCAGAAACAGCUAAACUGGAUUGUUCGGUAUUAGGAACAGGAGCUUCGACCGUCUAUAGUUAAUUAUCUAGAGCGAAUCUGGCCUAGAUGUCUGUAUGAAAAAUAUACCUUAGGGUCUUGACUAUAACUUGGUAAAAUUCCAUAAUUUUUUGACGUCAUUCGGGUAUUUUAAUCGAAAUAUUUCAAGAACUGCACAAUCUGAUUUUAUCCGAAUUUUGCAUGAUGUAUUGUGUGAGCUAUAUCUUCUUGUGUGAAGCUCUUUUGGGUAUGUGUCCUUCAUGAAAUUGCUACCUUUAUGCCUUGUCUAUUACAUGCUCUGAUUGUAUGAUUUUUUAAGAUCAUAUGGAUAUUUAAUUUAUAUGUUUUCCGAAAUUGUGUAAGCUGGAAUUUGGUAAAUUUCAAAAAAAAAGACAUGAUAUGUGGAUUAUUCUAAGUUGUAUGGACCCCAUGGAUUGUAUUGUCAUAAGUGGUUGUAUCUUGCUGCAUGUAUGAUGAUGAUUGAAAAUGCAUAUAAGAAUCAAAAGAUGAAAAUGAUCUUGUUUGCCAUCACAUCAUAUGCCAUGUUGAGAUUGAGCUAUAAUUGAAAAUGUGAACUAAGAUAAGUGAGAAGGUCGUUGGGGGUAUAAGCUGACAAUGCCUCGGGAGUGUUGGGAUGCUUGGCUAAGGAGUGUAAAUGCCGGAUACUCAGUGGCCUUAAAUGGCUGAAUGCCAGAGGGUUCUCGGGAGUUUCGAGAUGCCCGAAGCGUGGGGAGACAGAAGCCUGGAGGUUUGUGCUGGGGGAUACCUCGUGAUGCCACUUGGGGUACGAAAUGCCCGACAGGUGUGUGCCGGAUGCUCGGAGGUUUGUGCCGAAGGUUCCUCGAGAUGCCAGGUGGGGUGCAAGCGAUAAAUGUGGGAUGCAAAUACUGAUCCCGAGAAAAAGAGAAAUGUGGCAGUUCAAAAUGAAAAGAUAAAAUUUGGAAAUUGAAAUUGAAUCAUGCAUGGUGUGACAUCCCAAAUUUUCAACCCUGUCUUCUACUGAAUAAAUCGGGCAUUUCAUUGACGCAUCUAUAGGGUUAUUCUCAGAGCCGAUCACUCUCGAGAUAACUAGACUAUAUGGAGAAAUUAUUAGGAAUUUUAAAGCAAUUAGACUUGAGAACUCGAUCAUGAAUCGGCUUCUCAAUCGUGUCCAUCUUUAGAGGCCAUUACGACACAGUUAAAAAUCGAUUUGAGAUCAGAGAUAGGUCUGUUCAACUGAGAUGUGUAGCCGAUCGUGGGUGACUCUACUAAAUUGGAAAAUUCUCGUCGAUUGGCUCUAGACUGAUUUUCUUAUUGUUUUGGUACCCUGUGUCCUUAUUUGGAUCCUCGAGAUUUUCACGACAAACAAGAGUCGCCAAUGAGUCGAGUGGAUUCAUAGUGGUUCGAAGAAAAUCGACCACGAGUCAAUUGCCUUGAAAAGUUCUGAAAACUACCUGGUAGUCUAGGUUACGCUAAAAACGCGCCGAAUGAAAAUUAACCGCUAAUUCAAGUCCGAUUUCAGAAAUUGAAUAUUCUGUCGUGUCACAAUAAAUUUUAGGAACGUCAACUCAGUCUCAGAAGAUUUUUAGGAGAUUCAGGAUUUUUUACGGAAAACCGUUUCGGACGUCGUGGAAAUUUGGCAGAAGUUCAGAUUGGCUAAAUUGAUAGAAAAUUGGACUUCCAGACUGAGCCGUUGUGUGUCAGGGAUUUAUAGAAAAUCAUUUGGGAUUUUUCUACACCAAAAUUUGACGUCGAAUUUGGGAAAUUGAGUAAUGAAGUUAAAGAUCAAAAUGUGAAAUUCGGAUUGGAAAGUGGCAACAAUUUUAGGCUUCAAAUUUGAUUGGUUUAUAAAGAUUUUUACAAGAAAGUAUUAGAGGCCAACCAAGAUAAGGAUAAAGAAAAAGGAGGGAGACAAGCAAUUAAGGGAAUGGCUUAGGUUUGUUGAUUUUGGGUCCCUCCCGUCGCUGUCUUCAUCAUCACCGCUUCUGCCUUCUCCUCCGUUCCUAUCCAUAUUCGUGAACUCUCUCUCUCUCUCAUCGAGGAAGCCUACGAAUUCCACCAAAGUGUUUCUCCAUUUUCGUUCAUCCCUCUGCCACACGAACAGUCCAUUUCAACAAAAAGAAUUGACUGGCUUCGACGCCAAGAUCCCACCGAAGCCCUCAACUCCACGCGUCCAUCUUCCACUUCGCUGUACCAGUCGGCAAUCGAGUUGAAGAUGCCGAGGCAGCAACCGAAGCUGCCCCAUCUCACACACCACCGAAGCAAGGAAAUCUGCAGAAGCAAGAACGGCCGCACGUCUCCACCAUCGAAGACCUUCGCUUCAGCCAGCGCCUCCACGCGUCCUCAACCAGAGCUCCUUCGGUCAACCGCAGCAAGCCCACCGAAAAUCAGUGGUUGACUGAGCAGCUUUGUUCAGCUGCCACUUGGCUGUGAGGCCUUCGGUCGGUGCCUCCCUCACACGCCCACCGAGCUGAGCUCCUAUCUGCUGGGCCGAAGUUGUCUCAACUGAAGUCACCAAUUCCCCAGCAGCAACUCCACGUCGACGCUGCAGCCCCACUUCGGCUUGUCUUCAACAGAGUCAACGGAACUAGCAGCUUCUUCUCUUCUGUUGACUGAAGCUGCCAGCAGAUGCCCCUUCUCCACUGAGGUUGGUCGGCCACAGAAGCCAGCAAGCUGUCCGAGAAUUUUCUCCAUCGUCAACCGAAGCCGUAGCACCUUCCAGUGAAGACCGAAGCAGCCCACUUCGCAGCCCAAAUGAUCAGUAUUUUGGUCCAUCAAGCAGCCUGCAGUUUGACAUCUUGAGGCCCAGCAAUUUCCUUGUGAACUCAGCCCAUCAUCAAUUAGAAUUGAAGCCCAGCAAAAUUUGGCCCAAGCUUCAGCCCAAGUUGUUUGAAAGGCAGGCCCAAUUCAGCUUUGCUUCAAGCCCAAGUUCAGGCUCAGUCCAAGGAUUCCAGCAGGCCUAAGCCCAGAAAUUUCUGCAGGCUUGUGAGGCUUUUGAGCUCGGCCCGAGUGUCCGCCGACGCCGCCGAAAGUUUGGAAUUCGGCCACCGUCGCGGUGUCCCGGUCCCCGUUUUUAAUCAAGUGAGUUUUACUCACUAAAGCUUGCUAAUUAUGCUUAGGGUUGGUUAGAUUUAAUUAAGUGCAAUUAGGUGGUUAGAUUAGGUUAGAACAAUUAAUUUAGUGACUUAAUGAUGCACGUUAGGUGGUUAGACCUAGCUAUUAGCAAGUAGAAAUGUUUGGUUAUUUAUUGAAUGUAUCUCGGGAUUUUUCCCGACCCGUUUCGGGCUCCAAUAAGGCAAUAUGGGCCUAAAUUGGAUUUUUAUUAUUUAUUUAUUUAAUUUUCUAAAUUAAUUAUUUAAUUAAUUAUUUUUUUCCGGAAAUUCAAUCGGGAUGGCCGAUGACCAGAAUUUCGUGCUGAUUGUCGUGGUGUAGCCCAUUUAUUUAUUUGAGCUCUACGUUGUGUGGAAUUGAAUUAAUUGUGAAAUUUGAGAAUUUAUCCUUAAUUGUUUGUUAUUGAAUAUUUGAUUGGUAAUGGCCAAGCAUGGGUAUAUAGCGCUAGUACGUUGAUGGGCUAUAUAGUAGGGAGAAUGGUGAGAGCUAACUGAGAACAUUAUUGGUUGAGACCAAUCAGGUAUGAUAUUAUUGGACAUACGUGGUUCGGUGAUUGGAAGUAUCACUGGCGAAAACGGCGCCUUAAAGAACGCACGUAAAUGACUUAUAGACAAACGUGGUUUGGUGAUUAUGGAAAUAUCACUGGUGAAAACGACGCCUUAAAGAACUCACGAUGUUGUCUAUUGUCGAUGUCACCUUGGCGAAAACGGCGCCCUAGAAAGGACACGUGGUUGGGUGAUCGAGGAUAUCACUGGUGAAAACAGCGCCUUAAAGAAGGCACGGUGUCAGUGAUCGGUAUGUCAUUGGCGAAAACGACGCCCGAGAAACACAUGUGAUUUGAUGAAUAAGUGCACCACUGGGAAAUCGUGGUAUGAGUGGAAAUGACCUAGAGAGGGUCUGAUUGACAUGUAAUCGACUUAGUCGAUUGACUAUCUAUGUUUGAAUAUCUAUGUUUAAAUAUCUAUGCUUAACCUUGAAUUGCAGGUUGGAACUGAGGCCAAGGUAAGUCCUCUGACUCAAGUUGUGCUUAGGCAAUCGUAUGGCGUAUUAGUUUAUUAAUCGAGUCUUAGGGGGUAGGACUCGCUGAGACGUGGUCUCAUUGGUUAUUGAAUAACCAUUUCAGGACCCUGAGGUGAAGCUAAGGAAGAGAAACCUGAAGGGGAGAAAGACUUUUGAAGAAGAAGAAGAUCCAGAGAGGGAUCUCGAAUAUAACCCGGAUGUGGACUGAGAUCCCAUCCCUUUUGUAAACCCUGUCUUAGCAUACAUAGGUGUGAGACUUUUAUGCUGUAAAUAGUAUUGUAAAAAUACUAUAAGUUGUGCUGUUAAUCAAAGUGUGGUUGUGAAUUUCAAUAUGAAAAAUAUGGCCUACUUUCCUAUCCCAUUGUUUUAUUGUCUGAGGAUUUAUAACUGCUUCUGCAUGUGCUUAAUAAAAAGAAAGGGUCGGCGAUACAUAGUCCUGGGAUAUCGCAUUCUAAAAUCGACCAAGUAGAAGAAUGUGCGCGCGUCCGAGGAUUGGGGCGUGACACAUGGUAUGGCAAUAUGUAUGCAUGGAUGCAUGAUGAUGGUAAGUGCAUGGAUGUAUGUGCACCCAUGGCAUGAUGGUAUGUGAGACAUGAUGAUGGUAAGUGCAUGGAUGUAUGUGCACCCAUGACAUGAUGGCAUGUGUGACAUGAUGAUGGUAAGUGCAUGGAUGUAUAUGCACCCAUGACAUGAUGGCAUGUGUGACAUGAUGAUGGUAAGUGCAUGGAUGUAUGUGCACCCAUGGCAUGAUGGCAUGUGUGACAUGAUGAUGGUAAGUGCAUGGAUGUAUGUGUACCUAUGGCAUGAUGGUACAUGUAUGAUAUGAUGGUGAUGAUUACAUGAGGAUGUGUGUACAUGUUGUAUGAUAACAUAUGCAUGGCUCCAAGGUAAAUUAUGCAUGGAUGCUUGAAUGACAUGUCUUAUGCUAUGAUUGUUAUGAUUGUACUGUGUGAUGCAUUGAGUGAUUUAUUGGGUCCUUUAUCUGCUGAGUGGCUGUAUUCACCCCUUCGGGGAUCAACAUUUCAGAUUAAAAAGAUGCCGCCCCCUACUGUCACAUGAGGCUUCUUUUACGGCCUUCAUUCGGAUGUGGAGGUCGAGUGUGUGGAGAUCGACUAUCCCACCAUCCAUGGUCUGACGUUCAUUCGAGUUCGCACAUUAGUGAUGUAUGACGUGGGCCUGGGUAAGGGCCCUGUCAUUCAGGAGUUUAUAUCUGUUCACGUUCGUCGAGACGGAGUGAUGCGGGGGAUGUUGCCGCUGCCACCGCCUGACGCACCGGCAUGGGUGUGACUGCACACACGCGAGAAGUAGGAGUUGCAACUUUUUGGAUAAUAGCCGACACUAGUAGAUGGAGGAUUUUGCAUGAUUGACAUAGAGAAUCGAGUUGUCUCUUUUUGAGGUUGUGGUCAAGUGUGGUCAAAAGUCUUGGCCCUUCUUUUGUUAUACCGACCCAAGAAAAUCCAUCAUGAAAAUAUGUAAAUAAAAGUUGCUCGACUUUAUCUUUUCCUAUGGCGCUUAGUGAUGUGCAUUGUCUCAUGAUAGAUGGAGGGAGAGAUGAUGAUAUUUCAAUUAUGCUUCCGCUAAUAAGUUGCGCUGGGACCGAUAUAUAUAUAUAUAUAAAGAAAAAAAAAUGCCUAUGAGCUGUAAUGCUUCUAUUAAGAGAUGUGACUAGCGUUCAUUAGGUAUAGUAACAGGCACCUGUGGCGACCUAGGUGUUUCGGGGUGCCACAUAUAUCGUCCAACUUCCAAGUCGAAUGUGCUAUUAGGACUACAUCGAAUCAACUCAGCCUUAUAAGAUUGCAGCAACUCGUAUUGCUCGACAAAUGGACCUCUAAUGAUCUCAACAGCUCUAGUAAUCGCUCUAUAACAAAUCCUCCUAUUUAGUGUCAAUGCCCACCUCUCCAUUGCAUCCGCCUGCAUUUGUGAUGUUGUAUACUUCAAGUUAGCUCUAAUUUUAGGCAAAAACUGCUUCGCAAGCCAUAUAUACGAUGCAUUCUUUAAAGGUCUUCUCACUCUACAUCCAACUAGCAUAAACUCUUCAUUCACAGCCACUCUCACACCUACCAUCCAUUUUUUUUUUCGCUUCACUCUUCUUCCAUCCAAUGUUAAAUCUGUUUAUGAUUGCGUAAAGUUGCACAGCUUUCUUUAAUUGAGCACGUGAGACAAAUAUCAUUCCUACUUUAAAUUGCAUGUCUUUAUGAUCAGAUUUGGGGUCAUAUCUAAUGGUUUUUGAUCUUCUUUGGUCACAGACUUCUUCAUCUCCAUCAGAGUUGGGAGGGCUCAAAUUCUCAUCUCCUUCUUCUAGAUCAGUGUCUCCAUCAUUUUCACCCCCAUCCUCAUUUUCAGGAAUGUUAACAGCAACUGUAUUAGUAAUAGCAGCAGCAUCGGCCUCUCUUCUUAUUUGCCUAGCAAGAAAGAAAUCCUCGUUACCACCACCGAGAAUGUAAUCAGCAUCACUUAAAGAUAAUGUAUCAGGAUCUUGCUCUAGUUCACUAUCUCUAUAGCUAUCACUCUCACUAUUAUGACCACUAGUAGAAGAACCACUAUCAUCACCAAGAGCAGCUCCUUCAAUAUAUACUUCAAUAACACCAAAACUUGAUCCUAGACCCACCAAUUCUAACACUUGAUCAUCACCAACAAUCUGCACAAGACCACUUCUCAAGGAAUCCCCAGGAGUUGCGUACCACAACUUUUUAACUGAGUAUCCUAGAUCAAGAACAACCUUAACAAUUGCAUUAUAGUUCACCACCAUUGACUUACAACGAUGGAGAUAUUCUACAUGGUAGCCUAUGUACUUUGUGAUGUCUCCAAACUCCAUAACUCCACCUAGGUGAAGUCCAAUUGUAAAUCGUUAAACAUCUGCAAGGGAACAACAAACAAACCAAUUAGUUUAUAAAAACCUCUCACAAAUAACUAGCAAAGAUGGGAUGAUCAAGUUUGACAUGAAAUGACAAAAUCGAGUUCGCCAAACAAGAUGCUUGGAAGCCUUGAUAGGAAAUAUGAGGCACCUACGUCUAGAAAGAGACCCAGAGUUAUUUCAGUCAUAGCAAAAACUUGCAACAAGGUUAACCAAAUGCUGAUAAAACUCUGGAAAUCUUGAUAUUAAACUAACAAGAAACUGGACAAUCACACCUGCCAACUACUUGCUUACAUUAGGCACUCAGAUUGACACAUAUCUACAGUACUAGUUAGAUACUCUAGGUUAUGUAACAAAUUGCAUAAUAAGUGGCAAAAGAUACUGAGAAGGUAAUCAUUUUAUGUUUCACAAGCAAACAUCAGCUUUACGAAUUGCCAAUCGACAUCUAUCCCACCUUAUUUAUUAAGCAAACAAGAAUUUCAAUCUCGUUAAAUGGGGUUAACUGAGCUCAAGUCACUAUUCCAAAUAAUAUAUGGGUACACAUAAGUGUGUGUCCUUGUAUAAUUUCAAUGACCAAAGAGUUCACAAAAGGAAAAAAGCUUGUCAUUGUACCGUGACUAUCAUAUCAGCUUCUUUAAUAUCAAUUAAUUGAUUGUAAUGAUCCUGAGGGAUAACCUGGUUCAUGUACAAGGCAAAGCUUGGCCGUGCGAGUCGCCCUGGACUAGGAGGACCAGAGAAAAGAUGCCUUAUAUUCUAUUCAAAGUAAUGAUUGAGAUACAUAAUAUAACUUGUUUCUGCUGCAAAAUCGAACCUUGAAACCUUAAUCAAAAUUAUCCAUGUAGAUAUGUAUAUUAUCCACGUACUAAAGUCGGCGUAAUAUUAUAAUAUUCAAAUGUACGUGCUCUUUUAGGACUAAGCAUAUUUAUGAAAUCUCAGGAGACAUGUUGAAUCACACUCAAAGUACACCUGAAAUCAGUAACAAACAUAAAUGAUUUUGGUUCCGGCAUUUCAACGAGCAUGUGAUGUAUGAGUCAAUCGUACCAUUCACAUGCAAGUUUCAUGUCAAAAUUUUGACACACUUACGAUUCAAGGUAUGAAAGACUAUGUAAUACUAAUAAGGACAUGAACUAACACGAAGGACCAACAAAGCAAGAGUAAUAAGUAAUCAUACAAACAGAUUGCGGACAAGCAGUAAACCAUGUGGGGUUGAGACAUAUAAUCAUAAAGCCAAGUUUGUCACAAACCAAAAACGAGCGAAGCAACCACGAUUAGAAGAAUAUGACUCGAAGAUCCAACAAAAAUGAAAGAGAGGAGGUCCUCAGAAACAUAGAGCUCUAACGCGACGUGGAAUAGAGAGCUCUUGUUUUCCUACCUUGAUAACAUGAAACCACUCAAGUGCAAAUCCGCCACAUUGGUCCUCAAAUGACAGAAUACCACAAUUCCACUCACCAAUCACAGGAUAAACCAAAGGCGCUCCUACUUAAAAACUCAAACUUUCCACGCCCGGGAGCAAUUCACUCACUUUGAGUCUCCUCGGCCUGCGCUGACAUCGCGACCCCGAUGAGUGACCGGAUGAACUCGUCGAACUUCGACCGGAGCCACGCCCUAUAAAUCACCUCGGGAAAGAAGAGCGUUUGUCAUGAAUUGAACUUAAUUUGUUGUUAGGGUUUUUUUUUUUUUGUGUGUGUUAUAACGAAGGGAGAAGAGAGAACGUGAGGUACAUAAGAAGGCGUGAGAAAUGAGAAUUUAUUAGGGCUUUUUAAGAUAUCUUUUUGUUUUUCCCUUCACUGUUACAAAGUUAUUAUUAUUUUAUUUUGAAAAAAAAUUAAGUUAUUUCCACAUGGCUUGCCACGUGAGCAACCACGUCAUCAAAGUUAAUGGCAAAAUCUAACCAAACUAACGGAGGGUAGAUCUGUCAUAAGUGUACCAGUUUGAGGUAUUUGAUGGUAAAAAAAAAAUAGUUUGUGGUAAAUUUGUCACAAUGUACCGGUUUGGGGUUUUUUUUUAAGGUAUUAACCAUUAUUUAAAUAUAGCAAAAUAGUUCAAAAUACAAUAUGGAAUGUGUCCUAUUUAAAUUUAGUUGUAUUUUAUUUUUGAGUGUUGAAGAUAUAACUUGCAAUAAAUUUAUCAAGUUAGCAUUGAAACACACGAAUGCCCCUUAAAUCGUAUUUUACUUUUGCUCGUGUUCUCGUCAUUAAAUGUAAAAAUUUUGAACCAAUACAUAUUUCAUGCAUAAAAUCUAAUAUAUCUCAAUCAUAAACUACUAGAGCAGUUAAUGGUUUGAAUUUUUCAUUUUUGCAUAAAUGACCAAGGAGAUUAAAAAUGAUGUCAAAAAAUUUCUCCAGAUAAUUAUAAAAAAUUUCAACAUGCCACAGCUUUUGUAGUCAGUAUUAACAUUAAUCUGUUGCGCAAUUUAAAGUUUACAGAUAUAUAUACAAAACAGAAACAUCGUAGUGGGAUAUUUUCGGAAUCAAUUUCAGAUUAUUUUGAAAUUUUAAUAGACACGUGUACUCUCUUUUUUUUUUUUUGUCAGAAUAUACACAUGUACUUAAUUUAUGACUUUAUCUGCAACAUCAAUUUAAGGUGCAAUUCCCACUAUUUAUCUUCACAUAUUCAUUGCUUUUUUGGCAGUUUCUCACAGUGGGGCAAAGAAAAAAAAAACCGACGCUUCCAUCUCGAUGAAUCAAAUUAUAUCUUAUGCAAAGCUUCCAUUUGAAGCCCAAAAGUUCAGCAAUCGCAUUAGUUUCCAACAUUGAUUAUUGCUAUGCGCAUGCUUUUCUUCUUCUUUUUUAUCGGAAAAUAGUCCAUUUUCCUUUAGGGAGAAGCCUGACGACAAGGCAAAAGGGCUUCUGAACAUAAUAAUAACCCCAUACUCAUACUAAAAUGCUGACGGAUUGACCAGGAACAGGCAGGAACAAAUCAACGUUGAAGACAUCUAGACAAAACAUCAAACAGGUCGCGAAGGACUCUCGGCGAGACCCAUUUUUUAACUUCAACCAAUCGAGAUCAAUAAAAUCCCGAGGAUUCUCCCUUCGACUGAAACGAAACUCACGAGCCCGCUUCAGACAGCUUCACUCUCCUAUAUCUCGGUUCGAAGGUGGAUGGACACAGAUCCCGAACGAUGGAGCAGAGCGAUGAGGAGAUUCUGAACACGUAAUCGACUCUAAAGGUCGAUCGGAAUAGAAACGACCCGGCAGGGGUAGUGCCGAUUCCUAUCCUCCUUGGUUCCCUUCGGCCGAGCUCUUCGAUGGCCAAAUCCUUUUUCAAGCGAGCGUCCAGCCAUCCUCUCCUUCUCGCUUUCGGCUGACUCUCUUUCUCCCCCGUGAAUCUCUCUUCAGCCUAUCUCUCUGCAACUUGCCUCUUCAACGGCCGCCCUCUCCGAAAGCCGGCGGCGUCUCUCCUCCUCCUGUUAUGCGAACAGGAUCCUCUUGAGGUGAGCAUCCUUUCCGGCGAAGAUGCUCCUCGGCGAGCAGCUCCUAUCUCAUCUUUUCCUCUCGGAUCAGCACGCUCCCCUCGCCUCACCGAUCGAAUCUUUCUGUUAUUUCUCUCGCACGCCAGCUAGCACGGCUCUAGAAGGUGCUGGCUCAGCUCUCGUCACGGUUUGUCGAGCCUCCUUCGCUCACAGACGCACGCGCGCUUGGCCUGUCUUUCUUCCUUGCGUCACGGACGCUGUGCUCGCCGGGGGAGUUGAGGGGGAAGCGCGUGCGAGGGAAGAGGGAGGCUGAGGCUGGGGCUGGGCUUUCUUUUUGUUUGGUUCUAUGAUGGGCCAAGGAAAGACAAAAGGACAUGGGCUAAAAAGGAAAUGAAGAGAUGGGCCAAAGGAAUUAAAAGAAAUGGGUUGGACUAAUGGAGGGAGGGGAGGGGGCUUAGAAGGCUGUAAACUUUGCUAAGGGGCCGGCCCACACGACUUCAUUUAGCUUUUUUUAAUAUCUUUUUUAUUUUUUUGUUAUUAUUAUUUAUUAUAAAUUUUCAGAUUUUUGUAAUAUAAAUGGAUACCUAAAACGUUGAUAAAAAUUUGAAUAUCAAUAGCAACGACCAGAGCAGAUAAUAUCAUGUUUACCCUCCAAUGAGGCUACCUAUAGUGGUGUAUUAGGCCAAGGUGGCGAUGUUAGGUUUCUGAUAUUUAAUUGUUCCCACUUACCUCCAUAUGGGCUAUUGUGCUUGUAGGUAAAUCUUGCAUGACUUUAAGAGUGGGAAUGUUGGCUUUUAUGUAUGUCUCUAAUCCCAUAUUGCCUAAAUACGACCUGUAGCACUUAAAGUAAGCGUGGGUGAGUUGUGACCAAAGCAAAAAAUAUCAUGCCCAAGCCUGGAUAGGGGUGUUUGGGACACUAAGGCGAAACUUCAAGAGUAAGACAGUGAUCAAGUUGAGCUCAAUGCAAUGAGACCACUCAUUGAAGAAGAGUCAUUAAAGAGUUUACACAUCUAGUAUGCUAGUUUCAAGAAGGGGUUUUAACCCUUCCAACCGCCAAACUAGGUAAAUUACUUAAUCAUCUCAUCUAUCAUCGACAACUUGUCAAAAUUCUAUAGAUACAAAAAGAUGAUUUGAUAUGUAGACACCCUUAUACUCACCUAGCAAGAUGUGAUAGUUAUUUCCGUGUAAUUAAUUAUCUUAUUUCUUCCCUUUAUUUUUUCCUCUUAAGCCUACAGAGCCAAAAAAAAAACCUAUACCAAAAGUGGUUAAUCUCUUAGAACUAAUUCAUCAUUAAUGACAUCUCAAAAUUCAAUAAGGAAAAAAAAAGAUAUUUAAAAUUUAGACACUCCAAUACUCACCCGGCUAAAUAUAAUAUUUUUAUUUGCUAUAUAUUUUGUAUUCACCGAUAAUAUGUGAAACUUGAAGACUGAAAUUGAGAAACAUAAGAAGAAUGAAUCCUCACAACCAUACUUCAAGAUAUGACCCACCAAUCCACGAACGGCAUACUCGCCGGCUUGGCCUUCAAGUCCCGGACCGGAUCUCCUGUUACUACAGUUCGAUCGCUGGCUUUGUCUUCAAGAGACUCGCAUGUUUCUAGCUUUAACAUUUUCCUCAAUGCACAUCUUUUAAGCGAUUUCAUCACGUCCUACAUCGUGCUAGACAAUUGGUGAUUUUGAAUCUCCAAAUAUAUUUAUUGAAGAGACAUCCUCUCUGUCGUCUAUUGUGCAUGCAACGGUGGCGUCUUUUGGUCUAUCUUAAUUGUGUGCUUUGUUUGGGUAAUUCACUUUCGAUUUUUUGUUCUGUAUAACUAAUGCAUUUACCCAUACUUCGUAUAGGUUGUCUAUCAAACUUUACUGAGAAAUUUGUGUCCACUAAAAUUUCGACGAAGAUAAAAUAGUAAGAAUGAUCAUCGUGAAGUUUGGUAAACAAGACAAUGAAUGAAGAAGAAAAUAGAAAUGUCCAGGGAAAAACAAUUUAAAUCACGAUUGAAAGUACCACGACCUAAUUAUCUUACAUAUAUUAUAAAUAUGUCUCAAUCACCAAAGGCAUUUUGCGUAGUAAGAUCAUAUUUAUUAAUAUUGACAACUCCACAAAUCCUCCCCAUUACAUGACAUUGGAAAAGAUCACUGAUGAGCUCAAUCUUUCUGUGUAAAAUUAUAAAUUCCAUCCUCUUUGCGAGAGCAAGAGAAGCACCGGCGCCAAUAGCCAAGGUUAAAAGACCACUUUCGUUAAGGUUUGUGUUUCGCUGACUCAUCAGAGGAUAGAGAAAUAAGUGGAGAACCAUUUUUUCUAUAUGUGCCGGUUAACUCGGGUUCAUCAUAUCCUACAUUUAUGCCUUAUAAUAACACAUUCGGAUAAUUCAAUUACAUUCAAUGAAAAACUUUAAAAAAGAAUCAUGGAUGCAAUUUCAUAGAAUACCUUUCGAUUGUGUUAAUGACAUAAUGCUAUAUACAAAGAAGGGAAAUUUAACAAAGGAAAGAGGAAAGUGUCUAUCUCUAUCCUUUGAUAAUAAUUUAAUUUUAAAGAAAAUUUGACUUGGUAAUGUACUUACAUUAAAUACUUGAAAAAAGUUAAUUUUAGAAAUAAUUAUACAUACUGUCGUGGCAUGGACUUUGUGACCAAACUAUAGCUGCAUUGCUCUAAUAUAAUAGAAAUCUCCAAGACCUGACAACAAGAGACCCACUAAAUUACAGCACUAAUAAGUCACUUGAUCCAAAAACACUCUUGCCGACAUAUAUUCCACAGUAGACCUCAAGCAGGCCCAUGUUUUUCCCCGAAUUCAAAUUUAAAUUGGUUUUUACUAAACAUACGUAGUCAAUGUGAAAACGACAUAAAAUAGAUGGACCCAACAUUAAUUCAAAACUAGCACACCGCACACAGAAAGUGAACAAUCAAGCCCAAGAGGUUCUCAAUCAAAACGUUUACAUGACAAGCUCUGUGUAAUGCAAUAAAUCUAACUAAACCUAACCAAAAUCACUUGUUGUCAGUCUUAUCCAUUGCAAUAACAGAGCGAUACAUAAUUCAUUCACCGGAUUGAAAAUGGAGAGAUCAAAGUCAUACUCUCAUCCAAGAGUACACAUUCUGCUACCAUGAUUCGACUUGAAAAGAUCCCUUUAAGAGUAUUUGGCAGGAGCACCGGCUUGACCGAUUCUCUUUUGGUGAACAUCCCAAUUAUCCACACGAGCCAUCGUAACCUGCCAAAUAAAGAUUGAACUCUCAAGGGCUGUUUCACCCCAAAAAAGAAAAGAAAAUUUCCAGGGGCCACCAACAUAAUUGCCAUGAUAUAAACGAAAGAGUUUGGUCCUCCAACAAGUUUCGAAUUUUUUCAAUUUCACUGAAGUGCAAUAUGACCACACUCCAGGUUGUCACAAAUCAGCAUGUCUUUGCAAUUUAUAGCCUCAAGGCUCACACCAGUUACAAAAAUCACGGCAGCAGUAAUUCAACAACAACAAACCUACCCAAAACUGACAUAAUAAACGGCUUGAAACUAAAAUGGACCUCCAAGUUCCAAAAUAUUCUGACUUACCUGCGUGAUUGUUACUUGGUCCAGUAAGAACUGUAGAUUAGCAACAAGAACUUCUAAACUUGCUUUAGCGUUUUCUAGGUUCUUUUGUAGAAGAGUUGUGGCCUGCAACACGAAUGGAUACAAUAAAUAAGAUACUCGACAUCAUUAUUGGAGAUAAAGGGACAUUGCUUCAACUCGAGUACCUCUUUCGCAUGAAUACUCCAACAUAACAUUUGCUCCCGCCAUAAACAUACUGAAUCAGCAUGUUCAAUGCGAGCUCGAGAACAUAUGCCUUCAGAGACUUCAAAAUCAGCAAGCUGUGCCUGCAUCCACGAUAAAGAGCCGUAAAUACCAGUCAGUCUGGCACCAAUUAUUAUAUUUUGCGUCUUAGAAGUUUUGAUGGUCUUAGAUUUUAAAGCCCAAUACAGUAAUCCCACCAUAUUUUGCUUUCUAAUAGGACCUUUAGACAUGAAAGCAUAAUAUUACCGUCGUUAUUCAGGUGUCCAAAUCUAAAACCACCGCACAAUUAUUGAGAUUAACAUGGGUUCUUCAAAGCACUAAUUGAGAUUCUUAGGAACAUUGCUUCCAGAAGUGCAUUUGUGAAGGAAAAAAGACAAUCAAAUAUUCCAUAUUUAGUCAAGUGCACCAAAAGUAGUUCCUAGUAUGGCAAGAAUAAGACUACCCUAUCCUCUUCCUGCUUUGUUAAAAUAAAAAAGGAUGAUCAGCUAAGAUAUCAUCGAGGAGCAAGAAGAUUUUUGAACAUGCAAAUUUUCUAGCAUAAGAUAUGAGAAUAUUUUAGUUCACAUUACAUAUGUCAAGGAUUCCGGAUUAAAAGGUGAAACUGUCAAGUGAAAAAUUGGUGGUUUAAUGACAGCAUGAAGAACUUCAGGCGAUAAAAUGAUAAAGGACUCUGUAUUGGAUAAAUAUGAUCUGUUUAUGAGUAACAAGUUUACUUUGUAAAAAGCCUCAACAGUCAACAGCAUGAGUUCGAUAGAUAUCCAAUAAGUAUACUCAGUUACAAUACAUGCACCGAGAAGCAUUCAGCUUGAAUUUCAAUCUUAAAUUCCAGUUCUAAGGCUACGGUUCAAUCUUUCAGUAACAUGGACACAUGCUCGUUGCACUCAUAUAAUGGCAUGCUCGAUAAGAGGUCACUUUGCUAUAGCACAUCUAAACAUUCCUCUUGGGUCAAAAAAAAUUUGGGAUCCAACAAUUGAGCUACCCAAGUACAAACUUGCAGGUUGGAAAGGUGAAUCAAAAAAUGGGAGCUUUCCAAUCAGCCAGUUUACUUCAGUCAUUAUGCAGGUUCCUAGUUCAAUUUCAAAAUAAUCUAGAGCCUAAAAAAGAGGAUAUCUUUGUGGUCGAAUGGAGUGCUGAGGUUAAGUAAUUGUUGCAUCAAGGUGCCCCAAUUUGAAAUGAUCGAUCGAUUCAAAUCCUGGAUUUUCGCAUUGAGAGAGAUAGCACACCUUAUUUAUGCAACAUUGCCAAGGGGGGUUUAAAGGUUGUAGCCUAUUUGAGGGAGAAAACCUCAGUGUAGAGACAAAUGGAGGUAGGAGAGAUGAAGGGAGGACAUAGUACUACUUGCACACUCUUGUGUUUUGGCAGAGAGGCUGAGAUGCCUGGCUACCUUGUAGUUGGUUUUAUGAAGGACUAGUGCAGGAUAAUUCUAGCAGAUUCUUGUUCACUAUAGAGAUAUGCAAAUGACAGCACACGAGCAGGAAGCUUUGUUGAUGGCAGAAAGUAUUGGGAUGUACAAUUCACCACUUGCACAGAGACUAGUGAACAGACGAGAACAAGAUUGUCAAACUACAGUUCUUGCAUGCUAGUUAGUUGGUAUGAAAGAGACGGGGAAGGACUCUAUCUAAAGAAGGCAAGGGAUAUUAGCCGCUUACAAGAUGAAAACCACAUGGAACCAUAUGGCACCGCUAGCGAUUGCCUUGGGAGUGAUUUAAAAUAGCCAAUAUACAAAAAGAAAAAAGAAGGAUGCAGACAAAUCAAUACUAGAUAUAGCAAAGUCAAUGAGAAUCCUCAGGUCACCCACUUAUUAUGUUGCCGUUGGUCUAAAUCUCCUCAGGACAUGGAUCUGUCAAAGAGCCGCAAAUAAGAUGGUGACCAUGGAAUUGAACAAUACCCAAUCCAAAUCUUGACUAGUUUACACAGUCAGAAGAAAGAGUUGUGCGAGACAACAAACCUUAUCGGAACUCUUCUUGGCCUGCAGAGUAGCGACUAUGUCUAACCACUUCUCAAAAUCAGUUAUUUUUGCCUGGCAUUUGAUAUAGACAUGGAGUUAAUAACAAAUUUAGAUGUGAGAUUGCACAAUGGAAUUCAAUCAACAUCGCUGUAGUUGAAAAGAAGCCUCUUACAGCUUGCUCAGACGUUCCAAUGUACUUAUCUAACAGUUCAGCCCUUUCACUGAUAUGGAUUGAAGAGAACAAGCUGCUAUUGCUGCACUAACAAUGCAUGUCUUGCCAAAGGCCGUACGUCCAUGUAAAAGAACAUUUGACCAUGGCCUUUGAGGAGCUUGCACAAAAACACUUCAUCAGUAAAGGUAAGAAAGAUAUGAAGAUCAAAUAAUUUUAUUUAACAAGUUAAUAUUAACCACAUUAUUAGCACAGAGAGAGAGAGAGAGAGAGAUAGAGACAGAGACAGAGACAGAGACAGAGAGAGACAGAGAGAGCUUAGACACAAUCGAUGCAGUUAUACAAGCUUCCUUGAAUAAAAUCCAUGCAUAAUUUAGCUCACUCACAAGAAUGCAUCAGGGAAACAAUGUUAGGUAGUUAAACCCCAAAAUCUCAAGCAAUCCCAUCAUCUCAUUGAAAUUCUGCAGAGUCUAACCACAAGCUCCCUUCACUACAUUGUCAAUCAGCAAAAAGAGGAUUAGACAACUCACCACCAUAUAAUGACUUUGAUGUUACACGAAAAGUAAGGCACCCAAUGGGAAACAGACACUUAGGAACCUAUGACAGAGAUUAGUAUUGCUUGUCUAGAUCUCAAUCGGGGAAGACACUCAUAAAACAAUAAUAGGAUCCUCGCACGUGUUGAGUACAAGGAGCUACUCCUUUUUCCAACAAAAUAAUGAAUUCCUCAUCCACCAAUAAAAAGUGAAUUAAGCGAUCAAACAAUGUGAAGUAUGGGGAAGCACACUCAAGAAUAUGAAAGGAAGUCGCAAAUCUUUCAAGUUUUAGUCCCCCAACAUGUCCACUACUUGAUUGAUUUACCAAGGUCUAUGAAACAAAUUAUGAACUUUGAUUAAGCUAAAUAUGAGUAUUGAAAAAUAAGUACUUCAGCAAACAAAAGCUCAGGUCAAUGCAAAGUACAUUAAGCCAUUGAAUGCUUAAGCAAAAUAAGACUAUUAACCACACAAACUUUGGCCCGCAAACAACUUUAAGUUGCUCAUGUAGAUCCCCACUAUUACAUCUGAAGACAUUUCAAUAGGAAUAGUUGACUGCAUUCCAAGACUCUGCAUAAAUAGGAUAAAAAAAAAAACUAAUAAUUAUGGCUAGAGAAGCAAAACUUCUACUUUAAGAAUGGGAGUAUUUGAAAAUUGCAACUAUAACCAUCGGCAUCAGAUGUAGAGUAAAGCUAACAGUGAUCUUUGAUUGUGCAAAAUCAAAUAAUCCCAAUUCAAUCUCUAGAACUGCAAGAAACAAAAUUCAUGUAAAAGGGAGCAACUGAGGUGAUUGCAUUUGCCUUAUUUAAUUCGUGAAUGAGUUAAGAGUCAUCAAAUUCCCAGACCCAGCUCAAAACAGCAAAGGAUUCAAAAAAAAAAAAAAAAGACAUGUCAUUUGCACAACAAAUGAUAGUUCAAGAACGUAAAUGCCUUAUCAGGUGAAUUGCAACAUCUUCCCCAACUAUGUUUGGUAAUUUAAGAUGGGAGAGAAUGAACAAAUAGCAAACAAACAGACAAACGAAAUGAAGUUCAGAAGUAACUAGAAAAGCACCUUCAAUUCUUCAUGAAGGAAGUAACUAAGUCACUCAUAUAGCAUAAAAUGUAUCGGCAAUUCACUCUUUCGCUGACCAAGCGUUAAUUCCUUUAAUUCAUUCCUCACAAAUCAUGAUUGUUCUAUAGUGAAAUUGAAAAAACACUAUAUAAGGUAUGACCAGUACUCUCAACCACCUUUGCCUUUCAACAAAACAUAGCAUUUGCUAGCAUCUUCAGUGUGAUUGCUAUUUAGCCAAGUUAUGUGCGGCGAAGCAUGUCAACCCCAACAUUAUGCUGAUGCGUAACAUAAACCAACUAAGUAUCACCACUGUGGAGGCAAGUGAAAGUACUGCAUGUUCAUGACAUGCAAACAAGGAAUUUUGCUCAGAGAUAACAGGAUGAACAUAUACAAGCAGUGGUUCCAAAACUAAGAUGAAAGAUUAGCUAAAAGAAAACUCACAAACAGGAUGCAGCAAAAAAUGAACUCUAGUUCUAUGGACUUACCAUCAUCGAUUAUCUUUGCCAAUCAAAUGAUACAUACCUUAUCCAUCUCUAAUGAGCUUUGGGCAGUCAAUGAGGAUGAGCUGACAAGAUUUUGGCACACUCAAAACUGAAAUGAUCGACAUCCAUUGAUGUUGUUCAAGAGGCUCAAGACCAGUUUACUACACUUCUUGUAAGCUACUUUAGCAACUGAAAAGUAAUUCAAGUAAUCCUGCCAUUAAUUACCUUUUUUGAUACAUAUGUAGUUUAUCCAAUACUGUGUAUCCAAAGUUAAACAUAAACAACUCUAAAUCAAGGAAAAGUCAUGUCUAGCAUUUAAUAGUCCGCCUUGAAGGUUAUUACGUAGUCUCCAUAUUAAAUGCUUCAUAUAAGUGCAAUUUCCAAUAGCAAUUUACAGUUAGUGUGCUAUGGAAAGAGAGUACUUUUUGUUACCAUGUAAGACGAAAUUAUUACCUUGUCCCAGCCAACACAAACACAUCGCUUAAAACUUCAACACCAUCUGAUUCAGUAAAAAACUGCAUCAAUGAAUAACAUGUCAUUUUUGAGUCAUACCAUCUGAUAUUACUAGUAUGAGUACCUAGAGGGGGGUGAAUAGGUAUAUAAAAGAUUUUUCUUCAACAAUUGCACAACACUAGACAGUAGAAGGAAAUGUCAAUCAAAGUAAGACUGAGAGAAGAGAAAAUUGAACACGCGGUUUAUAGUGGUUCGGCUUAUAUCAAGCCUACGUCCACUCUUCUUCACUGACGGCCUAUUGGCUGGAUUCCACUAUGAACAAAAGAGAAGUUACAGCACAGCUUUGCCUUGAUUCCACAGUGUAGAUAUUCUACCACACCUCCUCAAGAUUUCUCACAAAUAUAGACUCUCUUUUGUAUACAAGUAUUCGCUCAAAGGAUUUGUCUAAACAAAAAGGAGCUUCAGACUUUGGAAUUCUUCUAUCGCGCACCCCUUGAACAACUAAGACCGUCUUCCUUAUAUACUCCUUUAUGCCAUCAUACCCGUUGGCACUUACCAAAGGAAUUCCUCCAAUCUACCCGUUGGACAGAAUCAAUUAGGAAGAUUGUUCAAGCUAUUAAAGGAACGUGUUGAUAGCCCAUCAAUCCUGUUCGCCCAUACAAUCAGGAUCUCGGUUUCCAUAAGCAGAACCUUCCAAUAAUAUUUAGGUAAUCACCGGAUCUUCAAUUAUCGAGUCAAUCUUCGAUCAAUCAAAGGACUCUGUUAUGUCUUCUCCAGCCACGAGAUCUUCUCCAGUUGAUAAAGUUAAAUCUUUAACAAAACAUCCAGUUCUGGAUAACCUUUUUUCAACAGAUUAGAGACUAUCAAUGAGGAUAGACUUUGAGUCUUGAGUCUGGUUGUCCGGAGGUCUUCAGACUUUAAACAGUAGAGUCUGCAAGCCUUCAGACUAGACUGAUAGAAACGUUUUGUCAACUUCAAAAUACUUCAAGAAGAUUUCUCCAACAAUCUCCCCAUUUUUGAUGGUGACAAAACUUUCCUGUAGAUUUGGAUAUCUUUGACCUGCAAAACAUUUCUCAAACACAUAUGCAUAUCUCAUAGAGAUAAAUGGCUAACAUAAUAACACUAGAAUCUGCAACCACAGAAAAUAGGUUAGUCCAGUAUAUGAUGAAGCCAUCCAUAAGAUACCAAUAUUAGUUAAUAGAAGCAGUCAAGUCCAAGUCUAGUUCAGUUCUCAUCCAGACACAAAACAAAGUCAAACAGAGUUCAAACCACAAAACAAUUAAAAGUUUAAUGAAUGAAAAGUUUUUGAUCAAAUCUUGCAUCUCUCCCCCUUUUUGUCAUCAUUAAAAAUGAUGAGAUGAAGUCAAGAUUGCUUGGGAACGCGGACAAGCUGGAAAUCUUCCAUAGACUGAACGAUGCCUUCCAGCCUUUUAAAGUCUUCCUUUAGAUGUGCAAUCUCCUCAGUCUUGGCAUUGGCCUGAUUCUGAACAGAGAGGGCUUGCAUUUUAUCAUUCAAUGAACAGGAAGAAGCUUGACCUUCAUUCUUCAAGCUUUGAACUUCGCAUCCCAAGGCAUAAAUUUGACCUCGCAUCUCCAAGAGAAUAUCCAUGAUUCUGCGAAAAUCUGCUCCAUUAUCAGUCUGAGUACUUGCUUCGGCUCGAUCUGAUGGAGUAAAUGCAGACGAUGGUAGAUCAGCAUAAUCUCGCAGGUUUGGCGAUGAAACUUCAUGACCUUCCUCUGGAAACUGAGAUGCAUAAACAUCCUCUGGGUCUGCUGGUGAGCGACUGACUCCUUCACUUACAUUAGGAUAUGAAGACUUCACUCCUUUCUCCUGAUCUCCCCCUGUUUCCAUGCCUACAGGUGGAGAAGAGUGUUCUUCAGGUUCUCCUUCUUCUCUUCUUUCUUCUUCAGGUCUUUCCUCCUCUGUUUCUUUUUCAGCUUCUAUUUCUUCUUCUUCCUUCUCCUCUGCUUCUUUCGUCAUUUGUUCCGAUUCUUUCUGUGGAACAGGACGACUUAAAUUCUUCAAAGCCACUGCAGAGAUGGUGAUGUCUUCCUCAUCAUCUUCAUCCUCAACGAGGAGAGCUCUUCUUCUCUUGGAUGGAGCAACCAUGGGCUCCUUCCCUUUUCUUUUAGCUGCAGAAGAGAUUUGAUGAGAUUUUGCAGGAGUCUUCUCCUUGAAUUUCUCCAACUCCUUGCUCAGUUCCUUCAGACGCAUUUUGGUCACCAUUUUCAGUCCUACCACCAUAUGAUCACAUGGUCGAACACAAAAGAUUUGUGGAGGCUGAAUAUUCAGAUGUCUGAAUAACUUCGUAACAAGGCUUGGGUAAGGGAGUUGACCUCUGUCCUUCAUCAUUGCUCUAUACAUGUGAAACAUCACAAAGUGAGGGAGAGAAAACCUUUUUCCAAAGAGAAUGGCAUACAUCAGCUUGGCCUCUGAACUUGAAACAUCAGUCUUGGAAGUUGAUUUCGGUCGGAGGCAAUUAAUCACAAUCUUGUGAAGCAAGAUGUUGAAUGCACCCAUCCUUAAGUAGGUGAUCUUUUAAUCUGUUCUCCUGUCCUUCACCAGUUCAAGUGUGGCCCGAGCAAUGGAAACUUUGAUUGGUUGAUAUCUUCCUCUUUCGACUUCUAACACAUCUGCCAGCAUAUUCAUAUCCACAACAUAGUCUUGGUCUUUAACGCUGAACGAGAAUCUAUUCACAUCCAAAAAGCUUAGAUUUAAAUAGAAAUAUGUAGUUAAUUCAGCAUAGGCCUCUGUAGAGUCAGAGCAGAACUUUUCAAGUUGAAGAUAACUGAACUUUUCCCUCAAGUUCACAUUCACAGCAUCCAGAAAAUCAAAAUCCACACUCUUAGGGUUUAUCACCCCACGCUUCAGCAAUUUCGAGUACAGAUCCUUUUGCUCCUUUGAUCUGAACAAAUCUCCCCUUUUUCCUUGAUUUUCAACCGCAACACCCAUUUUUGGUUGAAAUUGACUGUAUAAUUUAUCAUCAUCAUUCCCAUCUACAGGAUUCGGCCCCCAGUCACGAGGAUCACUUGGGAUAUUUGCAAGGGUUUCCUCAGCCACCCAUUUUCGAGCAAUUCCCAAACUUUCCAUUUUUCGCAAAAAGAUAUAUUCUUUCCCAUGUCCUUUGUCUUUAAGAAAAUCAUCAAUGUAGUUCAAAGGAGUACGAAUUCCUUUUAAGGCACGAUAUAACUAGUAAAUAUAAGCGGGCUUUUGAACUCUUACAAGGUCUGCAUCCUUGAUGAUUUCUUCCUGUUGUUGAUGAUCAACGCCAUGAGGACUAGAUGGAGGAGAAUGACGCUGUUGAGAAUGUUGCGGGCUCGCUUGCUGUUCUGGAGUCACUUCUUCUUCAGUAAGAUCGAAGUGCGUAGGCCCCUCACUCAUUCGCCGUGGUCCCUUGCUUGCAAUUCUCAAAGACUUUCUUGAAGAUGACAUCUUUCUCAGUUUUUGGAAGAUUCCUUGCUUGACUUUCCCAGGAAAGAUGACAACUUUUUGAGGAUUAAAUGAAGAAGACAAACGGGAAUGGAGGAUCGAUGCUUUCUAGGGGUUUUGAGAGAAAAGUGAAGAGGAAUCGUUAGUGCACGAUUGGUUAAAAAGAGGGAUAAACGAACCGUCACAAAGGAAAUAAAAAAAUGCCUUUUCAAAAUAAUUGUCUUUUUCCGCAAAAAUAGCCAUUUCAAAAAUAACUUCCUUUUUGAAAAUAAAACGAUGCAAUAUUUACGUCAAUUAAAUAUAGCAACAAUUUAAACACAGUUUGACGAUCGUACCUUUUCAAGAUGAGAUUCAAGAGAGAAAGACUUACAGUCUGACGGUCGUACCAAGACUAUCUUUCAUAUAAAGUCUUGUAAGACUGAGUCUGAAACUGAAAGUCUUUAGACUUUGAUAUCCUCAUACCUCAAAAUGUUGAGUCUGGAACGUAUAGACUCAAAUUGAUUUUUCUCCAAAGGCUUUGUGAAUAUAUCCCCCAGUUGAUUCUUUGAGUCAACAAAUUGAAUUGAAACAUCUCCAUUUUGAACAUGGUCUCUAAUAAAGUGAUGUCGAAUCUCUAUAUGCUUUGCUCUUGAGUGGAGAAUUGGAUUUUUGGUGAGGUUGAUAGCGCUGGUAUUGUCGCAAUUAAUCUCCGUGCAUGAGUCUUCAAUUUCAAAAUCUCUUAGCUGUUGUUUUAUCCAUAGAAUUUGCGAACAGCAGCUUCCCAAGGCUACAUACUUUGCUUCUGUUGUUGAAUGGGACACGGUGCUUUGUUUCCUUGAAAACCAAGACACUGUCCUGCUUCCAAGCAACUGGCAAGUUCCCGAAGUGCUCUUUCUAUGAACUCUGCAACCGGCCAGAUCUGCGUCUGAAUAUCCCAGAAGAUUAAAGUCUCCCUUCUUAGGAUACCAAAGACCGAUGCUUGUGAUGAAGCAACGUAUUUAAUGAUGCGCUUCGCAACACUGAGAUGGGAUUCUCUAGGAUUUGAUUGAAACCUAGCACAGAUGCAAACACUCAACAAAAUGUCAGGUCUAGAAGCAGUAAGAUAAAGGAGUGAACCAAUGAUGCUCUUGUACAGCUUUUGAUCAACUUUCUUCCCUUCUUCAUCUUUCUCUAUCUUCAAAGAACUUGACAUCAGUAUGUCGGUCUUUUUGCACUUUUCCAGUCCAAAUCUUUUGACAAGAUCAUUAACAUAUUUUUCUUGAUAAAUAAAAGUUCCUUCCUUCAAUUGUUUUACUUGAAGACCAAGAAAGAAUGUUAACUCUCCCAUCAUACUCAUUUCAAACUCAUCCUGCAUAGACUUAGAAAAUUUCUUGCACAGAUUUUCAUUAGAGGAUCCGAAAAUAAUGUCAUCCACAUAUAUUUGAACAAGUAAGAAACUUUUGUUUUCCUUUUUGAUAAAUAAAGUUGUAUCUACUUUACCUUUGACAAAACCAUUUUGUAUUAAAAACUUACUCAAUCUGUCGUACCAAGCUCGAGGUGCUUGCUUUAAACCAUACAAAGCCUUUUUCAGUCUGAAGACUGAGUCUGGCUUCUUUGGGUCUUCAAACCCUGGUGGUUGUUCCACAUAAACUUCCUCAUGGAUAAAUUCAUUUAGGAAGGCACUUUUGACGUCCAUUUGGAAUAACCUGAAAUUCUUAUAACAAGCAAACGCAAGUAAUAGUCGAAUAGCUUCUAACCUUGCUACUGGAGCGUAAGUCUCAUCAUAGUUUAUUCAUUCUUCUUGCGUAUAUCCCUUGGCUACGAGUCUUGCUUUGUUUCGUACGACUUUUCCUUUCUCAUUCAUCUUGUUUCUGAACACCCAUUUAGCUCCAAUAACAGUUUUACCUUUUGGUUUGGAUGUCAAUACCCAGACAUCAUUAAUGUUGAACUGUCUGAGCUCUUCUUGCAUAGCUUCAAUCCAGCUUUUAUCAGAUAAAGCUUCUUUUAUGCUCUUUGGUUCAAUUUCAGAAAGAGAGCCACAACACUAGACUCUUCUCGCCUUUUGGAUCUGGUGCGAAUUCCUUCAUUAAUUUUGCCGAUUAUAAGAUCUUUGGGAUGACUGAACUUAUGCUUCCAGUUACUUGUUGAUUUGUCUGGUUGAUGAUUUCUCUUUUUGUUUGGAUCUUCACGAACAUCCUGAUGCUGGUUUUCCAGAGUCUAAGAUGCUUCUUGAGUUGUAAGUUUUGGAAGGUCUGGAGUAGGUUCAGACUCUUCUUGAUGAGUCUGACUUGAUUCAUCUUGCGUUGAGUCUUGAAAUUUGAUAUUCAUUGACUCCUCUACAGACUGGCUCUUCUUGUUAUAGACUCUGAAGGCUUUGCUUGAUGUAGAGUAUCCAAGGAAGAUACCUUCAUCUGAUCUUUCUUCAAACUUACCAAUUCGAUCUUUUGCAUUUUUCAAUAUAAAACAUUUGCAACCGAAUACAUGAAAGUAUGAAACAAUAGGCUUCUUAUCUUUGAAUAACUCAUAAGAGUUUUUCUCUAGAAUAGGUCUUAAGAAGACUCUAUUGAUUAUAAAGCAUGCUGUUGAAACAGCUUCAACCCAAAAUCGUGAAGAAAUCUUGCUUUCAAUUAAAAGAGUUCUAGCCAUUUCUUGAAGAGAUCUGUUCUUUCUUUCCACAACUCCAUUUUGCUGAGGAGUAUAUGGAGAGGAGAACACAUGAUUAAAUCCAGAUUCAUCACAAAAUUUUAUAAAAUCUUGAUUUUCAAAUUCACCUCCAUGAUCUGUUCUUAUACUUGAGAUGACACAUCCUUUUUCAUUUUGAACCUUUUUAGCAAAUUUUUCAAAAUACGAGAAGGUUUCGGACUUACUUGCAAGGAAAUAUACCCAAGUAAAACGGGAGUAAUCGUCCACAAUUACUAGGCAAUAUUUCUUACCUCCAAUACUCUGUGUUCUGGUUGGUCCGAAGAGAUCCAUAUGCAGCAACUGUAGUACAUGAUUAGUAGAGACAUGAUUUAUUGGCUUAAAUGAAUUUCUUACCUGCUUUCCCAGAAUACAUGGAGUGCAUGGAUCAGUCUUUUGAUAAGGUAAUUUGGGUAGUCCUCGAACAAGCUGUUUUGAUGAGAUUUUGGCUAAUUGCUUCAUGUUGACAUGACCAAGCUUUCUGUGCCAUAAGCUUGCUUCGUCUUGAAUUGAGAUAAAACAUCGCGAUUCAUUUGGUUUCACAUCCAGAAGAUAGAUGUUUCCAUGUCUUCGACCCAUGAAAGACUGAGUAGAGUCUUUACUGAUUCCAGAACAUAUUCCUUCUUGAAAGAAGAUCUUGAAACCAAUAUUACACAGUUGACUAAUGCUGAGAAGAUUGUAAUUGAGUCCUUCCACUAAGGAAACAUUACUUAUUGUGAGAUUUCCAAUUUUCACAGUUCCAAAUCCCACAAUACUUCCUUUGAUGUUUCCUCCAAAUGAAACUUUUCCACCAUUUACUUGAGCAAGCUUUAUAAAACAAUUUGAGUCUCCUGUCAUGUGUCUUGAGCAUCCACUGUCAAGAUACCACUUUGCCUUUCUCUUGACGGUGACCUGCAUUUAAAAUAGAGUCUCAAGCUUUCUUUGGUACCCAAACUUUCUUGGGUCCUUUGGUGUUAGUAACAUAAGCAGUAUUAGCCCAUAUUUUCUUAACAAGUUUCCAAACCAUAGGACACUCUUUUUCAAAGUGAUCCGGACUGUUGCAUUUUGAACAUCUGAGAGCAUUUCUACCUACAGAUUUUACAAAAACUUUCUUGAAGUGAUUUUUGUAAUCCUCUCUCGAGAGUCUUUUCUUAAUUCUUUCUUUUACUUUAGGAAAAUCAAUCAAGGGAAUUGUUUUUGCUGUCAUACCUAGACCGGACUUAUUGAAGUAAGGUCUUUGAGCUGAAAGAAUUUUCUCAAGUUUUUCAGACCCUAUUGAAAAUUUCUUUGAAAUAUUUGAUAAGUCUGGUUUUAAAAGAGCAUUUUCUUUUAAAAGAUUAUCUUCAUUUUCUUUAAGAGUGGAAACAGUCAAGUCUAGACUUUUAACUCUUUCUACUAAAACAUUUUCCUUUUGUUUUAGAGCUGAGUUUUCCUUUUUCAGUUCGGAAAUUCUUUUGAGAGAAGUCUUAAGACUAAAACACAGUUCAUCAAUGUAUUUAGAAACUUUGACAGGAAUUUUAAAAUUACUUGCCUCAAAUUCACUGUCUGAGUCUGAUCCAGAGUCUGAGUCUGAUUGUGCCAUCAGACAUAGAUUGGCAUAUUCAUUAUCACUUUCUUCACACUCUGUAUCACUCCAGGUUUCGGCUUUGAGAGCUUUUCGAAAUUUUUCAGCUUUUCCUUUCUUCUUCUUCAGAAGAGGACAGUUGGGUCUGAUAUGUCCAUUUUUCUUACAUUCAAAGCAGACUACGUCUUUGUUUGGUUCCUCAUCAUCAACAGACUUGGUCUGCUGUCUUUGAAAGCUUUGUUUCUUUGAGUUGAACCUUCUUCCUUUUCUAUUCAGUUUUCUGAAUCUUCUUAUCAUGAGAGCAAGCUCCUCAUCGUCCAUAUCUUCUUCAGAAUCUGUAUCAUCAGAAUCAUCAUUUGAUUUUAAUGUAAUGGAUUUCUUACCUUUUGGAUCUUCAUCUUCAUUGAUCCGUUCCACUUCAUAAGACUGAAGAGUUCCAAUUAGCUCGUCGACAGAUAGUGGCAUAAUUCUUUGCGUCUCUCUUAUCGAAGUCUUUAUGUGAUUCCAAUCCCUGGAGAGUCCACGCAGUAGCUUGUUUACCUUCAUGGGAUCAGAAGUUGGUUGACCUUGAUUUUCAAGACCAUUCACAAUAUUUGUAAAACGACUAAACAUGUCAGAUAUAGAUUCUCCUAGUUUCAUUCUGAAGGCUUCGUAUUGACCGAGAAGAAUGUUGAUUCUUGUUUCCUUCACUUGAUCUGUUGCUUCAUAGGUGAUAUGCAAUCUGUCCCAAACUUCUUUUGCUGUAACACAAGAAGAUGUUCUAUUAUAUUCAGUUGGUGACAAAGCACAAUAUAAGGAAUAAAUUGCUUUUGCAUCGAGUGCUUGUCUCUUGAUUAUUUCUUCCUGAGUCAUUCCGCUGGUCUCAUCAGUUUCUUUUCCUCUUUCAGAGACUGAUGCAGUGGUAGGAGUAAUUCCUUUUUCUACAACGUCUCAUUCCAGAGGAUCCUUUGAUUGAAGGAAAGCUUUCAUCUUGUUCUUCCAGAUGUUGUAAUCAUUUCCAUCAAAGUAGGGUGGUCUGGUAUUGCUUUGCCCUUCCAUCAGCCUUGGUGCUAGCAUACUAGCCAUGGAUCUUUUACUACGAAGUAAAACACUUCAAAUAAAGUAAGUACACAGGCUCUGAUACCAAUUGAUAUUACUAGUAUGAGUACCUAGAGGGGGGUGAAUAGGUAUAUAAAAGAUUUUUCUUCAACAAUUGCACAAUACUAGACAGUAGAAGGAAACGUCAAUCAAAGUAAGACUGAGAGAAGAGAAAAUUGAACAUGCGGUUUAUAGUGGUUCGGCUUAUAUCAAGCCUACGUCCACUCUUCUUCACUGACGGCCUAUUGGCUGGAUUCCACUAUGAACAAAAGAGAAGUUACAGCACAGCUUUGCCUUGAUUCCACAGUGUAGAUGUUCUACCACACCUCCUCAAGAUUUCUCACAAAUAUAGACUCUCUUUUGUAUACAAGUAUUCGCUCAAAGGAUUUGUCUAAAAAAAAAAGAGUUUCAGACUUUAGAAUUCUUCUAUCGCGCACCCCUUGAACAACUAAGACCGUCUUCCUUAUAUACUCCUUUAUGCCAUCAUACCCGUUAGCACUUACCAAAGGAAUUCCUCCAAUCUACUCGUUGGACAGAAUCAAUUAGGAAGAUUGUUCAAGCUAUUAAAGGAACGUGUUGAUAGCCCAUCAAUCCUGUUCGCCCAUACAAUCAGAAUCUCGGUUUCCAUAAGCAGAACCUUCCAAUAAUAUUUAGGUAAUCACCGGAUCUUCAAUUAUCGAGUCAAUCUUCGAUCAAUCAAAGGACUCCGUUAUGUCUUCUCCAGUCACGAGAUCUUCUCCAGUUGAUAAAGUUAAAUCUUUAACAAAACAUCCAGUUUUGAAUAACCUUUCUUCAACGGAUUAGAGACUGUCAAUGAGGAUAGACUUUGAGUCUUGAGUCUGGCUGUCCGGAGGUCUUCGGACUUUAAACAGCAGAGUCUGCAAGCCUUUAGACUAGACUAAUAGAAACGUUUUGUCAACUUCAAAAUACUUCAAGAAGAUUUCUCCAACACCAUUAACUAUAUUUCACAUGAUCACUUUAUAAGUGCCAUUGAAUGCAAGAAACUAACUGAUUGAUGACAUGGUUGGUGACCCCCGUACUAUCAUGCCCCCUCUUCAGCACAAUGGAAUCAAAUUCAUGAAAAAAGAGAAGGCAAGGUGUUACAGCCACUGCCUUCAAGAAUAUAUCCAAACCUGUAAUUUUAAAAUUGCCAUUACUCUCAAAUAUUCAAAAUUUCUCUAGUUUGCUCACAAAAUCAAUGCCGUCAAUGUGCAGAAUAGAUAAUCCACUAGACAUUUGAUCACAAAUUUCAAAUUUCUAGUGGAGAAAAACUUCAAAUAUCUUACAUCUUAAUCUUUCUCUUAAUCUUCAUAGAGGAUUCUCUCAUUCAUGCAUGAGAAAACUCAAGAACCAUUUUAACUUGGCCUCUUGAUUGGUUAUAGGAGAAUCUUCAUUGGUUAACUUGGCCUUUUCAUUAACUGCAGUGGUAGGAUCCUCAUUGCUGCUGCUAGUUAUCAUAUAUCGACUACUGGCAUAGAUGAAGGGACCUCUAUUAAAUGCAUACAAAAGCAAAAGAAGAAAGCACAAAAUUGUGAAAUGUAUGCAAAUAACAAAGUUCAAUAAAAGAUUACAUAAUGGAACUCAAUAAACAUCCAUGUAGUUCAAAAGAAGCCUCUUACAGCUAGCUAAAAAGUACCAAUGUACUUAGCCACAACUCUACCUUUUACCGAUAUGGAUUGAAGAGAACAAGUUGUUGUUGUAGCACCAAUAGUAUGUCUUGCCAAAGCCUAGACAUCCAUGUAAAAGAACAUUUCACCAUGGUCUUGGAGGAGCUUGUGCAAUUUUUAUCAAUAAAUGUAAAAAAGAUAAGACACAAAAAUCAAACAAGUUUAUUUAACAAGUUAACAAUAACCUUAGCAUAGAAAGAGGGAGAGAGAGAUGAGGAAAGGUGCAAUAAGUCAGCUGAAAGAAUAAACAAAACCUAGUCUUCAACAACACAAAGGUGCUCUUUCCUAACACCAGAAAUUGCAGAAUGCACAACUCGAUGCAGCUAAACCCAGUCUUCAACGAAAUGGUGGUUUGACCAUAUCGACAAGUUUACUCCAAUAUCAAUUGUCUCCCAGCACAAAUUUCACACAUAAAUGGCUAAUUACUAGAAUGAAGAAAGAUAGUUCACAAAUCACACCAUGACUCAAGACUUGAAGCUUCUCCACUUUAGUUCAGAAGUAACUAGAGAAACACCUCCAAUUCUUCAUGAAGGGAAAUAACUAAAUCACUCAUAUUGCAUAAUAGGUAUCAAUGAUUCACUCUUCCACUAACCAAGCGUUAAUUCCUUUAUUUCAGUCCUCACAAAUCAUGAUUGUUCUCUACUAGGAUUAGAAACACUCCAUAAGGUGAGAUUAGUACUCUCAAGUCUCAACCACCUCAGCCUUACAACAAAACCUAGCAUUUAUCAGCAUCUUUAGUGUGCUUACUAUCUAAAAGUUCCCUUCCACUUUAUCUAUUUUUUAUAAGCAAAAUAGGUGCCGCGAAGCAUGUCAAUCCCGACUUUAUGCUGGUGUGCAACAUAAACUAGCUAAGUAUCAACAUUGUCAAGUCGAGGUAAGUCAAAGUAUCACACGUUCUGUGACAUCCUGAAAUUCGAUCCUAUUUCGAUAAAAUGAAAUGUGCAUUUCGUCGACGUGCCUAUGGUCCUUUUUCUCUGAGCUGAUCACUCACGAGUUAACUAACUUAUUGGGUGAAGCCGUUAAGGGAUGUAUCCGCGGUAAAAUCCCUAAAAGCUACCUAAUUGGUUGGAUUGGACUAAAAUCGCGUCCGGUCGAUUUUAAUCAUGAAAUUUAAUUUGGUUUUGGGAAUCGAAUAUUCGGACGUGUCACAAUUCAUUUUUAGGACCGUCUCAUCGUCUAUCAAUUAAUUGCUGAGUCCGAAAUUUCAAGAAAGAAAUUAUCGGAGGAAGAUUUGAAGACCAAAAGAAAAUAGAAAGGGAAAGGGAAAGAGAAAAGGAAAAGUAGAAUAAUUGUAUUAUUUAUUUCUUUUUCUCUCUCUCCCUUUUUCUCUCUUUUUCUCUCUCUCUUCUCUCUCCCCUCCCCUCCCCUUCGUGCGAGCAUCCCCACCCACCGAAUGCCCCCUUGCCAAUUUUAAAUUGGCUUCUCUCUCUUUUGUUUCUACCUUUGACUAGUCAAAAAGAAAACCCUUCUUCUUAUCCCUUCUUUCUCUCUUCUUCUCUCUCCUCUCUCUUCUCCCCCAUUUUUCCCCACGUGACCGAACGAAACCUUUCUUCUUCUCCCCUGGUUCGUGAAAAACCAGAAGCUGAAGACAGAAGCGGAAGAAGAAGGCAUCAGCUCACCGCUCGCCGCCCGUCCCACCGCCGCACCGCCGCCCCGCGCACGCCGCGCGCUCCGCCGCCUCCCACCCGCGCUCGCCGUCCUCGCCGUGCGCCGUCCAGCCCUGUUCAGCCUCUGCUCAGCCCUUGUUUUGCCCCGUCCGGCCACCUCCGGCCGCCGUUCGACCUCGCCGGACCUCCACCGGCCUUUCCCCGUGCCUUGCCACCCUUGUGGAAGUGGUUUGUGGCUGUUUUGUGCCUGUUUUCAGCCAUCGUAGCCACCCCACGGAGUGGGUUUCCAGCGGCUUUAGGCCCGUUUUUGGCCGUUUCCCGGCCCCGAACCCGAGCGGUGCUUUGGGAAGAAUCGUUCCUCGCGUCGCCGCCGUCGGAUUGAUCCGAUUUGUGCGCGAUUUGGUGAGUAACCUCACUAAUCUUGGAUUAGUUGGCUAAUUAUGCUUAAGGUUGGUUUAGAUUUAAUUAAUUAUGUUUAGGUUGUUAGAUUAGAGUAAAUUAGCAAUUAUUAGUCAAUUGUGAUGCGAUUUAAAUAAAUUGAUUGUGCAAUUAGCAAGUAGACAUGGUCUACUAAUUAUUGGAAGUGCCUCGGGAUUUUUCCCGACCCUUAGUGGGCUCCAAUUAGGCUUUUCGGGCCUAAGUGGAUAUUUUUAGUAUUUAAAUAUUAAUUUUCGAAAUUAAAUUAAAUAAUUAUUUAUUUUUUUCGAAAAUUCAACUGAGAUGGUCUGGAACCGGAAAAUUAUGCUGAUGACCGUGGUGAAGUCCGUUUAUGUAAUCGGGCUUUAUUUUGAGCUAAAUUGAAUUUUUAAUAAUAAUUAUUUAAUUUUCGAAAUUAAUAAAUAAAUUAAUUAUUUUUCGGAAAUUAAGAUUUUGAUGGCCGACGACCGAAAUCUCGUGCUGAUCGUCGUGGUGCAGUCCGUUUAUUUAUUUGAGCUCCACGUUGUAUGGAAUUGAGUAAAUUGUGAUAUUUUAGGGAUUUACCCUAAAUUGAUUGGAAUCGAUUGAGAUUGAAUUAUCGAUUGGUGAAUGGCCAAGUAUGUUUAUUCAGCAUUUAUAAUGCUUUGUUGAGUUAAUUUAAUUAUUUGAUUGAAUAUUGAUUGGUGAAUGGCCAAGUAUGUUUAUUCAGCAUUUAUAAUGUUUUGUUGAGUUGAUUUAUUUAUUUGAUUGAGAAAUUGUUGGGCAUUGGUGGUCGAUAUUAAAAGUGAACUGGUAACCACUGCAAAGAGGACACGUGGCUCGGUGAAUUGGAAUGUCACCUGAAAAAUGCACAUGAGUUCAGUGGUUGAAUAUGUUACCUUGGCGAAGAGGUCACCUGAGAGAAUGCACGUGGCUCGGUGACAGGAUUUAGCAUCUAAAAGGACACGUGGCUCGGUGAUCUGAUGCGUCACUUUGGUAAGCGAGUACCUUAGAGAAUGCACGUGGGUCCAGCAUUUCGGAAUGGCAUCUAAAAGGGCACGUGGCUCGGUGAAUUGAUGCAUCACCUUGGUGAGAUAGCACCUUAGAGAAUGCACGUGGGCCCGGGCAUCGUAAAAAGGACACGUGGCUCGGUGGCUUGAUGUACCACCUUGGCGAAGAGGUCGCCUUAGAGAAUGCACGUGGGUCCGAGGUUUGAGGCACGUGGCUCGGAGACUUGGAAGGUCAUCCUGGAGAAUGCACGUGGCCUAGUUUUAAAUAUCCCACAGUGGGGAUUGAUUUGUUUGGCAUGUAAUCGACAAGGUCGAUGCUUUGAUUUGACGUUGUGAAUUGAUUGCCUGAAUGGAAAUGACCGUGAGUGGUCUUGUUGGAAUAUAAUCGACUAGGUCGAUUUGAUCGAUGCUUCAAUCGGAGAUAUGAUUGCUUGGGUGCCUAUUAUGAAUUGUACUGACUUGCAGGUGGGAUCAGAGGCCAAGGUAAGUCCUCUGCCCUGUGCGUGUUUAGGCAGCCUGUAGUAUAAUAGUUUAUCUAAUCGGGCUUAGUGGGGUAGAACUCGCUGAGAUGUAGUCUCAUCCCAAUUUGGGGAAAAACAUUUCAGGACCCGAUAAGGAGCUGAGGAGGAGAAGUCUAGGAAGGAGAUCUUGGAGGUGAAACUUGAAGGGAAUGAUUUUGAAAGAAGAAGAUAAUACCGAGAUGGGCCUUGAGUAUGGCCUGGAUGGAUUGAGAUCCUAUCUUCUUUUGAGAUCUCCAUUUUGAUGUGAAUAGUUAUGAGGUGAUUUGUGUUUUGUAUAAAAGUUUGGUUAUAAAUUUCAAUAUGAAAAAUAUGGCCCUGCUUUUCUAUCCCAUCGUUUUAGGGCGCGUUUGUUUGCGUUUCUGUUUAAAAAUUGUUCCAGGAAACAGAAAUAGAAAAAAGUAUUUCUGUUCCUGGGAACAAUUUCUGAACAAAAAAAUGCGUUUGGUAACUGUAUAAAAUUUCUGUUUCUGGAAUAGAAAAAGAACAGAAACACGUUUGGUAACUGUAAAAAAAUUCUGUUUCUGGAAUAGAAAAAGAACAGAAACACGUUUGGUUAUGUACAAAAUUUCUGUUCCAAUUUUUUUCCAAUUGUUUUUUUUUUAAUAAAAUGUGAACUUAGUAUUGAAUUAUCAUUCUCAUGAAAUGCUUAUCAAUUUAAUUUUGUUCAUAUUAAGUGAAAACAAACAUUCUAAACUUGAUCAUAUUUGCUUUGAACGGAAUAAAUAUUUUAAGUUCGUACCAAAAUUUUCCAGUUUGUUUUUUUUUUAAAUAAAGUGUAAACUUGACUUUGAAUUCUCAUUAUCAUAAAAUGUUCAUCAAUUUAAUUUUGUUCAUGGUGAGUAAAGUCAAACAUUCUGAACAUAGUUAUAAGUGCAUACUCUGAAGAAUCUUGCAGUUCUUGCAUUUCACGCUGUCUUCCAACUCAGGACAUUCUUCAACAUUUUCUCGAGACAUAAAAUGUAUUUUCUUCAUUGCAACACAAUUAUACAAUACUACCGACUAUAAACUGAAGAACGUUUUCUGCUCACGUUAAAUACAGAUCUUUUCAUUCCAUGAGAUGCUUUUGACAUUCAAAAAUUCCUCAUCAGUCCGCAAGAUACCGGCACUUUGCACCCUUCAUCCUUCUUCUUCCUGCUUCAGCUAAUGAUCAGUUGGACGUUUGGUCUAUACCGUCAGCCUUUGUCGAACCAAAUAUAUCUUCGAUGCCACUUCUUACCCUCUUUCUUCUCUCAGCGAUCAUGUCCGUGUAUGCCUGAAACAGGAAAAGCAAAUCUUGCAGAACCAAUCUAUCCCCUUCCCUUAAUGCAGGAUGUGUGACAGGGCUAUGGCCAUACCUUAGGGUAAGAGUAAAGGAAGAUGUACCACCAUGAGCAUAUUAGCAAAGAUAUAAUUGUCGUUACCAACAUUGAAUGCAAAAUUAGCCAGCUACCGGUGAUCGCUAACAUUCCUGUCAAUGUUAUUGUCCAAGGCUGACACCUGUCAAUGCAACAAUUGGAUGCACAAACUUGAUUAGAAAACUACUAAUAAAAAGGAAGGAUUCCUGUUUGAACUUUUGACAAAACAAUCCUGGGAGCCAAAAUGGAAAAAAAUAAAAUUACAAAUACCCAUUAAAGUUGAGCAAACCAAUCUGGCCUGACUCAAGAGAUAUGAGCUAUAAUUAUUACCAGAACAUCCAUCUCUUGCUGUAGUUCACUUUCCUUGAUAUGGGUGAGACCUUGUACACAAGUUAUGUUAUCAUCAACAGGACACAUGCCGAUUUAUGUAUUAUAUAGCAUGGGAUCUCAAUCAUGGUAUUGGAGUCCUCACAAUAUAAACAUGGUCGAUCACUCUGGUCAUCAACUUUAUUAAACUCUUUGUGAAGAAGACUUAUUGGAAUUUCAUGAUGGAGGACGAAGUGUAUAUUUUCCAUUAGUAUCUUUGGAAUGAAAUCAGAUGCAUGAUGUGAGAUCGUGUGCCUAAGCAUCAUGAAAUAAGCCACAUCAUUUCCUAUUUUAAGCAAUCUAUAAGCAGCCUAGCUAUCCAUAUGGUAAAGGAGAAUGCAAUUUCUAAAAUGUGAAGAACCAAAAGCCACAUUUAAUCCCUAUAUCCAUAUGUUAAGUUUACAAAAGAACCUCUAAGCUCCGAUAUCAAGAUUUUAGACAACCCUAACAUCUUAAUGGCACUUUCUCUCCCAAAUUUCAAGUUUAUCAGACAACAUCCAGAUGGUGUAUAUGAAUAUUAGCUGAACACAUCUUACAAGGGAAGUUCACGGGUAUCAAACAGAGUUGCCUGAAGGGAGAACGCAUAGACUGAAACAUCUCUGAGAGUCUGCAAAGCAGGUCUUUCAAAGGAUUCUGAACAAUAAUAAUAUGAGUUAACAACUCGCCAUCAACAUUAGACAGAACUUGCAUCUUCACAGAGAUAUGACUGAAGUUGCACUGAUCAUACAUCUGAAUCAACUAUCCAUGGAGAAUGUUUGUUAAAGGAUUCCGUCGAUGCAAGUAAACAAGAAACAUGACAAAGUGUGUAGACCUACAUGUAAAGUAAUUCAGAGCUCCUAAAGAAUUCUAGAAAGCAAGUGCUUGAAGGCAGAUGACGAUAGCAUAAAACAAUGCAAGGAUUAAACAAAUAGGAAAUAAUUCAGAAUGCCUAAAACUGAAAAACAGUGUGCAAAUUACUGAUCAAAGCCAUAAAUUAUGUCGGUGCAGGUCGAAUUGAAUUGCUUGUCAAGAUAUCUAUGGAUUCCUUAGUCAUCCCAUUUUUUUCCCAGAAGGCACUCAGGCCAUCAACCAUGACAAUUUUCUAGACGCAUCCACAAAGGUUCCACAUCAUUCAACAUGGCAUUACAUAGAACUUUGUCCAAUACUCAUUCUCCUUCAAAGCCGGCUCAGUUGUACCCAAGUUCAACAACUUGGACAUGGAACCAUAUGCUAUAUCCCAAACAUGACUGCAGAGUGUGUUCAAUUGUCGCAAAAAUGACACUUCCAAUUACUAUCUUGACCUAAGAGAACCCCAGCAAGUUCAACGGUUGGUCAGGCAUGAAUGGAUCACCAUGACGCCUGAGCAGCAGCGACGCUCGCUGCUCUGCUCGCUCGAGCCGAGCCCGAGCAGCAGCGACGCUCGCUGCUCUGCUCGCUCGAGCCGAGCCCGAGCAGCAGCGAAGCUCGCUGCUCUGCUCGCUCGAGCCGAGCCCGAGCAGCAGCGACGCUCGCUGCUUUGCUCGCUCGAGCCGAGCCCGAGCAGCAGCGAAGCUCGCUGCUCUGCUCGCUCGCCCAGAUCUCGAGCGAGCAGACGAGCUGCUGUCGCAGAUCUGGGGAGCAACGCUCGCCCAGAUCUGCGAGAGUCGCUCGAGCAAGCGGCUCGCAGAUCUGGGCAAGCGCUGCCUCGAGCGAGCCCUAACACUCGAGCUCUCGCCGAAGUGAAGACAAUCAGUGAAGGAGGAGCAGUGACGACGUUUACCUGGUGAAGGAGCAGCGGCUGUCGAGACAGGCGCCGGAGAAGACGAUGGAAUUCUCUGCUCGCAGGAGGAGGCGCUCGUCGCAGGAGGAGAUGCUCGUCGCAGGAGACGCUCGUCGCAGGUCGGAGGAGGAGAAGCUCGUCGCUCGUCGCAGGUCGCCGGAGGAGAAGCUCUUCGCCCGUCGCUCGUCGCUUGUUGCAGGUCGCAGGAGGAAGCUCGUCGCGGGGGGGUGAGGAAGCCCUGUUCGAGCACGAUCGAAGAAAUAAAAAAGGAACACAAUUUUGUUCCUUUUUUGUUUCUGAUUUGUGUUUCAGAAACAAGAAACAAGUUUUUUUUGUUUCUUGUUUCUGUUUCUUUUGUGUUCCUGGGAACAAAAGAACAAAAAAGGAACAGAAACGCACACAAACGCGUUUCUGUUCCUUUUUUGUUCCCAGGAACAAAAGAACAGAAAUUUCUGUUCCUGGGAACAGAAACAAAUUGCAACCAUGCAGGCCCUUAUUGUCUGGGGAUUUUAAACUGCUUCCGCAUGUGCUUAAUAAAUGAAAGGGUCGGCGAUACAUUGUCCUGGGAUAUCGCAUUAUAAAAUCGACCAAGUGAGAAGGAUGUGUGCGUGCCCGAGGAUCGGGGCGUGACACGUUCAUUAUACACGAAAGAGGAUUUUCCCUCAAAGACAACAAGGUGAACGAAUGCAAGAGGUGGUUCUAGAACCAAGAUGAAAGGUUAGCUGAAGGAAAGCUCACAAAACAGGACACAACAAAAAAUGAACUCUAGUUCUAUGGACUUACCAUCAUCGACAAUCUUUGCCAAUCAAAUGAUACAUAUCUUAUCCAUCUCUAUUGAACCUCGGGCAAGCACCUACCAUGAGUUGACAAGAUUUUGGCACGCCCAGCACACUCUCCAAUGAUUCACAUCCAUAGAACAUCAAACUUUUCAGAUUCUGUAGAUUAUAACGAUCAGAUUCGUUUAAGCUUUUGACAGAAUUGCAACCCGAGAUAAACAAAGCCCGCAAUGAUUUCAAUUCUCCUAAACCCUGAAUCUCAGUUAGCAGAGGCAAUUGGCGCAGGGACAAACUCUGGAUCUUCUUCAAGCUAGUUAGAACGGGUAGCGUCUUCAGCAAUGGACAGUCUUCUAUCAACAAUUCAUUGAAUUUCCGUAGCUCUCCAAGCACCUCAAAUCGAAUCUCUCCUGGUGAAUAUCCAUAAACAAACAGCUUCGACAAAUUCUCCAAGUUGGAAAAGACUGACCAAUCUAUCGGUGAUUGCACAUUGUAUAAAUUUAACACUCGAAGGCUAGAUGGGAGCCCGAUAAGAGAUUGGGGCUCAGCACAACUUAUGGAGAGACUUCGUAAAUGAGAGAGGGAACUAAAAUCGGGCAAGGCCAUUUUUCCGAUGCACGGGGUCAAAUGCCACUAAGUAGGUAGUCUCACAAUGCCCUCUAUGUUGGUUUCUUGUAUUGAUGUUCCGAUUAUCUCAAGGUCAACUAAAUUGGUUAGGUUUGAGCAGUUGGGGAUCGUGGUCAACGAAUUUGCUGAAAAGGCUAAACACGUGAGACUCUUGGGAAGCUUCGGCAGCUGUUGGAUUGAAUUACAGCCCUCUAAAUUAAGUUCUUGCAAAUUUGUAAGCUGAUUGAUGGUUGUUGGCAAUCCACUAAAGCAGCCAUAGGAUAAUUCUAGAAUUUUCAAUGAGGAUAGUGCCCCGAUUUCACUUGGAAUUUCCCCCAUUAGAUGUACAAAUUGAGCAUGUAACUCUUCCAGAUUUUCCAACAUUCCUAUGGUUUUCGGAAGUUCACUUAUGUGGCUAGAAUUCAAAUCUAGUAUCUUCAACUUUUUGAGAUUUCCAAUGCAAUCAGGUAAGCUCCUAAUUCUUGAAAAGCUCAAAUCCAACUUGACCAAUAACUGGAGCCUCCCAAUUGAGUAUGGUAGCUUUUCUAGCUCGCAAACUGAGAUGCGUAAAACUCUUAACCUUUCUAAAUUUCCAAUAGAAUAAGGUAAUUCCCGGAUUUUUGAACAUUUGACACUUAGCUUAAGUAGUGACUCCAAUUUUCCAAUAGAGUCGGGAAGCUUUUGAAGUUCCUGACAAUUCAAGAUUAGAUGCUUCAGCUUCACUAAAUUGCCAAUUGAGUGAGGCAAAACUGAGAUUCUUUGAGCUUCUAUUCUUAGCUCUGUCAAAGAUUUUAGACGGCCAAUGGACUUUGGUAGUGACUUAAUAGCUUCAGACAUUAUUUUUAGGUAAUCAAGAUGCUACAAAUUGCCGAUGGACUUGUCAAUCUUUCUUAGAUGAGAGCAUAUAAUAAUCAAUCUCUCCAAUUGCGAGAUUGCAUAGAACUUGCACAUCUUUCUAAGGGAUGGACAAUCCUCGAGUUGUAGGACUUUCAACUGUUUUGCUACCUAUAAAGCAAUUGAGUUGAAUCUUAGAAAAGAAGAAGAGUAAAUGUAAUACAAAAGCAUGUCACGAGAUCAUACCAUGAUUUGACACCAUCCUUCCCAGUCUUCGUUAAUGUUAUUCCCCGAAAGCAUGACAACCACUAGGUUCUUCAACCCAAAGUUGGUUGCUUGGAAUUCGGAAGGGCAGUUGCUCCAAGAGAGCCAUCUUAACUCUGAGAAAAGAUCUUUAAAGUCUCCUUUAAAGUUUCCAUGGUCCAAUUGAAGGAACCUAAGGUUAACCAACCUCUUAAAUUCUUUACGUUUAAAUUUGUACGCUGCGUCAGGUUUAGGUGUGCCAAGAUUGAGGCCUACCAUGUUCUCAGUUCCCUAGAAGAUAAAAGUAGCAACCAAUGAGUACAUGUGUCAAUAUGACUAAUGAUACUAAUGGAAGGAUAAGGAAAAUAUUUAAAGGUAAAAAUUACCGUUUUUCUAUGCACUACAUGGAAGGCAUCCCUAGGUGACCACAAUCUGCUACUCCUUAGAUGUAUGUUGCAGCUUUCCGAGUGGACGAUAUCCCUUCCGAGGUCUCUAAGUUGAUCGUGCAUCCAUAAAAUAUCGUUGUCCAUGAUCUGUAUUAGAGACAUACAUGUGAGGGUCUUGACUUCGAUUUCAGUGGGAUACCCAAAGACCGCGUCCCAAUAUUUCAUUGCAAUUGUUUUAUAUUUGUCAAUGAAGAAACAUGCAAUAUCAAGAUAAAUUUGUUGUUGCUUAGCAUCCAAAGCUUCGUAGCUUAUCAUCAACUUCUUCUUCACAUCGUCAUUCAUCACAGUAUUUAACUUAUGUAGGACGUCUUCCCAUGUCUUUUCGGAUUUUCCGCGAAGUGUGGAACCUACAACAUCGAGAGCCAAUGGAAGUCCUCCAAGUGUAUUGAUUAGCUUAUUUGCAAUAUCCACGUAAUUAGAUGGAGGCUUGGCACAUCCCAAGGCAUGCUUACAAAAAAGUUGAAGAGCAUCAUGUGAAUUCAUCUCCGACAUAUUGUAGAAUGAAAAUUGUCCGCUAUUAGAGGCUGGGACAUUGUCAUCCUCAUCUUCAUUUACAAGGAAUUCAAUAUUCCUAGUUGUUAUGAUGAUUCUACUGCCCCCACCAAACCAGUUGGGCUCGCCGGUAAGUCUCAUGAUUUGGUCUUGACUGUCAAUGUCAUCAAGAAUAAUGAGAACUUUCUUGUCAUGAAAUCUUGUCUUGAUCAUGUCAACCCCUUCAUCAAUGAAGCAUAGGUCUGUGCAAUUCAAAUGGAGAAUGUUGGACAACAAUUUCUUUUGUAAGUUUAUUAUAUCAUGAGUCCGAACAUCCUUAAGAAAGCAGCAAUAUCUCUGAAAUUGAGAAGAGAUUUGUCUGAAGACAGUCUCAGCCAGUGUCGUCUUUCCGAUGCCACCCAUACCAUGAAUCACAAUAAACCUUACAUCAAAAGCUUCUAGAUCUAAUUGCUUCAUAAUCUCAUCCGUUCGAUCCUUAAUUCCCACCAAAUGAUCAGGCAAAUCUGUUCUUCUUGUCCAUAACAAACUUGAAACCUCUUUGACUGUGAGAAUCUUCAGUUCCUCUAGGCUACCACAUGCGUGACAUGCAAUCAUCUCAGAUUGAAAAACUAUAUAUACGGAAACUAUGCACACAUUACGUGGCACUGGAAGGUUAUCAUCAAGUUCAAAAUAAUUUGCUUUAAAAGAAAUCAACACAGAAAAGCAAUCUUUCAAGCUGUGAGCCAUUUGAAAACAAAAAACCGAGAGAGAGAGAGAGAGAGAGAGGAGGAACUUUAUUCAAGGUUGAAAGCUAAUGCUAUCAAGGUUCUUUGGUUUAGUCAAUGAUGGGAAAAGAUUAUUUCGUGACAAGGGUCUGAUUGGGCUUUGACUAGAAGUCAUUCCGGCAAAUUGUGACUAACUAGUGUUGUGAACCGUUGUAUUGGAAUAGGUUGUGGCAUUUUGUUCCAUUUUAUUGGAAAAUUAUGAAAUCAGUGUCAAAUUUAUUGUGUGAAUAUCAAUUCAAUUAUAAAAUUUUCAAUUUUAAUAAUAUUGUCCAAAACUUUUAUACAAAAUUUCAAUGUAGCCCUUGCAGUCAAUAUCCACCGAAAAUUGCUAAAGUGGCAAUCUAUGCAAGAUGUCAUUUCAAGUAAAAUUGCCCACGUCAACUUGCCACAUAGGACAACGGUGAUGAAUGGACGUCAUGUUAAUAAUUUCUCGCAGCAAUUGGGCAGAAAGAUUACAUUAAAAUUUCACGCAAAUACUUAUGACCACAUUAUCAAAAUUAAAAUGUCUUGUGCUCAAAUGUCAUGCACAAUAAAUUUAGAACUAAUUUGAUAAUUAUGCCUCCACUUCAUUUUAUACUUUUUCACACCGGUUGGUUUCUUCUUGUCGCACAGCUAAGAGCGAGACCUCUAGAAAUUUGGUUAAAUAUCAAGUCCUCGGUAAACUCGGUCUUGAUAAUCUCUUCAAGCGAUAGGGAUGAGUUUGAAGGUUAACAGAAAAUAAAAAAUCUCACUCGCAAUUGCCUUGAAUAUAGGAAACAAGAAUAAUCUCUCAAAAGCAUUUUUCUUAACGUACCCAUGGAAUAGAAUACUAACCGAAAAUGAGGAAAAUUUUCUGGAAUCUAUAUCAACCUUGAUUCGAGUUGCCAACAAACAUUUCUCCAAAUAAGUUAGAAAUAAUUUUAGGUUACCCAUUCUUUUUAUAAUAUUGGUAACUGCAAACUAGUUGGAACUUUAAUCGGAAUAAAUUGGUGAGUAACUCAACUUAGGAUUGAUAAUUUAACCAUAGAUUUCGUUGCCUAAUAAUGUUCGUAACUUGUGCAAAUAAAAGUUGGUGCGUUAUUAACGAAAGUUUAUGAAGGUUGGUUGUUUUGAAACAAAUAAUAAAUAUUGAUAAGUAGCUCAAAUAAGAAUGUGUAGCUUAAACUAGUUAUUAAUUUAAUUAGAAAUUAGUUAAUAUGACAAUCAUAUUAGAGUUAGUAAUUCGGUACAGGAUUUGGUAAUUUUGAGAUGUGGAGUAAACAAUAUGGUAAGUUGUGAAGAUGUUGUAAAUCGGCAAACAAUCUAAUAAACUUAGUAAAUGAUUUACAUAAAAGCCGGUAAGCUAAAACUAGUUUGUAAAACAAUGGAAAAAGAAGUUGGUAAGACACAAAUUAAAGUUGCUAAAUUCAUAUAAAAACCGAUAAUUUAAAAAUUAGGGAUGGGCAUGGAGCAUAGGAAAUUCGCGCCCCGCGGUGGCCUGCCUUGGAUGAGGCAAUUUUUUUGAGGAAAAUUUUUCUCAAAACAAUUGCCUCCCUGGGAAUGUUGCACGACACAAGUUGGGCAUGGGUGGUAAUAGGCUAGCCCUUCCCGUUCUCGAGGGUUGAAACUAUUAAUGCGUUUAACGAAAGAUAGAAACAAUAAGGUUUAAUGAAGAAGGAUGUAAGUAAGCAGAGAGUAACGGCUAGGGUUUAUAGAAAAACUAUCACAAACCAGGAUAAGGGUAGCUACAUAUCUCAAGGUAAUUUACAAUUGUUAAAGUACUUAUCCAUUUUCUAGAGGCUUUGAAAUUUCUCCAACCAUAGCUACAACUACUUGGAAGUCCCUUAGGUGAAUUUUUGGUUAAUCAAGAUAUGGGGCCAUGAAUAGGUCCAUGCUUAAAGCAACAGCAAGAACCAAUUUUUAUAUUUUAACAUUCUACUAUAAAUCACUAUAGAAUAAUAUUCAGUUUAAGGUUGCACAUCUUGUCUACGCACAAUUGGCCACUAGAGGAGCCUUUGACCCUUGCCCCACCACAGUGAAAACAAAAGCCCAAGAUUGAUAAUACACCUGGACCUAAGUCAGUCCGUCGCAAACUAAUCAAGAAUUACUCUAAUAAAAAAUAUACUGGAAGACCUCUAACAGUUACAGAGAUUCUUUUUUUUUUUUUUUUGGCUCUUUUGCGUAAUGGCACAAAGAUCUUUGCAAUGUUCGGUCUUGUAUACUCAAACCAAAUAGAAAAACCAUAACCUAUAGUUUCCUCUUAUGGGGUUAAAAAACUAUCAUCAUAAAAAUCUCCGUUAUUUUUGUGUAACUCGGUGGUGCGACCGUAAUUAGCCGGUUAUUUCAAGGGAAACAGCAGCAAAGCAUAUGAAUUCCCUAGGGCUGAAACCAAAACCACAAGGAUCGGUUUCUUACUCUUGGCCGUAAGUUUUUGGAUAUCGCAUAGACUGCGAUAGACUAAGUCUAUGACAUAAUUUCUCUAUGUUUCCUUAAUGUAACAAAAACAGAAAGAUCUAACAUCAAACUCAAUCUAAUUUUUCAGGAAAACAUUAUAGGCAUAGGGUUAAGGAAAAUUACACCAAAAGUCCUUAAUUUCAUGUACGGAAUGCAAUUGAAGUUAAGAAACUUAAAUUUUUUAUUUUUCACAUAUAUAUGGUCUUACUAUUUUAACAUAUCUUAGAUCUUAAUGGAUAUCUUGGUAUUUUGGCAUUAUAGAUUAAUUGAUUAAUUAAGUUGCUAUACCUUAACUUUAAUUGUUAUAAAAACUUGAUAUUAAAAGGGAAAAGUCAAUUUGUGCAAGAAACCUCGCCCUCUGAGCAAUAUUUUUGGCUCCUCAUAGCGUCAAAUCCAACCAUACGUUACAUAAGGUUGGACAGCAGCAAACCGAAUAGUUAUUCUUUAAAGGAACGAGAAAUUGAAAAUCUCAACAAAGAAAAUAAAGUCAAUGGAGAAGCAAAUAAUACCCGGCUUCCUUCCUCUAAUUCUAGCAACCUUUCUUAAAGCCUUCUUCCACUUCUUUACUAAAUCCUUCCCGUAGUCGCUCUUGUGCUUCCGAAGGGCUUUCCGAUAUAACUUAGUCUUAAGCUUGACAUCAUCCACGUCCACGUCGUAAAAUAUAGGGAGGAUCACUUUCUCAUCGUUAGCUGUCGAUUGCUCCACCAUGCGUGCCAGUUCACGGAGGCACCACUUACUUGAAGCAUAGUCCUUGGAAAAAAUCGGGAUGUAAAUUCUGGAGUCAUUGAUCUUUUGCAAGAGGCCUUUGAUCUUUUCGCCAAAUCGGAGCUCUUCGUCGUCUCUAAAAACGCUGAUGCCCGCACGGUCCAAGUCAUGGUAGAGACAAUCAGCAAUGGUUAAGCGAGUGUCGGGCCCUCUGAAACUUAGGAACACCUCGUAACCCCUCCCCGAUCCACCAUCACGGCUACUGCCUGUCCCAGCUACCGUCGCCGUCCCUUCUCCCUCCCUCUUUCUCUUCAUUCUAGUAGCAAGACGGAGUGAUGGAUCCCCGAAUUGAGUCUGCCCAGUGACUUGGGAAGUCUUGAGUUUGAUCCUUGUAACAACUUGACGACACGACGGAGAGAGAUCUCUCACUUUCGCUGCGUUCGCCUGGAAGAUACCUGCGGCCUUCCUUCGCAAGUGAAAAAACCAUUCAGAUCGACAAAAUAAUUGCUUCGAAGAGGAAACACGGAAGGAGAGAGAGAGAGAGAGAGAAAGAGAGAGCUGUGCAUCACUUUUCACCUUCAAGCCAUGAGUGGGGAGUGGGGGACCAUCGCUUCCAAUCUCGCCAAGCCCAGAUCCGGCCUCGUCCGCUGCCUCGAGGAGAGAGUCGGGGACGGAGACGGUGGCUUGGGCGAGAGGGGACGCGAAACGAUCGGCGCAGGCGAUGGCUGGGGGCUCUACGACGAGAGGUGACGGCACGGCAAGGGGAUACGACGUCGAACUCGACGGCGACGGCGACGGCGACGGCGACGGCGAGGUGGCGGAGGCUUGCGGUGACCGAUUGGUGGAGGGGAGAGACUGAGGGAAGAAUAGGAGAUUUUUCAGAGUCCGGAUAUUUUUUUAUGGAAAUUCGUCAAAUAGCGAGCAUGGAAGCUAUAUCAAUCUGAGUUUUGGUCUUGCUCCUGAAAUUGCAAAACACGUUAUGAGUGUGAACACUCACACGAACCUGUUUGAUGUGGAAUUUGACUGCGUGCAGACGAAUUGACUAGACAAACGUACGUGCUUUUGCUUUUGCUUUCGCAAGUGGUUCUGACAAAGAAUUGACCAGACAAACGUACUUCGGUUAUUUUGGAGAAAAUAUUAUGUAGUCCCGGAUCACCGCGUCACCGUGCGCCCGCCCAAUGAAGAGACGACACAUGGCUCCACGUGNNNNNNNNNNNNNNNNNNNNNNNNNNNNNNNNNNNNNNNNNNNNNNNNNNNNNNNNNNNNNNNNNNNNNNNNNNNNNNNNNNNNNNNNNNNNNNNNNNNNNNNNNNNNNNNNNNNNNNNNNNNNNNNNNNNNNNNNNNNNNNNNNNNNNNNNNNNNNNNNNNNNNNNNNNNNNNNNNNNNNNNNNNNNNNNNNNNNNNNNNNNNNNNNNNNNNNNNNNNNNNNNNNNNNNNNNNNNNNNNNNNNNNNNNNNNNNNNNNNNNNNNNNNNNNNNNNNNNNNNNNNNNNNNNNNNNNNNNNNNNNNNNNNNNNNNNNNNNNNNNNNNNNNNNNNNNNNNNNNNNNNNNNNNNNNNNNNNNNNNNNNNNNNNNNNNNNNNNNNNNNNNNNNNNNNNNNNNNNNNNNNNNNNNNNNNNNNNNNNNNNNNNNNNNNNNNNNNNNNNNNNNNNNNNNNNNNNNNNNNNNNNNNNNNNNNNNNNNNNNNNNNNNNNNNNNNNNNNNNNNNNNNNNNNNNNNNNNNNNNNNNNNNNNNNNNNNNNNNNNNNNNNNNNNNNCGUUGUUUUACUGGGCCAGCAUCACUUUUCAGAGAACGUUUCACGUCCCCCACCCCAUCUCUCUCUUCAUUAAAUGCUUUAUCCUUCUCUGCAUCCUUCUUCUCCCGCUCGCACGCCCCUCUCUCUUUCAAAAUUUUAGAGAUCUCUAUAUUUUUCCCCAUCAAAGCCGCACAACGCCCGCCUUCUCUCUUUUUCAAAAAUCUCUCCCUCCCAAAAGCCCGCCCGUCGCCUCCGAGCUCAGCCACCUCCGCCGUUGCCGCCAGGAGCCACUCACUCCCUCUCUCUCCCUCGUCUUCGCUCUCUACGGCGCUCGCUCUCUCCGGCGCUCGUGUUCGUGCUAUAUUUGAGCCGACGUCAUUGGCCAGGUUCCUGCUCCCGUCGACGUCUACCGCAAGCUCGCUCGACCUCACCUCCAUCUUCACUGUCACUCUUGGCCUCUCCCUCGCUCCCGCUCUCCCUCCUUUGAUCUUCCCCCCGCCUCGUGCUGCCGUUCCGUUCGAGAACUCGAACCCCCCGAAGUUGGUGUUCAGGAAGACGACCUCCCCAAUCGGCGACGCGGUCGAGGGAACUAAGAAGGAGGCCGCGGUGGAGUAGUGGAGGGACUUGACGUCGACGCGGCGAAGCCUGAGCUCGAGGCUCUUGACGCGGAGAAGAUGGGUGUGGAGGAUGCAUUGAAGAAAUCUGAGGAGAAGGCAAAGGAGAGAACUAGGCUCUUGCUCGACAAUGUUGAAAAGAACUAGGAUUCUUGGAAAUUUCUUUUUUCAACAAAACUAUGUUUUAUGGAAGAAAAAUCUAAGAGAGAAAAAAGAAAUAGUGUUUUCAAUAUAUUUGAAAUACCUAUAAUAAAAAAAUUAAAAAAUAGACGUGAAAUUCUUAAUUAUGGUAAUUGAAUCCUACAUUAAAAUAGAAAAACUAAAAAAAAGUCAAUGAAUUUGGGGCAACCAAUUAAAUUGCAAUUGAAUGAUUUGGCACACUUUGACCUUUUUAAUGAAAAUUGGGUGAAUUUAGUCAUACAUGAAAUGGAUUUCUCCAUCAACUUUUUGCCGUAAGCCAGGAGAGGCUUGGUCAUCAUCACUCAUCAAGAAAAUGUGUGUAUCCCAGAAAAUAAAUAAAUGUAGGCCUUUUUAUGGUAAGAAUGCAUAAAUUACGGGAGGAUAAAUAAACUUUGAAGAUACAAACUUCCAAAGAAUUAGUUAGGAAUUGGUUAAACAACCGAAACGCCCAAGUCACCACAAGAUCACAAACAACAGUAGCCGGAUCAUCAAAUGCAUCAUUCUUGCAACAAAAAUCUCUUGAAGCCACAUUGCUGCUGCACAAUCACCGCAUGAAUAUGUUGCAGUAAUGAAAAAAAUCAUUUCCGAAAUUAAGGGGUCCAAUAGUGAAAAGCUAGCUCCCACCAAUCACAUCGUAAUGAAGAUGCAAAAGAAGAUGAUUGGAAUGGGGUCCACCUGUUAGAAGAAGAACAAAAUCACCAAGGGAAGACACCCGCUAAAAAUUGUAGCAGCAUGUGCAAUAAUAGUGGUCACCGUCCAAUCACUGCAGCAGAAUUAUUGCUUAAUUUCACUAUGCCAGCGGGCUUAUGGUACUAGCAGACAAGGGGUGCGUUUGGAAAGAUUUUUGGGGAAAGUCCUUGAGAAAAUGUAAAGGCCUUUGAGCUAAAAGGGUUUUUGAAAAUGCAAAUUGUAUUUGGUAAAUCGUAUUUGUGAAAGUCCAUUGUAAAGUAUAUUUGAGCAAAAUAGCGUUUGGACAAAUUAACUUUGCAAAAGACUUUUAUUAUAAAAAAAAAAGGAAAAAAAUGAGAAUUGGUUGGUUACCGCCGGCGAGGGUCGCAGCAACCCCAAUCGCAACCAGAUCAUCGCGACCAGAUCGCACGAUCUGGGUUGCUGGAGGUCGCGCGGCCCAAAUCGGUCGCGGCGACCUCCGGUGACCCAGAUCUGCGUGCGAUUUGUGUCAUCGGAGGUCGCGUGGCCCAGAUUUGGGUCGCAGCGACCUCCGGUGACCCAGAUCUGCCGGGGGUCGCAGUGUCGCCGGGGUUGCAACGGUCUGCGACCCAGAUCUAGGUGGUUGCCGGGAGUUGCAGCAGUCGCGGCGACGUGACUCACAGGGGGUCGCCGAGGUCACGCGACUGGCCGCCGACGAUCGCCAUGGCGCACAGGCCUCUUGCCGACCUCUGUCCAGCUCGUCACCGGCCAUGGGCAGCUCUGCGCAACUUCGUCGGCCAUCCUCAACGAAGAAAAAGAUGAAUAGUAACGAGGACAAAACUGGAAAAACGAAAUGUUAGUGAGGACAUUUGUGGAAGAAAUUUUUUUAACUUACUCUCCCUUAGCCUUCCAAGAAGGCCGAAUGCCCAAGGCAACCCCCAACCUACCUUGGGCUUUCAACCUUGGGAAGGCUUGCCUUUGGCAAAGGCAAGUAAAAAAUUUUUUGUCAAACACUGAAUAUUUGGUCCAAAGGCCUUUAGGGGGCUAAAGAUCCUUGGCAAAGUGGUUGCCAAACGUAGCCAAGAUACUAUUCACCGUCAGAUUAUUGCAGCAAAAUUAUUACUUACUUUCACUAUAGAACUUUUACUGUACAAUCACGUGCAAUUGCUUUUGUUUUGCUCAUUCAAUUCAGAAGGAUUAGCUUUUGUCGGUUGGAGCCAGAAUUCCAUUCUACUUUUGCUAAGCCCAAAAAAUCAGAUCUCCUUAUAUUUAAUCCGAUGUCGCACUAAGUGGCAUGAUCAAUUUAUCCUUGAUCAGCUGAGCAAUAAUUUUAUAUGUGAUAAGUAUUGUAUUGAAAUGUAAUGCACUAUUAAAAUCCUUGUUGGUCCUUCUUGAUUGAUAACAAAAAUUUAAAGGCCCUUUUGAUAAUCUAUCUAAAUUUGUCAGAUAAAUUCAAGAUUUUGAUCUAACAUUUUGAAUCUUUAUUUUGAAAUAAGUUCAAAAUCUUUGCUAGUCCUUCUUGAUUUAUCCGAUCAUCCCAUUAUACAUAUAUAUAUGUGUGUGUGUGUGUGUGUGUGUGUGUAGAAGAUUAGAUAAAUUUCCACGCAUGCAUGCAUGCAUGUAUGUAUGUAUGUAUAGAAGAGAACUGAUAAGAGGGAAUUUUAUUUGGUCAAAUGAUAAAAGACGGAGUUUGAUAGUGAUAUGCACAACAAAAUUGAAAAUUUGUAAACAAGUGUUUGUGUCAAAAAAUUAUUUAUAUAAUAAUUUUUUCUAGAUUCAUCCUUAAAUUUUCUUGACAUACUAGGUUUCUUGGAAAUUUCCUUCUUAGACAAAACUAAAUUUUAUGGAAGAAAAAUCUAACAGUGAAAAAAGAAGGGUUAAUACCCUAAAAAACCCCAAACUGGUACACUUGUGACAAAUUUACCCAAACUAUUUUUUUGACCAUAAAAAACCCCAAACUGGUAAACUUGUGACAAAUUUACCCUGACUGACUAUAAAAAACCAUAAACCGGUACAUUUAUGACAAAUUUACCCAAACUAAUUUAUCCGACUGUAAAAAACCCUAAACUGGUAAUUUUUUGUUAAAUAUAUCCUAUGCUAAAUUGGAUUAAUACCACAAAAAAAUCAUAAAAAUUGUAAAUUGUGAUAAACAAAGCAUAAAAUCCUAAAUUGGUAUACUGGUUAACUGUCACGUGUCAUUUAACUUAAUAAUUUGAGAAUAAAAUUUAACGAAAACCAGCAUAGGGUAAAUUUGUCACAAGUGUACCAGUUUGGGGUAAAUUUGUCAAAGGUAUACCAGUUUGGGGUUUUUGGUGGUCAAAAAAAUAGUUUGGGGUAAAUUUGUCACAAGUGUACCAGUUUGGGGUUUUUUAGAGUAUUAACCCAAAAAAGAAAUGGUGUUUUAAAUAUAUUUGAAUACCUAUUAUAAAGAAAAACUAGACAUGUGAAAUUCUUAAUUAUGGUAACGAAAUCCUACGUUGAAAUAGAAAUUUUUUUUUUUUUAUGAAUUUGGGGCUAUCAAUUAAAUUGCAACUAAAUGAUUUGAAGCAAUUUUGUCUUUUUAGUGAAAAUUGGGUGAAUUUAGUUAUUUACAAUAUAGAUUUCUCCAUCAACUUUUUGUCAUGGCCAGGUGAGGCUUGGUCAUCACUCAUCAAGGAAAUGUGUGUAACUUGGGAAAUAAAUGCAGGCUUUUAUGGUAAGAAUGCAUAAAUUGCGGGAGUAGGAAUAAACUUUGCUAUAUGCGCUCUUUGAUGAUACAAAUUUCUAAAGAAUCAGUCCAAAAUUGGUUUAAACAACUAUUAUGCCCAAAUCACCACAAGAUCACAAACGACAUUAGACGGAUCAUUAAAUACAUCAUUCUUGCAACAAAAAUCUCUUGCAGUAGCCCUACCUUGCUGUUGCACAAUCACCACAUGAAUAUGUUUCAGUAAAGGAGAAAAUCAUUUCUGAAAUUAAGGAGCCCACCAACUAUGAAAAGCUAGCUCCUACUAAUCACACCGUAGCAGAGAUACAAUAGAAGAUGACUGCCGUGGGGUCGACUUGUUAGAAGAAGAACAAAAUCACCAAGAGAAGAUAGCCACUGGAAACUGUAGCAACAUGUGCAAUAAUAUUGUUCACCAUCCAAUCACUACAGAAAAAUUAUUGCUUAUUUACACUAUGCUAUCAGGUCUCCAGUACUAGCAAACAAGAUACUAUUCACCCCGAGAUCAUUGCAGCAAAAUUAUUGCUUACUUUCACGGUGGAACUUUUAUUAUACAACCAUGCGCACUUGUUUUUGUUUUGCUCAUUAAAUUCAGAAGGAAUUCAACCACAAAAAAUCAUGAGGAUUAGCUUUUCCUCAGCCGGAACCAAAGUUUCAUUUUGCUUUUGCUAAGCCCAACAAAGUAGAUCUUCUAAUAUUCAAUCCAUAUUCGCACUGAUUUGCUUGAUCAAUUGAUACUUGCCUUUAUUCCACUUACUAAUUUUAUCUUGUGCCAUGAAAAAGUUGUGAAAUGUGAAUUCGGCUCCAAGUCGCCUUUUGCUUUCAAGAGUUGUAGAUUGAUUGUAAUGCAAGAUGUAACAUUAAUAGACUGUUUGAGAAAACAAACAAAUUUUCCCAAAUUCACUAAUGGCCUUUUGCAUGCCAUCAUCUUGGUAUAUUCAUGAUCAGAGGAAUAAUUAGUGUACAUAAUAAAUAUACAUUCUUUCUACAUGGAAAAAAAAAUAUUGUCCCAUUGUGACUUUUAAUUGCCUCCAUUGAAUUGUGAUCAUAUACUUUUUCCCAUCAACUUUUCUAGAAAUUCGCAUUCAUUCGGAGGUCAUAACUCUUCGGGAAGAUGUGCGAGACCCUCCUACCAAGGAAUGGCUUGCAUCACAUAAUGUGGAGUUCAACCUCGGAAAUACUAUUUGGCCCAUGAAAGUCCCCAUACAUAUAUUGGACUUUGCGAGCCUAGCAGUAGGGUUGAAGUUGAGUCCAACUUAGGACUAAUUCAAGCUUGACUUAAUAAAAUAAUUAGUUGAAAUCAACCGGUCUAGUUUGGAGUUGAGCUUAGACUAAUUGAAGCUUGACUUAAUAAUUAAUUGAAAUCGACUAGUCUGGUUUUGAGUCGAGCCUAGACUGAAGUUAUACCAAGAAUUUCAUCGAGUCAAGAUCAACCUCGAGAGAAUCACAAUUCCAAUCCAAUUUCUAUUAUUUUGUUCAGAAAAUAAUUUAUAAUCAUGAAAAUAGAGGGGAAGACAUUUGCAAAUUGUAGUAUACUUAAAGCACAUAAAUGUAGAGGAUAAUACUUGAAGUUAGUGAGCUUGAGCUCAAGCCCAUUCUUUAAUUUGAUUGUUUCGAGUCGACUUGAUCUUGAAUAUCUCGAUUCUAGUUUGGUGAAGCUCAAGCCAAACUUUUAAUACUCCAUGAUUUGAGGGGAGUUUCGAGCAUCGAAUAUCUAAGAGGAGUUGAACUCAGAGCUUGGCACUAUUCUAUAGGCUUGAACUGAAAAUUUCACUUAGUAAUGUACUUACAUUAAAAAAUUAAAAGUUGCAAAAAGUUUAUUAUAGUGAUAUAUAUAUACAAAUUGCCAUGGCACGGACUUUCUACCCAGACUGUACCUACAUUGCUCUAAUAUAAUGGAAAUCUUCAAGAUCUGACAACAAGAGACCAACCAAAUUACAGCAUUAAGUCACUUGAUCCAAAAACACUCCUGCUGACGCGUAUUCCUCAGUGGACCCCAAGCAGGCCCAUGUUUCUCCCCCGAAUUCAAAUUUAAAUUGGUUCUUACUAAACAUACAUAGUCAAGGUGAAACGACGAAACAUUGAUGGAUCCAACAUCAACUCAACACUAGCACACUGCACACAGUAAGUGAAAACUCAAGCUCAAGAGGUUCUCAAGAAAUCGUUUACAUGACAAGCUUUGUGUAAUGCAGUAAAUCUAACUCAACCUAACCAAAAUCACCCAUAGUCAGUCUUAACCAUGAUCACAAAACGGUACAUAAUUCAUUCACCUAAUCGAAAAUGGGGAGAUCAAAGUCAUACUCUCAUUCAGGAGUACGCAUUCUCCUACCAUGAUCCGAGUUGAAAAGACUCCUUUAUGAGUCUUUGGCAGGAACACCAGCUUGACGGAUUCUCUUUUGGUGAACAUCCCAAUUAUACACACGAGCAAUCGUAACCUGCCAAAAAGGGCUGUUUCAAACCACACCCCACCCCCACACCAAAAAAAAAAAAAGUGAGAAAAGUUUCCCAGGGUCACCAAUCUAAUUGCCAUGAUAAACUAAAGGAUAUGGUUCAGCUUUGAAUUUUUUCAAGUUCACAUUCGUGCAAACCUACCACGCUCCAACUUAUCACCAAUUAACAUGUCUUCCCAAUUUAUAGCCUCACGCCAGUUAGAAAAUUCAGAACAACGGUAGUUCGACCCCAAUAGACCUCGCCAAAACUGACAUAGUAAACGGCUUGAAAUAAACAAGGACCUCCGAGUUCCAAAUAAUUCUCACUUAUCCGAGUGAUUGUUACUUGCUCCCUUAAGAAUUGUAGAUCAGCAACAAGAACUUCUAAACUUGCUUUAGCAUUUUCUAAGUUCUUUUGUAGAUGGGUUGUGGCCUGCAACAUAAAUUUAUGCAAUAAAUAAGAUACUUGACAUCAUUAUUGGAAAGAAAGGGACAUUGCUUAAACUCGGGUACAACCUCUUCACAUGAAUACUCCAACAUAACAUUUGCUCCCAGCCAUAGACAUACUGAAUCAGUAUCUUCAAUGCGAGCUCGAGAAUAUAUGCCUUCAGAGACUUCAAAAUCAGCAAGGAGUGCCUGUAUACAAAAUAAAGAGUCAUGAAAACCAGUCAGCUUGGUGCCUGAUAUCUUUUGCGCCAUUAAAGUUUUGAUAGUCUUAGGUCUUAAGCCCAAUACAGUAAUCCCAUCGCAUGUCAGUUUCUAAUCGGACCUUCAGACACCAAAGCAACUAGCUAAACAUUACUUGUGAUAUUCCGGCGUUCAAAUCUAAAACCACCCCAUUAUGGAGAUCAGCAUGGGCUCUUCAAAGCACUAACCUAGAUUAUUAGGAAUAUUGCUUCCAGAAGUGCAUUUGCAAAGGAGAAACGCCAAUUGGAUAUUUCACAUCAUGUCAACCAUACCAAAGUUAGUUCCUAGUAUGGCAAGAAUUAAACUAGCCUAUUCUCCAUUUGCUUUGUAAAGAUAGAAAGGGGUAAUAUGCUCAGCUAAGAGAGCAUCGAGGAGCAAGAAUAUUUUUUUAAGAUAAUAGUUUUUAGCAUAACAAGAUUAUGAGAAAAAUUUAGUUGACAUCAUAUAUAAAAGAUGACUGAUAGAUUGUCGAGGAUUCAAGAUGAAAAACAGAAACUGCAAAGGAAAAAAUUGGUGGAUUCUAAGACAAUACAAAGAACUCCAGCGGAUAAAAUGAGAAAGAACUCCGGAUUGAAAAUAUGAUCUGGUUACGCGAUAUCAAGCUUACUUUGUGAAAAGCCUCAAUGUCAGUAGCACGAGUCCGACAGAUACCCAUUAAGUAUCCUCAGUUAAAAUACCUGCACCGAAAAGUGUUCAGCUUGAAUUUCAAACUUAAAUUCCAGUUCUGAGGCUAUGAUUCAAUCUUACUGUAAUAGAAACUCGAGCUCAUUGUGCACGCAUAUAAUGGUGUUCUCAAUCUGUCACGCCCCGAUUCUCGGGCACGCACAUAUCCUUCUACUUGUUCGAUUUUAGAAUGCGAUAUCCCAGGACUAUGUAUCACCGACCCUUUCAUUUAUUAAGCACAUGCGGAAGCAGUUAUUAAUCCCCAGACAGUAAAUCAAUGGGAUAGAAAAGCAGGACCAUAUUUUUUAUAUUGAAAUUUAUAACCAAUCUUUUAUACAAAACACAAACCAAAGUACUCCAUAACUAUUCACAUCAAAAUGGAGUUCAGGAAAGAAAAUGGAAUCUCAGUUCAUCCGGCUGUACUCAAGGCCCCUCUUGGUUUUAUCUUCUUCUUCCAAAAAUCCUUCUUCUUAGGUUUCACCUCAGAGUACUCCUUCUCAGAUUCCUCCCCAGCUCCUCAUCAGGUCCUGAAAUGUUUUCCCCAAACCGGAAUGAGAUUACGUCUCAGCGAGUUCUACCCCACUAAGGCCCGAUUAGUAAACCAAUACACCUUACGGCUGCCUAUGCACCACAUGAGUUAGAGGACUUACCUUGGCCUCAGUUUUCAUCUGCAUAUUAGCACAUAUCAAAUAGGCAUCUAAGCAAUCACAUCACUGAUCGAGGCAUCGAUCAAAUCGACCCAAUCGAUUACAUGUCAACAAGACCAUUAACGGUCAUUUUCGUUCAAUUAAGCAAUUUACAACAUCAGAUCAAAACAAUGAUCAAUCGACCUAGUCAAUUACAUGUCAACAAUGACCCUUCCCCGGCCAAUUCAGUUCAAUCAGUCAAACCAUGACAAACGAAUCAAAUUAUAUCGGUGAUUCCAUCUAUACUCGAUAAUUAAUCUCAACAUACCAAUUCAACAUUCCCACUCAAAUAUAGGCUCAAGGCGCUAGAGGUGACCCCAACACAAAGUCUCGUCAUUGUGCAAUACUUAGUCCUUGACCACAAAUAACAAUAGUAUAAGGCGCUAGAGGUAACUCACACGAAAUCUCGCUAUCGUGUAGUACUUAGUCAUUCACUACAAAAUACAGUAGGGUAAGGUGCUAGAGGUGACUCACACGAGAUCUUGCCAUCGUGUAGCGCUUAGCCCUUCACUAUACAUAACAAUGCUGCAAGGCACUAGAGGUAAUUCCCAUGCGACUUAGGUCGCCAUAUAACACUUAGCCCUUAACUACAAUAAGCAAUGGUAUAAGGCGCUAGAGGUAACUCACACGAAGUCUUCUAUUUGUGUAGUACUUAGUCCUUUACUUGCUCAUGAUCCAUUGGUUUCCCUCAACACAACACACAUCACAUCAACUUCCAAUAAUCAUCUUGCUUCAACUAUAAGCAACACACGAUUAAUCCCUCACGGCCCAAUGACAUUGUGCCUCGCACUUAACUUCCUCAAUUAAAGUAAUAUCUUGACCUCAUUUCUUCGUAUUAAAAAUACUCGAUAAAAUAUCGUGCGUGGGCACACGGCUGGCCUUAGCCAAAAUCUAAUAUUUUCCUUUCCAUAACUCCCACGUUUUCUAUAGUCCGCUCAAAUAGUUUUGGCAUUAUCAACCGAUGCCCGGUUAUUUUUCAAUUAAUAACCAAUGAUUUCCAAUUAAAGAAUAAUUCCCAUCCUUCGCAAAUAAUUCAAUUCAACACAAAAUAAAGCUCCAUUAAAUAAACGGACUUCACCACGACGAUCAUCACGAAAUUUCAGUCAUCGACUAACCCAACCUUAAUUUCCGAAAAAUAAAUAAAUAAUUAAUUAAUUUAAAAAAUUAAUAAUUAAUUGCAAUAAAUCCAAUUUAGCUCAAAAUAAAUCCCAAAUUAAAUAAGCGGGCUGCACCACGAUCAUUAGCAUAAAAAUUCGGCCACUAGCCAUCCAAGUUGAAUUUCCGGAAAUUAAUUAAUUAAUUUCGAGAAUUAAUAAUUAAUUACAAUAAAUCAAAUUUAACUCAAAUUGGCGCUCAAUUAAAUAAACGGACUUCACCAUGAUCAUCAGCAUAAAAAUUUGGUCACUAGCCAUCCAAGUUGAAUUUCCGGAAAAAAGUAAUUAAUUAAAUUAAUUUCAAAAAAUAAUAUUUAAUUACUAAAAAUUCCACAUAGGCCCGAAUUGUCAAAUUGAAGCCCGAUAGGGGUCGGGAAAAAUCCCGAGCUACCUUCAAUAAAUAGUAGACCACGUCUACUUGCUAAAUACACACUUAAUUUAUCUAAUUCGCAUCAUAAUUGAUUAAUAAAUACUAAUUUAUACUAAUUGUGACAUCCUGAAUUUCAGGUUCUGAUUUUGAUUGGAUAAAAUGGGCCUUUCGUCAACGUGACUAUAGUGUUUUUCUCUGAGUUGGCCACUCAUGAGAUAACUGGCCUAUCCGGUGAAGCCAUUCAGGGAUUUUAAAUGUAAUAGACUUGAGAAUUCGACCAGGAAUCGACUGCUCGACCGUGCUAGUCUGCAAGGGUCAUUACGGCAUUGUCAAAAUCGAUCAGAGACCGGAGAUAGAUCGAUUCAAUUGAGAUGUGUGAUCAAGUGUGGGUGAUGCCACCUGACUGCAAAAUUCUCAUCGAUCGGCACUAAACCGAUUUUCUGUCGUUUUGGGUACCCUGUGCCCGUAUUUGAAACCUUGAGAUUUUCACGAUUAUCGAGAGUCGCCAAUGUGUCGGACGGGUUCAUUGUGGUUCAAAGAAAAUCAACCACGGGUCAAUUGCACCAAAAAUUCCUAGAAGCUACCCGGUAGGUAAGGUCACACUAAAAGCACGUUUGAUUGAAAAUAACCGCGAAUUUGAAUUCGAUUUCAGAAAUUGAGAGUCCUGUCGUGUCAUGAGUUAUUCCGGGGAUGUCGACUCACAUUUUGAGGAAAUUCCGGCGAGUUCGGGAUUUUUACGGAAAACCGGAUCGGACAAUACGGAAAAUGAGUGGAAAUUCGGAUUGGCUAAUUUGAAGAGACUUUUGACAUCUGGUGUAAAUGAAUCGGUGGAUGGAAGUUGUUUAGGCUUUUUCUGAUUUCAAAUUGGACCUCAACCGAAUUUAUUCGUUCAGAAAAUCGGAUUCCGAGAAAAAUGAAAUAAAAAAAAUCGGUUUUGAAGGAAAUUCGUGAGAUGGAGAAAUCGAUUCAUCCCGUUCUUCAAUGAGACUUCAAAUUGUGCAAUUGGUAAAGAAUUAGACCCAAGAUGACCAAUCGACGAAGUUGGUUGAAGUUGAGCAAAGGGUGUUCAUGUUUUGUUUAAUUUUCUCUCCAUUCUCCUUGGAUCCACGCACUCAUGCACGUACCCCUCUUCGGCCGACAACACCCAAGCACAUCUUCACCUUGAAAAUUUCUUUGGUCUUCAUUUCUUUAAAUGUUGACCAAUGGGAUCCCCCUUCCUUCCUAUCCAUUUGCGGUCACAUCUCCCCCUCUCUUUUAUUAUUUCUCCAUUUUUCGCACGUUCCUCAUUACUUCAUCCGACAAUCUCUCUCUCGCACGAAACCCCCCCUGCAGUCUUCAAUUUCUUCUUUUCCUUUGACCAGUCUUCUCUUUUAUCCUUUUUCACUUGCUUCCCACGCCAGGGCAGCUGAACCCUACUCCCUCACGUCUUCUGCUUUCUUUAAUUUGCUUGGACGGAAGCAAAUCCGCAGAAGCAGCCCCACGAUUCCUCUUCUCGUCUACCAUGGCCGCACUCACACAUGCCCUCAUCCCCACCGAAGCCACCACUUGUCUGCAGCUCAUCUUCCCCGAGUCAAACCAGCGGGUUCUCCAGCGAAGCCUCCCUCAAUUUCUUCGCAUCUCUCUCUACCGAAUUGCUACCCCACGUUCCUCCAUCGAAGACCCAACUGAAAUCCCUCAACCGCUUCCCCUCUACUAGCAAAUUCUCUACGCCAGCAUCACCUUGUUGACCUCCUGUUUUGUUGACCACCGAGCGGGCUUCAAUCCGCGUGUCUUCCAUCUUCGGCCAACAGCUGCUCCCUCCGUCUCUGCCACAUCCCAGUUAACCGAAGUAGCGUUGAAAGCAACGAAAUUAACUCAGCAUCGGACGAAGUUCCCUUGCCAGCGAAGCUCGAAGCAACCGAAGUAGCAGUCCAGCGUUUCCGCGUGGUCUUCCCCAGCUCGACGCCGUAAGCCGCUACUUCCUUCGCUCACUUGUCUUCGGCCCAGUCCGUGAGGCCAGCGUCCAUUUCUUUUGCUCGUGGACCAACCACAGCGAGCCCACUCUGAUUUUUCAGCGGCCCAAUACAACAGUUCAGCCCGCGUGGAGCUCGACCCAUUUUUAGCACUAUCAGCCCGGCAAGCCUAACCUGUUUGCAGCCCAGUUUUUGAGGCCCAAUUUCCAGCAAAUCAAUUGAAGUCAGGCCCACCGAAUCAGUAGACUCAGCCCAGCUCGAGCAGCGAGCUUUUAGGCCAAUUUCGGCCCCGGUUUGACCCCGGUUGGCGGACCCACUUCGAAGAGAAUCGAGUCUUGUCGCGUGCUCGUCGAUUUGAUUCAAUCAAAUCUUAAAUCAAGUGAGUUUUACUCACUAAUGCUUUAUUAGUUUGCUAAUUAUGCUUAGGGUUGGUUAAAUUUAAUUAAGUGCAAUUAGGUUGUUAGAUUAGAUUAAAACAAUUAAAUUAAUGACUUGAGGAUGCAUGUUAGGUGGUUAGCUAUAGCCAUUAGGGAGUAGAAAUGCUCUAUUAUUUAUCGAAUGUAUCUCGGGAUUUUUCUCGACCCGUUUCGGGCUCCAAUCAGGCAUUAUGAGCCUAAAUUGGAUUUUUAAUAUUUAUUUAUUUAUUUUUCGAAAUUAAUUAUUUAAUUUUUUUUUCCGGAAAUUCAAUCGAGAUUAUCGGUGACUGGAAUUUCGUGCCGAUUGUCGUGGUGCAGUCCGUUUAUUUAAUUGAGCUUCAAUUUUUAUGGAAUUGAUUUAAAUUGUGAAAUUUGAGGACUUGUCCUAAAUUGUUUGUUAUUGAGUAUUUGAUUGGUAAUGGCCGAGUAUGGGUAUAUAACACCAGUACGUUGAUGGGCUAUAUAGUAGAGAGAAUGAUGAGAGCUAACUGAGAAUGUUAUUGGCUGAGACCAAUCAGGUACGAUAUUAUUUGACAUACGUGAUUCGAUGAUUGGAAGUAUCACUGGCGAAAACGGCGCCUUAAAGAACGCACGUAAAUGACUUAUAGACAAACGUGGUUCGGUGAUUAAGGAAAUAUCACUGGUGAAAACGACGCCUUAAAGAACUCACGAUGUUGUCUAUAGCCGAUGUCACCUUGGCGAAAACGGCGCCCUAGAAAGGACACGUGGUUCGGUGAUCGAGGAUAUCACUGGUGAAAACAGCGCCUUAAAGAAUGCAUGGUGUCGGUGAUCGAUAUGUCAUUGGCGAAAACGACGCCCGAGAAACACAUGUGAUUUGGUGAAUGAGUAUAUCAUUGGGAAAUUAUGGUAUGAGUGGGAAUGACCUAGAGAUGGUCCGAUUGACAUGUAAUCGACUAAGUCGAUUGAUCAAUGCUUAAUCAUAUGUCUUGAAUUGUUUGAAUAUAUGUGUUUAACCUUAAACUGCAGGUUGGAACUAAGGCCAAGGUAAGUCCUCUGAUUUGUGUUGUGCAUAGGCAACCUAGUCGGUGUAUUGGUUUACUAAUCGGGUAUUAGGGGUUAGAGCUUGCUGAGACGUGGUCUCAUUGGUUAUUGAAUAACCAUUUCAGGUCCUUAGAUGCAGUACACUUGAAUUUUGAAGAUCUCGAAAGUCCAGUGCAGUUUGUAGAAGGCUCCAGUUGAAGUGUAGAGGAUGAUGGAGAGGAGGACAGGAACCCGUAGUUUGUAGAACCCCACUCUUGUUUGUAGACCUUAUUUUUAAACUGGCUUAAGUUGAAUUUGACUUAAUAGUUCACCUUGUAUAUAUAGGUGCACUGGUUUGCAAUGUAUGUAUGAGUGAACGUUUUAAAGGUUUGAAAUUUAAUCCUACUGUAUUAUCCCAAUGUUUUAUUGUCUGGGGAUAAUUUAUAUGCUUUCGCAUGUGCUUAAGGAAAAUGAAAGGGUCGGCGAUGCGUCAUGGGACGUCGCUAUUAAUCGAUCAAGGUAAGGGAUGUGUGCGUGCCUGAGGAUCGGGGCGUGACACUAAUCUAACCACCUAAACCUAAUUAAUUAAAACUAAACAACCUUAAGUGUAAUUAGUCCACUAAGUAAAGAUUAGUGAGAUUACUCACCGGAAUUGAGUGCAAGUCGGAUCAAUCCGAUAGGGAUGAUGCGAGGAAUGAUAAACUCCAAAGCGGGCCUCGAGUUCGGGGCCCGGAAAUGGCCCAAAACGAGCUCGAUGGGGCUGGAAACCCAUUCGCUGGGUUGCUGUUUAGGGCUGGCCGAGGCUGGUCCGGCGGCUAGGGCGGCGAGGGGAGGCCGGCGGAGGGUGAGGGGAGCUCCGUUGGUCUGAGCGGUAGCCGGAGAUGGUCGGGCAACCGCCAGUGGUGGCCGAAUAGGGGUUGGGCAGAGGCGGAAGUCGCGCGGGGGAAGUGCGGCAGCGAGCGAUGGAUGCGGGGCGAAGGUGCGGCAUGCGCGGGCGGGCGUCGCGCAAACGAAGGUCCAGCUCCGGCGAGGCGGCGACGAUUAGCUGGCUGCUACUCUUGCUUCGGUCCACUUUUGUCUUGUUGGUUCCUUCGAACCAGAGGAGAGAGAGUACCAAGAGAGAGAGAGAGUCGGCGACGGUUGAGGAGGGUGAGGGAGAGGUGAAGGCGGGCGGUGAGCGACGGAUGCAUGGGCGCGGGCGGCGGGACGAGUGACGACGGUGGCUGGCUUCGGCGAGCUGCUGUCCUUCUUUCUCCGUUUCUGGUUUUCACGAGCAAGAAACAAGAAGAGGGGGGGCUUUCGGUCACAUGAGGGAGAAUGGGGGAGAAGAGAUAGGAGAGAGAAGAAGAGAGAAGAGAUAAGAAUGAGAAACUUUUUUGACCAGUCAAAGUGAAAAAGAAAGAGAGAAGAAGAAACCAAUUUGAAAUUGGCAUGGGGUGUUCGGUGGGGGAGGGGGAAAUCGCACGAGGGAAAAGAGGGAAGGAGAGAGAGAGAGAGAGAGAAGAAGAGAGAGGGAGAGAGGGAAAAAUAAAAUGAAAAUAAUAUUGUUAUUCUUAUUUCAUUUUAUUUUCUCUUUCCCUUUCUAUUUUCUUUCGGACUUCAAUUUUUCUUCCGAUAAUUUCCUGAAAUUUUGGACUUGUCAAUAAUUUGGCGGAUGAUGAGACGGUCCUAAAAAUGAAUUGUGACACGCUCGAAUAUUCGAUUCCCGAGACCAAUUUAAAUUUUAUGGUUAGAAUCGAUCAGACGUGAUUUUAGUACAAUCCAACCAAUUGAGCAGCUUUUAGGGAUUUUACUGUAGAUACAUCCCUUAAUGGCUUCACCCAAUAGGUUAGUUAACUCGUGAGUGAUUAGCUCAGAGAAAAAGGACCAUAGGUAUGUUGACGACAUGCCCAUUUCACUUUAUCGAAACGGGGUCGAAUUUCAGGAUGUCACACAAUCACAGGUCACUUUGCUAUAGCAAAAGCCAGUUUGCUUCAGUCAUUAUGCAGGUAUACAUAUCAAAUAAAUAAGAGAGGAAACAAGAGCAUAACAUUGUGGUGGAAUGGAGUGGUGAACUAAUGGUUGCAUCAAGGUGCCCCAAUUUGAAAUCAUUGACCAAUUCAAAUCCUGGAUUUUUGUAUUGAGAGAUAUACCGCACCUUUGUUUAUGUACUGUCAGCACGGUCAUAGCCUAUUUAAUGGAGUAAACCUCAGUGCAAAGAAAGAUGGAGGCAGCACGUGGUAGUACUUGUGUUUGUCCGUGUUUGCGUGUGUGUGUGUGUGUGAGAGAGAGAGAGAGAGAGAGAGAGAGAGAGAGAGAGAUGGGUCUUGGCAGAGGGGCUGAGUGCCUGGCGACCCAUAGUUGAUGCUAAGGACUAAUCGUGCGGGACAAAUCUCAUAGGCUCUUGUCCACUGCAGAGAUAUGGCUAUUAUAGCACAUGAUCAGGAAACUUUGUUGAUGGAAAAAGGUAUUGGUAGGAUUCACCAUUUAUGCAGAGACUGGUAACCAGUAGAGAAUGAGAUGGCCAAAUUUUAAGUUCUCUUACGCAAUAUAGCUGGUAACAAAGAGACAGGGAAGGACUCUGUGUCCAAAGAAGGCAGGGGGUAUUAGCUGCUUAGACGAAAGCCAUAUGGAACUAUUCGGCAUCAUAACUUUUCGACAUGUGCGAUUGCCCUGGGAGGGUUUCCAAAUAGCCAACAUACAAAAAGAAACCAAAAACAAGAAGAAGGGUGCAUACAAACAGAUACUAGCUAUGGCAAAGUCAAUGAGAAUCCUCAGAUCACCCACCAAUAUGUUGCCCUCAGAUUAGAUCUCCUUUGGACGUGGAUACGCUGGAAAAGAUGCAGAUAAGAUGUGGUGACCAUGGAAUUGAAUCCCAAUCCAAAUCUUAGCCUUUUUCUUAGUCAAGAGAUAGAAAUAAGAGAGCCUUUAAAUCUUGCAUUAAGGAAAAGGAUGGCUUUUUAGACUUCACACGCGGUUAACAAUUUCUAAGACUCAACUUCUUACCCCAAGUUUAUUAAAUUCACUCUCAUGUAAAUAACUCUACUAAGAGGUUUGCUCUAAUAACUAUUGCUUUCUGAAGAAUAUUCAAUCAGCAAGAAAGCAUUCCCGUAUUUAAAUGAAGGGGCACGUGAAACAAAUGAUAUGUUUAUUUUGUUCUAUACACAAGACACUAAUACCAGCUCUGAGCUUCAUUUAAGGUUCAGCCAAAAAAAGAACAACCAAUGUGAAACAGUUAUAAAGAAAAAGAAAAAAAACGGAAAGAACUCCAGAAUUAGAUAUAUCUCCACCUUUCUUUUGUCAGUUUUCGCAAUACCAUUAACCAGGCUCUGAACUGGAAUAACAUGCAAAACAAUAUCUCUUCCUAUACUCCUGCGCUUUCUCAAAGGACAAGGAAUAAUACGGAUAAUUCAUUUUUAAAUAGAACCUAAAUGCAGAUAAUUCCUACUCAUUUUAAGAUAACCAAUUGAAAGCCUCUAAUGCACAACAUGAGAUAUAAUACCGACGUUUUUCAAUGACAAACCAUUUUAUGUGAUAAAGUAUAAGGAAGAUUUAUAAGGUAUAACAUGCAAGAUGCAACACCUAAUCAGUACGUUCCUGGUACCUUUAAAUGAGAAAAUUUCCUAACAUGGAGAGCAUAAACAAGGCUUACUAUCUAGUGAUGUGCAUUGACAUUCUUCAUUUCCAUAAAUGGGCCAAUCGAGCAUUUUGGAAGGAGAGUCUCUUUCUCAUUCUAAUUACAUGUGAACAUCUCGAUCUAAUUUGCUCAGAGGUAAGUAACUGCAAUCAUUUCAAGAUUCAAAGCCUCGCAAUUUCAACACAAGGUCGUCAAUCAAUUGGCACCGAUCAACUAAAUUACCGAAAUCCACAGCUUGUUGUUAAAAAGCAAAUAACCGCCACUUCCCUAUCAACUUGUGGAAAUAAAUGGAAAUUCACCCAAAAUCUUGUUCCCAUAGUCAGAAGUAUGAGUUGCGUGAGACAACGGACCUCACCAGAACUCUUCUUGGCCUGUAGAGUGGCGACUAUGUCUAAACACUUCUCAAUAUCAGGAAUUUUUGCCUGGCAUUUAAUAUAGACAUUGAAUUAACAACCCAGUAAAAAGCAAAUGAACAAGUAUCAUGCUGACAGAGUAACAAUAACAUACUAACAAAGUGAUCAAGUUCUGUGGGAACAAAGAACCACGUGCACUCGGAUCUAUCGGGUCAAUGUAAAGAGAAAUUCAUUGUGAGACAUCAAGAGGUGCUGACCAUCUGGAUUUGUUUUAACUUUUUAUUUUAGAUUAGAUCACAAUAACUGCAACAGUAAGCCAAUUUCUCAUCCUUUUUUAGGGGAAAAGUAAAGCUCACUCGAAUUUGAGAAGAGAUUUAAGUUGAACUAGAAAAACAGAAACUAGAUAAAAGAAAUAAGGAGAAAGAAAACUGCAAGAGAGUGUAGCAACCUUCAUAAUUGAGGACAUGCCCAUUCCAUUAAUGAAAAUGUAAGAUACUAAAUAUACAAUGCACUAUGAAAGACAGAACUCAGAGCCAACAAACUUCUUGUUGUGUUACUUGUUUGUCUCAACCAGUACAUUUCUUUUUCCUGAAACUAAAUAUUCAUCGUGAUUAAGCCUUUGGUAUCAAUAUCUCUGAUCAUGUCUUUAUACCUCUUAAGAAUCAAGAAAAAAGUUGCCCACUCAAAUGCUUCAAAGUUCUUGAGAAAAGUUCUAACCACACAUGCACGUACGCCCACCUCCAUGUUAACCAUUGCAUACAUUUCAACACUGCGUUGGUUACGCUAUAUUGAAAAAGCGUAAAUUUGAAGAAAAAGAAACAAGGUCUAGUGCUAGCACAAGGGCCGACACAAGGGAUAGUGUCUAUGGUAUUCAGCAGUACAUUUGAAUAUGGGUCUUUGUUUGUGAUCACAUGAAGAAAAUGAACAACGAAAUGUAACUCAACAGCGAAUUCAAUAGCAGAUAUAACGAUACAAAAGAAUCAGUCGAUGAGAAAUUAUACACAAACAUCUAAAGGGAUGUCAAUAAUAACAAAUCCCAGCUGCCGUCGCCGUCUCUUCUCCCUCCCUCUUUCUCUUCAUUCUGGAAGGACGAUGCAGAGAUGGAUCUCCGAAUUGGGCCUGCCCGGUGGCUUGGGAAGUCCGAGUAUGAUCUUUGUAGCAACUUGAUAAAGCAACGGAGAGAGAUCUCUCUCACUUUCGCUGCGUUUGCCUGGAAGUGACAGGCGGCCUUCCUUCAUAAGUGAAAAAGCCGUUCAGAUUGACAAAAUAAUUGCUUCGAAGAGGAAACACGGGGGGAAGAGAGAGAGAGAGAUGGUGGCUUGGCCGACGACGAGGGGUGAUGGCACGGGAAGGAAAUACGACGUCGACGGCGACGGCGACGCAGCGGCGAGGUGGCGGAGGCUUGCGGUGACCGACACGGAGGGAAGAGUAGGAGAUUUUUCGUAAGUCCGGAUUUUUUUUAAGGAAAAUUCGUCAAAAAAGUAAGGGCAGUUGGGUCGUUUAGGAGGGUAACCGCACCAUGUGCACGCGGCAGGUGAACAGAUUUACCAGAGUCGCGUGUUUGGAGUGCUUUGCGAUAAGAAAGGAUUAAAACUAAAACUAGUUACUUUUGCCCAAGCUUUACGCGAACAUAUGUUAAUAAAUGUACUUUAAAUAUGUUUAUUUUCAUUUUUAUUUUUAUUAAUGUCAAUAAUUCUGGAUUGUGUAUAACACUCUCUUCGUUAUCCAUUAGGCAUAAAAUUACCAAGUAAAACCAUUUGUCAAAUCAAACAUGGAAAAUAUACAUGGAAGUUUUAAGUCAAAUUUAACUUUUCAUAAAGGUAUAAUAAAAAAAAUUUAAAAAUUGAAUAUUGAUACUUUCUAUAUCAAUUGAAUUCUAUUUUCAAUUUAGAAUAUGUGGAUUUUUUAUAUUCAGUACCAUAUCUCCAAAGGACAUUUUAAUUCGACCUCAAUAGUUGAGUUAAACCUCAAGACCAUCUCAACUUGUUCCUUGUAUAAAAUUUCCCAUGUGACAUCCAAGAUUGAAAGGAAAACCCAUUAGAAUAAGUCAAUUUUGGAUGGUUGACCGUCAAGACUGAAAAGCAUCUAGCAUCGGGUCUUUAUCCCAUGCUUGCAAUCACUUUACAUCUAUUGCUUGCUAUUAAGUGCUUGUCUUGUAAAAAAGAAAAAAGAAAGGGUAAAAAUCAUAAAAAAAUUCUAAAUUUUAUUUACUGCGAUACAUUUACCCUAAACUUUUUUUGUGACACUAGGAACCCUAAACUUUUAUUUAUGGAACGCAUUUAUCUUAAAUUUGUAUAGCGAGACACAUUUAUCCAAUUUUUUUUUUUGGUAAGUUAUCCAAAACUUAUUUUUUUUUUUGGUAAAGGUAUAUCCAAAACUUAUUUUUAUAACACCAAAAAUCCUAAAUUUGUAUUCGACACAUUUACCUUUUAAAAUUUGGCAUCGAUUUUGAUGUUACAGAAAACAAUUUGGGAGUAAAAAUGUCACAUAGAUAUAAGUUUGGAAUUUUUGAUGUCACAAAAAAAGUUUGUGGUAAAUGUAUCACACAGGUAAAGUUUGGGACCUUUUUUUUGGACUUUUUACCUUUUAUUUUUUUUAUUUUUCCUUCUCUACAUGGGCCAAAGGACGUAGAUCUUCAUACGUUGACAAGCAGUGAUUCACCUUUGCUCUCACCCGGACGAAAGAGGUUUCUUUAAUUUGCUUAGCACCGACUUAUAUGGAGCACAAGCUCCUGGUUCAAACCUGUCUUACGCAUAUUAUGAUUUCCAUUGGCGUUGUUCUUAAGCUGUAGAAAAUCACCAGGAUGGAGACCAAGGAUUUAGCGCGACUAUUCUCGUUCUUUGAUUUUGGAUGCCCCCAUCAUUCCAAGGAUAUUAAACAUGAGAAGUGAUGAGAUAAAGUCACGCUUUUCUAGCAUCAGCAGCAGCCCUUCUACCCCCACCCCAAAAAAACACUACCGGUAGCCCUUCGUCUCCAGAAAAUGACUGAUUAGCUACAUAAAUUCCCAGUCCUUUCCAUGAUAUUUCUCUCUAAGCUUGGCGUAGGUAUAGGGAUUUGUCUUUUGAUCGUCUAGUACAUAUAGACUCUAAUGAGAAAUUGUUGUUUAAGUUAAUUCGUCCAGUACAUUUCUUUUUCCUGAAACUAAAUAUUCAUCCUGAUUAAGCCUUUGGCAUCAAUAUCUCUAACCAUGUCUUUAUACCUCUUAAGAAUAAAGAAAAAGUUGCACACUUAAAUGAUUCAGAGUCCUAAAUAUUGCACGCACGCCCACCUGCUUGGUAACCGUUGCACAACAGUUCGGCACUGCCUUGGUUGUACUAUACUUAAAAAACAAAAAAACGAAAAAAAAAAAAAAAACAUAGAGAGAGAGAGAGAGUCAAGGUCCACUGGCAGCACAAGGGCAGACAGGAGGGAUAGUGUCUAUGGUAUUCAAUAGUGCAUUUAAAUCCGGGUCUUUGUUUGCGAUCACACAAAGAAAAUGAACAACAAAAUGUAACUCAACAGCCAAUUACCACAAGAACUCUUAAGAACACCCCCCCCCCCCCCAAAAAAAAUCAAAAAAUUUCAACAAACUAUCUCCUUCACCAGCACCUUCAGUCUACAAAAGCCCUAAACUCAAGAACACCUCGUAACCCCUCCCCGAUCCGCCAUCAUGGUUGCCGCCUGUCCCAGCUGCGGCCGCCGUCUCUUCUCCCUCCCUCUCUCUCUCUCUCUCUUCAUUCUGUGAGGACGAUGCAGAGAUGGAUCUCCGAAUUGGGUCUACCCGGUGACUUGGGAAGUCCGAGUCUGAUCCUCGUAGCAACUUGAUAAAGCCACGAAGAGAGAUCUCUCACUUUCGCUGCGUUUGCCUUGAAGUUACACGCGGCCUUCCUUCACUAGUGAAAAAGCCGUUCAGAUUGACAAAAUAAUUGCUUCGAAGAGGAAACACGGGGGAAGAAAGAGAGAGAGAGAUGGUGACUUGGCCGAGACCGGAAGCGAAACGAUCGGCACAGGCGAUGGCCGGGGGCGGCUCGACCACGAGGGGUGACGGCACGGGAAGGGGAGUCGACAGUGACGCGUGGCGGAGGCUUGCGGAGACCGAUUGGUGGAAGGAAGAGACUGAGGGAAGAGUAGGGGAUUUCAAAUUGAGAACUGCCCGAAGCCUAAUCAUUUUCUUUAAAAUAGCAUGCCGGGAAAACUUCAUUGUUAUACCUCAUCAUAAAGUAAGUGCCCAUACCAUAAUGCACACGUUUAAAUUUAGUUGAGCAAGCCGUGCAUGUUUAUAAAAAGCAUAGAGGCAACCAAAAAAAUCGACCUUCCACCCCAACACUCUACGAAAUCCAAACUGAAUUGAUGGAGAAAAUAUUGGGUGAUCCGGGACCUCCACGUCAGCAUGGUCCCCGGUCACUCACGAGAUGCCAUGUGGAGGGGUGGGCCCCACUUGUGUCUUCUGCCUUCUUCCCCUCUCUCUCCUCUUCCUAGCCUGCCAAUGCCCUCUCUCCUCCUAGCCUACACGCUCUCUCUCUCUCCUGUCAGAGCAUUUAUUGCGGACGUUUUUCUCUUUCCUUCGUUUGAGAAAGGAAACGCUGUUCGGACGGACGUCCCUCUCCAUUUCUUUCCUUUCGAAUUUUUGAACCUGAAAUUCUCUCUCCGCGCUCGUUCCCCUGCCGUCGCCGAGCAUCAAGCGGCCGUUCCCCUACCAUCGCCAACGAACCACAUUACGGCCGCUGCUACUCCGGUGCUCGCUCGCUUCUCUCUUUGGGCUCGUUGCUGCUCCGUCGUUCGUUCCGGCGUUCCCGGGGUCGCAGAUGCAGCACGCGGAGGGGAAGCAAGCCUCUUCGAGCUCCCCUCAACGUCCGCGAGCAUCGCCCGCUGAGCGAGACCCCCACACACCGGAAGGCUCGGAGGCGAGGUUGCUGGAGAAGCUGGUGCCGUACACGAAACGUGACGCCGACGGCCCUCCACCUCCACCGGUUGCCUCCGGGUUGAAUGGGACGGUGAGUGUGGACGAGUCCGUCGGUAAUGAUUUGUCUACGAAGAAUCCUAAACUGUGUGCUGGUUUGUAUGAGCACAAAGGUUAUAAGAGCAAGUGCGAGUAUCUGAUCGCCAAUCCUGAGUGUAACGCCGGUGGGUUCUUCCAUUACAUUUCGUUCUUCUACUGUGAUUGCGAGAAAUUCACGGGUGCGGGGUUUGCCGUGCUGGCACUGUGGCUGGUUGCUCUGUUUUACUUGUUGGGCAACACUGCAGCAGAUUACUUUUGUUGUAGUUUGGAGAAGCUUUCUAGUCUUCUGAAGUUGCCGCCCACGGUUGCAGGGGUUUCUCUGCUUCCGCUUCGUAAUGGGGGCUCCUGAUGUGUUUGCCAGCAUUGCCGCAUUUAUGGGGAAAGAUGCAGGGGCAGUGGGUCUCAAAUAGCGUAUUGGGGUGGUGCUGUUUUUGUUACUUGUGGUUGCCUCCGUCGGGGUUCUUUCCCGCGGCAAAGUAGAAGGUCCAGAUUGUAGAGAAGCGUAUAUAUCGAAGAGGAUGCACCAUCCUCUCCCGUUGACUUGCCAUGAGUAUUAUUUGCUUAGAGGAUAGUAACGUAGGAGGUAGCUAAUAGAAUUACUACUGAAAUGGUCCUUAUUCUUUAUGAUGUACAGNNNNNNNNNNNNNNNNNNNNNNNNNNNNNNNNNNNNNNNNNNNNNNNNNNNNNNNNNNNNNNNNNNNNNNNNNNNNNNNNNNNNNNNNNNNNNNNNNNNNUUACUCAUCUAGUUUCCAUGCGAAGUACUGAUGUGAAUUACACUAAUUGAGGCAGUUUCAGAGGCCUUUGUUUUCGUUUUUGGAUGCUCUCCACCUUAAUUUGUCAGCGCUCUGCUUCUAUAGACUCCCCCGUCUCACCUGUGGAUGCGUACUUUGCCUGCUCUGUGGUCUCUUGCUAUCGAUUCCAAUGGCCUCUUUAUUAGGCCACGCCCCCUUCGCCUCCCUCUCGCGACCUCCGCCCCACUCUCUCCCUCUUUCCUCUGUGGAGCACCCUUACUGCACAGCCCCGCGAGCAACCUCUCUCGGAGUCUCCGUCUCCUUCGCAGCCAGGUAGACGUCGCACAUCUCUCUCUCUCUCUCUCUCUAUAGAGUGUCACGGAUACUUCUUUUUUAUUUCUGUUCCAUGGUGAUGAGCAAGUGUACUCUAGCUUGAUGAUGCAUCAUGGGUAGGUUCGUUUCAUGAGAUUGAGAUUUAGCUACACUGGUGCGGAGGUUGUUCGUAAUGGGAUGUGCGUCUCUUGUGCCGAAUAGAGUGUUGGGUCGUGCCUUGGAAGCUCACAAGAUGAACUUUAGUUGUUUCCUUGUUCUGAUUAAGCUAUUAGUCUGUGAUAUCACAAGUUCAUUCGAUGUUGUGAUUGAAGUUUCGGUGUCGGGUUAUGUUAAUAUUGGGAAGGUUCAUGCUCUGUGUUAGUUUUUGUUCACACAAUGGAUUCUCUCUGUGGUGGGUUUGCAGCUUCUGUUUGACCAAUCGGCUGGGGCGUGCUCGAGGGGCUUUGAUCAACUCGAUUCUUGUUCUGCUGGCCAUCCUCUUAGAAAAAAGGCGGCUCAUAAUUAGUUGUGUCUUGGCUUUGUAAUGGACCAAGAGUCCCGAGUGGAUGAGGACUUCCCCCUCUUCCAGAAAUGCUCCAAACAACCUAAAGCGCCACCAUCAUCAUCGAUAACUACUUCCUCCUCCUCCAGUCUUGCAGCCGAGACGUCAAUAAAGCAAGUGGAGAAAGUGAAGGAAGAUACUAGCCUUACUAGCACUAAUGUCUGGGUAACAAGAUUUGAAGCUUUCAAUCAGAGCAAGAGUGAAAUCGCAUGGAGUUUUAGAUUUGAGGAUGACAUCUACUUCAACCGUUCCUGCGUUAAAUCUUUUUGACAUUGCAUUCGGAUUUGCAUUUUUGUGCCUAUGUACUUCGUCGUAAGUUUUUAUCUUAUGAUAUUCAAUGGUAGGAUGGGAGAAGGCUGAAAAUGAAGUCUUGGUGCUAAAGAAACAACUGGAGGCUGCAACACAAAGGAACUCGACACUAGAAGAGCGAAUCAGUCAUCUUGAUGGAGCUCUUAAGGAAUGUGUGAGGCAGCUCAGACAGGUGAGGGAAGAGCAAGAGCAGAAGAUCCAAGAAGCUGUGGUCAAGAAAACUGGUGAGUGGGAAUCAACAAAGGCCGAGCUUGAGACUAAGCUUUCCAAUGUCCAUGCCUAGCUUCAAGCAGCCAAGAGUGAAGCUUCUUUAGUUAUAUGUUCUGAUCUCGGCCCUAAGCUUGAUGCUGCUGAAAAAGAGAAUGUGACCCUCAAAGCCAAAGUCCUUUCCAUGUCGGAGGAGCUAGAACUUAGGAUUAUUGAGCGUGAUUUGAGCACCCAAGCAGCAGAAACAGUCACCAAACGGCAUUUAGAGAGCAUAAGAAGGUAGCUAGGCUGGAAGCCAAAUGCCGCAGACUCAGAUCUUGAAAAAUAAAGCAAGUGCGACAAACGAUCUUAAGUCUUUCUCUGCAUCAUCGGUUUGUGUAGAGUCCUUCGAUGAUAGCCAAUCAAAUGUAGGGGAUAGGUUGGUAGCAGUUGAGAAUGACGUGCAGAAAGCGAGUUGCUUGGAGCCAAGUGAUUGUGAGCCGUGCCACUCUGAGUCAUGGGCAUCUGCUCUAAUAAUUGAACUUGACCAUUUUAAGAAAGAGAAAUCCUUCAGAAAGAAUCUCAUGGUCUCUUCAGGAGAAGUUGAUUUAAUGGAUGAUUUUAUGGAGAUGGAAAGGCUUGCAGCUUUACCAGAUGCAGAAAGUGGAAGCUGCAGCCAUGGAGUGGGGCCUGCUCUGGAUCAAAACAGAUCUGAUGAAGUCACUCUCAAAUCUGAGCUUGAAGCCAUGAUCAAUAGAAUGGCAGAGCUGGAGGAGGAAUUAGAGAAGAAGGAAGAAGAAAAGGAGAAGCUAGAGAUGGCUCUAAGUCAAUGGCAAAAGCAACUUGAAACGUCAUGGAGUCAGCAACAUGUUGUCUGCAGCACAAAAAUCGAAGCAAGCUGCAGAGGAGGAAGCAAGGAUUACCCAUGAGAGGAUGGAAGUAACAGAGUCAAGACUGAUGGAUGUUGAAGAGGAGAUGAAAAACUUGCUCCUUAAUGACAAAUUACUACAAGAAGAGGUUGAAAGAGAGCGUGCUUUGUCUGCUAAAAAUUAGGCAAAAUGUGGGGAGCUGUAGGAUGAAAAUCUAAAUAUGAAAAGGGAUGCUGAACUGCAGCAUGAGAUCGAGCUUUAGCGUGUGUCUGUCUCUGAUGAACAGCUUAAAGUAAAGCAGGUUAGUUCUCUAUGGCUUGUGGAUGUUAGUCUAUAUCUAAUGGAAAGCAUGAUAACAUGAGUAAAUUAUUGAGAUGGUAUUGCUCCUUUUACAUAAUUUAUCAAGUUUGCCGACAAACCCGCUACUACAUUUUGAGUUGCAAUGUUACAGUUGCAUGUAGAGUGAGUUCCAUCUGCAUGAGAAAAGAGAGGAUGCCUCUCUUGGUACAUUCACAUCCUGUGUCUGGACAUCUGAUUUGGGUGCUUUUUUAUGUGAUAUGACUUCAAUCUCCUAGGUCAAUAGUUAUUUAUUUAUAGCCAUCUCAAGGAAGAUGAAAUGAUUAUUUUCCAGUAACGCAGUGUGGUUUUGAUCUUCAUAUCGACAUAUAGCUAUGUUAGAAACAGGAGGGCCGCAUCAGCAUCUUGUACUUUAUUAGUACAAACUGUAUGAUUGGGGCACAAUCUAAACAAAUCUCAAAUUUCACCGUAGCAUUGAAGACAUUUGGAAGUUAAUAUAGAAUUUCGAAGCACUUGACCUUUGAUGUAAUGUAAUUUUCGAGCUUAAAAAGCACUUACAGUGCUGCGAUAGGGUGCUUCUAAACUAACUUAACCAGAAAAUUCUCAUGCUAGGCGAACUCUAUUUUUUUUUUCUCUGUGGGUUGUGGUGCUUUGAGCAACACUGCACUUGUUGACACCAUUGACUAUCUGAUAGGAUCAGCUUACCAAUGUUUUAUUCAUGCUAAAUGGGCGAUCAUGACUUAGUCUGAAUUUAGUUUCCUCCUUAUGUUCUCAUUUAGUUUUGUUAUGUAAAACAGGGAGCAAGAGCUAGCAGUUGCUGCUUGCCAGUUUGCAGGUGCUAGAAGACUAUUUAAUCUCUCGCUUAGCAAUUAAAAUCUCUAGCUACAGUAGACGACUUCUUCGCAGAUUCCAAUCCAAUGUGCAAUCACACAGAUGAAGGAUUACUAAGCCCCAAAAAACGAGCUGCACCAUUUAAGCAGCCCACCGGUCCUCAUUUCUGCUGAACAAAGAUGAAAUAAUCAUGGUUUAAGGAUUUGAUUAUUCAACUAGCUGAGGCAGGAAGAUGAAAUGAGUGAAGUGAGAUGGGAAGAGUGUCUACUUUGAUUUUUUGCCUUGUGAAUAAACAACCACCGUUGUAAAUGCAUUCAUGACAUCUCUGAAACCGACACUCGUGAAUCUCAACUAUAGCGUUACAUAACUCGGAUUUUUGAAUAAUAUAAGGUUUCAAUUCCUUUAUAGCAUGUGGAUGUCCAGAUUGCUUAAAGCUGCCAAUUGUCUUGUUUGGUGUUAGUGAGUUGUAGCAGAGGUCACAAGCUCAUCUUGGCCCCUGGCAAAAAAAAAAGAGUUGGAAAAGGGUUAUUGGGCAGGAAAUAGAGAAAAAAAAUAACGUAUCGGGUUUGGACGCCAAAUUUUUUUUGCUCAAUAAAGGUUUUAAAUUAGUUGUAUGUAAAGUUUGAUGGAUUAACUUUGAGUAUGGGAGCACGUACGAAUUUAUUUCCGAAAGCCUUAAAAAAAAAAAGAGUUGAAAAAGGGUUGUUGGGCAAGAAAUUGAGAAAAAAAUUAAGGUAUCGGGUUUGGAUGCCAAUUUUUUUUUGCUCAAUAACACAAUGAGGUUUUAAAUUAGGUACGUACAAAGUUUGAUGGAUUAAUUUUGAGUACGGGAGCAAGUACGAAUUUAUUUCCGAAAGCUUUAGAAAAAUAAAAAGAGUUGAAAAAUGGUUAUUGGGCAAGAAAUAGAGAAAAAAUUGAGGUAUCGGGUUUGGACGUCAAUUUUUUUUUGCUCAAUAACACAAUGAGGUUUUAAACUAGGUGCAUGCAAAGUUUGAUGGAUUAAUUUUGAGUACGGGAACACGUACGAAUUUAUUUCUGAAAGUUUUUUUUUUUUAAAAGAGUUGAAAAAGAGUUGUUAGGUAAAAAAUAGAGAAAAAAUUGAAGUAUCGGGUUUGGACGCCAAUUUUUUUUUUUUUGCUCAAUAACACAAUGGGGUUUUAAACUAGGUGCGUGCAAAGUUUGAUUAAUUAAUUUUGAGUACGAGAACACGUACGAAUUUAUUUCCGAAAAAUUUAACAAAAAAAAAUUGAAAAACCUCAUUGGGCUAGAAAUAUAAAAAAAAAAAAUGAUGUAUUUGGACGCGCAAUUGGGCCCCUUGUUGUUUUUUGUUUUCUGUUUUUUCUUUUUUUCCCCUCUGCGUAGCUUCUUCGUACCCUCUCCUAGCCUGCGCACGUCCAUUCUCCCCCUACCCUGCACACCCUGCACAUUCUCGGGAAUUUGCAAUGCAAAAGAAAAGCACAGGGACUUUACUAUUUCCUCUUCAAACGAAGGAAAGAGAAGCAAAGCUUCAAACGAAGGAAAUAAAAGCAGAUGCACUUUUCUCUUCCUCUUCAAACGAAGGAAAGAGAAGCAGCAGAGGCUCCGCACGGUUACUCUCCAGCAGCUGCGAUUCUUUCACCCGACGGUUGUCGCUGCUCCGCCAUGCGUCAAGUUUCUGUUCCCUGCCAUUGCCGACAACCUACAUUACGAGCGCCCUGCUCGUACGCUGCUCACUUCUCUGUCCGCUUUCAUUGCUACUCCGGCGUUUGUUCCGGCGUUCGUCAAGCGGUCAUCCCCCUGUCGACAUCAACAAACAACAUUACGGCUGCCCCAUCUCCGGCGCUCGCUUGCUUCUCUUUGCGCGCUCCUUGCUGCUCUGGCGUUUGUUCGAAGUUCAUCAAGCAGCUAUUCCCCCGCCGUCGCCGAUGAAGCAGGGCCCCUACUACAGCGCUGAGUCGCUUCUCUUUCCGCACUGCUCUAGUGUUUGUCAAGCGACCAGAGGAGGAGGAUAGGCCAUUUCUUCCUAAGGCGGAGGAACGGGGACAGAGAUUUGGCCGUAGUUUUGCAGAGCCGAUCGGUGACUGGGCUCGGUGAUUUCACGCUGUUGUCAAGACUCAAGCCCCAGAGGGAGGUUGUCGACUGGCUAAACUCCCUCAUUUACGGUGCGUUUAGGGCUUUCACGAUGCAAAAUUUGUUUGUGGCGGUUCAACAGAAAAGUUGCGUACUCAUUAGCUCCUUGCUUCGUUUUCGGUGUUAUUUUCGGGAGGGAACUCUGUUUCCUGGUCUCCUUCCCCUGUUUCCACACUCCCUAUGAUGAGUUUGAUCCUCUUAGUUUCAUGGGUUUGGCGUAAUUUGAUCGGCAUAGUUAGUGUUGAGGAUGUGAUUUUAGGUAGUGGUAAUAAGACAUCAGUACGGAGGAAGCUCUCCUUGGAACUCUGUUUUCUAUUCUCCUUCCCCUAAUUCCACACUCCGUGUGACGAGCUCAAUCCUUUUAGUUUCAUGGGUUUGGCGUAAUUCUAUUUUUGUAUAUAUGUUCCCAUGAAUUCUAUUUUACUAGUUAAGUGAUGUCAUGCUUUGAUGUUUUAUGGCUAUAGUCAUUGAACUGAUUUGGUGUUAUUUUGCUUCUACUCAAUAGAUCCCUUUUGAUCAAGUAAAGCCUUUGCGCCCGUAAAUUCACAGUGUAAGGUUAUCCGACGGCUGAAUUAGAGGUAAUUCUAAACUUAUACUAUGUAAAAUAUAUUUGUUUUCUCAAAAAAUAGAAGAAAUUUUAUUUUUCACAUAAAAGCACCAUGUUAAAAACCUUUUGUUCUUUGCUUGCAGCUUGAAACUGCUCAUUUUGCACAUGUAACCCGAGAUUUGGAAAAAGAUUUUGAGUUUAUGAUAGGAAUGGUUUUUGCAAGCGAACUUGAAGCAUAUUAUAAAUAUGUGUCUUAUGCUAUAGGCAAAGGUUUUGGAGUGAGGAAGUCUAAGACUAGAAAAAACGACAAAGGAGAAAUUACUCGACGGAUUUUUGUGUGUAAUUGUGCGGGGUAUUCUGUCAACUCAUCUGAUCAAGAAAAAAAAUAUGAAAAACCUGAAGUUAGAUGUGGUUGUCCUGCUUUGAUCAAAUUUAAGGUUGAGAAUGGCGUUCAUGAAGUCGUGGAGUAUGUUUCGGAGCAUAAUUAUGAGUUUAUACCAGAACAUCAAAGGCACUUAAUAAGAUGUGAAAGGAUGAUUUCUAAUACAUGCAAAUGAGUUUUAGUUAACAUGGCUAAAGCUGGCAUUGGGGGGACAAUGUCAUAUAAAUUCUUGGCUAACGAAGCCGGAGGAAGCCAAAACUUAAGUUUCAUCUUACGUGAUUGUCAAAAUUUUCUACAAAGUGAAAGAUCAAAUCUUAUUGAAGGGGGUGAUUGUCAAAAUCUUUUGAAUCAUUUUCAUUGUAUGCAAAUGCAAAAUCCAAUGUGUUUCUAUGCACAACAAGUAGAUCAAGAGGGUAGAUUGACAAAUCUAUUUUCUAAAAAGUCAUAAGUUGAUGAAAACAUGUGGUUUUCGUGUGUAAUUGCAUAUGCUUCUACCAACACGGUUAUUGCUUUUUAUGCUUGUAAGCAUUCUCUUAUCUUCAGUGUUGUUUAGGAAGCUCAAUUGUUGAGCACCUAUCUUUUUAAUGUGUGGUUAGAAAAUGCCGAAGACUUUGUACCCAAGAGAUUCACCAACAAUGAAAUAGACGCGAAAGGGCAUAAUUUCGAGCUACUUCCUUUCGGUUUAGGAUGUAGGGGGUGCCCCGGAAUUCUGUUAGGCUCAAUACAAGUGAAGCUUGCUCUGGCUCAAUUAGUGCAUUGCUUUAAGUGAGAACUACUCGAGGGUAUAGUGCCGAACAAAUUAAAGCUUUUAGGAAUAAAUUCAUACGUGUUCCUGUAUUCUAAAUUAAUUCAUCAAACUUUGUACACACUUAGUUUAAAACAUCAUUGUGUUAUUGAGCAAAAAAAGUUGGCCUCCAAACCCGAUACCUCAACUUUUUCUCCAUUUUUUGCCGAACAACCCUUUUCCAACUCUUUUAUUUUUUUGGUUAAAGCUUUCGGAAAUAAAUUGGUACGUGUUUCCGUAUUCAAAAUUAAUCCAUCAAACUUUGCAGGCACUUACUUUAAAAUCUCAUUGUGUUAUUGAGCCAAAAAAAAUUGGCGUCCAAACUCGAUACCUCAAUUUUUUCUCCAUUUUUUGCUGAACAACCCUUUUCCAACUCUUUUUUUUUUUUGUUAAAGCUUUCGGAAAUAAAUUCGUACGUGUUUCCGUACUCAAAAUUAAUCCAUCAUACUUUGCAGGCACUUACUUUAAAACCUCAUUGUGUUUUGAGAAAAAAAAAAUUGGCGUCCAAACCCGAUACUUCAAUUUUUUCUCCAUUUUUUGCCAAACAACCCUUUUCCAACUCUUUUAUUUUUUUUGUUAAAGCUUUCCAAAAUAAAUUCGUACGUGUUUCCGUACUAAAAAAUAAUCCAUCAAAUUUUGCACGUACCUAGUUUAAAAUCUCAUUGUCUUAUUGAGCAAAAGAAAUUUGGCGUCCAAACCCGAUACCUCAUUAUGUUUAAUUUUCGUAUUGCUCCUAUGCAACUCCUUUUCAUUUUAUUUUCCACCUCUGAUUUGAUUUAGUGGAAAAACUGAAUGCCAAGUUGCCAAACGGUCUAGCUAAAGGUUUUUCCUAAGAAAAAAAAAAUUAAAAGUCAAACUAAAANNNNNNNNNNNNNNNNNNNNNNNNNNNNNNNNNNNNNNNNNNNNNNNNNNNNNNNNNNNNNNNNNNNNNNNNNNNNNNNNNNNNNNNNNNNNNNNNNNNNNNNNNNNNNNNNNNNNNNNNNNNNNNNNNNNNNNNNNNNNNNNNNNNNNNNNNNNNNNNNNNNNNNNNNNNNNNNNNNNNNNNNNNNNNNNNNNNNNNNNNNNNUCAAAAAUCUGAGUUAUGUACCGCUAUAGUUGAGAUUCACGAGUGUCGGUUUCCGAGAUGUCAUGAAUGCAUUUACAACGGCGGUUGUUUAUUCACAAGGCAAAAAAUCAAAGUAGACACUUUUCCUAUCUCACCUCACUCAUUUCAUCUUCCUGCCUCAGCUAGUUGAAUAAUCAAAUUCUUAAACCAUGAUUAUUUCAUCUUUGUUCAGCAGAAAUGAGGACCGGUGGGCUGUUUAAAUGGUGCAGCUUGUUUUCACGGCUUAGUAAUCCUUCAUCCGUGUGAUUGCACAUUGGAUCAGAAUCUGCGAAGAAGUUGACUACUGCACCUGCAAGCUGGCUAGCAGAGACUGCUAGCUCUUGCUCCUGAUUUACAUAACAAAACUAAAUGAGAACUUAAGGAGGAGACUAAAUUCAGGCUAAGUCAUGAUCGCCCAUUUAGCAUGAAUAAAACAUUGGUAAGCUGAUCCUAUAUAGUUGAUGGUGUCAGCAAGCGCAAUGUUGCUCAAAGCACCACAACCCACAGAAAAAAAAAAGAGUUCGCCUAACAUGAGAAUUUUCUGGUUAAGUUAGUUUAGAAGCACCCUAUCGCAGCACUGUAACUGCUUUUUAAGCUCGAUCAGAGUGCAUCACACAAAAGAACAGGAUAACAUAAAAUAUAGCAUGAUCAUGCCUUCAUUCGUCGAACUGACAGCAAAAAGACAAACUUGAACUCAUACAGUCAUACGAAUACCAUCAAUUGCCGCUUUGAUUGCAAACUUAACUCAUUGCAGAUCCAUUUUACUCGAAUCGGCAAUUGCAUAGGGAUAUGGGGUGUGGUGCAAGACGCUUCCUCCAUAUUGGCAACCUCUCUGCUUUCGUUAUUGAUUGUGACAUUCUUCUGUCUAGGAUGUGCGGUGCCAACCAGAACAAAGGGAGGAAAUAUGCAUUACCAGAACGAGAAAGACAGAGUUUCCAUAUAACCGAGCCACAUUUCUCACUCUUAUCCUGCAUGUAGCUACAUCUAGGUCCAGUAAUGUGCUGGCUAGUUUCUCCAAUCACUAGCUGAAAAGCAACCAUUCCAAUCCAAAACACAAAACAUAUUUAUGAUCUGAUACUUUGUGUCAUUUAUUCGUUCAUUCAUUUGCAAUCUGACAAUUUCUACGUUCUUCUGAAAAUGAGAAAUAACAAUGGUGUCAGAAGCACAGAUAGCAUGUCACAAGCCAAUCUCACAAGUAUCCUAUGUCGACCUUCAAUAUGAAAAAAGCAGCAGCAUUUGGAGAUGAUGGACUCUCACAAAGAUAAUUCAAUACUGUACAUCGAAUGGAUACAUUCUUAAGGCCCAGCUUACAACUCAACUAUUCUUAUGUAACUUUUUCAAUGUGCAACACUAAAAUGAGCUACAUGAUCCAGGCAACAGGCAGAAAGCAGUCUCUGUGGCGAGAAGGGGGCAUCCAUAUUUUAAAACACAUUACCCUGACCAGAGUUCCCAUGCCUCAUGACUUGACCGUCAACUAAGACCAUUCAAUGAGACCACACCCAUAGAUGUGAUUAACCUUGAAACCAGAAAGACCAGAUAAAUUGACAUAAGGCCGAUCCCCAACAUCUUGUUCGGUCGCAUGUCAUGUCGGGGCAAGACGAUGAGUGACCAAAGAAUUCCGCUCAUCAGAAACCCCAUCGUGUAAAAUAGACUGCUANNNNNNNNNNNNNNNNNNNNNNNNNNNNNNNNNNNNNNNNNNNNNNNNNNNNNNNNNNNNNNNNNNNNNNNNNNNNNNNNNNNNNNNNNNNNNNNNNNNNNNCCCGACAUUGCAAUCUGCACACCAUCUCCACCAUUCAUUGCCAAUGCUACAUUUGACAUCAGAUCACCCAUAGAGUUUCCCCAGGCCAAAACUGUCAAACCAAGGAUAGAAGGAUUUAUGCCAAAAAUAACACCCAGAGCUACCAGCAAAGAAACAAGCUCGUUUGCGACUAUGCAGAACCAGAUUAUACUCAUGAAGAAUCCCCCAAAGACCCAAGGAAAUAAGAACUUGCGUGGUGGUUGAUCAGCUCUGGUGUACACAUAUGCAAAAACACCAAGUACGCCCCCAGCACAUAUGCCAAUAGCAUAUGCGAUUUCUCUGCUCAGAUUUCCAACAUCGUCUUGCGUGUUCCAUAAAAAUGCCAAAAAAAUAGGUGCUAAUGAAGCACUGGCGACAGCAUAUGUCUUUGACCAUCUUUCUUCCUCGACUAUAGGGAUUGUCAGCCGCCUUGGUAGUGUCAGCGGCAUCUCCAGUAGAGAAAAUAAUUUCGACCAAGUAAAUGAAGAAUUUCCAUUGGCCAUUUCAUCAUCAUUCCAACCCCACAACUGCUUUGGGCUAUCCGGAUUCACUUUGACAGCCUCAUUUGAAUAAAUUGCAACAUUUGAAGCCCACAUCCAGUGCGGCAACUCGCUUUGCAGAUGAGGUACAUCACCAUCAGAGUUUGACUCAAUCAGUGAGGCAUAAAUAGAUUCUUCUUCCUCACUUGAGAAAAGAUACUUCCUCUGACAGGAAGUAAAGGCGUAACAGAAUCUAGCCUUAAUUUCCUGGAUUGUUUCCUCAGCAUCUCAUUGGCGGCAACUGCAAAGGCAUAGAGCCCAUAUAUGGAAACAAAUGCAAUAGCACCCCCAACACUGACCUCGCCAACAAUCAAAAUAAUACCAAGGCAAAUCAAAGUGAAGAGGAAGAAGGAUACAUCUCUGAUAAAACACCUCCUAUCAAUCUGGACCCUCUGCUCUGCCACAGAGAAAGAAACAGCCCCCACGACAACACAAGUAACAAAAACAGCACCACCCAAUACGCUAUUGAGACCCACUGCCCCUGCAUCUUUCCCCAUAAAUGCGGCAAUGCUGGCAAACACAUCAGGAGCCCCAUUACGAAGCGGAAGCAGAGAAACCCCUGCAACCGUGGGCGGCAACUUCAGAAGACUAGAAAGCUUCUCCAAACUACAACAGAAGUAAUCUGCUGCAGUGUUGCCCAACAAGUAAAACAGAGCAACCAGCNNNNNNNNNNNNNNNNNNNNNNNNNNNNNNNNNNNNNNNNNNNNNNNNNNNNNNNNNNNNNNNNNNNNNNNNNNNNNNNNNNNNNNNNNNNNNNNNNNNNNNNNNNNNNNNNNNNNNNNNNNNNNNNNNNNNNNNNNNNNNNNNUACAAACCAGCACACAGUUUAGGAUUCUUCGCAGACAAAUCAUUACCGACGGACUCGUCCACACUCACCGUCCCAUUCAACCUGGAGGCAACCGGCGGAGGUGGAGGGCCGUCGGCGUCGCGUUUCGAGUACGGCACCAGCUUCUCCAGCAACCUCGCCUCUGAGCCUUCCGGUGUGUGGGGGUCUCGCUCGGCGGGCGACGCUCGCCGACGUUGAGGGGAGCUCGAAGAGGCCUGCUUCCCCUCCGCGUGCUGCAUCUGCGACCCCGGGAACGCCGGAACGAACGACGGAGCAGCAACGAGCCCGAAGAGAGAAGCGAGCGAGCACCGGAGUAGCAGCGGCCGUAAUGUGGUUCGUCGGCGAUGGCAGGGGAACGGCCGCUUGAUGCUCGGCGACGGCAGGGGAACGAGCGCGGAGAGAGAAUUUCAGAUUCAAAAAUUCGAAAGGAAAGAAAUGGAGAGGGAUGUCUGUCCGAACAGCGUUUUCUUUCUCAAACGAAGGAAAGAGAAAAACGUCCGCAAUAAAUGCUCUGACAGGAGAGAGAGAGCGUGCAGGCUAGGAGGAGAGAGGGCAUUGGCAGGCUAGGAAGAGGAGAGAGAGGGGAAGAAGGCAGAAGACACAAGUGGGGCCCACCCCUCCACAUGGCAUCUCGUGAGUGGCCGGGGACCACGCUGACGUGGAGGUCCCGGACCACCCAAUAUUUUCUCGAAUUGAUGGGCUUGGUGAAAGGCCGAAACCCUCACUACCCUAUUGCUCUAAUGCGUGAAAACUUUUGCGGCCGGCGACCGCUCAAUUAAAAUUAUUGGAAGAAGACGUGGUUCAACUUGUUGGGAUUACAUUCUUGCCGGCUGCAGUGAAACCAUCGGUGGUUCAACAGUUAACCAUCCAAGAAGCUGCAGUGAAAUUUCCAGGAAUGCAAUGUGGAAGCUCUUGUCACACUGCACUAUAUAUGUACUACGCGACAAUAUAACCUAUCAAGACCAAAUCCAUCCGUUCAACCCAAGCCAUUCAGUGUUGACUCCUACAGACUCAUCUUUGUCCUCUCAACCCGACUCGUUUUGCUGAUCCAAGCACACCCUUUUGUCUUCUCUCUCUUUGUUGUUCAUCCAUCUCGUCGUUGAGGUUCAUAAACCUAGUGAAGAAGCAGCAACUGAUGCAAUGCUCGACCGCCACGAUGGCCUGACGAAUAUCAUCCACAGGCGAAGAUGGCGCCUGGCUUUCAUGGUCAUAUACUUCACAAGGGCUCUCAAGUCUCUGUCGAAACAAGUCCUCGAGAAGAAGACAGCCCUGUUGUGGACGCUCUCUUACGUUGCCAUCAAUGUCAAACUCGAGAGCAGUGAUAAUCCACGUGAAGGAGAUUGCCAUUCUCUUCGAGACGGUCAACCCUAAAAUCCUGAGUAACCUGAUAAGAGAGAAAAGUUUUGAAUCUCUUGCUCAACUUGUGGGCAUAAACAAAUCGCUUCNNNNNNNNNNNNNNNNNNNNNNNNNNNNNNNNNNNNNNNNNNNNNNNNNNNNNNNNNNNNNNNNNNNNNNNNNNNNNNNNNNNNNNNNNNNNNNNNNNNNCUGAGUGAUGAUAUUUCAUACAGAGUAUCAAGUAGGUGAUCACGUGAGAUCACCCUUAUUCUUUCUAUAACGAAUUGCCUUGUAGAGAAUACAGUUAUAUGGCUCUGUUCAUAUAUAUAUAUAUAUCAUACAUCAACUCAAAUUGUGGGUUAUAGGAAGGGUAUAUUUCUGUAUUGUGGCGGUUCAUUGGUACUGCCAUGACACAUCAGGCAUUCUCGCCCACCCCCUACAGAGCACAAGGAGGGCCCCCCCCUAGGUUGUUCCUCACGUGGAUUAUCACUGGUCUCGAGUUCGACAUUGAUAGCAACGUAAGAGAGUGUCCGCAACAGGGUGUAUGAAGUUGAAGAAAAACAGAGAGAUUGAAGACGAUCGAUAAUGAAGAGAGGAUUUUGUAUAUUGUAUUGUCUUCAAUAAUACAAUCUGAUGUACAACCUUAGUAGUUAUAAUACAAGAGUAUGAAUAAAAAAGGAAAUUAAUGAUCCUAUAAAUCAAUCUAUUCUAGAUCUAAUCUUAAAUCGAUUUGUAGAAAUCAAUAUCGGAUCACAAUCAAUUCAAAUCUUCUGUCAAAGCUGCAUAGCUUCCAACACUCCCCCUCAAGCUGGUGGCUUGUAUAUGUCCAAGACACCUAGCUUGUUCAAAAGAUAUGUGUGCUGUCUUUGACAUAGAGGUUUGGUGAAGAUGUCUGCAGGCUGUUCUGUUGUCCCAAUUCCUUUUGUUUCAAUGACUCCUUCUAAGAUCUUAUCUCGUGUAAAGUGGCAAUCCACUUCUAUAUGCUUGGUUCUUUCAUGCACUAUAGGGUUCGCUACAAGUUUUAGAGCCGCAUCAUUAUCACAUAAUAGCUUUGUUGGCCCUUGUACCUGUAUUCCAAGAUCUUUAAGAAGACCUCGUAUCCAUACUAUCUGAUAGGUAGUUUUAGCCAUAGCUCGAUACGCUGCUUCAGCUGAAGAUAGAGAAAUAGUGGGCUGCUUUUUAGUCUUCCACGAGAGUAAGGAAUCUCCUAAUUUGAUGCAAUAUCUAGUGAUAGAUCUUCAACUCAUGGGACAAGGUGCAUAGUCUGCAUCACAAUAUGUUGUCAUUUCCAUGUUGCAUCUUAUGGACAAGAGUAUUCCAAGUCCUGGACACUUCUUUAGAUAUUUGAUGACUUUGAGUGCAACGUUCAGAUGUGACUAUUUUGGACUAUGCAUGAACUGACUAAGAGUUUGCACUACAUAAGAGAUGUCAUGUGACAUCCUAAUUUUCGAGUCUGAUUUUGAUGAGAUGAAAUGGGCUUUUCAUCGACAUGUCUAUAGCCUUUUUCUUUGAAUUGGCCACUCAUGAGUUAACUAGCCUAUUAUGUAAAGCCGUUAAGGAAUCUAAAUAUAAUAGACAUAAGAAUUCGACUAAGAAUCGACUACUCGAUUGUGCUAAUCUGCAAGGGUCAUUACGGCACCGUCAAAAUGAAUCAGAGACCGGAGAUAUGUGAUUAGUGCGUGGGUGAUUCUACCUAAUUGCAAAAUUUCUGUCAAACGGUACUAGACUGAUUUUUCUGUCAUUUUUGUACCUUGUGUCUGUAUUUGAAACUUCGAGAUUUUUACGACAAUCGAGAGUCACCAAUGUGUCAAAGAUGUACAUUGUGGUUCGAAAAUAAUUGACCAUGAGUCAAUUGUAUUAAAAAUUCCUAAAAGCUACCUAGUAUAUUGGGACGUGCUAAAUCAUGUCGAAUUGAAAUUAACCACGAAAUUGAGCUCGAUUUCAGAAAUUGAAAGUUAUGCCGUGUCAGGAUUCAUUUUAGGAACGUCGACUCACUUUCUGAAAGUUUUUCGAAGAUCCUUAGAUUUUUACGGAAAAUCAAUUCGGAAAUUGAACGGAAAUUCGGACGGACUCGUUUGAAGGGAAUUUUGACUUCUAAGUAGAGUUACGGGGUGAUGGGAAUUUGUGGAAGUGUGUGAGAUUUUUGUUUGACGAAAUUGGACUUCUAAAUUGAGAAUUUGAUGAAAUUGAAUUAUAAAAUCAGUGAAAUUCGGAUCACAAGAGAAGGGCUGCAUUUUUUGACAUUUAAAUUGGAUUUUGUGGUAUUAAAUUGCAAGAAAGAAAUAGGGGACAUAAGGGAUAAGGUUGGAAGCUUGAAGAGGGAACCAAGCAUUCAAUUCAAGAGAUAGGUUUGUUGACUUUUGGCUCCAGCCUUGGCUUCCUUCGCACGCUUGUCCACCGCCUCUCUCCCUCAUCCGAUUCUCUCUUUCUCCUUGGUCUCUCUCUCUCUCUCUCGCUUUUCACGGCUUCAAUUCCUUUUGUUCCCUUCUCCCUUUGAAGACACCCAUCACUAAAGCAUCCCCACGUUUUUCCCUCAUCCCACCGCCACUUGCACCAUCAUUCACCCACUGUUUCUUCUUUGCACCACACGUCCAAAGCCACCUCAAAUUCUGUCCACUAAAGGAGUUUUUCUCCAGCCAAGUUGAUCGUGAAACCUUCAGCAUCUUGAGCCACACGUCUUCGUCAAGCAGCCCAUUUUUCCCUCACCAAAGCCCACGCUCUUCACGUCCAAGCCGUCCCUCUCUCCAUCGAAUUCUCCUCUACCGAUUUGCCAACGCAAGCUUCGCUCAGUCCACUGAAGACCGAAGCUAGCCGUGGAUUCCAGCGAACUCAGCCGAGUUCGUGAGUUUCUUUUACGGUUUUUCAGCCGAUCUGAGCGUUCCCCCGGCCUUGCUGUGAGUUCGAGUCUCGGCCGUCGUUGCGCCGCUGUCGCCGUGAGCCGAUUUUCGGGCUUAACCUGUGAGUUGCGUUCUAAUCCUUUAUUAGUGGGCUAAUGACACUUAGAGGUAUGUUAGUUAGCUAAUUGGUGAAUUAGUUAUGUUGAUUAGGCUUAGGAUGACUUAGUUAGAUUAAGUAUAUGGUUAGUAUUUUGUUAGUGUAAUUAGUUUAGUUAGGUGGAUUAGUUAGGAAUUAGUUAGUUUAUUUAGUUAGUGCAUUUAGAUUAAAUUAAAUAGGAUGGUUAGAUUUAAUUGUUAGUUAGAUUAUUUAGUUUAGUUAAUUUAGGUAAAUUUAAUUAAAUGCUCUAAAUUUAUUUAUUUUGUAAUUUAUUUAAUUUCUAGUAAUUUAUUUAAUUAUUACUUAUUUUUGGGAAAUUAGGCCAGGAUAGCCGGUGACCGGAAUUUUGUGCUGAUUGCAAUGUUGUGUUCAAUUUCUGCAAUUGAGUGUUAAUUUAUGCAAAUUGAGUGCUGAUUGGAAUUUUGAAUAUUUAAUUCCAAAAUUUGUGAAAUUCAUUAUUUAUUUAGAAAAUCCAGGGUGUUGGGUUUUAACACCAAAAAUGGUUUUAUGUACUAUAUAAACCAUUGUGAUUUUAAAUUGGAGGAUAUCAAUUUUUCUAGAGUGAAUUAACCGUGUACCCACACACGACUAUUUUAUCGUGUAUUUUUAAUACGAAGAAAAUAGGUCAGGUUCACUAUUUUAAUUGAGACAUUUGAGUGCAAUGCACAGUGUCCUGGGCUGAGAUUGAUUGCUCAUGUGUUGGUUAAGAGAAACCGUCCUGGGCUAUUAAGCCGGAUGUUACCCAUUCAUUGGGACUCGGGUUGUAGUAGAUUCUGGACCUACGCCCCUUCGGGGAAGCCAUCUAAUUGAGAGACGUCGCCGUGCUCAAAGGAGGUGAGACGACACCUGGCAAUGCCAAUAUAGUUGGCUGUACCCUUGAGGGGUGUAAUUAACAAUUGGAACGCAUGAUGGUUAAGUUCGAUGCACCGGAUUAUGGGACAAAAUUGUGUGAUGUGGUAUGGGACGUGUCAUAACGAUUUGGCCCUAUAAUCUGGACCUCUGUGAUUUAUUGAGUUGAGUGAUGCGAUUCAAUUGUUGGAUGUAUCGUUUCUAUACAUAAUGUAUAUGAACUGUGCUGACCCGCAAGGUGGAACUGAGGCGAGGUAAGUCCUCUGUGCCAAUUGAGUGGUUGUGUGGUUAGGACACUUCUGGGUGUAUUUCCCUCAUAAUCGAGACUUAGACCGUGAACUCGCUGAGAUUUAUAUCUCACCCCGUUGUGGGCUUAAAAUUUUCAGGACCGUAGAGGGAGGACUUGGAGCUAAGCUGAGGUGACCUGAAGAGUGGGUCAGAUAGAACAACCUCUUUUUAAGAACUAGUCUUUUGGUUAUAGACUUGUGUAAAAGACUCAAUAUGUUUACAAAAGUGUGGUUUGUUUGUGAAUGUGAUGUCCAGCUUUUCUAUCCCGAGAUAGUUACUGUUAGGGGAUUUUUUUAUUUGCUUCCACAUGUGUAAUAAAAUAAAAGGGGUCGGCGAUUCACUUGGGAAGUCGCAUAGUUUUUAAUCGACCAAAGAGGGAUGGGCAUGCGCUUGAGGAUCGGGCCGUGACAUGUCAGGCCUAGUCAUUGUCAGAUAUAUGAGUUUUACGACAAGCCUUUGAUAGCUUGAAGGAUCUUCCAAUGUGAAAUCAUCUUCCUGAGAAAUUCCCUUAUCAUAAUCUGCGAUGGUCAAUUUAGUAUUAUGUUCAAUGGGAAUAACAGCUAGCUUGCAACCUGAUAAACCUGCUUUUGAAAUAAUCUCCAAUAUGAAUUUCCGCUAACUGAGGGAAAUCUCUUGUUCAGAACGGGCAAUUUCAAUGCCAAGAAAGUACUUAGGAGCUCCUAAGUCUUUAUUGUGAAAAAUUGCAUGCAGAUACUUAUUAAAAACUUCUAUGGCAGCUUCAUCAUUUCCCAUAAUGAGAAUAUCAUCAACAUAUAUCAUCAAAUAGAUAGAUGACAUACCUUUAAUUCGCGUGGAUAAGGCAGAAUCAUGUCGAGACUAUUUGAAGCCUGUCGUUGUAAGAGCGCUUGUAAACUUAGCGUACCAUUGCUUGGAAGCUUGCUUCAAGCCAUAAAGGGAUUUACGGAGGAGAAACACUUUAUUCUCCCCUUGUCUCCGUAAGCCCUGAGGAACAUCCAUAUAUAUCUCUUCAUCUAAAUCAUUGUGAAGGAAGGCGUUAUGAACGUCCAUUUGGUGUUAAGACCAGUCACGAAUAGCUGCAACUAUCAAGAAUGAAUGUACUGUGAUGUCUUUGGCUACAGGUGAGAAUGUCUCAUGAUAAUCGAACCCUUCCUGCUGAGUGAAUCCUUUGGCAACCAACCGUGCCUUGAAUCUUUCAACGGAGCCAUCGGCUCGAUAUUUAAUCUUGUACACCCAUUUAUAGCCUAUUGGUUUACAAUUUGGCAGCAAUUAGACACGAUCCCAGGUUUUAUUGUCAACCAAUGCCUGUAAUUCUGCUUCCACUUCUUUCUGCCAUCAUGGAUCAGCAUAUGCCUCAUUAUAACUAGUAGGUUCCUUAUCCUCCGAUAAUCUACUGACACAACACCUAUGUUUUGAUGAUAAAUUAUGGAAGGAAACAUAGGAUGAAACUAGAUAUUUGAUACCUGGUGAAUUGAGAGUGGUGCACACAUAAUCUUUUGUCUAAGUAGGAGGUCGUGUAGCUCGACCAGAACGUCUCGGAGGAUCUAUUCUUGAGGGUGAAGGUGUUGUCUCUUUGGCUGAUGUAGGCAAAGUGUCUUGAAAUUCUUCAUCAGUAGAAGAAUCUUCCAUUGAAUUCCCUGAAACAUUCUCUGGAACCUGAUUUUCAUCAGGAAUAGGGCCUGCUACUGAAAGAUUCAUUGGCACAUAAUGAUCAUUAGCUGAUAUUGCUAAUGGUAUAUAAUCAGGAUCUCGAUAUGUUGCAUCAUCAGUCACAGGCCGACAGGGAAUACUCACUGUACUUGAUUCUUCAUGUGAGAGUGUUUUUUCAUUGAAAGGAAAGACAUUUUCAUGAAAUAUAACAUCUCUACUUAUAAAGAAUUCUUUUGUAGACAACUCCUGGACUCUAUAUCCUUUCUAUAGAUUAGGGUACCCCAAGAAUGCACAGAGUCGUGCACAAGGAUCCAUCUUGUCUCAAGGUCUCAUUAUGGCUGCAUAACAUAAACAUCCAAAGACUUUGAGAUGUGUCCGCUCGGUGCCUUGCCAAAUAAUAUUUCAGAAGGUGUCUUCCCAUUAAGUAUCCGAGUAGGCAUUCGGUUGAUAAGAUAAGCCGUUGUAAUUGCUACUUGAAAUUUCAGGGCUCUAGCAACUUCCAGAAGAUGCCUGUGUUUACGCUCGACCACCCCAUUUUGUUGUGGGGUGUAGAUACAAGAGCUUUCAUGUUGAAUCCCUUGAGAUGAAAACAAUGAAAUGCAAUCAUGGUUGAAGAAUUCCCUUCCGUUAUCAGUUCGAAUCUUUUUAAUCGACUUUCCGAAUUGAUUUUUCGAAAGAGCAAUAAAUGUCCUUAAAUGAGAAUAAGCUUGGCCUUUAGACUGCAUGAAGAAAAUCCAUGUUGCACGAGAACAAUCAUCUACUAUGGUAAGAAAAUAAUGAGACCCAUCAUGAUUUGUUGUAUGGUAAGGCCCCUAAAUAUCCACAUGAAUCAAUGAGAAAAUUUCAUUAGCACGGGUACUUCCUAAAGGGAAUGGAGUACAUGACUGUUUUGCGAGGGGGCAUAUGGAGCAUUGAGCAUAAGGAAAGAAAGUACAAUGGCCCAUCCUUAAGUGCAUAAUGAAAUUUCAUUGGUAGUCGAAUUACACAAUGAAGUGUAAUUGAAAGAAGUACUAGAAAAAUUGAAAUUACUUGGGAAUUUUGUCUAGAAAAAAAGGCCUUCAGAAAGACUACCCAAGCCCAUCAGUCUGCUAGUCGAAAGGGCCUAAAAGAAGCAUGUAUCAGCAUCGAAGAAUACCCUACAUGAGUUUCCUUGCAUACUCUUGACACAGAAAUAAGAUUAAAUUGGAAUUCCGGGACAUAAAGGACAUUCUCAAGAGUAAUUUGAGGACUAAGAUUUACUGUUCCUAUCACAUUCACAUGUGUGAUAUUCCCGUUGGGUAAUUGCACGGUAACGGGAAAAUUUAAUCCCUCAUUUAUACUUGUAAAAAAUCCUUUAUUACAAACAAUGUGAUCGCUUGCCCCUGAAUCAAUAAUUCAUGCAUUUCUUGAUGUGGCAUCCCAAAAUUCAUGGCGACCUCCAGAUACAUUAAGGUCUAUGAAUAGGUGAUGGAAGUACCAUCAAGUUAUAUUGUAGCCAUUUGAUCCAUAAUUUGCAAUGAGAUUUAUGGCCAAGCUUUUAAUGGAUAAUUAUUUGAUAGGAAAGAAAAUUCUAUCAUUGGCCAUGUGUUUUAUAAAUUGGAAUUUAUGGAUUUAUGAUUUCAAGUUUUAUGGCCAUAUGAAAUUGUAAUUUAGUAUUUAUAUAAGUGGGCAUUUAAGGUAAAUUAUUAAAAGUAAACAUGGACUUAUUUAAGAAAAAUUUUGGGCCAUUUAAGUUUGGACUUUAGGACCAAGAGUGUUGAGCCUAAAGCCCAUUGGGCUGUCGACCGAAAGGGGGGAGAGAGGAGCCGUAUGGGCCUCCUUCAUGUGUCUUCAACAAGAAGACACUUGUCUCCUUCUUAGGGACAAGUGUCUCUCCAUGCAAAAAUUUGGAGACAAGUGUCCCUCCAUGCAAAAGUGGAAGCAUGCAAGGAUUUUAUUCAACCAAAAGGAAAAAGGGAAGGGGGUGGUCGGAGCUAGGUGCUGAGAGAGAGAGAGAGAGAGAGAGAGAGGUUCACGCCGAGAGAGGAAGAAGAAGGCUUGCCCCACCGUGCGUCCGCCUAGCCGCCGCCGUCAAGCCCGCCUCGCCCCGCCGUUGUCUUGCUGUCUUUUCUUUGGAUUAGAGGCAAGUACAAUCCUAGAACCUACCCUUUGCUUGCUGUGAUGUGUGUGUAGAAGAUGGUGAAUUUCGGUUGUGGUAGAUGUGAUGAAAGGUCGAAGCUAUGGGGAGAAAUUCGUUGGCCUAGCAUGCUGUUUUCUGGAAAAAUCAGUCCAACCCUUCACGAGUUUGUGAGCUUCAUGCGACUUUUUAAUUGAAAUCUCGCUUUGAUCUCUUCAUGAAAGUUGUGUAGAACAUCUUGAGGGAUCAAAUACUAAAAUUUGAGACAAAACGGACAAGGAUUGGUUGGUGAAAUGAUUUUCCUUUGAAGAAACUAGAUCUGGAAACUAUUAUGUCGACCUUUGGUGAUAUCGUGAGUUGCAUGCGAUGUUCUAGUUGGAAUAUGACUUUGACUUCUUGAUGAAAGUUGUAAAGGAAUUCUUGGAGAAUAACAUAUAAAAAUUUGAAAGGAAACGGACAGGUAUAGGUCGAGGAAACCAUUUUUCUUUGAUGAAGCUAGAUCUAGAAAAUGUUAUGUUGAAAUUAUCCAGUCCGAAUUUGAUCUCGUGUUCUUGAUGAGAGUUGUAGAUGACAUAUUGAGGAGAAACAUACUAAAAUUAGAGGAUAAACAGACAAGUAAUGAUCGGGGAAAACAAUUUUCUUUGAAAAGGAUAAAUCUGGACAGUGAACCGAGAGAUAGGAAGAGUUAUAAAAAUUAUAUCUUUUAAUCUAGAAGGAAAUAAAUUGCGAUUUCUUCAUGAGAAUUUUUCCUUUUGAUCUCAGCUAUAACAUAUCAAAAUAUCAGAAUUUUUGGAGUUCAUUUAAGGGCCUAAUCGAAAUUAUUUCUGAAACUGUGCAAAAAGAGGUGCUAGAAUUUCUUUUGCUGUGAUGUAUGGAUCUAUGUGAUUGAUGUGGAAUUUUCUUGAUAUGAUGUUCUUCAUGAAAUAUCUUCCUCUGGAUAUUUUUUACAUCAUGUUAAAUUCUCAAAAUUUAUUGAUAUUUUUUACUAAUUUUCCAAGAAUUUUCACUAAAGAAGUGCAUUCUGUUUUAUCCGAAAAUUGGUUCUAGUUUCAAAAAUCAAUGAACUUCUUUAUGAAAGGUGAUAUCGUGGAUGUUAUGCGUACUGCAUAUAUGGUGAUGUUUGGCAUAUCAUGUGACAUCAAAAGAUGGUUUAGAUCUAUGAUAUUGUUGCAUCAAAUGCCAUGUUGAAAAUGAGACAUAUAUGUGAACAUAUAUUGUGAUAAUGAUGAUGCCGUCGGAGGUGUGAGUUGACGAUGCCUCGAGAGUCGGGAUGCCCAAAGGUUUGAAUGAGUCGAUUCCCUUUGGAUGCUUGGUUGUAUUAUGAAUACAUGUCCAGAGGUUUUCCCCAAGAGUGUCGGGAUGCCCGGUUAUAUUAUGAUACACGCCCGGAGGGUGAGGGGUUGUAUUAUGAUGCAUGCCCGGAGGGUAGGGGUAACCAUUUUCAUGGCGAGCCUCGGCGAUUCCUCGUGACGCCAGGUGGGAUGCGAGAUGCUCGGAGGUGUGUGCCGAAUGCCCGGAGGUGUGUGCCAGAGGCUCCUUGCGAUGCCAGGUUGGAUGCGAGCGAUAAAUGAGGGAUGUGAAAAUUGGUCCCUAGAAGAAAAAUGAUGAGAUCCUUGUGAAAGAUAAAAAUUGAAAUUGAAUCAUGUGCAUGAGUGUAUGCAUAUGGCAUGAUGCAUGAUUUGCUUAUCAAAAUAAAUUGAUGUUAUUUGACAUUGAGAAUGCGAUCAUGAAGGCUUGAAUGGAUCUCAUGGUGAUGUAUGCUUGAUAGCAUGGAUGAUACGAAUCAUGGUGAUAUAUGCACGAUGGCAUGGCAAGAUAUGCAUGACUACAUGGUAAUAUAUGCACAACUGCAAGGUGAUAUAUGCAUGGCUGCUUGAUGACAUAAAUACAAGUGCAUGGUGGUAUAUGCAUGUUGUAUGGUGAUAUAUGCAUGGCUGUAAGGUGAGGUAUGCUUGAAUGCAUGAAUGACAUGUGUUUUAUUCAUAAUACCUUGAUUGUUCUGUUUGUCACAUUGUGUAGUUAGGUGGAUCUUUACUGCUGAGUGGUUGUACUCACCCCAUUUGGGGAAUAACAUUUCAGACUAGAUAAGAUACCUCAGCUAGCACUGCCACCGGUAGAUGAAUCAAGUGGUUGGAUAUGACCGCGAGGAGGAGGAUAGCAAAGGAAGGAAAUUUUGGACGCCGACACUGAUUGAUGGACUUUAAGUAUACGACUGUUGGAGGAGAUGUCGGUCAUCUUUUGAAGUAUAGCCGAGUAUAGAAGACUAUGGCAUUUUGUUGUACCGAUGAAUGGUGUCCAUCUGGUUUAAGUAAAUAAAAGUAUUCGGCUUUUACCCAUAAAUGUUUAGUUGGUGUGCAUCGUUUUCUGAAUAUAGGGAAGUGAGUUAAUGGAUGUGCUUCUGCCAUAUAAGUUGCGCAGGGACCGAUCUAAAAGAUGUAAACCCCUAGGAUUCAUGAAUUAUAAUGAAAUUCCUUGGUAUUAGAGUAUUACAUUAUCAGGUCGAGUGAAAGAGAAAGGUAAGCGAACAAUGGCGACCCUAACAGUUUAGGGGCCGUCAAGGGGUGCCACACUUGAAAUCGAAUUAAUUAGGCAAAGUGAGAUACCUGAGAAUCUUCCUCCUUUGUUGAAGGUAUCCAAUUUCUGAAGAGUAUGCAUCAAUUGUUGAUAUUGACCAUAAGAGAUAGGUUGGUCAGCAUUUUGGCCAGUAGGUCUAGUCACUUGAUAGGCAACUGAUAUUUUUUUCUCCUUCUCUCUAGGCUUUGCAUGCAAUAUCCAACAGCUGUCAAUCAUAUGGUUAGAACGCUUGCAAUAAUCACAAAACAUUUUACCCUUUGCCUUAAAAGUGGGUCGAAAAUUCUUUGAUGACGUGGCAUAUAUCUGGCCGUCCACUCCUUUAGUCACGGAGUCAUAUCUGCCGUCGGAUCCAUCUGCGCCUUCAAAGCCAAGAAGAUCGUCCGAUCCAUGUCCACGAUCUGUCCGUCCAAUUCGCGCCCACGAUCUGUAUCGUCAGAUCCUCGCAUCAAAUCUCGGCCGUUCAUCCCAUCUCUUUUAAACAAGCGAGCGACGUCUCCUCCUGCAAACCCUACCGUGCCUCUUUGUCUCUCUCUCGAUUUAGGGUUUUUAUAGAUCCGUCUUUGCGUUCGUCGCGGGCUGUGAGGGCGAUGUAGUCGCCGUUCCUUGCAUGUUCUAGCGAUGCGAGUUGUUGGCUUUCCUCCUGCACAACCAACUGGUAGAUUCCUCUAAUCGGAGGGAUAAGAUCCAUGGCAAGGAUUUGUGAAUGAAAGUUGAAGUAAGUGUCGUUCAAAAUUAGUAAGAAAUGUGUAGCCUUUUCCCUUUCUUUGAUGGAAUGAUAUUGCUUUAAUGUGGAUUCCGGUCCGUCAAGCUUUUCCUUGAUCGUUUCUAGCUGGUUCCAUAAAGAUGAUAGCUUGUUGAAACAAGCCGUGACCGUCAUAUUCCCCUGUUUGAGAUUGCUUAAUUCUUGCAUGAGUGAAAUUUUUUUGGCACGAUCGAGUUUGCCGUACAUUUCUUUAAUAUUCUCCCACAUCUUUUGAGUGUCUUCUGUGGGUGGAAGUCCGACCGCGACUUAUGGAGAAAUGCAAUUGCCGAUCCAAGUUCGGACAAGUUGAUUGCAUUUCCUCCAAUGUCGUGCUAGACACUCGUCUGAAGGAACAACAAUGGUUCCAUCGAGGAAUCCAUCUUUGUCCUUUGUCACCAUCACACGCCGGAAUUUCUGCAACCAUCUGGAGUAAUUUUCAUGCCCGGUAAUUCAGUUCAGGUCCGUCAGCGGUGGAAAGAAACAGGGGAUCGCCGGAUUCUGGCUGUCUGGUGAAAAUCGAUCCUGGAAACGACAAAAAUCCAGGUGAGAAGCCCGGGUAGGGAUUCGCUCACAUACCCAGAUUCAAAUCGGCUCCAUAACCCACAUUGAAAUUGGUUGGGUAUGGGUUUCCUCCAUUACCUGAACCAUUGGAUCCAUCUAUGUGACAUCCCAGAUUUUCAACCCUAUCAUCUACUGAGUAAAUCGGGCAUUUCAUUAACAUGUCUAUAGGGCUAUUCUCAGAGCCGAUCACUCUUGAGAUAAGUAGACUAGCUGGGGAAGCUAUUUCGGACUUUAAAGCAAAUGGACUUGAGAAUUCGAACAAGAAUCGGCUUCUUGACGUGCUUAUCUUUAGAGACCAUUACGGCACAGUUAAAAAAAAAAUCGAUUUGAGAUCAGAGAUAGGUUUUUUCGACUGAGAUGUGUGACUGAUCGUGGGUGACUCCACUAAAAAUUCUCGUCGAUCGAUACGAAUCUGAUUGUACUGUCGUUUUGGUACCAUGUGUCCAUAAUUGAAUCCUUGAGAUUUUUACGACAAUCAAGAAUCACCAUUAAGUUGAGUGGGUUCAUAGUGGUUCGAAGAAAAUUGACCGCAGGUAAUUUGCCUUAAAAAGUUUUGAAAGCCACUCAGUAGUCUAGGUCACGCUAAAAACGCGCCAAAUGGAAAUUAACCGCCGAUUCGAGUCCGAAUUCAGAAAUUGAAGGUUCUGUCAUGUCACAAUAAAUUCCAGGACCCAUGGCUCAGUCUCAAAAGAUUUUUCUGACAAUCGAGACUUUUUGGGAAAAAGUCAGUUUAUGGCCGUUUUCGUUCAGUUGAAGCCGGGGAUUAAUUCUGGUUGCGGAAUUGAAGAGCGUGAGGAAUUCUUGGAUGAGGAAAAAUAACCAUUGAGACAUUAGGACAUCAAUUGAAUUUAUGAGAGUCAAUUGAGAGAGAAUCAAGAGGGAGUUGAUGAACAAUUGAAGCCAAGGAAAGCCAAUUUCGUAACUCCCCUCCCCCUAGCCCAAAAUUGACCAAUUGAGAAGUGUUGAGGGGUGUAUGUGUGGGUGAUUGUGAGCCAAGGUUGAUACUUUGCCAAGAUUGAGUCUAAAAGGAUAGACUUGUGGAAAAUAUCAAGCCAAAGGGUCCCUCACUCAUCUCUCACUUAUCUCUAAUCUCUCUCCCUCACCCCCACCCCACCGUUCAUCUCCAUCCUCUCCCUCUCAACUUCUUCCUUUCUGCCCAGUUCCACUUUCAUUUUUUUGGUUGACAACAUGCAGCUCUUCCCUUUGAAAGCUGAAGUCCACGUCUCAUUGCCCCACUGUUCUUGCCAGCCACACGCCAACCCCAACUACCAUUGGUCCCCUUCGAUCCCAUCUCCUCUCCUUGUGUCUUCUUCGGUCAGAAUUUCCCCAACUGAAGACCACGAAUCUCCACGGUUGCUGCCACAUGUUCAUGAAGGACCUCUCUUCGGUCAAGCUUCUUCUCCAGUGAGGCGUGGUUGACUGAAGCUGUCAGCGGACGCCCUCCUUCUCCACCGAGUUUUGUCGGCCACCGAAACAGCUUCAACUUAAUCCACCAAAGCUUCAAUCAACAUCCUUGCAAGCAGAACUCCUUUGUUGACCUUUCCCCCACGUGUCCAGCAGCAAGUGAGCCCACCAUCACUUGUUUUCUUCCACCGAGCGUCCAGCAUCUUCGUCUGUGUCUCUCGCACGAAGUAGCCCCACUCCUCGUGCCUUCAGCUCCCUCGGUCGAAGACCUCAACGAAGCCAGCCGUGAAUUUCAGCUUGUUCAACUCGUGGGCUUUGCUGCUCCUCUUGCAUGUGAAGUUCAACCCACUUGAAGCCUACACCAAUUCAGCCCAUGAUUAGCCCAUUGAAGACCAGACCCAUAAAUUGAGUCUUCAGCCCCUCUUGAAGCCCAUUUUGCAGCCCAAGCCCGUGAAGCAAGUCAACCCAAGCUCAAGCCCAAGUUCAGUUCAAGCCCAGAAAUUUCUGCGGGCUUGCAAGGCUUUUGAGCCCGGCCUGAGUGUCCGCUGACACCACCGAAAGUUUGGAUUUCGGUCGCCGUUGCAUUGCUAUCGCGGUGUUUCGGUCUUCGCUUUGCACAAGUGAGUAAUCUCACUAAUCCUUGCUUAGUAGACUAAUUAUGCUUAAGGGUUGAUUAGAUUUAAUUAAGUGCAAUCAGGUGGUUAGAUUAGAAUGGAUUAUUGAUUAUUAGUUAAUUGCAUUGCAUAUUAGCUAGGUGGUUAGUGUACUUAGAUAGAGAACUACCUAUACUAUUUAUUGAAUGCAUCUCAGGAUUUUUCCCAACCCUUAUCGAGCUUCAAUUAGGCAUUACGGGCCUAAAUUGGAUUUUUUUAGUAUUUAAUUAUUAAUUUUCAAAAUUAAUUAAUUAUUUAUUUAUUUUCUGGAAAUUAGGCUGCGAUAGCCGACAAUCGGAAUUUCGUGCUAAUUGCAGUGGUGCUCUCUGUUUAUUUAAUUGAGUACCUGGUUGUGUAAAUUGAGUGCAAAUAGUAGUUGUGGGUAUUUUUUUUUUUUUCAGAAAUUGGAUAACUUUGGUAACUGAGUGGAAAAUUACCGGGCGUCGGUCUACAGCGUCAAAAAUCUAUUUUUGUACUGCUGAAAGGAGUGGGUGAAUAAAAAGGAAAUUAUUGUAUUUUGGCUAAGACCGACCGUGUACCCACACACAUGUACUUUUAUCAAAUAUGAUGAAAAUGGUAAAAUUGAUUGUGUCUUCGGAACAAAAAAAAUACUAUAACGGCUUGAUGAUUCGUAUCUCAUCUGGAGAAUGGACGUUAUACUAUUACAGCUCAAUGGCUCUCAUGUCAUUUUGAGAAAGAAUUGCUUGUAUACUGGCUCAAUGACCCUAUAGGUCAACUUGGAGAAUAGACAGUAUUAAAUGUUAGCUCGGCAAUUCUAUAGAUCAUCUUAGAGAAUGGACAACAUGCCAUAACGGCUCGGUGACUCAACAUGUCAUCUUGGAGAAUGUAUGUUAUGAUGAAUAUGCUCGGUGACUAUAUGUCAUCUUGGAGAAUGAAUAUUAUAAUAUAUUAGCUUGGUAACUCAAUAGGUUAUCUUGGAGAAUGAAUAGUAUGUUAUAAUGACUUGGUGACUUAAUGUGUCAUCUCGGAGAAUGAAACGUAUAAUAUAUUGGCUUGGUAACCCGAUGGGUUAUUUUAGAGAAUGGACAGUAUUGAUUGAAAUGACCAAGAAUGGUCCAUUUGAUAUGUAAUCGACUAGGUCGAUUAAUCAAGAUAUCGAUAUGUGAUGUGACUGCUUGGGUGCCUAUUGAACUGUGCUAAUAUGAAGGUGGAAUUUGAGGCCAAGGUAAGUCCUCUGACUCGUACGUGCAUAGGCAGCCCGUAUAGCGUAUUGGUUUCCUAAUCGAGUCUUAGUGGGAUAGAACUUGCUGAGAUGUAGUCUCAUCCCAGUUGUGGGAUAUCAUUUCAGGCCCGUAGAUGAGCCUGUGGAGAAGGAACCAGAAGAGGACGAUGAGCCGAAAAAAGAUGAAGAGCUUGAAGGAUGUGAGCUUAAUGAAGAAGAGUUAGAAGAGGAUCAGGAUGAUCUUGAGUACGACCCAGAUGAGGACUGAAAUCCCAUCCUGUCUUGUCAGACGUUGUCUGCAUGUGAAUAGAUGUUAGAUCAAACUUAUGUCUAUAGUAUUGUAGAAUACUAUGAUAUGUUUGUAAAAAUGUGUGGUUGUGAAUUUUCAAUAUGAAAAAUAUGGCCAUGCUUUUCUAUCUCAUCGUCUUAUUGUCUAGAGAUUUAUAACUGCUUCCGCAUGUGCUAUUAAUAAUAAAAGGGGUCAGCGAUACUUAGUCCUGGGAUAUCGCAUUCUAAAAUUGACCAAGUAGAAGGAUGUGUGCGUGCCCGAGGAUUGGGGCGUGACAAUCUUCUUGCCCCGCAUUUGCUCCAUCCGACCCGACGGUCAUGCUUGCCCCGCUUAUGGUUGGUAGGCUACCAUCGGGUUGGCCAAAGGCCCAAGGUCCUUGAAUUCCUAGUGAUGAUGUAUUCGGGCUAGGCCCAAACAACCACGGGUUGGGCUGCAUUUGAAACAGUGGCCACUGGUAAGGAUGGCCCAUUAUUGGUUGGCCCGGAAUAGACUAAACCGAGAAGGGUUGCCCUAGAAUUGACUGAGCCAAAGGAUUAUCACCAUCUUGGAUUUGAACAGAUUAUUCGUGAGAUCUAGCGACGUCGACAGUGGAGAUAGUGUCCCGGCUUUUUGCAGUUUGCACGGGAUUUUCAUGCUCCAGACGCUCAUCACUCACGAGUUAACUAACCUAUUGGGUGAAGCCAUUAAGGGAUGUAUCUGUAGUAAAAUCCCUAAAAGCUACUCAAUUGGUUAGAUUGGACUAAAAUCGCGAUUGAUUGAUUCUAACCAUGAAAUUUAAUUUGGUUUCGGGAAUCGAAUAUUCAAGCGUGUCACAAUUCAUUUUUAGGAUUCUGUCUCAUCGUCUGUCAAAUUAUUGACGAGUUUGAAAUUUCAAUAAAGAAAUUAUCGGAGGAAAAAUUUAAGACCAAAAGAAAAUAGAAAGGGAAAGGGAAAGAGAAAAGAAAAUAAGAAUAAGACUUAUUUUUUUUCUCUCUCUCCCUUUUCUCUCUUUUUCUCUCUCUCUUCUCUCUCCUCUCCCUUUCCCUCUUCGCGCGCACCCCCCCUGGCCGAACACUCCCCUUGCCAAUUUUAAAUUGGCUUCUCUUCCUUCUUUUUUUUUUUUUUGACUAGUCAAACCCCCCUCUCUUAUCUCUUCUCUCUCUUAUCUUCUCCCUCUCUCUCUCUCUCUCCUCUCUCCAUCUCUCUUGGUACACUCUCUCUCCCCUUCACCAUUUCAACGAAGAUAGAGGCAGAAAACAGAGGUAGCAGCGCCAAGAGAAGAGGAAGACCGGAGCAGCUCGCCGAAGCCGUCGCCGCCGCCCGCUGCUUGCCUCCGCCUCUCCUUCACCCCCUUUGGCCACCGUUGAAGCUUUUUUUUUCUUCCCCUCUGUUUCGUGCGAAGACCAGCAGAGAUAGAAGCGGAAGCAGCCGCGUACGUCGCUUGAAGAAACAGCUCGCCGAACCGCUGUCUGCUCCUCCGCCCGCCGUUGUUCCACCGUUCACCUGUGCACCGCCCCACCGAGCUGCCGUUCGUCAGUCUAGCGUCGUCCAGCUCCAAGUGCCUCUGCCCAACCCCUGUUCGGCCACCACCGGCAGUUGCCCGACCAUCUCCAGCCACCGUUCGGACUGCUGAAGAUCCCCUCACCCUCCACCGGCCUCCCCUCGCCGCCCUAGUCGCCGGAUCAGCCUCGGCCAGGCCAAACCAACAACCCAUGGAGUGGGUUUCUAGCUGGUUUGGGCCUGCUUUUGGGUCCUUUCCGGGCCCCGAACCUGAGGCCCGCUUUGGAGUUUGUUAUUCCUUGCGUCGCCCCCAUCAGAUUGAUCCGAUUUGCGCGCGAUUCCGGUGAGUAAUCUCACUAAUCCCUGAUUAGUUGGCUAAUUAUACUUAAGGGUUGUUUAGUUUUAAUUAAUUAGGUUUAGGUGGUUAGAUUAGAAUGGAUUAGUGUUUAUUAGUCAAUUGUGAUGCGAAUUAGACAAAUUGAGUGCGCAUUUAGCAAGUAGACGUGAUCUACUAUUUAUUGAAAGUAUCUCAGGAUUUUUCCCGACCCUUAGUGGUCUUCAAUUAGGCUUUUCGGGCCUAAGUGGAAUUUUUGGUAUUUAAAUAUUAAUUUUCGGAAUUAAAUUAAAUAAUUAUUUAUUUUUCAAAAAUUCAACUGGGAUGGCUCAUGACCGGAAUUUUAUGCUGGUGACUGUGGUGAAGUCCGUUUAUUUAAUUGGGCUUUAUUUUGAGCUAAAUUGAAUUUUUGAUAUUUAUUAAUUAAUUUUCGAAAUUAAUUAAUUAAUUAAUUAUUUUUCGGAAAUUAAGAUUUAGAUGGCCAACGACCGAAAUCUCGUGCUAAUCAUUAUGGCGUAGUCCGUUUAUUUGAUUGAGCUUUAAUUUGUAUGGAGUUGAUUUAAUUAUGAAUUUUUAGGAGUUAUUCAUAUUGAGUUGAUUUUUAAUUAUUUGAUUGAGAAAUCGUUGGGUAUUGGUUAUCACCAGAAAGGAAAUACGUGGGCUCGGGCAAUUGGAAUAUCACCUGGGGAAUGCACGUGAAUUCAGUGGUCGAAUAUGUCAUCUUGGCGAAGAGGUCACCUAAGAGAAUGCACGUGGCUCGAAGACUCGGUAUGUCAUCCUAGAGAAUGCACGUGCCUCGGUGACAGAGUUUGGCAUCUAAAAGGGCACGUGGCUCGGUGAAUUGAUGCAUCACUUUGGUGAGUUACCACCUAAGAGAAGGCACGUGGGCCCGGGCAUUGUAAAAAGGACACGUGGCUCGGUAAAUUGAUACAUGCACUUUGGUGAGUUAGCACCUAAGAGAAGGCACGUGGGCCCGGGCAUCGUAAAAAGGACAGGUGGCUCGGUGAUCUGACGCGUCACCUUGGCGAAUUAGUGCCUUAGAGAUUGCAUGUGGGUCCAGUAUUCGUAAAUAGCAUCUAAAAGGGCACGUGGCUCGGUGACUUGAUGUAUCACUUUGGCGAAGAGGUCGCCUUAGAGAAUGCACGUGGGCCAAAGGUUCGAGGCACGUGGCUUGGAGACUUGGGAUGUCAUCCUAGAGAACGCACGUGGCCUAGCUUUUAGAUACUCCUCAGUGGAGAAUGUUUUGUGUGACAUGUAAUCAACUGGUUCGAUUCGUAUAAGUAAGUGGGUGCCUAUUAUGAAUUGUACUGACUUGCAGGUGAGAUUUGAGGCCAAGGUAAGUCCUCUGACCUAUGUGUGUUUAGGCAGCCUAUAGUAUAAUGGUUUACUAAUCGGGCCUUAGUGGGGUAGAACUCGAUGAGACGUAGUCUCAUCCUGGUUUGGGGAAAACAUUUCAGGACCCCAAUAAGGAGCUGAGGAGGAGGGAUCUGAGACGGAGAACUCUGAGGUGAAACCUGAGGAGAAGAAUUUUGGAAGAAGAAGAUAAUCCCGAGAGGGAUCUUGAGUACGACUCGGAUGGACUGAGAUUCUAUCUUCUUUUGAGAUCUCCAUUUUGAUGUGAAUAGUUAGAAGUACUUUGGUUUGUGUUUUGUAUAAAGGUUUGGUUAUAAAUUUCAAUAUGAAAAUUAUAGCCCUGCUUUUCUAUCCCAUCGAUUUAUUGUUUGGGGAUUUAUAACUGCUUCUGCAUGUGCUUAAUAAAAGAAAAGGUCGGCGAUACAUAGUCCUGGGAUAUCGCAUUAUAAAAUCGACCAAGUGAGAAUGAUGUGUGCGUGCCCGAGGAUCGGGGCGUAACAUCCCCUUUUUGUGGUAUCAAAACGAAGUUCAAGAUUGGAGUGAUAAGGAGCGAUGACCAUGGGAUAGUUAGUAGGAAAGGCCUUUAAAUUCAUGCUGGUGCAUGUCUGUGUUAGCUGAGUACUAAAAUUGUUUGUUGUUUGGAUCGCUUUGUUUCUAAUUUGGUGUUGAAUUGGAAAUAGGUGUUAGUUGAGUAAAGCUACACCAUGAGCGAUCAGAAGCCGAGAACUCCUGCAAAGAGGACUAGUAGGGUCGUUAUUCGGGGUAGAGCUCUAACUCAUGUCGGAACCCAAGGCGGACGUGGUCGAGCGCCAGCAUAGGCUAGCGCAAGUGGAAUGGUUCCCCCUAUCAUAGAUGUCAGGGUAGCAGCCCCUAAUUAUCCCAGGGUGGAUGGGAUCUUGCGUGUUCUAGAAGCGAUGGGCACUAGAAUGGAUCAGUAGGCCACUACUGUUGAAGCCGCUACUCAGGCCGCUGCAACUGCCGCUGCCGCCACCGGAAUUGCCCCUACUACCGCACCUGCAGUCGCACCUACCGUUGCUCUAGCCGCAAUGAAUGUUGAAGGUCCACCAGAGAUAGUGGUCACUGCAAGACCAAUCCAUAAGUUGGUGGAGCAUUUCCUAAGGCUAAAUCCACCAUUGUUCACUGGGUCUAGAGAUCUUGAAGCUGCUUCUUCAUGGGUUCAGAAGCUUGAGAAGGCGUUUGCAUUGCUGAUGUGCAAUGAGACUGGGAAGGUAAUGUUAGCAACUUACCAACUGGAUGGAGUUGCGGACACUUGGUGGAUGACUACUCGUGAAACAAUCUUUCCAUAAGGCACUGUUCAGGACUGGAACACUUUCCGUGAAGCCUUCAAUGAUAAGUUUUUCUCUGAGAUUGCCAGAGAGGUGAAGAUGGCAGAAUUUCAAUGUCUUCGCCAGGGUUCCCUAUCUGUUGAUGAGUAUGAGGCGAAGUUCGCUGAACUUUCACGAUAUGCCCUCGAGUUAAUUGAGAAUCCUGUGAACUGAGCGAGGAGGUUCAGAGAUGGAUUCAAAUAGGAUUUGAGAAGCGCCUUAGUCAUUCUGGAUCUGAAGACUUAUAACGACAUAUAUUAGAGAGCUCAGAAGAUUAAAAAAGAUUAGAACAAUAAAGUUGCCUCAUCUGGAUCGAGGUUUAGCUCUCAUAGAGACAACAUCCGCCAAGGAAAGAGGCCGAUGUUUGGAAAUAGAUUCCAAAGCCCCCCAGCAAGAAGAGUGGAUUUAAUAGGUCAGGACCUAUUAUAAGUGAUGCGUGUCGCUUGUGUGGGAGAAGGCAUGGGACAGCACCGUGCCCAGCUAGGAUGGGUGCUUGUUUCGAAUGUGGUCAACAGGGCCACAUAGCCAGAUAUUGUCCAAAGAAGUAAAGAGGACAACCUCAGUUGCCGCCGCCACCACCAAUGAGACAGAUAUGAGGGUAUGCCCCUCAGAAUGCACCGCAAGGAGGACAGCAGAGACCUCCAGUUCAGGGCACUGUGUACGCGAUUACCCAAGGUCAGGUAGAAGUUGCGCCUGGCGUGAUCACAGGUACGGUCUCACUCAACGAACGACCAACCUUCUUAUGCUUUGUUUGAUUCGAGAGCAACCCAUUCCUUUAUUACCGAGCAAUAUGUUAGGAUGCAAGGGUUGAGUCCUGUAUUGUUGGAGUCAGCAAUUUGCAUAUCUACACCCUUGAAAGAUAAAGUCAUUGCUGCUUUGAGAUGUUCAGGGUGCAAGUUAGAGAUUGGUGAGUGAGUGGGGAAAAUUGACUUGUUAGUUCUAGUCAUGUAUGAUUUUGAUUUGAUAAUUGGCAUGGACUGGCUCACCAAUCAACGAGCUAAAAUGGACUGCUAUUACAAGGCGAUUCAGUUUGACCCGUUAAGGGGUAAGACCUACGAAUUUGUCAGGAAUUGAGGAGGACCCUCGAUUUCCUUAAUCUCGUCGCCAGAAGCAGCUCGUUUGUUAGACAAGGGUUGCCGUGGGUACUUAGCAACAGGAGUUGAAGAGCUGAAAAUGGAAGAUAUUGUAGUGGUACAGGAGUUUCCAGAUGUCUUUCCAAAAGAAUUGCCAAGGUUACCGCCAGAAAGAGAGAUUGAAUUUGUAAUUGAGCUAGCACCAGGGAUAGAAUCUAUCUCAAAGACACCUUAUCGAAUGGCAUUAUCUGAGUUGAAGGAACUGAAAGUGCAGAUGCAAGAAUUACUGGAUAAAGGAUUUAUUCGUCCUAGUGCAUCACCUUGGGGAGCACCAAUUCUGUUUGUUAAGAAGAAAGAUGGUUCAUUGCAUUUGUGCAUCGACUAUCAACAGCUCAAUCAGGUAACGAUCAAGAACAAGUAUCCAUUGCCGAUGAUAGAUGACUUGUUUGAUCAACUGCAAGGAGUGUCAAUAUUCUCGAAGAUCGACUUGAGGACAGGAUAUCAUCAGCUGAGAAUUAGGAAGGAGGAUAUUCCUAAGUCAGCAUUUCGUACCCGGUAUGGUCAUUACGAGUUUAUAGUGAUGCCGUUUGGGUUGACGAAUGCUCCAGCUGCUUUCAUGGAUAUGAUGAACAGAGUGUUCAAGGAAUACUUAGAUUAGUUUGUGAUUGUGUUCAUUGAUGACAUCCUGGUCUAUUCGAGAAGUAAUGAAGAGCAUGAGAAUCAUCUAAGAUUAGUACUUCAGACCUUAAGAACUCAUUAGUUGUAUGUUAAGUUUAGCAAAUGCGAAUUUUGGUUAAACCGUGUUGCUUUCUUAGGUCAUGUGAUUUCCGGAGAAGGAAUCUUUGUCGACCUGAGCAAGAUAGAAGCCGUGAUCAAGUGGCCGAGACCGACAACGGUGACAGAGAUAAGAAGUUUUCUAGGGUUCGCAGGUUAUUACAAAUGGUUUGUGGAAGGGUUCUCAUCGAUAGUGUCGCCUUUGACAAAGCUCUUGAAGAAAGAAGAGAAGUUUGUAUGGACAGACAAGUGCGAGCGUAGUUUCCAAGAGCUGAAGGAAAAGCUUACUACCGCACCUGUACUGACGAUUCCAUCUGGUCCUAGAGGAUUCGAGAUCUAUAAUGAUGCGUCAUUUAGGGGAUUGGGUUGCAUGCUGAUGCAACAUGGCAGAGUUGUUGCAUAUGCUUCUCGGCAGUUGAGACCUCAUCAAUUGAAUUAUCUGACGCGUGACUUGGAACUUGCAGCCAUCAUAUUUGCGUUGAAGAUUUGGAGGCACUACUUGUGCGGAGAAAAGUUUCAGAUCUUCACGGACCUUCAGAGUCUCAAGUAUUUGUUCUCUCAGAAGGAGUUGAACAUGAGACAGCACCGAUGAAUGGAAUUACUGAAGGAUUACGACUGUGACAUUCUACAUCAACUUGGAAAGGCGAACAAGGUCACCGAUGCAUUGAGUCAGAAGUCUUCAAUAGCACAAAUCUUGGUUAAGGAGUGGAACUUAAUCGAGAGAGCUCGAGAUUCGAAAUUCAAAUUUGAGGUAGGCCACCUUUCAAGUUUUAUGGCCACCCUCAGAAUUAAACCGGAUGUCCAGGUCAGAAUCAAAGAACUCUAACCGACAGAUCCAGAUGUACAAAGAAUUCUUCAAGAGGAUACUGAUAAAAGAAAUGCUGAUUUUCAAGUUUCUGAUGAUGGGAUAUUGAGGCUUCGUGGACAUUUGGUUGUACCUGACGAUGUAGAGCUUAGAGAGGCUAUUUUAUCUGAAGCACAUCGUAGCAGUUACAGCGUUCAUCCUAGAAGUACCAAGAUGUAUCAGAAUCUGCGUCAAUUAGUGGUGGUCAGGUAUGAAGGCGGAUAUCGCCAAACAUGUGGCCAAGUGUUUAACUUGUCAACAAGUAAAAACCCAGCAUUGCAAGCCGGGAGGACUUCUACAACCUCUCGCGAUCCCAGAAUGGAAAUUAGAGCAUAUCACGAUGGACUUCGUGACUGGACUACCAAGGAGUCAGAAGGGGGAAUGAUUCAAUUUGGGUAGUAGUCGACAGGCUGACAAAGUCGGCUCACUUCAUUGCAGUUCGAAAAGACCUCAGUCUUGAUAGGCAUGCAGACCUGUAUGUGCGUCAAGUGGUUCAAAUGCAUGGAGUGCCAGUUACGAUAACAUCCGAUAGAGAUCCGAGGUUUACUGCUGCUUUUUGGAAGAGCUUGCAGAGUGCUUUAGGUACAAAGCUUCAGUAUAGUACGGCAUAUUAUCCUUAGACGGAUGGCCAAUCUAAAAGGACAAUUCAAACUCUUGAAGACAUGCUGAGAGCGUGUGUAAUAGACUUCAAAGGAAGUUGGGAAGAUCAGCUUCAUCUGGUGGAAUUUGCCUACAACAACAGUUAUCAGCAGAGCAUCAAGAUGGCUCCUUUUGAAGCGUUGUAUGGCAGAGCAUGCAAAACUCCAGUGUGUUGGGAUGAAGUCGGAGAAAGGAAGAUAACAGGCCCAGAGUUGGUUUAGCAAUCAGUAGAUGCCGUGGCAGUGAUUAGAGACAGAUUAAAGACAACACAGAGCAGGCAUAAAAGUUAUGCAGAUAAGUGUCGAAGGUCUUUGGAAUUCCAAGUUGGUGAUCACUUCUUUCUGAAAGUGUCACCAAUGAGGGGAACUUCGCGCUUUGGUAAGAAAGGCAAGCUGAGUUUGAGGUAUGUAGGUCCGUUUGAAAUUCUUGAAAGAUUCGGAAACCUAGCGUAUCGUCUUGAGUUGCCACCAAGAUUAGCACAAGUGCAUGACGUCUUUCACGUGUCGAUGUUAAGGAAGUACGAGCCUGACCCGACCCACGUGCUCAAUUUCGAGGAAUUGGACAUGGAUGACCGUGUGUCAUACGUGGAAAGCUCGGUUCAGAUUGUCGAUCGCAAAGAACAAGUUCUUCGUACAAAGACCAUUCCGUUGGUCAAAGUGGUCUGGCAACACCACGGCACUGAAUGAGCGAUUUGGGAUACUGAAGAGUCGAUGAAACAAUUGUACCCCCACAUUUUUGAACAAAGUGUAAUGGUUUAAAUUUCGAGGAUGAAAUUUUUAUAAGAGGGGAAGAGUUGUGACAUCCUGAAAUAUAUUUUCGAUAAAGUGAAAUGGGCAUUUCGUCGACAUGCUUAUAGUCCUUUUUCUCUGAGUUGAUCACUCACGAGUUAACUAACCUAUUGGGUGAAGCUGUUAAGCGAUGUAUCUACAGUAAAAUCCCGAAAAGCUACUCAAUUGGUUGGAUUGGACUAAAAUCACGUUUGAUUGAUUCUAACCAUGAAAUUUAAUUUGGUUUCGGGAAUCGAAUAUUCGAGCGUGUCACAAUUCAUUUUUAGGAUCCUGUCUCAUCGUCUGUCAAAUUAUUGACGAGUCCGAAAUUUCAAUAAAGAAAUUAUCGGAGGAAAAAUUUAAGACCACAAGAAAAUAGAAAGGGAAAGGGAAAGAGAAAAGAAAAAUAAGAAUAAGACUUAUUUUAUUUCUUUUUCUCUCUCUCCCUUUUCACUCUUUUUCUCUCUCUCUUCUCUCUCCUCUCCCCUUCCCCCUUCGUGCGCACCCCCCCCCCCCCCACCGAACACUCCCCUUGCCAAUUUUAAAUUGGCUUCUCUUCCUUCUUCUUUUGCUUUUUUUUUUUGACUAGUCAAACCCCCCUCCCUUAUCUCUUUUCUCUCUUAUCUUCUCUCUCUCUCUCUCCUCUCUCUCUCCUCUCUCCUUCUCUCUUGGUACACUCUCUCUCCCCCUCACCAUUCGAACGAAGACAAAGGCAGAAAACAGAGGUAGUAGCGCUGAUAGAAGAGGAAGACCGGAGCAGCUCGCCGAAGCCAUUGCCACCGCCCGCUGUGCCGCUCGCCACUUGCCUCCUCCUCUCCUUCACCCCAUUCGGCCACUGUUGAAGCUUUUUUAUUUUUGUUCCCCUCUGUUUCGUGCGAAGACCAGCAGAGACAGAAGCAGAAGCAAUCGCGGACGUCGCCUGAAGAACAGCUUGCCAGGCCGUCGUCUGCUCCUCCGCCCGCCACUGUUCCAUCGUUCACACGUGCGCCGCCCCACCGAGCUGCCGUUCAUCCCUCUCCGCACGCCAGUCCAGCGUCGUCUAGCUCCAGGCGCCUCUGCCCAGCCCCUGUUCGGCCACCACCGGCGGUUGCCCGACCAUCUCCAGCCACCGUUCGGACCGCCAGAGCUCCCUUCACCCUCCGUCGGCCUCCCCUCGCCGCCCUAGCCGCCGGAUCAGCCUCAGCCAAGCCAAACUAGCAACCCACAAAGUGGGUUUCCAGCUGGUUUGGGCCUGCUUUUGGACCGUUUCUGGGCCCCGAACCUGAGGCCCGCUUUGGAGUUUGUUGUUCCUCACGUCGCCCCCAUCGGAUUGAUCUGAUUUGCGCGUGAUUCCGGUGAGUAAUCUCACUAAUCCCUGAUUAGUUGGCUAAUUAUGCUUAAGGGUUGUUUAGUUUUAAUUAAUUAGGUUUAGGUGGUUAGAUUAGAAUGGAUUAGUGUUUAUUAGUCAAUUGUGAUGCGAAUUAGACAAAUUGAGUGCGCAUUUAGCAAGUAGACAUGGUCUACUAUUUAUUGAAAGUAUCUUGGGAUUUUUCCCGACCCUUAGUGGUCUUCAAUUAGGCAUUUCGGGCUUAAGUGGAAUUUUUGGUAUUUAAAUAUUAAUUUUCGAAAUUAAAUUAAAUAAUUAUUUAUUUUUCGAAAAUUCAACUGGGAUGGCCCAUGACCGGAAUUUUAUGCUGGUGACCGUGGUGAAGUCCGUUUAUUUAAUUGAGCUUUAUUUGAGCUAAAUUGAAUUUUUAAUAUUUAUUAAUUAAUUUUCGAAAUUAAUUAAUUAAUUAAUUAUUUUUCGGAAAUUAAGAUUUAGAUGGCCAACGACCGAAAUCUCGUGCUGAUUGUCGUGGCGUAGUUUGUUUAUUUAAUUGAGCUUUAACUUGUAUGGAAUUGAUUUAAUUAUGAAUUUUUAGGAGUUAUUCAUAUUGAGUUGAUUUUUAAUUAUUUGAUUAAGAAAUCGUUGGGUAUUGGUUAUCACCUGAAAUGAAAUAUGUGGGCUCGGUGAAUUGGAAUAUCACCUGGGGAAUGCAAAUGAAUUCAAUGGUCGAAUAUGUCAUCUUGGUGAAGAGGUCGCCUAAGAGAAUGCACAUGGCUCGGAGACUCAGUAUGUCAUCCUGGAGAAUGCACAUGGCUCGGUGACAGAGUUUGGCAUCUAAAAGGGCAUGUGGCUCGGUGAAUUGAUGCAUCCCUUUGGUGAGUUAGCACCUAAGAGAAAGCACAUGGGUCUGGCAUCGUAAAAAGGACACGUGGCUCGGUGAAUCGAUGCAUCACUUUGGUGAGUUAGCACCUAAGAGAAGGCACGUGGGCCCGGGCAUCGUAAAAAGGACAUGUGGCUCGGUGAUCUGAUGUGUCACCUUGGCGAAUUAGUGCCUUAGAGAAUGCACGUGGGUCAAAUAUUCGGAAAUAGCAUCUAAAAGGGCACGUGGCUCGGUGACUUGAUGUACCACCUUGGCGAAAAGGUCGCCUUAGAGAAUGCACGUGGGCCAAAGGUUCGAGGCAUGUGGCUCGGAGACUUGGGAUGUCGUCCUAGAGAACGCACGUGGCCUAGCUUUUAGAUACUCCUCAGUGGAGAAUGUUUUGUAUGACAUGUAAUCGACUAGUUCGAUUCGUAUAAGUGGGUACCUAUUAUGAAUUGUAUUGGCUUGCAGGUGGGAUCUGAGGCCAAGGUAAGUCCUUUAACCUGUGUGUGUUUAGGCUGCCUAAAGUAUAAUGGUUUACUAAUCGGGCCUUAGUGGGGUAGAACUUGCUGAGACGUAGUCUCAUCCCAGUUUGGGGAAAACAUUUCAGGACCUCGAUGAGGAGCUGAGGAGGAGGGAUCUAAGAAGGAGAACUCUAGGGUGAAACCUAACGAGAAGAAUUUUGGAAUAAGAAGAUAAUCCCGAGAGGGAUCUUGAGUACGACCCGGAUGGACUGAGAUUCUAUCUUCUUUUGAGAUCUCCAUUUUGAUGUGAAUAGUUAGAAGUACUUUGGUUUGUGUUUUGUAUAAAAGUUUGGUUAUAAAUUUCAAUGUGAAAAAUAUGACCCUACUUUUCUAUCCUAUCGAUUUAUUGUCUAGGGAUUUAUAACUGUUUCCGCAUAUGCUUAAUAAAAGAAAGGGUCGGCGAUACAUAGUCCUGGGAUAUCGCAGUAUAAAAUCGACCAAGUGAGAAGGGUGUGUGCAUGCCUGAGGAUCGGGGGCUUGACAACAAGAGUAUGAAUAAAGAAGGAAAUUAAUGAUCCUAUAAAUCAAUCUAUUCUAGAUCUAAUCUUAAAUCGAUUUGUACAAAUCAAUAUCAGAUCACAAUCAAUUCAAAUCUUCUGUCAAAGCUGCAUAUCUUCCAACAUAGGGCUAUCUUCUUCUCGAGGACUUGUUUCGACAGAGACUUGAGAUCCCUUGUGAAGUAUAUGACCAUGAAAGCCAGGCGCCAUCUUCACCUAUGGAUGAUAUCCAUCAGGCCAUCGUGGCAGUCGAGCACUGCAUCAGUUGCUGCUUCUUCACUAGGUUUACGAAGCCUCAUCAAUGACAUGGAUGAACAACAAAGAGAGAGAAGACAAAAGGGUGUGCUUGGAUCAACAAAACGAGUCGGGUUGAGAGGACGAAGAUGAGUCUGUAGGAGUUAACACUGACUGGCUUGGGUUGAACGGAUGGAUUUGGUCUUGAUAGAUUAUAUUGUCGCGUUGUAGAUAUAUAGUGCAGUGUGAGAAAAUAUAGGGUACCUUAAAAGUGCCACGUAAUUUGUGCUCUGAACCAUUCAAAGCGUGACACCUAUCCGUGCAGCGCAAAAGGGUGAGAGCAAUUUGGUCACCGUCUACCCCCACACUUUUUUUUUUUUUUUUUACAUCAGCAAUUCCAAAUUUGUAUAUAUGUGACACAUAUACCUCAAAUCUAUACAAUGAGAUAUAUCUAUACCAAACUUCUUCUUAUGAUAUAAAAAUUCUCAAAUUUGUGUUUGUAUGAUACAUUCACCCUUAAAAUUUGGUGUCACAAUUUUUUUUUUGGAGAUUUUGGUAUCACAAAAAAAUAUUUGGAUCUAAUUAGGCCCACCCACAAUUUAUAUGCAACUUUUCCUUUUUAAUCUCGUCUUUUUCACUUUUUUCAUGUAUUUAGGUGAUAUUUUGGUAAAUUUAAAUGUACUAAGUUCAUUUCGCUUUCUGAUGUAUACGCCACCCUCCCAGAAUUAGGAGAUAUGUAUAUAUGUAAUGAAAAUCUUAUUUAGAGUCACAUCCAGAAAUUAUGUCAAAACAUAAAUAAUUGUAUCUUUGGGCAUUUUCAUGAUACAAAAAGUUUUACGGUUAGUGCUUUCAAAUUUUGUCAUGCAUUAUAUAUAUAUUCAGAGAAUCCAGAAUCUCCACGUAUGAUUCUAGAGAAAGCAUUCGACUCCUCUAUGUUCUUUUACAUAUAGAUCAAAGUUCAACGCAAUAUCUCAUAGAAUUUGCCCAACAUCCGGCGUGACCAAAGCAUUAUGGAUCCCCUUUUAUCUUUUUGUUUGUUUAGUGAAAAAUUUCUUCCUUUAUCUUUAGGCUAGAAAUACCAGAUAUUAAAUGCUUUUGUUUUGCUCAUCAUAUUAAAAAUGAUCAGCUUUUUUAAUCAGCCUACUAUUAACUGAUUAGUGACGUAUCCUGAAAAAAAUACGAUUUUGCAUGUUAAAAUGAUUAACCUCCUUGCGAUGGAUAGAACUUGAGAAAGUGCUAAGAUUAGCUUUUCUUGGUUGGGGCCAGACUUCCAUUCUGCUUUGCUGAGCCAAACAAAGCAGAUCUUCUUACAUUUAAUCUGAAGUCAUGGCCUGAUCAAUUGAUUUUUGCCUAUAUUCCACUUUCCACUCGUUUUCCUUCGUCAGAGCAAAACUAGAAAAUGUGAAAUCAGCAUAAGGUCGCCUUGUGCACUUAAGAGUCGUUGGUCGAAUGUAAUGCAUGAUGUGCCAUUAAAAGCCUAUGGCUUUUACAAACCCAUGGAACUUUAAAAUCUACUGAUGGUCUCUACAUUUUAUCGUCUUGGUAUAUUCAUGAUCGUAGAAGUAAUUAGCGUGCUUAAUAAGUAUGAAUUAGUCUAAUUGAAAAAAAAAAAACAUUUUACCUUGCCGCAACUUCAAAUUUCCGGUUAAGUUUUGAUCAUGUACUUUUCUCCAUCAACUUCUCUAGAUUGCAUUCUUUCGGAGGGGCCAACUAAUCACACUUCUUCACAAGGGCCCGUUUGAGGCUAGAUCACUCAUCAGGGAAAUGUAUGUAACCAUCCAACUAAGAGCUUACAGUACAUGAUAAUAUGAUAUGGAGUUCAAUGUCUGAAAGAUACCAUUUCUAAUGAAGCAGAGAACAAUAUUUGUAACUAUUGAGCUCAAGCUCGAGCUCAUUUUAUAACUAGAUUGUAUCGAGUUGAGUUGAGCUUGAAUAUCUUGAUUUUUUUUGUUUCAAGUCAAGCUAAAGCUUGAUAUUUAAUACUUCAUAGCUAGAGCGGAACUCCAAGCAUUGAAUAUCUAAUAGGAGUUGAGCUUGAGCUUGGCCUUAUUUUAUUGGCUUCACCCGAAUGGUAAUUAUUAUAUAAAAAAAAAAGUUAUCCAUUUAGUAAUUAUACUAUUAUUUAAUAAUUAGUUCAUUUAUUUUUUAGUAAUUAUAUUAUGAUUUAAUUCUCAUCGAUUAAUAAAAUAAUUGUUACUUACAUUAGAAACUAAAACAUUGCAAGUAUUUAGAAAUUAUAGUAGGUUUUCAUUUAUGACCUAUAAAAAUAUGAUAAUAAAGAAAUUAGACUUUGAUUAUAUAUCGUCAAAGGGUAUUAUGGGUAUUCUCUACUAUUCCUAACUUAUUCUCCCUCCUAUCAUGGUAAAACAAACAAGAGGGUGGUUUUGAAUCCAUUCUACAAACCAAACUACAAAAUAGUUGUUCCAUUCUCAAUCCUACUCUCUUCCAAUUUUUUACAAACAUCACAUGACAUAUCUGAGAUGGCUUUUUCUAGCAAAGUCACCUCAUCAUAAGAUUAGAUUUCUAACUAUCAUACAUAAAGAAACGUAAGAAAAUUAAUCUCAAUCGUCUCACUUUUUCACUUGAUAUAUAGGUUACUCAGUCUUGUCGUAAAAAAAUAUUUUUGGAAUAAAUAUCUUCUACAUGGUAAAUAUCAUUUCUUUGAGGUAAAAAGAUUCAUUUGCAAUAAGGAAGUGGUCUCUCCAUGCCACAUUUCCUCAUUGUUACGCCGAUCAUCUACAAUCUUGUGCCUUGAUGUAUUCAUGAUUUAUUUUAAUUACACCGAUUAGACAAUAAUUCCAAAGAGAUUCUUUCCAGCCAAGAACAAAAGAAAAAAGCAUAUUCACAAACAAAAGUCACUAUGACUAUACUGAUGAAUUGUGCCAUGAAAUAUCAUAGCACAGUUCAUCAAACCCUUUUAUACAAUGACAACAAAUAACGUGAACAUAUUGCAGAUGAUUUCAUUUGAAUUACUUGGGCUCAUAAUUUUCCAUUGUCCUUCAUAGCCAAAUCUUGAGCCCACGAUUUGUCUCGUCACUUUGAAACCGGUGCUCUAAGCCAAAGAAGCUGUGAAAAUAGCAGCUCCUACCAAAAUUCUGAAGUCCGUUGCUUCGAAGGGAAGACUGUCAGUCUCAGAUGCCGAGAAGAGAAGACUCCGUAGAAAUUUUUUUAUUCGUCGAAUUCUAUCAUCUAUCCCUUAACAAGAAUUGUGCAACUCCGGAUGACAUGGUUACUGACCUCGUAUUAUCAUGCCCCCUCUUUGUAACAGUGGAAUCAAAUUCAUUUAAAAAAGGAAGGCAAGCUGUUGCAGCUGCUGCCUUUGAGAAUAUAUCCAAACUGUAUUUUUCUAAUUGCUAUUACUCUCAAAUAUUCAUAAUCUUUCCAUUUUACUAACAAAAUCAAUGCCAUCAAUGUACAUAAUAGAAAAUCUAGUAGACACUUGAUCACCAAUUUCAAAUAGAGAGAAGCUUCAAAUACUUUACAUCGUAAUCUCUCUCUUAACCAAAUGGUCAUGGAGGAUCCUCUCAUUCAUGCAUGACGAAACUCAUCAAUCAUUUUAAUUUGGCCACUUCAACGGUUAUGGGAGCUGUUGUUGACAAUAAUUUAGUUAGAACACCUUGGCUGCAGUGGGAGCAUCCUUAUUGCUGCUGCUAGUUAUCCGAUUUUGAUUGCUAGCAUGAGCGAAAGAGUCGUGACAGAGACUUUAGCAAAUCCUUUAUGGAAACUACGUGGACAUUGUGGUUCCUCCUUCACAAUGAUUCCAACAAAGUUGAGAUUUUUGAAACAUUUUAUUCUUGAAUGUUUAUCUUUGUGCUUUUUUUAUGAUAUCAACCUGAGUUUCCUAGUAUUUUCGAGGAAUUGAAAUUGCAAAACACAUUAUGCUUGUGUGAAAUUGACUAGACAAAACAUACUUCAAUACUUUCUCUUUUGCCUUCACAAGAGGGUCGGACAAAGACUUGACGAUGGACUUGUGUAUGUUCUAAGCAAAGACAAAAUGCCACAAAUUUGUUCUUAAUUCCAACUAGGCAAUUCAAUCAUGGCGUGAAUCCUAGAAUCCCAAUCGAGAUAUUUUUCAUAGUGCAUUUCUAUUUGGACAUACGUAGAAUAAUAAUAACAUAAGAUGAUUUAAGGGGAUGAUUCAAAAAACAAAUUAUUUCAAUUGGCGCAUUAGGUCCACUCAAAUUUACAAAGCAAGCAUAAUGGAUCUCUUCCUUCAUUUCUAGGCUAGAAAAAGCAUUGAUUUUGUUAUGGUAAUUAAAUUUGUUGGAAUUCAAGUCGGCGAAAGACGACUUACCUUUAUUUGAUGCACAAACAACAAUUAACCUCGGAACGAAUGUUGAAUUGCGGAUGAAUCAUGAACAAGAUUACUUCACGUUCGUCUGAAUGCAAUCACGAGGAAAGCACCUAAUUUCCACAGCAUAAAUGCCGAUUGUUAUUGUAAAAUUGAAAUGGAAUGCCUUCUCUCUUUGAUGGAAAGUGAGGAAUUUCUAAGUGUGUAAUUUGCCAACCGGUGCCAACGGUUGUCUACAAAAGACUUUUAUACAACUCCCUUCGUACCCUUUCAAAUGAUGUCUUUCCAUCAUAGCACAUCAAGACAAAAUGGUGCGGUCCAAUCGCACUCCAUCAUGGGCGUACUAGCUAAAGUACAACAUCUCCCACUCGGACAUGGUGGGCUUGCUAGCGCUCUAUCAAGAAUAUAAAGCAUUCAACAUUCAUUAACUUUACAAAACAAUUCAUAUUGGCAAAUAAGCCGUGCGACCAGUGAGUACAUCUGCACUUGGGAGCUCAAAUUAUACACAUGUUAUGGAUGACAUAAUGGCUACAACCUUGAAAAGGAAUAAACAAUCGAUGUCUCACGGUGCCCCUGACAUAUUUUGUUACAUCAAUCCAAGUGUACCUAUCCCUUAAAGACUAUACUUGACUUUUCUCAAAAAUACUAUGUAUUUACAAUUAUAUCCACAACCACAGAGGGCGAUAUAACUGGUUGACCAGUAAAUACAUGUAAUAGAUGUAAAACAACAAUAAUCUUCCUUCGCACUUAUGUCUCUCUCCAUUUAAGAACAACCGCUUUUCUAGACACAUCCCAUAAGGCCAUAUCUAUUCAUGACCGUUAGUAACAUGUUAAAGUAGCAACAUUGAUCUUUUACUUCAAGAACAUAGUUAGAAGUAACAUAGGGCACAACAUUGAGGUAAAUUAUAAAUUACCGCAAGGGCUCACAUGAUGAAUAAAUAUGGAUAAUAUUACACACCUUCCCUUGUUGGUCGUAUAAUGCACAUGUAGUAUGAAUUACAUGGUAUAGUGAAUUUCUCUUUCUAUAAGAGCAUAUGUCAUUUAUUAAAUAUAUCCACUAUACGAAUCUUAGCCUAAAUAUAGUCACGUGCUCCUCACGUGCUCAUGUUUAGCUCGAGUACUAUAUCAGCUCGUUUUCUAUAGUGCCCAAUUAAGUACUCGCAUCCGACAUCUUUUAGGCAUACAUGAUUGUGGGACUAUCAUGUUCAGUUUUAUUAUAGACAAAUCACAGACCUCAUCUUGAAUCCAAUCAAGGUGACAUCUUAUUUUAUGUACUAAACUUGCUCUUCAACAUUCAUUUGUACAUAAUGUCUCAUCUCAACAUGCUUACUAUAGCACUUGAGACGACUACUCGUGUGAGUGAGCCAAUCAAUGCUCGCUGACAUACUUUUUAAUAAUAUAUGUAUGUAUGUGCUAGUCUCAUAAUGGAUUUGUACUUAUUGAUAAAACAUUAAGUCACUAAUAAACAAACAAGUAUAAUACAUAUGUCCAAAAAUACAUAAGCCAAUGAUCCUCUACAAUAACACAUAUCACAUUCUAGGUAAUCCUAGUGACAUCAUGUGAGUCAAGAAUAUGUCUCUAGGAAUAACUUUUGUAAAUGGAUCAGCAACUAUUCUAUUGGUUGAGAUGUAUUGUGGGAUCACUUAUUUCUGCGCUAUAAUAUCUCUGAUGAAGUUGUUCUUUAUAUCAAUGUGCUUCGUCCUUCCAUGAUACUUGGGAUUUUCACAUAAGCAAUGGCUGCUUGAUUAUCGCAAUAAACUAUCACCGGUCUUAGAACUUCAGUCACAGUGGCUAAAUUUUUCAAGAAACGUUUUAGCCAUAUUGCUUCUUGCACUGCGGCAGAACAUGCAAUAAAUUUUGCCUCCAUAGUAGACAAGGUCGUGCAUGUCUGUUUCUUGCUAUUCCAAGAAAUUGCACAUUCAUUUAGCAAGAACGCAUAUCUAGAAGUCGAUUUACGCUCAUUUAAGUCUCCACCCCAAUCGGUAUAUGAAUAGCCUAAUAGGCAUAAAUCAUUCCCUUGGUAACAAAGUUGAUAGUCCAUAGUGCCUUUCAAGUAUCCAAGGAUCCUCUUCACUGCUUUCUAGUAUGCUUGACCGGGAUUUGAUUGAUAUCGGCUCACCAAUCCCAUGGCAUAACAUAUGUCGGGUCGAGUACACAUCAUAGCAUACAUCAAACUUCCGACCGCACUAGCGUAAGAAAUGGUUUCCAUUGCUUUAAUUUCUUCUAGAGUCUUAAGACACAUCUCAGUACUUAGGCCUUUACUUUGCAUGACAGGGGUAUCAAUGGGAUUACAGUGCUGCAUAUUGAAACAUUCAAGAAUCUUCAUAAUAUAAGACUCUUGUGAUAAAGCAAGGAGUUUCCUUGAUUGAUCUCUUUCGAUCUUAACUCCUUCGAUCUUAACUCCUAAUAUAUAAGCAGCUUCUCCCAUAUCCUUCAUUUCAAAAUUAGAGUACAACCAUUCUUUUAUAGUAAUAACCAAAACUUUGUCAUUUCCAGCCAACGGAAUAUUGUUCACAUAAAGUGAUAAAAUCACAAAUUUAUCUUCGAACCGCUUGACAUAUACAUAGUGAUCUUCUUUGAUCAUCUUGAAACCAAAAGUUUUUAUGGCUCAAUGAAAAUGAAGAUACCACUAUCUAGAUGAUUGCUUAAAGCCAUAUAUUGAGCGAUGAAAUUUGCAAACUUUAUGCUCUUGACCUUUUAACUAUGAGACCUAUUGGUUGUUUCAUAUAAAUUUGCUCAUCCAAAUCUCCAUUGAGAAAUGCCGUCUUUACAUCCAUUUAAUGUAAUUCAAGGUAUAAAUGUGCAAUGAUGGCUAGAAUUAGGAGUAUUGAGGCAAACCUUACAACUGGUGAAAAUAUUUCCUCAUAGUAUAUACCCUCUUGUUGAGUAUAACAUUUUGCCACAAGGCGAGGCUUAUACUUUUCAAUGGAUCCAUCCGUCCUUCGCUUAAUCUUAAAAUCCCAUUUAUUUCUAAUGGUCUUAUGAUUGGGUGGUAGAUCAACAAAGUCCCAAACAUGAUUUGUCCUCAUUGACUCCAUUUCAUCUUCUAAAACUUUCCUCAAUUCUUCCUUAUCAGAGGAUGAGAGAGCUUCUUGAACAGUCUUAGGUUCGGUAUCGUCUUUUUGAGCAAUCAUAAAUGCUUCCCCUUCAAUCUCAAAACGACGAAGGCAAAUACUUUUACGAUUACUUUUACGCAAUUGAAUUUCUCUUCAAUUCAAUUCAUCAGGCAAUGCAACACUCCCACUAGGUCUUGUGUGUUGAGGUAAAUCUUCAUUUCCCUCUACAACAUUAGUGGGUGUAUUAUCAGGAUAUUCCAUCUCAUAUAAUUAGAAGUUAUUGUCAAUCUCACAUCUACUAGGAAAAUCGUUCUCCGAGAACGUGAUAUCUCGUGACUCCAUUCCAGUCACACUUCCAUCGGCUUGUUCACUUAUGAACACAUACCAUUUAGAGUGUUCAGAAUAUCUUAUAAAGAUACAUUUCUUCCCUCUAUGACCUAAUUUGUCAUAUUUUUGGGAAAAAUCAUGAACAUAAACUGCACAUCCCCAUGGACGUAGAAUACUCAAGUCUGGUUUCAUACUAGUCCAUAAUUCAUAAGGGGUGGAAGUGGCCGAUUUUGAGGACACUUGGUUAAGUACAUAGGCAGUAGUCAAUAAUGCAUCUCUCCAAUAGAAGAUAGGUAAAUUUGCUUGCGCCAUCAUAGACCUAACCAUUUUCAAUAGGGUUCUAUUCAUUCUCUCAGCUACCCCAUUUUGUUGUGGAGUACUAGAAAUAGUCAAUUGUUGUACAAUUCAUUUUUCAUCACAAAGAGCCUUGAAUUGUUUAGAUAGAUACUCACGUCUACGAUCGGUUCUCAAUGCCUUUAUUAUUUUAUUCAAUUGAUUCUCUACCAUCGUUAUAUAUCAUCUAAAGUAGUCUAAUGCUUCUGACUUAUGGGAGAUCAUAAAGACAUAACCGAAAUGUGUGAAGUCAUCUAUGAAAGUGAUGAAAUAUGAGGCUCCAUGCCUCGCCCUCACAUUCAGAAGACACAAAUGUCAGAAUGUAUGAGUUGCAAUGAAAAUUCGGCUCUAGUCCAUUUUAUGAAUGGUUUUCUAGUUGCUUUUCUCGCUAAACAAUAUUCACAUACAGCUAGAUUGACAUUAGUGAGUGACCCUAAAAAGCCUUCUCUAGCUAAUCUUUGCAUUUUUUUGUAACCCGACAUGACCUAAUCUAGCAUGCCAAGUACUUGCAUCAAUCUCAACAUUACUAGAAGAUGCAAUUAACAAAAAACAACCGUCGAUAUUAAUAUUGUACUAAUCAUAGGCAAUGUCUAACACCAUAAAACCAUUCGAUACAUAAUCUAAAUCAUAAUAAAUUGUUCCAUACAAAACGUCAACACAAUUACCAUGAAAAUUCAAUAUAUAACCUAAGCUAAGAAGAACAACUAUGGAGACCAAGUUUCAUCAAAUAUCCGGAGCAUAGAGGACAUCAUGUAGGAAUAGGCUUCGACCACCACGUAAAAUUAAUUUACAUGUGCCGAUACCCUUCACUUCAACUCUUGAGUUAUUCCCAACAUAUAUCCAUCUUCUUCUAGGUUGUAUCCGAUGAUACUCCACAAAUGCUUCUCAGUCUCUAACUACAUGGUUUGUUGCUUUUGAGUCUACAGUCCACAUUGGAUGAGAUUUAGCAAGCAUUACAGUGCUUGAAACAAAAGUAUUACUUAAAGUAAUGGAGUAAUUGAGAGUGCUAGUAUGAACACCUAGAGGGGGUGAAUAGGUGUAUAAAAUAAACCUUGGCAAAUAUAUGCGGAAUAAAAUAAACUUCGAGUAAAAUAAAGGAGUUAGGGAAGAGAAUAAGAACACAAGAUUUAUAGUGGUUCGGUUUCAGCAUAGAGUCUGUCUUCUGGUUCAGUCUAGAAUUAGUCAGAGUGAGCAGACUUCUGAUGUAGAACAGACUUUGACACUAAAGUCUAGCAGUCUUCAGACUUUGAGUCUUGAGUCUUGAGUCUGGCAGUCUUCAGACUUUGACACAGAAGUCUGGAAAUCUUCAAAAUAUACUCUAGACAUAUGUUACGUUCAGUCUUCUGGCCGUCUUCAGACUUUGACAAUAUCCUUUACAUGUUCUAUUAUCUGCAUGGUCUAUUACUUAACCAUUAAACAUGUUAGUAGCCUUUGAUUUAUUUUGUCAUCUUCAAAACAGCAUAAGGGAUUUCCCUAACAGUAUUAGGGUACCUCUUUUGGCUCAGUGCAUUCAGGAGCAAAGUGACCCAUCUUGCAACAAUUAUAGCACUUCAUCUUGGUCUUGUCCUUCUUCCCACCACGCUUCUUGCGUUGGAAGGUCUUAGCCCUCUUAGGUGCCUGAUCAAUCUUCUUCCCUUUAUUGUUGAAUUGAGAAUUCCUUUUGCACUUUAAGCCUGAAGCUUUGUGCGGACUCAAUUCAGCAACAUAAGCAUGGAUAGAGGAUCUCGCAGCCUCUAGGCACUCAUUCUCUAAUUCCAAAUUACGUACAAUAUCAUCAAAAGUGACAAUAUUCUCAUUAUGCGUCGUAUUGAUCUUCAUAUGCUCCCAAUUGUCAGGAAGAGAUCUUAUAACAGCCUGAACUUGCUGGUCAUCAGUAAGGGAGUGACAUGUCAACUUCAACUCACGAAUCAUAUUUGACAUCUCCCAAAGAUGCUGCCUCAUCGUUACAUUUUGGCGCUUUCGAUAUAUGUCAAACUUGAUGGUGAGUCUCCUUAGCUUAGUGGCAGAUGUACCCCUAAACUUAUCUUUCAAGGCAACCCACAUAGCUUAAGCUUUAUCAUAACUUUGAAACUCACACAUGAGAUCAUCUUGCAUACAUGUGAUGCGAGCAAUGUUAUUUUUCUUUUGUCAAGCUUAAUAAGCUUUUAGAUCUCUCCUGUGUUGAGCUGAAAUUCCAUGCUCAAGUUCAUCCAUGGUGUGGUUGAGGGUUUCAAAACCUUGCACCUCAAGGAUGUACUGAGCCUUUUGGUGCCAAAUAUCAUAAUUGUCACCGUUUAGCUUCUCACCCUUAUUGAGGUCAGCCACAAUGAUUUUAGAUGCCGAAGCCAUAAUCAAUCGCUAUAACAUAUCGACAUAAAAAACACAGAAUCAAUACUAGCACACUUUAUCCGAGUAACACACAUAUUAAUUUGCAGUAAAGACAAACUAAAUUAAUGAUAAUUUAACAAAAGACACAGAAUUGAAAGUUCACUAUAUUCCCAAUCAGCUCCUAUGUACGAUUGUUCCAUUAUCAUUAAUUAGUUUAAUUUGCACAAAUUUUAAGUUCUAGGUGAGAACUCUUUCGAAUUCUACCAACCUACGAACUCCCACUAAGAAAAAUAAUUACAUGACCUCAUGUAAUUUCUACAUUUUUGCAUUUACACAAAAGUAUAGCAUGAUGUAAACCAACGUACUAAAAACAAUCAUGCUACAACUACAAUCAAAACCACAAUUCAACAUGUAAUGGAAAAACAAGGAUUUCCUACCAUUGUUCGAAUUUUCAUGGAACUAGAAAAUUGCAAGUAAAUUAAACUAUAUACAUGCUACCAUCGAACCAAGCUCUACACAACCUAUAUUAUAUCAUUUUCAUGUAGGCAAGCAACUGUAUUUCCAAAACCUUAAGAAAUACAAGCCAAAAAAUGAAUAAAUAGUGUAUUUAAACCUCCAAAAUACGUGUAUUUAGGGUUCCCUACACAUUUUCAUACGUUUAAAAAAUUAAAAAUUCAAAAAUAAUUAUAUCACAGUGUAGAGAACAUCCAUACGAACCAAACGUCGCUGACCAUGCUCCAAUCGGAACUCCCAAACACCCACAUGCGCCAACUGAGUGCGUAGCGCGUGUGGCACAUGCGCCAGUGAGCCAAAAGGCUCUUGGCCGAUCCAAUCGGUUUGACCGUUGACCAGUCAAUGGUCGGUCAAGUCAGGUCAACGGGUCGGGUCUCCGAUCGGAUCAACGGGUCGGGUUGGGUCGCCGGCCAACCAACCGCCACCGUCAGUGAUGUCAUUGAUGACAUCAUCCGGUAGUUACCAAUGGUUGGAUGACGUUAUCCGUGAUGUCAGCACAUGUCGUUUCGCAACACGCGCGUGAUGCUCAUGCGCUGGCUCUCCCAGCGCUUUGAGCGCGUGGUGCCCAUGCGUCGCAGCUUCUGGCGGCGCGUGUGGGCGCAUCCGGUCUCCUCCGGCGGUGCUCAACUCAUCGUCGAACUCGUCUCGACGAGUACUUUCACCCUAUAUAUUUGAAAAUUAAUUUUGGCUGAAAAAAUAUUUUGCAAAAUGGCCAAAACCGUACGGGUGUACGCGACCCAGAACCUGUUCUUCUCUUUAGUUCGUUUUUUUUUUUUUACGAGUUAGAUUCCAAUUCCGAGUAAUAAACUUCCAAACAGUGUAGAUUUCAUAAUUUUGAUCUCAACAUCAAAUGGUAAACGAGAAAAUUCGAUGAGAACAAGGCAAAAAUCACAACCUGGCUCUGAUACCAAUGUUGGAAUUCAAGUAGGCGGAAGACGACUUACCUUUAUCCGAUGCGCAAACAACAAUUAACCCCGGAACGAACGUUAGAUUGCAGAUGAAUCACGAACAAGAUUACUUUACGUUGGUCUAAAUGCAAUCAUGAGGAAAGCACUCAAUUUUCGUAGCGUAAAUGUCGAUUGUUCUUGUAAAAUUGAAACGGAAUGCCUUCUCUCUUUGAUGGAAAGUGAGAGGAAUUUCUAAGUGUAUAAUAUGCCAACCGAUGCCAACAGUUGUCUACAAAAGGCUUUUAUACAACUCCCUUCAUACCCUUUCAAAUGGUGUCUUUCCAUCGUAGCACAUCAAGACGAAACAAUGCGGUCUAAUCGCACCCCAUCAUGGACGUACUAGCUAAAGUACAACAAAAAUUAAAAAGAAAAAGAAUUAGCUUUCGUCAGCUGGAGCCAAAUUUCAUUCUACUUUUGCUAAGCCAAACAAAGCAGAUCUUUUAACUUUCAAUCUAGAUUUGUGCUAAUCAGCAUGAUCAAUUGAUUUUUACCUUUAUUUCACUUACUACGCUUGAUGUACCACUAAAAUGCCAAUUGUUUAUGUUUGGUGUUCACACAAUCUUAAAUUUUUCAAUUAGAAUUUUGUUCAUGACCACCCCCCCCCCCAAAAAAAAGAUCUAGCUCAUUAAUAUUCUAUUUGAAAGGCCCACAAUACUAAUCAAGUUUUUAUUAUUUUGUUCAGUCAAAUAUUUGACAGUAACAAAAAAAUAAAGGGUGAGUUAUUUAAAAUUUGUAAUUUACAUAUAUAAUUACAUAAAUGCAAAGGAUAAUAUUUGAACUUAUUGAGCUAAAGCUUGAACUCAUUUUAUAAUGGUGAUUGUAUCGAGUUGACUUGAGCUUGACCUUAAUAUCUUGAUUUUCUUUUGGUCAAGCUCCAACUAGAAAUUGAUUUCUUCAUAACUUGAGUGGAGUUUCAAGCAUCUAAUAUUUGAUAGGAGUUGAGCUCGAGCUUCGCACUAACGGAGUAUUAUACAUCUGAACAUUGGUAGGUUAGAGUGCAAAGCAAUGGUAUUGAAAAGAGUAUCAAUAGUCGUUAAUACCAUAAAUAAAAAUUCAUGUUAUUCUAGAACUAUGUAGGGGUUGAAAGACAAGCCCAUGGAAAGAAACAUGAACAUGCUGGCGACUUUCGAAUAUUUGUGCUUAAUUGUUUCUACGAGUAAAAACACAUCUCAGUAAUAAAAUAAAAUAAAAAACUUCAACUCAGAAUAUACAAGAAGGAUAAUUAUUGCGUGAAAACUCAUUAAGAGGAAGUCCGCUGACAUAAUGCAACUCUGGCUCCACAACGCUAUCUUCUUCUGAACUGAAGCACUUAAACUGUCUUAGAACAUCAACUUUUAACUUAACCCCACUUUGUCCUUCAAAUCUCCACGAGCUCUUCAAAGAAAAAAGGCAUGCUGCCUGAUACCCUCAAUAACAAAUUGAAAGUAAAAGCGUUUGUUUACCGGACAGACCAGACCAGUCAUGUAUGGAGUAACAGCCACUUAGUACAUGCACUUAGGGCUGGGCAAUGGACCAUGUCAGCCGUGUGGUCCAGACCCGUUGUGAGCCUAAGCCGAAUCAUGCUCAUGGUCCCUAAUUAGCCGAUCCUGGCCCGACAAAUUUUUGAUGGACCAGUUGAGGCCACAUGGGCCCAACCUUAAGGAACUUUGGGGCUCCAAAAAUACAGUCAUUGGACAGUCACUUAUCUAGUGACCCAAUCCGGCCCAACGAUGGGCUACUCACUUGGUCAGGGAAUGGCCGGAAGGCCCCCAAUAGUUGAUUCGGGUUUUCAUUAAUUUUCCUCAAUUACUUUGAUUAUUAUUCAUACUUUUUUGGUUUUUUUUUUUUAAAUUUCAUUAAAUUAAAAACAACCCAAGCUCGGGCCAAUAGUGCCGUGGCCCGACCUAGUGUCCACUCCUACUGGGAAUUGGAGUUCGGGUCGGCAAUUUAAAGACAAAGCGAGGGAAGAUAUGGAAGUAAGGAUGGUCCUAAGGAUGGUCCUAAAACCCUAUCGGUAACUGUAUUUACUUUUGCGAUAGGAAGUAAGAGUGUAAAGGAGGAUGUGGUCACAAAUCCUCAAAAUUCUCUCCCAAAAUCCCUUGGGCUUCUCCACCCAAAUCCUCUGUUUAAAGAAUUAGAAGUAGCAACAGCAGAAGAAGAAAAUCCAUCGGAAUGUCAGAAUGUCGGCAUCAACAAUGAACAAUAUGGUUCAGUAAUCAUGGGCAUCGAAUUCAGAGCAACUCGACUUGGCAGUGAUGGCAACGAGAAACCUCUACGGUCUUUUCUUCUUGAAGUAUAAAUUGCAAGGUCUCUUUACAACCUCUAGCCAUGGUUCCGAAAGUUUAACAAAGAAAUUCUUCGAUACAAACUAUUUUAUAUUUCCAUAUGGAGAAAGAAUGAAUUUUAGGCUUUUUUGAAGGAAAUAUAGCUCUUACGGUAUUUCUUAAGUACUUGAAGCUGUGAAGGACAAAAAAAAAAGUAAUAAAAUAAAUUUUUUGACUAGGAACUAGCCAGUUUUGUCCCAUCUACAAAAGUUGGUGCCUUUACUUGUUGCUCUUGAAAGUGGAGGUUAUGAUUGUCCUAAAAUGCAUAGUUAAUGCCUCCUAGCAGAAAAAGCGUGCUAUACAUAAGAUGUUGUGUAAGUAGAUGUUUAUAGGAUGGAGGGGCCCUAUCAAUAUUCUGUUACCAUCUAAGAAAAUGUUGUCCAUGGUCACAUGACAACUUUAUAAAACUGCAAAAACUCUUUGCUCCUCUUCUGAGACUCCCAUAGCCCUAACUUCAUUUUCCAUCACCGUCUUUGGGAAAGCAACCGUUCGCCUAUGCAUGUGACAAUCACAAUCACCGACCCUCAUCCCUCUCCUCCUCUUAGUUCUCAUUGUCGCGACUCAUGGAGAGAAAGCGGAUUUAGAAGUAACCAAUGGUCCUCAAUCGGCAUAAGUUCUCCUAGGCUCUUACUUCACACGAUAUUGGGAAGUUCACUUCAUUUUAUUAACCUAUCAAAACUAAGUUGCCAAUAGCUACUAAGACUAGUUAGAGCCAAGUGAGAUGUAGGAAUAUACCUCACAUCCUACACAAUCAAAUAUCUAAGUACGGAGACUUAAUUGCACUAGUUAUCUAAUUAAUAUCAUUUCAUAUCUAAACUUGAUUAUUUGUCAACCAAGUGUCACAUGCAAGUUUUUUUUUUUUUUCAAAUCCAAUUAUGAAUUCCAAAGUUCUUAUUUAUUAAAUGUAUAUGCAAUGUCUUUGCGUUUUUUAUGAUCCUAAAUAUAAUCUAACCAUUCAACUAAAAUGAGGAAAUGACCACAUUGAAGCAAUAUAAAAGAAUCAUUUCAUCAAAGAUAGUAAUAAAAGAAAGAGUUAGAUACAAAAAAAAAAAAGGUAAUAAAAUAAUCCGAUGCAAGUUGAGCAAAGAAUAUAAUGACAUUGUUAUUGAGUAUCAAGACAACAACCCCUUGUGUUAAAUUCAAAACAAAUCCAAUUUCUUGAGAAAAGGCUAAUCUAUCUAAACCCAAGAUAUCCAUUAAAAUCCCUAAACUAUAUGUAUACCAACUAUAUGAAACUAAAUAUAAUAUUAAAAUCUACAACCUAAUGAAAGCCUGUUUUUCUAAUCAUUUUCCAAUUUUCUGUAUUAGAAACUUUUUAUUUUUUAUUUGCCCAUUAGGCCGGCCUGUAAGCAAGCUUGAUCUCUAGGUCGAGUGGGUUAGAAUUUAAGAAAACAUGUAGGCCCUUGUAAACGAAAUGGGCUUGCUUGCUAAAGCCCAACCAGCGUAUAGCCAAAACAAAGUCCAGAUCUAUCAGACCAAGUUAGGCUCAUAUUCACCAAACCAAGCUAAGCCCAAUUUCAUUAAGCUAAUAAAACCCUAAGCUCAUUAAGCCUAAUUAAGCCUAAUUCUUUUUUAUUCUCUAUUUUUCUCAUUUCUUCUCCCUUUUUUCAAUUUUAUUUUAUGCACUAUGUCUCCUCACUUUGAAUUCAGUGCUCUAAGCCAAAGAAGCUGUAGCAGUUGCCAAAAUGCCGUGACUGCUCAAAAUUCGUGAUUGGAAAUCGCAAACCACCUGAUGAAUUGUUCUAUAAAUGCCGCGGCCCCAUAUGAGAAUGAGACUAUUGCAAGGAUUAACUACAACAGCCGCAUGAUAGGCCACUCUCAGAAUCUGCAGUUAAAAUUCUGACUGGAGGUGCACAACCCUAGUCUUGGGAAGAGAUGAUAGAAUUCGACGAAUGGAGAGAAUUUCUAUGGGGUCUCUUCUCGGCAUCAAAGACUGAUGGCCUGGUCUUGGAAGCAACGGACUUUAGAAGCGAGUCAGUUAUAGUUGGCUUUUUCCCAUGUUGACCUCUGCUAUCGAGAAGAUCGUCAAUAGCUUGAAGCUGUGCAUCUGAAAGCAGAGCUUGAAGAUCCAUUUUGCUGAAUCCUUCUAACAUAUGAGCUAUAGCAUCAAAGUCCACAUCACUGGCCAAAGGAAGCUGCACAAGGGCAUUAAAGCAUGCACUUAGCAAAACUUCAACAUUGCCUGAUGGUUGCCAUUUUCGCUGACUGAUCAUACAGAAACAGAGAAAUAUAAUUAAUUGAAUCCACCCAAUAUCUUCCUAUUUAGUGAAAAGAAAAGAAAAGGAGAGGAUGGUGAUGUCUCAGAAAGGUUAUACUAAAUGAUACCCAAAGGUAAGUCUUAGUCCCGUCUCAUGGAUUCAGUUAUAAAGGCCUUCUCAUUUUUUUUUCUGAGCAUCAUUGGUAGAUGUUAAAGCUACCAGUCUCAAGGUUCGAGGUUGAAAGUGAUUUACUAUUGAACAUCUAAACUUUACCCGAGCCUCACCUGAGCAUGUCGCAGAUUUAACCCACAACGCCUUUUACAAUGUUCUCCUGUAAUUGACAAUAUUUAGGGUGAUUUGGGGUGCAAGGACUUUAGAGAACGGGAGAAGGGCUUUUAACUUUUAACUCAACGUGUUUCGCCAAAUGUACUCUGUCAAAUGCCAUAAGUUCUAAAUAGGAUCUUAGCGGCUUAAAUCGACUCUGUUUCUAACUCUUGUUGUUUGUUUUAAGCAAUUUUCUGUUCAUAUGUAAUUUUUCUGAUGCAUCUUUUUGGAAAAAGUAGGAUUGCGGUCAUAUAGUUCUUUAAAAGUAAUCCCAUAAAUUUCAAUAUGUACUACCUGUUUCAGACCAUGUAAAAGAUGAAAUGCUAAAAGCAAAAAAAUUGGCAGAUGGAUGGAAGCUAAGGCCCUGCUUGGUGAAUUUUAUUUAUGUUCUUCGGAAUAACUAUUUCUAUUCUUUUGUUCUAGAGAACGAAAAAAGAAUAGAAACCCGUUUAGUAAAGUUUUCAUUUUAUGAACAAAAAGAUCUUUUUUUUUUUUUGUUCCUGUGAACAAUUUCUAGAAUCUAUUUUUUUUUUUUAUCUCUUCUCUCUUCUUCUCCUUUCUUCUUCUUCUUCUUCCUUUUGGCCGAUUGCCGGGCUUGGCCAUGGCUCGCGUUGGCGAUCAACCAGAUGAGGGUUGACGACCUCGCUGGAGUGUUGCCGGCCCCUACAGAUGUCGAGCCACGAUGAGGCCCGUCGGCUCAAACUUCGCUGUGGCUAGGAGUAAGGCUCGCUUGGCCAUCGGCAAGGCUUGGCCUCACCCAAAUCUAAUGAGGCCGAGGCUUGCCGUGGCUAGGUUGGCCUCCGAUGAGCUCGUCGGGCCUCGCCUUGGCCCGGUGAGGCUUCGGCGACCUUGUCGGAUCUCACCCAGCCGAUCGCCAGCCAUGACGAUGGCCGACAAUCAACCAAAGAGAAAAAAGAAAAAAGAAAAAUAAUAAAAUAUAAUAAAAAAUUAAAAAAAUCUAAAAGUCAAGCCAAACGUAUUUCUUUCUUGGGACUAGAAAUUUUGGGAAGUUACCAAACCCAUUCUUUUGCUAAAAAAUUUGUUAUCGAGAACAGAAUAAAAAAAAAAUAAUUCCUAAUAAAAAAUUGUUCUUCUGAACAAAGUUGUUACCAAACGUGCCAUAAGUUUUUACCUUCCGGGAUAAAAAUUGUGAAAAUAUCCAGCCUCUCCACUAUAGAAGGAAAAUCACAGAACAUAAGUUGAGCCAACCAAGUCUCAAAAGUGCGAUUUGCUGCUUCUCAUCAAAUGCAACACAUAACUAGACAAUGACAAAAUAAAGAAAAAGUAUCCUCGGAAAGAAAAUUGAAUUAGAAUUAUUAGUAGAUAGAUGAACCCAUGAUGUGACAUCCUGAUUUUCCAAUUUUAUUUUCAAUAAAUUGAGACGGGCAUUUCGUUGGCACGUAUAUAGUUAUUUUUCUUGAGUUGGCCAUUCAUGUGAAAUCUAGUCUAUCAGGUGAAGCCGUUAAGAGAUUCUAAUGUAUCAGACUUGAGAAUUUGACUAGGAAGCGAUCUUUUGACCGAGCUAAUCUGCAAGGGUCAUUACGGCACAAUUAAAAAUCGAUUAGAGAUUGGAGAUAGGUUGACUCGACAAAGGCAUGUGAUCAGGUGUGAGAAAUUCCACCAGAUCACACAAUUCUUGUCAAUCGGCACUGGACCAACUUUUCUGUCGAUUGGGUACCCUGUAUUCGUAUUUGAAAUCUUGAGAUUACCCCGACAACCGAAAUUCGCCAAUGUUUCAAAGAUGUACAUUGUGGCUUGAGAUGAUCAACCACAGGUCAAAUGUAUGAAAAUUUCUAAAGGCUACCCGGUAGGUUGGGCCGCGCUAGUAUCAUGCCAAAGUGAAAUUAACCGUGAAAUUGAGUUCGAAUUCAGAAAUUGAAAGUCUAGAUGUGUCACAAAUCAUUUUAGGAAUAUUGACUCAUCUUUGGAAGAAUUUUCAUGCAAGCCGAGUUUUCGGCAAAAUGAUCGAGGUAUGGUUAAUUUGGUUCAGAAAAUUAGUAGGCCUAUCCUUAGUCAUGCUUUUAGGAUUUAGGCUGGUUCUAUGGAGAAGUGAAGAUAUGAAUAUUGAAGUGUGGUGACAUUAGAUUAAUUUUAUGGACUUUAAUUGGACUCAAUUGGAAGAGAAUCAAUUGAAAAUUAAAGACUUUGAUGUACAAAGAAUUGGACCCCGGUGGAAAUUGAUUUGGACUCAUUGAAAUAGGUUGUAGAGGAAAUAAGUUAAUGGAUAAUGACAUCAUGGGGUGAUAUCACGGUGGGUGGCCAAUUGGAGGGGUGGAUUUAAUCCCUAAAAAGUGAAGGGCCCCACCACUUCAUCUUCUUCAUUUGAACUUGGAGGAGAGAGAGAGGAGAGGAGGCAACAGGUGGAACCAGCCAAGCUUGUCCGCCCGCUUGGCCGCUCGUCGCCGUCGCCGCCUGCACGCCAUCGUCGCCAUUGCUGCUGCCGCGCGUCUGCCUUGCGCCGCUCGUGCGUCUCCGCCUCUCGCCGCCAUCGUCCCUGCUCGCCCUUGUCUCUAGCAACUUCACAGGCCAACAUAGGCCGUGAUUAAGCCACCUCCAGCCACCGUGAGGCCUCGCCUAGCCACCGCCUCGCCCAUCCAAGCCACCGUCAAGCUGCCACCCCAUUCCUCCGCCCAACCAGUAGUUGGUUUUAUGGGUAUCGCAGCAGAGUUUUGGCCCGUUUUGGCCGCCUUCCCGACCCCGGAUGCUCAGCCCGCUUUGAGGAAAGUCGAUUAUCACGUCGAUCCCGUCGUUUUGGUCUGCUCGGCUUGCUAAUCCGGUGAUUUAGCUCACUAAAUCUUGAUUAGACGGUUAAUGAUGCCCUAAGUGUGCUUAGUCUAAGUUAAGUAAGUUUAGGUGGUUAGAUUAGUUUAUUUGGUUGAUGAUUAGAUUAUGGUGUUUAACUAAGUUAAAGUGUGUUUAGUUUAAAGUUAAGUAUGAUUAUAUUAAUAUAAGCUUUGAUGUGACUUAAAGAAAUUUUUUUUGAUUUAUUUAAGUAUUCAAAAAUUAUUAAAUAAUUUAAUAAUAUAUAUUUAUUCGAAAUUAUUAAAAUAUUAUUAUUUUAAUUAAAUUUCGGAAUAAAAUUAAUUAUUUAAUAAAUUUUGAAAAUUAUCUCGGAACCUUAUUUGCUCAGAAUUUCAUGCUGAUUGCUGCUGUGUAUUUAGAUUUUGCAAUUGAUGGUUGGAUAUUAUAAGUUGAGUGUGGAUUGCAAAAAAAUAUGGAUAUUAUUAUUUAAUUAAUUUUUGGAAUAUAUUUAAUUAUUUAUUAAAAUUCGAAAAUUUCAUCUGGACUUUAUUCUCUCAGAAUUUCGUGCUGAUCGCCAGCUGUGCAUUUAGAAUUUGAGUUUGGUGAAUGGAUCUGGCAAAUUGAGUGUUGAUUGUGAUAAAUAGGGAUUUUAUUCAUAAAAACCCAAGUGUCGGGUUUUGAUGCAAAAAUUGGAUGUUAAUGAUUAUAUUGAAUAGUGGGGUUUGAAAAAGUGAGAUAUUGACUUUUUGAUUCGAAAUUAGCGUGUCCCCACACAUGUGAGUAAUUUCUUGAAUAUUUUUAAUAUGAAGAAAAAUGGCCGGGAUCAUUAUUUUUAAGUGGAAGCAUUGAGUGAAAUGCAAAGUGUCAUGGGGCCGAGUAUCAUUUGACUGUGUGAUAAUUAAGAGGAAUUGUUCCUAUAUGGGAUGCCCACGUGGUGGUUGCGGGUCGCAAUAGAUUCUGGGCCCAUGCUCCUUCGGGAAUGCCGUCGACGUAUUGACGAAGCCGUGCUCCAAGGUGAGGAGGCGAUGCUUGGCUAUAUUCAAGUAGAUAGCCGAACUGCGAGUAGGCUAUGCCCUUGUGCGGUAGUGAAUAUCAAUUGGGACGCAUGCUGAGUGUUAUUGAUGGGUCGGAUUAUGGGACGAAAUUGUGUGACAUGGUAUGGGACGUGUCGUAACGAUUUGGUCUUAUAAUCCGGACUCUUGUGGUCAUUUGAAAUAUUGUUGGCGUUCCAGUUGUUUAAGUCCCUAUUACUAUCUAUGAUUAAGUGAUUUGAAUUGUGCUAACCUGUGACAUCUCAAUUUUUCAAUUUUAUUUUCAAUAAAUUGAGACGGGCAUUUCGUUGGGACGCAUAUAGUUCUUUUCCUCGAGUCGGCUACUCAUGUGAAAACUAGUCUAUCGGGUGAAGCCGUUAAGAGUUUCUAAUGCAUUGGACUCGAGAAUUUGACCAAGAAGCGACUUUUUGACUGAGCUAAUCUGCAAGGGUCAUUACGGCACAAUUAAAAAUUGAUUAAAGACCAGAGAUAGGUCGACUCGACAAAGGUAUGUGAUUGAGUGUGGGUGAUUCCACCAAAUUGCACAAUUCUUGUCAAUCAACACUAGACCGACUUUUCUGUCGAUUGGGUACCCUGUGUUCGUAUUUCAAACCUUUAGAUUACCCCGACAACUUAAAGUCGCCAAUGUUUCAAAGAUGUACAUUGUGACGUGAGAUGAUCAACCAUAGGUCAAAUGCAUGAAAAUUUCUAAAUGCUACCUGGUAGGUUGGGCCGCGCUAGUAGCGUGCCAAAGUGAAAUUAACCGUGGAAUUGAAAUCGAAUUCAGAAAUUGGAAGUCUGGGUGUGUCACAAAUCAUUUUAGGAAUAUUAACUCAUCUUUGGAAGAUUUUUCUUGCAAGCCAAGUUUUUCAGUAAAAUAAUCAGAGAAUGGCUAAUUUGGCUUGAGAAAUUAGUAGGCCCACUUUUGGUCGUGCUUUUGGGACUCAAGUUGGUUCUAUGAUCGGGUGAUUACGUAAAUUGAAAUGUGGUGAUAUUUGAUUAAUUUUAUGGAAUUCAAUUUGGUUCAAUUAAAAGAGAAUUGAAGAAUGGGAUGCACAAAGUUUAAAAAUUGGUAUGCCACGGCGGAAGAUGAAAUUGAACCCAUUGGAAGAGGUUGUGGAGGAUUGGGUGAGUGGAAGAUGAUGUCAUCUUAGGUCAUGGUGGGCCAUUUUGUGGGAUUAAAGAAAGAGAAAAAGAAAAAAGAAAUGGUCCCCUCCUUCUCUUUUCUCCAUCUCUCCUUCCUCUCUUCCAUUGCCUCUCUCCUCCAUCUUCAUUGUGCGAAGACCAGAAAAUGCAGAGAGGAAACCGGAGUAGCCCCUUUGCCCGCUUGCACACUCGUCUGCCGGAGGCUUCGCCGUCGCCAUUCGUCUGCCAUUUGUCGCUCUGCUCACCCGCAUGUAUGCUGCUCUGCCUUCUUUCUCCCCCUCUAUCUGUUGCUCGAGAUCUCAGAUCUAGUAGGACGCGAGGUAGAAGUAGCAGCCGAUGUUGCCAGGAGCCGUUGCUCGUCGCAUGCCGUCCUUGCCCUGCGUCACCUUGCCGCCAUGCUGCCGUCCCCGCCUACUGCUACUACCGUGUGUCUCUGCCCACCUUAUGUCGAAAUCCAGCUCGUUCUUGCCUCUGUGGGCUGCUGUAGGCCGCGGCUCAGCCGCCUUCGACCAAUGUGAGACCCUGCUAGGCUGUCGUGAGCCACCGCUCGAGCUGCCGCUGCCCCUCUCUGCCAGUUUUGCGCCCGAACCGCCGACGUGCAGCCCUCCAUCAGCCUCAACCAGCAGCUGGAAAAAUAGGUAUUCCAGCUUGGUUUUAGCCCGUUUUGGCCGCCUUCCCGAGCCCGGAUGCUCGGCCCGCCUUGAGGAAAGUCGAUCCUCACGUCGUCCUCGUUGUUUUGGUCCGCUUAGCUCGCUAAUCUGGUGAGUUUAGCUCACUAAAUCUUGAUUAGACGGUUAAUGAUGUCCUAAGUGUGCUUGGUCUAAGUUAAGCAAGUUUAGGUGGAUAGUUUAGUUUAUUUAAUUGUGAUUUGGGAUUAAGAAGUUGGUUUAAUUUAAAGUGUGUUUAAUUAAGGCUAAUAGAGUUAUUUAAUAAUAAGCUUUGAUGGGACAUAAUAGGGUUUUAUUUUUGAAUUAUUUAAUUGUUUCGAAAUUUUGGAAUUUAUAAUAUUAUAUUAUAUUCCGAAAUUAUUAAAAUAUUAUUAUUAUUAAAAACGGAAAAAUUAUUUUUGACCCAGUUGCUCAGAAUUUCGUGCCAAUCGCUGCAGUGCAUUUAGAAUUUGAAAUGAUGAUGGUUAUGGCAAAUUGAGUGUGAUGCGAUAAUAGAAGACUUUUUAUAAAANNNNNNNNNNNNNNNNNNNNNNNNNNNNNNNNNNNNNNNNNNNNNNNNNNNNNNNNNNNNNNNNNNNNNNNNNNNNNNNNNNNNNNNNNNNNNNNNNNNNACCUAUUAGAGGUCGUGUCCAAUGGGACCAUGAUUAACCACCUAUUAGAGAUCGUACCCAGUGGGGCCGUGAUUGGCCACCUAUUAAAGUUUGCGCCCAAUGGGGUCGUAAUUCGCCACCCGAUAAAGGUUGCGCCCAGUGGGGCCGUGAUUGACCACCUAUUAGAGGUCGUGCCCAUUGGGCCGGGAUCUACUACCUUUUAAAGGUUGUGCCGAGUGGGGCCGUGAUUGCCAUUGGUUGUUAAACCUUCCUAUAGGGCCGUGAUUAGAAGCAGUGAUUGAUUUGCUAGAAUGACAUAUAAUCGUCCGAGUCGAUUGAUCGCUGAGACGAUCCAAGUGGUUGAAUUGUUCUGAUAAUGUGAUUGUGCCACAGUUGUUUUGUUAUCAUAAUUGCACGUGGUUGAAUUAUAUGAAUUGUGCUAAUCUGCAGGAUGGAACCGAGGCGAGGUAAGUUCUCUGUGUGAUGUGGCUAGGCCAUCCUUGGGCAUAUUUUCUUUCUAAUAGGGGUUUAGGGGGUUGAACUUGCUGAGACAUUGUCUCAUCCCGGUUUGGGGAUUACAAUUUCAGGUCCCUAGUGGACGGAGCGGCUAGAUAGCUUUGGUUGACCUUGAGGAGUUGCAGAGGUGAAGUAAGGAGGAUUGGAAAACGUGUCCAACUUGUAGGUCGUAGGACAGUUCAUUUUUAAGAGCCAGUCUUUUGUAGACUUUUGGCUGUAGGCCUUCGUUUGUAACUCCGUUGGCUUAUGUAAGUGAUUGGUUGUGAAUUUGCUUCUUGCUUUUCUAUCUCGUAUUUCAUUGUCAAGGGUUUUAUAAUAUGUUCUGCUUGCGCAAUAAUAAAUGAAUGGGCUCGGCAACACUAUCUAGGAAUGUCGCAUUUGCAUGACCAUGGUGGGAUGUUGGCGCGCUCAAGGUUCGGGGCGUGACAUCCCCGUUUAAGUGGUAUUAGAACAUGAUCUAUGUAUGGAGUAAUAAGGUGCGAUGAGUCAUGGGAUAGUUAGUAGGAAAGGCUUUUAAUAUGCUGAUGCAUGUGGUUGAUAGCUGUUUGGUAGUGUGUUUAUGGGGUCACUCAAAUUCUAACCUGAUGUUGGAAUCAGAAAACAGGUGUCUAUAAAAAGCCUGUAGGAUGAGUGACCAGGAGUGGAGAACUCCUUGAAGGAGGUCGAUAGGACCUGUACCUCGGGGUAGGAUGCUGACAAGAGUUGGUACCCGUGGUAGAGCGCAGGCUUAGGCCAGCGCAAGUGUAAGUACCGUCGCAAGUCAGUAUUGAGAGUGUAGCAGCACCGAAUGAUCCUAUGUUCGACCGGAUUAUUUAGGCACUAGAGUCUUUGGAAAGCAUUUUGGGUCAAUAAGCUCAAGACCAAGCAGCCGCUGUUGCUGUUGUUUCUACUGCUGCAAGUGUUGUGAUUGUUGUUGUUGCCACGCCUGUUGAGGCCUAAUAUGGAGUUGUGAUCAAGGAUCAAGCCACCGUAUCUGAGUCAAGGUUCAAUUUAGACACAGAUGGAAAUCAAUUGGAGAAAAAGGCCGAUGUCAGAAGAAAGGUGUCCUGUUUCACCCAACUGGAAGAGAAGAAUUGGAAAGUCAGUGCUCAGCUUGAUCGAUGUGUAUCGUAUUUGUAAGAAAAGACAUGGAUCUGUCCUGUGCUGUAAGAGGGAAAUGACUUAUUACAAGUGUCGCAAAUAAGGCCAUUUGAUGAAAGAUUGUCCAUAUAGAUGGAUGGAAUCACAACUGUUUCUGUCACCGCCGUUGAUAAGAUAGAACAUAGGAAACAUGCUUCGGGACAUUUAGUGGGUUACUUGGAACGAAUCUCAGUGCAAGGAAGGGUGCAUGAUGUUCCUUAAUGGGAGGUAGAUGACUCACUGAUUGUGUGCCGAGUUUGUGGAAAGGAAGCAUGAGUCAGCCUAGUGUCAGAGUAAAAAUGGAGUAUGAUUUGAAUAUGGCCAGCACAGCCGUUAGGUUAGGAACUGUCCGUGUAAGUUCAGGAGAGUGUAAGCACUGUUACUGCAGAUAGGAUGCCACUAGGAUGGUUAGAGGAGCAUGAAGGGAUCAAUCCUGCAUCAAUUAGAAUGAGAAUAUUUUCGAGAUAUUUUUAUCAGAGUAGUGCAGUAGAAUUUUCAGUGAAGGUUGUAGGAUCUUCGUUAUGGUAAUAAAGUGAUAGAAAGAUGAAGCUCUGACUAUAAUUGUACUUGAAGGGUUUGCUUAAGUAUGACUUGGAAGUCAUUUGUAAGAAAGUUUGGCUUAAGGAGUUUUUGUUGUUUUGAAUCAUGGUAGUGAUAUAAUUUAGCUUGUUCUGUUAGCGUACGAAAGUUUUGAAUCACUGAAAGUUGAAGAGGAACUUCAAUCUUUGUUAUUCGUCGCUGAAGAUGACCUGGUUCUGGUUGUUGGUUAUUGAAUCUACAUGGCAACUGUAAUGGAUGCGUCAAUUGAGGGGCCGAAUAUGGAUAACAUAAUCGUGGUACAUAAGUUUUCUAAGGUAUUUUCUGAAGAAUUGCCAGGUUUGUUGUCAAGAAGAGAAAUAGAGUCGUGAUUGAAUUAGCACCUAGAAUAGAGCCAGUCCCUAACGCUCCUUACCGGAUGGUGUUACCCGAGUUAAAAGGACUGAAAGUGUAGAUGCAGGAAUUAUUGGAUAGGGGAUUUAUACAUUCCAAUGCAUCACCUUGGAGAGCACCUAUUAUAUUCGUGAAGAAUAAAGUUGAUUCAUUGUGUUUGUAUGUCAAUAUUUCUCAAGAUCGACUAGAGGUCAGGGUAUCAUCAUUUGAGAAUCAGGAAAAAAGACAUAUCGAAUUUAGCAUCUUGCGCUCGAUACAGCAGUUAUGAGUUCAUUGUAAUGCCGUGUGGUUUGACGGAUAUCUUAGCUAUUUGUUUGGGUCUUAUGAGCAGAAUGUUUAAGGGUACUUGAAUUAGUUGUGAUCGUGUUCAUUGAAGUUAUCCUAAUAUGUUCAAAGAGUGUCGAGGGGCACAAGAGACGUUUGAGGACGGUACUUCAGACCUUGAGUACUUUUGGAUUUUACAAUAAGCUUAGCAGAUGCGAGUUUUGGAUGACUCGUGUUGCAUUCAUAGGUCACGUGAUUUCAGGAGAAGGAAUCUCCAUAGACCCUGUCUAAGAUUGAAGCGGUGAUCAGCUGGCUAAGAUUGACUGUAGUGACAGAGAUUAAAAGUUUCUGGGUUUAGUAAAGUAUUACAGACAAUUUGUAUACGGGUUUUUUAGUGUUAGCAUCGCUGAUGACGAGACUGCUGAAUGAGAGAAGAAAAGUUUGUGUGAUCAGAUAAGUGCGAGCGUAGUUUUCAAGGGCCUAAGAAGAGGCUGACUACCGCAGUUGUGCUUACUAUUCCAUCUGGUCCAGGAGGGUUGAGAUCUACAGUGAUGCAUCAUUUAAAGGAUUGGGUUAUGUGUUGAUACAGCAUGAUAGAGUUGUUGCAUAUGCGUCCCAUUAGUUGAGACCUCAGGAGUGGAAUAUAAGAUAGCGUCGCUGUAUGGAACUCAUUAAGAAUUAUGACUAUGAUAUUUUGUCACUCUAGAAAGGUGAGCAAAGUCGCAGAUGCAUUGAGUCAAGAGUCCUUAGUUGCAUAGUUGGUACUCAAGGAUUGGAUCUUAUUUGAGAAAGUUUGAAAUUCAGUUUUCAAAUCUAAGGUAUGUCACCUUUUAAAUCUUAUGACCACCCUCAGAAUUGAGCCGAGAGUACAAAUCAGAAUCAAAACGCUUCAGUGAACAGAUUCAGAAAUUCAAAAGAUUCUAUAAGAGAAUGCAGAUGAGAGAGGUUGAUUUUCAGAUUUUUGAAGAUAGGAUGCUAUGAUUGUGUGUAAUUGACGAUACAGAGAUUAAAGAAGAGAUCUUAUGGGAAGCUCAUCAUAGCAACUUCAACGUUGUCCAGACAGUACGAAGAUGAGUCAGAAUCUAUAUCAUCGGUAUUGGUAGAUCAGUAUGAAGAUGGAUAUCACCGAUCAAGUUGUAAGUGUUGGAUGCGUCAGUAAGUGGGAAUUUGGUAAUGUAAGCCAAAAAAGCUUUUUCAAGUACUGGAGAGAGUCCGGUGUGGGAAUGGAAGUAUAGCAUGAUGGAAUAUUAUGACAGGCUUAUUAAGGAGUCGGGAAGAGUAUUGAUUCCUUAUGAGGUUGUGGUCGACAGAUGAACAGAGUCAACUUGCCUUAGUACAGCAUGAAAAUAAUCUCAAUUAGAAUAGGUAUACCGAAGUAUGUGUAUAUCAUAUAACUCAUCUGCAUGGAGUGCCGGGGAUGAAUUGUAUUUCAAAUCUAGAUCAGAUGUUUCGAGUUGGCAGAGCUUUCAGAUGGUUCUUUCUUAUGUAGUGCAUAGUAGAGAGUGCAGAAUUUCAAUUGCUGAGACGAAGUUAGGGAAAGAAAGAUCGUAGGUUAGGGUCAGUACAGUAGUCAGUGAUUGCAGUUGCCGAGAUCAGUGUUAGAGUUAUAUCAUAUCUUGACCAGAAGUCCCCAGUUUCAGCAGAUCAGUCAGAUAGUUUCUUUUUAGUUAGUGUAGAGCAUAGUGUUCAGUAGGGGUGAGCGGUUCCCGGUUCCUUACAUGUUUCGCUUGGAACCUGGAACCUACCCUCGGGUACAGGUUCCUCAUUUUUUGGAACCUGGAACCUACCCGUCAGAACCAAGAACCUGGAACCUACCCUGUCACAGGUUCCGGGGUCGGUUCCAGGUUCUAACAGGUUCCAACGAGUUUUUUUUUUUUUUCAUUUUUAGUUUAAAAAAAUGGAAGACUCAUGAAAGACUCAACAGCAAGAAUAGGAAACUGCCGAAUUAUGCUAACGUGAAAAUUUAUUGAACAGAGGAUAAGUCAUGUGGAAAUAGCAUGUUGAUUAAUCAGAACAAGUUUAGUACAAUGUGUGAGAGGUUAUACACCAUAAAAGACCUCAUAUGAACAGAGGAAUAGCCUUCUAAACAUUUACAUGAUUACCUGUCAUCCAUCCUUGUCUGAGCUUCAAUAUAAGAGAGAGCUACACAUGAUUUAAUAAUGCUUUUUGUAUAUCUUGUGGAUAUUAUAUCUGCUUCAGGUGUCAUUUCCUGAAAAUGGGCAGUAAACAAGAUUGUUCUCCUUUCAUGGGAAGAUCAAUCAAUAUAUUGGUAUACACAGGGCCGACAAUUCAUGAUUAGUAAGCACAUGAGCUAUCAUUUAAUGUAGUCUGGUGAUGGCGGCUAAUGGACAUGCAAUCCUCUUUACCAAAAAGAGCACAGCAAAUGACGAAGAUAGAACAAGAAACAUACCCAGAUAACAGAAAAAGCCAGUCUCUCCACAUCUACCCGAAGUGAACAUAUAUCUGCAACAUAAAUUCACAUGUUAAGUUUGAUAUGGGCAGGACCAUGGAUUAACCACAGUCAGUCUUUUCUCUAAUGUUAAAGAGACAUUUUACGGCUCUAAAUGUCAUAUUACCUUGUGAAUCAACGAUGCGGAAUUGUCAGGGGAAGCCCUGUUUUAGAGUCCCCUGUGUUGGAUUUCUGCAAGGGCAUGAAGAACAUUAAGAUAGAUUCGACGAGUAUGAAAGAGUUGAUAGUCUUCCACUCUGGAUUCUUUAACACGCAGAAACUUUGGGCCCCGUAUUUGCUGUUGCUGCAGGUAUUGGGGUAUUGGCCUCAUGAUUCUGUGUUCAGACUUGAGACGUAUCUUCUUUGGUAGAAGCCAUGUUGGAUUUUGUUGUCUGGUGGCAAGAGGAUGUGCUGCAACUUGUUAAAGGAACUUUUUGAGUAGCUGCUCGGAGUUCCUAUUAUCACCAUCGGCAGUCGGUGUUUGCAGGUAUGAGCUCAGUAUAUUUUUGCCCUUCAUAAGACAUGCUCAUGUUGAAUGGUGUCCGUGAGUAGCACCAUUUAAUGCUGUAUGUUGGCCCGGUUGAGUGACCUUAGUUCUCUGUGGCAUUGUAGUCUUCCAUCAAGGGGAAUCGUUGUGAAUUCUUCAUCAAUUAUACGACUCCAGCUCCAGAUUCGUCCUCUACAUCUCCUCCUACCAUCACAAAACAGAAAAACAAACGAAAUCCCAUCAAAACCCCCAUCAAUGCACGAACCCCAAAUUAAGAUUCAAAAGAAACCCUCGGGCGGAGGUAGUGAGCAACGUUGGGCAGAGACAGAGAGGAAGUGCGAAGUGAAAGUGGGAACUGAGACAGGGUAAAUUAAUUUGGGGCUUAACCUAACAGGUUCCGGGUUCGGGCGGAGGUGGUGACGGUUUGGAGCAACAACGGCCCAGACAGCCAAGCAAGCGGCAGCAAGAGGUGGUGACGGUGGCUUGGGGACGGCGGCGGUGCCUCACAGCGGCGCGAACGGCAAGACAGCUCAUCGGGCUCAACAGUGAGACGGCUUGUCGGACGAGCAGUGGGUGGUGGGGGUUCGGUGGCCAAGAGGUGGUGGUGAGUAGGGCGUGGGGCAGCGGUGUGGUGGUCGGUGAAGCAGCAACUGGCGAGAGGAAGGAAGAAGAAGAAGAAGAAGAAGAAGAAGAAGAGAUAGAGGUGGGAGGGUUCGGCUGAGAGAGGAGGAAAGAGGAGAGAGAGAGAGGGGAAAAGAAAAAAGUGGGGGGCAGGAAGUGACGUGAGGAGGAAAAAGGGCAGAAAAGAGAGAGAGAAAAAGAAAGGGAAAGGGGGGAAAAUUGAAGGGGGGAAAUUCGCGCGGAAGGGGUUAGGGUUUUUUAUUUUUUAACUUUGCUGGUUCCGGUUCCUCAGGUUCCGGUUCAUAUGGGAACCGGAACCAGAACCGGGAACUGCCGGUUCCCGGAAAAAGAGAACUGGGAACCAGAACCGGUCCCCUUAGAACCGGGAACCAAACCGGAACCUCCUCCGGUUCGGUUCCGGUUCCCGGUUCUACCCAGAACCACGCUCACCCCUAGUGUUCAGAACUUCAGUUGUUGAGUUGAGAUCAGAGAUCAGAAAAUUGCAGGUCCAGAGUUGGUUUAGAAAUCAGUGAUUCAGUUGCAAUUAUCAGAGACAGUUUAGAGACUGCUCAAAAUCGCCAGUUUAGCUUCGCAGAUUUUGUGUUGAAGACCUUUGGAAUUUUAAGUGGGCAAGUGUUUAAUAUUAUGCAUCCGAAGUGGUUUGGGCAAGAUAAUAGUGAUCUGGCAAUAUUGGUAUAGAAGGAGCAACCUGAGAAAGAGAAGAUUAUAUGAGACAACUGUACCCCCACCUUUUGGUUUAAGAAUUAGUAAAUGUUUAAAUUUAAAGGACGAAAUUUUUAUAAGAGGGGAAGAGUUGUAACAUCCUGAUUUUCCAAUUCUAUUUUCAAUAAAUUGAGAUGGGCAUUUCGUUGGCACACAUAUAGUUAUUUUCCUUGAGUCAGCCACUCAUGUGAAAACUAGUCUAUCGGGUGAAGCCGUUAAGAGUUUCUAAUGCAUCGGACUCGAGAAUUUGACCAGGAAGCGACCUUUCGAUCGAGCUAAUCUGCAAGGAUCAUUACGACACAAUUAAAAAUUAAUUAAAGACCAGAGAUAGGUCGACUCGACAAAGGUAUGUGAUUGAGUGUGGGUGAUUCCACCAGAUCACACAAUUCUUGUCAAUCGACACUAGACCGACUUUUCUGUCGAUUGGGUACCCUGUGUUCAUAUUUGAAACCUUGAGAUUAUCCCAACAACUGAAAGUCGCCAAUGUUUCAAAGAUGUACAUUGUUGCUUAAGAUGAUCAAUCAUAGGUCAAAUGCAUGAAAAUUUCUAAAGGCUACCGGUAGGUUGGGCCGCGAUAAUAGCGUGCCAAAGUGAAAUUAACCGUGGAAUUGAGAUCGAAUUUAGAAAAUGAAAUUCUGAGUGUGUCACAAAUCAUUUUCAAAAUAUUGACUCAUCUUUGGAAGAUUUUUCAUGCAAGCUGAGUUUUUCAGCAAAAUAAUCAGAGAAUAGCUAAUUUGGCUCGAGAAAUUAGUAGGCCCGCUUUUGAUCGUGCUUUUGGGAUUCAAGUUGGUUCUAUGGUCAAGUGAUUACGUAAAUUGAAAUGUUGUGAUAUUUGAUUAAUUUUAUGGACUUCAAUUUGGUUCAAUUAGAAGAGAAUUGAAGAAUGGGAUGCACAAAGUUUAAAAAUUGGUAUGCCAUGGCGGAAGAUGAAAUUGAACCCAUUGGAAGAGGUUGUGGAGGAUUGGGUGAGUGGAAGAUGAUGUCAUCUUAGGUCAUGGUGGGCCAUUUUGUGGGAUUAAAGAAAGAGAAAAAGGAAAAAAAAAAAGGUCCCAUCCUUCUUUCUCCUCCCUCUCUCCUUCCUCUCUCUCGUCGCCUCUCUCCUCCAUGUUCAUUGUGUGAAGACCAGAAAAUGCAGAGAGGAAACCGAAGCAGCCCCUUCGCCCGCUCGCACGCUCGUUCGCCGGAGGCUUUGCCGUCGCCGUUCGCCACUCCGCUCGCCAGCAUGUGUGCUACUCCGCCUUCUUUCUCCCUCUUCGUCUGCUGCUUGAGAUCUCAGAUCUAGUAGGACGCCGGGCAGAAGUAGCCGCCGACGUCGCCGGGAGCCGUCGCUUGUCGCACACCGUCCUCGCCCCGCGCACCUCGCCGCCGUGCUGCCAUCCCUGCCUGCUGAUACUGCCGCGUGUCUCUGCCUACCUUACGUCGAAAUCCAGCUUAUCCUUGCCUCUGUGGGCUGUUAUAGGCCACGGCUGAGCCACCUCCGACCACCGUGAGAUCCUGCUAGGCCGCCGUGAGCCACCGCUCGAGCUGCUAUCGCCCUUCUCCACCAGUUUCACGCCCAAACCGCCACCAUGCAGCCCUCAGUUGGCCUCAACCAGCAGCUAGAAAAAUGGGUAUUCUAGCUCGGUUUUGGCCUGUUUUAGCCGCCUUCCCGAGCCCGGAUGCUCAGCCUGUCUUUAGGAAAGUCAAUCAUCGCGUCAUCCUCGUCGUUUUGGUUCGCUCGGCUCGCUAAUCCGGUGAAUUUAGCUCACUAAAUCUUGAUUAGACGGUUAAUGAUGCCCUAAGUGUGCUUAGUCUAAGUUAAGCAAGUUUAGGUGGAUAGUUUAGUUUAUUUAAUUGUGAUUUGGAUUAAGAAUUUUGUUUAAUUUAAAGUGUGUAAUUAAGGCUAAUAAAGUUAUUUAAUAAUAAGCCUUUAUGGGACAUAAUAGGGCUUUAUUUUUGAAUUAUUUAAUUCUUUCGAAAUUCUAGAAUUUAUAAUAUUAUAUUAUAUUCCAAAAUUAUUAAAAUAUUAUUAUUAUUAUUAAGAAAAAAGAAAAAAUUAUUUUUGACUCUAGUUGCUCAGAAUUUUGUGCCGAUCGCUGCUGUGCAUUUAGAAUUUGAAAUUGAUGAUUGGUUAUGGCAAAUUGAGUGUGAUUGCGAUAAAUAGGGAUUUUUUUUUUAUUUAUAAAAUCCCAAGUGUCAAAAUUGAUGGGAGAUUGGCCGUGAUUAACCACAUAUUAGAGAUCAUGCCCAGUGGGGCCGUGAUUAAUUACAUAUUAGAGGUCGUGCCCAGUGGAGCCAUGAUUCGCCACCCGAUAAAGGUUGCGCCCAGUGGGACCAUGAUUUACCACCUAUUAGAGGUCGUGCCCAUCGGGCCGGGAUCUACCACCUGUUAAAGGUUGUGCCGAGUGGGGCCGUGAUUGCCAUUGGUUGUCAAACCUUCCUAUAGGGCCGUGAUUAGAAGCAGUGAUUGAUUUGCUAGAAUGACAUGUAAUCGGCCGAGUCGAUUGAUCGCUGUAACGAUCCAAGUGGUUGAAUUGUUCUGAUAAUGUGAUUGUGCCACAGUUGUUUCGUUAUCAUAAUUGCACGUGGUUGAAUUAUAUGAAUUGUGCUAACCUUUAGGAAGGAACCGAGGCGAGGUAAGUUCUCUGUGUGAUGCGGCUAGGCCACCCUUGGGCAUAUUUUCUUUCUAAUAGGGGUUUAGGGGGUUGAACUUGCUGAGACAUUGUUUCAUCCCAGUUUGGGGAUUACAAUUUCAAGUCCCCAGUGGACGGAGCGGCUAGAUAGCUUUGGUUGACCUUGAGGAGUUGCGGAGGUGAAGUCAGGAGGAUUGGAGAACGUGUUCGACUUGUAGGUCGUAGGACAGUUCAUUUUUAAGAGCCGGUCUUUUGUAGAUUUUUGGUUGUACGCCUUCGUUUGUAACUCCAUUGGUUUAUGUAAGUGAUUGGUUGUGAAUUUGCUUCCUGCUUUUGUAUCCCGUAUUUCAUUGUCAUGGGUUUUAUAAUACGUACCGCUUGUGCAAUAAUAAAUGAAUGGGGUCGGUGACACUACCUAGGAAUGUCGCAUUUGCAUGACCAUGGUGGGAUGUUGGUGUGCUCGAGGUUCGGGGUGUGACAACCUGUAGGAAGGAACUGAGGCGAGGUAAGUUCUCUGUAUAAUGUGGCCAGGCCACCCUUGGGCGUAUUUUCUUUUUAAUAGGGGUUUAGGGGGUUGAACUUGUUGAGACAUUGUCUCAUCCCGGUUUCGGGAUUUCAAUUCUAGGUUCCUGGUGGACGGAGCGGCUAGAUAGCUUUGGUUGGCCUUGAGGAGUUGUGGAGAUGAAGUCAUAAAGAUUGGAGAACGUGUCCGACUUGUAGGUCGUAGGAUAGUUCCUUUUUGAGAGCCGGCCUUUUGUAGACUUUUGACCAUAGACCUCUGUUUGUAAUUCUAUUGAAUUAUGAAAGUGUUAUGUUGUGAUUUGCUUCCUACUUUUCUAUCCUAUAUUUCAUUGUCAGGGGUUUUAUAAUACGUUUCGCUUGCGCAAUAAUAAUUCAAUGGGGUUGGCGACACUACUUGAGAAUGUCGCAUUUGCAUGACCAUGGUGCGAUGUUGGCGCGCUCGAGGUUCGAGGCGUGACACAUGAACCUUGCACAAAACAAGAGAGCACUUCAUGCAGCAAAUGUCAUGAUGACUGAGAAAUUACAUGUGCUCGAUGUAACAAGACUCAAACGAUCGGAAUCAGUUGAUGCCAUUGUAAAGGCUCAAUACCAGCAUAAUACAUGUCUUGCAAGCUACUUAAACAACUGAAAAGUAAUUUAUGCAAUCCCAUCAUUUGUUACCUACUUUUUGAUACAUAUGUAGUUUAUUCAAUAUUGUGCAUCCAAUGUUAAAUAGUUCUAAUUCAAGGAAAAGUCAUGUCUAGCAUUUUAUUGUCUACCUUGAAGGUUAUUACAUAGUAUCCAUACUAAAUGCUUCAUAAAAAAUGUUUGUCGAAGUGUUCAUAAUGGCCAUGCAAUUUGCAGUAGCAAUUGAUAGUUAGUGUGCUAUCAGAAGAGAAUACUUUUCGUUAUCAUAUAAUACAAAAUUAUUACCUUUUUUUCCGGCAACACAAACACACUGGUUAAAAUUGCAACACCAUCUAAUUCAGUAAAAAAAUGCACCAACGAAUAACAUACCAGUAGUGACUCAUAAAAUUAGAUAGAUUUCACAUGACCACCUUAUAAUUACUAUUGAAUGCAAGAAACUAACUUGAUUGAUGACAUGGUCAGUGACCCCGUAUCAUCAUGCCCCCUAUUUGAAGCAAUGGAAUCAACUUCAUCAAAAAAGAGAAGGCAAGGUGUUGCAUCUAUUGCCUUCAAGAAUAUAUCAGAAUCUGUAGUUUUCUAAUUGCCGUUACUCUCAAAUAUUCAAAAUCUCUCCAUUUUGCUGACAAAAUCAAGGAUCAUAAUAACACUACAUCAUUUAACAACCCGAAACUCGUAGUAAAAUCCUUACAGAUGGACCAAUUACAGGAACAAAUCAAACAUUGAAGAUUGAGCUCGAGCGAGACCAAUUUUUUAACUUCAACUAAUCAAGAUCAAUAAAAUCCCGAGUAUUCUCCCUUCGACUGAAAUGAAACUCACGAACCCGCUUCAAACAGCUUCGCUCUCCUAUAUCUCGGUUCGAAGGUGGAUGGACACAGAUCCCAAACAAUGGAGCAGAGCGAUAAGGAGAUUCUAUUUUUGGCCAUGAGGGAUUAUGGAUUGGAAUGUAUUAAGAUAGGUCACAAAGUUUUGUGAUUUAUAAAUUUCAAUUAGGCGUUUAUAAAAUUAAGGUUUAAGGAGGAUUAUUAGGAUGAGGUGUGGGCCAAAGUAUUAGCUCAAGACCAUCCCACAAGAAGCUUUACCCUUCGGCCAUUUGGGUCUAGCCGCGAAGCCCAAAGGAGGAGGAGGAGCCGCCGGCCCAUGACUGGCCUCAAGCCCAGCCAAAUGGAGCCCCAUUGGGCUAUUGAAAAGAGGAACCAGCCCAUGAGAGGCCCACUCCUUUGCAUGAAGAUUUUGCCAAGUGUUAAUUCCCUUUGUCCAUGUGUCAUUCAUGCAAAAGCAAUGAUUGUUCAUCAUUGAGGAGAGGAAAAUUGAGGGAACUGGUUGAUGAUGAAGGGAAAGCGUCGCCAGAGAGAGGGAGUGAGAGAGAGAGCUACCGAGGGGAAGAGAGAAAUCAAGAGAGCAGAAGAGAGGAAAGAAAGGGAGCUGUCCGUCGACCAUCCGCCGUGUGUCCGUCCCUCGUUGCCAUCCGUGUGCUUGUUGUUUGCUCGGUAUAGAGGCAAGUUGGGAUCCUUAAUCUGCUCUUGCAUGCUAUGUCUAGUAUGUGUGCUUGAAUGGUGAUAGAAUUCGGAUGUUUAGGGUGUUAAAAGUGGAAGUUUUAAGAGGGAUGUUUGAGACUAGUAAACAGUUCUUGAAAAAACAGUUCGACCUUGGAUGUUUUAUUGGCUUGCAUGUGUUGUUUGAGUUGGAUUUUAGCCGUGACUUCUAAAUGAAAGUUGUUAAGGAAUUCUUGAAAUAUAACAUACUCAAAUUUGGGACAAAACGAAUAAGUAUAAGUGGGUGAAAUUCCUUAUUUUUUCGGAGAGACUGAAUCUGGAGAUUUCGGUAACUACCUUUGAUGAAUGCAUGGUCUGUAAGCCUAUCUUUUUGUUGAAGUUUCACUUCAAUUUCUUAUUGAAAGAUGUAAAGCACAUCCUGAGGUUUAACAUAUCAAAAAAAUUAGAGAAAAAUAACAAGAAUAGAUAGGUAAAAUCGUGGUUUUUCGGAAGUAGUCAGAUCUGGAAACUUCGGUAUUGAAACAAAAGAUUUAACCGUCUAUAUUAAAUCAUCUAGAACGAAUUUGACUUUUAUUUAUUCAUUAAAAACCUACCUUAUGAUCUUGACUACAACAUAGUCGAAUUUCAUGAAUUUUGAAGGUCAUUAGGGUAUUUAAUCGGAAAUAUUUCAAAAACCGUGUAAUCUGACGCGUUUGGACUUAGUCAGUUUCAAUGCAUGGGGCAUAUCAUUUUUUAUGAAGCUCUUUCGGCAAAGUUUUCUUCACAAAGUAUCUUUCGUUAUGUCUUCCCUGAAACAUAUUCAAAUUUCAUAAUUGUUGAAUUACAUUUGCCUAUUUAACCAAAAAUGUUUCAAAAACUGUGCAAGCUGUAUUGUUAGAAUAGUAAUGCUAUGAUGCACGGUCUAUAUCAAAUGUUAUGAGGGUCUUUUGGUGUGGUUUCCUUCAUGAAAUAUCUGACUUUAUGUCUUUACUAUCACAUGUUCGAAUUUCGUAAUUUUUAAAGGUCAUUUGGGUAUUUAAUGGAAAUAUUUUCUAAAACUGUGCAAGCUGGAUUGAGCGAAUUUUAAAUGCUGUAAGCUAUGAUUAUUCUGUUUUGGAUGAGCCCCAUGAAUUAUAUUGAUUGAGGUGAUUGAAUCUUGCUGAGCAUGUGAUGAUAUUUGGCAUUGCAUAUAUAAUCAAAUGCUGAAAUUGACUUUGUUGCCAUUACAUCAUGUGCCAUGUUGAUUGUGAGACAUAAAUUGGUGAAUAUGAAUUAUGAUGAAUGAGGAGACUGUUGGAGGUGGGCCAAUAAUGCCCUAGGAGUGUCAGGAUGCCCGGGAUGGGGGGUGCCGGAUGCCCGAAUGUAUUGUGGUACAUGCCCGGAUGUUCUCAGGAGUUUCGAGAUGCCCAGAAUGGUUGGGUGCCGGAAGCCUUGGAGGUUUGUGCCCGGGGAAUGCCUCAUGAUGCCAUGCCAGUUGGGAUGCGAGAUGCCCGGAAUGUGGGGGUGCCGAAUGCCCGAUGGUGUGCGUCGGAGGUUUUCUCGUGAUGCCAGGUUGGGGUGCGAGUGAUAAUGUGGGAUGCAAUUACUGAUCCCGGGGAAGAAAGAUGUGGUGAUCAAAUUAAAAGAUAAAAAGUGGAAACUGAAUCAUGCAUGGUAUAGUGAUAUGUAUGCAUGGCUGUAUGAUAUGAUGUGUAUGAGUGCAUGGCUGUAUGUGCACCUAUGGCAUGAUGGUAUAUGAAUGAAAGCUUGGUGAUGAGUGCAUGAGGAUGUAUGCACAUAUGGUAUGAUGACAUAUGCAUGGCUGAAAGGUAAGUUAUGCUUGGAUGCAUAGAUGAUAUGUACUAUGCUAUGAUGUUGUGAUUGUAUUUGUGAUGCAUUGAGUAGUUUACUGGAUCUUUUACCUGCUAAGUGGUUGUACUCACCUCUUCAAAGACCAACAUUUCAGAUUAGGAAGAUGGCACUCUCUCCAGUCACGCAGGGUACCUUUUAUGGCCUCUGUGACAUCCAGAUUUUCGAGUUCUAAUUUCGACUGGAUAAAUAGGGCCGUUUUUGUUCAGUUGAAGCCAGGGAUUGUGAAUUCGGGAUACAAGUGGGCUAUACUGAUAAGAAAAAGUACCAAUUUUAUCGAUGAAAUAUUGAAUGAAAUUAUGGGGGUCAAAUUGAUUUGAUUCAAGUGGGAUUAAGGUUUAAAUUGGGAAGAAAACCUAGCAAAAAUUCGUAUGCCCAUAAACCCAACUUUUUGAACUACCUAAAUGCUUCUAGAAGGGGGCAUAUUUGUCAAAAAUUGAAGAGUGGGAGACAGCUGGUGGUGGCCAUGUGUGGCUGACCUAAGAGAGAGAGAGAGAGUGUGAGAGAAAAGAAAGGGAAAUUGAGUUUUUCUUCCUCCCCUCUCUCCUCCUCCGUCGACAAAUCCUCCCCCAUCCCCCUUUUCAACUACUUGACUCCAUGGGAGCCGAAGACCAGUGAAGACUGAGCUGCAGUCGCUGCCUCUCGCCGUCGUCAUCGCACGCCCGAAAGCACCAGAGCUGCUCGCGCACCCGAGCUCGCCACCGUGCUGCCGUCCGCGCACCUCCGCCCUCUCUCUCUUUUGUCGAGCUCUGUCCUCCAUCUCCGGUUGUUGCUUGACAAAACCCAGCAAGUCAAAGAAGCCGCACAUCGCCUGGAGCCACCUUUCGUCGCCAUCAUCGCUCACCGAAGCCGGAGCCGCUGUCGCUGCUCCGCCCCACCAGUGCCUCACCGCACGCAGCUCCGCCUUCAGUUGCAUCGUCCCUAGCUUGGCCGACGUCCUGAGCUGCUGUCCAGCUCGUGCAAGAGCCGCUGGAGCUUCCUAUGACCACCUCCGGCCACCGUGAAGCCCCGCCUAGGUUCAGUUCGGCCCCUCCGUCCAUUUCCAACCCAACCUAGCUCUGGAUCCGCCCUCCUUCGCCCCCAACCAGCAACGCACAGAGAGUGCAGAAAAUGGGUAUCGCAGUGGGUUUUGGCCCGUUUUGGCCGUCUUCCCGAGCCCGGAUGCUCGGCCUGCUUUGAGGAAAGUCGAUCCUCGUGUCGAGCCCGUCGUUUUGAGUGAGUUUUACUCACUAAUGCCUUCUUAGUGUGCUAAUUACACUUAAAGGUUGAUUAGUGUUAAUUAAGUGUAAUUAGGUUGUUAGAUUAGAAUUGAUUAGUGAUUAUUAGUUAAUUGCUUUGCAUAUUAGUUGUGUGAUUAGUGUAAUUAGAUAGAGAAUUACCUGUAGUAUUUAUUGGAUGCUUCUUGGGAUUUUUCCCGUCCCUUAUCGGGUGUUAAUUAAGCGAUUCGGGCCUAAUUGGAAUUUUUAGGAAUUAAAUAUUAAUUUUCGAAAUUAAUUAUUUAAUUAUUUAAUUCCCGGAAAUUUAACUGGGAUGGCCAGUGGCCGGGAUUUUAUGCUGAUGAUCGUGGUGCAGUCCGUUUAUUUAAUUGAGCUUUAUAUUGUGCUAAAUUGAAUUUAUUUUAUAUAUUUAUUUAUUUUUCGAAAUUAAUUAUUUAAUUAUUUAUUUUCCGGAAAUUUAACUGGGAUGGCCAGUGAUCGGAAUUUCGUGCUGAUUGUCGUGAAGCAGUCCGUUUAUUUAUUUGAGCUUUAAUUCGUGUCGAAUUGAUUUAAUGGUGCAUUUUUAAGUAUGUUAUUAAAUAAUGCAAUUUUGGCCUUGUGAUUGAGAAUAGGUCAGGUAUCAGUUGUUAGUAUCGAAAGUGAAUUGGUAAAUCACCUUGAGGAUGCACGUGGCCCAGUGAAUUGGAAUGUUACUCGGGAAAGACACGUGACUCGGUGAUUAGAUAUGUCAUCUUGGCGAAAAGGUAGCCUUAGAGAAUGCACGUGGCUCGGAGACUCGGUAUGUCUUCCUGGAGAAUGCACGUGGCACGGUGACAUAGUAUGGCAUUGUGAAAAGGUCGGGUGGGACCAUAAAGCCACUAAAUCUUGGAAAGGUCGGGUGGGACCGUAAAGCCACUAGAUCAUGAGAGGAUUGGGUGGGACCAUAAAGCCACUAAAUCUUGAAAAGGGUCGGGUGGGACCGUAAAGCCACUAGAUCUUGAGAGGGUCGGGUGGGACCGUAAAGCCACUAAAUCUAAGGAAUUGCUUGGUGUGGGAUGAAUGACGUAGAAAUGAUUCGUUUUGCUUGUAAUCGACUAGGUCAAUUGAUCGAUGAUUCGAUCUGAGUGUGACUUGAUGUGAUUCAUUGCCUUGGUUUGAUGUUGUGAAUUGAAUGAUUGAAUGGAGAUGAUCGUGAGUGGUCUUCCUGAUAUGAAAUCGACUAAGUCGAUUAGAUCGAUGCUUCGAUCUGUGAUGUGAUUGCUUGGGNNNNNNNNNNNNNNNNNNNNNNNNNNNNNNNNNNNNNNNNNNNNNNNNNNNNNNNNNNNNNNNNNNNNNNNNNNNNNNNNNNNNNNNNNNNNNNNNNNNNNNNNNNNNNNNNNNNNNNNNNNNNNNNNNNNNNNNNNNNNNNNNNNNNNNNNNNNNNNNNNNNNNNNNNNNNNNNNNNNNNNNNNNNNNNNNNNNNNNNNNNNNNNNNNNNNNNNNNNNNNNNNNNNNNNNNNNNNNNNNNGGAGGAGGACCUCGAGGAUAACCCCGAGUAUGACCCGGAUGAGGACUGAGAUCCUGUCCUAUCUCAUCAGACCUUGUUUAUAUGUGAUUAGGCGUUAGACCAGAGUUGUGUAUAUAUAGUAUUGUAGAAUACUAUGAGAUGCAUGUAAAAAGAUGUAGUUGUGAAUUUUUAGUAAGGAAAAUAUAUGGCCUGCUUUUCUAUCCCAUUGCUUUAUUGUCUGGGGAAUUAUAACUGCUUCCGCAUGUGCAUAUAUAAAUGAAAGGGUCGGCGAUACAUAGUCCUGGGAUAUCGCAUUUUUAAAUCGACCAAAAGUAAGGGAUGUGUGCGUGCCUGAGGGUCGGGGCGUGACAGCCUCCCAUUGGACGUGGAGGUAGAGUGUUCGGAGAUUGAUUGCAUUACCAUCCCUGGUCUGACGUUUGUGCGAGUUCGCAUGCUGGUCAUGUACGAUGUGGGCUUGGCUAGGGGCCCGGUCAUUCAGGAGUUUUUAUCAGUCCACGUCCACCGAGAUGGAGAGAUUCGGGGGAUGUUGCCAUCACCACCGCUCGAUGCCCAGGAUGGGUGUGAUGGCCACGUGAGGGGUAGUGAGCUGACAUUUUUUUUAGAGUAGCCGACAUUGAUAGAUGGAGGAUGACACGUGAUCGUUAUAGGGGUCGAUUAUCUUUUGGGUUGUGGCUAAGUGUAGUUAAAAGUCUUGGCUUUCUUUUUGGUUGUACCGACCCGAGAAAAUCCAUCAUGAAAAUAUAUAAAUAAAAAGUGGUUCGGCCUUAUCUUUUCAUAUGAUGUGUAGUUGAUGUGCAUUGCAUUAUGUUAUUGGAGGGAGAGAUGGUGAGACUCAAUUAUGCUUCCGCUAAUAAGUUGCGCUAGAACCGUUUAAAAAAAAAAAAAACAAUGUGCCUAAGAACCUCAAUCCUUCUUUAAACCCCUUUUUAUAAAAGACAAAUAACGAAUAUCUUUCGAGAGAGAAAGCGAUAGGCAGGCUGUGGCGACCCUAACGGAUUGGGGGCAUUGAGGGGUGCCACAUAUAAUAGAAAUCUCCAAGACUUGACAACAAGAGACCCACUAAAUUACAGCACUAAUAAGUCACUUGAUCCAAAAACACUCUUGCCGACGUGUAUUCCACAGUAGACCUCAAGCAGGCCCAUGUUUUUCCCCGAAUUCAAAUUUAAAUUGGUUUUUACUAAACAUACGUAGUCAAGGUGAAAACAACAUAAAAUAGAUGGACCCAACAUUAAUUCAAAACUAGCACACCGCACACAGAAAGUGAAUAAUCAAGCCCAAGAGGUUCUCAAUCAAAACAUUUACAUGACAAGCUCUGUGUAAUGCAAUAAAUCGAACUAAACCUAACCAAAAUCACUCGUUGUCAGUCUUAUCCAUUGCAAUAACAGAGCGAUACAUAAUUCAUUCACCGGAUUGAAAAUGGAGAAAUCAAAGUCAUACUCUCAUCCAAGAGUACACAUUCUGCUACCAUGAUUCGACUUGAAAGAUCCCUUUAAGAGUAUUUGGCAGGAGCACCGGCUUGACGGAUUCUCUUUUGGUGAACAUCCCAAUUAUACACACGAGCCAUCAUAACCUGCCAAAUAAAGAUUGAACUCUCAAGGGCCGUUUCACCCCCAAAAAGAAAAGAAAAUUUCCAGGGGCCACCAACAUAAUUGCCAUGAUAUAAACGAAAGAGUUUGGUCCUCCAACAAGUUUCGAAUUUUUUCAAUUUCACUUAAGUGCAAUAUGACCACACUCCAGGUUGUCACAAAUCAGCAUGUCUUUGCAAUUUAUAGCCUCAAGGCUCACACCAGUACAAAAAUCACGGCAGCAGUAAUUCAACACAACAAACCUACCCCAAAACUGACAUAAUAAAUGGCUUGAAACUAAAAUGGACCUCCAAGUUCCAAAAUAUUCUGACUUACGUGCGUGAUUGUUACUUGGUCCAGUAAGAACUGUAGAUUAGCAACAAGAACUUCUAAACUUGCUUUAGCGUUUUCUAGGUUCUUUUGUAGAAGAGUUGUGGCCUGCAACACGAAUGGAUACAAUAAAUAAGAUACUCGACAUCAUCAUUGGAGAUAAAGGCACAUUGCUUCAACUCGAGUACCUCUUCGCAUGAAUACUCCAACAUAACAUUUGCUCCCACCAUAAACAUCCUGAAUCAGCAUGUUCAAUGCGAGCUCGAGAACAUAUGCCUUCAGAGACUUUAAAAUCAGCAAGAUGUGCCUGCAUCCACGAUAAAGAGCCGUAAAUACCAGUCAGUUCGGCACCAAUUAUUAUAUUUUGCGUCUUAGAAGUUUUGAUGGUCUUAGAUUUUAAAGCCCAAUAUAGUAAUCCCACCAUAUUUUGCUUUCUAAUAGGACCUUUAGACAUGAAAGCAUAAUAUUACCGUCGUUAUUCAAGUGUCCAAAUCUAAAACCACCGCACAAUUAUUGAGAUUAACAUGGGUUCUUCAAAGCACUAAUUGAGAUUCUUAGGAACAUUGCUUCCAGAAGUGCAUUUGUGAAGGAAAAAAGACAAUCAAAUAUUCCAUAUUUAGUCAAGUGCACCAAAAGUAGUUCCUAGUAUGGCAAGAAUAAGACUACCGUAUCCUCUUCCUGCUUUGUUAAGAUAAAAAAGGAUGAUCAGCUAAGAUAUCAUCGAGGAGCAAGAAGAUAUUUGAACAUGCAAAUUUUCUAGCAUAAGAUAUGAGAAUAUUUUAGUUCACAUUACAUAUGCCAAGGAUUCCAGAUUAAAAAGUGAAACUGUCAAGUGAAAAAUUGGUGGUUUAAUGACAGAAUGAAGAACUUCAGGCGAUAAAAUGAGAAAUGACUCUAUAUUGGAUAAAUAUGAUCUGUUUAUGAGUAACAAGUUUACUUCGUAAAAAGCCUCAACAGUCAAUAGCAUGAGUUCGAUAGAUAUCCAAUAAGUAUACUCAGUUACAAUACAUGCACCGAGAAGCAUUUAGCUUGAAUUUCAAUCUUAAAUUCCAGUUCUAAGGCUACAGUUCAAUCUUUCAGUAAUAUGGACACAUGCUCGUUGCCCACAUAUAAUGGCAUGCUCGAUAAGAGGUCACUUUGCUAUAGCACAUCUAAACAUUCCUCUUGGGUCAAAAACAAUUUGGGAUCCAACAAUUGAGCUACCCAAGUACAAACUUGCAGGUUGGAAAGGUGAAUGCCAAAAAAUGGGAGCUUUCCAAUCAGCCAGUUUACUUCAAUCAUAAUGCAGGUUCCUAGUUCAGUAUCAAAUAAUCUAGAGCCUAAAAAAGAGGAUAUCUCUAUGGUCGAAUGGAGUGGUGAGGUUAAGUAAUUGUUGCAUCAAGGUGCCCCAAUUUGAAAUGAUUGAUCAAUUCAAAUCCUAGAUUUUUGCAUUGAGAGAGAUAGCACACCUUAUUUAUGCAACAUUGCCAAGGGGGGUUUAAAGGUUGUAGCCUAUUUGAGGGAGAAAACCUCAGUGUAGAGACAGAUCGAGGUAGGAGAGAUGAAGGGAGGACAUAGUACUACUUGCACGCUCUGUGUUUUGGCAGAGAGGCUGAGAUGCCUGGCUACCUCGUAGUUGGUUUUAUGAAGGACUAGUGCAAGAUAAUUCUAGCAGAUUCUUGUUCACUAUAGAGAUAUGCAAAUGACAGCACACGAGCAGGAAACUUUGUUGAUGGCAGAAAGUAUUGGGAUGUACAAUUCACCACUUGCGCAGAGACUAGUGAACAGACGAGAACAAGACUGUCAAACUACAGUUCUUGCAUGCUAGUUAGUUGGUAUGAAAGAGACGGGGAAGGACUCUAUCUAAAGAAGGCAAGGGAUAUUAGCCGCUUAUAAGAUGAAAACCACAUGGAACCAUAUGGCACCACUAGCGAUUGCCUUGGGAGUGAUUUAAAAUAGCCAAUAUACAAAAAGAAAAAAGAAGGAUGCAGACAAAUCAAUACUAGAUAUAGCAAAGUCAAUGAGAAUCCUCAGGUCACCCACUUAUUAUGUUGUUGUUGGACUAAAUCUCCUCAGGACAUGGAUCUGUCAAAGAGCCGCAAAUAAGAUGGUGACCAUGGAAUUGAACAAUACCCAAUCCAAAUCUUGACUAGUUUACACAGUCAGAAGAAAGAGUUGUGCGAGACAACAAACCUUAUCAGAACUCUUCUUGGCCUGCAGAGUAGCGACUAUGUCUAACCACUUCUCAAAAUCAGUUAUUUUUGCUUGGCAUUUGAUAUAGACAUGGAGUUGAUAACAAAUUUAGAUGUGAGAUUGCACAAUGGAAUUCAAUCAACAUCGCUGUAGUUGAAAAGAAGCCUCUUACAGCUUGCUCAGAAGUUCCAAUGUACUUAUCCAACAGUUCAGCCCUUUCACUGAUAUGGAUUGAAGAGAACAAGCUGCUAUUGCUGCACUAACAAUGCAUGUCUUGCCAAAGGCCGUACGUCCAUGUAAAAGAACAUUUGACCAUGGCCUUUGAGGAGCUUGCACAAAAACACUUCAUCAGCAAAGGUAAGAAUGAUAGAUAUGAAGAUCAAAUAAUUUUAUUUAACAAGUUAAUAUUAACCACAUUAUUAGCACAGAGAGAGAGAGAGAGAGAGAGACAGAGAGAUAGAGAGACAGAGACAGAGACAGAGACAGAGACAAAGAGACAGAGAGAUAGAGAGAGAUCAGACACAAUCAAUGCAGUUAUACAAGCUUCCUUGAAUAAAAUGCAUGCAUAAUUUAGCUCACUUACAAGAAUGCAUCAGGGAAACAAUGUUAGGUAGUUAAACCCCAAAAUCUCAAGCAAUCCCAUUAUCUCAUUGAAAUUUUGCAGAGUCUAACCACAAGCUCCCUUCACUACAUUGUCGAUCAGCAAAAAGAGGAUUAGACAACUCACCACCAUAUAAUGACUUUGAUGUUACAUGAAAAGUAAGGCACCCAAUGGGAAACAGACACUUAGGAACCUAUGACAGAGAUUAGUAUUGCUCGUCUAGAUACUCAAUCGGGGAAGACACUCAUAAAACAAUAAUAGGAUCCUCGCACGUGUUGAGUACAAGGAGCUACUCCUUUUUCCAACAAAAUAAUGAAUUCCUCAUCCACCAAGAAAAAGUGAAUUAAGCGAUCAAACAAUGUGAAGUAUGUGGGAAGCACACUCGAGAAUAUGAAAGGAAGUCGCAGAUCUUUCAAGUUUUAGUCCCCCAACAUGUCCACUACCUGAUUGAUUUCCCAAGGUCUAUGAAACAAAUUAUCAACUUUNNNNNNNNNNNNNNNNNNNNNNNNNNNNNNNNNNNNNNNNNNNNNNNNNNNNNNNNNNNNNNNNNNNNNNNNNNNNNNNNNNNNNNNNNNNNNNNNNNNNNNNNNNNNNNNNNNNNNNNNNNNNNNNNNNNNNNNNNNNNNNNNNNNNNNNNNNNNNNNNNNNNNNNNNNNNNNNNNNNNNNNNNNNNNNNNNNNNNNNNGCAUUCCAAGACUCUGCAUAAAUAGAUGAAAAAAAAACUAAUAAUUAUGGCCAGAGAAGCAAAACUUCUACUUUAAGAAUGGGAGUAUUUGAAAAUUGCAACUAUAACCAUCAGCAUCGGAUGUAGAGUAAAGCUGACAGUGAUCUUUGAUUGUGCAAAAUGAUAAUCCCAAUUCAAUCUCUAGAAUUGCAGGAAACAAAAUUCAUGUAAAAGGGAGCAACUGAGGUUAUUGCAUUUGCCUUAUUUAAUUCGUGAAUGAGUUAAGAGUCAUCAAAUUCCCAGACCCAGCUCAAAACAACAAAGGAUUCCAAAAAAAAAAAAAAAAAGACAUGUCAUUUGCACAACAAAUGAUAGUUCAAGAACGUAAAUGCCUUAUCAGGUGAAUUGCAACAUCUUCCCCAACUAUGUUUGGUAAUUUAAGAUGGGAGAGAAUGAACAAAUAGCAAACAAACAAACAAACAAAAUGAAGUUCAGAAGUAACUAGAAAAGCACCUUCAAUUCUUCAUGAAGGAAGUAACUAAGUCACUCAUAUAGCAUAAAAGGUAUCGGCAAUUCACUCUUUCCCUGACCAAGCAUUAAUUCCUUUAAUUCAUUCCUCACAAAUCAUGAUUAUUCUGUAGUGAAAUUGAAAAAACACUACAUAAGGUAUGACCAGUACUCUCAAUAACCUCUGCCUUUCAACAAAACAUAGCAUUUGUUAGCAUCUUCAGUGUGAUUGCUAUUUAGCCAAGUUAUGUGCUACGAAGCAUGUCAACCCCAACAUUAUGCUGAUGCGCAACAUAAACCAAACUAAGUAUCACCACCAUGGAGGCAAGUGAAAGUACUGCAUGUUCAUGACAUGCAAACAAGGAAUUUUGCUCAAAGAUAACAGGAUGAAUGAAUACAAGCAGUGGUUCCAAAACUAAGAUGAAAGAUUAGCUAAAAGAAAACUCACAAACUGGAUGCAGCAAAAAAUGAACUUUAGUUCUAUGGACUUACCAUCAUCGAUUAUCUUUGCCAAUCAAAUGAUACAUACCUUAUCCAUCUCUAUUGAGCUUUGGGCAGUCAAUGAGGAUGAGUUGACAAGAUUUUGGCACACUCAAAACUGAAAUGAUCGACAUCCAUUGAUGUUGUUCAAGAGGCUCAAGACCAGUUUACUACACUUCUUGUAAGCUACUUUAGCAACUGAAAAGUAAUUCAAGUAAUCAUGCCGUUAAUUACCUUCUUUGAUAUAUAUGUAGUUUAUCCAAUACUGUGUAUCCGAAGUUAAACAACUCUAAAUCAAGGAAAAGUCAUGUCUAGCAUUUAAUAGUCCGCUUUGAAGGUUAUUACGUAGUCUCCAUAUUAAAUGCUUCAUAUAAGUGCAAUUUCCAAUAGCAAUUUACAGUUAGUGUGCUAUGGAAAGAGAGUACUUUUUGUUACCAUGUAAGACGAAAUUAUUACCUUGUUCCAGCCAACACAAACACACCGCUUAAAACUUCAACACCAUCUGAUUCGGUAAAAAACUGCACCAAUGAAUAACAUGUCAUUUUUUAGUCAUACCAUCAACUAUAUUUCACAUGAUCACUUUAUAAGUGCCAUUGAAUGCAAGAAACUAACUGAUUGAUGACAUGGUUGGUGACCCCUGUACUAUCAUGCCCCCUCUUCAGCACAAUGGAAUCAAAUUCAUGAAAAAAGAGAAGGCAAGGUGCUAUAGCCACUGCCUUCAAGAAUAUAUCCAAACCUGUAAUUUUAAAAUUGCCAUUACUCUCAAAUAUUCAAAAUUUCUCUAGUUUGCUCACAAAAUCAAUGCCGUCAAUGUGCAUAAUAGAUAAUCCAGUAGACAUUUGAUCACAAAUUUCAAAUUUCUAGUAGAGAAAAACUUCAAAUAUCUUACAUCUUAAUCUUUCUCUUAAUCUUCAUAGAAGAUUCUCUCAUUCAUGCAUGAGAAAACUCAAGAACCAUUUUAACUUGGCCUCUUGAUUGGUUAUAGGAGAAUCUUCAUUGGUUAACUUGGCCUCUACAUUAACUGCAGUGGUAGGAUCCUCAUUGCUGCUGCUAGUUAUCAUAUAUCGACUACUGGCAUAGAUGAAGGGACCUCUAUUAAAUGCAUACAAAAGCAAAAGAAGAAAGCACAAAAUUGUGAAAUGUAUGCAAAUAACAAAGUUCAAUAAAAAAAAUUACAUACUGGAACUCAAUAAACAUUCAUGUAGUUCAAAAGAAGCCUCUUAUAGCUAGCUAAAAUGUACCAAUGUACUUAGCGACAACUCUGCCUUUUACUGAUAUGGAUUGAAGAGAACAAGUCGUUGUUAUAGCACCAACAGUAUGUCUUGCCAAAGCCUAGACAUCCAUGUAAAAGAACAUUUCACCAUGGUCUUGGAGGAGCUUGUGCAAAAACAUUUUAUCAAUAAAUGUAAAAAUGAUAGACACAAAAAUCAAACAGGUUUAUUUAACAACUUAACAGUAACCUUAGCACAGAAAGAGGGAGAGAGAGAUGAGGAAAGGUGCAAUAAGUCAGCUGAAAAAAUAAACAAAACCUAGUCUUCAACAACACAAAGGUGCUCUUUCCUAACACCAGAAAUUGCAGAAUGCACAACUCGAUGCAGCUAAACCCAGUCUUCAACGAAAUGGUGGUUUGACCAUAUCGACAAGUUUACUCCAAUAUCAAUUGUCUCCCAGCACGAAUUUCACACAUAAAUGGCUAAUUACUAGAAUGAAGAAAGAUAGUUCACAAAUCACACCAUGACUCAAGACUUGAAGCUUCUCCACCUUAGUUCAAAAGUAACUAGAGAAACACCUCCAAUUCUUCAUGAAGGGAAAUAACUAAAUCACUCAUAUUGCAUAAUAGGUAUCAACGAUUCACUCUUCCACUAACCAAGCAUUAAUUCCUUUAUUUCAGUCCUCACAAAUCAUGAUUGUUCUCUGCUAGUAUUAGAAACACUCCAUAAGGUGAGAUUAGUACUCUCAAGUCUCAACCACCUCAGCCUUACAACAAAACCUAGCAUUUUUCAGAAUCUUUAGUGUGCUUACUAUCUAAAAGUUCCCUUCCACUUUAUCCAUUUUUUGUAAGCAAAAUAGGUGCCGCGAAGCAUGUCAAUCCCGACUUUAUGCUGGUGUGCAACAUAAACCAACUAAGUAUCAACAUUGUCAAGUCGAGGUAAGUCAAAGCAUCACACGUUCAUUAUACACGAAAGAGGAUUUUCCCUUAGAGACAACAAGGUGAACAAAUGCAAGAGGUGGUUCUAGAACCAAGAUGAAAGGUUAGCUGAAGGAAAACUCACAAAAUAGGACACAACAAAAAAUAAAAUCUAGUUCUAUGGACUUACCAUCAUCGACAAUCUUUGCCAAUCAAAUGAUACGUAUCUUAUCCAUCUCUAUUGAACCUCGGGCAAGCACCAACCAUGAGUUGACAAGAUUUUGGCACACCCAACACACUCUCCAAUGAUUCACAUCCAUAGAACAUCAAACUUUUCAGAUUCUGUAGAUUAUAACGAUCAGAUUCGCUUAAGCUUUUGACAGAAUUGCAGCCUGAGAUAAACAAAGCCCGCAAUGAUUUCAAUUCUCCUAAACCCUGAAUCUCAGUUAGCAGAGGCAAUUGGCGCAGGGACAAACUCUGGAUCUUCUUCAGGCUAGUUAGAAUGGAUAACGUCUUCAACAAUGGACAGUCUUCCAUCAACAAUUCAUUGAAUUUCCGUAGCUCUCCAAGCACCUCGAAUCAAAUCUCUCCUAGUGAAUAUCCAUAAACAAACAGCUUCGACAAAUUCUCCAAGUUGGAAAAGACUGACCAAUCUAUUGGUGAUUGCACAUUGUAUAAAUUUAACACUUGAAGGCUAGAUGGGAGUCCGAUAAGAGAUUGGGGCUCAGCACAACUUAUGGAGAGACUUCGUAAAUGAGAGAGGGAACUAAAAUCGGGCAAGGCCAUUUUUCCGAUGCACAAAGUCAAAUGCCACAGAGUAGGUAGUCUCACAAUGCCCUCUAUGUUAGGUUCUUGGAUUGAUGUUCCGAUUAUCUCAAGGUCAACUAAAUUGGUUAGGUUUGAGCAGUCAGGGAUCGUGGUCAACGAAUUUGCUGAAAAGGCUAAACACGUGAGACUCUUGGGAAGCUCCGGCAGCUGUUGGAUUGAAUUACAGCCCUCUAAAUUAAGUUCUUGCAGAUUUGUAAGCUGAUUGAUGGUUGUCGGCAAUCCACUAAAGCAGCCAUAGGAUAAUUCUAGAAUUUUCAAUGAGGAUAGUGCCCCAAUUUCACUUGGAAUUUCCCCCAUUAGAUGUACAAAUUGAGCAUGUAACUCUUCUAGAUUUUCCAACAUUCCUAUGGUUUUCGAAAGUUCACUUAUGUGGCUAGAAUUCAAAUCUAGUAUCUUCAACUUUUUGAGAUUUCCAAUGCAAUCAGGUAAGCUCCUAAUUCUUGAAAAGCUCAAAUCCAACUUGACCAAUGAUUGGAGCCUCCCAAUUGAGUAUGGUAGCUUUUCUAGCUCGCAAACUGAGAUGCGUAAAACUCUUAACCUUUCUAAAUUUCCAAUAGUAUAAGGUAAUUCCCGGAUUUUUGAACAUUUGACACUUAGCUUAAGUAGUGACUCCAAUUUUCCAAUAGAGUCGGGAAGCUUUUGAAGUUCCUGACAAUUCAAGAUUAGAUGCUUCAGCUUCACUAAAUUGCCAAUUGAGUGAGGCAAAACUGAGAUUAUUUUAGCUUCUAUUCUUAGCUUUGUCAAAGAUUUUAGACGGCGAAUGGACUUUGGUAGUGACUUAAUAGCUUCAGACAUUAUUUUUAGGUAAUCAAGAUGCUGCAAAUUGCCGAUGGACUUGUCAAUCUUUCUUAGUUGAGAGCAUAUAAGAAUCAAUCUCUCCAAUUGCGAGAUUGCGUAGAACUUGCACGUCUUUCUAAGGGAUGGACAAUCCUCGAGUUGUAGGACUUUCAAUUGUUUUGCUACCUAUAAAGCAAUUGAGUUGAAUCUUAGAAAAGAAGAAGAGUAAAUGUAAUACAAAAGUAUGUCAUGAGAUCAUACCAUGAUUUGACACCAUCCUUCCCAGUCUUCGUUAAUGUUAUUCCCCGAAAGCAUGACAACCACUAGGUUCUUCAACCCAAAGUUGGUUGCUUGGAAUUCUAAAGGGCAGUUGCUCCAAGAGAGCCAUCUUAACUCUGAGAAAAGAUCUUUAAAGUCUCCUUUAAAGUUUCCAUGGUCCAAUUGAAGGAACCUAAGGUUAACCAACCUCUUAAAUUCUUUACGUUUAAAUUUGUAUGCUGCGUCAGGUUUAGGUGUGCCAAGAUUGAGGCCUACUAUGUUCUCAGUUCCCUAGAAGAUAAAAGUAGCAACUAAUGAGUACAUGUGUCAAUAUGACUAAUGAUCCUAAUGGAAGGAUAAGGAAAAUAUUUAAAGGUAAAAAUUACCAUUUUUCUAUGCACUACAUGGAAGGCAUCCCUAGGUGACCACAAUCUGCUACUCCUUAGAUGUAUGUUGCAGCUUUCCGAGUGGACGAUAUCCCUUCCGAGGUCUCUAAGUUGAUCGUGCAUCCAUAAAAUAUCGUUGUCCAUGAUCUGUAUUAGAGACAUAUAUGUGAGGGUCUUGACUUUGAUUUCAGUAGGAUACCCAAAGACCGCGUCCCAAUAUUUCAUUGCAAUUGUUUUAUUUUUGUCAAUGAAGAAACAUGCAAUAUCAAGAUAAAUAUGUUGUUGCUUAGCAUCCAAUGCUUCGUAGCUUAUCAUCAACUUCUUCUUCACAUCCUCAUUCAUCACAGUAUUUAACUUAUGUAGGAUGUCUUCCCAUGUCUUUUGGGAUUUUCCGCAAAGUGUGGAACCUACAACAUCGAGAGCCAAUGGAAGUCCUCCAAGUGUAUUGAUUAGCUUAUUUGCAAUAUCCACGUAAUUAUAUGGAGGCUUGGCACAUCCCAAGGCACGCUUACAAAAAAGUUGAAGAGCAUCAUGUGAAUUCAUCUCCGACAUAUUGUAGAAUGAAAAUUGUCCGUUAUUAGAGGCUGGGACAUUGUCAUCCUCACCUUCGUUUACAAGGAAUUCAAUAUUCCUAGUUGUUAUGAUGAUUCUACUGCCCCCACCAAACCAGUUGGGCUCGCCGGCAAGUCUCAUGAUUUGGUCUCGACUGUCAAUGUCAUCAAGAAUAAUGAGAACUUUCUUGUCAUGAAAUCUCGUCUUGAUCAUGUCAACCCCUUCAUCAAUGAAGCAUAGGUCUAUGCAACUCAAAUGGAGAAUGUCGGACAACAAUUUCUUUUGUAAGUUUAUUAUAUCAUGAGUCUGAACAUCCUUAAGAAAGCAGCAAUAUCUCUGAAAUUGAGAGGAGAUUUGUCUGAAGACAGUCUUAGCCAGUGUCGUCUUUCCGAUGCCACCCAUACCAUGAAUCACGAUAAACCUUACAUCAAAAGCUUCUAGAUCUAAUUGCUUCAUAAUCUCAUCCGUUCGAUCCUUAAUUCCCACCAAAUGAUCAGGCAAAAUAUUGUCCAAAAUCAGUGUUAAAUUUAUUGUGUGAAUAUCAAUUCAAUUAUAAACUUUUCAAUUUUAAUAAUAUUGUCCAAAACUUUUACACAAAAUUUCAAUGUAGCCCUUGCAGUCAAUAUCCACCGAAAAUUGCUAAAGUGGCAAUCUAUGCAGGAUGUCAUUUCAAGUAAAAUUGUCCACGUCAACUUGCCACAUAGGACAACAGUGAUGAAUGGACGUCAUGUUAGUAAUUUCUUGUGGCAAUUGAGCAAAAAGAUUACAUUAAAAUUUCACGCAAAUACUUAUGACCACAUUAACAAAAUUAAAAUGUCUUGUGCUCAAAUGUCAUGCACAAUAAAUUUAGAACUAAUUUGAUAAUUAUGCCUCCACUUCAUUUUAUACUUUUUCACACCGGUUGGUUUCUUCUUGUCGCACACAGCUAAGAGCGAGACCUCUAGAAAUUUGGUUAAAUAUCAAGUCCUCGGUAAACUCGGUCUUGAUAAUCUCUUCAAGCGAUAGGGAUGAGUUUGAAGGUUAAUGGAAAAUAAAAAAUCUCACUCGCAAUUGCCUUGAAUAUAGGAAACAAGAAUAAUCUCUCAAAAGCAUUUUUCUUAACGUACCCAUGGAAUAGAAUACUAACCGAAAAUGAGGAAGAUUUUCUGGAAUCUAUAUCAACCUUGAUUCGAGUUGCCAACAAACAUUUCUCCAAAUAAGUUAGAAAUAAUUUUAGGUUACCCAUUCUUUUUAUAAUAUUGGUAACUGCAAACUAGUUGGAACUUUAAUCGGAAUAAAUUGGUGAGUAACUCAACUUAGGAUUGGUAAUUUAACAAUAGAUUUCGUUGCCUAAUAAUGUUCGUAACCUGUGCAAAUAAAAGUUGGUGCGUUAUUAACGAAAGCUUAUGAAGGUUGGUUGUUUUGAAACAAAUAAUAAAUAUUGAUAAGUAGCUCAAAUAAGAAUGUGUAGCUUAAACUAGUUAUUAACUUAAUUAGAAAUUAGUUAAUUUAGAGUUAGUAAUUCGGUACAGGAUUUGGUAAUUUUGAGAUGUGGAGUAAACAAUAUGGUAAGUUGUGCAGAAGUUGUAAAUCGGCAAACAAUCUAAUAAACUUAGUAAAUGAUUUACAUAAAAGCCGGUAAGCUAAAACUAGUUUGUAAAACAAUGGAAAAAAAAAGUUGGUAAGACACAAAUUAAAGUCGAUAAAUUCAUAUGAAAACCGAUAAUUUAAAAAUUAGGGAUGGGCAUGGAGCAUGGGAAAUCUGCGCCCCGCGGUGGCCUGCCUUGGAUGUGGCAAAUUUUUUGAGGAAAUUUUUUCUCAAACAAUUGCCUCCCUGGGAAUGUUGCACGAAACAAGUUGGGCAUGGAUAGUAAUAGGCUAGCCCUUCCCGUUCUCGAGGGUUGAAACUAUUAAUGCGUUUAACGAAAGAUAGAAACAGUAAGGUUUAAUGAAGAAGGAUGUGAGUAAGCAGAGAGUAACGGCUAGGGUUUAUAGUAAAACUAUCACAAACCAGGAUAAGGGUAGCUACAUAUCUCAAGGUAAUUUACAAUUGUUAAAGUACUUAUCCAUUUUCUAGAGGCUUUUAAAUUUCUCCAACCAUAGCUACAACUACUUGGAAGUCCCUUAGGUGAAUUUUUGGUUAAUCAAGAUAUGGGGCCAUGAAUAGGUCCAUGCUUAAAGCAACAGCAAGAACCAAUUUUUAUGUUUUAACAUUCUACUAUAAAUCACUAUAGAAUAAUAUUCAGUUUAAGGUUGCACAUCUUGUCUACGCACAAUUGGCCACUAGAGGAGCCUUUGACCCUUGCCCCACCACAGUGAAAACAAAAGCCCAAGAUUGAUAAUACACCUGGACCUAAGUCAGUCCGUCGCAAACUAAUCAAGAAUUACUCUAAUAAAAAUAUACUGGAAGACCUCUAACAGUUACAGAGAUCCUUUUUUUUUUUUUUUUUGGUUCUUUUGCGUAAUGGCACAAAGAUCUUUGCAAUGUUCGGUCUUGUAUACUCAAACCAAAUAGAAAAACCAUAACCUAUAGUUUCCUCUUAUGGGGUUAAAAAACUAUCAUCAUAAAAAUCUCCGUUAUUUUUGUGUAACUCGGUGGUGCCACCGUAAUUAGCCGGUUAUUUCAAGGGAAACAUCAGCAAAGCAUAUGAAUUCUCUAGGGCUGAAACCAAAACCACAAGGAUCGGUUUCUUACUCUUGGCCGUAAGUUUUUGGAUAUCGCAUAGACUGCGAUAGACUAAGUCUAUGCCAUAAUUUCUCUAUGUUUCCUUAAUGUAACAAAAACAGAAAGAUCUAACAUCAAACUCAAUCUAAUUUUUCAGGAAAACAUUAUAGGCAUAGGGUUAAGGAAAAUUACACCAAAAGUCCUUAAUUUCAUGUACGGAAUGCAAUUGAAGUUAAUAAACUUAAUUUUUUUAUUUUUCACAUAUAUAUGGUCUUACUAUUUUAACAUAUCUUAGAUCUUAAUGGAUAUCUUGGUUUUUUGGCAUUAUAGAUUAAUUAAUUAAUUAAGUUGCUAUACCUUAACUUUAAUUGUUAUAAAAACUUGAUAUUAAAAGGGAAAAGUCAAUUUGUGCAAGAAACCUCGCCCUCUGAGCAAUAUUUUUGGCUCCUCAUAGCGUCAAAUCCAACCAUACGUUACAUAAGGUUGGACAGCAGCAAACCGAAUAGUUAUUUUUUAAAGGAACGAGAAAUUGAAAAUCUCAACAAAGAAAAUAAAGUCAAUGGAGAAGCAAAUAAUACCCGUGAUCUUUUAGCUUCCUUCCUCUAAUUCUAGCAACCUUUCUUAAAGUCUUCUUCCACUUCUUUACUAAAUCCUUCCCGUAGUCGCUCUUGUGCUUCCGAAGGGCUUUCCGAUAUAACUUAGUCUUAAGCUUGACAUCAUCCACGUCCACAUCAUAAAAUACAGGGAGGAUCACUUUCUCAGCAUUAGCUCUCUUUAGCUCCACUAUGCGUGCCAGUUCACGAAGGCACCACUUACUUGAGGCGUAGUCCUUGGAGAAAAUCAGGAUGUAAAUUCUGGAGUCAUUGAUCGCUUGCAAGAGGCCACCUUCAAUCUCUUCCCCAAAUCGGAGCUCUUCAUUGUCUUUGAAAACGCGGAUCCCCGCACAGAUCAGGUCAUUGUAGAGACAAUCAGCCAUGGUUAAGCGGGUGUCGGGCCCUCUGAAACUUAAGAACACUUCGUAACCCCUCUCCGAUCCGCCAUCAUGGCUACUGCCCGUCCCAGUUACCGUCGCCCUCCCUUCUCCCUCCCUCUUUCUCUUCAUCCUAGUAGCAAGACGGAGUGAUGGAUCCCCGAAUUGAGUCUGCCCAGUGACUUGGGAAGUCUUGAGUUUGAUCCUUGUAACAACUUGAUGACGCAACGGAGAGAGAUCUCUCACUUUCGCUGCGUUCGCCUGGAAGUUACCUGCAGCCUUCCUCCACUCCCCACUCGUUGCUUGAAGGUGAAAGGUGAUGCACAGCUCUCUCUCUCUCUCUCUCUCUCUCUCUCUCCCUUCCGUGUUUCCUCGACGACAAGGGCUGACGGCACGGGAAGGGGAUACGACGUCGAUGGCGACAGCAACGGCGGCGCAGUGGCGAGGUGGCGAAGGCUUGCAGUGACCGAUUGGUGGAGGGGAGAGACUGAGGGAAGAACAGGGGAUUUUUCAGAGUCCGGAUAUUAUUUUAUGGAAAUUCGUCAAGAAGAGAGGGCAGUUUGGUCAUUUAGGAGGGGUAAUCGCACCAAGGGGGAAAAGAGACUGCCGGAGUCGCGCGUUUGAAGCGCUUUGCGAUAAGAAAGGAUUAAAACUAAAAGCGAAAAGCUUGGCUGACGGUCACUCUAAAUGGGGCAUUCUUGUAGGGUAUGCAACCCUUUGCUCUGAUAUUAAUCGUAGAGUGUGCAGCUUACAAAAUAUGCGGAAGUGUUAAAAUACUAAAAUCAAACUAAUUGAUACAUACACACACUCAAGCACACUAGCUGAUACAUGCAUACACUCAGCUUUCUAUUUUAUUCCCUUCUCGAUCACGGAGGGAUAACUCGCUCACACAGAGCUACUGAGGCUGCAGUGUCUCCUGAGGCUCACACCUUGAUUUCUAUCUGAAGAGACUCUCUCUCUCUUUCUUAAUCUCUCUUUAUCUCGUGUGGGCUUGCCUGCCUUUUGCACUCCCAAGCCCUAUUUAUAGACAUCUUCCCCCGCCAGUACUUCACCGCCUGGAUUCUACCGCCAUUGACUUCAACAUGCNNNNNNNNNNNNNNNNNNNNNNNNNNNNNNNNNNNNNNNNNNNNNNNNNNNNNNNNNNNNNNNNNNNNNNNNNNNNNNNNNNNNNNNNNNNNNNNNNNNNCACGGGAAAAAAAUAAAAAGAUAAUGAUAAAGAAUUUUAAAAUUUAUUGAAAAUUUAGAAAAAUAUCAAAAUAUUAUUAAAAAGAAUCUACGUUAGUGCCGAUCGUACCAAAUAGGACAAUCGGCGUCCAUGUCAGCGAAUUCCAACUAAAAUUGAUUAGAUGAAUUCAAUUGGUAAAAUAUGAAAAUAUUUAAGAAUCAAUUGAUAAAAUUAAAAUGUUUAAAACUAAAUUGGUAAAGGUGUAAUAGAUUUAUGACUAUUUGGAUAAUUUUCUUGAAAAUCCAUGAGAUUACAUUUCAGUCUUGAUGAUGGUGACGGUAAUUGUCUCAGCGUGAUGACCUUAUUUUGUGGUUCCGUCAAAACGCCAUUAAAAUGUAAUGCAACUUGUCUUAUAUUCUAAACCCUAUGAGCUAUGCGGCAGUGAUGACGUACUUGAGCGGCAUGCUUUGUAAGACAUUUAUUUUUUAAGAUACCAACGAAUAUGCUUGUGUCACGGCCCGAAAGAAAGCAUGUCCAAGAGGUUUUCGAUCGGCCCGUGAUAUUUGGCUAUCUUAUAGUGUACGAUUUUGACAUAAAUUAUAUCGCAGCAUCCAAUUCCUCUCUUCUUUAACUAUUUGACAAUGAUAUUAUAUUGGUUUGAUGAUAAUUUAUUUUUCAACAAAACCAACUUCAUUUUUUAAAAAAAUUCUUGGCAUUCAUGCGGCAAAUGUCAUUUAUUGAAUUUUUUAAUGUUGAUCUGAGAUAUGAUUAAACAGACUAUUUUUGCCAAAAUUGAGAACUUAAUCGAGGUGAUGACUACUCUAAUAGAUGGCUUUGAAUCUUUGAUACCAUUGAAAAAGGUGCAUUCGGUUGUCGAUAUUAUUUGAAAAAGUAUAUAUAGAAUCUGAUGGAAUAGAUAAGGAAAUGACAUUCUCUAAAGUGUGUUUUUUUUUUUUUUUUUAAGAUGAGAUUCUCUAUUGUGAAGGGGCAAUUUUACAUCUUAAAUUUUCUUCCUAGAGUAGUUGGCACCAUAUUUAACAUGUUAAUAAUGUCAUCAUGUCUUGAACAUGUUAUUAUGUCAUAUUCAAAGUGGGCACCGAGUUUGAGAUCUAACAUUAUGAAAUUGUAUAGAUGUAAAGCGGGAUAAGUACACUAAUGGUGCCAUAAGUUGUGUACGGCGCUCACUUUGAUGCCAAAAGUUUCCGUUGGAUCACUUAAGUGCCAAAUCGGAGAAAAAACGAUCACUUUGAUGCCACCAGCGAAAGAUUCUAGCCACUGGCGAAAGAUUCCAGCGAAAAUGAUUACGUGGCUUUUUUUUAAAAAAAUAAAAUCGAUAGGCCUUUAAAUGACGUCGUUUUCGGUCCUCCUUAAGAAAACGACGUCGUUUUGCCAUCCUACAUGGAUGGCUUCACGGAAAUGACGCCGUUUAGCUCACAUGGGGAUUGAAAUUAGGGUUUCCGCCGCUCAGCCACCGUCGCUCGGCCACUGUCACUCGGCCACCAUCGCUGCUCGGCCACCGUCGCUCAGCCACCAUUGUAGUUGCUCGACCAGGUGAGCGAGGAGAGACUGAGAUUGUUGCAGGAAAAAUCGAAGGCGAGGGCGGAGGAGGAGGAUGAAGAAGAUGGGUCGAAGGUGCUGCCGGUGCACUGCUGCUGCUGGUGCGUUGCUGGUGUCGCUGCUGGUGUGCUGCCGGUGCUGUUGCUGGUGCCAUGCUGGUGCCGUUGCUAGUGUGGGUCUUCGAGGAAGAAGAAGACACGAAGACGAGCCUUCCCUCUCUCUCAAUUUGGGGAUUAGGGUUUCAAAGUUGGGGGAAAGAUGCCAAACAAUGUCGUUUUGGUGUUUGGAUGCUGACUCAACUCUCCGACGAGCCACGUCAGCUUCAAAAAUUAAUAAAAAAAAAUGCCACGUCAGAUUUCCGGUCAAUUUCGUCAGCGUUGGCACCAAAGUGAGCGUUUUUCAAAAUUUUUGGCACUUAAGUGAUCCGACAGAACUUUUUGGCACCAAAGUGAGCGCCGUACACAACUUAUGCCACCAUUAGUGUACUUAUCCCGAUGUAAAGCGGACAUAUGUGAAAUACUUUAUAAAUAUCGAGGAUUAACUUCACUUAAAAAAUUGGCUUAUCAUACAUGCACUUCAAGUCGGGAAACAAGAAGGGAGAAGGAAGAGGCAAAGGAAUCCAUUGGCCUUGUAUGCAAUUUUUUCUACCACAGAUUUGCAUUUAAUUAAAUUAUGCAAUUCAAUCAUUUCGUAAAUCACGGGAUCCUAAUCUCGACCCUUAUCCUAGUGCCUCCUUAGAUAAAAUUCGGCAUGUUAAAUAAUAUGAACAUCCACAUAAUCUAAUAGCUAAGAUGAAGCAAGCUCAUACACACUGGAUGCAUAUAAGACUUUGUUCCUUCUACCCGCGCAAACUCCUAGGAUAAUUUCUAGAAGGCAAAGUGCGAGCACGCGCAGAGGAAGAUUUCUGAAAGUGAAAACGAAAGGCCACCAGUUUAUUAUUCUAUUUGCAUCGAUUAUAUUUGUUCCUAAGCCUAUUUUACUUCUAAAUGAAGAAAUAGUGACUCCUUAUAGCCAAUGGGAAUAAUAGGCCGGUUGUUAAGGCCACUAGGGAGCAUGCGUCGAGGAGCGCUAGAAGUCAACUACUGAGAAAUUAUAUGAUAAUAAUAUUGGAUGAUUUAAGCGGUCAAAGUAACAAAAGAGAUGAUUUUAUUUGGGGUGUUAGCUCCACACAAAGUUCAAUUGGACUCAAUUGCCAUUUGGUCUCCCGCCGUUCGCGGAAAUAAUUGUAAGCUUUUAUCGUAAAUAAAGUAUAAUUCGAAAGGUGGCAAUUAUUUACACAGGAGAUGAAAAAAUCCACAACCCUCACAUUAAUCUUGUGAUGCAAUUAUUUCAUCCAUUACAUAAGCGGUAAAAUGAGUCUACGCAAUUAUGCCAAAAUACACAUGUACAUUUUUCAACAAUUUAUUUUUAUACAUGAGUUCACAGGUUGUUAUAGGUUUGUUAUGUUUAAAAAGAAAAAGAAAGGCGAUUGACUUGAUUCAGUUAAAAAUGAUCUUAUCACAAUUAGCUACAUUUUAGGUGGCUAAACAUUCAACAAGGCAAAAUGCCAAAUAAAGCACCUUUGACUUCAGCUAUUUCUCUCUUCAUAAUCAAAUUCAUCUCGCAGAUUUCUUUGCCCAGCUUCACAAAAUUGCCCCCUCAAUUGACAUUGCGUCUUCAUUUAUUUCUGCUUCCAUUAUGGAAUCCGUCCGGUAAAGCUGAGAAAUUUACAUGAGCAUACACCAAAGAAUUAAUUCUUCAAAAAGCAAACGCGACGUCAUUAUCAACAAAGCUUGACUUGAAUUACCACAACUACCAAUUUCACAGCCCUUUUCAUCAUCAUAGGAUGUCUAAAGAAAAAUAACAGAUAUAUGGAGCAUCAACUCAUGUAUCAAACACCGUUUGUUCAGCGAAAAAUGAAUAAUUUAAAAAAUAUAUUUUUAAAAAUAAUCACUUACAAAAAUGAACGAACGAAAUAUAUAUUUCCCUUGUCCAUCAAAAUAUUAAAACAUAAAUUGUUAUCGAUAACAAAAAUAUUUUCCAUUUACUAAUUAUUUCAAGCGAAUUAAGCUAUUCUUUGCUUCAAAUAUUUUGGAAUAUUUUAUUCAUUCUCCUCCGGAAAUUCCUCAUAUAACACGUCAUACAAAUAUGUUGGUUUUUUUUUUUUUUUUGGGCCUCUCCUCCUUUUGCUCCCCCAAUCUAAGGUAAUACACCAAGGCGAUUGUAUAAUUUGACAUCAAAUAGUUGAUGUGUUAUAGAACAAUUGAUAUAUUUUAGUUUAUUUGGGCAAAUUACUUUAUCUAGUCGACUCAUAACAGGGUAAUCUUUGUGUGAUUAGACCUCACUAAAUUUGUUAACAGACUUAAGGUUUCAGCUUUAACUUGCAUACUUUCCACGGAUGAUAGAAAUAGUGAUUUAAGUGACGAAGUCCUUCAAUUUAAUUUCUCCUAGUGCAUUGACUACCAAUGACAUCUAUAGUACUUAUGUUGACCAGUCAAGAGAAAUGGACUACUAUUCCAAAUUAUAAAAGACCAAUUCGAUCAAAUCAGUUAAAAAGUGGUCUCUCCAAUUCACGUUGCCUCGUUCUUGGGAAGUCUUGAGUUUGAUCCUCGUAACAACUUGAUGACGCAACGGAGAGAGAUCUCUCAACUUUCGCUGCGUUCGCCUGGAAGUCACCUGCGGCCUUCCUUCACAAGUGAAAAAACCAUUCACAUCGACAAAAUAAUUGCUUCGAAGAGGAAACACGGAAGGAGAGAGAGAGAGAGAGAGAGAGAGAGAGAGAGAGCUGUGCAUCAGUUUUCACCUUCAAGCAAUGAGUGGGGAGUGGAGGACCAUCGCUUCCAAUCUCGCCAAGCCCAGAUCCGGCCUCGUCGGCUUCGGGCGACCUCAGAUCUGGUGUUGCCCACGGCCGCGAAUAGACGGAGCGAGGCUGCCUCGAGGAGAGAGAGUCGGGGACAGAGAUGGUGGCUUGGCCGAGACGGGACGCGAAACGAUCGGCGCAGGCGAUGGCCGGGGGCGGCUCGACGAUGACGAUGACAGUGACGAAGAGGUGGCGGAGGCUUGCGGUGACCGAUUGGUGGAGGGAAGAGACUGAGGGAAGAGUAGGAGAUUUUUCAGAGUCCAGAUAUUUUUUUAAGGAAAUCCGUCAAAAAAGUGAGGGCAGUUGGGUCAUUUAGGAGGGUAACCGCACCAUGUACACGCGGCAGGUGAACAGAUUUACCAGAGUCGCGUGUUUGGAGUGCUUUGCAAUAAGAAAGGAUUAAAACUAAAACUAGGUACUUUUGCCCAAGCUUUAUGCGGUAUCAUAAUAAAUGUACUUUAAAUAUGUUUUUUUUCAUUUUUAUUUUUGUUAAUGUCAAUAAGUUCGAAUUGUGUAUAACACUCUGUUUGUUAUCCAUUAGGUAUAAAAUUACCAAGUAAAACCAUUUAUCAAAUCAAACAUGGAAAAUACACAUGAAAGUUUUAAGUCAAAUUUAACUUUUCAUAAAGGUAUAAUAAUAAAAUUUAAAAAAUUGAAUAUUGCUACUCUCUAUACUAAUUGAGAUGCUUUUGCUAGUGCAUUUUCAGUUAGACAUUCAUAAGAUUAUAAUAACAUAAGAUGAUUUAUCCAGUACGAUUCAUAAAAGAGAUGAUUUCAAUUGGCCGAUUAGGUCCACUCAAAUUUGGCGUGACCACAAAGGAAGCAUAAUUGAUUAACCCCUUUGAUCUUUUUGUCUAUUUUGUUUUUGGAAUGAGGAAUCUCUUCCUUUAUUUCUAGGCAAGAAGAAACAGAUUUCAAUUGCUUUUGUUAUGCUAAUUAAAUUAAAAAAUGUUUAACUUUUCUCAGUUGGAAACAAACUUCCAUUUUGCUAAGCCAAACAAAGUAUAUCUUCUUACAUUCGAUCUAGAUUCGUGCUAAUUGGCAUGAUCAAUUAAUUCUUGCUUUCAUUCCACCUACUAGCAUGAUGUAUCAGUAAAAAGCCAAUUUUUUGUGCUUCGUGUUGGCACAGUCUUAAAUAUUUCAAUUAGAAUUUUAUUCAUGAACAGAAAGAAAAUCAAGCUCAUUUAUACUCUGCUUAAGAGGCUCGGGAUAUUAAUCAAUUUUUUUUUUUUUUUGGCCAGAAGGUUUCUCUUAUUUUGUUCAGUUAGAUGUUGGACGUAUUGGACAACUUAGUAUAUAUUUUCCACUUGCCAUCACUUUGUUAUUGUGUGCCACUUGCCUGGAAGUUACCUGGGGCCUUCCUUCAUCAGUUAAUUAAAAAAAAAAACACCAUUCAGACUCAGCACCAAAUAGAAAGCUAAGUUUGAGGAAAUAAUUGGUGUAAGUCUUCGAAGACGAAGAGGUCGUCUCGGAAUUAUAUUAUAUGAUUGCAUCUUCUUUGAAUGUUUGGACGCAUUCCCACUCGCCAUUACUAGGAUAUUUUGUUCCAUUUGUCUGGAAGUUACCGGCGGCCUUCCUCGAUGAGUCAAAAAGACCCUUUUAGGUUCCCACCAAAUGGGCGGCUAAGGCAAAUGGUCCAAGACGAGUCCUCAAACAUCAUCGAUGUGUGAACCGAGGCUCUAUGUGAUAAUUUUCGAAUAAUUACUCUCAAAUAUUAUAAAGAAACGACAUUUAGAUAAUACCGACUCCAUUUUCUUGUUUGAAAAAUUUGACAUCCAUUGAUUGAAUUUCUGAAUGUUGACUUACGAUAUGAAAUUUGAUGAUUGCACAUCUUUGCAUUGUGAACGAAAUAUUACCUUUGAAUCAAGCAUUUCAUGAAUCACCAAGAGAGUUUAGCCUAUGGCUAGGCAGACACAUGUAACCUCAUUAUGAGGUGGUGCUUACAUUUCGUAUUGGCUCUCUCGAACUCUAUCCAAAAAAAUCCACGGAGUUAUGCCUAAGUCUUGAAGGGAAAAAUUGUCUUAACCUGAUAACUCUUAUUAUUGGGACAAGGAUUUUGAUAUUUUAAUUUGAUUGUAUGGAAGGGGGACAGUUAAAGAACCUUAUAUUCUGAACCCUAUGAGCUUAGCAGCAUACUGGAAAAGUAGUUGAGUGGUAUGCUUUGGAAAACAUAUCUUAAGAGACCAGCGAAUAUGCUUUGCUAUCUUGUAGUGUUACAAUUUAGACAUAAAUCAUAAGAUCCCAACCAUAGGUGAGGGUCCCGGCCUUCAUUGCCUCAGGCAAGGAGUGCCCUUGCCUAGAUUUAGUCACCUUGCAAUUUUAGUUGGCCAACCUACCUAGAAGUUCCCACACUUUAAAUUGACUUAAUUAUUCAAAAAAUUAGAAGACAUUGGUUAAAGUUUUCUAUAUUCUUUUAUUUCAAGUCCAUGCUCAUUUUAAUCUUUCACGCAAUUUGAGUUUUGCUUAGCAAACUAGGUGUACUAAAUAGAUCACUUUCACUGAGCAAAAGAGUCCUCACCAAACUUUAGCUGAUUCUUGAUGGAAAUUGUGAAGAUAAUGCGGUUCCUCCUUGACAAUGAUGCCAGCGAAGUUGAGAUUUUUGAAACAUUUUAUUCUCAAAUGAGUGUCUUUAUGCUUUUUUUUUUUUUUUCAUGAUAUUGACCCAUGUUUCCCGGUAUUUUCAGUGGGCCAAACAUGUUGUGCUAGUCUUGUGGGUGAGUCGCCAAGUCUAUUUGAUGUGCAAUUUGGCCAUGUGCAAACAAACGCAUGCUAAGCGAAUUGACUAGAUAAACGUACUUUAGUGCUUUUUCUUUGCCUUCACAAGCGGGUCGGACAAAGACUUGACGAUAAACUUGUCUUUGUUCUAAGCAAAGACAAAAGGCCAUAGAUUUGUUUCUAAUUCAAACUAUGCAAUUCAAUCAUGGUGUGAAUCAAGGGAACAUAAUGGAGAUGCUUUUCUUAUUGCAUUAUUAUUUAGACAUACAUUGGAUUAUAAUAACAUUAGAUGAUUUAUGCAGUAUGAUUCAUAAAAGAGAUGAUUUUAAUUGGUUUGUUAGGUCCACUCAAAUUUGGUGUGACCACAAAGGAAGCAUAAUAAAUCCCCCUUAUUCCUUUUUGUCUAUUUUGUUUUCUGGAAUAAGGAAUUUCUUCCUUUAUUUCUAGGCUAGAAAAAGCAUAUUUCAAUUGCUUUUGUUGUGCUCAUUAAAUUAAAAAAUGAUUAGCUUUUCUCAGCUGGAGCCAAACUUCCAUUCUGCUUUCCUUAAACCAAACAAAUUUUAAUCUAUCAACGAGAAUGUUAUUCAUGACCGAAAAAAAGAAAAAAAAAAAAAGAGAGAGAGAGAUCGAGCUCAUUAAUACUUUAUUUGAGAGACUCGCCAUAUUAAUGAACUUUCUAUUAUUUUGUUCAAUUAAAUAUUUGAUAGUUACGGAAAAAUAAAGGGCAAGAUAUUUAAAAAUUUGUAAUAUACAUAUAUAAUUAAACAAAUGCAAAGGAUAAUAUUUGAAUAUAUUGAGCUCAAGCUUGAACUCAUUUUAUAACAUGAUUGUAUCGAGUCUACUUGAGCUUGAUAUCUCGAUUUUUUCUGGUCAAGCUCAAGCUGGAAAUUGAAUACUCAUAAUCGGGUCUUCUUUUUAUGGAAGAAAAAUCUAAAAAUGAAAAAAGAAAUGGUGUUUUUAAUAUAUUUGAAAUUCCUACAAUAAAGAAAAACUAAAAAUUUGAAAUUGUUAAUUAAGAUAACGGAAUCAUACAUUGAAAUAGAAAAACUAAAAUGAAAGGAAAGUUAAUGAAUUUAGAGCCACCAACAAAAUUGCAAUUGAAUGAUUUAGAGCAAUUUUGUCUUUUUAGUGAAAAUUUGGUAAAUUUAAUUAUAUAGGGAAUGGAUUUCUCCAUCGACUUUUUGGCAUGGAUCAGGUGAGGCUUCGUAAUCACUUAUCAAGAAAAUGUAUGUAACUCAAGAAAUAAAUGCAGGCUUUUAAGGUAAGAAUGCAUAAAUUGCGGGAAUGGGAAUAAACUCUGUUGUAUGUGCUCUUUGAAGAUACAAACUUCUGAAAAAUCGGUCCUGAAUGAGCAGGCUGAAGGUGCUGGUGAAGGAGAUGUUUGUUGAAAUUUUGGAUUUUUCUAUUUUUUUUGGGGUCUUAGAGUGCUUGUGGUGAUUGGCGGGAUGAUGCUUGCAGGCUGCAGCAAUACAAGCUGGUCGAGAUGAAACUCCUAGCUCAACAGAGGGAUCUUCAGGUGUGUUGUUGAAUUCUGCUAUGUCAGUUUGGCGUAAUCGCUGGCUUUCUCUAAUUCGUAUUUUUGCUGGCAAAGGUUUCCUGACUUUAUCGAUGCUAGUUUGGGAUUUGUUAUUAUCGACAUCCCUUUAGAUGUUUGUGUAUAAUUUCUCAUCGACUGAUUCUUUUGUAUCGUUAUAUCUGCUAUUGAAUUCGCUGUUGAGUUACAUUUUGUCGUUCAUUUUCUUCAAGUGAUCACAGACAAAGAUCCAUAUUCAAAUGCACUAUUGAAUACCGUAGACACUAUCCCUCCUGUCUGCCCUUGUGCUAGCACUGGACCUUCUUUCUUUCUCUUCCUUUUCUUUGGUUUUUUCUUUUUUCAGUAUAGUAUAACCUAUGCAGUGUUGAAAUGUUGCGCAAUGGUUACCAUGGAGGUGGGCGUACGUGCAUGUGUGGGUAGACCCUUUUUUAGAACUUUGAAGCAUUUAAGUGUGCAACUUUUGUCUUGAUUCUUAAGAGGUAUAAUGACAUGAUUAGAGAUAUUGAUACCAAAGCUUUAAUCACAAUGAAUAUUUAGUUUCAGGAAAUAAGAAAUGUACUAGGUUGAGACAGACAAUUUUGUCUUUCAGAAAUUGAAAGUUCCGUCCUGUCAUGAUCUAUUUUAGAAUCGUCGGCUCAUCCUCCGAAAAUUUUUCGGAGAUUUCGAGAUUUUUACGGAAAAAUUGAUUCGGACGUUGCGAAAAAAUAGUGAAAAUUCAGAUGGGCCAAAUUAAAGGAAAUUUGGACUUCCAAGCAGAGCCUUUGAGCGUCAGAGACUUACAGAAAAUUGUUCAGGAUUUUUCUUCAACGAAAUCGGACGUCGAUUGGAGAAUUUCGGGAAGAAAUUGAAUCUAAAGUGAUGAAAUUCGGACCUUAGGAUGGGGGUGUGCAACAUUGGUACCAAUUUGGAUAAUUGUGGAUUUAUACUUCAAAAAAAGUAAUUGGGGGACUAUAAAGGAUAAACAUGAAGACUUUAUAUGCCGAAUCACGAUGAUUUAGAUAUUUUUUAUUGGACUUUUUUGUGCCCCUUUCUCUAUCCCCUUCGCACGCCUCAUCCAUCCCUUCUUCAUCGUGCGAAACCUCUCUCUUUCAUUGCAACCCACCGAACCAGCUGAUCACACUUUCCUUUCAUUUGCUUCUUUUUUUUUCUCUCUCUCUUUCAUUGCAACCCACCGAACCACCUGAUCACACUUUCCUUUCAUUUGCUUCUUCUUUUUUUUUUUUUUUUUUCUCUCUCUUUCAUUUUACUUCAAGCACCCCAUGUGAGCCAACCUUCCAACAACAAACUUUGGUUUGUUGACCGCCCCAUCAUCUUCGGUUUUGCUCCACCGAAGCAGCUCCGUGUCCCACGCGUCCGAAGCUGCCUCUUCUUCCUUCGCACGCGACUUCCCCCUUCGCAGCUUCUCUUUCUUUUUUCUGUUUCGGCUCUCUUUCACUUUUCCCUUGAAGCAGCCCCUUUCUUCGAACACUGCAGCUCCUUCCUCUGAAAUUUUGAGCCCACGUUCCUCUGCCCACCAGUGGCCGAAGCCCACCGAUCUUCUCUCUCUCGCGUUGCUGUCCCCACGCCGGUCAGCUCCAGCAAAUCUUCUCCACCUUUGUUGACCCAACAGCUCCCUUCGUGCGCCAGCUGCCAGCGCUACCAGCCUGCUUCCAUUUGCUAGUUCGUGAGUCCAGCGAAGCCGAAGCAGCCCAGCUUCCACGCCCAUGAGAUCCACCGAAUUAGCAGGCCCAUUCUGUGCAGCCAUCUGAAGCCGAAGUCCAGCCCAUGCAGUUCUUUUCUUCAUCCCAUCUCCAGCAGAAUUUCAAUCCAUGAGCUCAGGCCCAAGUUCAGCCUAAGUUUCCAGCUCACUUGAGGCCCGUGCAGUCAAGCCUGCGAUUUUGAGGUCCACUUGAAGGCCGUGAAGCAGCCCAACUUGGAUCCAGCCUAAAUCAAGAACAAAUCUCAGCUUGGGCUGAGAUUUGUUGGGCCGGUUCUAGGCCCGGUCCAAGCCCGUUGACGCCGCCGCAAACCCAAGUUUCGGCCGUCGUCGUGUCGUCAUCUCGGUGAACCGGCUUCUGCAAUAAAUCGGUGAGUUUACACAUUAAACUCUUUUUAGUAGGCUAAUAAUGUUUAAGGGGUGUCUAGAUUUAUUUAAGUGCAAUUAGUUUAAUUAUUAAGUUAAUUAGUUAAAUUAGGAUAGUUAGAUUAAGUGAUUAGGUGGUUAGAAAUUUAUAGUUAAUUAGAUUAGUGUAUUGUUAUAUAGCUAGGGUGCUUAGAAUAAUUUCUUUAGCUCAAUAGGUGGUUAAGUUAAAUUUAUUUAGCCUAAGUUAGAAUUUUAGUAUUUAAUGCAUUUAUUUAAUAAAUUUUAGAAAUUAUUUAAUUAUUAAAUAUUUUCCGGAAAUUAAGCCGGGGUAGCCGGUGACCGAAAUUUCGUGCUAAUUGCAAUGGUGUGGUUAAUUUCUGCAAUCGAGUGUUAAAUUGUGAAAUUUGAGUGUUGAUUGAAAAUUUGAUCAAUUAUUCUAAAAUUGGUGAAUUUUGACAUUUAUCUAGAAAAUCCUGGGUGUCGGGUUUUAAACACCAAAAAUGGUUUUAUAUACUAUAUAAACUAGUAGGAUUUUUUUUUUUUUAAAUAGGGUUAUGAAUUUUCCGAGUCCAAUCUGACCGUGUACUCACACAUGACUAUUUUCAUCAGGUGUUUUUAAUACGAAGGAAAUAGGCCAGAAUCACUAUUUUAAUUGAGGCAUUUGAGUGCAAUGCACGGUGUCCUGGGCCGAGAUUAAGUGGUUGUGUGUUGGUUAAGAGAACCCGUCCCCGAACUGUGUUGGAUGGAUGUUACAUUAUAUGGGAUACCCAUUUAUUGGAUUUUGGGGUGUAGUAGAGGCUAGAUCUAUACUCCUUCGGGAAAGUAGUCUUUGAGAGACAUAAUCGUGCUCAAUGGGGUGAGACGAUGCCUGGCUACGCUAGUAGACCGCCAAACUUCUACUAGGCCAUACCCUAGAGUGGGCGAAAUUAUCAAUUGGAACGCAUGUUGAGUGGAGUAGAUGCGCCGAAUUAUGGGACAAAAUUAUGUGACAUAGUAUGGGACGUGUCAUAAUAAUUUAGCCCUAUAAUCUGGACCCCUGUGAUUUAUUGAGUUGAGUAAUGCGUUUCAAUUGUUGUGUGCAUUGAUUUUAUGCAUAAUGUGUAUAAACUGUGCUGACCUGCAGGGUGAAACUGAGGCGAGGUAAGUCCUCUAUGCUAAAUGCGUGAUUGAGUGGUUAGGACACCUUUAGGUGUAUUUCCCUCCUAAUCGGGGUAUAGAGUGUGAACUCGCUAAGAUUUAUAUCUCACCCCGUCGUGGGUUAAAUUUUCAGAGUCGUCGAGUGGAAGACCUGAAGCCGAGAGGAGGUGAUUAGAAGUGUAGGUUACUUAGGACUGUUUCUUUUUUGGAAAGCUAGUCUGUGUAGUCUUUUGGUCAUAGACCUUGUACAUGACUCAAUGUGUAUAUAAAAGUGUGUUUUGUUUGUGAAAUUGUUGUCCUGCUUUUUUAUCAGGGGAUUUAUUUUCGCUUCCACAUAUAUAAUCAAACGAAAAGGGUCGGCGACUCAUCUAGGAAGUCGCAAAAUUUUAUCGACCAAAGAGGGAUGGGCAUGCGCUCGGGGUUCGGGGCGUGACAAAUUCGAUUCUAUUUUCAAUUUAGAAUAUGUGGAUUUUUUUUUUUUUUUUAUAUUCAGUACCAUAUCUCCAAAGGACAUUUUAAUUCGAUCUCAAUUGUUGAGUUAAACCUCAAGACCAUCUCAACUUGUUCAUUGUAUAAAAAUUCCUAUGUGACAUCUAAGAUUGAAAGAAACCCCAUUAGAAUAAGUCAAUUUUGGAUGGUUGAUCGUCAAGACUAAAAAGCAUCUAGCAUCGAUUCUUUAUCCCAUGCUCACAAUCACAUUACAUCUAUUGCUUGCUAUUAAAUGCUUGUUUUGUAGAAAAGAAAAAAGAAAGGGUAAAAGUCAUCAAAAAUCCUAAAUUAUAUUUACUGUGAUACAUUUACUCUAAUUUUUUUUUUGUGACACUAGGAACCUAAACUUGUAUCUAUAUAACACAUUUAUCUCAAAUUUGUACAGUGAGACACAUUUAUCCAAAACUUCUUUUUGUGAUACCAAAAAUCCUAAAUUUGUAUUCGUGUGACAUGUUCACCCUUAAAAUUUGGCAUCGAUUUUAAUGUUACAAAAAACAAUCUAGGAUAAAUAUGUCGCACAGAUAUAAGUUUGGGAUUUUUAGUGUUGCAAAAAAAAUUUGUGGUAAAUGUAUCACACGGGUAAAGUUUGGGAUUUUUUUUUGACUUUUUACCUUUUAUUUCUUUUUUUUCUUCUCUAUAUGGGCUAAAGAACGUAGAUCUUUAUACGUUGACAAGCAAUGAUUCACCUUUUCUCUCACCACGAUGAAAAAGAUUUCUUUUUGUCACGCCCUAAAUCUUGAGUGUGCGCACAUCCCUCGGUGAUCGAUAAAAUUACAACGUCCCGGGACGUGUCGCUGACCCAUUUAUUUUAUUGUACAUGCGGGAGCGAAUAAACAAAUCCUCAUACAACACAAAUAUGGGAUAGAAGAGCAGGACCACAAUUUCACCAAAAAGCAAAUUUUCAUAAACAAACUAGUCUGUCUACAAAAAGAUCGGCUUUAAAAAAGAAGCUGUCCUACGAACUACUAGUCAGACACAUUUGCCGAUCCUUCGGACUCCACCUCCACAGCUUCGGGGGCUUCGGGUCCUCCACAACCCCAUCAAGAGGGUCAGUUGCACCCUUGCCUGGAGCGGCGUUGACCGCAAUGACAGGGAUAUCAAAACCCUAAAGGGGACCUUUCCUAUAUCCAUUGAGCCCAUGGCGAAACCACACCCUGAAUCGAUGAGGUACCCUUUGAGGUAAGCCCUCAUCAACCCAGAUAGUGGUCACAACAAACUCAUGGAUCCAGUGACUCUCGGGGAUAGGGACAUCUAUACUCCACUCAAUAACCCCCCGAGGCUAUCUAAAAGAACCACGACCAGGGUGAGACAACGUCUCAGCAAGUCUACUCCCUAAACCCGAAUUUAGAAAGAAAAUACUCCUAGAGGUAAUCUAACCACACAUCACAGAAGACUUACCUCGCCUCAAUUCCUUCCUGCACGUUAGUACAGUUCAUAUCACAAAUAAUUGCAUUAAAAGCACUCAUCAAUCGGGAUGUCUCAACUUAUAACCCGAACAAUUACAAGGGUCUCGAUUAUAAAGCCAAAUCAUUAUGACACGUCCCAUUCUGUGCCACACAAUUUUGUCUCAUAAUCAAUUGCGUCAAUUUCAAUCAAUCAUGUGUCCCAAUUGAUUACGACCCAAUGGCCACGGUCGACUCAACAAUCAACAGUCCUUCGGCGUAGCUGGGCGUCGUCCGGCACCAUCGAGCACGGCAACGUCUAUAUCUAGACAACAUUCCAUAUAGGAGCAUUGGCCUAGCCACCAUUGCGAUUGGCAUUAGUUGACUUGGGGCAUUCCCGAAGGAGCAUUUUCUAGCCCCAAAGGCUCGUGACGGGUUCUCAUAUCAUUCAUGCACCCAUCCAAUCCCGGCCAAGACAUAGUGCUUUGCACUCAAAUGUCCCAAUUAAAAUAAUGUAUUUGGCCCAUUUUCUUCGUAUUAAAAACACACGGUAAAAUAAUCGUAUGUGGGUACAUGGUCAAUUUAAACAAGAAAAAUUAAUAUCCUUCCUUUUAAAAUCCCACUUUUUGAUAUAGUCUUUAAAAACAUUUUAGGUGUCAAAACCCGACACUCGGUAUUUUCUAAUUAGAUACCAAAAUUUCAUAAUUUUAAAAUAAAUACUCAAAAUCACAAUCAUCACUCAAUUUGCACAAAUUAACAAUUAAUUGCAUAAACUAAGCACACCAUUACAAUCAGCACGAAAUUCCGGUCACCGACUAUCCUAGGAUAAUUUCCGGAAUAUUAUUAAAUAAUUAAAUAAAUGCAAUUUAAUCCAAUUAAUGCAAACCUAGGUUGGAAACGCUAAUUUAACCACCUAAACGGGCCUAGAAAAUUAAUGCACUUCUCUACAUAAAUAGUACAAUCUAUUUAGCCCUUAGUCAAUCUAUUCUAACCACCUAACCAUCAUAAUUAAGAAAAUUAAAUUAUUAAUAAAAACUAACUAACCACCUAAGCCAUACUUAGCCUAAUCUAAUUACAUAUUAAACAUCAUUAACUCCCUAAGCAUAGUUUAGCAAGUAAACUCACCGGAUUAGCGAAUUAGUGAGUCCAAGUCGAUGAUGAUGUAGAGGCGGGCGACACACAAGCUUGCAGUGACACCGAGUGAGGUCCGGAAGAGACCUAAAACGGGCCACGAAGCCCAACAGCCACUGCUGGCCUUCGGUUCUGUCUAAGGACCAAAGGGGCUGGGCCAAGCGACUGGAUGGGCUGGAACAGCCAAAGCGAGACGGCGGCGACUGCUGUAACAUCUUGAAAUUUUCAGUUAUACUUUCAAUUAAAUUAAUCGUGCCUUUCAUCAACGUGCCUAUAGUGCUAUUCUCAGAGUUGAUCACUUCUGAGAUAAUUUGACUAUCUGGGGAAGUCAUUAAGGGAUUUUAAUGCAUUAGACUUAAAAAUUUGACUAGAAAUCGGCUAUUUGAUCGUAUUCAUUAACAGAGAUCAUUACGGCAUAGUUAAAAGUCAAUUAGAGAUCAGAGAUAGGUUGGUUCAACAGAGAUUUGUGGCUAAACAUGGGUGAUUCCACUUAAUUAUAAAAUUCUCGUCGACUGACACUAAACUGAUUUUUCUGUCGUUUUGGUACCAUGUGUCCAUAUUCGAAACCUCGAGAUUUUCAUAACCACCGAGAGCCACCAAUAUGUCGAAGAGGUUCAUUAUGACUUCAAGAAAAUCGACAGCGGGUUAUUUGCACUAAAAAUUCCUGAAAACUAUCCAAUAACCUAGGUCACGCUAAAAUCGCGACAUAUUGAAAUUAACCGCGAAUUUGAAUCUGAUUUCAUAAAUUGAAAGUUCUUUCAUGUCACAAUUCAUUUUAGGAACGUCGACUCAGUCUCCAAAUAUUUUUCUGCAAACCGAGAUUUUGGCGGAAAAAAUCGAUAUAGGGCCGUUUUCGACCGAAAAAUGUGGAGGACUAUUUUUUUAUCGCAAAAGUGGGAUGCAAGUAGGAUCUAUUGGUGAGGAAAAAUGCCAAGUUGAUCGAGAACUCAACGGUUGAAUUUUUAGAAGCCAAAUGGAGUUGAUUCAAAGAGGAAUUGAAGUCCAAUUUGGGGAAAUUCCAAUCAAAAUUCAUAGCUCCCCCUUGGACCCAAUAUUUGGACCACUCCAAGGCUUCUAGAGGAAGAGUUGGCUGCUAGAAAUUGUAGAGGAAUCCAGCUGGGCAUUGGUGGGACACACCAAGGGGACAAAGAGAUGAGAGAGAGGCCAAUGUGGCCCCCCUUGUAGCUGUCGAUUCCCCUCCUUCUCCUUUCUUCAGUCGAGCCUCCAUUUCCAGCAGCUAGAAGACUUCAAAAUUUCUAGCAAAACCAGAGAAACUGCAGCCCCUUCCCCCUUGACCGUUCGAGCAAUCCGCCGGAGCCCAGAGCCACUGUCGCGCCAUUCGGCCGUCCGCCUAGCCACCGCAUGCCAGCCUCACGCCCGCACGUCUCUUGCUGUCAUCCCUGCCCGUUCGCACUUCUAGCAGCUCACCAGGCCAGGUCGGGCCACCGUUGGAGCUUCCAACACCGCUAUACGCCACCGCCUUCGCCCGUCCAAGCCGCAGCAGCCUCAUCGUGCCCGUUUCUAGCUCAACCGACCACUGGAGUAGUCUUCUCGGCCCUUGACCAGAACCGGAGCUAGUGGAUUUCCAGCCUACUGUUUGGCCCGUUUUCGAGCCUUUCCCAGCCCCGCUUGGUGGUCCCGCUUUAGAGUUUGUUGAUCCUCUCUGCGUCCCUGUCAUUGUGGUUCAAGCGGAUUGUUAAUCAAGUGAGUUUAACUCACUAAUCCCUACUUAGUAAGUUAAUGACGUUUAAGGGUUGAUUAAUUUAGACUAAGUAUGGAUUAUGUGGAUAGUUAGAAUAGAUUAGUGAAUUAAUUUAUUGUUAUUGUAUAUUAGGUGGUUAAAGUAUUGUAAUUAGAGCCUAGACAAGCUCUAGUAUUUAUCUAGAGUAGUUUAUAAAUUUUCCGGGCCCUUCUCGGCUUUUAUUUAGGCUUUUCUAGCUUAAGUGGUAUUUAUUGGUAUUUAAUAAUUAAUUUUCAUAAUUAUUUAAUUAAUUAUUAUUUUUCGGAAAGUAGACCGGGAUAGCCGGUGACCGGAAUUUUGUACUGAUUGUAAUGGUGUGAUUUUUUUAUUUAAUUGACUACUAAUUUGUGCAAUUGAGUGUGAUUUGUGAUUUUGGGUAUUUAUCCCAAAUUUUAUUUAAUUUAAGCAAUUAAUUAGAAAAUCACCGGGCGUCGGUUUACAACGCGAAAAAUGAAUUUGAGGACUAUUGAAAUUAGUGGGAUUUUCAAGGAGGAAAAUAUUAUAUUUUGGCUAACGCUGACUGUGUACUCACACACGAUUCUUUUUAUCGGAAAUGAUAAAAAUGGUGAAAUGGUUAGAUGAUUAGAAUGGUAUACUAUAUCAGCUUGCGGGCUCGAUAUGUCAGUUUAGAGUGAGCAGUAUAUCGAUAUAUUAUAUCAGCUUGCGGACCUCGAUAUGUCAACUUAGAGGGAGCAGUGUACCUUAACAGCUUCUGAUGAGCAUUAUUAGUAUACUAUAUCAGCCUGUGGGCCUUGAUAUAUCAACUUAGAGCGAGCAAUAUAUUAUUUAUCAGCUUAGAGUGAGCUAUACUAUCUAUUUAUUAGCUUCGAGUGAGCAGUCCUGGUUAUGAUCGAACUUUAUAGAUAGUAUUGAUUGAGAUGACCGGGGAAUAGUCUUGAUGAUAUGAAAUCGGCUGAGUCAAUUGAUCGAUUGUUCAAUAUGAGUGGAUGAAUUAUUGGUUGAAAUGAUUGAAUGGUUAUUUGAAUUGUACUAACUUGUAGGAAGAAAUUGAGGCAAAGGUAAGUCCUUUGACCCGUGCUUGUGCUUACACAGCCCUAAGGGCGUAUGUUCUUCCUAGUCGGGUCUUAGGGGGUGAACUCGCUGAGACGUCGUCUCACCCCAUUGUGGGAUAACCCUUCAGGUCCAUAGAUGGUAGCUUCUCCCGAGCAUUAACUUCCAGUAAACUCUACUAGUCAUAGGGGCCAUUGGGUAUUAGAGCUUUGGUUCAAUGGCUCCUCCUAUAGGUGGUAAGGUAGGGUGGGUGGUACCGCUCAGAUUGCGGCCAAUCUUCCUAACCGCGUAACUUUAUGUUUAACUGGUAUUGACUAUAACUGCUAUUGAUCUCCCACUACACAGUCAGUAAUAGAAGAAGGAGCAAAGAGUCUACUAUACCUUGGCCCCUCCUUCUCUAAUCUUUAGAUAAUUCUCAUGGAAUGUCUCCAGAAUGAUCACCCGUGUUGACACCAUUAACAGAGUCUACAUUCUAACCAGAAAAUCUUGGAAUAGGUGGUUCUCUCUCCAACUUGCUGGGGUGACGAAUUAUCCUCGUUGGCCGAGGAACGACUCUUCUAAUUUCUUGUUUUUGCCAUUAACACUUCCUAUGAAUGGAACACAACGGUCUCAUUGGGUGUGCCAAAAAGAUGUUUGUCGAGGGAAGUUCCCUCAACAAAAUCUUUCAUCAAAGGGGCAAAGUUUCGACUUUAUUAUUUAAAAUGGAUUAUGUGUCACUCAGGAAAGGAAGCAACCGAUCUAAAUUACAGGCAAACAUAGAUGCAGGAAAAAAAAAGGAGAAAAAAUAAAACUACGAUUCAAAUUAAAAGUGCGAUCAAAGAAAUAGAGCGAUUGAAAAGUAGAUGAUCAAUUGUUGAUUUGGGAAAUUGACCUUUCUAUUGAUGCCUCUUCGGCUAUUUAUAGUGGCGAUUUAUGGGUAACUACUCUUUAGUGGUUAUCAUUUCAAUAUUCAAAAUGUUUCAGAAGCUUUGGCUCCUUAUCGAUAAUUACUCUGCCUUAUCGAUAUUUUCGUUGGUACCGAUUCCCGUAACUACUUCCUUUCUUGUCUCGCUUGCCUUGGCAAGUUCUAAUGUCACACUGUUCGAAAUCUUCGUUGUUGACUAUUGGCGUUUUGGCCCACUACCCAUGAAUUCUUGUGUGCUAGGCCUGCUUUACUCUCUUCUAUUUCCAAAGCCCAACAAGCAAAUUUUGGAUGCCAACAGAAGCACACGCAAGAAUAUGAGAGGAAGUCGUGGAUCUUUCAAAUUUAUGUCCCCUGAAUGUGACUAAUUGACCAAGAUCUAUAAAAAAAUAUAAGGUAGUUUGAUUAAGCUAAUUAUGAGUGAAAAUAGUACUUCAGCAAACAAAAGGUAAGGUUAGUACAUUAAGCCGUUGAAUGCCUAAGCAUAACACAACUCUUAGCCAGAAAUAGUUCGACUGGUAAUAAUUAUUGCUCAUAUAGAUUCCCAACCAUUACACUUGAAGACAUUCAGCAUGAAUAGUUGAUUGCAUUCUGGAACUCUGCAUAAACAGAUGAACAAAGGUAAGAUUAUUGCUGGAGAAGUAGAAUUUCAACUUUAAUAAUGGGAAUGCUUGAAAUUGCAAUUAUAACCAUUGACAUCAAAAGUGGAGUAAAGUUGGCAGUGAUCUUUGAUUGUGCAUCAUCAGAUAGUCCCUGCUCAAUCUUCAAAACUACAAGAAACAAAGGUGAUACAAAAAGGAGAAAUCUAGGUUAUUGCAUUUGCCUUAAUUAAUUCAGUAAAAAGUUGAGUUAUCAAAUUCCCAAACUGAGCUUAAAACAACAAAGGAAAAAGAAAAGGACUUGUCAUCCGCAUAACAAAUAAGAAUUCAAGAAUAUAAAUGCCUUAUUGGGCAAAUUGAAAUAUCUUCCCUAAUUGUAAUUUAAGAUGAGCAGGAACGAACCAAUAGCAAACAAAUAGAGAAGAAAAUUGUAGUUUCACUCUCUUUUGGAGGUGAACAUUAAAGAGAAUUGAUGUAGAGAAAAAUUGAGUUAAUUGAUUGUUCAAAAUACCUCUUGUCAAACCUAAUUUUGUAUGUUGACCAAAAAAAUAAUAAUUUUGUCUAGUGUACCUAACAUUACUUAAAUAUUUUUAUGGAUCAAAGGGACUAAUUAUAUUCAUUCCUUUUCUCACCAUGAUAACCCAUGAGAAGUUUCCAUAUUGACAAUUUCAUGAACUGAGCAAAGCAGGUGAGUCACCUAAAUCUUUUAAUUAAGCAAAGUCUUAAUAAACAAAUGAUACAUACCUCAUCCAUCUUUGUUGAACCUCGGGCAAUAACUUACAGUGAGUUCGCAAGAUUUUGGCACUCCCAACAUUCUCUUCAAUGAUUCACAUUGAUUGAAAUCCAAUCUUUUUAGAUUUUGUAAAUUAGAUAGAUCAAAUUCGUUUAAGCUUUUGAUGGAAUUACAGUUCCAAAUCCAUAGCGUCCGCAAUGAUUUCAAUUCUCCCAAACCCUGAAUCUCAAUUAGGUGAGGGAAUUGGCGCAGGUACAAAUGCUGGAUCUUCUUCAAACAAGGCAAAAUGGGCAGAGUCUUAAGUAAUGGACAAUCGAAUAUCAUCAAUUCAUUGAAAUUUUGUAGUUUUCCAAACCCAUCAAAACGAAUCUCACCAAGCCAAUAUCUUUCAAUAAUCAGUCUUGACAAAUUCUCCAAGUUGGAAAAGAGCGACCAAUCUAUUGGUGAUUGGACAUCGACUAAAGUCAACCGUUGAAGGCUAGAUGGAAGCCUGAUAAGAGAUUGAGGGUUGGCAUAACUUACGGAGAGUUCUUGUAACUGAGAGAGGGAACUCAAAUCAGUUGGAGGCAAGGUCAUUUUUCCAACCCACAGGGUCAACUUUCUUAGAGCACUUGCUCUCAAAAGCCCCUCUAUGUUGGGUUCUUAUACUGUUGUUCCGAUUAUAUCAAGAUGAACUAAAUUGGUUAGAUUGGAGAAGUCAGGGAUUGUAGUCAAUGAGUCCAAUGAAAAGCUUAACGACUUUAGACUCUUAGGAAGCUCUGGCAACUGUUGAAUUGACCUACAGUCCCAUAAAUUAAUUUUUUGGAGAUUUGUAAGCCGAUUGAUGGUUGUUGGCAAUCCACUAAAACAGCCACCUGAUAAAUCUAGAAUUUUCAAUGAGGAUAGUGCCCCAAUUUCACUUGGAAUUUCCCCCUCCAAGUGUUCACAUGAGGCACUCAACUCUUCCAAAUUUUCCACUGUUCCUAUAGUUUUCGGAAGUUCACUUAUGCGGCUAUGAUCUAGAUUUAGUGCCUUCAACUUUUUGAGAUUUCCAAUACAAUCAGGUAAGCUCCUGAUGUGUGAAAGACUCAAAUCCAACUUGACCAAUGAUUGGAGCCUCCCAAAUGAGUUUGGUAGCUUUUUUAAAUAGCCAUUUGGGAUCAUAAAAAUUUCCAACCUUCCUAAGUUCCUAAUGGAAUAAGGUAAUUCACUCACACUUGUAUGUCUGACAUUCAACUCAAGUAGUGAUUCCAAUUGUCCAAUAGAAUCAGGGAGUUUUUGCAAUUCCCAACAUGACAAGAUUAGAUGCUUCACAUUCACUAAAUUACCAAUUGAGUAAGGCAACACUGAAAGUUCUUGAGAAAAUAUUUCUAAGUAAUCAAGAUGUUGUAAAACACCGAUGGACUUGUCGAUCUUUCCAAGUUGAUUGCAUCUAAGGAUUAAUCUCUCUAACUUGGAGAUUGUGGAGAACUUUGGUGUCUUUCUAAGUAAUGGACAAUCCAGGAGUUUUAGGACUUUCAACUGUUUUGCUACCUAUAAAACAAUUAAGCUGAAAUUAGAAAAGAAAAAAGAGUAAAUGUAAUGCAAAAAUAUGUCAUGAGAUCAUACCAUGAUUUGACGCCAUCCUCCCCAGUCUUUAGUAAUAUUAAUCCCAGAAAGCUCAAGAACUGCUAGGUUCUCCAACCCAAAGUUGGCAGCAAGGAAUUUCGAUGGGCAAUUGUGCCAAGAGAGCCAUCUUAACUCGGAGAAAUGAUCCUUAAAGUCUCCUUGGAAGUUUCCAUGGUCCAAUUGAAGGAAUCUAAGAUUGUCCAUCCUUGCAAAUUCCUUGUGUUUAAAUCUAUACGUUGCAUCCGGUUCAGGUGUACCGAGAUUAAGUGCCACUAUGUUCUUAGUUCCCUAGAAGAUAAAAGUAGCAACCAAUGAGUACAUGUGUCAAUUUGAGUUGACGUUAGAUCUAAAAGGUAAUGAUAUUGAUGGAUGGAGUGGAAAACAUUUAGAGGUAAAACUUACCUUUUUUCUUUGCACCAAAUGGAAGGCAUCCUUGGGUAACCAUAGUCUACUACCCCUUAAACAUAUGUUGCAACUUUCCCGGUGGACAAUAUCUUGCCCGAGGUCUCUAAGUUGGUCAUGCAUCCACAAUUCAUCGUAGUCUAUGAUCUUUAUCAGAGACAUACGUGUGAGGAUAUUGACUUCGAUUUCGGUGGGAUACCCAAAAACCGCAUCCCAAUAUUUAAUUGCAGUUGUUUUCUCUUGAUUAAUGAAGAAACAUGCAAUAUCAAGAUAUAUUUGUUGCUGAUUAGGGUCCAAUGCUUCAUAGCUUAUCAUCAACUUCUUCUUGACAUCCUCGUUCAUCACCUUCUUUAACUUAGAUAGAACAUUUUUCCAUGUACUUUGGCAUUUUCCACAGAGUGUGGAACCUACGACGUCAAGAGCCAAUGGAAGUCUUCCAAGUGCAUUGAUUACCUUUUCUGAAAUAUCGAUGUAAUCAACCGGAGGCUUGGCACAUCCCAAGGCACACUCACAAAAAAGUUGAAGAGCAUCAUCCCAAUUCAUCUCUGGCAUAGUAUAGAAUGAAAAAUGUGUAGUAUCUAAGAUUGGGGCAUUGUGGUCUUCACCUUCCUUUACUAGGAAUUCAAUGUUCCUUGUUGUUAUGAUGAUUCUAGUACCCUCACUAUACCAGUUUGGCUUACCAACAAGUCUCAUGAUCUGGUCUCGGUUGUCGAUGUCAACAAGAACAAUGAGGACUUUCUUCCCAUGGAGCCUCGUCUUGAUCAAGUGAGCCCCUUCAUCAAUGAAGGAGAGGUUUAUACAAUUGAGUUUGAGGACAUCAGACAACAAUUUUUUUGUAAAUUUAUUAUAUCUUGAGUCCGGACAUCUUUAAGAAAAUAGCAAUGACCUGAAAACUGAGGGGAGAUUUGCCUAAAGACAGCCUUGGCCAAUGUUGUCUUUCCAAUACCACCCAUACCAUGAAUCGCGAUGAAUCUCACAUCAAAUGCUACUAGAUCUAACUGCUCCAUAAUUUCAUCCAUCUGAUCCUUAAUUCCCACCAAAUGAUCAGACAUGUCUGUCCGUCUUGUCCAUAACAAAUUAGAAACUUCCUUGAUCGUGAGAUUCUUAAGUUCAUCUAGGCUGUCACAUAAUAUGCAACCAUCUCAGAUUCAAAAACAACAUAUAUGGAAACUUUGCACGCAUUUCAUGGCACUGGAAGUUUAUCACUGAGUUUAAAGUUAUUUUCUUUGAAAGAAACGAAUAUACAAAAAGUGAUCUUUCAAGCUGCAAGCUGUUUGAAAACCAAAAAACGAAGAAAACAUAUAUAUUCUGUUUUUUUUUUUUUUUGUUCGGCAGAAAAGAUAUACAUUCAAGAGGAGGUGGAGGGACCUUAUUCACAAUUGGAAGCUAUUGCUGUCAAGGUUCUUUGGUCCAGUAAAUGGUGAGAAAAGGUUAUUUUGCGACUGAGGGUCUAGUUGAGCUUCGACUAAAAGUCGCUCCAGCAUAUUGUCACCGAAUUAGAUCUACACAUGGUUGUGUUUGAACAGGUUGUGCACCUCCAAUCCAUUCCAUUCCCUUACAUCUUAUGGAAAAAUUACCAAAUCAAUAUUAAAUAUAUUAAAUACCAUUUUAGUCUAAAACUUUCUAAUAUAAACCUUUACAUAAAAUUUCAGUGUUGUAUAAUGUCAAGCAAAUAUUUAUGACUAUAUUGAAAAAAUUGAAAUGUUUAAAAUCAAAUUAACAUUUGUACAAUUUUGGAUAGAUUUGAUAAUUAUCCUCCAUUUCAUUUUAUACUUUUUACACCAGUUAGUUUCUUCUUGUUGCACAGAGCUGAUAUCAAGACCUCCAGAAGUUUGGCUAAAUAUCAAGUCCUUGGUAAACCAGUCUUGAUCAACUCUUCAAGCAUUUGGGAUGAGUUUGAAGGUUAACGUAAAUAUUAAAAACAAAAAACAAAAAACUCACAAAGCAGUUACCUUUUAGUAUUAAAGUUAGUAAUUUGGUACAAGACUUGGUAAUUUUGAAAUGUGGAGUAAACGAUGUGGUAAGUUGCAAAAAUAUUGUAAAUCGACAAACGAUCUAAUAAACUUAAUAAAUAAUUCACAUUAAAGCCGGUACGCAAGAACUGGUCAGUAAAUUAAUGUAAAAAAAAAAAAAAAGGUUGGUAAGAUACGAGUUAAAGUUCGUAAUUUCAUAUGAAAACUGACAACUAUAAAACUAGGGAUGGGCAUGGGGUAUGGGAGAUCUACACCCCGCGGUGGCCUUUUUGGACGAGGCAAAAUUCUGUCUUGAAAAUUGCCUCACAGGGAAUUUUACUCUCGGCACAGUUGGGCAUGGGCACUAAUAGGCCAGCCCUUCCUGUUCUCGAGGAUUGAAACUAUUACUGUGUUUAAUGAAGGACGGAAACAAGGGUUUAAUGAAGAAAGAUGAAAGUAAGCAUAGAAUAACGACUAGGGUUUAUAGAAAAACUAUCACAAACUAGGGUAGAAAGUAGUUACAUAUCUCAAGGUAAUUAAAAUGAUUAAAUUUCUUAUCCAUUUUCUAGAGGUUCCUAGAUUUCUCUAUCCGUAACUAGAACUACCUAGAAGUCCCUUAAUUGAAUUUUUGGUUUAUUAAGAUCUGGGGCCAAGAAUAGGUCCAUGGUUAAAGCAAGGGCAAUAACCAUUUUUUUUUUUUUCACUUUUUACUGGACAGAAAUGGGUCCAAUAUUGGCAAACUUUAGAUCACUCGUAGACGAAUGUUCAGUUUAAGGCUGUAGAUUUUGUCUAUGAACAAUUGGCCACUAGAGACGCCAAUGACCCCUGCCCCACUAUGAUGAAAGUAAAAGCCCAAGAUUGAUAAUACACCUAAAUCUAAGUCAGUUCUUCACAAACUAAUUAAGAUGCGAUAAGAUGUGUACUAGAGGAUUGAACAUCUAACACAUGCAGAAAUCUUUUUUUUUCUUUGUGCUCUUUUGGAUAAUGGCAUGCAAAGAUCUUUUUAGUGUUUGGUCUUGUAUAUUCAGACCAAAUAGGAAAACCAUGACCUAUAGCUUCCUCUUAUGGGUAUGUAAAACUAUCAUUAUGAAGAAGCUCUGUUAUUUUUGUGUAACUCAGGGGUGUGACCAUAAUUAGCCGGUUACCUCAAGCAAAACAGUAGCAAGGCAUAUGAAUUCCCUAAGGCCGAAAAGGAAUCCACAAGGAUCGCUUUCUUCCUCUUGGCCGUGGAUUUUUGGAUAUUGCAAAGACUUAGUCUAUGCUAUAAUUUCUUUUUAUUCCCGCACAUUUUUACGUCUCCCUAAAGCACAUCAAACACUAACAACUAUUAACUAACACCGACCAUUAAUGGCUCGGAACACAUAAAGAAGCUCGUUAUUGAGCCCUCUUAUUUUGGGCCGAUUCUUCUUCAGCUUUCAUUAGCAUAACAAAAGGAAGAAAUUUACAAGAAAACAUUGCAGGCAUAGGGUUGGGAAAAUUGCACCAAAAGUCCUUAACUUUAGCAAAUAAGUUUACUAGAAGUCCUAAAACUUGUUGUGAAAAGAGAAUCGAGUCAUAAAACUUGCAAAAACCGUAAUCAAACCUUAAAACUUAUCAAAUUAGUUCAAUUGAGUUAUUCCGUUAACUCCGUUCAAUUAAGCUAACUGAAAAUGUUGGCAUGUCUUAUUUUAUUAUUUUCUUAAGACAUGUGGCGAUGAUGUAGCGCCCACCAAGAGCCACAUCAGGAAUAAAAUUUAAAGAAUACAAACAAAAAUUAAAUUAAAAAAUAAAAAAGCUAAAAAAAUUUAAAAAAAAAGAAAAAAAAAUCAAGUCGUGGCUAAGCCUCGCCCUAGGCCUUCUCAAAGCUUGGGGACCCUCGUCUGGGCAUGCCAAGGCCUCGCCUAGGCCCGGCAAAGGCCUAGGCGACCUCCACUAACCCCUCUUGGUGGCUGUGGCAGCGGCCACCAACAAGGGCUUGGCCAAGCCGUGGGGUGAGUUUUUUUUUAAAAAAAAAUUAUAGCUUUUUAUAUUUUAAUCUAAUUUUGCUUGUAAUUUUUAAAUUUUUUCUAAUGUGGCACUUGGUGAGCACCAUGUCAUCGGCACUUGUCUAAUAAAAAAUAAAAUAAGACAUGUUCGCAUUUUCCGUUAGCUAAUUGGAUGGAAUUAACCGAAGGAUUCAAUUGAAUCAAUUCAACAGGUUUUAGAACUUGAUUGCAUUUUUUGCAAGUUUUAAGAUUCGAUUGUACUUUCGUGAUAAGUUUUAGGACUUUCAAUGCACAUAUCCCUUAAGUUUAUGUACAUAAUGCAAUUGAAGUUAAGAAACUUAAUUUAUUUUUUUCACACUUAUAUGGUCUUAUUAUUUUAUCGAAUCUUAGAUCUUCAUGGAUGUCUUGGUUUUUUGGCAUUAUAGAUUAAUUAAUGAAGUCGAUAUACCUUAACACUAAUUGUUAUCAAAACUUAGUAUUAAAAGUGAAAAUUCAAUUUGUGCAAGAAGCCUCGCCAUCUGAGCAAAAUUUCUAGCUCCCCAUUGCGUCAAAUCCAACCAUACAUUACAUAAGGUUCGACAGCAGCAACCUGAAUCUAAUUAUUCUUUAGAGGAAAAAAAAUCGAAGAUGUCAAUAAGAAAAUAAAGUUAUGGAGAAGCAAACAAUACCCAUGAUCUUUUAGAUUCCUUCCUUUAAUUCUGGCAACUGCUUUCAAAGCCUUCUUCCACUUCUUUACUAAAUCCUUCUCUGAGUCACUCUUGUGCUUUUCGAGGGCUUUCCAAUAUAAAUUAGUCUUAAGCUUGACAUCAUCCACAUCCACAUCAUAGAAGAUAGGGAGAAUCACUUUCUCAUCAUUAUCUUUCGAUAACUCCACUAUGCGUGCCAGCUCAUGGAGACACCACUUACUUGAAGCGUAGUUUUUGGAGAAAAUUGGGAUGUAAAUUCUGGAUUCAUUGAUCGCUUGCAAGAGGCUGCCUUCAAUCUCUUCACCAAAUCGAAGCUCUUCAUUGUCUUUGAAAGUGCAGAUCCCCGCGCGGAUCAUGUCAUUGUAGAGAGAAUCAAUGAUGGUUAAGCGGGUGUCAGGCCCUCUGAAGUUGAGGAACACCUCAUAGCCCCUCCUUGAUCUGUCAUCACGGUUGCUGCUCAUUGGAGCUGCCAUUUCCGUUUCUUUUCCCACCCUCUUUCUCUUCAUUCCGUGAGGACAAUGGCUAUUGAUCUCUGAAUUGAGUCGGAUCCUUGUAGCAACCUGACAAAAAGCAACAGAGUGAGAUCGCUCGCUUACUUCCACUACGUUCGCCUGUAAAAAAGACCAUUUAGACUCUCACAAAAUAGGAGGUUGAGGCAACAAUUGAUCAAAGACUUCGAAGAGGAAGAGGUCGUCCCGGGGAUGUUUAUUUUAGCUGAAGUGCAACAUGAUUGAGAGUAUAUGGAAGCAUGUAAUUGAUCAUAUGGAAUUAUCACACGCAUAAACACAAGUUGUCCUGUGUAAGUCACAAUUCUAUAUAGUCAAGCUAGCACUGACCAUGUCUUCAUCUUAUAACAACUUGAUAAACAAACAGAGUGAUAUCACUCACUUCCACUACGUUUGCCUGGAAAUUACUUGCGGCAAAACAAAAAAAACGAAAAAAAAAAAAAAUUAAGCAUUCAGGCUCGCGCCAAAUAGAAGGCCAAGUUGAGGAAAUAAUUGAUGAAAGUCUUCAAAGAGCAGGAGGUUGUCCUGAAAAUAUAUUUUUUUACUGCAUGUUGAUUAAGUGUUGGAUGUAUUGGACAACUUGCCAUUACUUUGUCAUUAGUCAUUAGUGUUCCUUUCGUGUGGAAGUCACCUGCGGCCUUGCUUCAUAAGUAGAAAAAACCAAAUCAGAGUCGCAUCAAAUAGGCGGCUAAGGGAAAUGGUCUGACCAACUGGAUGAGUGGAGUCCUCGAACGUGGUCAGUGCAUGACCCGAGAUUCGAUGUAUGUGAUAAUUUUUUUAAUAAGUAUUGUCAAUUUUUUUUUUUUAAAAAGGCUUUCCGGUAAAACCAACUCCACUUUUCGACAAAAUUUGCAUAUAUUCAUUGAAUGCCAUGGAUUCAUUUUCUGAAUGUUGACUUGCGAUAUGAAAUCUGAUGAUUGCAUGUCUUUGCAUUAUGAACCAAAUAUUACAUUUUAAUCAAGUAUAUCAUGAUUAUGCAUGUUGUCGCAGCCCAGCUGAGGUGAACCUUGAGAGAAUUUAAUUAAUUGCUAGGUGGAGACAUAUAACCCUUGUGCAACUUGGCGCUUACACUUCAUAUGGCUCACCCAAAUCCUAUGGACCACAACUUGAUUUCUCUUUUAAUGUAUGAUUUAAUUUUGAUCAGAGCUGUCACUAAUCUAUUCUAGGCCGGUUGUGAGCUAAGUGAGGAAGAAGAGCUCGUCCUACUUCGGCAAAUCAAUGAAUUUGGACGCAAGGACUUGGUUAAGUUAGUUUUGCCUAAUGCCCACCAUCAGUAGCCUUUUUUCUUUUAAUAAAAAAUUAUUUCAUUCAAUAUAUUUUCAGUUUUUAUUUCUUACCAUGUAUAAGUACUCUUACAAUAAAUUUAAACAAUCAAUGAUGAAGUCAAAGAAAAACAAAGAACAUAAAAAAGCAACUUAGGCAGUAUCGGACAAAACAAUACAACGCGCUGUGAACUAUUCAUAGGAAUAGACAUGCACUAGUCUAAUAAAUUAAAAUUUUCUAAUCUAUGUCAUGAGAAAUUAAUUAUAAAUGCAAUAUUACAAAACUAGCAAUAAUAAAAAUUAGUCUCGUCCUAUAAUGUACCGCAAAGAAGCCCUAAACUAAUCAACAUGCUUCUUUUCAUACUCUUUUUAUAUAUUGAUAUGACAAGAUUAUCUAAAUAUAUAUAUGAAAAAAUUAAAGUAAAUUUAAUUGGUGAUAUAUAAUAAACGCGUAAUCAGAAAGAGACGACAUCUAAACUCUAAGCCGGAAGACGGUAUGGGGGAAAUUGAUACCUAUUUGACAUCUCCGUUUUCACAUGUCUGCAGAAAAGACACGUGAAUGCAAACUCAUGUAUAUGAAAAUGCAAUAUGCUGGAAUUUCAUGAAAAGUGACUCGGAAUGUGUAACUAUAUUUUAUGUGAUGCUAAAACGGACUAAUAAACAAAGGGGGAUCCCCGAGUACCGCUUCGGCGAAGAGCAAACCAACCGGGAGUGGGCUGGAUGAACACUGCUCAGACCGAAGACGGUCUGGACAGUGGACAUUCGACCUAUCCCCGAGUUUAAAAACAGACCCGAAGUGGGCCUCGACAAUGCUAGAGCAAUAACAAACCAAAGGGACCAUCGAGGACCAACCUUGAGAGUCUCAAACAGACCAAAAGUGCUAUUAAGCAUUAUCAAACUCGAGUGAAGUUAGAGUCUGAACAUUGACAGUAAUAUGAUAAUAUUCACUAGCGUGCAAAAAGAAUAAACGAAAGUUGAGAAAUAGAAGAAAUUGCACAUAAGAUUUACAGUGGUUCGGCUUAGAGUAAAUCUACGUCCACUCUCCCACACUGACAGCCUCCUAGCUGGAUUUCACAAGUCUCUCAAUAAGAUGUUAUAGAAGGGAGUGACGAUACUCAGGUUUGUGAUAUACAGUCACUCUUUCAAUGCCUAUCAAGGAUUACAAUUUGUAGCUCAUGAAAGACAAGUAUAUAAGAUUGAAGUUCUCUUGGACUUUGGAAUUUUUUAUUUUGACCUCUCUCUUCUCUUUGGUAUCUUGGUCUUCUUCUAUACUCCUUCACUUCUAAUCUAAUGUUGGACAAUUUUUAGAGAAAUGUUAUCCAAUCAACCCAUUGGACAAAAAAGAUUGAGUAACCGUUGACGGAUAAUAUUUUAAUCUCCAUUGAUUUUGUUGCCUGUACAAGCAAAUAUCGGUUUCCAUAAGUAGAGUUCUUCAAUGAAGGAAAAUAGCUUGCCUUUGGAAUGAUUAUCAAUCAAUCAAAGAUGAUUUGCAUAGAGAUUUUGUUGCAAAACAGUCUUUAAAAUUGAAGCUAAGAAUCUGAAAACAUCAUGGAAAUCUAAGCUAGGUCACUAGCUAUGACGAUAUAAGAAGUGGGGUAUAAGCUCUGUUGAUAUCCUUACUCUUGCUCUGAUGACAUUUGCAUACAAGUUUUGCUAAUAUCCUCACUAUUGCUUUGGUGAUAUUCAUGCAAUAAUAUUGAUGAUAUCCAUGAAUUAAUUGUCUUAAACUUCAAAGGUGAUACACGAACAACAAUAGAUAGAUUCUGAAUGUGAUAAAAAAUAUAUAUAGAUUUAUCCUUCAUGAGUAGUUCCUAAAAUAAAACACUUAUACAUUUAUCAAUAUCAAUAUAACCUUUGCUGAUAUCCUUAAUAUUUCCCAUUUCCUACGUGAGGUUGGUACGCUUGUGGGCCCAUAUAGUUAGGCAGUACUUAAUGGCCUUUUGUGCGGGCACCUUUGAAACGGGGUCAUGUACGGAGGAUCCCCACCUAGGUGCGCUUUCGCUUCCAUCUCUUCGUUUCUUUUUAUUUUUAAUUUGGUUUUAUUUUGAUAACUAUUUCUCUUUUCUUUUUGCUUUGGCUAUAUGAGCUCGCAAGGAAAUGAGAAAUGAGAGAGAACCUUUGUUCCUAGCUCGAUCAUGACGGCUGGGAGUCUCUUUGAACCCGAGAAGGGCGCUAGUUGAGUAUGUAAUGUAGACACCGAAGAUUUGAGCAAAGUUGACCGAGAGUCAAACUUCAUUGAAAGUUGAGUCGAAGGGUAUAAUUGGGUUGUACUUGUCUAAAGCUUCCAGAGAUACCCAAUUUACCCAAAUUGAACGGCUACAUCUUAAGAUAUCAAGAUCAGAAUCACAAAGAUCAGAAUUUUAUGGCAAAAAUAUCGUAACUUUUUGCUAAGUUCAUCCAUUUGACCCGGCUGCCCAAAAUCCACAAUCCGAGGUGAACAACAUUUUAGCUUUCCGAUGGGGAAGGAGAGGGUGGGGGGUGGUUUGGGUUCAAUUGUACAUUAUACGGAAAAGUUAUGCUCGCCCAAGUUCAAUCAAAUUUUGGUAAAAAAUGUGUAAACAUUAAUCUUCGAGAUUUAAAAAAAAAAAAAACAAUAUUGAUGCUCCGUCGAAGAGGACAAUUACUGGAAUAUGUGCUACUUAUUUAUAAAACACAUUUCUAUCUUAUUCGUUGUUUAAUUCAAUUACUUCGGCUAAGUUUAAAUUAAUUGUUCUGCCUAAGCCUACAUCCAGAUAUAAUCAUUUUUAGCUUUAAAUGUUGACAUUAUCUAUACAUAGCACAGGGAAAUAACACAUAAGUAGGGGAUGACAUGUAAACAAUUUAUAAGUUCAUUGGGUCACAUGGCAACACAAUGCCUAGUGUCUUGUCACGUCAUAAAUACAGAGCCAUAGAGAAGUGUCUCGUAGCGAGUAUAGAAACCAACUCUCUCUCAACUUCAGCUUUAACUCUGUCAUGGAUUGGGCGAUUUUAGUUGGCUGACCUUCUUCGAAGUUUAUGUACUUUAAUUUAACUUAAUGGUUCAAAAAAAUCGAAAGAUAUUGGUUAAAGUUUUCUAUAUUUUUUAAUUUCAAGUCCACGGUAAUGUUAAUCUUUUACCCAAUCUGAGUUUCGCCUUGCAAACAAAAUGUACAAAAAGGAUCCCUUUUGUUGAGCUGAGAGGGUCCUGAGAGAGAAACUUUAGUUCAUUCUUUUGUGGAAAUUGUGAAGAAAAUGCAGUUCCUCCUACAUAAGGAGAUAAGGAGAUCAAUAAAGUUGAGAUUUUCAAAAAAAAUUAAUAUUGAAUGAGGGUAUUUAUGCUUUUUGAUGAUAUCAACCUGAUUUUCUUGGUAUUUUCCAGGUCUUGAAAUUGCAAAACACGUCGUGCGUGUGAACACACGAACAGAGGAAUCUAUUUGAUGUGGAAUUUGGCUGUGUGCAAACGAAUUGACUAGACAAACAUACUUAGGUGCUUUUGUUUUUGCUUUUGCUUUCACAAGAGGGUCGGACAAAGACUUGAGGAUGGACUUGCGUAUAUUUUAAGCAAAGAAAACUUAUUUCAUCUUUAUUUCUUAAGGAAGUUCACUCUCUCUCCUAAGUCAUAUAGACUUCAUUGGAUUAGUCUUGCUAGUACUCAGAUCCACAUAAAUCAGGUCCAUCACAAAAUUGCUAAUCAAAUAAAUUGUACAUGGAUCACCAAAAAAUAUAUGGAUGUGAUCACAAUGGGUCUACAGACCAUGAUCCAUGCAACUAUUUUCAUGUAAUGGUUAGUUGAUUAACCGAUAUUAGUCAUAAUGCAAACUGUUGCAAUUUGUAAAAAUUUGAAAAGCUUUAUUUCACAAUUGACAUCCAUUACUUUGUGAUGUGACAAUUGGGGGCCUUCCUAGAAUGCGUUUUGGAAAGAUCGUAGAAACAUCCACGUAAGGACCAAAUAUUUUUUUUUUUUUUUUCUUCUUUUUUUAGCAUAAUUUUCUUUCUUAUUGGAGCCAAACCCAGACUUUUGACUUAAUCAUGGUUAAAAUUGACUGCUUUUCGCCAAUGUCAGGAAUGUAAUCUAGGCGAUGACGUCUCUAAAUGAUCAAUGGAUUUGAACCUUUCUCUGGCUCCAUUGAAUGAAGUCUAGAUUUAUUAUUCACACACGCACAUACACAUAAAAUGUUACCAUGUCCUGAACAUGUCAUUAUGUCUUUUUUAAGAUGGGCACCAAGUUUGAAAUCUAAUAUUAUGCAAUUGUAUUGAAUCACUAUCCGUGCGUGCAGACAUCUAAAAUAUUUUAUCAAUGUUGAUUAUUAACUUAAUAGAAAUAUUAGGCUUCUCAUACAAGCAACUCAAUUUAGGAAACAAGAAGUGAGAGGAAAGAGGCUCGCGAAUCAAUUAGAAUUGCAUCCACGAUGGACUAGUGGUGGGCCUACUUACGUUAUGCUCACUUAGCUAGAAAAAUCUAUAUUUAUCACCUAAUUUUCUGCAUCUGUUGCAAAUGUUUUGUAUGUGUGAUGUACUUUAGAUCGGUAGUAAAGAGUAGCAUAAAUUCAUCACAUGGAACAACUUUUCAAUGCAAGGAUUCAGCCCCUACCUCUUGUUCUCCCAUUUUUCUUAUCUUUCUCUUGUUCUCUCUGAAUAGAGCAAGAGUUCCCAUUGGCAAGAUAGUAUCUCCUGCAAGGGUUAAUUUCUACACACGACUCGACUGCAAUUGGGAGUAUAAUUUUAAAUGUCAUUUUUUAGUAUCAACUUUAAAAAUAUCAAAGUUGUGACUAUUUGAGCUUUCUACACAGUAGUGGCGUGGGUACUGCAUUGAUUGACUUAAAAUAAACAUCUCAACAACUAGGCUUCUUGCAAAUAUCCAACUCAAAGCGUGAGAAAUACCUGUCCAGACCUUGACCCUUGGAUCAUGUGCAAUCAUAAUCAUUAAAAACUCAAGGGAGUUCUGUAAACCCAGGUGACUCACAGCUAUGGUUGACUCCAGGUCACGCCGAUGUGAUUGACAAUGUCAGACAAAAAAUUAAACCCCGAAACNNNNNNNNNNNNNNNNNNNNNNNNNNNNNNNNNNNNNNNNNNNNNNNNNNNNNNNNNNNNNNNNNNNNNNNNNNNNNNNNNNNNNNNNNNNNNNNNNNNNAAAAUCAAUGAAAAAGGAUCGUUGUCCAAUGACUAAUGAUAUACUUGGAAACUACAGGAGACAAGGAAAAGUAGGGCAACUAAGGCUUUGUUUGUUUGAUGGAAAAUAACUCGUUUCGUGGAAAAUGAACAAGUCAAGGAAAUCAUUCUUUGCCGUUAAAAAAAACACUUUCAAAAGUGAGGAAAAUAUUAUUUACUUUUCAGAAAGUGCAAAACAUUUUCCAUAAUUUCUUUCACAUCACUUUCUUUCACCAAACACAUUUUCUUUUUACUUUUAUGUUUUCUUUUUUUUUAAAAAGUGAUUUUUUUAAUUAUUUCUUCUUUUUCUUUUUCUUUUUUCCUUCCUUUUCUUUUUCUUCUUCCUUGGUUGGUCAUUGGCCACAGGCCAGCUCGAGCCUCGCCACAAGUCAGCGAGGCUCAAGCUCACUAGAUACUGGCUAGGCUUGAGCUCGCCAGCUUAUGGCAAGGCGAGUGAGGCUCUAUCUUACCUAAUCCAAUGAGCUCAAGUUCACCUUGCCAAAUUUGGCAAGGCCCAAGCUCGCCUAGCUUGCUGGAUCUGAUAAGGCUUGAGCUCGCCCGACCCACCAUAGGUGAGCUCGAGCUCGCCAACCUUGGCGGAGCUCAGGCUUGCUUGGAUCAACUAAGCCUUGAGCCCGCCAAUCCACGUCUUGGUUAGUCACCAAGUAGCUAGCCAUCAUCAAGGCACGUGGCGGCGGAGGAAGGAGGAGGAAGAAGGAAGAAGAAGGAAGGAAAAGAAAAAGAAGAACAGAAAAAAAAAUUAAAAAAUUAAAAAAUAUUCAAAAUUCAAAAUUAAAAAAUAUAUAAAUUAAAAUUAUUUUUAUGGUCAAUUUAGAAACAUUAAAAUUCAAAUUUUUUGGUAAUUUUUCUAACAAAAUCAAAUCAAAUACCGAACAAUGAAAAUUUCCACUUCAUUUUUAAGUUUCAAUCAAAUAUCGAAAAAUAGAGAGAUUUACCAAAAAAGUCCUAAACCUAUUACAAUUGUGCCAAUUCAGUCCUAAACUUUUUUUUUGUCCAAUUUAGUCCUAAACCUUUUAUAAUUGUGUCAAUUCAGUCCAUCCGGCCAAAAUUGGCCGGCCGGCGCUGACAUGGACGCCAGUGGGGGACAGCCGGCCGGCAAGGUAAUUUUUUAAUAUUUUUUAUUAUAUAUUUUUAUUUUUUUCGAAUUUUUAAUUCUUUUUAAUUCUUUUUUUUUUUUGGCCUUCUUCUCCUUUCUCUGGCCGGAUGCCGGCCAGAGGUGAGGGCCGGCGAGGCUAACCUCGCCGGCCACUGGCAAGGCUCGCCCCGCCGGCCACUGGCGGAGGCAAGCCUCACCCAACGACGGCGGCCUCGUCGUCGCUGGGCGAGGCCGAGCCUCGCCAGAUCUGGCGAGCUCGGCCCUCGCCGGCCACUAGCGAGGGUGAGGCCCUGCCGCGCUGAGUGGUGUAGUCGAGGAACUCGCGGAGGAGCUCGNNNNNNNNNNNNNNNNNNNNNNNNNNNNNNNNNNNNNNNNNNNNNNNNNNNNNNNNNNNNNNNNNNNNNNNNNNNNNNNNNNNNNNNNNNNNNNNNNNNNNNNNNNNNNNNNNNNNNNNNNNNNNNNNNNNNNNNNNNNNNNNNNNNNNNNNNNNNNNNNNNNNNNNNNNNNNNNNNNNNNNNNNNNNNNNNNNNNNNNNNNNNNNNNNNNNNNNNNNNNNNNNNNNNNNNNNNNNNNNNNNNNNNNNNNNNNNNNNNNNNNNNNNNNNNNNNNNNNNNNNNNNNNNNNNNNNNNNNNNNNNNNNNNNNNNNNNNNNNNNNNNNNNNNNNNNNNNNNNNNNNNNNNNNNNNNNNNNNNNNNNNNNNNNNNNNNNNNNNNNNNNNNNNNNNNNNNNNNNNNNNNNNNNNNNNNNNNNNNNNNNNNNNNNNNNNNNNNNNNNNNNNNNNNNNNNNNNNNNNNNNNNNNNNNNNNNNNNNNNNNNNNNNNNNNNNNNNNNNNNNNNNNNNNNNNNNNNNNNNNNNNNNNNNNNNNNNNNNNNNNNNNNNNNNNNNNNNNNNNNNNNNNNNNNNNNNNNNNNNNNNNNNNNNNNNNNNNNNNNNNNNNNNNNNNNNNNNNNNNNNNNNNNNNNNNNNNNNNNNNNNNNNNNNNNNNNNNNNNNNNNNNNNNNNNNNNNNNNNNNNNNNNNNNNNNNNNNNNNNNNNNNNNNNNNNNNNNNNNNNNNNNNNNNNNNNNNNNNNNNNNNNNNNNNNNNNNNNNNNNNNNNNNNNNNNNNNNNNNNNNNNNNNNNNNNNNNNNNNNNNNNNNNNNNNNNNNNNNNNNNNNNNNNNNNNNNNNNNNNNNNNNNNNNNNNNNNNNNNNNNNNNNNNNNNNNNNNNNNNNNNNNNNNNNNNNNNNNNNNNNNNNNNNNNNNNNNNNNNNNNNNNNNNNNNNNNNNNNNNNNNNNNNNNNNNNNNNNNNNNNNNNNNNNNNNNNNNNNNNNNNNNNNNNNNNNNNNNNNNNNNNNNNNNNNNNNNNNNNNNNNNNNNNNNNNNNNNNNNNNNNNNNNNNNNNNNNNNNNNNNNNNNNNNNNNNNNNNNNNNNNNNNNNNNNNNNNNNNNNNNNNNNNNNNNNNNNNNNNNNNNNNNNNNNNNNNNNNNNNNNNNNNNNNNNNNNNNNNNNNNNNNNNNNNNNNNNNNNNNNNNNNNNNNNNNNNNNNNNNNNNNNNNNNNNNNNNNNNNNNNNNNNNNNNNNNNNNNNNNNNNNNNNNNNNNNNNNNNNNNNNNNNNNNNNNNNNNNNNNNNNNNNNNNNNNNNNNNNNNNNNNNNNNNNNNNNNNNNNNNNNNNNNNNNNNNNNNNNNNNNNNNNNNNNNNNNNNNNNNNNNNNNNNNNNNNNNNNNNNNNNNNNNNNNNNNNNNNNNNNNNNNNNNNNNNNNNNNNNNNNNNNNNNNNNNNNNNNNNNNNNNNNNNNNNNNNNNNNNNNNNNNNNNNNNNNNNNNNNNNNNNNNNNNNNNNNNNNNNNNNNNNNNNNNNNNNNNNNNNNNNNNNNNNNNNNNNNNNNNNNNNNNNNNNNNNNNNNNNNNNNNNNNNNNNNNNNNNNNNNNNNNNNNNNNNNNNNNNNNNNNNNNNNNNNNNNNNNNNNNNNNNNNNNNNNNNNNNNNNNNNNNNNNNNNNNNNNNNNNNNNNNNNNNNNNNNNNNNNNNNNNNNNNNNNNNNNNNNNNNNNNNNNNNNNNNNNNNNNNNNNNNNNNNNNNNNNNNNNNNNNNNNNNNNNNNNNNNNNNNNNNNNNNNNNNNNNNNNNNNNNNNNNNNNNNNNNNNNNNNNNNNNNNNNNNNNNNNNNNNNNNNNNNNNNNNNNNNNNNNNNNNNNNNNNNNNNNNNNNNNNNNNNNNNNNNNNNNNNNNNNNNNNNNNNNNNNNNNNNNNNNNNNNNNNNNNNNNNNNNNNNNNNNNNNNNNNNNNNNNNNNNNNNNNNNNNNNNNNNNNNNNNNNNNNNNNNNNNNNNNNNNNNNNNNNNNNNNNNNNNNNNNNNNNNNNNNNNNNNNNNNNNNNNNNNNNNNNNNNNNNNNNNNNNNNNNNNNNNNNNNNNNNNNNNNNNNNNNNNNNNNNNNNNNNNNNNNNNNNNNNNNNNNNNNNNNNNNNNNNNNNNNNNNNNNNNNNNNNNNNNNNNNNNNNNNNNNNNNNNNNNNNNNNNNNNNNNNNNNNNNNNNNNNNNNNNNNNNNNNNNNNNNNNNNNNNNNNNNNNNNNNNNNNNNNNNNNNNNNNNNNNNNNNNNNNNNNNNNNNNNNNNNNNNNNNNNNNNNNNNNNNNNNNNNNNNNNNNNNNNNNNNNNNNNNNNNNNNNNNNNNNNNNNNNNNNNNNNNNNNNNNNNNNNNNNNNNNNNNNNNNNNNNNNNNNNNNNNNNNNNNNNNNNNNNNNNNNNNNNNNNNNNNNNNNNNNNNNNNNNNNNNNNNNNNNNNNNNNNNNNNNNNNNNNNNNNNNNNNNNNNNNNNNNNNNNNNNNNNNNNNNNNNNNNNNNNNNNNNNNNNNNNNNNNNNNNNNNNNNNNNNNNNNNNNNNNNNNNNNNNNNNNNNNNNNNNNNNNNNNNNNNNNNNNNNNNNNNNNNNNNNNNNNNNNNNNNNNNNNNNNNNNNNNNNNNNNNNNNNNNNNNNNNNNNNNNNNNNNAUUCAAUGCUUUCUCUUUUGCCUUCACAACAGGGUCAGACAAAGACUUGACGAUGGACUUGUGUAUGUUCUAAGCAAAGACAAAAGGUCAAAAAUUUGUUCUUAAUUCGAACUAUGCAAUUCAAUCAUGGCGUGAAUCCUACAAUCCCAAUCAAGAUAUUUUUCAUAGUGCAUUUCUAUUUGGACAUACACAGAAUAAUAAUAACAUAAGAUGAUUUAAGGGGAUGAUUAAAAAAAAAAACAGAUUAUUUCAAUUGGCACAUUAGGUCCACUCAAAUUUACAAAGCAAGCAUAAUGGAUCUCUUCCUUCAUUUCUAGGCUAGAAAAAGCAUUGAUUUUGUUCUGGUAAUUAAAUUAAAAAAGAAAAAAAAAAGAAUUAACUUUUCUCGGCUGGAGCCAAAUUCCAUUCUACUUUUGCUAAGCCAAACAAAGCAGAUCUUCUAACUUUCAAUCUAGAUUCGCGCUAAUCAGCGUGAUCAAUUGAUUCUUACCUUUAUUUCACUUACUACGCUUGAUGUACCACUAAAAUGCCAAUUGUUUAUGUUUGGUGUUCACACAAUCUUAAAUUUUUCAAUUAGAAUUUUGUUCAUGACCACCCCCUCCCCAAAAAAAAAAGAUCUAGCUCAUUAAUAUUCUAUUUGAAAGGCCCACAAUACUAAUCAAGUUUUUAUUAUUUUGUUCAGUAAAAUAUUUGAUAGUAACAAAAAAAUAAAGGGUGAGUUAUUUAAGAUUUGUAAUUUACAUAUAUAAUUACAAAAUGCAAAGGAUAAUAUUUGAACUUAUUGAGAUAAAGCUUGAACUCAUUUUAUAACGGUGAUUGUAUCGAGUCAGACUUGAGCUUGAGCUUGAUAUCUUGAUUUUUUUUUGGUCAAGCUCCAACUAGAAAUUGAUUUCUCUAUAACUCGAGUGGAGUUUCAAGCGAUCUAACAUUUGAUAGGAGUUGAGCUUGAGCUUCGCACUAACAGAUGCAUCUGAACAUUGGUAGGUUAGAGUGCGAAGCAAUGGUACUGAAAAGAAUAUCAAUAGUCGUUAAAACCAUAAAUAAAAAUUCAUGUCAUUCUAGAACUAUGUAGGGGUUGAAAGACAAGCCCAUGGAAAGAAAUAUGAACAUGCUGGCGACUCUCGAAUAUUUGUGCUUAAUUGUUUCUACGAGUAAAAAAAAAAAAAAAAAACAUCUCAGUAAUAAAAAACUUUAGCUCAGAAUAUACAAGAAGGAUAAUUAUUGCGUGAAAACUCAUUAAGAGGAAGUCCGCUGACAUAAUGCAACUCUGGCUUCACAACGCUAUCUUCUUCUGAACUGAAGCACUUAAACUGUCUUAGAACAUCAACUUUUAACGUAACCCCACUUUGUCAUUCAAAUCUCCACGAGCUCUUCAAAGUAAAAAGGCAUGCUGCCUGAUACCCUCAAUAACAAAUUGAAAGUAAAAGUGAUUGUUUACCGGACAGACCAGACCAGUCAUGUAUGAUUGUUUAGGACUGGGCAAUGGGCCAUGUCAGCCGUGUGGUCCAGACCCGUUGUGCUCCUAGGCCAAAUCACGCUCAUGGUCCCUAAUUAGCCGAUCCUGGCCUGACAAAUUUUUGAUGGACCAGUUGAGGCCACAUGGGCCCAACCUUAAGGAACUUUGGGGCUCCAAAAAUACAGUCAUUGGACAGUCACUUAUCUAGUGACCCAAUCCGGCCCAACGAUGGGCUACUCACUUGGUCAGGGAAUGGCCGGAAGGCCCCCAAUAGUUGAUUCGGAUUUUCAUUAAUUUUCCUCAAUUACUUUGUUUAUUAUUCAUAUUUUUUUUGGUUUAAAAAAAAUCAUUAAAUUAAAAACAACCCAAGCUCGAGCCAAUAGUGCCUUGGGCCGACCUAGUGUCCACUCCUACUGGCAAUUGGAGUUCGGGUCAGCAAUUUAAAGGCAAAGCGAGGGAAGACGUGGUGGAUAGUCCUAAAACCCUAUCGGCAACUGUAUUUACUUUUGCGAUAGGAAGUAAGAAUGUAAAGGAGGAGGUGGUCACAAAUCCUCAAAAUUCUCUCCCAAAAUCCCUCGGGCUUCUCCAUCCAAAUCCUCAGUUUAAAGAAGCAGAAGUAGCAGCAGAAGAAGAAGAAAAUCCAUCGGAAUGUCGGAAUGUCAGCAUCAACAAUGAACAAUAUGGUUUAGCAAUCGUGGGCAUCAAAUUCAGUGCAACUCGAAUUGGCAGUCAUGGCAACGAGAAACCUCUACGGUCUUUUCUUCUUGAAGUACAAAUCACAGGAUCUCUUUACAACCUCUAGCCAUGGUUCCGAAAGUUUAACAAAGAAAGUCUUUGAUACAAACUUCUCCAUAUUUCCAUAUGGAGAAAGAAUGAAACUUAAGCUUUUUGAAGGAAAUAUAGCUCUUAUGAUAUUUCUUAAGUACUUGAAGUUGUGAAGGACAAAAAAAAGUAAUAAAAGAAAUUUUUGACUAGGAACUAGCCAGAUUUGUCCCAUCUGCAAAAGUUGGUGCCUUUACUUGUCUCUCUUAAAAGUAGAGGUUAUGAUUGUCCUAAAAUGUAUAGUUAAUACCUCUUAGCAGGAAAAGCAUGUUAUACAUAAGACGUUGUGUAAGUAUAUGUUGUUUAUAGGAUGGAGGGGCCUAUCACCAUCUUCUGUUACCAUCUAAGAAAAUGUUGUCCAUGGUCACCUGCAACUUUAUAAAACUAAAAGAACUCUUUGCUGUUGUAAUUAUGGUUAUAAUUAUGGUUAAUAGAUCAACGAAAGUCAAUAAAUUAAUAUACAUCUUUUCUGUUCACGUAUCUCUUUUGGAUUCAUGAAUUUCCUAAUCUUUUAUGUUCACGUAUUUAUUGAGUUAAUGAAUUUCCUAGAUUCAUGUAUCUUUUAGUUCAUGUAUUUAUUGAGUUCAUGAAUCUCUUGAAUUCACGUAUCUUCGGAUUCAUAAAUCUCUUAGAUUCACGUAUCUCUUUAUUCAUGAAUCUCGUGGAUACACACGUCUAUUUAAUUCAUAUAUCUCUGUAGUAUAUGAACUAAAAAGCUCUAUAAAUAGAUAUGAGCAUAGAGCUUCAUUAGAGUUUUUGGUUUUUGGUUUUGGUUUUUCUGAAUCGAUUUCAAAAAGGCUUUGAUAUACUUUUCUACUCUUCUAUUUUAUCUGGAUGUGCUGGUUCAAUUGAACGGUUCGACAGAGUCCUGUUUGCAUAGUGUUAAUCCAAACAGGUUCGAUGUAUUGUAUCUUGGAAGGCAUAGUUCGUGAAUCUGCGGGGCACCUUUGGCAGGAACUAAUCGCCUUAAGGAGAUUCGAUUAUCCGUACAUCACCUCCAAUUUUAUGUUAUUUUUCCAGUGAUAUCUUAUUUUAUUCUUUUCCAAGAUUUAUAAGUUUACAUAAAAAGAAUGAUAUUGUAUAACUAUUAUCAUCUUCUUUAUAUUGAUGUUCUGAUUACAACAAAUAGUGUGUAUUCUUUAGAUAUAAUUUCCAACAUUUGCUCCUUCCUUCCGAGACUCCCAUAGCCCCUAACUUAAUUUUCCAUCACUGUCAUUAGGAAAGCAACUGUUUGCCUAUGCAUGUGACAAUCACAAUCACCGAUCCUCAUCUCUCUCCUCCUCUUAGUUCUCAUUGUCAUGACUCGUGGAGAGAAAACGGAUUUAGAAUUAACCAACAGUCCUCAAUCAGCGUAAGUUCUCCUAGGCUCUUACUUUGCACGAUAUUGGGAAGUCACUUCAUUUUAUUAACCUAUCAAAACUGAGUCACCAGUAGCUACUAAGACUAGUUAGAGCCAAGUGAGAUGUAGGAAUAUACCUCACAUCCUACACAAUCAAAGAUCUAAGUACGAAGACUUAAUUACACUAAUUAUCCAAUUAAUAUUAUUUCCGUAUCUAAACUUGAUUAUUUGUCAACCAACUGUCACAUGCAAGUUUUUUUUUUUUUUUUUAUAUAUCCAAUUAUGAAUUCUAAUGUUCUUAUUUACUAAAUGUACAUGCAACAUUUUUGCAUUUAUUAUGAUCCUAAAAUACAAUCUCACCAUUCAACUAAAAUGAGGAAAUCACCACAUUGAAGCAAUAUAAAAGAAUCAUUUCAUCAAAGAUAGUAAUAAAAGAAAGACUAAAAGAACAAAAAAAAAAAAAAAGGCAAUAAAAUAAUCCGAUGCGAGCUGAGUAAAGAAUAUAAUAUGACAUUGUUAUUGAGUAUCCAAACAACAACCCCAUGAGUUAAAUUCAAAACAAAUCCAAUUUCUUGAGAAAAUGCUAAUCUAUCUAAACCCAAGAUAUCCAUUAAAAUCCCUAAACUAUAUGUAUACCAACUAUGGUCCAGCCUAAGGACCUUAAAAAAAAAAAAGCCGUGGUUAUCGGAGCCCCCGUUCCACGUAAAUAAAAUGGAAGGGUUAACCGCGGGGGGAUUUGUAACCAAAUUUUGGAAACACCCCUCGGCUUGAUCCUAGCUCUGCUGCACUGGCCUCUCGACGACUGCCAGUCCAGUAUCUUGGAAGUGAUGGCAGUAGGAUAUGAAACUAACUAUAAUAUUAAAAUCUACAACCAAAUGAAAGCCUGUUUUUCUAAUCAUUUUCGAAUUCUUUGUAUUAGAAAUUUUUUUUUUUUUAAUUGGGCCGGCUUGUACGAAAGCUUGAUCUCUAGGUGGAGUGGGUUAGAAUUUAAGAAAACAUGUAGGCCCUUGUAAACGAAAUGGGCUUGCUUGCUAAAGCCCAACCUGCGUAUAGCCGAAACAAAGUCCAGAUCUAUCAGACCAAAUUAGGCUCAUAUUCACCAAACCAAGCAAAGCCCAAUUUCAUUAAGCUAAUAAAACCCAAAGCUCAUUAAGCCUAAUUAAGCCUAUUUUUUUAUUCUCUAUUUUUUUCUCUUUUCUUCUCCCUUUUUUCAAUUUUAUUUUAUGCACUAUGUCUCCUCACUUUGAAUUCGGUGCUCUAAGCCAAAGAAGCUGUGGAAAUAGAAGUUGCCAAAAUGCCGUGACUGCUCAAAAUUCGUAAUUGGAAAUCGCAAACCCACCUGAUGAAUUGUUCUAUAAAUGCCGCAUCCCCAUAUGAGAAUGAGACUAUUGCAAGGAUUAACUACAAUAGCUGGAUGAUAGGCCACUCUCAGAAUCUGCAGUUAAAAUUCUGACUGGAGGUGCACAACCCUAGUCUUGGGGAGAGAUGAUAGAAUUCGACGAAUGAAGAGAAUUUCUAUGGGGUCUAUUCUCGGCAUCAAAGACUGAUGGCCUUGCCUUGGAAGCAAUGGACUUUAGAAGCGAGUCAGUUAUAGUUGGCUUUUUCCCAUGCUGACCUCUGCUAUCGAGAAGAUCGUCAACAGCUUGAAGCUGUGCAUCUGAAAGCAGAGCUUGAAGAUCCACUUUGCUGAAUCCUUCUAUCAUAUGAGCUAUAGCAUCAAAGUCCACAUCACUGGCCAAAGGAAGCUGCACAAGGGCAUUAAAGCAUACACUUAGCAAAACUUCAACAUUGCCUGAUGGUUGCCAUUUUCGCUGACUGAUCAUACAGAAACGGAGAAAUAUAAUUAAUUGAAUCCACCCAAUAUCUUCCUAAUUAGUGAAAAGAAAAGAAAAGGAGAGGAUGGUGAUGUCUCAGAAAGGUUAUACUAAAUGAUACCCAAAGGUAAGUCUUAGUCCCGUCUCAUGGAUUUUCAGCUAUAAAAGCCUUUCUCAUUUUAUUUUUUUUCUGAGCAUCAUUGGUAGAUGUUAAAGCUACCAGUCUCAAGGUCCGAGGUUGAAAGUGAUUUACUACUGAACAUCUAAACUUUACCUGAGCCUCACCUGAGCAUGUUGCAGAUUCAACCCACAACGCCUUUUACAAUGUUCUCUUGUAAUUGACAAUGUUUAGGGUGAUUUGGGGUGCAAGGACUUUUAGAGAACUCCACGGAGAAGGGGUUUUAACUUUUAACUCAACGUGUUUCGCCAAAUGUACUCUGUCAGAUGCCAUAAGUUCUAAACAGGAUCUUAGCUGCUUAAAUCGACUAUGUUUCUAACUCUUUUUGUUUGUUUUAAGCAAUUUCCUGUUCAUAUGAAAUCUCUCCUAUGCAUCUUUCUAGAAAAAAGUAGGAUUGUGGUCAUAUAGUUCUUUAACAAGCAAUCCCAUAAAUUUCAAUAUGUGCAACCUGUUUCAGACCAUGUAAAAAAUGAAAUGCUAAAAGCAAAAAAACUGGCAUAUGGAUGGAAGCUAAGGCCCUGUUUGAUAAAUUUUGUUUCUAUUCCUCAGAAUAACUAUUUCUAUUCUUUUGUUCUAGGGAAUAAGAAAAGAACAGAAACCUGUUUAGUAAAAUUUUUGUUCCCAUGAAACAAAAAAUCUAUUUUUUUUUUUUUGUUCUCGAGAAUAGAUUUGAAAUAGAAGUAAAAGUAGAAAAAACAAACUUCUUGUUCUCGGGAACAAUUUCUUAAAUUUAUUUUUUUCCUCUCUUAUCUCUUCUUCUCUUUCUUUUCUGCUUCUUCUUCUUCUUCAUUUUGGCCGGUUGCUGGCCAUGGCUGGCGACCUCGCCGGAGCGUCGCCGACCCUUGGAGACGUUGAGCCACGGCGAGGCUCGUCGGCUUGAGUUUUGCCAUGGCUGGGCGAGGCUGGCCUUGCUAGGCCACCUCUAGGAUGGUGUCGCUUGGCAGUGGCCCGACAAGGUCGAGCCUCGCUGAUAGCUAGGUGAGCUCGGCCUCGCUAGGUUUGGGUGACGUCUACCUCUGUCACGCCCCAAUUCUCGGGGACGCGCCCAUCCUUCGACUUGGUCGAUUUUCUUAGUGUGAUAUCCCAGGACUAUGUAUCGCAGACCCUUUCAUUUUUAAUAUGCAUGCGGAAGUAGUUAUAAAUCCCCAGACAAUAAAAUGAUGGGAUAGACAAGCAAGGCCAUAUUUUUCAUAUUGAAAUCCACAACCAUACUUUUAUACAGAGCAUAAUUCGAAGAGCUUCAGAAAACUAAUCACAACUUUUUAGUCUCAGUCUAUCCACAUAUAUACAGGGUUCACAAAAGAGGAUGGGAUUUCAGUCCUCAUCCAGAUAGACAAGAUCAAACUGAUCCUCCUUCAAUUCUUCUCCACUCAGCUCGUUUCUUUUAAACUCUUCAUCAUCUUCUUUAAGCUCAUUCUCGGCUCUAGAUGCUGGCUCAUCCUCACGUGAUCUGGGGGCCUGAAAUAUUAUCCCACAACCGGGAUGAGACUACGUCUCAGCAAGUUCUACCCCACUAAGACUCGAUUAGGAAACCAAUACGCUAUCCAGGCUGCCUAUGCACACACGGGUCAGAGGACUUACCUUGGCCUCAGAUUCCACCUGCAUAUUAGUACAGUUCAAUAGGCACCCAAGCAAUCACAUCACAGAUCGACAUCUUGAUCAAUCGACCUAGUCAAUUACUUGUUAAUCGAACCAUCCCAAGGUCAUUUCCAUUCAAUCAAUCAAUUCACGAAAUUAGAUUAAAGCAAUGAUCAAUCCACUUAGUCGGUUACAUAUCAAACGGACCAUUCUUGGUCAUUUCAAUCAAUACUGUCCAUUCUCUAAAAUAACCCAUCGGGUUAUCAAGCCAGUAAUUUAUACGAUUCAAUCUCCGAGAUGACACACUAAGUCACUGAGUCAUUAUAACAUACUAUUCAUUCUCCAAGAUAACGUAUUGAGUUACCGAGCUAGUAUAUUAUAAUAUUCAUUCUCCGAGAUGACAUAUAGAGUCACCGAGUAUAUUCAUCAUAACGUACAUUCUCCAAGAUAACAUGUCGAGCCACCGAGCUGUUAUGGCAUGUCGUCCAUUCUCCAAGAUGAUCUAUAGAAUCACCGAGCCGACAUUUAAUACAGUCCAUUCUCCAACAUGACUUAUAGGGUCAUCGAGCCGGUAUACAAGCAAUUCUUUCUCAAAAUGACAUGAGAGUCAUCGAGCUGUAAUAGUAUAACGUCCAUUCUCCAGAUGACAUACGAAUCAUCCAGCCGUUAUAGUAUUUUUUUUGUUCCGAAGACACAAUCAAUUUCACCCUUUUCAUCAUAUUUGAUAAAAGUACACGUGUGUGGGCACACGGUCGGCCUUAGCCAAAAUACAAUAAUUUCCUUUUUAUUCACUCACUCCCUUCAGCAGUACAAAAAUAGAUUUUUGACACUGUAGACCGACGCCCGGUAAUUUUCCACUCAAUUACCAAGGUUAUUCAAUUUCUGAAAUAAACAGCCACAACUACUAUUUGCACUCAAUUUGCACAACUAGGUACUCAAUUAAAUAAACAUAGAGCACCACUGAAAUCAGCACGAAAUUCCGAUCGUCGGCUAUCCCAGCCUAAUUUCCAGUAAUUAAAUAAUUAAUUAAUUAAUUUCAAAAAUUAAUAAUUAAAUACUAAAAAUCCAAUUUAUGCCCGUAUUGCCUAAUUGAAGCCCAAUAAGGGUCGGGACAAAUCCCGAGAUGCAUUCAAUAAAUAGUAUAGGCAGCUCUCUAGCUAAGUACACUAACCACCUAACUAAUAUGCAAUGCAAUUAACUAAUAAUCACUAAUCCAUUCUAGUCUAACCACCUAAUUGCACUUAAUUAAAUCUAAUCAACCCUUAAGCAUCAUUAGUCUACUAAGAAAGGAUUAGUGAGAUUACUCACUUGAUUUGCGAAGAACAGAACACCGCGACGGCGGCCGAACUUGGGCCCGCGACAAACUUGGGCCGGGCCAAUAAACUUUACAAGCCCAUAGAAAUUUCUGGGCUUGGGCCUGCUGGAAAUCCUAUCUUCGCUGAAGCUGGGCCGGGCUUCAAGACUGAAGACUUGGGCUGCUAUGGGAAUUCUUUUGUGGGUUGAACGUUUGAGGAUGCUGAGCCAAAUCCUUGCGCCCUCGUGGACGAUGAGGCUGCUGGGCCAAUAGGCUGAGGAAAUGAAGACGGCUGAAGACACGUGAUGGAGGAAGGCUGGCAGGGCAAAGGACGCUCGCCGGUGGGGACGAACGUUGCAGCAAGCGGCUGGGCUCUGGUCUUCGUAGCUGGGAGUCAACACACGGCCAGGGGAUGAAGCGGAUGAGUGGUAGACGGGCUCGCUGGUGGAGCGGUUUUUGCUGUGGACUGCUUCAAUCGGGCUGAGGGCAGACGGAAGACACGCAGAUGGAAGCUCGUUCGGUGGGCGUGUGGGGAAGGCACCGACUGGAGGCUCACGGCCAAAUGGCAGCAAAACAAAGCUGCUCGAUCAACCACUGAGUUUCGGUGGGCUUGCUGUUGUUGACUGAAGGAGUUCAGGCCAUGGAUGCGUGGAGUUGUGCGUGGAUGGAGAGAUCGUGAGCUUCAACGGCAGAGAAUUGGAGGAGCACGUGGGUUCUUCGGGCUUGCUGCUGGCAAUUCGGCAAAGGGGAAGAACGAUCAUGGGCGUGGGGAAUUGAGCUGGCCAGUUCACUCGGUGAGGAAGCAGAACCAAGACGAAGCAGUAGUUAAUCUUUGUUGCUGUGGGUGCGCGAAUUCCUGGGAAGAAAGAAUUGGCUGCACGAUCUGAUGGGGGGAGAGGGGUGAGAGAGAGAAUAGAUAUGAAGGAUGAGGGGCCCUUUGCUUUUAAUUCUCACACAAAUAUCUCCCAAAAACCAUUCUUAGCCAUGUAUAGUUUCCUUGGCUCACAAUGGACACUCAUGCACUCUUCUAGAAGCCAAAAUGGUCCAAAUGUUGUGGCUUGGUGGGGGUACACGAAUUUAGAGGAGGAUGGACUCAAUUGUACAUCAAUUCUCUCUUGAUUUACUUUCAAUUGAUUCCCAUAAUUUCAGUUGGUACUUAAAUGCCUCAAUUGAUCAUUUUCCUCGUCCAAGAACCCAUAUUGCAUCUCAAUUUUGCCUCCAAAACUAAUCCUCGGCUUGUUCUGCACAAAAACGGCCCUGCGAUGACUUUUCCUCAAAAAGUCUCGGUUGUCAGAAAAAUCUUCUGAGACUGAGUCAAUACUUUUAGAAUUUAUUGUGACAUGAUGGAAACUUCGAUUUCCAAAAUCGGACUUGAAUUCGCGGUUAAUUUCCAUUUGGCGCUUUUUAGCGUGACCUAAACUAUCGGGUAGUUUUCAGAACUUUUUAGGGCAAAUGACCCAUGGCCGAUUUUCUUCGAGCCAUUAUGAACCCACUCGACUCAAUGGGGACUCUCGAUUGUCGUGAAAAUCUCAAGGAUUCAAUUACGGACACAGGAUACCAAAACGAUAGUAAAAUCAAAUUUGUGUCGGUCAAUGAGAAUUUCCCAAUUUAGUGGAGUCACUCACGAUCGGCUAAACAUCUCAGUCGAACAGAUCUAUCUCUAAUCUCAAAUCGAUUUUCUUAACUGUGUCGUAAUGGCCUCUGAAGACAAUCACGGUCAAGAAGCCGAUUUUUAGUCGAAUUUUUUAGUCUAUUUGCCUUAAAGUCCUUAAUAGCUUCCCCGAAUAGUCUAGUUAUCUCGAGAGUGAUCAGCUCUAAGAACAACUCUAUAGGCGUGUCAAUGAAAUGCCCGAUUAAUUCAAUAGAAAAUAGAUCUGAAAAUUCGGGAUGUCACAACUCUUCCCCUCUUAUAAAAAUUUCGUCCUCAAAAUUUAAACCUUACAUACUUUGAUAAAAAAGGUGGGGGUACAAUUCUCUCAUCGACUCUUCAGUUUCCUAGGUCGCGUCUUCUGUACCGUGGUGUUGUCAGACCACUUUGAACAACGGAAUGGUCUUUGUACACAGAACUUGCUCUUUACGAUCGACGAUCUGGACCAGGCUUUCAACGUAUGACACAUGGUCAUCCACGUCCAAUUCCUUAAAAUUGAGCACAUGGGUCGGGUCAGGCUCGUACUUCCCUAACAUCGACACGUGAAAGACGUCAUGCACUUGCGCCAUUCUUGGCGGCAAUGCAAGACGAUACGUUAGGUUCCCAAUUCUUUCAAGAAUCUCAAACGGACCUACGUACCUCGGACUCAGUUUGCCUUUCUUACCAAAAUGCGAAGUUCCUCUCAUUGGUGACACUUUCAGAAAAACUUGAUCACCAACUUGGAAUUCCAAAGACCUUGGAUGCUUAUCUGCAUAACUUUUCUGCCUGCUUUGCGCUGUCUUUAAUUUGCAUCUGAUCACCGUCACGGCAUCUACUGACUGCUGAACCAACUCUAGGCUUGUGAUUUUUCUUUCCCUGACUUCGUCCCAACACACUGGAGUCCUACAUGCUCUACCAUACAAUGCUUCAAAUGGAGCCAUCUAGAUGCUCUGCUGAUAACUGUUAUUGUAAGCGAAUUCCACCAGAUGAAGCCGAUCUUCUCAACUUCCUUUGAAAUCUAUUACAUAAGCUCUCAGCAUGUCCUCGAGAGUUUGAAUUGUCCUCUCAGACUGGCCAUCCGUCUGAGGAUGAUACGCCGUACUAUACUGAAGUUUUGUACUUAGCGCACUCUGCAAGCUCUUCCAAAAAGCAGCAGUAAAUCUCGGGUCUCUAUCUGACGUUAUCGUAACUGGCACUCCAUGCAUACGAACCACCUGACGCACAUACAGGUCUGCGUGUCUAUCCAGACUCAGGUCCUUUUGAACUGCAAUGAAGUGAGCCGACUUCGUCAAUCUAUCAACCACUACCCAAAUUGAAUCAUUCCAUCUUUGACUCCUUGGUAGUCCAGUCACGAAGUCCAUCGUGAUAUGCUCCCACUUCCAUUUUGGGAUCGUGAGAGGUUGCAGAAGUCCUCCUGACUUGUAAUGUUGGGCCUUUACUUGUUGACAUGUCAAACCUUUGGCGACAUGCUUGGCAAUGUCCGCCUUCAUACCUGGCCACCAAUAGUGUUGAUGCAGAUUCUGAUACAUUUUAGUACUUCCAGGAUGAAUGCUGUAACUACUACGAUGUGCUUCAGAUAAAAUUUCUUCUCUAAGCUCCACGAGCCAAACCUUUUUAUACAUAUGGUAUUAAAGUUAUACCUAAGCAAACCCGUCAAGUACAACUAUAGUCAGAGAUUCAUCUUUCUACCACUUUAUUACAACAACAAAAAUUUUUACAACCUUCACUCAAAAUUCUGCUGCGCUACUCUGAUAAAAACACCUCAAAAACAUUCUUCCAUUGCUCGGUGCCUAAUUGGUCCAUUCUUGUUCCUUGCGUCGUUCUAGUGGUGUUCUAUCUGCGGUGCUUUCCCUUUGUCCGAUCCUCUGGUGAUGGCGUACACUCUUCCCUGCUCUGGGGAUCUGUUCCGCAUAGCCAUACCUGUAAUCGCGUCAGGCACAGCUUCUGCCUGACCUUGUGUGAUGGCAUACACUGUGCCCUGAACUGGUGGUCUCAGCUGACCUCCCUGUGGCACGUUUUGAGGGGCGUACCCUCUAAUCUAUCCCACUAGCGGCGGUGACGGCAAUGGUAACUACAGUUGUCCUCUUAGCUUCCUUGGACAAUCUCUAGCCAGGUGGCCUGGCUGACCACACUCGUAACAAGCACCCAUCAUUCGAAGGCACUGGUUCGGUCCAUGUCACCUUCCACAAGCGCGACAUAAAUCAUUCCUGGUUGGCACUGGCUUGCCAACUCCUCCUCUCCUAUCAGGCAAAAUCGGGAAUCUAUUCUCAGGCAUGGCCUCUUCCCAUGGUGAAUACUCUCUCUGUGCCAGCUGAACCUCGAUCCAGAUGAGGCAGCUUGCUCAUUCAAUCCUCGCUCUAUCAUCUGAGCUCGACGAUAAACUUCUCUAUAAUCCUUCAAGUCCCAAGGUAACAAAGGUUGUUUCAAUUCAGUACGAAGACCACUUUUGAAUUUCCGAGCUUUCUCUUCAGGGUCUUCUAUAAGUUUAGGAGCAUAUUGUGACAGUUCUGCGAACUUGACCCCAUAUUGGUCAACUGUCAUGCUCCCUUGGCGGAGACGGUGGAACUCAUCUAUCUUUUGUUCCUGAGCAGUACUCGAAAAAGUACUGAUCAUUAAAGGCUCUGAGGAAGGUGUCCCACACCUGGACCACACCUUCCGGGAACACUGUAUCCUUGGCAGCUCUCCACCAUAUAUUGGCGUUACCUUGAAGUUGAUACACAGCUAGUAACACCUUUUCCUCCUCAUUGCACAUCAGAAGUGCAAAUGCCUUCUCCAAAUCCUCUACCCACAGAGACGCGAGCUUAGGGUCUCCGGUACCAAUGAAUCUUGGCGGAUUCAUUUUUAAGAACUGAUCCACUAACUGGUGAAUCGGCCUCCCAGCGGCCACAACUCCUGGUAGUAUUUCAGCAAGGGCGACGGCAGGUGCAACUGCAGGUGCGGAGACAGAGGCGGCUUGAGCAGUAGCGGCAGUUGCGGCAGUGGCAGCGGCCUGAGCAGCGGCUUCAACUAUAGCGGCUUGUUGAUCCAUUCUCACACCCAUUGCUUCCAGAACACGCAAGAUCCCAUCCAACAUGGGAUCAUUAGGGGCUGCUACCCUGGCAUCUACGACAGGUGGAAUCACUCCACUCGUGCUAGCCUGUGCUAGCGCUCGACCACGUUCGCCUCGAGUCCCGACACGAGUCGGAGCUUUACCCCGAACAACGGCCCUACUGGUCCUCUUAACAGGAGUCCUCGACUCCUGAUCGCUCGUAGUGUUGUUUUAAAUCUACCAACACCUGUUUUCAAUUCAACACCGAAUUAGAAACAGAGCAAUCCAAACAACAAGCAAUUUUAGCAUCCAGCUAACACAGACAUGCACAAGCAUCAAUUUAAAGGCCUUUCUUGUUACUAUCCCAAGACUCAUCACUCCUUAUCACUCCAAUCUUAAACUUCGCUCUGAUACCACAAAAAGGGGAUGUCACGCCCCAAUUCUCGGGGACGCACCCAUCCUUCUACUUGGUCGAUUUUCUUAGUGCGAUAUCCCAGGAUUAUGUAUCGCCAACCCUUUUCAUUUUUAAUAUGCAUGCGAAAGCAGUUAUAAAUCCCCAGACAAUAAAACGAUGGGAUAGACAAGCAAUGCCAUAUUUUUCAUAAUGAAUUCCACAACCAUACUUUCAUACAAAGCAUAAUUCAAAGAGCUUCACAAAACUAACCACAACUUUUUAGUCUCAGUCUAUCCACAUAUAUACAGGGUUCACAAAAGAGGAUGGGAUCUCAGUCCUCAUCCAUAUAGUCAAGAUCAAAAUGAUAAAUUCUUCUCCACUCAGCUCGUUUUUUUAAACUCUUCAUCAUCUUCUUUAAGCUCAUCCUCGGCUCUAGAUGCCGGCUCAUCCUCACGUGAUCUAGGGGCCUGAAAUAUUAUCCCACAACCAGGAUGAAAUUACGUCUCAGUAAGGUCUACCCUACUAAGACUUGAUUAGGAAACCAAUACGCUAUCCAGGCUGUCUAUGCACACACGGGUCAAAGGACUUACCUUGGCCUCAGAUUCCACCUGCAUAUUAGUACAGUUCAAUAGGCACCCAAGCAAUCACAUCACAUAUCGACAUCUCGAUCAAUCGACCUAGUCGAUUACUUGUUAAUCGGACCAUCCCAAGGUCAUUUCCAUUCAAUCAUUCAAUUCAUGAAAUCAGAUUAAAGCAAAGAUCAAUCCACUUAGUCGGUUACAUAUCAAACGGACCAUUCUUGGUCAUUUCAGUCAAUACUGUCCAUUCUCUAAAAUAACCCAUCGGGUUAUCAAGCCAGUAAUUUAUACGAUUCAAUCUCUGAGAUGACACACUAAGUCACCGAGUCAUUAUAACAUACUAUUCAUUCUCCAAGAUAACGUAUUGAGUUACCGAGCUAGUAUAUUAUAAUAUUCAUUCUCCGAGAUGACAUAUAGAGUCACCGAGUAUAUUCAUCAUAACGUACAUUCUCCAAGAUAACAUGUCGAGCCACCGAGCUGUUAUGGCAUGUCGUCCAUUCUCCAAGAUGAUCUAUAGAAUCACCGAGCCGACAUUUAAUACAGUCCAUUCUCCAAGAUGACCUAUAGGGUCAUCGAGCCGGUAUACAAGCAAUUCUUUCUCAAAAUGACAUGAGAGUCAUCGAGCUGUAAUAGUAUAACGUCCAUUCUCCAGAUGACAUACGAAUCAUCCAGCCGUUAUAGUAUUUUUUUGUUCCGAAGACACGAUCAAUUUCACCCUUUUCAUCAUAUUUGAUAGAAGUACACAUGUGUGGGCACACAGUCGGCCUUAGCCAAAAUACAAUAAUUUCCUUUUUAUUCACUCACUCCCUUCAGCAGUACAAAAAUAGAUUUUUGACGCUGUAGACCGACGCCCGGUAAUUUUCCACUCAAUUACCAAGGUUAUUCAAUUUCUGAAAUAAACAUCCACAACUACUAUUUGCACUCAAUUUGCACAACCAGGUACUCAAUUAAAUAAACAUAGAGCACCACUAAAAUCAGCACGAAAUUCAGAUCGUCGACUAUCCCAGCCUAAUUUCCGGUAAUUAAAUAAUUAAUUAAUUAAUUUCAAAAAUUAAUAAUUAAAUACUAAAAAUCCAAUUUAUGCCCGUAUUGCCUAAUUGAAGCCCAAUAAGGGUCGGGACAAAUCCUGAGAUGCAUUCAAUAAAUAGUAUAGGCAGCUCUCUAGCUAAGUACACUAACCACCUAACUAAAUGCAAUAUAAUUAACUAAUAAUCACUAAUCCAUUCUAGUCUAACCACCUAAUUGCACUUAAUUAAAUCUAAUCAACCCUUAAGCAUCAUUAGUCUACUAAGAAAGGAUUAGUGAGAUUACUCACUUGAUUUGCGAAGAAUGGAACACCGCGAUGGCGGCUGAACUUGGGCCCGCGACAAACUUGGGCCGGGCCAAUAAACUUUACAAGCCCACAGAAAUUUCUAGGCUUGGGCCUGCUGGAAAUCUUGGGCUGAACUUGAUCUGGGCUUCAAGACUGGGCUUAAAUGGGUUUGAAACAAAGCUGAACUGGGCCUGUCUUCGCUGAAGCUGGGCCGGGCUUCAAGUGGCUGAGUUGCUGGACUUCACUGAAUUGGGCCGGGCUUCAAGACUGAAGACUUGGGCUGCUGUGGGAAUUUUUUUGUGGGUUGAACGUGUGAGGAUGCUAGGCCAAAUCCUUGCGGCCUCGUGGAUGCUGAGGAAGUUGGGCCGAUAGGCUGAGGAAAUGAAGACGGCUGAAGACACGUGAUGGAGGAAGGCUGGCAGGGGGAAAGAUGUUCGCUGGUGGGGAUGAACGUGGCAGCAAGCGGCUGGGCUCCGGUCUUCGUAGCUGGGAGUCAACACAUAGCCAGGGGAUGAAGCGAAUGAGUGGCAGACGGGCUUGCUGGUGGAGCAAUUUUUGAUGUGGACUGCUUCAAUUGGGCUGAGGGCAGAUGGAAGACACGCAGAUGGAAGCUCGUUUAGUGGGCAUGUGGGGAAGGCACCGACUGGAGGCUCACGGCCAAAUGGCAGCAAAACAAAGCUGCUCGGUCAACCACUGAGUUUCGGUGGGCUUGUUGCUGUUGACCGAAGGAGUUUAGGCCAUGGACGCGUGGAGUUGUGCGUGGAUGGAGAGAUCACGAGCGUCAACGGCAGAGAAUUGGAGGAGCACGUGGGUUCUUCGGGCUUGCUGUUGGCAAUUCGGCAAAGGGGAAGAACGAUCGUGGGCGUGGGGAAUUGAGCUGGCCAGUUUGCUCGGUGGGGAAGCAGAACCAAGUCGAAGCAGCAGUUAAUCUUUGUUGCUGUGGAUGCGCGAGUUCCCGGGAAGAAAGAAUUGGCUGCAUGAUCUGAUGGGGGGGAGAGGGGGUGAGAGAGAGGAUAGAUAUGAAGGAUGAGGGGCCAUUUGCUUUUAAUUCUCACACAAAUAUCUCCUAAAAACCAUUCUUAGCCAUGUUUAGUUUCCUUGGCUCACAAUGGACCACUCAUGCACUCUUCUAGAAGCCAAAAUGGUCCAAAUGUUGUGGCUUAGUGGGGGUACACGAAUUUAGAGGAGGAUGAACUCAAUUGUACAUCAAUUCUCUCUUGAUUUACUUUCAAUUGAUUCCCAUAAUUUCAAUUGGUACUUCAAUGCCUCAAUUGAUAAUUUUCCUCGUCCAAGAACCCAUCUUGCAUCUCAAUUUUGCCUCCAAAACUAAUCCUCGGCUUGUUCUGCACAAAAACGGCCAUGCGAUGACUUUUCCCCAAAAAGUCUCAGUUGUCAGAAAAAUCUUCUGAGACUGAGUCGAUACUUCUAGAAUUUAUUGUGACAUGAUGGAAACUUCGAUUUCCAAAAUCGGACUUGAAUUCGUAGUUAAUUUCCAUUUGGCGCUUUUUAGCGUGACCUAAACUAUCAGGUUGUUUUCAGAACUAUUUAGGGCAAAUGACCCAUGGUCGAUUUUCUUCGAGCCACUAUGAACCCACUCGACUCAAUGGCGACUCUCGAUUGUCGUGAAAAUCUCGAUGAUUCAAUUACGGACACAGGGCACCAAAACGAUAGUAAAAUCAAAUUUGUGUCGGUCGAUGAGAAUUUCCCAAUUUAGUGGAGUCACCCACGAUCGGCCAAACAUCUCAGUCAAACAGAUCUAUCUCUGAUCUCAAAUGGAUUUUUUUAACUGUGCCGUAAUGGCCUCUAAAGACAAUCACGGUCAAGAAGCCGAUUCUUAGUCGAAUUCUCUAGUCUAUUUGCCUUAAAGUCGUUAAUAGCUUCUCCAAAUAGUCUAGUUAUCUCGAGAGUGAUUAGCUCUGAGAACAACCUAUAGACGCGUCAAUGAAAUGCUCGAUUAAUUCAAUAGAAAACAGAUCUGAAAAUUCAGGAUGUCACAACCUCACCCAGCUAAGGCGAAGCCGAGCCUCGCACAACCACAAUAAGGCUUGGCCUCCUUAGCCAGCGCGAGGCUCGCCUGGCCACCGGCAAGGCUCGGCCUCGCCCAGAUCUGGUGAGGCCGAGGCUCGCCGUGGACAGGCUGGCCUUCGGCGAGCUUGUCAGACCUCACCCAGGCGGUGGUCGGCGACUGGCCAAAGAGAAAAGGAAAAAGGAAAAGAUAAGAAAAUAUAAUAAAAGAAUUAAAAACUCUAACAAUCAUGCCAAACUUAUUUUUGUACUGAGACUAGAAAUUUUGGAAAGUUACCAAAUGAGUUCUUUUGCUCAGAAAUUGUUCUUGAGAUGAGAAUAAAAAAAAAAACCAUUUAUGAUAAAAAUUAUUCUCUAGAACAGAAUUGUUACCAAACGUGGCUCUAAGUUUCUACCUUAUGGGAUAAAAGUUGUGAAAAUAUCCAGCCUCUCCUUUAUUGAAGGAAAAUCAUAGAACAUAAGUUGAGCCAGCUAGGUCUCAAAAGUGUGAUCUGCUGCUUCUCAUCAAAUGCAACACAUAACUAGACAAUGAUAAAAUAAAGAAAAAGCAUCCUUGGAAAGAAAAUUGAAUUAGAAUUAUUAGUAGAUAGAUGAACCCAUGAACCUUGCGCAAAACAAGAGAGCACUUCAUGCAGCAAAUGUCAUGAUGACUAAGAAAUUGCAUGUGCUCGAUGUAACAAGCCUCAAACGAUCAGAAUCAGUUGAUGCCAUUAUAAAGGCUCAAUACCAGCAUAAUACAUGUCUUGCAAGCUACUUCAACAACUGAAAAGUAAUUUAUGCAAUCCCAUCAUUUGUUACCUACUUUUUGAUACAUAUGUAGUCAAUAUUGUGCAUCCAAUGUUAAACAGUUCUAAAUCAAGGAAAAGUCAUGUCUAGCAUUUUAUUGUCUAACUUGAAGGUUAUUACAUAGUAUCCAUACUAAAUGCUUCAUAAAAAAUGUUUGUCGAAGUGUUCAUAAUGGCCAUGCAAUUUGCAGUAGCAAUUGAUAGUUAGUGUGCCAUUAGAAGAGAAUACUUUUUGUUCAUAUUAUACAAAAUUAUUACCUUUUUUCCGCCAACACAAACACACCGGUUAAAACUGCAACACCAUCUAAUUCGGUAAAAAAAUGCACCAACGAAUAACAUACCAGUAGUGACUCAUAAAAUUAGAUAGAUUUUACAUGACCACCUUAUAAUUACUUUUGAAUGCAAGAAACUAAAUUCAUUGAUGACAUGAUCAGUGACCCAAUAUUAUCAUGCCCCCUCUUUGAAGUAAUGAAUCAAAUUCAUCGAAAAAGAGAUGGCAAGGUGUUGCAUCUACUGCCUUCAAGAAUAUAUCAGAACCUGUAGUUUUCUAAUUGUCGUUACUAUCAAAUAUUCAAAAUCUCUCCAUUUUGCUGACAAAAUCAACGAUCAUAAAAUCCCGAGGAUUUUCCCUUCGACUGAAACGAAACUCGCGAACCUACUUCAGACAGCUUCACUCUCCUAUAUCUCGGUUCGAAGGUGGAUGGACACAGAUCCCGAACAAUGGAGCAGAGCGAUGAGGAGACUCUGAACACGUAAUCGACUCUAAAGGACGAUCGGAAUAGAAACGACCUGGCAGGGGUAGUGCCGAUUCCUAUCCUCCUUGGUUCCCUUCAGCCGAGCUCUUCGAUGGCCAAAUCCUUUUUCAAGCGAGCGUCCAGCAUCCUCUCCUUCUCGCUCUCGGCUAACUCUCUUUCUCCCUCGUGAAUCUCUCUUCAGCCUAUCUCUCUGCAACUUGCCUCUUCAACGGCCGCCCUCUCGAAGACCGGCGGCAUCUCUCCUCCUCCUGUUAUGCGAACAGGAUCCUCUUGAGGCGAGCAUCCUUU
This 385065-nucleotide long non-coding RNA is filed under the name Eucalyptus grandis. RNAcentral's name for it is "long non-coding RNA (EGRA_LNC002838)". The record is from RNAcentral. Lineage: Eukaryota; Viridiplantae; Streptophyta; Magnoliopsida; Myrtales; Myrtaceae.